Molecule: long non-coding RNA, 357690 nt
Filed under: Eucalyptus grandis
Lineage: Eukaryota; Viridiplantae; Streptophyta; Magnoliopsida; Myrtales; Myrtaceae
Description: long non-coding RNA (EGRA_LNC002406)
Source: RNAcentral
GGAUUUGGCCAUUGAAGAGCUCGGCUGAAGGGAACCAAGGAGGAUAAGGAAUCGGCACUACCCCUGCCAGGUCGUUUCUAUUCCGAUCGACCUUUAGAGUCGAUUAGGUGUUCAGAAUCUCCUCAUCGCUCUGCUCCAUCGUUCGGGAUCUGUGUCCAUCCACCUUCGAACCGAGAUAUAGGAGAGUGAAGUUGUCUGAAGCGGGCUCGUGAGUUUCGUUUCAGUCGAAGGGAGAAUCCUCGGGAUUUUAUUGAUCUCGAUUGGUUGAAGUUAAAAAAUGGGUCUCGCCGAGAGUCCUUCGCGACCUGUUUGAUGUUUUGUCUAGAUGUCUUCAACGUUGAUUUGUUCCUGCCUGUUACUGGUCAAUCCGUCAGCAUUUUAGUAUGAGUAUGGGGUUAUUAUUAUGUUCAGAAGCCCUUUUGCCUUGUCGUCAGGCUUCUCCCCAAAGGAAAAUGGACUAUUUUCCGAUAAAAAAAGAAGAAGAAAAGCAUGCGCAUAGCAAUAAUCAAUGUUGGAAACUAAUGCGAUUGGUGAACUUUUGGGCUUCAAAUGGAAGCUUUGCAUAAGAUAUAAUUUGAUUCAUCGAGAUGGAAGUGUCGGUUUUUUUUUUUUUUUUUUGCCCCACCGUGAGAAACUGCCAAAAAAGCAAUGAAUAUGUGAAGAUAAAUAGUGGGAAUUGCACCUUAAAUUGAUGUUGCAGAUAAAGUCAUAAAUUAAGUACAUGUGUAUAUUCUGACAAAAAAAAAAAGUACACGUGUCUAUUAAAAUUUCAAAAUAAUCUGAAAUUGAUUCCGAAAAUAUCCCACUACGAUGUUUCUGUUUUGUAUAUAUAUCUAUAAACUUCAAAUUGCGCAAUAGAUUAAUGUUAAUACUGACUACAAAAGCUGUGGCAUGUUGAAAUUUUUUAUAAUUAUCUGGAGAAAUUUUUUGACAUCAUUUUUAAUCUCCUUGGUCAUUUAUGCAAAAAUGAAAAAUUCAAACCAUUAACUGCUCUAGUAGUUUAUGAAUGAGAUAUAUUAGAUUUUAUGCAUGAAAUAUGUAUUGGUUCAAAAUUUUUACAUUUAAUGACGAGAACACGAGCAAAAGUAAAAUACGAUUUAAGGGGCAUUCGUGUGUUUCAAUUCUAACUUGAUUAAUUUAUUGCAGGUUAUAUCUUCAACACUCAAAAAUAAAAUACAACUAAAUUUAAAUAGGACACAUUCCAUAUUGUAUUUUGAACUAUUUUGCUAUAUUUAAAUAAUGGUUAAUAUAUUAAAAAAACCCCAAAUCGGUACACUUAUGACAGAUCUACCCACCGUUAGUUUGGGUAGAUUUUGCCAUUAACUUUGAUGACGUGGUUGCUCACGUGGCAAGCCAUGUGGAAAUAACUUAAUUUUUUUCAAAAUAAAAUAAUAAUAACUUUGUAACAGUGAAGGAAAAACAAAAAGAUAUCUUAAAAAGCCCUAAUAAAUUCUCAUUUCUCACGCCUUCUUCAGGUACCUCAUGUUCUCUCUUCUCUCUUCGUUAUAACAUAUAAAAAAAGAAAAAAACCCUAACAACAAAUUAAGUUCAGUUCAUGACAAACGCUCUUCUUUCCUGAGGUGAUUUAUAGGGCGUGGUUCCGGUCGAAGUUCAAUGAGUUCGUUCGGUCACUCAUCGGGGUCGUGGUGUCAGCGCAGGCCAAGGAGACUCAAAGUGAGUGAAUUGCUCCCGGGCGUGGAAAGUUUGAGUUUUUAAGUAGGAGUGCCUUUGGUUUAUCCUGUGAUUGGUGAGUGGAAUUGUGGUGUUAUGUCAUUUGAGGACCAAUGUGCCGGAUUUGCACUUGAGUGGUUUCAUGUUAUCAAGGUAGGAAAACAAGAGCUCUCUAUUCCACGUCGUGUUCGAGCUCUAUGUUUCUAAUGACCUCCUCUCUUUCAUUUUUGUUGGAUCUUUAAGUCAUAUUCUUCUAAUCGUGGUUGCUUCGCUUGUUUUUUGUUUGUGACAAACUUGGCUUUAUGUUUAUAUGUCUCAACCCCACAUGGUUUACUGCUUGUCCGCAAUCUGUUUGUAUGAUUACAUAUUACUCUUGCUUUGUUGGUCAUUUGUGUUAGUUCAUGUCCUUAUUAGUAUUACAUAGUCUUUCAUACCUUGAAUCAUAAGUGUGUCAAAAUUUUGACAUGAAACUUGUAUGUGAAUGGUACGAUUGACUCAUACAUCACAUGCUCGUUGAAAUGCCAGAACCAAAAUCAUUUAUGUUUGUCACUGAUUUCAGGUGUACUUUGAGUGUGAUUCUACAUGUCUUAUGAGAUUUCAUAAAUAUGCUUAGUCCCUAAAGAGCACAUACAUUUGAAUAUUAUAAUAUUAUGCUGCUUUAGUACAUGGAUAAUAUACAUAUCUACAUGGAUAAUUUUGAUUAAGGUUUCAAGGUUCGAUUUUGCAGCAGAAACAAGUUAUAUUCUGUAUCUCAAUCAUUACUUUGAAUAGAAUACAAGGCAGCUUUUCUCUGGUCCUCCUAGUCCAGGGCGACUCGCACAGCCAAGCUUUGCCCUGUACAUGAACCGGGUUAUCCCUUAGGAUCAUUACAAUCAAUUAAUUGAUAUUAAAGAAGCUGAUAUGAUAGUCACGGUACAAUGACAAGCUUUUUUCCUUUUGUGAACUCUUUUGGUCAUUGAAAUUAUACAAGGACACACACUUAUGUGUACCCAUAUAUUAUUUUGAAUAGUGACUUGAGCUCAGUUAACCCCACUUAACGAGAUUGAAAUUCUUGUUUGCUUAAUAAAUAAGGUGGGAUAGAUGUCAAUUGGCAAUUCGUAAAGCUGAUGUUUGCUUGUGAAACAUAAAAUGAUUACCUUCUUAGUAUCUUUUGCCACUUAUUAUGCAAUUUGUUACAUAACCUAGAGUAUCUAACUAGUACUGUAGAUAUGUGUCAAUCUGAGUGCCUAAUGUAAGCAAGUAGUUGGCAGGUGUGAUUGUCCAAUUUCUUGUUCCUUUAAUAUCAAGAUUUCCAGAGUUUUAUCAGCAUAGUUUGGUUAACCUUGUUGCAGGUUUUUGCUAUGACUGAAAUAACUUUGGGUCUCUUUCUAGACGUAGGUGCCUCAUAUUUCCUAUCAAGGCUUCCAAGCAUCUUGUUUGGCGAACUCGAUUUUGUCAUUUCAUGUCAAACUUGAUCAUCCCAUCUUUGCUAGUUAUUUGUGAGAGGUUUUUAUAAACUAAUUGGUUUGCUUGUUGUUCCCUUGCAGAUGUUUAACGAAUUUACUAUUGGACUUCACCUAGGUGGAGUUAUGGAGUUUGGAGACAUCACAAAGUACAUAGGCUACCAUGUAGAAUAUCUCCAUCGUUGUAAGUCGAUGGUGGUGAACUAUAAUGCAAUUGUUAAGGCUAUUCUUGAUCUAGGAUACUCAGUUAAAAAGUUGUGGUAUGCAACUCCUGGGGAUUCCUUGAGAAGUGGUCUUGUGCAGAUUGUUGGUGAUGAACAAGUGUUAGAAUUGGUGGGUCUAGGAUCAAGUUUUGGUGUUAUUGAAGUAUAUAUUGAAGGAGCUGCUCUUGGUGAUGAUAGUGGUUCUUCUACUAGUGGUCAUAAUAGAGAGAGUGAUAGUUAUAGAGAUAGUGAACUAGAGCAAGAUCUUGAUACAUUAUCUUUAAGUGAUGAUGACUACAUUCUCGGUGGUGGUAACGAGGAUUUCUUUCUUGCUAGGCAAAUAAGAAGAGAGGCUGAUGCUGCUGCUAUUACUAAUACAGUUGCCGUUAACAUUCCUAAAAAUGAGGAUGGGGGUGAAAAUGAUGGAGACACUGAUCUAGAAGAAGGAGAUGAGAAUUUGAGCCCUCCUAACUCUGAUGGAGAUGAAGAAGUCUGUGACCAAAGAAGAUCAAAAACCAUUAGAUAUGACCCCAAAUCUGAUCAUAAAGACAUACAAUUUAAAGUAGGAAUGAGAUUUGUCUCACGUGCUCAAUUAAAGAAAGCUGUGCAACUUUAUGCAAUCAUAAACAGAUUUAACAUUGGAUGGAAGAAGAGUGAAGCGAAAAAAAAAGAAGGAAGGAUGGUAGGUGUGAGAGUGGCUUUGAAUGGAGAGUUUAUGCUAGUUGGACGCAGAGUGAGAAGACCUCAAAGAAUGCANNNNNNNNNNNNNNNNNNNNNNNNNNNNNNNNNNNNNNNNNNNNNNNNNNNNNNNNNNNNNNNNNNNNNNNNNNNNNNNNNNNNNNNNNNNNNNNNNNNNUCACAAACCUCCGAGCUUCUGGCUCUCCACGCUCCGGGCAUCUCGAAACUCCCGAGGACCCUCCAGCAUUCAGCCAUUUAAGGCCACUAGGCAUCCGGCAUUUACACUCCCUAGCCAGGCAUCCCGACACUCCCGGGGCAUCGUCAGCUUACACCCCCAAUGGCCUUCUCACUUAUCUUAGUUCACAUUUUCAAUUAUAGCUUAAUCUCAACAUGGCAUAUGAUGUGAUGGUAAACAAGAUCAUUUUCAUCUUUUGAUUCUUAUAUGCAUUUUCAAUCAUCAUCAUACAUGCAGCAAGAUACAGCCACUUAUGAAAUACAAUCCAUGGGGUCCAUACAACUUAGAAUAAUCCAUAUAUCAUGUCUUUUUUUUUUUUGAAAUUUACCAAAUUCCAGCUUUCACAAUUUCGGAAAACAUAUAAAUUAAAUAUCCAUAUGAUCUUCAAAAAUCAUACAAUCAGAGCAUGUAAUAGACAAGGCAUAAAGGUAGCAAUUUCAUGAAAGAAACAUGCCCAAAAGAGUUUCACACAAGAAGAUAUAGCUCGCACAAUACAUCAUGCAAAAUUCGGAUAAAAUCAGAUUGCGCAGUUCUUGAAAUAUUUCAAUUAAAAUACCCGAAUCACCUCAAAAAAUUAUGAACUUUUACCAAGUUAUAGUCAAGACCCUAAGGUAUAUUUUUCAUACAGACAUCUAAGCCAUAUUCACUCUAGAUAAUUAACUAUAGACGGUCGAAGCUCCUGUUCCUAGUACCGAACAGUCCAGUUUAGCUGUUUCCAAAAAAUCGAGGUUUCGCCUACUUAUCUUUCUUCAUUUCCUCUGAAAUUUUAAUAUUUUUUUGCCUCAAGAGGUCCCCUACAACUUUAAUUAAGGGAUCUCGGUGAGAUUCUCAAAGGAUAGUCACCAUAUAGUCCACGAAGUCUCGGGAGUCCAGUACCGUACUUCCAGAUCUGCCGUCUUCAAAAGAAAAUCGUUUCACUAGGCUACACUUGCUCGUUUUACCUCAAAUUUGAUUAUGUUAAUCGUCAGGAUGUUCUCUACAACGUUUUUGAAGAAAUAAAAGUGAGAUUCGCGGUAAAAAGUGACAUGCAACACACAAAACCACCAAGAGGUCAACAAAACAGUUUCAGAUCUAGCGUUUUCGUAGAGGAAGGGUUUCACCCCUUAAAACGCAGCCAUUUUGUCUCAAAUUUUAUUAUGUUAUACUUUGAGAUGUUGCCUACAACUUUAGUGAAGAAGUCGAAGCCAAAAUCUGACUCAAACCACGUAUGCAAGCCUUUACAACGUUCGGGGUCAGGCGACACACUCGAAAACAGCAUGCUAUUUCAAAAACAACACACCCUAGCUUCGGUUUCUCAUACCCUAAACAUCCGAGAUUUACCACCACUCAACACACAUGCAAGAGACAACAUGCAAGAGCAGAAUAUGGAUCCCAACUUGCCUUCAAAUCGAGUAACAACGGCACACGGACGGCGAUGGACGAGCGGAUGGACGGGCAACAAACGAGCGGACCUCCCGUUCGCGCGGCUUCUCCCUUUCUCUCUUGGGUUCCUCACUCUCUUGUAAACCUCUCUCUCUCUCACUUGGGCUUAGCGGACAGCCCCUAAACCGGGCCACUCUCUCCCUUUUUAUUCCCCCUUAUCACAAUCAUUAGUCAUCAUGAGAUGCCUCCCACAAUGGCCAAUGGAUGGAGUCCCCUUUUUGCCACUUGGCAAGACCCAUGCAUAAUGGGCUUGGAAGUGGGCUGGCCACUCCCCCUCUCCUUGGUCGAUGGCAGCCCUCUCCAUGGGCUUCAUGGGCCGGCCUUUUGGCCCAUCAAAGGUCUACACUCUUGGGCCUAAGACCCAAGCCUAAUUAAAUCAAAUUUCAACCCCUUUUUAAAUACUAAUUAAAUCCUUAUUGAACCAAAGUACUAUAGUGUAUAAAUUAAAUAACUAUACACUUGAAAUCACAAAUCCAUAGAUUCUAACCGACAAUACAUAUGGCCAAAUAUAGAUCAUUCUUUUCCAAAAUUUAUCCAUUAAAUUUGGCCAUAGUCCUUAAUACAAGACAUUAAUUUGAGCACCCCUAAUGACCGGUAAGGAAUUCUAGGAUGCCACAAUAUAAUACGUUCAAAAGAUUCUAUGUGUGCUUCAAAGAAUUGAAAGAGGGUUUUCUAGCAGGUUGUAGAUGAGUAAUUGGAUUGGAUGGAUGCUUUACGAAGACUUUAGUUAGGGGGAUGUUACUUUGUGCUAUUGGUAGAGAUGGAAACAACCAAAUGUUUCCAAUUGCAUGGACUGUUAUUGAAGCUGAGACUGAAGAAUCUUGGACUUGGUUCCUUGAGCUACUAGUGAAAGACUUGAAUGUGGGACAAGGUCUUGGCUGGACCUUUAUGAGCGAUCAACAGAAGGUAAGAUUGCACACAAGCUUUGCUAAUAAAAGUAUUUGUUGUUUGUAAACUAACUUAUUUUCAUGUCAAAUAACGUGUUACAGGGCCUACUCAAUGCAAUUUCUAAACUCUCUCCACGAGCAAAGCAUAGAAAUUGUGCUCAGCACAUUUAUGCCAACUGGAAAAAAUUAUACAAGGGAGAAACAUUUAGGAAUUGCUUUUGGAGAGCUGCAUAUUCUACAUACAAGGCCGAUUUCAAUAUGGCAGUAAAAGAUAUGAAGAAAGAGUCUGUUCAUGCAUAUGAAGACUUCAGGAGACAGGGUCCAUAACACUUUUGCAGCGCAUUCAUCAAGUGUGGACAAAAUUGCAAUGCUAUCGAGAACAGUUUGAGCGAGACGUUCAACACAUAUAUAUAUGCAGAGAAAGGGAAUUUCUCAUUGUUGAUAUGUUAGAGGGCAUAAGAAAAUUACUUAUGGUAAGAAUGUAUGAGAAAAGCCAAUUGAUGGUUGGUUUAAGAGAUGAGAUUUGUCCAAGAAUCGUAUUGAAGAUUGAGGAGGAAAAGAUGAAGUCUAGGUUUUGCAUUCCAAAGCCAUCUACAGCUUCCAGAUUUGAAGUUAAAGUGAAUAAUGAUACUUUUAUGGUUGAUCUUAAUAAGAAGACAUAUACUUGCAGACAGUGGGAUAAAUAGGGGAUACCGUGCAACCAUGCUAUCUUGUGCAUCAACUUCAUGAAGUGUAACUUAAAUGAUUAUGUAGCUGAUUGUUUCAAGAAAGUUGUGUACGAGCGUUGCUAUCGAUUUGCAUUACCCACCUUGAAUGGAAAGAAAAUGUGGCUAGCGACUAAUGACGAGCCUUUAUUGCCUCCGCCAUUCAAAAAGCUUCUAGGGAGGCCCAAGAAAGAUAGGAAGAGGCCCAAUGGUGAGAAGAAAAAGGAUGAGAAAAGCAAAAGAGUGAGGAAGCCAAGGGUCACCAACACUAAUCCUACUAAAAUAUCAAAAUCUUGUAUUACCAUGAAAUGCUCCAAUAGUCAUGGUACUAGACACAACAAGACAACAUGCCCCCAACCUCCAGCACCUAUCCAGAUUAAACUACCUGUAAGGAAAUUUAAACAUAAAUGUGAAACAUUUUCCCUUAGAAUACCUUAUAUAUGUCUAUUAUACAGGGCAAAAGAGGUAGGCCAAGGAAGCAUCCAAGCAACUAACCAUUAAAGGAGAGGCAUUGAACAAACAAAGUGAAAGUACCUCAGCUAAAUCUAUAACAGGACAAUCAAAUAUUGUCAAUUCUAAGAAGAGAAUGGUGAGGAGUCUACAAGUAGAUUUCAUAUGGUUUUUGAUAAUACCAAAGUAAAAUGUUAAUAUGGUUUGUCUUCUUAUAGGUUUUACAAGGAUAUGGAUUUUACAUAUUUGAAGCCACUAGAAACUCAUAUUUGAGCGUGAAGAUUUUAUUUUGUUAAGCAUUUUUUAAUCCACUAUGAUUAGCAUAAUAAGAUUAUGUUUUCCCCUCAAUUUUCAGAUGCUUGGGAGUAACAUAGUUCAAGAAAUUCGUCAAGGUGGUGCAAAUCAUACGAUGGAUCUUUCAAGCCAAGUUUCUGGACCUCCUCAAAUUGAACAAUCUCAAAGUGAAGUAGGGCAAUGAACCUGUAGGAGAGUUGGAUUUUGGGUGUAAACUUUGUCAUGUAAAGCUUGUUUUGUAAAGCUUGCCCUGUAAAGCUUGAUUUGUAAAGCUUUGUUUUUUUUUUUUUUGAUAGUAUUUGAUAUAGAACAUGCUUUUGGACAUCUAUCGUCUGGUGUGGAUUUGCCUUUUGGCUAGUUGGUUGGUUGGUGUUUGGGGUAAAGGCUACUUUGUAAAGCUUGUUCAAGUUUAGUAUGAAGGCUCUUUUAUAAAGCUAUUUCAAAGAUAUAUUGAUAUGUGGCUUUAGUUUCGUUCUCUCCAUUUUGUGUAGUUGAUGUUAUUUGCAUUUUGAUGAUGAAUUUGGUUGAUUGCAUAUGGCUUGUAUGCUGGAAGGCUCUCUCUCUCUCUCUCUCUCUCUCUCUCUCUCUCUCUCUCUCUCUCUCUCUCUCUAUGCCUAUUCUGAUUAAAAGUAUAUUGCUUCUAGCUCAUUAUGAAUAGCACUUCUUAUGUAUAUGUGCACAAGUAAUCUGUCCAUCUUUUAGUUAAUGGGCAUCCUCUCGGCACAAGAAUGAAGUGCACAUUUGGUAGUCUUUGAAUGGUUUUAUAAUAAUGAUUCCAAUAAAAAGAAAAAAAAAAUCAAGUAUUAAUGAUAUGGAGGCAAUGUUAGAGUAAUCCGGAAAAUAAAAUUGAUUGGACAUCACAACUCGGUCAAAUUUGGGAAAAUUGAAAGAGGGUAAAUGUGCCGUACGUGUACCAAUUUUGGUUUUCUAUGAUCGGAAAAAUUAAUUUAGAGUAAAUUUAUCAUAAAUAUACCAGUUUGGGGUAAAAUUGUCAUAAAUAUACUAGUUUAUGGUUUUUAAUGGUAUUAAACUUAUGAAUUUCCACAUGGCUUGCCACGUUAGCAAAGUUAACAACAAAAUCGAAUGGAAGCUAACGGAGGGUAGAUUUGUCACAUGUAUAUCAAUUNNNNNNNNNNNNNNNNNNNNNNNNNNNNNNNNNNNNNNNNNNNNNNNNNNNNNNNNNNNNNNNNNNNNNNNNNNNNNNNNNNNNNNNNNNNNNNNNNNNNNNNNNNNNNNNNNNNNNNNNNNNNNNNNNNNNNNNNNNNNNNNNNNNNNNNNNNNNNNNNNNNNNNNNNNNNNNNNNNNNNNNNNNNNNNNNNNNNNNNNNNNNNNNNNNNNNNNNNNNNNNNNNNNNNNNNNNNNNNNNNNNNNNNNNNNNNNNNNNNNNNNNNNNNNNNNNNNNNNNNNNNNNNNNNNNNNNNNNNNNNNNNNNNNNNNNNNNNNNNNNNNNNNNNNNNNNNNNNNNNNNNNNNNNNNNNNNNNNNNNNNNNNNNNNNNNNNNNNNNNNNNNNNNNNNNNNNNNNNNNNNNNNNNNNNNNNNNNNNNNNNNNNNNNNNNNNNNNNNNNNNNNNNNNNNNNNNNNNNNNNNNNNNNNNNNNNNNNNNNNNNNNNNNNNNNNNNNNNNNNNNNNNNNNNNNNNNNNNNNNNNNNNNNNNNNNNNNNNNNNNNNNNNNNNNNNNNNNNNNNNNNNNNNNNNNNNNNNNNNNNNNNNNNNNNNNNNNNNNNNNNNNNNNNNNNNNNNNNNNNNNNNNNNNNNNNNNNNNNNNNNNNNNNNNNNNNNNNNNNNNNNNNNNNNNNNNNNNNNNNNNNNNNNNNNNNNNNNNNNNNNNNNNNNNNNNNNNNNNNNNNNNNNNNNNNNNNNNNNNNNNNNNNNNNNNNNNNNNNNNNNNNNNNNNNNNNNNNNNNNNNNNNNNNNNNNNNNNNNNNNNNNNNNNNNNNNNNNNNNNNNNNNNNNNNNNNNNNNNNNNNNNNNNNNNNNNNNNNNNNNNNNNNNNNNNNNNNNNNNNNNNNNNNNNNNNNNNNNNNNNNNNNNNNNNNNNNNNNNNNNNNNNNNNNNNNNNNNNNNNNNNNNNNNNNNNNNNNNNNNNNNNNNNNNNNNNNNNNNNNNNNNNNNNNNNNNNNNNNNNNNNNNNNNNNNNNNNNNNNNNNNNNNNNNNNNNNNNNNNNNNNNNNNNNNNNNNNNNNNNNNNNNNNNNNNNNNNNNNNNNNNNNNNNNNNNNNNNNNNNNNNNNNNNNNNNNNNNNNNNNNNNNNNNNNNNNNNNNNNNNNNNNNNNNNNNNNNNNNNNNNNNNNNNNNNNNNNNNNNNNNNNNNNNNNNNNNNNNNNNNNNNNNNNNNNNNNNNNNNNNNNNNNNNNNNNNNNNNNNNNNNNNNNNNNNNNNNNNNNNNNNNNNNNNNNNNNNNNNNNNNNNNNNNNNNNNNNNNNNNNNNNNNNNNNNNNNNNNNNNNNNNNNNNNNNNNNNNNNNNNNNNNNNNNNNNNNNNNNNNNNNNNNNNNNNNNNNNNNNNNNNNNNNNNNNNNNNNNNNNNNNNNNNNNNNNNNNNNNNNNNNNNNNNNNNNNNNNNNNNNNNNNNNNNNNNNNNNNNNNNNNNNNNNNNNNNNNNNNNNNNNNNNNNNNNNNNNNNNNNNNNNNNNNNNNNNNNNNNNNNNNNNNNNNNNNNNNNNNNNNNNNNNNNNNNNNNNNNNNNNNNNNNNNNNNNNNNNNNNNNNNNNNNNNNNNNNNNNNNNNNNNNNNNNNNNNNNNNNNNNNNNNNNNNNNNNNNNNNNNNNNNNNNNNNNNNNNNNNNNNNNNNNNNNNNNNNNNNNNNNNNNNNNNNNNNNNNNNNNNNNNNNNNNNNNNNNNNNNNNNNNNNNNNNNNNNNNNNNNNNNNNNNNNNNNNNNNNNNNNNNNNNNNNNNNNNNNNNNNNNNNNNNNNNNNNNNNNNNNNNNNNNNNNNNNNNNNNNNNNNNNNNNNNNNNNNNNNNNNNNNNNNNNNNNNNNNNNNNNNNNNNNNNNNNNNNNNNNNNNNNNNNNNNNNNNNNNNNNNNNNNNNNNNNNNNNNNNNNNNNNNNNNNNNNNNNNNNNNNNNNNNNNNNNNNNNNNNNNNNNNNNNNNNNNNNNNNNNNNNNNNNNNNNNNNNNNNNNNNNNNNNNNNNNNNNNNNNNNNNNNNNNNNNNNNNNNNNNNNNNNNNNNNNNNNNNNNNNNNNNNNNNNNNNNNNNNNNNNNNNNNNNNNNNNNNNNNNNNNNNNNNNNNNNNNNNNNNNNNNNNNNNNNNNNNNNNNNNNNNNNNNNNNNNNNNNNNNNNNNNNNNNNNNNNNNNNNNNNNNNNNNNNNNNNNNNNNNNNNNNNNNNNNNNNNNNNNNNNNNNNNNNNNNNNNNNNNNNNNNNNNNNNNNNNNNNNNNNNNNNNNNNNNNNNNNNNNNNNNNNNNNNNNNNNNNNNNNNNNNNNNNNNNNNNNNNNNNNNNNNNNNNNNNNNNNNNNNNNNNNNNNNNNNNNNNNNNNNNNNNNNNNNNNNNNNNNNNNNNNNNNNNNNNNNNNNNNNNNNNNNNNNNNNNNNNNNNNNNNNNNNNNNNNNNNNNNNNNNNNNNNNNNNNNNNNNNNNNNNNNNNNNNNNNNNNNNNNNNNNNNNNNNNNNNNNNNNNNNNNNNNNNNNNNNNNNNNNNNNNNNNNNNNNNNNNNNNNNNNNNNNNNNNNNNNNNNNNNNNNNNNNNNNNNNNNNNNNNNNNNNNNNNNNNNNNNNNNNNNNNNNNNNNNNNNNNNNNNNNNNNNNNNNNNNNNNNNNNNNNNNNNNNNNNNNNNNNNNNNNNNNNNNNNNNNNNNNNNNNNNNNNNNNNNNNNNNNNNNNNNNNNNNNNNNNNNNNNNNNNNNNNNNNNNNNNNNNNNNNNNNNNNNNNNNNNNNNNNNNNNNNNNNNNNNNNNNNNNNNNNNNNNNNNNNNNNNNNNNNNNNNNNNNNNNNNNNNNNNNNNNNNNNNNNNNNNNNNNNNNNNNNNNNNNNNNNNNNNNNNNNNNNNNNNNNNNNNNNNNNNNNNNNNNNNNNNNNNNNNNNNNNNNNNNNNNNNNNNNNNNNNNNNNNNNNNNNNNNNNNNNNNNNNNNNNNNNNNNNNNNNNNNNNNNNNNNNNNNNNNNNNNNNNNNNNNNNNNNNNNNNNNNNNNNNNNNNNNNNNNNNNNNNNNNNNNNNNNNNNNNNNNNNNNNNNNNNNNNNNNNNNNNNNNNNNNNNNNNNNNNNNNNNNNNNNNNNNNNNNNNNNNNNNNNNNNNNNNNNNNNNNNNNNNNNNNNNNNNNNNNNNNNNNNNNNNNNNNNNNNNNNNNNNNNNNNNNNNNNNNNNNNNNUAUUUAUGUUUAGUAAAUGGGUUUAGACCUAACUCUAUGGAUCAUAAAUGGGUUUAAUGUGGGUGUUAAAUGGGUUCUCAACUUAUUUAGACUAAACUUACUCCUAUGACUCUCUUUUCACUCUCUCUUACCUUCACUUGAUCUCACGUUCAUUUAUUCUAUGCUUUCACUUUAGUUUGGGUAUGAAUUUUCCCAAUUUGAGUUAAAUAUAUAAGUAUUUUAACAUUAUGGGUUGUGUAUGGAUCACUAUAUUUGUGUUGUAUGAAAAUGAGCUAAAAAGGUUAAAUUGAUCAAUUUACGUAGGACCAUUUUUUACUCAGCUUGAACCAAAUCCGACUCGACCUAACCUAAUCCACCCAUUUGACAAAUUUAGUUAGUGAUUGCUUUCUGCCCAAAAGUGGGCCUCCAUUGGGAAAAAAAACUUCACAAAUUCUCUAUAAACUAGAGCUCCCUUCUCUCAUUUUCAGCAUUCAUCACUCUCUCCCAAAUUCUCAUUCUUUUACAAAUUUGUAAUUUCUCGCAAAUUUGCACUUCCUAUAUAUGAAUUACUUCAUUCAAUCUUGUAAUGGAUCCCAACCGCUUCUCAAAUGGCGAUUAAGGAUCUCCGAGCUUGAGGUGGCACUUCGAUUCCUACACUAAUCCCGAGAUGCAACGCACUCCCUAUGUGCCUGGUUCACCCAAGAAACAGCAACAAAUGCAGGACACUGACGGCAUGAUAGAAAGACUGGAUGAUUCAAAAUUCAUGUCGCGCAAACCCCUACCUCAACCUCAAAGAUCAACAAACUACAAUCAAUGUCGCGCAACCUUCGAGGUGAAGAUCAUCCAUUCUUUGGUGGACAUUAAAAAUCGAUAGGGUAAUGAUAAGUGUUGGGAAAACUUCCUAUGAUAUUUUGAUGAUUUCAAAACUAUCAUUGGUUUAAUAUCUACCACAUGAUUGUAGAUGUUCAUCAUGAUCAAUUGAUGAUAAUUUUAUGAUGAACUGAUCAUAUCAAUGGUGUAAAGCUUAGUGAUGGACAUGCACAAAGAUGUAGGCCUUGACAAAAGGAGAACAAGUUAGAUAUCACAAGCGGUUCAUAAGGACUUGGAGGGACCAAGAUAAGGUGAUCAUCACCCUAAAGCCUUUGGAUACUGGUAUGCUCAGGAAGACCAUUGGAUAAUGAAAUGCAAGUUGUUCCGCGAAGAAUACAAUUGAUAUCAUCAACAGAAUAUUAACAAGGGCAUGUGCUAAUAACAAGUGAUGACCAGCAAUUGAUGAUACAAUGUCAAUUCCUAGAAGGCGUUGUUCAAUAAUCCAUCCUAGGUUGACCGUUGAAUUGGAAGAAAAUAGUUGUUAACAAAGUCGGGAAUUCGUGGCGAGAGGACUAAAAGCAAGUGAGGACAUCUUUGGCACUUUUGGUCAGUGUGUUAGACUAUAUAUUUGAUGGAUCAGUAUAACAAACUUCAUUUCAGAAACUUUUCUUUUGCCGGCAGGAGCAAACUGUAUGGGCAGCUGAACGCUGACAUUUGCUACAACCAACUCCCAACGCCUCUUCAACUCUUCAGAAGCAUCUUCAACGGUUGGAUUAGAGGGGGAACGCCUAUAUAAAGAGGAUCAAAACAGCUAGAAGUGGUGGCUACCGAACCUUGAAUGCCGGUGAAGAAUGCCUAAGGAUGGAGGAGCCACCGUUUGGACACCAAGAGGAGAGGACACCGCUGAGCAAGGCCAAUACGAGCCUAGAGAGGUUCACAAUUUGAGAGCUCCUGAAUGAGUUGUGUUUCCAUUAUGGCUGGCCAUAGAAGGUUUAUGAAGCCUCCACAGGUCCUAAUUGAGUUAGCAUUAGGACUGGACGGGAUGGAGCUUACAAUCGGUUAAACAACGAGACUAAGAUGACUUCAAAAUGGACGACGUAGAUGGGGUGAGGAGAGAUGAAGAGGGGUGGUUGGCAGUUGGAUUAAGGGUAAGCGUUUGAUGCGAUAACAGCUAUUGAAACAAAAUGCUAUGUUAUCCACUCGAUCUAACUUUGGAUGAUUUCUCACAAUUUGGAAUCAUGGCUGAUUUCUCAAAACUUUGGGAUUAUCGCUUAACUCACUGUUUGGACCCUAAAAUUUCAACAAUCUUGGAGAGCAUGUUCCAUGGCUCAUUGAACUAAACUUGACCUUGUGGCCGUUAGCAAUUUGAUUCUAGGCCCACAUUGCCUCUCAAACUCGGGAUUGAGCACUAAAAAGGUUGGAAAUUUACGUUCUAGCUUAAUUUCUAUGCUUGAGCUCCAAAAAUCUUGCGAAUGUCAAUUUAAGCACGUUUCUUCACCAUGAUUGCCCAUUUAAGCUCACUUCUCUCAUGGCAAGUUGGAUUUUGAAGUUCUAUCUCAUGCCAAGUCACUUCUUGAGGUCGCCUCUAGUUCCCUGUAUAUGUGUCAGUACUGAAGUGUAAAUUAUGCAACAUUGAUAUAUUUGUUUAAAGUGCGAUUUGAUCCCUAAUUUCUGAUUUAAUGAAUGACUAAUCCAUUAGCCAAAAUUAGGUGUCAAUGAUUGGGAAUGGAUCGGAUGCCCAUUGUUCAGACUAUGGGCAUCCAGCCCACUUUUGGUCUAUUUGAGACUCUCCAGGUCGGUCCUCCAUGGUCCCUUUGCUCUGUGUUCACUCUAGGAUUGUCGAGGCAUGCUUUAGGUCCCCUUUUUAAGCUUGGGGAUUGUAGCAUCCCGAACCCUUCGUCGAUCGCUACAAGCUCUGGUGUUACACUUUAUUACCUUUCUUUCUUUCGAACAAGCGUCCUAAUUUGCAGACACAUUUUUUUUUUUAAACGAUCGGUCCCAAUGCGACUCAUAGCGGAAGCAAAUUAAACAUCACCAUCUAUCCCCCUACCAAUCCAUGAUACAAAUACACACCAGCUAAACAUCAGGAUUUUAUAAACAAACAUCGACACAUUAUUUACAUAUUCUUUUAGGAUGGGACUUCCUUUUUCUCGGGUCGAUACAAAACAAGAAAAGCUAGGACUCUGCCAUGUCUUGCCUAAAAUCUCAAAAAGAAACACCCUUGACCCUCAACAUCAUACGAGCGCAAACCCCCAUCGAAAGUGUCGAUUAUCUACAUCAAAAAGAGAUCCAGCUCCUACUCAUCGCGCGCAGGUCUCACACCCAACCCGGUGCAUCAGGUGGUGGCGGCGGCAGCAUCCCUCGCAUAGCUCCAUCCCAUCGAACGUGCACAGAAAUGAACUCUUGUAUGAUAGGGCCCUCAACCAGGCCGAUAUCAUACAUCACUAGACAUCGCACUCGGAUAAAAGUUAGUCCGGGAACAGAGGGACAAUCUAUCUCCGCACACUCAACCUCUACAUCAGACGGUAGACCAUAGAAUACCCCCCGCGAGACGGCAGGAAGCGGCAUACUGCUAAUCUGAAAUGUUAUCCCCAAAAGGGGUGAGUACAACCACUCAGCAGAUAGGGAAAUCCAAUAACAACUCAAUGCAUCAUGCAAAUUACACAUGCAUAGCAGGCACUACUUACCUUGAAGCCAGGCACACACUAUCAUGCAUCAUCACAUCACAUCACAUAUCAUCAUCAUCAUCAUCAUCAUGCAUAUCAUCAUGCAUAUCAUAUCAUAUCAUGGGGUGAUCAUCAUAUCACAUCACAUAUUAUCAUCAUCAUCAUCAUCAAUCUCAUCAUCAACCCUUCGGGCAGAAACCUCCGACAGGGCUCCCGGCAAACUCAGCCAUCCCAUGGCCACCGGGCUUCCGGCCCCCCACAUUCCGGGCAUCUCGCAUCUCAACUAGCAUCACGAGGCAUUCCCUUCGGGCCGAAACCUCCGACAGGGCUUCCGGCCUUUACCCUUCUAGCCAGGCAUCCCGCACCCAAAUCCUGGCAUCGCGAGGAACCUCCGGGCAUGUAUCCAAGAUACAACCGGACAUCCGGCCCUCCCACAUUCCGGGCAUCCUGAAUCUCCCAGGGAAUUCCGGCAAUGUAUCUAUACAUUCCGGCCAUCAUCCUCCACCACAACCACUUCCUCAUUUACCAUCAUCCACAUAUACCAUUUCUUUAUCUCAAUUUAACAUGGCAAUUGGCAUGGUAUCAAACAAAUCACACUUGACAUGGAAUUCACACUUGCAUCUCAAUUCAUAUGUCAUACACAUGCCAAAACUUUAUCCCAUACACAUCUCAAUUCAAUACAUGUACAAGGACCAUGUCAUACGCAUACCAAGACUUUAUCACAUAUACAUCUCAAUCCAAUACAUGUGCAAAGACCUCAUCACACAUAUGCCACACAAAUAGAAUUGAAUCCAUGGCCAAAUAAAAAUCCAUUUUAUUUUAUUAUUUUAUUAUUUUAUUAUUAUAUUAUUAUAUUAUUAUAUAUAUUUAUUUUCAUAAAUAAGUAUUAAAUUUAAUAUCUAUGAUUUUCCCAAAAUCAUAAUAUUCAAAAUAUCACUAAACAAAUCAAUAUGAUCACAAUUUCAUACAAAAUUCAUCGCCAAAUUGAAUUUCUCAUAACUUCACAAUUUCCACAAAAUAGCACAUGAUAUUCGGAUAAUGACCAGAAUUGCACAGUUUCCAAAUAAAUUCGAUUAAAAUACUCAUAUGGCCUUCAAAAAUUACAAAAUUUUACAGGGUGAUAGCCAACACAUUUUCGUGCACUUUUCGUGAAGAACUCUAAGCCAAAUUCUUUUUAGAUUAGUUUAUAUAACCCCACGAAACCUCUGGAACCACUACCGCGUCGUCCAGAAUACACUUCUUCGAAAUUUUUAGAUUUCACCCAUCUAUUCUCUUUCGUUUCCUCUGAAAUUUGAGUAUGUUAUGUAUCAAGUUGUCCUUUACAAGUUUCAUGAAGAGAUCUAGGUCAAAUAACCAAAGUAUGGUCACCAUUUAAGUCCAUGAAGUCUUGGGUGUCUCGGAACACAUCACCAGAAUCAUCAUCUCCAAGAUCUAGCCGAUUUACUAGGCUAUACUUGUUCAUUUCUCUUAAAAUUUGAGAAUGUUGUAGUUUAAGGUGUUACCUACAACUUUCAUGAAGACAUCAAAGUCAGAUUUUCAUCACAAACCAACAUGCAACCAAGAAUCCAACAAGAAGUCAGUGAAAACAUCACAGAUCUGGGGUCUCCGUAUAACAAGGCUUUAACCCCUCAAAUCUUCAUCAUUUUUCACGAAAUUUCUGUAUGUUAUACUAAAAGAUGUUAGCUACAACUUUCAUGAAGACAUCAAAGCCAAAAUCUGACUCCAAACACACAUGGAAGCUCUAACAAGCUACUGACUUCCACAAACCGAACAAGAACAGUCACACGGUUUGAAAACAACCAACCCUACCUCUGUUUCUCGCACAAAUCACACCUAAAAUCGAACAUGCAACCACCAAAACAAACAUGCAAGAGAAGUUACUGACUCCACUUGCCUCUAGGAUGAACAACGACGGCGUACGGACGGCGGGACACGGCGAUUGGAUGGUGAACGAACGGCGGCUCCCUCGGCUCCGCCUCCUUCCCCUCUCGGUUUCUCCCUUUCUCUCGAACUCUCUCUCCCUCUCGCACUCUCUCUCGGCCAAAUGAAGAAAGAACCGGCCACUCUCCCUUCUCUCUCCCUUUUUAUAUCACCAUCUUCUCAUGAUUAGCAAUCAUGAGAUUGCCUACAAACCACCCAAUGCAUGCUCUUGCCCCUUGCCACUUGUCAUUUUUAUUUUUGAAUUUGAUUGGGCUUGGGCUUUUGGAGUUGGGCCAUACGGCCACUCCCCUUGGGCUGGUUGAGCUCCCUCUUGGGCCGACUAGCUUGGCCCACCAAGCUUUAGGCUAAUGGGCCCAAGGCCCAUUCCAAGAAUUAACCUCUUUUUCCCUUCUUUUUUCUUUGAAAUUCUCCUAUAAAUAUUUCUAAAUUUCAAUUUUCAAUCUUGGCCAAAGUCUUAGGAUAUUUUUUUGCUCAUUGAAAUUUAAAUCACACAGCCAAGCAUAGAUUAUUAAUCUAUUAAAUUUAAAUUUCCACAAUCAUAAGCACAAAUCAUCAAAUUAAAAGACUAAUGGCUAAAACAUAAGCCAUGGAAAUUGUGCCACCUAAUUAAAGACUUUAACACACCUUAAGGCUUGGCUUUGAAUUUCUGGGAUGCCACAGGGAUAGGCCGAAUGUGUGUUUUUCGUAGACAGAUGAAAAUGGAGAUGUCGAAUAGUCAUCAGUCUCGCCAAUGCCAUCUUCCGACUCAGAGUUUAGAUGACGUCUCUUUCUUAUUAUAGUCGAGCAUUUAAAUUUAGUUUUAUUUUUUUUCUCAUAUAUAGAUAAUCUCUUCGUAUUAAUAUACAUACACAUAUAUAAAGUAUAAAAGAAGCAUUUUUAAUGCGUGUCGGCUUUUUCGCAGUACAAUAUAGGAUGAGAUUAAUUUUGACUAUUGUUAGUAGCAUCAUAAUGCAUUUAGGAUUAAUCUCUCAUUACAAAGAUUAAAAAAUUUUCAUUUAUUAAACUUGUGCAUGUCUCUUCUUAUGAAUAGCUCAAGUCCUGUUUUAGGAGUUUAUAGCAAAGCGUUGAACUAAUUUUGUUUGAUACGGCUGAAAUUGCUUUUAUUCUUUUCCAGUCUUUAUAUUUAUCAUUGAUUGAGUAUCUAUAGAUUUACAUGUUUAAGAAAUAAAAAAUGAAAAUAUAUUGGAAGAAAUAAUUUUUAUUAAAAGAAAAAAGUUACUAGUGAUAGGUGCUAGGCAAAACUACCUUAACCAAGUUCUUGCAUCUAAAACCUAUGGUUCACCAAAGUGGGGCAAGCGCCUAUGCCUUACUUGGCUCACAACUGCCCUAUAAUAGGUUAGUGGCAACUGUUAUUAAAAUUCGACCAUUUAAUAAAAAAGAAAUCAAGUUGUGGUUGGCGGGGUUUGGAAGAACUGUACAUUGCAUAAGCACCACGUUGUAAGAGAGUUAUAUGUCUCCGCCUAACAAUUCAUUAAAUUCUUUCAAAGUUCAUAUUGGCAAGAUAGUGAUAAUGUACAUAUUGAUGUAGUUCAAAUGUAAUUUUCAUUCAUAAUGCAUAGACAUGUAAUUAUAAAAUUUCAUAUUGCAGAACAACAUUCGAAAAAGUUACGUUUUUUACAGUAUCAUAUACGGAGCAUAAGUUCAUGAACUAACGACAUUCGAGGACUCUACUUGUCCGCCAUUACCCUUAGCUGCCCAAUUGGUGCGAAUCUCAAUUAGUCUUUUGAAUUUAUGAAGGAAGGCUGCAGGUGACUUCCAGGCAAAUGGAACAUAACAACAGAGUAAUGGCAAGUGGAACAUGUAUUAACUUGUCCAAUACGUCCAACAUAGAUCUAACUAACAUGUAAUAUAAUAUAUUAAGUUCUCCAAUAAGUCCAACAUCUAAUUGACAUACAAUGCUUAAUCUCUUCCAACUAGCACAGAUAUCCAUCACUGAAAUCCUCUCGUCAUGUAGAGCUUUGUCUACCUUUUAUGGGUAGUUUUCUUCUGGCUUCUUCCCUUUAACCCUAAUUGUCAUCCAUAAUCUCCUUCUUCCUGUCCAUCUACCCUUCAUCGCUCCAUCCCUUUGCCUUUAUCGGAUGAUUUUGUUCUUCAUUAUCUUCAAUGUCGUCCAUCCAACAAGAUAUCAACCAUCAGUUCCUGCUGGUCUAAGGGCUUGCAUGUCAUCCUACUCUUUUGCACAAAGUACAUGCUGUUUCUAUGGCUUUAAAAGGUUGGAGUUGCUCAAAAUUUCAACUUGAAGACUUGCAGGUUAAUGCCUUACACCAACAGCUUGAAGAGAUCACCAAUCGACCAUAUAUCAACAGCCAUGAUAAAGAAGCAGCUUCUCUUAUCCGGGAUGAAAUUUGUAGAAUAUGGCAGCAAGAAGAACAAUUUUGGGCCUGCGGUCCAGAAUCAAUUGGUUGCGAUAGGGAGAUAAGAAUACUAAAUUUUUUCACGCAACCACCAUCCAAAGACGCCAACGGAAUAGGAUAACUAUGAUACAGGAUGUUAAUCAGGAAUGGGUGCGGGAUCCUCAAACACUAAAGGAGAUGACGACUGCUUUCUUUUCCAAUUUAUAUACAUCAGAGGGGUAUAGAGACUACAACCCUAUUUUGAAUCAAUGCCCCACAGUUGUCACUCCAAAAAUGAAUAACCAAUUAACUGCUUUUGUCAAUCUUGAAGAGGUGCGCUGGUCAGCUUUCCAGUUGGGGGUCUCUAAAGUUCCAAGCUCGGACGAUUUGAGUGGUCUUUUUUAUUAGACGAAUUGGGAUAUUAUUAAGGAUGAUCUUCUGAGGACAGUGCAAGAUUUCUUUAAUUCAGAAGUGCUGCCCUACAAUCUAAAUAGAACCAUUAUUGCUUUGGUUCCCAAAACCAAUCACCUUGAAUGAAUGGAUCAGUACAGGUCCAUUAGUCUAUGCAACUACGCAUACAAAAUCAUCUCUAAAGUUAUUGUUAAUCGCCUAAAACCAUGGGUUCCUGAUCUAAUCUUUAAGGAACAGGAUGCCUUUGUGAGUGGACGGCAGAUCCAAGACAAUAUUUUGAUCGUUUAGGAAGUUCUGCAUCAAUUCAAGACAAGGAAGUGGAAGCGAAAGUACAAGGUACUAAUUAAGACAGACAUGCAAAAGGCAUAUGAUAGAGUUGAGUGGGAUUUCCUCAAAGACUAUUUGAUAAAAUUGGGUUUUCAUCAACGAUGGGUUUUAUGGGUGAUGCAAUGCAUAACUACCCCAUCCUUCAGUGUACGUUUUAACGGCGAACUACUACCUUAUUUUCAGCCAUCGAGGGGACUCCGUCAAGGUGACCCACUAUCCCCUUACAUUUUCAUAUUAGUGGUGAACGUUCUUUCCACUUUAAUUUCCCAAGCAAUUGAAGGAGGCCAUCUUAAAGGGAUCAAGCUAGCCAGGUCAUGUCUGACUCUCUCACACUUAUUUUUCGCAGAUGACUCAGUCUUUUUUUCUAGAUGGUACACUCACUGAAUGCCAGAACCUUGCUAAUAUCUUGAAUCAGUAUUGCCUUGCCACAGGAAAGAUCAUCAACAUAAAUAAAUAUGGAAUGUUUUGCAGUAAAUAUUGUCCUUUGAGAUUGCAGGAAAAUUUAGCAAGGGAAUUUCAAAUUCCGGUGUUGCAAAGAUAUGGCAAAUACUUGGGUAUACCUUCGGACUGGGGACGAUCAAAAUGAGAGAUGUUUUCUUGGAUCUUAGCAAGAGUAAAUGCAAAACUGGAAGGUUGGAAAGAACGACUAUUAUCUAAAGGGGGUAAAUAAAUCCUACUUAAAUCUGUUGUGCAAGCUAUUCCACAAUAUGCAAUGUCUAUCUUCAAGCUUCCUCUAUCUCUUUGUAAAGGGUUUGAACAAUGAAUUUCCAGCUUUUGGUGGAGGAACAAUAAGAGUAGAACAGGGGUGCAUUGGUAGAAAUGGGAUGAACUAAAAAUCAGCAAACUCAAUGGGGGUCUUGGCUUUCGAGACCUAAUAGCUUUUAAUAAGGCAAUGCUUGGUAAGCAAGCAUGGCAAUUAAUUCAUCAACCUCUCUCUUUAUGGAGUCAGAUCUUUAAGGGGCUUUAUUUUCCUACACAAGACUUCCUAAUAGCAGAUAAAGGGUAUUGCCCGUCCUGGGGCUAGCAGAGCCUUCUUAUUGGUAGAGAGGCAAUUACACCUAAUAUGAGAUGGUCUGUUGGUGAUGGCCAAAAAAUCAAAAUACGAGAGGAUCGAUGGUUAUCUAUUGGAACUAUAGCAAGACCAGCUGCACGAGAGGUGUCAUGCCUCGAACCUCGAGACACGUGAAACAACCCGCCAUGGUCAUGUAAAUGCGACAUUCCCAGGUAGUGUCGCCGACCCCAAUAUUAAAUUAUUAAAUUAUUAUGCGCAUACAGAACGUGUUAAGAAAUCCCCUGACAAAAGCAUAUGGGAUAGGACAACAGGAAAAAUAAAUUCAAAAUCAAACACACUUUCAUACAUCAUCAUCAAUCCAGGGUUUACAUACACCAACAGGAUCCAGAGACUAUAUGCACCAAAAAUGGGUCAGAGUUUAUGUGCAUCAAAAAGGGUCAGGAGCGCUCUCGGUCGUCUGGUCCAUCUCCGUCGGCAUGCCAUUCAUCUCCAGGGUACCGCCAUCUACGGUCCUAUAAUAUUUUUCCCCAAACCGGGAUGAGACUUUGUCUCAACAAGUUCACCCCUCCUAAACCCCUAUUAGAAAGCAAAUACACCCCAAAGUGGUCUAGCCACACAGCACAGAAGACUUACCUCACCUUCUUGCCUUCCUGCAGGUUAGUACAAUUCAUAUCACUCAAACACCAGUAAUGAUAAGAAUGUAAGCCAUCUGAACACAAUCAAUUUCACUUAAUUUCACAAUCACAGCAAGCAUUCCAUGUCAUCAUUAUCCAUUGCCACACAAGGGCACAGUCUACUCGCAGGUCGGCUAACUACUAACAUUACAGCAUUUCUAGAAUAAUAAAGGUCCAGUUGGUCUCGCCACUACUGCAACCAAGCCAUGUCAUUCUAUCGACGGCAUUUCUAGAAGAAUAAAGGUCCAGUCGGUCUCGCCACUACUGCGACCAAGCCACGUCAUUCUAUCGACGGCAUUUCUAGAAGAAUAAUGGUCCAGUCGGUCUUGCCACUACUGCGACCAAGCCACGUCAUUCUAUCGAUGGCAUUUCUAGAAGAAUAAAGGUCCAGUCGGUCUCGCCACUACUGCGACCAAGCCACGUCAUUCUAUCGACGGCAUUUCUAGAAGAAUAAUGGUCCAGUCGGUCUCGCCACUACUGCGACCAAGCCACGUCAUUCUAUUGACGGCAUUUCUAGAAGAAUAAAGGUCCAGUCGGUCUCGCCACUAUUGCAACCAAGCCACGUCAUUCUAUCGACGGCAUUUCUAGAAGAAUAAUGGUCCAGUCGGUCUCGCCACUACUGCGACCAAGCUUUUCAACCAACACACAACAAUUCAAAAUCGACCCCUAUACACUUUACAUGGGAAUUUCUAAAUAUUAACCCUUCAAAAUUCGAUUUCGGUGUCAAACCCGACACGUGGGAAUUUCUGAAUAAAAUUCCUAGUUUUCACAAUCAACAUUCAAUUUGCAAUAUUCACUCAUCAAAUUCAGAUUCUAAACACACAGCAGCGAUCGGCACGAAAUUCUGAGCAAUUAGGAUCAAAAAUAAUUUUUCGAGUUUUUUUUAAUAUUUUAAUGAAUUUCGGAAUAUGAAAUAUUAUUAAAUAAACCAACAAUUUCGAAGCAUUUAUUUAAAUCAUAAAUAAAUUCCUUUAAGUCACAUCAAGGUUUAUUUUAAAAUAAACCCAUUUAACCUUUAAACUAAACACACUUUACUUUAAUUAAUCACCUCAAAUUAAUCCACAACUAAAUAAACUAAUCUAGCCACCUAAUCUCUCCCAACUUAAGCUAAACACACUUAAGGCAUCAUUAACUCGCUAAUCACAGUUUAGUGAGGUAAACUCACCGGAAUCGCUUUCCGAUGAGUCUCCGGCGAAGAGCACAACGACGCCGAUGACAAACUGAGCUUUGAAGGGUGACGGAACGGCGGCUGAACGGGCGGAGGAAGACCGGCGGAGGCGGCUAGGUCUUGGGACGGCAGCUCACAGCAAUGGACGGCGGUGAAGGAGGCUCCAGCGACUAUGAACAGCUGCUACCUUGGAGAGAUGACAACUCGGGAUGCUUGGCGGACGGAAACGAGGCAGCUCGGCGCGGAACGAGAUGGCGACGCUGCGGGCUCAGGCGAACGGCGAGCAACGGGCACGUGGGCGAGAUGGUGGCCGGCCGAGCGAGAAGUCGAGCGGCGAGGAUGGGCGGUCGAAGGGGGGUGGUUCCGCUGGUUUUUCCUUCCUCUCUCUCUCUCCUCCAAAUUCCAAAAGGAAGAAGAUGAUGGGGACAAGGGGGAAGUGACAUCCCACCUUUCCAAGAUCUCAUCCCCACCUUCCACUUGUCACAACCCUAGCCCAUCUUGCUCCAUCCAUGACAUCACAUGUGAUGUCAUCAUCCACUAACUCCAACCUCCACAACUUUAGUCCAAUAGGUUCAAUUUCAUUUUCCGCCGGGGUCCAAGUUAUUGUACAUUCAAUUUCUUCAAUUUCCAUCAAUUCUCUUGCAAUUGAGUCCAAAUUAAAGUCCGUGAAUUAAUCCAAUGUCCCUAAUAAGCUUUGCGACACCCCAUGACUUCCAAUUUCAGAAUUCGAUUUCAAUUUCACGGUUAAUUUCACUCUGGUGCGAUUUCAGCGCGCCUAAUCCAUUGAGUAGCUUUUAGGGAAGUUUUCUUAAAUCCGACCUGAGGGUGAUCAGUCCCCAAGUCUGACGUGGUAAAAUUCCUUAAUUACUUCACUCAAUAGACUAGUUCUCUCGUGAGUAGCCAACUCUGAGAGACGAACUACAUGCACAGAUGAAUUGCCCGACUCAAUUGACUGAAAAUAAAAUUGAGAAAAUCGAGAUGUCACGACUCCUCCCCUCUUAUAAAAAUUUCGUCCUCGAAAUUUAAAUCAUUACAUAUUUGAAGCAAGAAGGUAAGGGUACAAUUCUCUCAUCGAAUCCUCGGUUUCCCAAGUUGCUCCUUCAAUGCCGUGGUGUUGCCAGACCACUUUGACCAUUGGGAUGGUCUUGGUGCGCAGAACUUGCUUCUUCCGAUCCACAAUCUAAACUGGGCUUUCAACGUACAACCCCUUGUCGUCCACAUCUAAUUCCUCGAAAUUUAAAAUGUGAGUCGGGCCAGGUUCAUACCUCCUCAACAUUGACACGUGAAAGACAUUGUGCACCUGUGACAACUUUGGUGGCAAUGCAAGACGAUGCGCUAGUGUCCCUAUUCUUUCCAAAAUCUCGAAGGGACCUACGUACCUCGGACUUAGUUUCCCCUUUUUGCCAAAGCGGGAAGUACCUCUUACCGGUGACACCUUCAAGAAGACGUGCUCACCAACUUGGAAUUCCAAUAGCCUCCGACGCUUAUCGGUAUAACUUUUCUGUUGACUUUGAGCGGUCUUUAGUCUGUCUCUAAUAACUGCGACUGCCUCCACCAACUGCUGAACUAACUCUGGACCGGUGAUCUUUCUUUCUCCGACCUCCUCCCAACACACUGGUGUCCUGCACGCUCUGCCAUACAACGCUUCGAAAGGAGCCAUCUGAAUACUCUGCUGAUAACUGUUGUUGUAGGCAAACUCGACCAGAUGAAGCUGUUCCUCCCAACUUCCUUUGAAGUCCAAGACACAAGCUCGCAGCAUGUCCUCAAGAGUCUGAAUUGUCCUCUCAGACUGGCCAUCAGUCUGCGGGUGAUAGGCCGUACUGUACUGCAGCUUCGUUCCUAAAGCAGAUUGCAAGCUCUUCCAAAAAGCGGCGGUGAACCUCAGGUCUCUGUCUGAAGUAAUUGUAACCAGCACUCCAUGCAUACGAACUAUCUGACAUACAUACAAAUCUGCGAGUCUAUCCAAACUCAAGUCCCUUCGAACUGCAAUGAAGUGUGCCGAUUUUGUCAGUCUGUUAACUACUACCCAAAUCAAAUCAUUUCCUCUCUGGCUCCUCGGUAAUCCCGUCACGAAGUCCAUCGUGAUAUGCUCCCAUUUCCACUCUAGGAUCUCAAGGGGUUGCAGAAGUCCUCCCGGUUUGCAAUGCUGAGCUUUCACUUGCUGACACGUCAAACACUUGGCAACAUGCUUGGUGAUAUCCACCUUCAUGCCACACCACCAGUAGUGUUGAUGCAGAUUCUGAUACAUCUUAGUACUACCAGGAUGGAUGCUGUAACUGCUACGAUGCGCUUCUGAUAAAAUCUCCUCCCUAAGCUCCACAUCGUCAGGCACAACCAACCGUCCUUGGAACCUCAGCGUUCCAUCUUCAGAAAUCUGGAAGUCAGCUUUUCCUCUUCUCUGAAUCCUCUUGUACGAUUUUCUGAAUAUCCGGAUCUGUUUGCUGAAGCGUCCUAAUUCUGACCUGUACUUUUGGCUCAAUUCUGAGGGUGGCCAUAAGGUUCGAAAGGUGGCCUACUUCAAACUUGAAACCCAAAUCUUGUGCUCCCUCAAGUAGACUCCAUUCCUUGAGUACCAUUUGUGCAACAGAAGACUUCCUACUCAAUGCAUCGGUGACCUUGUUCGCCCUUCCAGGAUGAUACAAAAUCUCACAGUCAUAGUCCUUUAAGAGCUCCAUCCAUCGACGUUGUCUCAUAUUCAACUCCCUUCUGAGAAAAAUAAGUACUUGAGACUCUGAUGGUCAAUGAAGAUCUAGAAUCUUUCUCCACACAAAUAAUGCCUCCAAAUAUUUAGGGCAAAGAUGAUCGCUGCAAGCUCCAAGUCAUGCGUCGGAUAAUUCAACUCGUGAGGUCUCAAUUGACAAGACGCAUAUGCAACAACCCUACCAUGCUGCAUCAACACGCAACCCAAUCCUUUAAACGACGCAUCACUGUAGACCUCAAACCCUCCCGGACCAGAUGGAAUAGUAAGCACAGGUGCAAUAGUUAGCUUAUGCUUAAGCUCUUGGAAACUACUCUCGCACUUAUCCGUCCACAUGAAUUUUUCUUCCUUCUUCAACAGUCUCAUCAUCGGCGAUGCUAACCUUGAAAACCCUUCCACAAACCAUCUGUAAUACCCUGCUAAACCCAGAAAACUUCUUAUCUCUAUCACUGUAGUCGGUCUCGACCAGUUGAUCACUGCUUCAAUCUUGGCUGGGUCCACUGAGAUUCCUUCUCCAGAGAUAACAUGACCUAGGAACCCCACACGAGUUAGCCAAAACUCGCACUUACUGAACUUAGUAUACAACUCAUGAUCUCUCAAAGUUUGAAGCACUAUUCUUAAGUGUCUCUCAUGCUCCUCAAUACUCCUUGAGUACACCAGGAUGUCGUCGAUGAAGACAAUUACGAACUAAUCUAAAUACUCUCUGAACACCCGGUUCAUCAGGUCCAUGAAAGCAGCUGGGGCAUUCGUCAACCCAAACGGCAUCACAGUAAACUCGUAAUGGCCGUAUCGAGUGCAAAACGCCGACUUUGGUAUAUCUUCCUUCUUGAUUCUUAGUUGAUGAUCCCCCGUCCUCAAGUCGAUCUUAGAAAAUAUCGACGCUCCUUGAAGCUUAUCAAACAAAUCAUCAAUCCUUGGCAACGGAUACUUGUUCUUAAUUGUCACUCGGUUGAGUUGUCGGUAGUCGAUGCACAAGCCGUAACAAACCAUCCUUCUUCUUCACAAACAACACCGGUGCUCCCCAAGGUGAUGCACUUGGACGUAUAAAUCCUUUAUCCAACAACUCUUGCAUUUGCACCUUUAGUUCCUUAAGCUUUGACAAGGCCAUCCGGUAAGGAGCUUUGGAGAUAGGCUCGGUCCCUAGAGCUAACUCAAUUACAAACUCUACCUCUCUUUCCGACGGCAAACCCGGUAAUUCUUUCGGGAACACAUCUGGGAAUUCUUGCACCACUGGAAUGUCUUCUAUCUUCGACUCCUCUACUGUCAUGUCCAUGACAGUCGCCAGGUAACCUUGGCAACCCUUGUCUAGUAAGCGAGUUGCCUUGAGCGAUGAGAUUAAAGAAAUUGAGGGUCCUCCCCAACUCCCUACGAAUUCGAAACUCUCACCCUCUAAUGGGUUAAACUGAAUCGCCUUGCAAUAACAGUCCAUCUUGGCUCUUGCUUGGUAAGCCAAUCCAUGCCAAUUAUCAUAUCAAAAUCAUACAUAGCUAAGACUAUCAAGUCUAUCCUCCCCUCUCGCUCACAAAUCAUUAACUUGCAACCAAGGCAACCUACUGUAGCUAACACUUUAUCUUUCAACAAAGUAGAUAUACUAACCACAGACUCCAACAAUUCAGGAAUUAAUUCUACCAAUUUAACAAAUCUUUCAGUUAUAAACGAAUGCGAAGCUCCAGGAUCAAAUAAAGCAUAAGCAGGAUGGUCGUUCAGCAAGACCAUACCUGUGACCACAUUAGGCGCAUCCUCCGCCUGUCCUCUGGUGAGCGCAUAAGUCCUUCCCUGAGCUGGAGGUCGGUUCAAUCCACCCUGCGGCAUGAUAUACGACGCAACUCCUCUGUUCUGACCCCCUGGUGGCGGCGGUGGCAACUAAUGCUGCCCCAUCUGAUUCCUGGGGAAAUAUCGGGCUAUAUGACCCUGCUGGCCACACUUAUAACAGGCGCCCGUCCUAGGAGGACACGGGGCUGGACCAUGUCGUCUUCCACAUAGACGAGACACACCAUUCAAUCUCAGCGCCGGCUUUCCUAUCCCACCCUUCUUGCUGGGUGGAACAGGGUACCUUCCUCCAGGCAUCGACCUCUUCCCAAACCGAUUAUCGCCUCUGUUUGAAUUAAACCGCGACCCAGAUGUGGCAGCUCUCUCAUUCUAGUCUUUCUUGAUCAGCUAUGCCCACCUAUAGAGGUCAUUGUACUCCUUCAGGUCUAGGGGUACCAACAAACUCCUCACCUCCGGUCGGAAUCCAUCUCUAAACCUUCGAGCUCGGUCUAACGGUCACUGGACCAACUCAGGGGCAUACUGCGAUAGUUCAGCGAACUUCGCUUCAUAUUGGUCAACUGACAUGGUACCUUCACGAAGGCGCUGAAACUCCGCCAUCUUCACCUCUCUGGCACAAUCAGAAAAGUAUUUCUCAUUGAAGGCUUCAAGAAAAGCAUUCCACUCCAGAACCACACCUUCAGGGAAUACUAUCCUUUUGUUAGUCUUCCACCAGGUAGCUGUGGUCCCCCUCAACUGAUAGGCUGCCAGGACGACCUUUUCUGCUUCAGUGCACAACAGUAACUCAAAUGCGUUCUCUAACUCCAAGAUCCAUAGUGCUGCUGCUUCGGGAUCUUCUACUCCCGUGAAUGUUGGUGGAUUCAACCUCAGAAAGUGCUGUACAAACUUCUGCCUAGGCCUCUCAGCGGCCACAUUCUCAGGUGGAAUUUCCUCAAGUUCCUCUUUUGGUUUGACAACCGGUGCGGCGGAAGUUGCAGCGGCAGUAGCAGUGGUAUUGGCAGCAUUGGCGAUGUUCAAUGCGGUGGCGAUAGUAGCGGCUUACUGAUCCCAUCCUGUCUCCCCAUUGCCCUCGAGCAUCUGCAUGAUCCCCAAUAAAUCUCGGAUCCCUCUGGGGCUGCUGCACCAUCUGGCGGCAAAAGCCUGUACCACUUGCACUGGUCUCGGCCUACGCUCCUCUCAGGGCCCCACGGGCACCACCCCCUCAAGGAAGACCCCCCACAAAACACGGGGCCUGCUGCUCUCUUCCUAGCAGCCCUCGGCUCUCGGUCACUCAUGCUACAGGCUCAAUAUAGAUGCCUAUUGGCAAAUUCCAAUACCAAAUUAGAAUUUGAGUAACCUUUCCAACCAAGCUAACAAACAACUAACAAUCACACGCAUUAGGAUAUGGAAAGUUCUUCCUACUAACUAUCCCAUGACUCAUCGCCCCUUAUCACUCCAUACACAACCAUGCUCUAAUACCACUUAAACCGGGUUGUCACGCCCCGAACCCCGAGACACGUGAAACAACCCGCCAUGGUCAUGUAAAUGCGACAUUCCCAGGUAGUGUCGCCAACCCCAAUAUUAAAUUAUUAAAUUAUUAUGCGCAUACGGAACGUGUUAAGAAAUCCCCUGACAAAAGCAUACAGGAUAGGACAACAGGAAAAAUAAAUUCAAAAUCAAACACACUUUCAUACAUCAUCAUCAAUCCAGGGUUUACAUACACCAACAGGAUCCAGAGACUAUAUGCACCAAAAAUGGGUCAGAGUUUAUGUGCAUCAAAAGGGUCAGGAGCACUCUCGGUCAUCUGGUCCAUCUACGUCGGCAUGCCAUUCAUCUCCGGGGUACUGCCAUCUACGGUCCUGUAAUAUUUUUCCCCAAACCGGGAUGAGACUUUGUCUCAGCAAGUUCACCCCUCCUAAACCCCUAUUAGAAAGCAAAUACACCCCAAAGUGGUGUCGAGCCACACAGCACAGAAGACUUACCUCACCUUCUUGCCUUCCUGCAGGUUAGUACAAUUCAUAUCACUCAAGCACCAGUAAUGAUAAGAAUGUAAGCCAUCGGAACACAAUCAAUUUCACUUAAUUUCACAAUCACAGCAAGCAUUCCAUGUCAUCAUUAUCCACUGCCACACAAGGGCACAGUCUACUCGCAGGUCGGCUAACUACUAACAUUAUAGCAUUUCUAGAAUAAUAAAGGUCCAGUCGGUCUCGCCACUACUGCGACCAAGCCACGUCAUUCUAUCGACAGCAUUUCUAGAAGAAUAAAGGUCCACUCGGUCUCGCCACUACUGCGACCAAGCCACGUCAUUCUAUCGACGGCAUUUCUAGAAGAAUAAUGGUCCAGUCGGUCUCGCCCCUACUGUGACCAAGCCACGUCAUUCUAUCGACAGCAUUUCUAGAAGAAUAAAGGUCUAGUCGAUCUCGCCACUACUGCGACCAAGCCACGUCAUUCUAUCGACGGCAUUUCUAGAAGAAUAAAAGUCCAGUCGGUCUCACCACUACUGCGACCAAGCCAUGUCAUUUUAUCGACGGCAUUUCUAGAAGAAUAAAGGUCCAGUUGGUCUCGCCACUACUGCGACCAAGCCACGUCAUUCUAUCGACGGCAUUUCUAAAAGAAUAAUGGUCCAGUCGGUCUCGCCACUACUGCGACCAAGCUUUUCAACCAACACACGACAAUUCAAAAUCGACCCCUAUACACUUUACAUGGGAAUUUCUGAAUAUUAACCCUUCAAAAUUCGAUUUCGGUGUUAAACCCGACAUGUGGGAAUUUCUGAAUAAAAUUCCUAUUUUUCACAAUCAACAUUCAAUUUGCAAUAUUCACUCAUCAAAUUCAAAUUCUAAACACACAGCAGCGAUCGGCACGAAAUUCUGAGCAAUUAGGAUCAAAAAUAAAUUUUCGAGUUUUUUUUUUAAUAUUUUAAUGAAUUUCGGAAUAUGAAAUAUUAUUAAAUAAACCAACAAUUUCGAAGCAUUUAUUUAAAUCAUAAAUAAAUUCCUUUAAGUCACAUCAAGGUUUAUUUUAAAAUAAACCCAUUUAACCUUUAAACUAAACACACUUUACUUUAAUUAAUCACCUCAAAUUAAUCCACAACUAAAUAAACUAAUCUAGCCACCUAAUCUCUCCCAACUUAAGCUAAACACACUUAAGGCAUCAUUAACUCGCUAAUCACAGUUUAGUGAGGUAAACUCACCGGAAUCGCUUUCCGAUGAGUCUCCGGCGAAGAGCACAACGACGCCGAUGACAAACUGAGCUUUGAAGGGUGACGGAACGGCGGCUGAACGGGCGGAGGAAGACCGGCGGAGGCGGCUAGGUCUUGGGACGGCAGCUCACAGCAAUGGACGGCGGUGAAGGAGGCUCCAGCGACUAUGAACAGCUGCUACCUUGGAGAGAUGACAACUCGGGAUGCUUGGUGGACGGAAACGAGGCAGCUCGGCGCGGAACGGGACGGUGACGUUGCGGGCUCAUGCGAACGGCCAGCAACGAGCACGUGGGCGAGACGGUGGCCGGCCGAGUGAGAAGUCGAGCGGCGAGGAUGGGCGGUCGAAGGGGGGCGGUUUCGCUGGUUUUUCCUUCCUCUCUCUCUCUCCUCCAAAUUCCAAAAGGAAGAAGAUGAUGGGGACAAGGGGGAAGUGACAUCCCACCUUUCCAAGAUCUCAUCCCCACCUUCCACUUGUCACAACCCUAGCCCAUCUUGCUCCAUCCAUGACAUCACAUGUGAUGUCAUCAUCCACUAACUCCAACCUGCCACAACUUUAGUCCAAUAGGUUCAAUUUCAUUUUCCGCCGGGGUCCAAGUUCUUGUGCAUUCAAUUUCUUCAAUUUCCAUCAAUUCUCUUCCAAUUGAGUCCAAAUUAAAGUCCAUGAAUUAAUCCAAUGUCCCUAAUAAGCUUUGUGACACCCCAUGAUUUCCAAUUUUAGAAUUCGAUUUCAAUUUCACGGUUAAUUUCACUCUGGUGCAAUUUCUGCGCGCCUAAUCCACUGAGUAGCUUUUAGGGAAGUUUUGUUGCAUUCGACCUGAGGGUGAUCAGUCCACAAGUCUGACGCGGUAAAAUUCCUUAAUUACUUCACUCAAUAGACUAGUUCUCUCGUGAGUGGCCAACUCUGAGAGAUGAACUACAUGCACAGAUGAAUUACCCGACUCAAUUGACUAAAAAUAAAAUUGAGAAAAUCGGGAUGUCACAAGAGGAGCCACAGUUAGUGGUUGAUCUUAUUGACCCUUACCACCAAUCCUGGAACCUCGCUCUUCUCAAGCAGUUUUAUGAUGAUCUAGUCAUCAAUGAAAUACUUUGAAUACCUCUAAGACCACAUUCUGCUUCUGACCAGUUAGUUUGGACAACCAUAAGGAAUGGUAUUCAUAUGGUGACAAGUAAUUACCAUCCUAUCAUCAACACAGCAAUCAACAGCAGAAAUAAUGAAGCCUCUACAUCAUUCUAGCCUCCUAGAAUACUCUGGCGACAUAUAUGGACUAUGCAAACAGCACCAAAAAUCCGCUUAUUCUUAUGGUCAGUAUGCCAAAACUCACUUGCAACAAAAGCAAAUUUGUUUCAUAGACACAUCACUCCUGAUCCUAUUUGUCAUCUCUGCAAUCAACAUGAAAAAGAAACCCUAGAACAUUUAUUUUUCUAUUGUUCAUGGACUAGGGAAGUCUAGAGCCAUCCUAAUAUAAAUGUUAUGAUCACACCUCAUUCCAUUCAUUGCCUCGACGCAUGGAUCACAACAAGGGUUGCAGCUUAGAAUACAUUACCUGGACUAGAGAAUAUUGCGCAUGUUUUAUGGCAGAUCUGGCAUGGCCGCAAUAACUUUAUCUUCAGACAUCAGCAACCAGAUCCCAACAUCGCUGUUGAAGACACCAUUACACAAACCCAGAUCUACAAAGUUUCCGCCCCUAGGCGUCAGCAAACAGAGCUUUCUGCUCUCAACACCAAACACUUAUGGAGACCCCUUGAUCGUGGCACCCUGAAAUGUAAUAUAGAUGGGGCUUACAAGCCAAGCAGUCACACAUGAUCUAUGGCAUGCAUCAUUCGAGAUUACAAGGGCAUACUUACUGAUGUUUUUACCGAAGAAUUUCCAGCAAGCUCUGUGCUUCAAUCGGAGGUACAGGCGCUCAGCUUUAUGCUCCGCCAUCUGCUGCAUGAGGGCCUCAACAACAAACUUCUAAAUCGGACUACCUACUCUUGAUCGAAAUGGUGAAUGAGAGAAGAACGCCGCUGUGGGAAGCACACGUGCUGUUCGCUGAGGUAAACGAUUUGCUAUCCUCUUACCCUAAUUUGCAGCUUCAAUACUGUAGACAGGAGGCCAAUGCAGUGGUGGAUUGGGCUACUAAGGUCCAUGGUAGAUCGGAUAUGGCCCGUAACUGGAAUAUUUCCCCCCUUUCUUUCUACUGGACCUAGUAUACGCCGAUGCAGUAUCUUCUGGUUGUAAUCUUUCGAUGUUUUAAUAUAUCGUAUCUUUCGACCCAAAAAAAACAACUGACAUAUAAUAAUAUAAUGCAACAGUCCAAAAUGUCCAACAUCUGACCAACAUGCAGUAAUAAAAUAUUCCUAGACGAACUCCUGCUCUUUGAAGACUUUUGUCAAUUAUUUCCUCAAUGUAGCCUCCCAUUUGAUGCGAGUCUGAAUGUUUUUUUAAGUUUAUUUUUUAACUUAUGAAGGAAAGCCUCAGGCUCCUUCCAGGCAAAUGGAAGAUGAUAACAAAGUAAUGGAAAGUGGAACAGAUGUUAGGUUGUCCAAUACGUCCAACAUCUAAAGAAUAUGCAAUCAUAUGAUAUAUUUCCGAAACGACCUCCUCGUCUUCGAAGACUUUCGCCAUUUAUUUCCUCAACGUAGCCUCCUCUUUGGUGCUCAGUCUGAUUUGCUUUUUUUCCCCUAUGAAGUAAGGCCCCGGGGAACUUCCAAGCAAGUGGAAGACUAUAAGAAAGUAAUGGCAGGUGGAAAAUAUAAAAAGCUGUCCAAUACGUCAAACAUCUAAUUAACAUGCAAUAAUCUAAUAUAUCUUCGAGACCACCUCGUGGUCUUCAAAAACUUUCGCCAAUUAUUUCCUCAACUUAGCCUCCUCUUUCGCGCUUAGUCUGAAUGGUAUUUAUUUAUUGAUGAAAAAGGCCCCUAGUAGCUUCUAGGCAAGAACAUGAUAACAAAAUAAUGACUAGUGGAAAAUAUAUUAAGUUGUCCAAUACGUCUAACAUCUAACUAAACAAAAUAAUAGAAAUUUGAUGGCAGAAAAACAACCCAAGUGCCAUAACUUGGCACGAGAGGACACUUAAGUGCCAUAACUUCAAAAUGAUAUACUUAAGUGCCAGUUUCAAACUUAAAUGGAACACUUACGUGCCACUCCGGAGAAAAUCCGGCCAAAUGGCUGACACGGCAAUUUUCCGGCGAGUUUGGUCCAAAACGGCGUCGUUUUGCAAGCUGACGUGGCGAGAAAAUGCAAAAAAGACGUCAUUUCAUGUUUGAUGUGUAAAUAAUAAUAUAAAAAUUAAUUAAAUUAAAUUAAAACAAUUUUAUUUAAAAUAUUCUAAAAAUUUAAAAACUAAAAAUUUUAAAAAAUAAAAUAAAAUAAGGGGGGGAGGCUGAAGGGAGCGGCUGAGGGCUGAGCCCUCGCUGGAUUUAGGCAAGGGCCGCGACCCUUGCCCCAGAUCUAGGCGAGGGCUCGCGGCCCUCGCCACUGGUCGGCCGGGGGCCGGCGACCCCGAUCGACCCUCCCCCCUCUGUCGCCGACCCUUCCUGGCAACGGCGGCGAGGGCUUAGCUCUCAGCCGCCCCCUUUGACCUUCCCCCCCUUUUUAUUUUAUAAUUUUUAAAUUUUUUUUAGUUUUCGUUUUAAAAUGUUUGGAAUAUUUUUAAAAAAAUUGUUGAAAUUUAAUUUAAUUAAUUUUUAUAUUAUUAUUUACACAUCAGACAUGAAACGGCGUCGUUUUUGCAUUUUCUCAUCAUGUUAGAGUGCAAAACGACGCCGUUUUGGACCAAACUCAUCGGAAAAUUGCCACGUCAGCCAUUUAGCCAGAUUUUCGCCGAAGUGGCACCUAUGUGUUCCAUUUAAGUUCGAAACUGGCACUUAAGUGUACCAUUUUGAAGUUAUAGCACUUAAGUGUCCUCCCGUGCCAAAUUAUGGCACUCCAAGUAUCCCAAACUCGAAAUUUGAUUAAUAUCGUGAGUCUCUCAAGCAGAGUAUUAGUGAGCUUAAUUUUAAUCUUGAUUUAGAUAUGAAUAAAAUUCUAAUUGAGAGAUUUUAGAUUAUGCUAACACCAAGCACAAACAAUUGGCUUUUUACCGGUACAUCAUGCGUGGUAAGUGGAAUAAAGGCAAGAAUCAACUGAUCAUGCCAAUUUGCUUGAUUCCAGACUGAAAGUAAGAAGAUUCACUUUGUUUGGCUUAGCAAAAUGGAAGUUUGGCUCCGCUGAGAAAAGCUAAUCAUUUUUUAAUUUAAUUAGUAGAAUGAAAGCAACUCUUCUUUUUCUAGCCUAGAAAUAAAGGAAGAGAUUUCUCAUCCCAAAAACAAAACAGACAAAAAGAUCAAAGGGGAUCAUCCAUUAUGCUUCCUUUGUGAUCACGCCAAAUUUGAGUGGACCUACCGCACCAAUUGAAAUUAUCUCUUUUAAGAAGGGUUAAUACCGCGAAAAACUCUAAACUAGUACAUCUGUAACAAAUUUACCCAAAACUAAUUUUUUGACCAUGAAAAACCCCAAACUGGUACACAUGUGACAAAUUUACCCCGAUUGACCGUAAAAAAUCAUAAACUGAUACAUUUAUGACAAAUUUACUCCAAACUAAUUUAUUCGACAGCAAAAAAUUCCAAAUUGAUAAAUUUGGAACAAAUAUACCCUAUGCUAAAUUGGAUUAAUACCACAAAAAAAUCACAAAAAUUGUAAACUGUGACAAGCGGAGCGUAAAAUCCCAAAUUGGUAUACCAAUCAACUGUCAUGUGUCAUUUAACUUAAUAAUUUGACAGUAAAAUUUAACGAAAACCAACAAAGGGUAAAUUUGUCACAAAUGUACCAGUUUGGGAUAAAUUUGUUAAAGGUAUACUGGUUUGGGGUUUUUAGUGGUCGAAAAAAUAAUUUGGGGUAAAUUUGUCAUAGGUAUACCAGUUUGGGGUUUUUCAAGAUGUUAACCCUUUUAAGAAUCAUGCUACAUAAUCAUUUUAUAUUAUUAUAAUCUUAUGAAUGUCUAACUGGAAAUGCACUAAGAAAAGCAUCUUAAUUAGCAUCCCAUGAUUCACGCCAUGAUUGAAUUGAAUAGUUUCAAUUAGAAAUAAAUCCGUGACCUUUCUUCUUUGCUUAGAACACACGCAAGUCCAUCGUCAAGUCUUUGUCCGACCCUCUUGUGAAGGCAAAGAAAAAGCACUAAAGUACAUUUGUCUAGUCAAUCAGUUUGGUAUGUGUUGAUCUGCAUAUACUGUUCUAAGUUAGGAAUAAGAAUGAAUUCUUGAUACUGGUUUUCUUAGGGUAUACCUAAUAUCUUGGGCCGUUGAAAAGGAAAAUUUAUGUUUGAUUUCAACAAAAUGCUAGAAGACUCCAUGUAAAAGAAAAGAGGAAAUUAUACUUCUAGACAUGCACCAAUUACAAAGCAAACCCAGUCACAAAAAUUGGAGAGAAAAAGUUGCAUCAUGGCAUUUCAACUUGAGAUGGUAAGGUCACAAACCUAAGGAGGGUGGAUGAUAGGAGAUGAAAGGGGCCUAGUUGUUCUAGUAAAUUGGAAAUGCUGAUAAGAUGAAUUUUGCUGAUAUCGAGAAAAAAAUCAACAGUCUUGUAAAGAAGGCAAAUGAACACUUCUCGAGAAUUGGUACAUAAGCUCGAGAGCCGGGUCCUGAUGGUUUUAGUGGUCUCUUUUAUCAACAUCACUGGGAUUUCUUUGAAGAUCAGGUAUUUCUACAGUGCAGCUAUUUUUUCAAUCUGGUACCUGUCUCCGGAGCUAAACCGCACCAAUCUAACACUAGCGACCAGUACCAUCCUAUCAGUCUUUGCAACUAUGCGUACAAGAUAAUAUCCAAGGUGCUAGCCAACAGACUGAAACCUUUUCUUCCUAAUCUCGUCUCAAAAGAACAAAGUGCUUUUGUAAGCAGACGUCAAAUACAGGACAAUAUUUUAAUUGUACAGGAAGUACUUCAUCAACUCAAGACGAAAAAACGAAAGUGAAAAUUUCAAGCUAUUGUCAAAAUGGACAUGAAAAAGGCCUAUGAUCGUGUUGAAUGGGACUUUCUCAGAGAUUAUCUACUUAGGAUAGGCUUUCACUCCACAUGGGUACAAUGGGUUAUGCAGUGCAUCACUACGGCAUCCAUCAGCAUCAAAUUUAAUGGGGAACAACUGAACUACUUCCAUCCGACGCGUGGCCUUCGACAGGGAGAUCCUCUUUCCCCUUAUCUGUUUAUUCUAUUGGCAAAUGUGUUGACUACCCUUAUUCACCAAGCUGUUCAGAUGGGAAACUUAAAAGGUAUACAGCUUAACAGGUGGUGUCCCACUCCGACUCAUUUGUUUUUUGCUGACGACGCUAUUUUCUUCCUAGAUGGGUCAGUAUUGGAAUGCCAAGAACUAGCCAAUAUCCUCAAUCAGUAUUAUCUUGCAACGAGACAAGCAAUUAAUAGAAAUAAGUCUAGUAUCUUUUUCAGCAAACCUUGCCCAGAUGUUCUUAAAAUUAGAUUGGCAUAGGAACUCAAAAUCCCCGUGCUGGACAAGACUGGUAAAUACCUAGGUAUCCCGUCGGAUUGGGGAAGAUCUAAACGUGAUAUGUUUGCGUGGAUUCUAGGGAAAGUCAAUGCUAAGCUUGAUGGAUGGAAAUAAAAUCUUAUGUCGAAAGAUGGAAAGGAGAUUCUGAUCAAAAGUGUUGUACAGGCGAUCCCCCAAUAUGCUAUGUCAAUUUUUAAAAUCCCUGUUUCACUUUGCAAAAGUAUUGAAAGAAAGAUUGCGCGCUUUUGGUGGCAAAAUGAUAGUAAAAGAGCAGGAAUACACUGGAAGAGUUGGGAGGCACUGAAGAUUAGGAAGGAAUUGGGAGGACUUGGGUUUAGAGACCUUGUCGACUUUAAUAAAGCUAUGUUGGGUAAACUGGCCUGGUGACUACUUCAACAACCUACUUCAUUAUGGGCUACUUUAUUUAAAGGCUUGUAUUACCCUGACUAGGAUUUCUUAAAGGCCUUAUCGAGUUCUAAGCCUUCUUGGGGUUGGCGGAGUCUCCUGGCAGGGCGGGACAAUAUAUCAUCAAAAAUCCAAUGGUCGAUAGGAGAUGGCACUAAACUAAAGAUUCGAGAAGACUAUUGGCUUCCGACAGGUAAGUUAAGAGGAAAUGCAACUGUAGACGAACCUGAGAGAGUUGCUGAUCUGAUUGUUCCAGAAUCAAAUCAAUGGAAUAGGCCGUUACUAGAUCAUCUCUUUGAUGUUGAGACCAUUGCUGAAAUUCUGAAGAUUCCUAUCAGACCUCAGUAUAUGACUGAUCAUAUCACUUGGCCGUGCACAGCUAGUGGUAAGUAUAUUGUUAAAAGUGCUUAUAGUUUUCUUCGAUAGGAUCAAAAUACUUCUAUGCAAAACAGAGCUUCCUCAUCCUAUCAACCACCACCGAGCCUCUGGAAAAACUCUGGAAACUUCAGAUCCCCCCCCCCCCAAACUUAAAUUUUUCCUUUGGUCCUUACACCAAAAUGCACUGCCCACUAAAGACAAUCUAUUCCGCAAAAAAAUUUGUGCUAAUCCUAUCUUCUCCCUCUAUUCAACUUAACAACCAGAAAUCCUAGAACACUUAUUUUUACUAUGUCCAUGGACAUCACAAAUGUGGUCUCAUCCCCAAAUCAAUAUACCAAUUCUUCCCACCGAAAUUCACCGAAUAGAUGAAUGGCUAGCAAGUCAUAUGAAUGCAGGGCAGAGUGUACCUGGCAUGGAGUUUCUUGCCAAUCUAGUAUGGCAAAUAUGGAAAUCGCGCAAAAGAUUCAUCUUUUGCCAGCAGACUCCUAAUCCUCUUCAAAUUGUCACAAUCGCAACUGAACAAGCUCGACUGGCCCACGAUGUUUUGUCUCAUGUUCCAAUGGAUGGCUUAAGUUGCAGAGAUCUCCAUUCUCGCAUAGACAGCUCGAUACGAUCAGCAGCACAGUUGCCUACCGUGGUAUCGACCAACGGAGAUUCGGCUGCCUCAACGCGACGAGAACCUGAUCCAGGUUCAGCUUGGAGAGGCCCCCGGAUCCAGGUGCCCUAAUCCAACAAGUGGGCUAGGGUACAGUGGAAGGUGGGCUAGGGUACAGUGCAAGGCCCUCGAAUCCAACAAGUUCAGCCCAGCUCACGUGGAGUCAAGCCCACGCUAGUGAGACCAACCUGUUUGCGACCCAUCUCCAGCAAAUUCAGCCCAGCAUUUUCAGUUUCUCGAGCCCAGCAAAGCCCAAAAGUCCAGCAGUUUAGCCCAUUAGAAGAAGGCCCAAUCGCAGCCAAGCCCAAGUCAAAGAAUGAGCCCAGUCCAGUGCAAGAACAAAUCUUAGUUGGGAUGAGAUUUGUUGGACUCAAGUUUAAGGCUCGGUCAAAGCCCGCCGGUGUUGUCGAAAGUCCGAUUUCAACCGCUGUCGCGUCGUCGUCACCGUGUCCCGGUCCCCACUUUUAAUCAAGUGAGUAAUCUCACUAAUCCUUGCUUAGUAGACUAAUGAUGCUUAUAAUUAAGUGCAAUUAGGUGGUUAGAUUAGAGUAGAUUAGUGAUUAUUAGAUAAUUGUGAUGCAUGUUAGGCAAUUGAAUUGUGCAAUUAGCAAGUAAAGACGUACUACUAUUUAUUGAAUGCAUCUCGGGAUUUUACCCAACCCUUCGUGGGCUUCAAUUAGGCAUUACGGGCCUAAAUUGGAUUUUUAGUAUUUAUUUAUUAAUUUUCGAAAGUAAUUUUAUUUAUUUUUUGGAAAUUAGGCUGGGAUAAUCGACAAUCGAAAUUUCGUGCUGAUUGUUGUGGUGCAGUCCAUUUAUUUAUUUGAGCUCUACGUUGUGCUGAAUUGAAUUAAUUGUGUAAUUUGAUUGAUUGAAAUUGAGUGAAAUUGAAUAUUUGAUUGGUAGUUGGCUGAGUAUGGGUAUAUAGUACCAGUUACAUUGAUGGGCUAUAUAGUAAAGAGGAUGGUGAGAGCUAAUUGAGAAUAUUAUUGGUUGAGACCAAUCAGGUAUGAUAUUAUUGGAUACACGUGGUUCGGUGAUUAGAAGUAUCACUGGCGAAAAUGGCGCCUUAAAGAACGCACAUGAAUGACUUAUAGACAAAUGUGGUUCAGUGAUUAAGGAAAUAUCACUGGUGAAAACGAUGCCUUAAAGAACUCACGAUGUUGUCUAUAGCCGAUGUCACCUUGGCAAAAAUGGCGCCCUAGAAAGGACACGUGGUUCGGUGAUCGAGGCUAUCACUGGUGAAAACGGCACCUUAAAGAACGCACGGUGUCGGUGAUCGGUAUGUCAUUGGCGAAAACGACGCCCGAGAAACACAUGUGAUUUGGUGAAUGAGUACACCACUGGGAAAUCGUGGUAUGAGUGGGAAUGACCUAGAAAUGGUCUGGCUGACAUGUAAUUGACUUAGUCGAUUGACCAGUGCUUGAUCGGAUGUCGUGAAUUGUUUGAAUAUCUAUGUUUAAUCUUAAUUUGUAGGUGGAAUCUGAGGCCAAGGUAAGUCCUCUAACCCGUGCGUAUAUAGGCAGCCCAGUUAGCGUAUUGGUUUCCUAAUUGAGUCUUAGUGAGGUAGAACUCGCUGAGACAUAGUCUCAUCCCGGUUGUGGGACAACAUUUCUGGCCAUAGAUGAGCCUGUGGAGGAAGAACCAGAAGAGGACGAUGAGCCAGUAAAAGAUGAAGAACUUGAAGGAUGUGAGCUUAGUGAAGAAGAGUCAUAAGAGGAUCAAGAUGAUCCUAAGUACGACCCGAAUGAUGACUGAGAUCCCAUCCUCUUUUGUGAAUUUUGUCUAAAUGUGAAUAGUGUGAAACCAGAAUGUUAUGAAUAGUCUUGUGAAUAGACUUUAAGUUAUGCCAUGUAUAAAAGUUUAGUUGUGGAUUUCAAUAUGAAAAAUAUGACCCUGCUUUUCUAUCCCAUUGUUUAAUUGUCUGGGAAUUUAUAACUGCUUCUGCAUGUGCAAACAGUUAAAUGAAAGGGUCGGCGAUACAUAGUCUUGGGAUAUCGCAUUCUAAAAUCGACCAAUAAAGAAGGAUGAGUGCGUUCCCAAGGAUCGGGGCGUGACAAGAAUUCUCCCAUAACCAAUGAAGAGCCAAGUUAAAACGGUUCUUGAGUUUUCUCACGCAUGAAUGAGAGAAUCCUCUAUGAAGAUUAAGAGAAAGAUUAAGAUGUAAGAUAUUUGAAGUUUUCCUCUACUAGAAAUUUGAAAUUUGUGGUCAAAUGUCUACUGGAUCAUCUGUUCUACACAUUGAUAGCAUUGAUUUUGUGAACAAACUAGAGAAAUUUUGAAUAUUUGAGAGUAAUGGCAAUUUUAAAAUUACAAGUCUGGAUAUAUUCUCAGAGGCAGCAACUAUAGCAUAUUGCCUUCUCUUUUUUCAUGAAUUUGAUUCCAUUGUGCCGAAGAGGGGGCAUGAUAAUAUGGGGGUCACUGACCAUGUCAUCAAUCAGUUAGUUUCUUGCAUUCAAUGACACUUAUAAAGUGGUCAUGUGAAAUAUAGUUGAUGGCAUGACUUACUAAUAGUAUGUCAUUCAUUGGUGCAGUUUUUUUACUGAAUCAGGUGGUGUUGAAGUUUUAAGUGGUGUGUUUGUGUCAGCAAGGACAAGGUAAUAAUUUCAUCUUACAUGGUAACAAAAAGUACUCUGUUUACAUAGCACACUAACUAUAAACUACUGUUGGAAAUUGCAUGGCCAUUAUGAAUGCUUUGCUAAAAAAAUUUCUAUAAAGCAUUUAAUAUGGAGACUACGUAAUAACCUUCAAGGCAAACUAUUAAAUGCUAGACAUGACUUUUCCUUGAUUUAGAAUUGUUUAACUUCGAAUACACAGUAUUGGAUAAACUACAUAUGUAUCAAAGAAGGUAACAAACGACAGGAUUGCUUGAAUUACUUUUCAGUUGUUGAAGUAGCUUACAAGAAGUGUAUUAAAUUGGACUUGAGCCUCUUCAACAGCAUCAACGGUUGUUGAUCAUUUCAAUUUUAAGUGUGCCAAAAUCUUGUGAACUCAUCAUCAUUGACUGCCUGAAGCUCAAUAGAGAUGGAUAAGGUAUGUAUCAUUUGAUUGGCAAAGAUAGUCGAUGAUGGCAAGUCCAUAGAACUAGAGUUCAUUUUUUGUUGCAUCCUGUUUUGUGAGUUUUCUUUCAACUAAGCUUUCAUCUUAGUUCUAGAACCACCGCUUGCAUUUGUUCAUCCUCUUAUCUCUGAGCAAAAUUCCUUUUUUGCAUGUCAUGAACAUGCGGUACUUUCACUUGCCUCCACUGUGGUGAUGGUUUGCUGGUUUAUGUUGCACAUCAGCAUAAUGUUGGGGUUGACAUGCUUCGGAGAAUGUAACUUGCUUAGAUAGUAAUCACACUGAAGAUGCUAACAAAUGCUAGGUUUUUUUGAAAGGUAGAGGUGGUUGAGAGUACUAGUCAUACCUUAUGUGGAGUUUUUUCAAUUUCACUAUAGAACAAUCAUGAUUUGUGAGGAAUGAAAUAAAGGAAUUAACUCCUCGUUAGUGAAAGUGUGAAUUGUUGAUACCUUUUAUGAUGUAUGAGUUAUUUAGUUACUUCCUUCAUGAAGAAUUGGAGGUGCUUUUGUAGUUACUUUUGAACUUACAUUUUGUUUGUCUGUCUCGUUGUUAUUCGUUCAUUCCCUUCCAUCUUAAAUUACCAAACACAGUUGGGGAAGAUGUUGCAAUUCACCAAAUAAGGCAUUUACAUUCUUGAAUUCUUUUUGAUGUGCCGAUGGCAUGUCUUUUUCUGAAUCCUUUGCUGUUUUGAGCUGGGUAUGGGAAUUGGAUGACUCCUACUCAUCGAUGAAUUCAAUGAGGCAAAUGCAAUAACUCGUGUUUCUCACUUUUUAAUCAUCUUUGUUUCCUACAGUUCUAGAGAUUGAGCAAGGAUUAUCUGAUGUUGCACAAUCAAAGAUUAUUGUAAGCUUUACUCCACAUUCGAUGCCCAUGAUUAUAGUUGCAAUUUUGUAGUAUUCCCAUUCUUAAAGUUAAAAUUAUGCUUCCCUAGCAAUAGCUGUAAGGUUUCUUCAUCUAUUUCUGCAUAGUCUUAAAAAUGCAAUAAACUACUCAUGCUAAAAUGUCUCCAGUUGUAAUGGCUGGGGAUCUAUAUGAAGUUGCUAACUAGGCAAACUUUUUCUAACUAAUAGUCCUAUUUUGCUUAGGCAUUCGAUGGCUUAAUGUGCUAAGUAUUAACCUCAGCUUUCGUUUACUGAAGUACUUAUUUUUAGUACUCAUGAUUAGCUUAAUCAAAGUACAUCAUUUAUUUCAUAGAUCUUGAUUAAGUCAGUCAAGUAGUAGACGUGUUUGGGAAUUGAAACUUGAAAGAUCUGCAACUUCCUUUCAUAUUCUUGAGUGUGCUUCCCACAUACUUCAUGCUGUCUGAUCAUUUAAUUCACUUUAUCUUGCUGGAUGAGGGAUUUGUUAUGUUGUUAAAAAAUGGAGGUUUUCCUCAUACUCAAAAUGUGCAAGGAUCCUAUUAUUAUUCUAUGAGUGUCUUUCUUGAACAAGUAUCCGGACAAGCAAUACUUAUCUAUGCAGUCUAUUCCCAAGUGUAUGUUCUCCAUUAAGUGCUUUACUUUUCAUGUAACAUCAAAGUCAUCUUUUUAUGAUAAGCUAUCUAAACCUUCUUUUGCAGAUUGACAAUCAAGUGAAGGGAGCUGUUGGUCAUGUUCAGUAGAAUCUUCAAUGAGAUGAUGGGUUUACUUGAGAUUGUGGGGCUUAACUACCUAUUAUUGUUUCCCUAAUGCAUUCUGCAUUCUUCUGAGUGAGGUAGAUUAUGCAUGGAUUUUGUUCAAUAAAGCUUGUAUAAUUGCAUUGGUUGUGCCCGAGCUAUAGCUAUUGUCUAUUCUUUCGGGUGACUCAUAACACCUUUCCUCAUCUUGCUCUCCUUCUAUCUCUCUCUAAAAUGUGGUUAUUGUUAACUUGUUAAAUAAACCUAUUUCUUCUCCGCGUCUAUUGUGGCAUCCUGAAAUUCCUUGCUAGCCAUUAGGGGUGCUCCAGUUAACAUCUUGUAUUGAAAUCUAUGGCCGAGUUAAAAUGGAUAGAUGUUGGAAGAGGAUGGCUUAUCCCUGGCCAUGUGCAUCAUGAAUUAGAAUCCAUAGAAUUGUAAUUCUAAGUGUUUAGUUAUUAAAUUUUACCCUAUGGUAUUUUAGUUUAAUAGGAUUUAAUUAGUACUUAAAAGGGAGAUUAAGAUUCAAUUGAAUUAGGUUGGGCCUUAGGCCCAAUGGCUUAAGCUUUUGGAGGGCCGAAUGGUCGGCCCAUUGGAGCCAAGGAGGGGUUGUAGACCGGCCCAUUUGCUGGCCCAAAGCCCAGCCGAGAAUGAGGCCCAUCCUUGCAUGGAGAAGGCCAUGUGUCUCCCUUAAAUUGCCAAGUGUAAAUCAUGCUUUGGCUUGUGGAGAGGCAAGUGAUGAUUGCUAAUGAUGAGGAUUUGGGGAACUAAAAGGGAGAGGAAGAGAGAGAGUGGCCGGUUGAGAGCCACCGUCCAAGUGAGAAAGAGAGAGAGAGUGAAUUGCGAGAGAGAGUGAGGUCGAGAGGGAGAAGGAGUUCACCCAUCGUCGCGCGCACGCCGUCCGUCCGUCGCCGGUGUGCCGUCCCUUUUGCUGUCAUCCGUUUGGUCUUUGAGCCAAGUUGGGACUGAUUUCCACUCUUGCAUGUGUGUCUUGCAUGUGUGAUUUGUUGGUGGUAGGUUUCGGAUCAUAGGAUAGGCAAAACCGAACCUAGAAUGUGACUUGUUCAUGAGUUUGCAUGCUGUUUUCGUAUGAACCGCCUGAACCAGAAUCUUGUGAGAGCUUACAUGCAUGUUUCGAGUUGGAUUUUGACUUUGAUUCCUUCAUGAAAGUUGUAUCCAACAUUCUAAACUACAACAUACUAAAAUUUGGGACAAAAUAGUGGAGAUUUAAGGGGUCAAACCCUCAUCCUACGAAGACACUAGAUCUGGAACUGCUUUGCUGACCUUUUGAUAGUUUUGUGGGUUGCAUGUCGAUUUUUACUAAGAAUCUCUCUUCGACUUCUUCAUGAAACUUGUAGAGAACAUCCUAAAAUUUUAAAAUACUCAAAUUUGAAGUAAAAUGAGCAAGUUUAGCCUAGUGAAUCGACUUACUCUUCAAGACGGUAAAUCUGGAGAUGUGGUACAGGACACCCGAGAAUUCAUGGACCCAUAUGAUGACUAUAAUUUGGCAAUUUGACUUAGAUCCCUUAAUAAAAGUUGUAGGGGAACCUUUGAAGUAAAACAUAUCCAAAUUUCAGAGUAAACGAAGAAGAAUAAAGGGGUGAAAACUCGAUAUUUCGAAGAUACAUACACUGGACGUUUCGGUGCGAGAACCAGAAGCUUCGUACGACUAUAGAAAAUGAUCUAAAACGAAUCUGGCCUAGAGUCUUCACGAAAAACCUACUUUAGUGUCUUAACUAUAACUGGGAAAAAUUUAUAAUUUUCGGAGGUCGUUCGGAUAUUUUAAUCGAAUUAUUUCGGAAACUGUACAUUCGGUUUCUAUCCGAAAUUGCAUGCUGUAUUUGUGUGAAUUGUAUCUUCUUGUGUGGAACUCUAUUGGGCAUGUGCUUUUCAUGAAAUUGUUAUCUUAUUGUCUUGUCUAUCACAUGCCUUGAUUUCAUGAUUUUUGAGAAGCAUAUGGAUAUUUAAUUUAAAUAUUUUCUAAAAAUGGUACAUGCUGGAAUGUUGUAAAAGGCAUGAAAUAUGGACCAUUUUAAAUUGCAUGGACUCCAUGAAUUGUAUUGAUUGGAUGAUAGUGUCUUGUUGUAUGCAUGAUAAUGAAUUGAGAUGCAUGUAUGAAUUCAAUGAUGAAUAUGAUCUUGAUUGCCAUCACAUCACAUGCCAUGUUAAAAAUUGAACUAUAAUUGAAGAUGAGAAUUGAGAUAAAUGAGAAGGUCGUCAGAGGUGUGAGCCGACGAUGCCCCGGGAGUGUCGGGAUGCUUGGCUAGAAGGGUACGGCCGGUUGCCCGGUGGUCAUGAAUGGCCAGAUACCGGAGGGCCUCGGGAGUACCGAGAGGUGUCGAGAUGCCCGGAGAGUGGAGGAGCCGGAAGCUCGGCAUGGUAAUUAUGCCGAGGGAUACCUCGCGAUGCCGAUUUGGGUGCGAGAUGCCUGGCUAGAAGGGUACGGCCGGUUGCCCGGUGGCCUUAAAUGGCUGAAAACUAGAGACUCCUUGUGAUGCCAGUUGGAGUACAAGAUGCUCGGAGAGUGGGGGAGCCGGAUGGUCUGAAUUUUAUCUUGGAUACAUGUGGGAUGCAAACAUUGGUCCUGGGAAAGACAAAUGUGGCGGUCCAAGAUUAAAUUGAGAUUGAAUUAUGCAUGAGGAUAUAUGCAUGAUAUGAUGCAUGAUGAUAUAUGCAUGACAUGAUAAUGAUGUUGAAUGCAUGGAUGCAUGGUAAUGAUGAUGGUACAUGUGAUAUGGUGAUGAUGUUACAUGCAUUGAUGCAUGGUAAUGACGAUGGUACAUGUGAUAUGAUGAUGAUAUUACAUGCACGGAUGCAUGGUAAUGAUGAUGGUACAUGUGAUAUGAUGAUGAUGUUACAUGCAUGGAUGCAUGGCAAUGAUGAUGGUACAUGUGAUAUGACGAUGAUGUUAUGUGCAUGGAUGCAUGGUAAGGAUGAUACCAUAUGUGAUAUGAUGAUGAUGGUAUAUGACGUAUGAUGACAUGUGCAUGAUGCCAUGGUAUGUUUUGUAUGGAUGCCUGUAUGACAUGUGAUGCUAUGAUUGUGAUGAUUGCGUGGCUUGAUGCAUUGUGUGGUUUAUUGGUCAUUUACCUGCGGAGUGAUUGUACUCACCCCUUUGGGGACCAACAUUUCAAAUUAGCACCAUGCCGCUCCCUGCUAUCACGCGGGGCAUAUUUUAUGGCCUACCUUCGGAUGUAGAGGUUGAGUGUGAGGAGUUUGAUUGUCCCACCAUUCCUGGUCUUACGUAUAUUCGAGUGCGCGCCUUAAUGAUGUACGACGUGGGCCUGGCUGGGGGCCCUGUCAUUCAGGAGUUUAUAUCUGUCCAUGUUUGUCGAGACGCAGUGAUGCGUGGGAUGUUGCCACCGCCACUGCCUGAUGCACUAGGAUUGGUGUGAGGGCCCGUGCGUGUCAAGUAGGAGUUGAAACUUUUUGGGAUGGUUAGCCGACACUAGUGAUGGGGGAUCUUUCACAUUAGUCGUAGUGGGUCGAGAGUUUCUUUUUGGGGUUUAGGCCGAGUGUCGCUUCAUGUCCUGGCCUUUCCUUUGAUGUACCGACCCAAGGAGACCCAUCUUGGAAAAUAUGUAAAUAAAGUGUCAUGGCUUUGUGGAUAGAAAUAUGAUGUUUAGUGGUGUGCAAUUGAAUCAUGGUUGAUGGAGGGGGAGAUAGCGAUAUUAUAUUUUGCUUCCACUAAAUGAGUCGCGCUGGGACCAUUUUAAAAAAAAUGUCUAUGAUUGACGACACUUCUUCUAAGACAUGUAAUUAGGUGUAACGUUUGGUGCCUAUGGCGACCUAAGGGGGGUUCGGGGUGCCACAGUGCCCCUUUUUUGGUAUCAGAGCGAAUGGGUAUAGGUGUAGUGAUAAUGAGCCUCAUUUGGNNNNNNNNNNNNNNNNNNNNNNNNNNNNNNNNNNNNNNNNNNNNNNNNNNNNNNNNNNNNNNNNNNNNNNNNNNNNNNNNNNNNNNNNNNNNNNNNNNNNCAUGUAUAUGUUACUUAUGUAGUAGUAGUUGCUUUGAAUGGAGGUAGUGAGUCUCAGAUUAUUCCCAAGGCAAUGCUCGGAAAUUGCAGGAAAGUCAUGGUGCGAGCUAGAAGUGCUCAUCCAUCGAGGGCUGAAGCCUCUGUUGCAAGGGCUGAACCCCGAAUGGAAGACAUCCUACAGGCAUUGGCCAAUAUUGGAAAUCUGAUGGAAAGGCAGGUGCAGCAGCAACCUGGAGCAAAACGCCGUACUCAAGGACUGGUGGAACAGUUUUUGAAGCUAAAGCCACUUAAGUUCGGUGGAAUGGGAAGUCCUGAGGAGGCGGAGCAUUGGAUUGAUGGAAUGCAACAAAUUUUCAGGUUGUUGGACUGCACUGCUGCUGAGAAAAUAACUUUGGCAGAGUACCAACUGGAGGGAAAUGCAAAGUUUUGGUGGAGAGCAUCAAGGGACACAAUCUUCCCACCAGGUACUGAGGUUAAUUGGGAAGAGUUUGUGAGAGCUUUUAAUAUGAAGCAUUUUUCUGACUGUGCUAAGGAUAGGAAAAUUUAUGAGUUUGUUCAAUUAGAACAAAUGGAGCUGACGGUAGACCAGUAUGAGGCUAGAUUUUCUGAACUGUCUAGAUAUGCUCCUAGGCUAGUUGAGGAUCAAGAAGAGAAGGCUAAGAGAUUUCUGAAAGGGUUGAGGACUGAUGUCAGGAAACAACUAGUGCCUCUGAACAUAAGGGAUUAUAAUGAGAUCUAUGAAAGGGCACAGUUGGUGGAGCAGGAGUUAGUGAGGGAACAUUCAGAGAAUAAGAAACCAUUGUCCUUUGGUGAUGUGAGAAGGGGUAAGAGACCCUAUACAGGUCAAGGUCAGACCUGGGGAUCUAAGAAGAAGGGCAAUUUUGGGAACUUUGGAAGAGGCAAGGGUAGCCUGAAUUUGGGAAGGACACCUUAUCAGGAUGCGAAGUGUCGAAUGUGUAGUAGGCGACAUGGCCCAGGACCCUGCAUUGGGCAACCAAAGUGCUAUGGUUGUGGAAAGAUAGGCCAUAUUAAGAGAAACUGCCCUCAGGAGAGAUCGCACGCGAGUAUGGGCUCGGUGCAAUAGCCGCAGCAGAAUGCUGUUAGACCAAACUUACCAAGGAAUCCCUAGAGGCCACCAGCACAAGGAAGAGUGUAUGCGAUCACCCAAGAGGAAGCGGAAGCUUCCCAAAAUGUUAUCUCAGGUACGAUCCUUAUAAAUGAUAAAAAAAAAAAAAAAAGGCAUAUGCAUUGUUUGAUACGGGUGCUACGCAUUCAUUUGUCUCUGAAAGAUAUAGACAGUUGAGUAAGAUAGAAACUAUGCCUCUUGAGAUGCCUCUUUGUCUUUCUACACCUCUAAAGGUUAUGUUGUUGUCUACGCUAGUGUGUGGAAAUUGUAAGAUAGCAAUGGGGGGGAAAGGAUAUGGAAAUAGACUUAGUUGUAAUUGCCAUGUAUGAUUUUGAUGUUAUCAUAGGAAUGGACUGGUUUCGUAAGAAUCGUGCCCAAAUGGAUUGUUAUAGGAAAGUAAUCCAAUUUACCUUACCUGAUCGGUCUAGUUGUGAAUUUUUGGGAGGUCAGACCCACCUACCUAUAGCGCUUAUUUCAGCAAUAGAAGCCCGUGCGUUACUUGACAAAGGAUGUCAAGGGUACUUGGCCAUGGUUAGAGAUUAUACUAAGGAAGAGCCUAAGAUUGAUGAAAUUUGGGUAGUUAACGAAUUUCAAGAUGUAUUCCCUGAGGAAUUGCCUGGAUUGCUGCCAGAGCGAGAGAUUGAGUUUGAAAUUGAAUUAAUGCCUGGAAUAGGACCUAUAUCAAAAGCCCCAUAUAGGAUGGCCUUAGUCGAAUUGAAUGAAUUGAAAGUGCAACUACAGGAGUUGCUUGACAAAGGAUUCAUUAGACCAAGUGCUUCACCUUGGGGUGCACCGGUCUUGUUUAUGAAAAAGAAAGAUGGAUCGAUGCACUUGUGUAUUGAUUAUAGGAAGCUAAACCAGGUGACCAUUAAGAGUAAGUAUCCUUUGCCUAUAAUUGAUGACUUGUUUGACCAACUCCAGGGAAGUUCGGUCUUCUCUAAGAUUGACUUAAGGUCGGGAUACCAUCAGUUAAGAAUCAAGAAGGAGGACAUUCCUAAGACUGCGUUCAGGACUCGUUAUGGACACUACAAGUUCCUUGUUAUGCCAUUUGGAUUGACUAACGCGUCGGCUGCAUUUAUGGAUCGAAUGAAUAGGGUAUUUAAGCCUUAUCUAGACCAGUUUGUGAUCGUUUUUAUUGAUGAUAUUCUGGUAUUUUCAAAAGGGCCUAAAGAGCAUGAGCAACAUUUGAGGAUAGUUUUGCAGACCCUGAGAGAGCAUAAGUUUGUAUGCUAAGUUUAAUAAAGUGUGAGUUUUGGCUAGACCAGAUAAUAUUUUUUAGGACAUGUGGGUGUCAGGAGAAGGAAUUGCAGUAGACCCGGGCAAAAGUUGAAAUGGUAGUGAAUUGGCCGAGACCGACGACACCUACUGAAAUACAGAGUUUUCUUAGGACUGGCUGGUUAUUAUAGAAGGUUUAUUGAAGGGAUUUUCAUGACUGGGCAGGACCUUUUAACCUAAGUUGACCCGAAAGAAUGUGAAAUUUGAAUGGAAUGGGGAAUGUGAAAGGAGUUUCCAAGAGCUUAAAAGGAAAUUGACCUCGGCUCCAAUCCUGACUAUACCUACUGGACCUGAUGGUUUUACAGUGUAUAGUGAUGCAUCUCACAAAGGACUGGGAUGUGUUUUGAUGCAGCAUGGCAAGGCCGUAGCCUAUGCAUCUAGACAAUUAAAACCCCAUGAGCUGAACUACCCAACGCAUGAUUUAGAGCUAGCAACUAUAGUGUUUGCCUUGAAGAUAUGGAGACACUAUUUGUAUGUGGAGAAAUUUGAGAUUUAUAUGGACCAUAAGAGUUUGAAAUAUUUGUUCUCACAAAAGGAGUUGAACAUGAGACAAAUGAGAUGGAUGGAGUUGUUAAAGGAUUACGAUAGUGAGAUAAAAUACCAUCCAGGGAAGGCGAAUAAGGUAGCGGAUGCUUUUAGUCAUAAGUCAGCUAUGGAGAUGGCCAGUUUAAGAAUGUCAUAAUGGAGCUUGUUAAAGUCUGUUACAGACUCAGAAUUUAAAUUGAAAGUAGAUCAUCUUACUGGUAUGCUUAGUGCAUUAAGGAUUGAAUCGGAGAUUAUUUAGAAAGUUAAAAUCCUGCAAGAGUCUAACCUGAAGAUUUUGAAAAUGAAAGACACUGUGUCUUAAGGAAAAAGACUAGAAUUUCAAGUCUCUGAUGAAGGAAUAGUAAGAUGCCAAGGACGACUUUGUGUUCCAGACAAUGAAGAAUUAAAGAAGGAAAUUCUAUCGGAGGCACAUAAGAGUAAUUAUAGUAUCCAUCCAGGUAGUACAAAGAUGUACAGGAAUUUAUGCCAGCAGUUUUGGUUGAAUGGUAUGAAGGCAGAUGCAGCUAAGUACGUUUCUCAAUGUUUGAUGUGCCAACAAGUAAAAGCGGAACAUCGUAAACCCGCAGGACUCUUGAGACCAUUAGACAUACCAGAAUGGAAAUGGGAGCAUAUAACAAUGGACUUUAUACAAGGAUUACCAAGGACGUCAAGCAGUCAUGACUCUAUUUGGGUUAUAGUGGACCGUUUGACUAAAUCAGCUCAUUUCCUAGCCAUUCGCAUGGACUACCCAAUGGACAAGUAUGCGGAUCUAUAUGUAAAUCAAGUGGUACGCUUACAUGGUGUUCCGAUAACUAUUACCUCAGAUUGGGAUUCGAGAUUUACUUCGAACUUUUGGCGAAGUCUUCAAAUUACAUUAGGAACUAAACUUCAGUUUAGCACUACUUUUCAUCCCUAGACAGAUGGACAAACAGAAAGAGUAAUCCAGACAUUAGAGUAUAUGUUAAGGACUUGUGUAAUUGAUUUCAAAGGAAAUUGGGAUGAAAGAUUGCAUUUGGUAGAGUUUGCCUAUAAUAAUAGUUUUCAGAAAAGUAUAGGCAUGGCUCCUUAUGAAACAUUAUACGGAAGGAGAUGUAGGACUCCUGUCUGUUGGAAUGAAGUAGGUGAAGGGAAAUCGACAGGACCUGAUGUCACGCCCCGAUCCUCAGGCACGCACACAUUCCUUACCUUUGGUCGAUUUUAAAUUGCGAUAUCCCAGGACUAUGUAUCGCCGACCCUUUCAUUUAUAUAUGCACAUGCGGAAGCAGUUAUAAAUCCCCAAACAAUAAAAUAAUGGGAUAGAUUAGGACUAGAAAAUUUAACCUGAAAGUCAACACCCUUAUGUACAUUAGUAAUGACUCGGUCAUACAUGUACAUACACAAACCAUACUAAAAGGUUGGUUUCUACUCAUUUAGAUUCUACAGCAACAGACAUCAAGAUCCUACUUUGGAUCAUCCUCGAGGUUCUCCUUCAGAUACUCCUCUUCGAGUUCUUUCUCCUCAGGGUUUUCCUCGUCAGGUUCCUCCUCCUUAAUCUCCUCAUCCGGGUCCUGAAAUGGUUAUUCAAUAACCACUAAGACAACGUCUUAGCAAGUUCUACCCCCUAAGACUCAAUUAGUAAACUAAUACACCUUAGGGCUGCCUAUGCACAACAUGAUGCAUGAUGAUAUAUGCAUGACAUGAUGAUGAUGCUGCAUGCAUGGAUGCAUGAUAAUGAUGAUGGUACAUGUGCUAUGGUGAUGAUGUUACAUGCAUGGAUGCAUGGUAAUGAUGAUGGUACAUGUGAUGUGAUGAUGAUAUUACAUGCACGGAUGCAUGAUAAUGAUGAUGGUACAUGUGAUAUGAUGAUGAUGUUACAUGCAUGGAUGCAUGGUAAUGAUGAUGGUACAUGUGAUAUGAUAAUGAUGUUACAUACAUUGAUGCACGGCAAUGAUGAUGGUAUAUGUGAUAUGAUGAUGAUGUUAUGUGCAUGGAUGCAUGGUAAGGAUGAUGCCAUAUGUGAUAUGAUGAUGAUGGUAUAUGACGUAUGAUGACAUGUGCAUGAUGCCAUGGUAUGUUGUGUAUGGAUGCCUGUAUGACAUGUGAUGCUAUGAUUGUGAUGAUUGCGUGGCAUGAUGCAUUGUGUGGUUUAUUGUUCCUUUACCUGUUGAGUGGUUGUACUUACCUCUUCGGGGACCAACAUUUCAGAUUAACACCAUACCGCUCCCUGCUAUCACGCGGGGCAUAUUUUACGGCCUACCUUCGAAUGUAGAGGUUGAGUGCGAGGAGUUUGAUUGUCCCACCAUUCCUGGUCUUACGUAUAUUCGAGUGCACGCCUUAGUGAUGUACGACGUGGGCCUGGCUGGGGGCCUGUCAUUUAGCAGUUUAUAUCCGUCCAUGUUCGUCGAGACGGAGUGAUGCAUGGGAUGUUGCUGCCGCCACCGCCUGAUGCACCGGGAUGGGUGUGAGGGCCCGUGCGUGUCAAGUAGGAGUUGAAACUUUUGGGGAUGGUUAGCCGACACUAGUGAUGGGGGAUCUUUCACAUGAGUCGUAGUGGGUCGAGAGUUUCUUUUUGGGGUUUAGGCCGAUUGUGGCUUCAUGUCCUAGCCUUUCUUUUGAUGUACCGACACAAGGAGACCCAUCUUGGAAAAUAUGUAAAUAAAGUGUCCUGGCUUUGUCUUUUAUUAUGAUGUUCGGUGGUGUGCAAUUGUAUCAUGGUUGAUGGAGGGGGAGAUGGCGAUAUUAUAUUUUCCUUCCGCUAAAUGAGUCGUGCUGGGACCGUUAAAAAAAAAUGUUUAUGAUUUACGACACUUCUUCUAAGAGAUGCAAUUAGGUGUAACAUUUGGUGCCUGUGGCGACCUAAGGGGGGUUCGGGGUGCCACAUCUAUCAUACUUACAUUUGCUAAAGUAAAAUGUUUUUGUGCCAAUCUCCUAUAAGGAAUGGUCAAAUGUUCAUUUACAUGGAUGACUGGGUUUUGGCAAGACACACAUUGUUGGUUCUGUAAUAACAACUUGUUCUCUUCAAUCCAUAUAAGUGAAAGUGCUGAGACGUUCAAUAAGUACACUAGUACUUUUGAGCAAGUUGUAAGAGGCUUCUUUUCCACUUCACCAAUGUUGAUUGAAUUCCAUUGUGCAAUCUUGUAUUAAACUUUGUUAUUGCAAACAUUUCACAAUUUUGUGCUUUCUUUUGUUGCUUUUGUAUGCAUUUAACAAAGGUCCCUUCAUGUAUGCUAGCAAUCAAAAUCAGAUAACUAGCAUUAGCAAUAAGGAUGCUCUUGCUGCAACCAAGGUGUUCUAACUAAAUUGUUGUCAACAACAGCUCCCAUAACCAUUGAAGUGGCCAAAUUAAAAUGGUUGAUGAGUUUCCUUAUGCAUGAAUGAGAGGAUCCUCCAUGACCAUUUGGUUAAGAGAUAGAUUAUGAUGUAAAUUAUUUGAAGCUUCUCUCUAUUUGAAAUUGGUGAUCAAGUGUCUACUAGAUUUUCAAUUAUGUACAUUGAGGGCAUUGAUUUUGUUAGCAAAAUGGAAAGAUUAUGAAUAUUUGAGAGUAAUAGCAAUUAGAAAAAUGCAGUUUGGAUAUAUUCUCAAAUGCAGCAGCUACAAUAGCUUGCCUUCUCUUUUUCGAUGAAUUUGAUUCCAUUGUUAUGAAGAGGAGGCAUGAUAAUAUGGGGUCAGUAACCAUGUCGUCAAUCAAGUUAGUUUAUUACAUUCUAUAGCGCUUAGAAGGUGGUCAUAUGAAAUCUAUUUAAUUGUUUGACUCACUACCGAUAUGUUAUUAAUUGGUGCAGUUUGUUACCGAAUAAGGUGGUGUUGCAGUUUUAACCAGUGUGUUUGUGUUUGCCGAAACAAGGCAAUAAGUUCUUAUUAAAUGAUAACAAAAAGUACUCUCUUCCAAUAGCACACUAAGUGUCAACUGCUAUUGGAAAUUGCAUGGCUACUGUGAAUGGUUCAACGAACAUUUUCUACGAAGCAUUUAGUAUGGAUACUAUGUAAUAACCUUCAAGGUAGACCAAAAAAUGCUAGACGUGACUUUGCCUUGAUUUAGAACUGUUUUGCUUUAGAUACACAAUAUUGGAUAAACUACACAUGUAUCAAAAGAUGGGAUUGCAUGAAUUACUUUUCAGUUACUGAAGUAGCUUACAAGAAGUGUGUUUUGCUAGUCAUGAGCCUCUACAAUGGCAUCAACUGUCAUGCCCGAUCCUCCAAGUGCAUGCCCAUCCCUCAGUGGUCGAUUAAAUUGCGACAACCUAGGACACAUCGCCAACCCAUUCAUUUUAAUGUACAUGCGGAAGCAAAUAAUAAAUCCUCAGACAAUAGAAAGAUGGGAUAGAAAAGCAGGGCCACAAUUUUUCAAACCACAACACGCUUAUAUACAUAUCAAACUAAGUCAUAUAUAGUAUUAGCUAAUAUAUACAAGUCUACAAAAAUGGAUAGAGGGCUACAGAUCCUCUAAGCAUUCGAGUUUUCAACUAAAUACUCUGAGGACUCUGGAUCCGAAAGACUCGGGCCUACCACUAAACCACCUAGAGGGCCAGUCGUGUCCUUGCCAAAAGCGAUCUCUAGCACCGACCUAGGAAUCUCAGACUCUAAAAGGGGGCCUUCUCUAGGUCCAUCUCGCCCAUAACGAUUCCACGAUAUGAAUUGAUGGGGUACCUUUCGGUAUAGACCCUCAUCAAUUCAGACAAUGGAUCUUACAAGCUCUUAAACCCAGGCUCUUUGACUCCUAAGGAGAGGAAUCUGACAGUACUGUUCGGUAACCUUCUUCGGUUAGCCAAAACGCUCGGGAGGUACGACCAUCUAAGGACUUGUAAAUGCUAUCUCACAAUGGGGUGAGACGACAUCUCAGCAAGUUCACCCCCUAAACUCUGACUAGGAAUGAAAUACGCCUAAAGGCUACCUAUGCACACAAGAGAUAGGUUACUUACCUUUGCCUCAGUUCCUUCCUGCAAGUCAGUAUGAUUCAUAUAUUCAACGAAUCACUUCAAUUCGAAUCAAAUCAUCAAAUCAAAUCGAGUCAUCGAUCAAUCGAUCCAAUCGAUUCCAUACCAUCAACACUAUCUCUUAGUCAACCCAUUCAAUACUAUCUAUAAAGUCCGAUCACAUCAAGGACUACUCACCCUAAGCUAAAGAUAGUAUAGCUCACCAAAAGCUGAUAAUAGAUAUAGCUCACCAAAAGCUGCUGAUAGAGUAUAUAGCUCACCUUAAGUUGAUAUAUCAAGGCCCGCAGGCUAAUAUAGUAUACUAAUAAUGCUCACCAAAGCUGCGUGAUACUCAAUAUACUCACCAAAGUUGUGCGAUACUUAAUAUCUAUUGUACCCAAUAAAAUAAUCGUGUGUAGAUACACGGUCGGCCUUAGCCAAAAUACAACAAUUUCCCUUUUAUAAAAUCCCAUUAAAUAUAAUAGCUCGCAAACACAUUUUUGGCACUGUAAACCGAUGCCCAGUACUGUCUAAUUAAAUACCGAAAUUACCCUGUGGCAUCCCAAAAAUAGCUCAUGGCCAUGUGUUUUAUAAGUAUGAGUUUAUUGAUUUAUGAUUUCAAGAUUUAUGGCCAAGUGAAUAAGAAUGAUCUGGUAUUUAUAUAAAUGGAUAAUUAUUUUGUUGGAAACGCAUCCUAUGUCCAUGUGAGACCAAGGAUUUCAUUUGAUGAGGAAAUUAUGUUUUUGGCCAUGAAUUUUAUAAGUUGGAUUUUAUUAAACUAUAUUACAAAGCAUUAUGGCCAUUUAAAUUUGUAAUUUGGUACCCUGUAUAAGUGGGACUAAGAUGGAUUAUCAAAAAUAAGUAUGGGCCAUUUAAGCUUGGACUUUAGGCCCAAGUGUGUUGGGCCUAAAGUGGGCCAAGAGGCCCGGCCCAUAGAGCCCAUGGGGUUGUCAGCGCAUCGAGGGGGGAGGGGAGGAGCCGAAUGGGCUCCUCCAAGUGUCUUCGGCAAGGGAGACACUUGUCUCCUUCUUGGGAACAAGUGUCCCCCAUGCAAAAUGUGGAUGCAUGCAAGCUUUCUUUUCAACCAAAAAGGAAAAGGGGGAAGGGGGUGAUCGGUCUAGGUGCCGAGAGAGAGGAGAGAAAGAGAGGAAGAGAGAAAGGAAGGAGGAGGUUCGUCGCCGCCGUGCCCUGUCGUCGAGCCACCGUGUCCUGCCGUUCAGCUGCCAGUUGUUUGCUGGAAUUAGAGGCAAGUGAGAUCCUUGAUCUACUCUUGCAUGUUGUGCCUAGUGUGUGUGAUUGAAUGGUGACAAAUUUCGGAUGUCUAGGAUGUGAAAAAUUGAAGUUUUACGAGUGGUAUCCUAGGCUAGUAUACUGUUCUUGAGAAAACAGCUCAACCUUGGAUGUUCUAGUGACUUGCAUGUGAUGUUCAAGUUGGAUUUUGGCUUUGACGUAUAAACGAAAGUUGUUAAGGACUUCUUGGAGUAUAACAUACUCAAAUUUGGGACAAAAAAAAACAAGUAUAAGUGGGUGAAAUCGUUAUUCUUUGGAAAGACUGGAUCUGGAGAUUUUGGUACCCACCUUUGAUGAAUGCAUGGACUAUUAGACAAUCUUUUUGUUGAAAUUUCACUUCGAUUUCUUUAAAAAAAAAUAUGUAAAGGACAUCCUGAUGUUUAACAUAUCAAAAAUUUAGAGAAAACCAACAAAAAUAGGUAGGUAAAAUCGUGAUCUUUCGGAGGUAGUUAGAUCUGGAAAUUUCGGUACUAGGAACGGAAGUUUUAAUCGCCUAUAUUUAAUUACCUAGGACAAAUUGGACUUUGAUUUCUUCAUAAAAUAUCUACCUUAUGGUCUUGACUACCAUAUAGUCAAAUUGCAUAAUUUGUGAAGGUCAUAUGUGUAUUUAGUCGGAAAUGUUUCUAAAACUGUGCAAUCUGAUGUGUUCGGACUUGGUAAUGUUGCAAUGCGUGGUCUAUACCGUUUUGUAUGAAAUUCUUUCGGAAAAGUGUUCUGCAUGAAAUACAUUUAUUUAUGUCUUGCCUACAACAUAUUCAAAUUUCGUAAUUUUGAAGUUCAGUUGCCUAUCUAACCAAAAAUGUUUCAAAAACUAUGCAAGUGGAACGAACAGAAUUAGUAGUGCUCUCAUGCGUGGUUUGUAUUGAACUAUAUGGGGGUCUUUUGGUGUAGUGUUCAUUGUGAAAUAUCUGCCUCUAUUUCUUGACUAUCCCAUGUUCGAAUUUAAUAAUUUUUGAAGGUCAUUUGGGUACUUAACUAAAAAAAUUUCUAAAACUGUGCAAGCUGGAUUGUGCGAAUUUCAAAAGCUGUAAUGCAUGGACUAUUCUGCUUUGUAUGAAAUUCUGGUGGUGGUGUGUUCUUCAUGAGAUAAAUGCCUCUAGAGCUUGUCUAUGAUGUAUUAAAUUCUUAGAAAUUAUUAGGGCCAAUCACUAAAUUUUAAGAAGUAUAAAUUAAAAGAACGCAUUCUGUUUCUAAAAUAAUAGCAAUAAUCCAUGAGUUUGCCCCAUGAAUUUAUAUUGUUUUUAAGUGAUUGAAUCUUGCUGCACAUAUGAUGAUAUUUGGCAUUACAUAUAAAAAUCAAAAGCUGAAAUUGACCUUGUUGCCAUAACAUCAUAUGCCAUGUUGAUAAUGAGCCACAAAUGUGAAAAUAAAGUAUGAAAAUGAGGAUACCGUGGGUGGUGUGAGCCAAUGAUGCCCCGGGAGUGUCGAGAUGCCCUGAAUGUGGGGGUGCAGGAUGCCCAGUUGUAUUACGAUACAUGCCCGGAUGUCCUUGGGAGUUUCGAGAUGCCUGGUGGUAUACGGUACGUAAUUCCAGGGAGAAUGCCUGGUGGUAUGUUAGUACGUAAUCCCCGAAGCCCUGGAGGUGUGUGCCAGGGGGAUUCCUCGUGAUGCCAGUUGGGAUGCGAGAUGCCCGGAAUGUGGGGGUGUCGAAAGCCUCAUAGGUGUGUGCCGAGGGGAUACCUCGUGAUGUCAGUUGGGAUACGAGAUAAUCAGAAUGUAGGGGUGUCGGAUGCCCGGAGGUGUGUGCCGGAGGUUCCUCGUGAUGUCAGGUUGGACACAAGCGAUAAAUUGUGAGAUGCAAACAUUGGUCCCUGGGAAGAAAAAUUGAUGAGAUCAUUGUGAAAGAUAAGAAUUGAAAGUGAAUCAUGUGCAUGGGUGUAUGUAUAUGGCAUAAUGCAUGAUCUGCUUAUGAAAGUAAAUUGAUGCUAUUUGAUAUUGAAAAUACGAUCAUGAAAGCAUAAAUGGAUCUCAUGGUGAUGUAUGCUUGAUAGCAUGGAUAAUAUGAAUCAUGGUGAUAUAUGCACAAUGGCAUGGCGAGAUAUGCAUGACUACAUGGUGAUAUAUGCAUGAAUGCUUGAUGAUAAGUGCAUGGUGAUAUAUGCACAUAUGGCAUGGUGACAUGUGCAUGAAUGCUUGAUGAUAAGUGCAUGGUGAUAUAUACACAUAUGGCAUGGUGAUAUAUGCAUGGCUGCAAGGUAAGGUAUGCUUGAAUGCAUGAAUGAUAUGUGCUUUGUUCAUGAUACCUUGAUUGUUCUGUUUGACGCAUUUAGUAGUUUGGUGGAUCUUUACUGCUGAGUGGUUGUACUCACCCCGUUUGGGGAAUAACAUUUCAAACUAGAUAAGAUACCUAUGCUACCACUACCACCGGUAGAUGGAUUAAGUGGUUGGAUGUGACCACGAGGAGGAGGAUAGCAAAGAAAGGAACUUUUGGACGCCGACACUGAUCGAUGGACUUUAAGUAUAUGACUGUUGGAGGAGAUGUCGGUCAUCUUUUGAAGUAUAGCCGAGUAUAGAAGAUUACGGCAUUUUGAUGUACCGAUGAAUGAUGUCCAUAUGGUUUAAGUAAAUAAAAGUGUUCGGCUUUUACCUAUAAAUGUUUAGUUGGUGUGCAUCGUUUUCUAAAUAUAAAGAAAGGAGUUGUUAGAUGUGCCUCCGUAUAUGAACUGCGCAAGGGACCGAUCUAAAAGAUGUGAACCCCCAUGGUUGUAUGGAUCCACUGCAAAUUGAAAUGAUAUCAAAGUGACAUGUUAUUAGGGAAAGUGAAAGAUAAGCGAAUUGUGGCGACCCUAACGAAUUGAGAGCCGUCGAGCGGUGCCACAUACCCAAUUUUGGAAUAAAUCUCCAAAAUUACAAAUAUCACUCGAAUAGCAUAAAUUAGCAUCCAGAUAAAUAAACCAAACAUACCAUUGCAACAAGCAUGGGGGAGGCUCGGGAACGGCUUGGACUCAUGGCUGGGGAUGCUGGACCGUGGGACAAGCGGCUAGGCGCGGCUGGCGAUCGCGGGAUGCGAAGACGAUGCGGCAGAGCUCCGGCUACUCAGCGAACCUUGUGACAGGCUAGGGAGGGGUGUGCUGCUUGGUUCUUUGAAAUUUUAAAGCUUCAAGGUGUCUCUAAUGGGGAAAGCAAGGCUGAGGGAGGAAGAAAGGGGACAACUCUAGCUUGGAGAGGGCCACUUCUCAUCCAUUCUACCCUCUGUCUCCUUGAUGAGGUCCCACAUGGAUGGGCUGUCUUCCUCAGCAAUUUUUCAGCCACAAAACUCCCUUUAGAAGCCAUUAUAGUGGUCCAAAGGUUGAGGGACCAAGGGGCUACGAAUUUUGCACUUUUACACAUCAAUUCCAUUCAAUUCUCCUUCAAUUCACAUCCAAUUGAGCUCAAUUUGUUGUCCAAAAAUCCAACCAAGGUGUCCAUGAUCAAAUUGAUAUUUUUCCUCACCAAUAGAACCAACUUGCAUCCCAAAAACACGAUAAAAAAUGGUCCCCUAAAUUUUCCGAACGAAAAUGGCCCUAUUUUGAAAUUCCGCCAAAAAUCUUGAUUUGCAAAAAAAUCUUUAGAAGAUGAGUCGACAUUCCUAAAAUGACUCGUGACAUGAUAGAACUUUCAAUUUCUGAAAUCGGAUUCAAAUUCGCGGUUAAUUUCGAUCUGGUGUGAUUUUAGCGUGAUCAAGCCUACUAAGUAGCUUUUAGAAAUUUUUGGUGCAAUUAACUCAUGAUCGAAUUUAUUCCGAGUCACAAUGUACAUCUUUGACGCAUUGACGACUCUCAGUAGUCGUGAAAAUCUUGAGGUUUUAAAUGCGGAUACAGGGUACCAAAACGAUAGAAAAAUCGGCCUAGUGCCGAUCAACGAGAAUUUUCCAAUCUAGUGGAAUCACCCACACUUUGAUCACCUAUCUGAGUUAAAAUGACCUAUUUGAUCUCUUAUUAAUUUUUAAUUAUACCGUAAUGAUCUCUGCAGAUGAGCACGGUUGAGUAGUCAAUUCUUGAUCGAAUUCUCAAGUCUAUUGCAUUAAAAUUCCUUAAUGGCUUCCCUCGAUAAUCUAGUUAUCACAAAAUUCCUUAAUGGCUUCCCUCUAUAAUCUAGUUAUCUCAUGAGUGAUCAACUCAGAUAAUAGAACUAUAGGCACGUCGAUAAAAUGCCCAAUUUCUUUAAUUGAAAACAGGACUGAAAUUUCAGGAUGUCACAACUUUCCCCUCUUAUAAAAAUUUCGUAUUUGAGAUUUAAACCACUACAAUACUUUAAGUAAAAAGGUGGGGGUACAAUCGUCUCACUGAAUCCUCACUUUCCCAAGUUGCUCCUUCAGUGCGAUGGUGUUAGCAGACCACUUUAACCAACGGGAUUAUCUUGGUACACAAAUCUGUUCUUUCCAAUCCACAAUCGGAUCCGAGCUUUCAACGUACGACACUCUAUCGUCCACGUCUAAUUCCUCAAAAUUAAGCACGUGGGUCGGGUCAGGCUCAUACUUCCUCAACAUCGACAUGUGAAAGACGUCGUGCACUUACGCCAACCUUAGCGGCAAUGCAAGAUGAUACGCUAGGAUCCCGAUUCUUUCUAGAAUCUCAAAGGGACCUACGUACCUCGGACUCAGUUUUCCCUUCUUGUCGAAGUGUGAAAAACCCCUCAUUGGCGAUACCUUCAGAAAAACAUGAUCACUAACUUGGAAUUCUAAAGGUCUCUGGCGCUUAUCCGCGUAACUUUUCUAACGGCUCUGAGCGGUCUUUAGUCUGCAUCUGAUGACUGCAACUGUAUCCACCGACUGCUGAACCAACUCUAGACCUAUAAUCUUUCUUUCCCCGACUUCAUCCCAACACACUGGUAUUCUGCACGCUUUGCCAUACAACACUUCGAAAGGAGCCAUCUGAAUGCUCCGCUUGUAGUUGUUGUUGUAGGCAAACUCGACAAUAUGAAGUUGUUCCUCCCAACUUCCUUUGAAAUCCAGCACAGAAGCUCACAGCAUGUCUUUGAGGGUUUGAAUCAUCCUCUCAAACUAGCCAUCCGUCUAAGGAUGAUAUGUUGCAUUGUACUACAGCUUUGUUCCUAAGGCAAUUUGCAAACUCUUCCAAAAAGCAAUUGUGAAUCUCAGGUUUCGGUCUGAUGUUAUCGUCACUAGCACUCCAUGCAAUCGCACAAUUUGACGUACGUACAACUCUGUGUGCCUAUCCAAAUCCAGAUCCUUCUUUACAGUGAUAAAGUGGGUCAACUUCGUCAAUCUGUCGACCACUACCCAAAUGGAAUCAUUACCCCUCAGACUCCUUGGUAAGCUUGUCACCAAGUCCAUCGUGAUGUGCUCCCAUUUCCACUUGGGAAUCUCAAGAAGUUGUAGAAGUCCUCCUAGCUUACAAUGCUAUGCCUUCACUUGCUGACACGUCAGACACUUGGCGACAUGCUUGGCGAUGUCCGCCUUCAUACCAGACCACCAGUAGUAUUGAGGCAGGUUCUGAUACAUUUUCGUACUACUAGAAUGAAUGUUGUAACUACUAUGAUGAGCUUAUGAUAAUAUCUCCUCCCUAAGUUUUGCAUCUGUUGGAGAAAUCUUUCCAGAUAUUUUGAAGCUAACAAAACGUUUCUAUCAGUCUAGUCUGGAUAAAUACAGACCUUCUAUUUAGAGUCUGAAGAUUUUCAGAUCACCAGACUCAACGCUCAGGACUCAACACUCAAGACUAUUCUCAUUGACAGUUUUUUUUCUAAUCCAGUGACGAAGGCAAUCCAGAGCCGAAGUAUUUGGUUGAGGAUUUAGUCCUAUCCUCUGGAGAAGAUCUCUUGGCUGGAUAAAAAUAACGGAUUCUUUUAUUCGUAAUCAAGAUCGUUUAAAGAUCUGAUGGUCGACGAAAUAUUCUUGGAAGGUUCUAUUCUUGGAAACCAAGAUCUUGAUUGUAUGGGCGAACAGGAUUGAUGGGCUAUCAUCAGGUUCCUUUAAUAGCUCAAAUGAUCUUCUUGAUUGAUUCCAUCCAACGGGUAGAUUGGAGGAAUUCCUUUGGUAAGUGCCAACGGGUAUGAUGGCAUAAAGGAGUAUAAAAGGAAGACAUUCUAGUUGCUUUAGUGCAUGAUCGAUAGAGAAAUUCCAGAGUCUGAAGCACCUUGAUUAUUAGUUGAUACAUUUUGAGCGAAAUUGUAUACACAAAUAGUGUCUAUACUUAGUGAUACCUUGAGCGAGUGUGGUAGAUCAUCUACACCGAGAAAUCAAGGGAGAACAACGCUGUAACAUCUCUUUGUUCAUAGUGGAAUCCAGCCAAUAGGCUGUCAGUGCAGAAGAGUGGACGUAGGCUUGAAAUAAGCCGAACCACUAUAAACCGCGUGUUCAAUUUUCUCUUCUCUCAGUCUUACUUUGAUUAUUGUUUGUCUCAAAUCUAUCAAUUGUUUAGUAUUGUGCAAUUAUCGAGAAAACUCCUUUAUAUACCUAUUCACCCCCUCUAGGUACUUAUACUAGCUAUAUCAAUUGGUAUCAGAGCUCGUGUACUCACUUUGUUUUACUUCAGAGUAAAAGAUCCAUGGCUAGUAUGCUAGCACCAGGGCUGAUGGAAGGGCAAAGCAAUACCAGACCACCCUACUUUGAUGGAAAGGAUUACAACAUCUGGAAGAACAAGAUGAAAGCUUUCCUACGAUCAAAGGAUCCUUUGGAAUGGGACGUUGUAGAAAAAGGAAUUACUCCUACAGCUGCAUCAGUCUCUGAAAGAGGGAAAGAAACUGUUGAGACCAGCGGAAUGACUCAGGAAGAGAUAAUCAAGAGACAAGCACUCGAUGCAAAAGCAAUUUACUCUUUAUAUUGUGCUUUGUCACCAACUGAAUAUAACAGAAUAUCUUCUUGUGUUACAACAAAAGAAGUUUGGGACAGAUUACAUAUCACCUAUGAAGGAACAGAUCGAGUGAAGGAAACCAGAAUUAACAUUCUCCUCGGUCAAUAUGAAGCCUUCAAAAUGAAACCAGGAGAAUCUAUAAUUGACAUGUUUAGCCGUUUUACAGAUAUUGUCAAUGGUCUUGAGAAUCAAGGAUAAACAAUUUCUGAUCCCAUGAAGGUAAACAAGCUACUGCGUGGACUCUCUAAGGAUUGGAAUCAUAUAAAGACUUCAAUAAGAGAGACGCAAAGAAUUAUGCCACUAUCUGUCGACGAGCUGAUUGGAACUCUUCAGUCUUAUGAAGUGGAACGAAUUAAUGAAGAUGAAGAUCCAAAAGGUAAGAAAUCCACUGCAUUAAAAUCAAAUGAUGAUUCUAAUGAUACAGAUUCUGAAGAUGAUAUGGAUGAUGAGGAGCUUGCUCUCAUGAUAAGAAGAUUCAGAAAACUGAAUAGAAAAGGAAGAAGGUUCAACUCAAAGAAACAAAGUUUUCAAAGACAGCAGACCAAGUCCGUUGAUGAUGAGGAACCAAACAAAGAUGUAGUUUGCUUUGAAUGUAAGAAAAAGGGACACAUCAGACCCAACUGUCCUCUUUUGAAGAAGAAGAGAGGAAAAGCUGAAAAGUUUCGAAAAGCUCUCAAAGCCGAAACCUGGAGUGAUACAGGCUGCGUUUGGUUCAGCAUUUGCAAUGGGCUUUGAGUCCAAUGCAAAUGCUGAAAGCUCAAAGCUACUUGGGAAAAAUGCAAUAGUGUUUGGUAAAAAAAUUUUGCAAAUGAACUUUGUGUUGAAUGUGUGUUUGGUAAGAAUAACAUUUGCAAGGAGCUUUUGAUGGGUAUAAUGUGUAUAUAUAUAUUUUCUUUUCUUUUCUUUUCUUUUCUUUUUUUUUUUUUGAAAAAUCAGCUAAACCCUUCGCCAGCCGGCGAAGGGCUGCGGCCGCCGGCGAGCCAAAUCUAGCGCCGACGGCCGUCGACUGAGGUCGCUCGAGGUCGGGCGACCUCCGGCGAGGGUCGCGCGACCCAGCCGAGGGCCGCCGGAGGUCACCCGAACUCGGGCGACCAGGGUCGCGGUCGCGCGACCCAGGCAACCGCCGCCUAGGUCUCGUGGCCGCAGGCGAGGGUCGCGCGACCCAGGCGACCGCCACCUGGGUCGUGCGACCCUCGCCUGUGGUAGGGAAAUCCCUUAUGAUGUUUUGAAGAUGACAAAAUAAAUCAAAGGCUACUAACAUGUUUGAUGGUUGAGUAAUAGACCAUGCAGAUGUUAGAACAUGUAGAGGAUAUUAUCUAAGUCAGAAGACGGCCAGAAGACUGAACGUAACAUAUGCCUAGAGUAUAUUUUGAAGAUUUCCAGACUUCUGUGUCAAAGUCUGAAGACUGCCAGACUCAAGACUCAAAGCCUGAAGACUGCCAGACUCAAGACUCAAAGUCUGAAGGCCGCCAGACUUUAGUGUCAAAGUCUGUUCUACCUCAGAAGUCUGUCAACUCUGACUAAUUCCAGACUGAACGUGAAUGAUGAACCAGAAGACAGACUCUAUGCUCAAGCUGAACUGGGUACAGACCUUAAAGCUAAAUCUGUUCAGAAGCAGAUAUGUUCAGACCCAGAUUGUAAAGUCUACAGACCCAGAUUAUAAAGUCUACAGACUCAGAUUGUAAAGUCCACAGACCCAGAUUUUAAAGUCUACAGACUCAGAUUGUAAAGUCUAUGGCUAUCAGACUUUACAUCCAGAUUUGACAGAACGUAACUCAAGCCCAAUCAUACAACGGCUAGUGAUCUGGUUUGGAUUCCACAUCAAGAUUGAUUUGAUUGAUUCAAUCUAAUUGAUUGACAAUUGGAUGUUGAAGACAAGAACUUUCUAUACGAAGAAGCUUUACUUAUGGAAACCAAGAUUUCGUUUGUAUGGGCGAUCGGAAUCAAUUUGGGAUUUUACCUUUGUCACUCAACGGCUACCAAAUCUUCUAGAUACAGAGCUGUCCAAUGGGUAUAUUGGAAGACGAUUCUCUGGGAUGCUGUCCAACGGCUAGUUUAGAAGUGGAGGAGUAUUUAAGGAGAUUAUGGACCGAUGAGCAAGUAAGAGAUGGAGCGUAGAAUUUAUAAUUCCAAAGUCUGAGCGACCUUCGAUCAUAUACUUGUCUCUUGAGAGCUUAAACGUUUGUAAUCGUGAGAGAAAUACCAAGAGAGUGACUUAGUGAGAUAGUGUGAUCUACUACUAAGUGUUUGCACUCGAAGUUGUAAUCUCUUGUUGAUUGCAUAGUGGAAUCCAGCCAAGAAGGCUGUUAUCGUGGGAGAGUGGACGUAGGCUUGGAUUAAGCCGAACCACUAUAAAUCUUGUGUUCUUAUUCUCUUCCCUAACUCCUUUAUUUUUUUCAUACUAGCACUCUCAGCUUGCGGCCGCGAGACCCAGGCGGCGAUCGCCUGGGUCACGCAGCCCCUGGGUCGAGCGACCCUCGCCAAGGGUCGCCCGAGGUCGGGCGACCUCCGGCGGCCCUCGGCUGGGUCACGCGACCCUCGUCGAGGGUAGCCCGAGGUCAGGCGACCUCCGACGGCCCUCGGCUGGGUCGCGCGACCCUCGUCGGAGGUCGCCCGAGGUUAGGCGACCUCAGCCGACGGCCACCGGCGGCAGAUCUAGCUCGCCGGCGGCCAUCGCCCUUCGCUAGUCCGGCGAAGGCUGCUCCCUUUUCAUUUAAAAAAAAUAUAAAUACAAGGACAAUAAUGGAAAUAUGAAAAAUCAAUGAGGGUAGUUUAGGAAAGAACAAAAAAUUUUCAGCAUUUCCAAGGACUCUACUUUCAUUUGAAAGUUCCUUGGGGGGGUUGCCAAACACCCUCUCCUUGGCUAAAGGGGCUUUGGGGGCUGGAUGGGCUUUCUAAAUGCCCAUCCAAACGCACCCACAGAGUGUGAAGAAAGUGAUAAUGAAUAUGCCAACCUAUGUCUGAUGGCACAAUCAGACUCAGACUCAGAUUCUAGAUCAGACUCAGACAGUGAAUUUGAGGCAAGUAAUUUUAAAAUUCCUGUCAAAGUUUCUAAAUACAUUGAUGAACUGUGUUUUAGUCUUAAGACUUCUCUCAAAAGAAUUUCCGAACUUAAAAAGGAAAACUCGGCUCUAAAACAAAAGGAAAACGUUUUAGAAGAAAGAGUUAAAAGUUUAGACUUGAUUGUUUCCACUCUUAAAGAAAAUGAAGACAAUCUUUUGAAAGAAAAUGCCCUUUUAAAAACUGACUUAUCAAAUAUUUCAAAGAAAUUUUCAAUAGUGUCCGAAAAACUUGAAAAAAUUCUUUCAGCUCAAAGACCUUACUUCAAUAAGUCCGGUCUAGGUAUGACAGCAGAAACAAUUCCCUUGAUUGAUUUUCCUAAAGUAAAAGAAAGAAUUAAGGAAAGACCCUCGAGAGAGGCUUACAAAAAUCAUUUCAAGAAAGUUUUUGUAAAGUCUGUAGGUCGAAAUGCCCUCAGAUGUUCAAAGUGCAACAGUCCGAAUCACUUUGAAAAAGAGUCUCCUAUGGUUUGGAAACCUGUUAAGAAAGUAUGGGCUAAUACUGCUUAUCUUACUAACACCAAAGGACCCAAGAAAAUUUGGGUACUAAAGAAAGCUUGAGACUCUAUUUUAAAUGCAGGUCUCCGUCAAGAAAAAGGUAAAGUGGUAUCUUGACAGUGGAUGCUCAAGACACAUGACAGGAAACUCAAAUUGCUUCAUAAAGCUUGUUCAAGUAAAUGGUGGAAAAGUUUCAUUUGGAGGAAACAGCAAAGGAAGUAUUGUGGGAUUUGGAACAGUGAAAAUUGGAAAUCUCACAAUAAGUAAUGUUUCCCUAGUAGAAGGACUCAAUUACAAUCUUCUCAGCAUUAGCCAAUUGUAUGAUACUGGUUUUAAGAUCUUCUUUCAAGAAGGAACAUGUUCUGGAAUCAGUAAAGACUUUACUCAAUCUUUCAUGGGUCAAAGCCAUGGAAAUAUCUAUCUUCUGGAUGUGAAACCAAAUGAAUCGCAAUGCCUAAUCUCAAUUCAAGACGAAGCAAGCUUAUGGCAUAGAAAGCUUGGUCAUGUCAAUAUGAAGCAAUUAGCCAAAAUCUCAUCAAAGCAACUUGUUCGAGGUCUACCCAAAUUACCAUACCAAAAGACUGAUCCAUGCACUCCAUGUAUUCUGGGAAAGCAGGUAAGAAAUUCAUUCAAGCCAAUAAAUCAUGUCUCUACUAAUCAUGUACUAUAGUUGCUGCAUAUGGAUAUCUUCGGACCAACCAGAACCCAGAGCAUUGGAGGUAAGAAAUAUUGCCUAGUAAUUGUGGACGAUUACUCCCGCUUUACUUGGGUAUAUUUCCUUGCAAGUAAGUCCGAAACCUUCUCGUAUUUUGAAAAAUUUGCUAAAAAUUUUCAAAAUGAAAAAGGAUAUGUUAUCUCAAGUAUAAGAACAGAUCAUGGAGGUGAAUUUGAAAAUCAAGAUUUUACAAAAUUUUGCGAUAAAUUUGGCUUUCAGCAUGUGUUCUCCUCUCCAUAUACUCCUCAGCAAAAUGGAGUUGUGGAAAGAAAGAAUAGAUCUCUUCAAGAAAUGGCUAGAACUCUUUUAAUUGAAAGUAAGAUUUCUUCACGAUUUUGGGCUGAAGCUGUUUCAACAGUAUGCUAUAUCAUCAAUAGAGUUUUCUUAAGACCUAUUCUAGAGAAAACCCCUUAUGAGUUAUUCAAAGAUAAGAAGCCUAUUGUUUCAUACUUUCAUGUAUUCGAUUGCAAAUGCUUUAUAUUGAAAAAUGCAAAAGAUCAAGUUGGUAAGUUUGAAGAAAGAUCAGAUGAAGGUAUCUUCCUAGGAUAUUCUACAUCAAGCAAAGCCUACAGAGUCUAUAACAAGAAGAGUCAGUCUAUGGAGGAGUCAAUGAAUGUCAAAUUUCAAGACUCUACGCAAGAUGAAUCCAGUCAGACUCAUCAUGAAGAGUCUGAACCUGCUCCAGACCCUCCAAAGCUUACAACUCAAGAAGCAUCUUAGACUCUGGAAGACCAGCAUCAAGCUAUUCGUGAAGAUUCAAAUAAAGAAAGAGAUCAUCAACCAGACAAAUCAACCAGUAACUGGAAGCAUAAGUCCAGUCAUCCCAAAGAUCUCAUUAUCGGCGAAAUUAAUGAAGGAAUUCGCACCAGAUCCAAAAGGAGUGAAGAGUCUAGUGCUGUGGCUCUCAUUUCUGAAAUUGAACCAAAGAGCAUAGAAGAAGUUUUAUCUGAUGAAAGCUGGAUUAAAGUUAUGCAAGAAGAGCUCAGACAAUUCAACAUUAAUGAUGUCUGGGAAUUGACAUCUAAACCAAAAGGUAAAACUGUUAUUGGAGCUAAAUGGGUGUUCAGGAACAAAAUGAAUGAGAAAGGAAGAGUCGUACGAAACAAGCAAGACUCGUGGCCAAGGGAUAUACGCAAGAAGAAGGAAUAGACUAUGAUGAGACUUAUGCACCAAUAGCAAGGUUAGAAGCUAUUCGACUAUUACUUGCAUUUGCUUGUUAUAAAAAUUUCAGGUUAUUCCAAAUGGACGCCAAAAGUGCCUUCCUAAAUGGAUUUAUCCAUGAGGAAGUUUAUGUGGAACAACCACCAGGGUUUGAAGACCCAAAGAAGCCAGACUCAGUCUUCAGACUGAAAAAGGCCUUGUAUGGUUUAAAGCAAGCACCUCAAGCUUGGUACGACAGACUAAACUCAACAUUUUGAAGCUUGAGGAAGUUAAAGUCUAGAGAGUCUCCAACCCUCAGACUCCGACAUUCAUGGCUAUAGACUGUAAGUUGUUAUUAUAUUCAAUCUCGAAAAGGUACGAUCAUUAGUUCAGUUAAUUUAUAAUUUCCGUGAAAAACUGAAUCUUGUCUUUUCAAAAAGAUUAACUUCUAUUUGGCAGUUAUUGAUUUUAAAAGAGAUGUCUGUUCCUUUUCCUUUGUGCCGAUUGGUUUUUCCUUUUUAAACUGAGUUAUAUAUAUAUAUAUAUAUAUAUAUAUAUAUAUAUAUAUAUAUAUAUAUACAGUUUUUCCUCGCUUAAACUUCAAAACCCUAAAAAGGCAUUCUCUUCCCAAUUCUGUCUCUACUUCGUGUUUAGCUUCGAGAAAGUUGUCAUCUUUUCUUGGAAAAGCGAGUAAAGGAAUCUUUCAACGACAAGAAAGGAUGUCUUCCUCGAGAAAGUCUUCACGAAUCGCAAACAGGGGACCACAGAGAAUGAGGGAGGGGCUUACCCAUUUCGAUCUCACCGAAGAGGAAGAUUUACCGAGUCAGCAACAGAGCCCGAUUCACUCUCCACCACGUCACUCUUCAUCAUCUACCCCACAAGGUGCGGGUCAACAACCGGAGGAUGAAACAAUCGAGGACUCAGACCCUGUAAGAGUCCAAAAACCCUCUUUUAUUUACAAGCUCUAUCGUGCGUUGAAGAGCAUUGGGACUCCGCUAAACUAUAUAGAUGAUUUCCUUAAAGAUAAGAAUUAUGGGAAUGAGCAUAUAUUUUUGCGAUGAAUGGAGGAUUUGGGAAUUGCUCCCAAAGGAAAGGCUGAGGAAGCACUUGCAAACAUUCCAAGUGACCCUCGUGUAUCGGGACUGAAUCCGACUGACGGGAACGAUGAUGAUAAAAUGUUCAGUGAAUUUCAACCUAGAAUGGGUGUUGCUGCGAAGGUGAAGGGAAAAAGGAUGGAUUUGUUUAAAUCGAAGGAACAGGAGAAUAUGUUCUUCAGACUGUUGAAACGAGGGGUGAUAAACCCUAGGAGUGUUGAUUUCGAUUUCUUGGAUGCCAUUAAUGUGAACUUAAGGGAGAAGUUCAAUCUGCUUCAACUAGAGCAAUUUUGCUCCGAUACCACAGACGGUUAUGCGCAAUUGACAGCAUACUUCUAUUCGAAUCUUAGCUGUUUAGAUGCGAAUAGAAUAUCCUUCAGUGUUCGAGACCAAGUCUAUGAGGUAGAUGUGGACAUGUUGGCAGACAUAAUUGGAGUUGAAAGAGGACGAUAUAAACCAAUCAAGGUUUCAAUCGCUCGUACCACACUGGAACUUGUCAAAGACAGGAGUACAGAAGGAAGAGUUACCUACUCAAGAAUGCAUGCCAUCAACAUCUUGCUUCACAAAAUUGUGAUCAACUGUAUCAGGCCAAAGUCUACAUCCAAGACUGACGUGUCUAACUCCGAGGCAAAAUUGAUGUACGUGAUCAAUUCAGGGAAAAAGUUCUCUCUCCCUCACACCAUUCUCUUUCACAUGUACAGAGCAAUGGUGAAGGACAAGGGCCAAUUGCCUUAUCCAGGUCUUGUGACCAAGAUCUUCAGACACUUAAACAUUGAACCUCCACAUACUCUUUGUGUUCGACCAUGUGAUAAAAUGGUGGUGGGUUUGAAAAUGCUGACAAAAAUGCGUUUGAAAGAGCUUAAUAAGGCAAUGGAGAAGUUCAAAGUGAAGACUCCAGUAUCUUCUGCAUCAAAGAGAAAAGGGAAGGAGCCCAUGGGUGCUCCAUCCAAAAAGAUGAGAACUCUUAUCUUAAAGGAUGAAGAUGAGGAGGAAGAUCUCACUAUCUCUGCAUUGAAAAGGACCAGACGUUUUGUACCUGAAUCAACAGAACGACAGAAGAUAGGAAAAGAAGCAGAAGAAAAAGAACAGAGAGAAGAAGAGGGACAAGCAAAGAACAGAGAAGCAGAGGAGCAACAAGAGAAAGAGAAAGAAGACGAAGAGAAAGAAGCUGAAGAAGAAGGAGAAGCAGUAAAAGAAAAGUCUGCAGAUGAAGCCGCAGAGAAAGGGAAUCAAGAUGCUAAAGAGCAUGACCAUCACUCUUUACCAAUUGAGGUCCUAGAGACAGGGGGAGAUGGCGAGCAAGGAAGGACUACAUCACAUGCUGUCAACAGUGAAGGUGUGAAUCGCUCACCAGCAAAUCCAGAAGAUUUUCAGGCUUCUCAAAUGCCUGAGGAAGGACAUGAUACGUCAACACCAAAUCUGCUCGAUUACACCGAAGUUCCAUCGUCUGCCUUCACUCCAUCCAAAAGAGCAAAUGCGGGCACUCAGACGGACAAUACCGCAGAUUUUCGUCGUAUCCUUGAUGUUCUUCUGGAAAUGCAGGGUCAAAUCUAUGCUCUGGAAUGUGAACUUCAAGUCAUGAAGAAUGCUGGACAAGCAUCUUCUGUUACCCUGGCAGAUCAAAUGAAAGACCUCGCUCUUCAAAUUCAAGCCAAUGCUAAAGGAGAAGAGGUGGCUCAUCUACGGGAAGACUUGAAGAGGCUGGAAGGCAUCGUCCAGUCGAUGGGAGAUUUCCAGAUUGUGCGCGUUCCCAAGCAGACUUGACUCUUUUCUCACCUUUUUAAUGAUGACAAAAAGGGGGAGAAUUGCAAUUUGAACUCUUUUGAACUCUUUAAACUCUUUAAACUUUGACAUGUUUGAAUAUUUGAGUAUGACUUGGGUGUGAACUUGAAUUUGACUGACUUGUGUGUAGAUUUUGAUGUUUGACUAUUUGCAUUUAUAUCAAGUGUUGUUGUAUGGUUUUACUCAUGAAAGACUAACCAAUUUUCUGUGGAUGCAGAGUCUGGUUGAUUUAUUAAUCUUUAUGAGAUAGCCAUAUUGCUUGAGUAAUGUUUUGUAGGUCAAAGUUGUUCAAAUCUACAGUCAAAGUUGUUCAAAUCUACAGGAAAGUUUUGUCACCAUAAAAAAGGGGGAGAUUGUUGGAGAAAUCUUUCCAGAAUAUUUUGAAGCUGACAAAACAUUUCUAUCAGUCUAGUCUGGAUAAAUACAGACCUUCUGUUUAGAGUCUGAAGACUUUCAGAUCACCAGACUCAGCACUAAAGACUCAAGACUCAAGACUAUCCUCAUUGACAAUUUUUUUUCUAAUCUAGUGACGAAGGCAAUCCAAAUCCGAAGUAUUUGGUUGAGGAUUUAGUCCUAUCCUCUGGAGAAGAUCUCUUGGCUGGAUAAAAAUAACGGAUUCUUUUAUUCGUAAUCAAGAUCGUUUGAAGAUCUGAUGGUCGACGAAAUAUUCUUGGAAGGUUCUAUUCUUGGAAACCAAGAUCCUGAUUGUAUGGGCGAACAUGAUUGAUGGGCUAUCGUCAGGUUCCUUUAAUAGCUCGAAUGAUCUUCUUGAUUGAUUCCGUCCAACGGGUAGAUUAAAGGAACUCUUUUGGUAAGUGCCAACGGGUAUGAUGGCAUAAAGGAGUAUAAAAGGAAGACAUUCUAGUUGCUUUAGUGCAUGAUCGAUAAAGAAAUUCCAGAGUCUGAAGCACCUUGAUUAUUAGUCGAUACAUUUUGAGCGAAAUUGUAUAUACAAAGAGUGUCUAUACUUAGUGAUACCUUGAGCGAGUGUGGUAGAUCAUCUACACUGAGAAAUCAAGGGAGAACAACGCUGUAACAUCUCUUUGUUCAUAGUGGAAUCUAGCCAAUAGGCUGUCAGUGUAGAAGAGUGGACGUAGGCUUGAAAUAAGCCGAACCACUAUAAAACCGCGUGUUCAAUUUUCUAUUCUCUCAAUCUUACUUUGAUUAUUGUUUGUCUCAAAUCUAUCAAUUGUUUAGUAUUGUGCAAUUAUCGAGAAAAAUCCUUUAUAUACCUAUUCACCCCCAUCUAGGUACUUAUACUAGCUAUAUCAGCAUCGUCAGGUACACACAAUCAUCCUCGGAACCUCAGUGUUCCAUCCUCAGAAAUCUGAAAAUCAGCCUUUCUCUUAUUGGUAUUCUCUUGUAAAAUUUUUUGAACAUCUGGGUCUGUUGAUUGAAGUAUCUUGAUCCUGAUCUGCAUAUCCGGUUCAAUUCUGAGGAUGGCAAUAAGAUUCGAAAAGUGGCCUUCCUCAACUUUGAAAGCCGAAUCUUGAGCUCUCUCGAGUAAAACCCAUUCCUUAACCAUCAUCUGUGUGACUGAAUACUUCCGACUCAAAGCGUAGGCAACCUUAUUUGCCUUCCCAGGGUGAUACAAAAUAUCACAAUUGUAGUCCUUUAGAAGUUCCAUCCAACAACGCUGUCUCAUAUUCAACUCAUUCUGAGAUAAUAGAUACUUGAGACUUUGAUGAUUAGUGAAGAUGUGGAAUCUUUCUCCACACAAAUAAUGCCUCCAAAUCUUCAAAGUGAAAGUGAUUGCUACGAGUUCCAAGUCGUGCGUCAAGUAAUUUAGCUCAUGAGGCCUCAACUGGCGGGAAGGCUAGGCAACAACCUUAUCAUGUUGCAUUAGCACGCAACCCAAUCCUUUGAACGACGCAUCACAAUAAAUCUCGUAUCCUCCAAGACCAGAUGGAAUGGUCAGCAUAUGUGCAGUAGUUAGCUUCUGCUUAAGCUCUUGGAAACUAUGCUUGCACUUGUCUAUCCACACAAACUUCUCUUCUUUCUUCAAGAGUCGAGUCAACGACGACGCCAACACUGAAAAUCCUUCCACAAACCUUCUGUGGUAGCCUACUAAACCCAAAAAACUUUUGAUCUCUGACACUGUCAACAGUCUUGGCCAGUUAAUCACUACUUCAAUCUUGGACGGGUCCACGAAGAUUCCUUCACCUGAAAUCACGUGACCUAGGAUCGCAGCACAAGUCAAUCAAAACUCGCUCUUGCUAAACUUAGCGUACAAUCCAUGAAUCCUUAGGGUCUGAAGUACCAUUCUCAAAUGACUCUCAUGCUGCUCAGCACUUCUCGAAUAUACCAGAAUAUCGUCGAUGAACAUGAUCACAAACUGAUCUAGAUACUCUUUAAAUACUCGGUUCAUCAAAUGCAUAAAACCAGCUGGAGCAUUUGUCAAACCAAAUGGCAUUAUAGUGAACUCAUAAUGGCCGUAUCGAGUACAGAACACUGACUUCAGUAUAUCCUCAUUUCUGAUCCUCAGUUGAUGAUACCCCGUUCUCAAGUCGAUCUUUGAAAAUAUUGACGCUCCUUAUAACUGAUCAAACAAGUUGUCGAUCCUCCAAAGUAGAUACUUGUUCUUGAUCGUCACCUGAUUGAGUUAAUGAUAGUCGAUGCACAAGCACAACGAACCAUCUUUCUUCUUUACGAAUAAAACCAGUGCUCCCCAAAGUGAUGCACUAAGAUGUAUGAAUCCCUUAUCCAACAAUUCUUGCAUUUGCACCUUUAGUUCUUUCAACUUAGAUACGACAUCUGGUAAGGAGCCUUAGAGAUUGGCUCUAUCACGGGUGCUAACUCAAUCACAAACUUGGUCUCUCUCUCUAGCGGUAGGCUUGGCAAUUNNNNNNNNNNNNNNNNNNNNNNNNNNNNNNNNNNNNNNNNNNNNNNNNNNNNNNNNNNNNNNNNNNNNNNNNNNNNNNNNNNNNNNNNNNNNNNNNNNNNNNNNNNNNNNNNNNNNNNNNNNNNNNNNNNNNNNNNNNNNNNNNNNNNNNNNNNNNNNNNNNNNNNNNNNNNNNNNNNNNNNNNNNNNNNNNNNNNNNNNNNNNNNNNNNNNNNNNNNNNNNNNNNNNNNNNNNNNNNNNNNNNNNNNNNNNNNNNNNNNNNNNNNNNNNNNNNNNNNNNNNNNNNNNNNNNNNNNNNNNNNNNNNNNNNNNNNNNNNNNNNNNNNNNNNNNNNNNNNNNNNNNNNNNNNNNNNNNNNNNNNNNNNNNNNNNNNNNNNNNNNNNNNNNNNNNNNNNNNNNNNNNNNNNNNNNNNNNNNNNNNNNNNNNNNNNNNNNNNNNNNNNNNNNNNNNNNNNNNNNNNNNNNNNNNNNNNNNNNNNNNNNNNNNNNNNNNNNNNNNNNNNNNNNNNNNNNNNNNNNNNNNNNNNNNNNNNNNNNNNNNNNNNNNNNNNNNNNNNNNNNNNNNNNNNNNNNNNNNNNNNNNNNNNNNNNNNNNNNNNNNNNNNNNNNNNNNNNNNNNNNNNNNNNNNNNNNNNNNNNNNNNNNNNNNNNNNNNNNNNNNNNNNNNNNNNNNNNNNNNNNNNNNNNNNNNNNNNNNNNNNNNNNNNNNNNNNNNNNNNNNNNNNNNNNNNNNNNNNNNNNNNNNNNNNNNNNNNNNNNNNNNNNNNNNNNNNNNNNNNNNNNNNNNNNNNNNNNNNNNNNNNNNNNNNNNNNNNNNNNNNNNNNNNNNNNNNNNNNNNNNNNNNNNNNNNNNNNNNNNNNNNNNNNNNNNNNNNNNNNNNNNNNNNNNNNNNNNNNNNNNNNNNNNNNNNNNNNNNNNNNNNNNNNNNNNNNNNNNNNNNNNNNNNNNNNNNNNNNNNNNNNNNNNNNNNNNNNNNNNNNNNNNNNNNNNNNNNNNNNNNNNNNNNNNNNNNNNNNNNNNNNNNNNNNNNNNNNNNNNNNNNNNNNNNNNNNNNNNNNNNNNNNNNNNNNNNNNNNNNNNNNNNNNNNNNNNNNNNNNNNNNNNNNNNNNNNNNNNNNNNNNNNNNNNNNNNNNNNNNNNNNNNNNNNNNNNNNNNNNNNNNNNNNNNNNNNNNNNNNNNNNNNNNNNNNNNNNNNNNNNNNNNNNNNNNNNNNNNNNNNNNNNNNNNNNNNNNNNNNNNNNNNNNNNNNNNNNNNNNNNNNNNNNNNNNNNNNNNNNNNNNNNNNNNNNNNNNNNNNNNNNNNNNNNNNNNNNNNNNNNNNNNNNNNNNNNNNNNNNNNNNNNNNNNNNNNNNNNNNNNNNNNNNNNNNNNNNNNNNNNNNNNNNNNNNNNNNNNNNNNNNNNNNNNNNNNNNNNNNNNNNNNNNNNNNNNNNNNNNNNNNNNNNNNNNNNNNNNNNNNNNNNNNNNNNNNNNNNNNNNNNNNNNNNNNNNNNNNNNNNNNNNNNNNNNNNNNNNNNNNNNNNNNNNNNNNNNNNNNNNNNNNNNNNNNNNNNNNNNNNNNNNNNNNNNNNNNNNNNNNNNNNNNNNNNNNNNNNNNNNNNNNNNNNNNNNNNNNNNNNNNNNNNNNNNNNNNNNNNNNNNNNNNNNNNNNNNNNNNNNNNNNNNNNNNNNNNNNNNNNNNNNNNNNNNNNNNNNNNNNNNNNNNNNNNNNNNNNNNNNNNNNNNNNNNNNNNNNNNNNNNNNNNNNNNNNNNNNNNNNNNNNNNNNNNNNNNNNNNNNNNNNNNNNNNNNNNNNNNNNNNNNNNNNNNNNNNNNNNNNNNNNNNNNNNNNNNNNNNNNNNNNNNNNNNNNNNNNNNNNNNNNNNNNNNNNNNNNNNNNNNNNNNNNNNNNNNNNNNNNNNNNNNNNNNNNNNNNNNNNNNNNNNNNNNNNNNNNNNNNNNNNNNNNNNNNNNNNNNNNNNNNNNNNNNNNNNNNNNNNNNNNNNNNNNNNNNNNNNNNNNNNNNNNNNNNNNNNNNNNNNNNNNNNNNNNNNNNNNNNNNNNNNNNNNNNNNNNNNNNNNNNNNNNNNNNNNNNNNNNNNNNNNNNNNNNNNNNNNNNNNNNNNNNNNNNNNNNNNNNNNNNNNNNNNNNNNNNNNNNNNNNNNNNNNNNNNNNNNNNNNNNNNNNNNNNNNNNNNNNNNNNNNNNNNNNNNNNNNNNNNNNNNNNNNNNNNNNNNNNNNNNNNNNNNNNNNNNNNNNNNNNNNNNNNNNNNNNNNNNNNNNNNNNNNNNNNNNNNNNNNNNNNNNNNNNNNNNNNNNNNNNNNNNNNNNNNNNNNNNNNNNNNNNNNNNNNNNNNNNNNNNNNNNNNNNNNNNNNNNNNGUAUCCACAACAAUUGCCAGGUAACCCUGACAAUCCCCGUCUAACAAACAAGUUGCCUCAAGCAACGAGAUUAAAGUAAUCGAGAGUCCUCUUCGAUCCCCAACAAACUCGAAAUUUUCACCCUAUAACGGGUCAAACUGAAUCACUUUACGAUAGUAGUCCAUCUUAGCUCGUUGCUUGGUGAGUCAAUCCAUGCCAAUUAUCAAAUCAAAGUUAUACAUGGCUAGGACUAACAAGUUUAUCUUCCCCUCUCGCUCGCCAAUCACUAAAUUGCAACCACUGACCCCAACAACUCAGGACUUAAUCCUAUCAGCUUAACAUAUUGCUCAGCAACAAAAGAACGAGUCACUCCAGGGUCAAACAAAGCAUAAGCAGCAUGGUCGUUCAGCAAAACCGUACCUAUAAUCACAUCAGGCACGUCCUCUACUUGACCUCUGGUGAUGGCAUCAUACACUAUCCCUUGAGCUGGGGGUAUGUUCUGUCCACCCUACGGUGCAAACUACGGUGCUACACCCCUUAUCUAAUCUAUCAGUGGCAGCGGCAGUAACUACUGUUGUCCCCUCAAUCUUCUGGGACGAUCUCUGACCUGGUAACCCCGUUGGCCACAUUUAAAACAAGCACCCAUUCUCUGAGGGCAUGAGGUCGUAUAAUGUCGCCUUCCAUAUAAGCGACAUACAUCAUUCUGAUUUGGAACUAACUUUCCAAUUCCACCCUUCCGAUUAGGCAGAACAUGGAACCUUCCUCCGGUCAUGGGCCUCUUCCAUACCGGUUCCCAUCUCUAUUCGAAUUAAACCUCGAUCUAGACGAGACGGCUUGUUCAUUCAAACUUUUCUUUGUCAGUUGGGCUCGGUUGUAAACCUCAUGAUAGUCUUUUAGAUCGAACGGCACCAGCGGGUUUGUCAACUCUAGUCGAAGGUCAUUCCUAAACCUUCGGGCUUAGUAUUCUGGAUCCUCUAUCAAUCUCGGAGUAUAUUGAGAAAGCUCCGUAAACUUGACCUCAUAUUGGUCAACAGUCAUCAUCCCUUGGCGGAGGCGUUGAAAUUCCUUCAUCUUCUGUUCUUGGGUGCUACCCGAAAAGUAAUUGUCGUUGAAGGCUUUGAGGAAAGUGUUCCACACCGAGACUACACCUUCUAGAAAUAUUGUACCUCUGGCGGCCCUCCAUUAGGUAUUCGCAUUACUGUGCAGUUGAUAUACUACCAGGACAACUUUUUCUGCCUCAGUGUAUAUCAGAAGUGCAAAGGCCUUCUUCAGAUCUUGAAUCUAAAGUGAUGUCGUCUCUGGAUCUUCGGCAGGUUCAACUUUAGGAACUGCUCUACUAACUUAUGGAUUAGUCUCUCCCUCUCCACAACUAUGUUCCCAGCUGGAACUUCAGCGGGUGCGGCAACGGUGGCGACUUCAGCAAUGGUGGCAAUGGCAACAGCUUGAUUCUGGGCUUACUGCCCCAUCAGAUUUCUCAUCGAUUCAAGUGCUUGCAUGAUCCCUUUGAACCUAGGGUCACCAAGGGCUGUUACCCUAGCACCAACAGGAGGCGGUGCUACUCCACUAGCGCUAGCCUGAGCUAGCACUCGACCACGACCUCCUCGGAUACCGACCCUCGUCGGAGUCCUACCUCGAGUAAUAAGCCCGAUGAUCCUCUUUCUAGGAGUCCUCUGCUCCUGAUCACUCAUCUCACAGGGUCUUUAAAGAAAUUUGCUUUCCAAUUCUACACAUAAUUAGAAGCUGAGCAAUCACAAACAAACAAUCUACCAACCAACUAACACAGACAUGCACCAGCAUGAAAUAAAUGCCAUUCCUACUAACUAUUCCAUAACUUAUCGUACCUUAUCACUCCAACUAUUGACCAGCUCUGAUACCACUCUAGGCGAGGAUGUGACGUCCCGAUCCUCUGAGUGCGUGCCCAUCCCUCAGUGGUCGAUUAAAUUGACGUCCCAGGACGUGUCACGACCCAUUCAUUUUAAUGCACAUGCGAAAGCAAAUAAUAAAUCCCUAGACAGCAGAAAGAUAGGUUAAAAAAACAUGCCCACAAAUUUUUAAACCACAACACACUUAUAUACAUAUCAGACUAAGUCAUAUAUAAUAUUAGCCGAUAUAUACAAUUCUACAAAAAAGGGUAGAGGGCUAUAGAUCCUCUAAGCAUUCGAGUCUUCAACUGAAUACUCUAGGGACUAUGGAUCUGAAAUACUCGAGUCUACCAUUGAACCAUGUGGAAGGUCAGUCAUGUCCUUGCCAAAAGCAAUCUCCAGCACCGACCUAGGAAUCUCAUACUCUAAAAGGAGGCCUUCUCUAGGUCCAUCUCGCCCGUAACGAUACCAUGAUCUAAAUUGAUGGGAUACCUUCUAGGAUAGACCCUUAUAAACUCAGACAAUGGAUCUUACGAGUUCGUAGACCCAGGCUCCUUGACUCCUAAAGAAGGGAAUCUGAGAGUGCUGUUCGGUGACCUUCUUCGGUUGGCCAAAAUACUGGGGAGGUACGGCCAUCUAAGGACCUGUAAAUAUUAUCCCAUAACGGGGUGAGACGACAUCUUAGUAAGUUCACCCCCUAAACUCUUAUUAGGAAUGAAAUAUGCCUAAAGGCUACCUAUGCACACAAGAGAUAGGCUACUUACAUUUUCCUCAGUUGCUUCUUGCAAGUUAGUAUGAUUCAUAUAUUCAACGAAUCAUUUCAAUUCGAAUCAAAUCAUCAAAUCAAAUCGAGUCAUCGAUCAAUUGAUCCAAUCGAUUCCAUACCAUCAACACCAUCUCUUAGUUAACCCAUUAAAUACUAUCUAUAAAGUCCGAUCACAUCAAGGACUGCUCACCCUAAGCUGAAGAUAGAUAGUAUUGCUUAUCAAAAGCUGAUAAUAGAAUAUACUACUCACCUUAAGUUGAUACAUCAAGGGUCGCAGGCUAAUAUAGUAUACUAAUAAUGCUUACCAAAGCUGUGUGAUACUUAAUAUGCUCACCAAAGCUGUGCAUUACUUAAUAUUUAUUGUACCCGAUAAAAUAAUCGUGUGUGGGUACACAGUCGGCCUUAGCCAAUAUACAAUAAUUUCUCUUUUACAAAAUCCCACUAAAUAUAAUAGCUCACACACACAUUUUUGGCACUGUAAACCGAUGCCCGGUAUUUUCUAAUUAAAUACUGAAAUUACCCAAUUUGGAAAAAUUUCCAAAAUUACAAAUAUCACUCAAAUAGCACAAAUUAGCAUCCAGAUAAAUAAAUCAAACACACCAUUAUAAUCGACACAAAAUUCCUGUCACCGGCUAUUCCGGUAUAAUUUCUGGAAAAUAAUAAAUAAUUGAAUAAUUACCAAAAUUAAUUAAAUAAAUAACAAUAAAUACCAAAAAUACAAGCUUAGGCCGGAAUAGCCUAUUAAAUACCAAAAUGGGCCCGGAAAAUUUCCAAACCUAUCUAGAUAAAUAAUACGACAUAUCUACUUGCUAAUUACACUACUCUAACCACCUAACAUACAUAAAUGAAUAAUUAAAUUGUUAAUCCAUUCUAACUAACCACAUAAUCUCUAAUUAGCCUAAAUUAAUCAACCCUUUAAGCAUCAUUAACCCCCUAAGUAGAGUUAGCGAGUAAAAUCACUGGUUUUGAAUCCCGAUAAGUUCACAACGACGGGGAUGUGAUGGCAGGCCACAAACUCCGAAGCAAGGGCACCCUACGAGACCGGGAAGGGCUUGGAAAUGGGCCUCGAAGCCCACGGCUUCUUGCUGGACUUGGGUUCUGGUUGGUGGGCCGAGAGGUUGAGCUAGGUGGCGAAACGGCGAAGACGGGUUGGUGAGUGACUACAGCUACUAGGCAGAGGCGAAUGGCGGCCGAACGGUGGCUCAAGUGGCUAGACGGCGACUCGACAGGCACGAGGGAGGCUCAAUAAUAGCCUAGACUUGCGGCUAGGGACGCUGGAUUCCAAGAUAAGUGGCUAGGCGCCGGUCGGCGAUCAUGGGGCACGACAGCGACGCGGCAGAGCUCCGGCUGCUCGGCAAAGCUUUUGAUGGGCUAGGGAGGGGUGUGCUGCUCGGUUCUUUGAAAUUUCAGAGCUUCAAAGUGUCUUUAAUGGGGAAAGCAAGGCUGAGGGAGGAAGAAAGGGGACAACUCUAGCUUGGAAGGGGCCACUCCUCAUCCAUUCUACCCCUUUGUCUCCUUGAUGAGGUCCCACAUGGAUGGGCUGUCUUCCUCAGCAAUUUUCCAGCCACAAAACUUCAUUUAGAAGCCAUUGAAGUGGUCCAAAGGUGAGGGACCAAGGGGCUACAAAUUUUGCACUUUUACACAUCAAUUCCAUUCAAUUCUCCUUCAAUUCACAUCCAAUUGAGCUCAAUUUGUUGUCAAAAAAUCCAACCAAGGUGUACACGAUCAAAUUAACAUUUUUCAUCGCUAAUAAAACCAACUUGCAUCCCAAAAACACAAUGAAAAAUGGUCCCCUGGAUUUUCCAGACGAAAACGGCCCUAUUUUGAAAUUCCGCCAAAAAUCUCGCUUUGCAGAAAAAUGUUAAAAAAAAGAGUUGACGUUCCUAAAAUAACUUGUGACAUGAUGGAACUUUCAAUUUCUGAAAUUGGAUUCAAAUUUGCGGUUAAUUUUGAUCUAGCGCAAUUUUAGCGUUACCUAGCCUACCAGGUAGCUUUAGAAAUUUUUGAUGCAUUUGACCCAUGAUCAAUUUAUUUCGAGUCGCAAUGUACAUCUUUGACACAUUGGCGACUCUUGGUGGUAGUGAAAAUCUCGAGAUUUCAAAUGCGGACACAGGGUACCAAAAUGGCAAAAAAAUUGGCCUAGUGCCAAUUGACGAAAUUUUGCAAUCUAGUGAAAUCACCCACACUUUAAUCAUCCAUCUCAGUUGAAACAACCUAUCUCUGAUCUCUAAUCGAUUUUUAACUGUGCCAUAAUUAUCUCUGCAGAUGAGUAUGGUCGAGUAGUCAAUUCCUGGUCGAAUUCUCAAGUCUAUUGCAUUAAAAUUCUUUAAUGGCUUCCCCUAAUAAUCUAGUUAUCUCGUGAGUGAUCAGCUUAGAGAAUAGCACUAUAGGCGCGUCGAUGAAAGGCCUAAUUUAUUUAAUUGAAAACAAGAUUGAAAUUUUAGGAGGUCACAUCAACUAAUGUUGAUCGUUUGAGUCUUGUGACAUCGAGCAUAUGCUAUUUCUCAGUUAUCAUGAUAUCUUUGCCAUGUGAGGUGCUCUUUUGUUUUGCUCAAGUUUCAUGCAUCUACUAAUAAUUCUAUUCAACUUUUCUUUCUAAGGAUGCUUUUUCUUUUUAUCAUUGUCUAUUCAUGUGCUAUGAGUGCUACUUGAGUUACAUUUGAUGUGAAGCAGUAGACCGCGCUUACUUGACGCCGCACUUUUGAGACCUGGCUGGCUCAACUUAUGUUGUGCGAUUUUCCUUAUAUACAGGAGAGGCUGGAUAUUCUUACACUUCUAUCUAGGAAGGGAGAAAGUUAGCUUCCAUCCAUCUGCCAAUGCUUUUGCUUUGAGCAUUUUAUCUUUGACGUGGUCUAGAACAGGUUGUACAUAUUGAAAUUUAUGUGAUUACUUGUUAAAGAACUAUACAACCGCAAUCCUACUUUUUCCAGAAAGAUGCAUCUGAAAGAUUACAUAUGAACAAAGAAUUGCUUAAAAACAAACAAAAAGAGUUAGAAGCAGAGUCAAUUUGAGGUGCUAAAGAUCCUGUUUUGAACUUACGUCACCUGAAAGAGUGCAUUUGGUGAUUCUCAAUCCUUGCACCCCGAAUCACCCUAUGAACAUUGUAAAUUACAAGAGAACAUUGCACAAGAUGUUGCGGGGGUGGAUCUGCAACACGCUCAGGUGAGGCUCAGUUAAGUUUUGAUGUCCAAUAGUAAAUCACUUUUAACCUUGGAUUUAACAUCUACUGAUGUUGCUCAGAAAGAAAAAUGAGAAAGGCCUUUACAGUUGAUUCCAUGAAACGAGGCUAAGACUUGCCUUUGGUUAUCAUUUAGUAUAACCUUUCUAAGACAUCCUCAUCAUCUCCUUUUUCUUUCUUUUCACUAAUUAGGAAGAUGUUGGGUGGAUUCAAUUAAUUAUAUUAAUCCGAUUCUGUAUAAUUAGUCAGUAAAAGUGGCAACCAUUGGGCAACGUUGAAGUUUUGCUGAGUGUAUGCUUUAAUGCCCUUGUGCAACUUUCUUUGGCCAGUGAUGUGGACUUAGAUGCUAUAACCCAUAUGACAGAGGGAUUUAGCAGAGUGGAUCUUCAAGCUUCGCUUUCAGAUGCACAGCCUCAAGCUAUUCAUGAUCUUCUCGACAGUAGGGAGGGCGAUCAACAUAGGAGAAAGCCAAUUAUAUCCUCUGAAGUCCGUUGCUUCAAAGGCAAGGCUGUCAGUCUCAGAUGUUGAGAAGAGAAGAUUCCGUAGAAAUUUUUUUAUUCAUUGAAUUCUAUUAUUUAUCCAUGCAACAAGAAUUGUGCAUCUCCAAUCAGAGUUUCAACUCCAGAUUCUAAUAGUGGCUUAUUAUGCAUAUGUUGUAGUUAAUCCCUACAAUAAUCUCUUUUUCGUAUGGGAACACGACAUCUAUGGAACAAUUCAUCAAGUGAAUUUGCAACUUCCAGUCACAAAUUUCAAGCAGUUGCGACAUUUUGGUAGGAGCUACUAUUUUCACAGCUUCUUUGGCUUAGAGCACCGCACGAGACAAAUCAUGGGCUCAAGAUUUCGCUAUGAAGGACAAUGGAAAAUUAUGAGCCCGAGUAAUUCAAAUGAAAUCAUUUGCACUAUGUUCACGUUAUUUGUUGUCAUUGUAUAAAAGGGUUUGAUGAACUGUGCUAUGAUAUUUCAUGGCGCAAUUCAUCAGUUUAGUUAUAGUGACUUUUGUUUGUGAAUAUGCUUUUUUCUUUUGCUCUUGGCUUGAAAGAAUCUCUUUGGAACUAUUGUCAAAUCGGUGUAAAUCAAAUAAAUCAUGAAUACAUCAAGGCACGAGAUUGUAGAUGAUCGGCUUAACAAUGAGGAAAAGUGACAUGGAGAGACCACUUACAAGCUCCCUUAUCGCAAGUGAAUCUUUUUUCCUCAAAUAAAUGACAUUUACCAUGUAGAAGAUAUUUAUUCCAAAGAUAAGAUCGUUUUACUACAAGAGUGAGUAACCUAUAUAUCAAGUGAAAAAGUUAGACAGUUGAGAUUACAUUUCUACAUUUCUUUACGUAUGAUGGUGAGAGAUCUAAUAUUAUGAUGAGGUGACUUCGCUAGAAAAAGCCAUUUCAGAUAUGUUAGGUGAUAUUUCGUUUAUGGGAUAUAAUAAGAUAGGAAUGGAAUGGUUAUUCCAUAAAAUUGGAAGAGAGUGGGAUUGGGAAUGGAACAGCUAUUUUGUAAUUUGGUUUGUAGAAUGGAUUCAAAACUACUCUCUUGUUUGUUUUACCAUGAUAUGAGGGAGAAUAAGUUAAGAAUAGUAGAGAAUACCCAUAAUACCCUUUGACGAUAUAUAAUCAAAGUCUAAUUUCUUUUAUUAUCAUAUUUUCAUAGGACAUAAAUGAAAACCUGCUAUAAUUUCAAAAUACUCGCAAUGUUUUAAUUUCUACUGUAAGUAACCAUUAUUUUAUUAAUCAAUAAUAAUUAAACCAUAAUAUAAUUACUUAAUGAACUAAUUAUUAAACAAUAGUAUAAUUACUAAAUAGAUAACUUUUAUUUUUAUAUAAUAACUACCAUUCAAGUCAAGCCAAUAAAUAAGGCCAAGCUCAAGCUCAACUCCUAUUAGAUAUUCAAUGCUCGGGGUUCCUUUCUAGCUAUGGAGUAUUAAAUAUCCAGCUUUAGCUUCACUUGAAAAAAAAAAAUCUAAAUAUUCAAGCUCAAGUCGACUCGAUACAGUCUAGUCAUAAUGAGCUCGAGCUCGAGCUCAAUAGUUACAAAUAUUGUUCUCUGCUUCAUUAGAAAUGGUAUCUUUUAGACAUUGAACUCCAUGUACUGUAAGCACUUCCUUAGUUGGAAAGUGUGAUAUCCUGAUUUUUCGGGUUCUGUUUUUUAUUGAAUAAGCUGGGCUUUUCAUCAAAGCACCUAUCGUUCUAUUCUCUGAGCUAAUCACUCACGAGAUAACUAAUCUAUAUGGUGAAGCCGUUAGCGGAUUUUAAUGCAAUAGACUUGAUAAUUCGACCAAGAAUCGACUGCUCGACCGUGUUUAUCUGCAAAGGUCAAUACGGCACUGUCAAAAUUGAUCGGAGAUCGGAGAGAGGUCGGUUCGACUGAGAUAUGUGAUUAGAGUAUGGGUGAUUCCACCUAAUUGCAAAAUUCUCGUCGAGCGGCACUAAACCGAUUUUUCUGUCACUUUUGUACCAUGUGUCCAUAUUUGAAACCUCGAGAUUUUCACGACAAUCGAGAGGCGUCAAUGAGUUGAAGAUGCACAAUAUGGCUUCAAAAUAAUCGACUAUAGGUCAAUUGCAUCAAAAAUUCCUAAAAGCUACCCGGUAAGCUAAGUUACGCUAAAAUUGCGCUAGAUUGAAAUUAACCGCGAAUUUAAACUAAAUUUCAAAAUUGAAAGUUCUGUUAUGUCACGAUUCAUUUUAGGAACAUCGACUCAUCCUUCAAAGAUUUUUCUGCAAACCCAAGAUUUCGGCAAAAUUUCAAAGUGGGCCGUUUUGGACUGAGAAAAUUGGAGGACCGUUUUUUAGAGCACUGUUGGCCAUCAAGUUGGUUCAAUUGAUGAGAAAAAAUCCUAAGAGGGACGAUGGCAUCUUAGUUAAAUUUAUAGGGACUGAGUUGAGUCCAAUUGAGGGAGAAUAGAAGAAGAAUUGAAGUGGAUUUGGGGGAAAUGUGAUCAAAAUUCGUAGGCCAUGGUCCCCUCAACCUUUGGACCACUUCAAUGGCUUGCUAAGGAAGCUUUGGUGGCUGCAAAAUGGCUGAGGAAGACAACCAAAGUGGUGGGCCAAGUGCUUGAGCACAAAUUAGAUAGAAAGGAAGACUUUUGAUGCAAGUGGUCCCCCUCCAAUCUUCGGCAGCCCCUUCUUCCUCCUUGCCGCUCACUUUAUCCAUUGUUGAAGCUUUGGAAAGCUUGACAGAACUAGAGAAACCAGCCCUCACAUCUCUCUCUCUCUCCCCUCUUCAACCCCAAAGAAUUCGUAAUCUUUUCUCCCCUAUCUUCCUUCUCUACCUGUUUCUACUCUAGCUGACCUUCGUGUGAAAAAUCGACUUAAAAGUUGUCUUCCCGUAAGAAUCAACCUUCGUGCCACCCACCAUCGCACUCAGAAGGCCCAAACUAUUCAGGAGGACCCGGCCACUCGCCGAACAGAGCCACCGGCCCGGAAGAAACCGCUUGCCGGUCCAUCAGUCUGCCUGGCAACCUGCACUACUCUGCCUAUUUCACCUGUUUCAGCCAUUUUUCUUCCAUUUUGACCCUACCUCUGCCCAUCCCAACCACCAGCAGGUCCCCCUCGACCCCCAGGUGCUACCAGUCACUGGCCAACCCCUCGUCGAAACUCCGUCCAAGCCCGUUCAGCUUUGUUUCUCUUCCGGCAGUCCAAUUUUCAGUGUUUCAUUCGGAGUCCGGGUUUGUUGUUGCUAUUCCAGGCUCGGGACCACCUUGGAUCAUUGUGAUAGAGGUUCCUGAGCAUAGCCUCCGUCGUUGCCGUUGCAUUCAUGUCUCUGGCCUGUUUAACGGGUGAGUUUAGUUCCUAAUCCUUUUAUUAGUACCUAAACUUGCUUAGGAGGUUAAUUAUGCUUAAGAAUUUAUUAGAUUAGCUUAAUUAUGGAUUAUUGAUCACCUAGAAUGGUUAUAUUGGCCUUAAAAUAGAUUAUUGUUAAUCUAAUUAGUGAGAUUAGCACAUUUGAGGAUGGAUUAGUCCAAAUUAGUAGACUUUCUGCAGUUCUGAUUUAUAGACCCUCGCCGCUUGCCAUUUUUGUAGAUCGAAAUGGGUUGCGAAUUUGAAGUUGAUUCCUUCUUGAGAAAUGUUUUAGACAUCUUGAUCUACAACAUGUAUGUUUCUCAAAAUUUUUAGAGAUUUAAAAGUAUGAGAUUUAAGCUCCAUCAUUUGCAAACAGAAUCUCAGACUGUGUUGGAAUUUGUGACCUUUUGGGAUUCUAGGAGUUUUUAUCAACUCUUAGAGUUCGAAUUUCAAAAUGAUCUCUUCACAAAAGUUGUUUGUCACCUCUUGCAGUUUAACAUAGUCAAAUUUCAUAUUAAAUGGACAAGUUGUGGAUUUCUAACAAAACUGAUUUCGGAAAAUAAACUUUCUGGAAAAGGAACCAGUUUUUAUAUUGGAUUGAACGAUUUACUAGGUUUAAUGUAGAAGGAUCUAAAUUAAGGUAUCUUCAUGAACAAUGUCCAUUUAUGUGUCUUUUACAACAUAUUCAAAUUUGAGAAUUUUCUAAAUUCGGUUUAUUAGAUUUCUGGAUUUAAACUUAGAGACGUGUGAGUGGACUGUUUCUGCCGGUUAGGGCCAAUAGAAGUUUGUGAUUAUUCUUGGUGCUUUGCUUGCUUUAAUUAGUGUUUUUAAUGAAUUUUGGAUUUUAUUUAUUAGUUAUUAAAUUCUAGAAAUUUACUGUUUACGAGUUACUAUUCAUGAAACACUGUUCACGUGCACUGUUAACCCGAGAAUGAAAAGUUGUCUAAAUUCAUGUAUUUUAAUCCUAUGAAGUAAAUGAGUGUAUAAAUGCAUGGGCAUCCGCAUGAAUUGAGCGAUUUUCACAAAAGGGAAAAUAUGCCUAGUCCGAGGGACAUUGGAAAUGGACCGCCUUUAAGGGAAAAUGAUUUGAAAUUGUAUUUGCAAGCAUCAUACAUGGAUUAAAUGCUCAAAGAUAAGAAGGGAGUUUUAGUGGUGUGCUUGCAUGAUUAAGAAGUGGAAUCUGUCACCCAACGGAAGUUUGGGGGCGAUACCUGACAGGAGUCAGAAGUCGGUCGCAGUAGAUUCUAGACUGAUGUCCCUCUUUAGGAUACUAUCUGAACGGAAGUUCUAGACGAAGCCGUGCCUGACAGGGCGAGACGAAGCCUGAUCUUUUUAUCGGUAGCUCGGUGGAAGUCGGAUGAUCGAGGGCUAGGAGGUCAUUAAUAACUAGAGCACGCAUGAAUGUUAAGGUGGAUGAGCACUAAUUGGAAAGUUAGCUAUGGUCGAUAGGUCAUUAAUAACCGGAACACGCGUGAGGGUUGAGUUGGUUCGGCCUUAUUAUGGGGUAAAAUUGUGUGACGCGGUAUGAGAUGUGUAAUAACGAUUUUACCUUAUAAUCGAGACCCGUGUGAUCAAUUAAUGCAUGAUAGGUGGUGCACUAAAGUGCAAGAACAUAUGUUAAUCAUUGCAUCAUUGAUUUUGGAAAUGCAUGGGUUAAGUACAUUGUUUAUGGGAUGUACGCAUGAAAUGAUAACGUGCAAGGUAUGGCAUACCAAGUAAGGUUGCAUGUAAAUCGAUUUGUUGACUGUUGGUUGUUAGUUAUGGUAUGUUUGUGGGGUGGUUCUGGAGAGAUACCCCGAGUUGAGUUGGUGUCAUAAUCAGGGGCUUAAGGGAGGACUUGCUGAGAUUUUAAUCUCACUGGUUAUUGUAAAACCAUUUUCAGGUCCCUAAUAUGAAGAACCCAGAGCUUGAGGCGGAAAUGUCAUGAGCAUGGAUGGCUCAGUAGUUCUUCUUGGAGAUAGAUCUCUUGUACAUAGACCUUAGAGUUGGCCUCUGUGUAUAAACUAGUUUGUUUAUAAAAAGUGUUUUGGUAAAAAUGGUAUCUUGCUUUUCUAUCACAUAUUUGUGUUGUCUGAGGAUUUUAUUAUACACUUCCGAAUGUGCAAUUAAAAUGAAGGGUCGGCGAUGAGUCCUGAGACAUCGCUUUUCUAUUGACCAAGGAAGGGGUUGUUGCGUGCCUAGGGUUUGGGGCAUGACAGAAGGUUACAUACAUUUCCCCAAUGAGUGAUCACCUAGCUCAAUGGGUCGUGUAGAGUGUGAUAGUGCCUCUUCGAAAGAAUGCAUUUAUCUAGAGAAGGUGGAUGAGAAAAGUACAUGAUCAAACCUUACCGAAUUGAAGUUGCAGCGAGGUAAAAAUGUUUUUUUUUUCAUUUAGAAUAAUUCUUACUUAUUAAGCAUGCUAAUUACUCCCUACAAUCAUAAAUAUACCAAGACAAUAAAAUGUAGAGACCAUCAGUAGAUUUUAAAAUUUCCAUGGGUUUGUAAAAGCCAUUGCCUUUUAAUGGCACAUCACGCAUUACGUUUGACCAACAACUCUUAGGUGUGGAAGGUGACCUUAUGCUGAUUUCACAUUUUAUAGUUUUGCCAUGAUGAAAGAAAACGAGUGGAAAGUGGAGUAUAGGCAAAAAUCAAUUGAUCAGGCCAUGAAUUUGGAUUAAAUGUAAGAAGAUUUGCUUUGUUUGGCUUAGCAAAGCAGAAAAAUGGAAGUCUGGCCCCAAUUGAGAAAAGCUAAUCUUUUUUAUAUGAAUAGCAUAACAAAAGUCUUGCGACCUUACCACCAGCCGUGGUGGCUCCGCUGGGUAGGCUUCAGUGAUCCUUUGCGAGAGAGGGGAGAUGUUCGAAGCCCUUGCAACACAAGGAGGCUGGUGGAGUUACUUGGUGACUUACCCGGUGGCAUGGGGUGGUGGUUUCCCCAUGUUGCCCCCAGGUUCUACCCACCGGCUGUCGGCUUUCGAGGUUUCUUAGGUCGCUAAAAAAAAAAAAAGUGUUGCGACCUUCCCUUGGUAGGUAGUUGGUGGAUUACUAAGUUCAAAAACUUAGCGCAGACUCUAUCACAAGGAGGUUAAUCAUUUUAACAUGCAAAAUCUUAUUUAUUUAGGAGUAGUUGCUAAUGAGUUAUUAGUAGGCUAAUUAAAAAAAAAUCCUUUUCAAUAUGAUGAGCAAAAAAAGCAUUUAAUAUGUGAUAUUUCUAGCCUAAAGAUAAAGGAAGAGAUUUCUCACAAAACAAACAAAACAAACAAAAAGAUGAAAGGGGAUCCAUUAUUCUUUGGUCACGCCGGAUGUUGGGCAAUUUCUAUGAGAUAUUGCACUGAACUUUGAUCUAUAUGUAAAAGAACAUAGAGGAGUUGAAUGCUUUCCCUAGAAUCAUACACGGAGAUUCUGGAUUCUUUGAAAAAUAUAUAUUUAAGUUGGAAUGCAUGACAAAAUUUGAAAGCACCAACCGUGAAACUUUUCGUGUCAUGAAAAUGCCCAAAGAUAAGAUCAUUUAUGUUUUGACAUAAUUUUAGGAUGCUACUCUAAAUAAGAUUUUUAUUGCAUAUAUACGCUCUCCUAAUUCUAGGAGGGUAGCAUAUAUAUUAGAAAGCGUAAUGAACUUAGUAUAAUUAAAUUUAACAAAAUAUCACCUAAAUACAUGACAAAAGUGGAAAAGACGAGAUUAAAAAGGAAAAAUUGCAUAUAAAUUGUCAGUGGGCCGAAUUAGAUCCACAGUACGAGCAACCAAGCCUACUCUCUCUCUCUCUCUCUCAUUUUAAUUUCAAGCAUAGAAAAAUUAGGGUCUAGAUUUGUUGUUCUGCUGACAUGGUAAAUAGAGUCGCAUCGAAAAUUUCCAUAUAGGCUUAGUCUUUCAGUGCCUUUCAGCAUGUUCACUCUUUCUUUCAUUUUUUUCUUCCCUUUACAAGAGACAUGGAAUUUGAUUCAUACCUUCCAAUCAGAGAUUAUUAGGCUAGUUAUUAAGUGAGCUCCAUAAUGGAAUUGAUCCAUUUCAAGGAAUAGCUACCUCAUGAUUCAUACAUGGCGUAUUAGAGUAAUUAAAUAUUAAACUACACAUUCAUUUAAAAGCUUAAGCUUUUAGAAUAGUUGGUUGUAGUCCAACAAAAUCUCAUAUGGUAUUGGAGCUUGAGGUCCUAAGUUCGAAUUUUUUCAAACCCCAUUUGCUUCCGCAAUUAAAUUUCCACGUCUAAUACUAGGCAAAAAACCAGAUUAAGCAUAAAGGAGAGUGUUAGUAAUUAAAUAUUAAACCACUCUUUCAUCUAAAAGCUUAAACUUUUAAAAGAAGCAGUUGGCAGUGGUCACAAAAUUUCAUAGGACGUCAUAAAAAUAGAACCUUCGUCUUCGGCAUGAGUAUAUAAACUCAUUUUACCGUGGUUGGCAAUAGUUCCACAAAAUAUUACAGGACGUCAUAAAAAUAGGACCAACAUCUUCAGCAUGAGUAUAUAGACUCAUUUUACCGCUUCUAAAUGAAGGGAAUCGCUUUGCAAAAUUAGUACGAGAAAUGUGAAUUUUUGUAGUGCAAGCCUCUUCAAAGAGCACAAAUAGGCCAAGUAAUUAGAAAGUUUGUCCCAUCUAUGCAUUUUUACCGAAAAAGCCUAUAAUUGUUUCCACAAGGUUGGGAAACCCAAUUGAAAUCGGGUCCACUUGGGCUUUUACCAUAGAAAUUCGUAUUUAUAAGUGAAAACGCACUAGAAAAGCAUCUUGAUUGGAUCCCGGGAUUCCCGCAAUGAUUGAAUUCCAUAUNNNNNNNNNNNNNNNNNNNNNNNNNNNNNNNNNNNNNNNNNNNNNNNNNNNNNNNNNNNNNNNNNNNNNNNNNNNNNNNNNNNNNNNNNNNNNNNNNNNNUUGUUCUUGAGCGGAGCGGAAACACAAUGUUCCACGCGCAAGUCCUUCUCCUCUAUUGCCCUCUGUAUCACUGGCUCAAUGAGGCGGCCCCCUCAUGUGUAGCAUUAGGUAAACGCCCCUUAGGUGAGAAUAUAUGUGAGAAUUAGGGUUAGAAUAGAGACUAGAGCACUAUUUAUAGAGUUUCCAGCCAGUCCCUCUCAUUACGGGCCAGGCUCAACUCGGCCCACACUAGCUAGACCAUAUUAGACUAAUUAUGAAACAUUCUAUCUCACCUUAGACCAAACCCCGUAAAACGGUAAACGUUAAACGGUAAAUUACAAUAUCAAUUAAUAUAGUCCAUAAUUAGAAAAACUCUUACAUUCUCCCACUUGGACCAUAUUAAUUGAAAUCGUACUGUAUGUGCGCACAUUGGUCCAGAGAUAAUUCUUAAUAGUCAAUCCUAUCCCAUAAAGUCUUAAACACCGAAUCAUGGCGGUAACUGCAUGUAUACACAUAGAGCCUUCCAUGGUCACAAGUGCUCUCAACUUUAUUGAUAUGGAUUCAAUAUGAUAGUGUGGCAAAUGGAUAACAUCUCUCAUAGAGAGAUCUCAUUUGCCAGUCACCAUUCUCUUAACUUUAGGUGUCACAAAAACUUGUGCCACUAGAGAAUGCUUUAUGGUUCCAAUGAACCCACAUAUGUCUUGUCCUUACGGUUAACCUUUCUUUAUGUAUCACAAGACAUAUGCACAAGGCUAAUAACCGGAUGCUCGGAUGCCCCUAGCCUUCACUCAAGGUUUAAGUAAUACCUUGAGACUUUUAACAAUAUAUAUAUUCAACAUAAUAACAAUCCAUUCAAAAUAUUUUAUUAAAUGCAAAAGUUGACAUAUAUAUAUCAAAGUGUUACUAAAUUGUAAAAAAACAGAUGUAGACUUUAUUCAAAGAAAAAUAAAAACACAGCUCCCACUAAAUAACAGUAUCCCAAGAUGCUCCUAGGCCCAUACUAAUGACAUGUCGAUCAAAAACACACGGGCGUAGGCCUUUAGUUAGUGGGUCUACAACCAUAUCAUCUGUAUGAAUAUAAUCUACUGCAACGUCACCAUUCUGAACUGAUUCUUUUAUAGUCAAAAACUUGACCUCCAUGUGUUUAGACCCCUUUAAAAUUCUAUUGUUAUUAAUAAAUAACACUGCAGAGUUAUUAUCACAAUAUAAUUGUAUGGGUCUAUCCACAAAACCAUAAACUGAUAACUCUCUAAUGAGGUUCCGGAGCCAAAUAGCUUGAGUAGCAGCUGAAAAACAUGCUACAAACUCCGCUUGCAUGGUUAAAGAAGAUAGGGAUUUCUGUUUCUCGCUCUUCCAUGAUACUGCACCUCCUUAAAACCUUCUUGGCAGCAACCCAGUGAUCGCGUCCUGGAUUAGACUGAUAUCUGCCUAGAAGCCCUGUUGCAAAAGCAAUAUCUGGCCUAGUGCAAACUUGAGCAUACAUGAUGCUUCCAAGCACACUAACAUAAGGCAAAUCCUUCAUUUGAGCUUUCUCAAAAUCUGAAUUAGGGCAUUCUGAAAGACUCAAUUUAUCACCCUUAACAACAGGAGCAAUUCCUGAUUUGCAAUCCUGCAUAUUGAAUCUUUCUAAAAUGCGAUCAAUAUAUGCCCUCUGAGAUAAACCCAAUGAACGGCUUGAGCGAUCCCUAUGGAUCUCAAUGCCAAGAACAAAAGACGCCUCACCAAGGUCUUUCAUGUCAAAAUUUUUCGAUAACAUCCGUUUUGUCUCAUGCAGUAAACCAAUGUCACUACUAGCAAGCAAGAUAUCAUCUACAUAAAGUAUGAGAAAAAUAUAUUUCCUCCCACUGACCUUGGUGUAUAUGCACUGAUCUACGUUGUUCUCAAUAAAUCCAAAUGAAGUCACAACACUAUGAAACUUGAAAUACCACUGUCUAGAAGCUCGCUUAAGGUCAUAAAUAGACUUUUUCAAUCUACAAACAAGCUGACCUAAGUCAUCUGCUACAAAACCUUCAGGCUGCACCAUAUAAACCUCCUCAUCAAGGUCUCCAUUUAGAAAAGCAGUCUUAACAUCCAUCUGGUGUAACUCCAUAUCGUAAUAAGCUACCAAUGCUAAGAUCACUCUAAAGGAAUCUUUAGAAGAAACUGGAGAAAAUGUUGCUUCAUAAUCUAUUCCUUCUCUUUGAGUGAAACCCUUAGCUACCAGUCUGGCUUUAAACUUUUCAAUUUUUCCUUUGGAAUCCCUUUUAGUCUUGAAUACCCAUUUGCAGCCAAUAGGUUUACAACCUUCGGGCAAUUCAACAAGCUCCCAAACAACAUUGUGUUUCAUAGAUUGCAUCUCAUCUUUCAUCGCAUCUAACCACAAAUCUGAUUGAGGACAUGAGAUGGCUUCAGUAUAAGUCACGGGAUCAACAACACAGCCUAUGUCAUAAUCAUGCUCUCCCAGGUAGACUAGAUAGUCUGGUGGUAUAGCUGAACGUCUUUCUCUAGUUGAUCUUCUGAGUGGAGCUACUUUAACCUCAUUCUGAAUUUGAGGAGCUUGAGGAAUUUCAUCAGGAACUGUCUCAACAAUAGGAUCAUGAGCCACAUGAGACUCCAUAAUUGUCUGCACAGGAUGAGACAUAGAUCCAGUAAUCCCCACCAUACUAUCAUCUUCGAUAACUUGUGAGCAGCUACCCAUUUCAGCUACAUCAAAUUCUAGAAAUUUUGCAGUCUGAGAUUCCACAAUUCUUGUACCUCCAUUAGGGUUAUAAAAGCGAUACCCCUUUGAAUGGUCUGGGUAAGACACGAAGUAACAUCGAGUAGUUUUGGAAUCCAGUCCGAUCCUCUGGGUAAGACNNNNNNNNNNNNNNNNNNNNNNNNNNNNNNNNNNNNNNNNNNNNNNNNNNNNNNNNNNNNNNNNNNNNNNNNNNNNNNNNNNNNNNNNNNNNNNNNNNNNACGUAAACUGACAAUUCGUGGAUACUCGUACUCAUCAUGAGGAAUAAUAAUGAAUUCGUGGUACUGGUUUUCUCAGGGUAUACCUAAUAUCACGGGCUGUUAUACUUCUAGACAUGCACCGAUUACAGAGCAAACCCAGUCACAAAAAUUGGAGAGAAAAAGUUGCAUCACGGCAUUUCAACUUGAAAUGGUAAGGUCGCAAACCUGAGGAGGGUGGAUGAUACGAGAUGGAACCAUCAUUCAUUUGCCUUCUUUACAAGAUUAUUGAUUUCUUUCUCGAUAUCAGCAAAAUUCAUCUUAUCAGCAUUUUGAAUUUACUGGAACAACCAGUCCCCGUGUGAAAGAAAACGAAUUAACUCAAGCCACAAUUUCUCAUCAGAAUCUAUGUACCUGAUGAUCAAAAGACAAAUCCCUAAUGCCUCACUUAGAGAAAAAUAUCAUGGAAAGGACGAGGAAUUUCUAUAGCCAUUCAGUCAUUUUCUGGAGAUGAAGGGCUACACCAGUAGUUGUUUUAGGUGGGAAAAAGGGCUGCUGAUGCUAGAAGAUCGCAAGAUCAACUCAUCACUUCUCGUGUUUAAUGUCCUUGGAUGAUGGAGGCAUCCAAAAUCGAAGAACGAGAAUCGUCACUCUAAAUCCUUGAUCUCAUCCGGGUGAUUUUCUACAACUUAAGAACAACGCCGGCGGAAAUCAUAAUAUGCUUAAGAAACAUUUAUUAGAGUGCGUAAGACAGGUUUGAACCAGGAGCUUGAGCUCCAUAAAAGUCGGUGCUAAGCAAAUGAAAAGAAAAAAAAAACAAAAGAAAAAAACCUCUUUCAUCUUGGUGAGAGCAAAGGUGAAUCAAUACCUGUCAAAGUAUGAAGGUCUAUAUUCUUUAGCCCAUGUAGAGAAGAAAUAAUAAAUAAAAGAGUAAAAAAAAAAUCACAAAAAACUCCAAGCUUUGCUCAUGUGAUAUAUUUACCUCGAACUUAAUCCCAAACUUAUAUCCCUAUAAAAUAUUCAUUCCAAACUUUUUUCUAUAACACCAAAAACCCCAUACUUUUUUUCAAAAGGUGAAUGUGUCACAUAAAUAUAAAUUAAGAAUUUUUGGUAUCACAAGAAGAAGUUUGCGAUAAAUGUGCUCCACUAUUUAAAUUCAAGAUGAAUGUAUCGCAUAAAUACAAGUUUGAGAUUCUUGGUGUCAUAGAAAAAAGUUUAGGAUAAAUGAGUUACAGUGGACAUAAUUUAAGAUUUUUGGUGACAUUUAUCCAUUUCUUCUUCUCUUUGUUUUUUAAUAACAAAACAAGCACUUAAUAGCGGGCACCAGAUGCAACAUGAUUACAAGCAUGGAAUAGAGACUCGAUGCUAGAUACGUUUUAGCCUUGAGGAUCAACCGUCCUAAAUUGACUAUUCUAGUUAGUUUUUCUUUAAAUCUUGGAUGUCACAUAGGAAUUUUUAUACAAGGAACAAGCUAGGACGGUAUCAAGAUUUAAGUUAGCCAUCAAGGUUAAAUUAAAUCGUCGUUUGGAGAUAUGAUUGAAAAAAGAAAUCUGCAUAUUCUAAAAUGAAAAUAGAAUCCAAUUUAUAUAGAAAGUAGUAAGAUUCAAUUUUAUUUUAUUUUUAAAUUCUUAUCAUGCUUUUGUUAAAACUAAAAUUUGACUUCAAAUUUCAUGUGUAUUUUUCAUGUUUGAUUUGACAAAUGAUUUUACUUGGUAAUUUUAUACCUAAUGGAUAAUGAACAGAGUGUUAUACACAAUCCAAAAUUAUUGACAUUAAUAAAAAUAAAAAUGAAAAUAAACAUACUUAAAGUACAUUUAUUAACAUAUGUCCGCGUAAAGUUUGGGCAAAGUAACUAGUUUUAGUUUUAAUCCUUUCUUAUCGCAAAGCACUCCAAACACGCGACUCCGGUAAAUUUGUUCGCCCGCCGUGAGUACAUAGUGCGGUUAUCCUCCUAAAUGACCCAACUGCCCUCACUUUUUUGACGAAUUUCCUUAAAAAAAUAUCCGGGACUACGAAAAAUCCCCUACUCUUCCCUCCGCCAAUCCGUCACCGCAAGCCUCCGCCACCUCGCCGUCGCCGUCGCCGUCGCCGUCGACGUCGUAACCCCUUCCCGUGCCGUCACCCCUCGUCGUCGAGCCGCCCCCGGCCAUCGCUUGCGCUGAUCGUUUCGCGUCCCGUCUAGGCCAAGCCAUCAUCUCUCUCUCUCUCUCUCUCCUCGUGUUUCCUCUUGGAAGCAAUUAUUUUGUCAAUCUGAACGGCUUUUUCACUUAUGAAGGAAGGCCGCGGGUAACUUCUAGGCAAACGCAGCGAAAGUGAGAGAGAUCUCUCUCCGUUGCUUUAUCAGUUUGCUACGAGGAUCAGACUCGGACUUCCCCAAGUCACCGGGCAGACCCAAUUCGGAGAUCCAUCUCUGCGUCGUCCUUCCAGAAUGGAGAGAAAGAGGGAGGCAGAAGAGACGGCGACGGCAGCUGGGACAGGCAGCAGCCGUGAUGGCGGAUCGGGGAGGGGUUACGAGGUGUUCCUGAGUUUAGGGCUUUUGCUUCCGCUAGGCUGAAGGUGCUGGUGAAGGAGAUGUUUGUUGAAAUUUUGGAUUUUUUUUUUUUUUUUGUGGUCUUAAGAGUAGUAGUGGUGAUUGGUGGGAUGAUGCUUGCAGGCUGCAGCAAUACAAGCUGGUCGAGAUGAAACUCCUGGCUCAACAAAGGGAUCUUCAGGUGUGAUGUUGUAUUCUGUCCUGUCAGUUUGGCGUAAUCGCUGGCUUUCUCUAAUUCGUAUUUUUGCUGGCAAAGGUUUCCUGACUUUAUCGAUGCUAGUUUUGGGAUUUCUUAUUAUCGACAUCCCUAUAGAUGUUUGUGUAUAAUUUCUCAUUGACUGAUUCUUUUGUAUCGUUAUAUCUGCUAUUGAAUUCGCUGUUGAGUUACAUUCCGUUGUUCAUUUUCUUCGUGUGAUCACAAACAAAGACCCGGAUUCAAAUGUUCUGCUGAAUACCAUAGACAUUAUCCCUCCUGUCGGCCCUGUUCCAGCACCGGACCUUGUUUAUUUCUCUUCUUUUUCUUUGGUUUUUUUGUUAUAGUAAUGCAGUGUUGAAAUGUUGCGCAAUGGUUAACACAGAGGUGGGCGUAUGUGCAUGUGGGUAAAGAACUUUGAAGCAUUUAAGUGUGCAACCUUUUUUUUCUUUUGAUUCUUAGGAGGUGUAAAUACAUGCUAGACAUAUUGAUACCAAAGGCUUAAUCACAAUGAAUAUUUAGUUUCAGGAAAAAGAAAUGUACUAGGUUGAGACAGGCAAGUAACACAACAAGAAGCUUGUCGGUUCUGAGUUCUGUCUUCAUAGUGCAUUGUUUAUUUAGUAUCUUACUUUUUUCAUUAAUGGAAUGGGCAUGUCCUCAAUUAUGAAGGUUGCUACACUCUCUUGCAGUUUUCUUUCUCCUUAUUUCUUUUAUCUAGUUUCUGUUUUUCUAGUUCAACUUAAACCUCUUCUCAAAUUCAAGUGAGCUUUACUUUUCCUCUAAAAAAGGAUGAGAAAUUGGCUUACUGUUGCAGUUAUUGUGAUCUAAUCUAAAAUAAAAAGUUUAAACAAAUCCAGAUGGUCAGCACCUCUUGAUGUCUCACAAUGAAUUUCUCUUUACAUUGACCUGAUAGAUCCGAGUGCACGUGGUUCUUUGUUCCCACAGAACUUGAUCACUUUGUUAGUAUGUUAUUGUUACUCUGUCAGCCUGAUUGUGAGAAGAGGUUUAAGUUGUUAAUUCAAUGCUUAUAUUAAAUGCCAGGCAAAAAAUUCCUGAUAUUGAGAAGUUUUUAAACAUAGUCGCCACUCUACAGGCCAAGAAGGGUUCUGGUGAGGUUCGUUGUCUCACGCAACUCAUACUACUGACUACGUGAACAAGAUUUUGGGGAAUUUCCAUUUAUUUCCACAAGUUGAUAGGGAAGUGGUGGUUAUUUGCUUUUUAACAAGAAGCUGUGGAUUUUGGUAAUCUAGUUGAUGGUUGUCCAAUUCACAGGUAAUUAGAAUGAGAAAGAGACUUUACUUCUUAAACGCUUGCUUGGCCCAUUUAUGGAAAUGAAAAAUGUCGAUGCACAUCACUAAAUAAUAACCCUUGUUUAUGCUCUCCACGUUAGGAAAUUUUCUCAUUUAAAUGUACGGGGAACAUGCUGAUUGGGGGUUGCAUCUUGCAUGUUAUACAUUAUAAAUCUUCCUUAUACUUUAUUGCAUCAAUGGUUUGUCAUUGAAAAACGUCCGUAUUAUCUCCCAUGUUUAGCAGUCGUGCGUUAGAGGCUUUCAAUUGCUUAUCUUAAAAUGAGUAGGAAUUAUCUGCAUUUAAAAACGGAAUCACUUCAGCAGAUCUUUCUCGUCCUUUCAGAAAGCGCAAGAUUAUAGGAAGAGAUAUUGUUUUGCGUUUUAUUCUAGUUCAGAGCCUGGUUAAUGGUAUUGUGAAAACUGACAAAAGAAAGGUGGAGAUGUAUCUAAUUCUGGAGUUCUUUUCUUUUCAUUUUUUUUAAAACCGUUUCACAUUGGUUGUUAUUCUCUUUUUGCUGAACCCUUAAUGAACUCAGAACUGGUAUUAGUGUCGUAUAUAGAACAAAAUAAACAAUUCAUUUGUUUUAUGUGUCCCUUCCAUUUAAUUAGGAGAAUGCUUUCUCGCUGAUUGAAUAUCCUUCAGAAAGCAAUGGUUAUCAGGCAAACAUCUUAGUAGAGUUAUUUACAUGAAUCUAACAAACUUGUGGUAAGAAGUUAGUCUUAGAAAUUAUUAACCACAUGUGAAGUCUCAAGCCGUCCUUUCCCUUAAUUCAAGAUUUAAAGGCUCUCUUAUUUCUAUCUCUUGACUAAGAAAAAGGCUAAGAUUUGGAUUGGGUAUGAUUCAAUUCCAUGGUCACCACGUCUUAUCUGCAUCUUUUCCAGCAUAUCCAUGUCCGAAGGAGAUCCAGUCUGAGGGCAACAUAUCAGUAGGUGAUCUGAGGAUUCUCAUUGACUUUGCCAUAGCUAGUAUCUGUUCAUAUGCACCCUCCUUCUUGUUUUUGUUCUUCUAAAAGGUCGACCCCAUGUCAGUCAUCUUCUUUUGUAUCUGGUGUGAUUGGUAGGAGCCUUUCACUGUUGCUGGAGUCCUUAAUAUUGGAAUGAUAGUCUCCAUUACUGUAACAUAUUCAUGUGGUGAUAGUAUAGCCACAAGGUGGGCUGCUGCAAGAGAUUUUUGUUGCAAGAAUGACUCAUUUGAUGAUUUGGCUAAUUUUGUUCACGAUCUUGUGGUGAUUUGGGUGUUUCGGUUGUUUAACCGAUUCCUAACUGAUUCUUCAGAAGUUUGUAUCUUCAAAGAGCACGGAUAUUAAGUUUAUCCCCACUCCCGCAAUCUGUGCAUUCUUACCAUAAAAAGCCUGCAUUAAUUUCCCGGAAUUACGCUCAUCUUCUUGAUGAGUGAUGACCAAACCUCACCUGGCCCACGGCAAAAAGUUGAUGGAGAAAUCCAUCCCCUAUAAAAUUCACCCAAUCUUCACUAAAAGGACAGAAUUGCUCCAAAUCAUUCUAUUGCAAUUUAAUUGGUAGCCCCAAAUUAAUUUCAAUGGAUGACUUAGUUACCAUAAUUAAGAAUUUCAAAUGUUCAGUUUUUCGUAAUUGUAGGUAUUUCAAAUAUAUUAUUAAAAACACCAUUUCUUUAUUCAUUGUUAGAUUUUUCUUCCAUAAAAAUUAGUUUUGUGUAAAAAAGAAAUUUCCAAGAUAUCUAGUUUGUUGAGCAAAUUUAAGGAUAAAUUUUCAAGUAGAAUCUACAAAAAAAAAUGAUUAUAUAAAUAAUUUUUUAACACAAUUACUCGUUUACAAAUUUUCAAUUUCAUUGUGCAUAUCAUUAUCAAAUUCCUUAUCGUUCAAUCAAAUAAAAUUCCAUCCCAUUGGUUCUCUUCUAUAUAUAUGAAGGACUAGCAAAGAUUUUGAACUUAUUUCAAAAUAAAGAUUCAGGUGUUAGAUCAAAAUCUUGAAUUUAUCUGAUAAAUUUAGAUAAAUUAUCAAAGGGGGUCUUUUUGUUAUCAAUCAAGAAGGACUAGCAAAGAUUUUAAUAGUGUAUUACAUUUUAAUACGAUACUUAUCACAAAUAUAAUUAUUCUUCUGUCUGAUCAAGGAUUAAUUGAUCAUGCCAUUUGGUGUGACAUUGGACUAAAUAUAAGGAGAUCAGCUUUGUUGGGCUUAGCAAAAGCAAAAUGGAAUUCCACUCCAGCUGAUGAAAGCUAAUCCGUCUGAAUUUAAUGAGCAAAGCAAAAGCAAUUGUGUACAGUAAAAGUAAGUAAUAAUUUUGUUGAAUGAUAUGAAGUGAACAAUAUCUUAUUUGCCAAUACCGGAUUCCACCAGCACAGUGAAAGUAAGCAAUAAUUUUGCUUAAGCAAUAAUUCUGCUGCAGUGAUUGGACGGUAACCAGUAUUGCACAUGUCGCUACAGUUUCAGGCGACUAUCUUCCCUUGGUGAUUUUGUUCUUAUUCUAACAAGUUGACCCCUUGGCAGUCAUCUUCUUGUGUAUCUCCUCAACGGUGUGAUUGUUAGGGGCUAGCUUUUCACUGUUGGUGGACUCCUUAAUUUCGAAAAUGAUUUUUUCCAUUACUGCAAUAUAUUCAUAUGGUGAUUGUCCAGCCGCAAGGUGGCUUGCUGCAAGAGAUUUCUGUUGUAAGAAUAAUGCAUUUGAUGAUCCAACUAAUUUGUUUGUGAUCUUGUGAUGAUUUGGGCAUUUUGGUUGUUUAACCAAUUUCUAACCGAUUCUUCGAAAGUUUGCAUCUUCAAAGUUUAUUCCCCCUCCCGUAAUUUAUGCAUUCUUACCAUAAAAGCAUGCAUAUAUUUCCUGGAUUACACACAUUUUCUUGAUGUGUGAUGACCAAGCCUCGCUCGAUGGCAAAAAGUUGAUGGAGAAAUCCAUUCAUUGGAUAACUAAAUUCGCCCAAUUUUCACUUAAAAGAUAACAUUGUACCAAAUAUUCAAUUGCAAUUUAAUUGGUACCCCCAAAUUCAUAAACUUUUUUUUUCCUUUUAGUUUUUCUAUUUCAAUGUAAGAUUCAGUUGCCAUAAUUAAGAAUUUCAUAUGUCUAGUUUUUCUUUAUUGUAGGCAUUUCAAAUAUAUUAAAAACACCAUUUCUUUUAUUAACUAUUAGAUUUUUUUUUUCUAUAAAGCUUAGUUUUGUUGAAAAAAGAAAUUUCCAAGAAUCCUAGUUCUUUUACAUGUUGUCGAGGAAAAUUGAGGAUAAAUUGUCGAGUAGAAUCUAGAAAAAAUUAUUAUAUAGAUUUUUUUAACACAAUCGCUUGUUUACAAAUUUUCAAUUUUGUUUUGCACAUCAUCAUCAAACACNNNNNNNNNNNNNNNNNNNNNNNNNNNNNNNNNNNNNNNNNNNNNNNNNNNNNNNNNNNNNNNNNNNNNNNNNNNNNNNNNNNNNNNNNNNNNNNNNNNNCCAGCCCAGCCCAGCCCAGCCCAGCCCAGCCCGCACAAAGGGAUGAUCGGAUAAAAAGAAAACCCUCUUGAAGGUUUGAAGAUUUUCCAAAAUAAAAUCACAAUUACAUUCUCCAAUGGAAAAAUUUAAAGAAAAAAUUUAAUUAAAUUGAAAAGUAACAUAAAAUAAGAAACUUUUUAAAAAUGUUGAUGAAAUCUCAUUAUUUGGAAUUGACAGAAAUUAAUAUCGUUGACGAAGCAUGUACGAAAAUAAAACUAGAUGCUUCAUUAUGCACAAUGGUUUUAGUGUAUUCCUAGUUUUUUCACAACGCCUUAACAUCUGUGUAAAAGUAUCUCACCAAUAAUAAGGGCAAACGAUAAGUUCUUUAAUAUAGUAAACAAAAAGACUAAUACAUAUUUUGGACUAAUAAAAUUAAAAAAUAAAUAAUUCAUCAAGAAAGUGAACUUUUGAGAUAAGAGGGAGAAAUAAUAAAUGAGUAUUUAUUAGAGAAAUGAUGAGAAGAGACUUUCAAGGUGUUGAUCAUGUAAAAUAAUGUGUUUUUUUCUUACUAGUGGCUCUUAUAUAGAGCAUGUACUACGCUAUAGUAAUAUUUAAGGAUACACUAAAAAAAAUUCUUUAAUACACUAAGAAAAAUAAGACAUGUGGAAUGCAUAAUUAUGGCAAUUAGAAACAGUAGGGAAGGAAACAAUUUGAUUGUCACUUUAAAUUGCAAUUGAAUGGUUGAAGGCAAUUUAGCCUUUCUAGUCUAAUUAGUAAAUGGGGUGGAUUGGAUUAUAUAGGGUGGAAAUAGUGCCGCCCAAAAUUUAAAGGAGAAAUUAAAGUCACAAAUGGGAUAAUUUUUUUUUUUUCCAUAUAGAAAGAAUGUUAGCUCUUGUGCACGCUUUUUAUUCCUACGUCAUGAAUAGACCAAGAUGAUAAAGUGCAGAGGUCAUCAAUAGAUUUAGAAACAUUUCGUGAGACUUCACCAACAAUUGACUUUUAACAGUGUAUCAUGCAUUAUGGUCAAUCUGCAACUCUCGGAUACGGAAGGUGACUUUGUGCUGAUUUCACAUUCACAAUUUUGCAAUGACAAAAGAAAAAGAGUAGUCAAUGGAACAAAGGCAACAUUGAUCAUUUGGCUUAGCAAAAACAUAAAGGAAGUCUGGCUCCGGCUGAGGAAAGCUAACCCUUUUUAAGUUAAGGAGCAGAACAGAAGCAAUUACAGUCUGCUUUUUUCUAGACUAGAAAUUGAGGAAGAGAUUUCUCACCAAAAAAACAAAACGGACAAAAGGAUUAAAGGGGAUCCAUUAUACUUCCUUAGAGGUCACGCCAAAUCGUCUGUUUAUGGAGCCAGACCACUGUCAUCAUCUUAUGUUAUUAUAAUUCUAUAUAUGUCUAGAAGGAAAAAGGCAUUAAGACAAGCGUCUAGGCUGGGAUCCCGUGAUUCGUGCAAUGAUUGAAUUGCAUAAUUUGAAUUAAAAUACAGAUCUGUGAUAACAAAAGUUAGAUACAAUUCUAACUGAUUUGUGAGCCUAUUCCCUCACUUUUUGUUUUUCAAAUUUAGGCACCUGUAUGAGAAGCUUAAUUUUUACGUGAAAUUAAUCGUCAGUAUCGAUAAAACAUUUUAAAUUUAUGUGUGCGCGUAUGUGAAGUGAGUCUCUAUACAAUCGCAUAAUAUUAUAUUUUAAACUUGGUGCCCACCUUAAAAAUGACAUUAGGAAAUGAUCACAUUUUGUGUGUGUGCAUGUGUGAAUAAUCUGCAGAAAUGGAGAAUAAAUCUAGACCGCAUUCAAUGGAGCUAGAGAAAGGUUCAAUGCCUUCGAUUCAUUAGAGACGUCAUCAUCGAUCCAUUAGCAAAAAGUAGUUGAUUUAACUAUAAAAUUUUGGGCUUGGCACUUAUAAGAAAGAAAAAUUUUGCCAACAAAAAGAAGAAAAAAAAAUAAAGCUCUUUGGUCGUUACAUGGAUGUUUCUAUGAUCUUUCCAAAAGGCAUUCUAGAAGGGCCUGCAAUUGUUAAACCACAAAAUAAUGGAUCUCAACCGUGAAAACAAAGCUUUUCAAGUUUUUACGAAUUGCUAUAAUUUGCAUUAUGACAGGUAUCGAUCAAUCAACUAAUCAUAAAAUGAAAAUAGUUGCAUGGAUCGUGGUCUAUAGAACAAAUGUGAUCACAUCCAUUGAUGUUUGGGUGUUCCACGUAUAAUAUAUGUCAUAAACAAUUUUGUGAUAAAUCCGUUUAUGUGGAUCCGAGUACUGGCUAGCUAACCCAAUAAAGCCAACGUGAGUUAGGAGAGAGAAAGAGCUUCCUUAAGAAACAAAGACGAACUUGAGUUCUCUUUGCUUAUAAUAUACGCAGGUCUAUCUUCAAGUUUUUGUCCGGCCCUCUUGUGAAAGCGAAAGCAAAAGCAACAGCACUGAGGUAUGUUUGUCUAGUCAAUUCAUUUGCACAUACCCAAAUUCCACGUCAAACAGACUCCUUUGUUUAUGUGGUCACGCGCAUGCGUUUUGCAAUUUCAGGACCAGGACCUAGAAAAUACCAAGAAACUCAGGUUGAUAUCAUCAAAAAGCAAAAAGACCCUCCUUCAAGAUUAAAAAUGUUUCGAAAAUCUCAACUUUGUUGAUCUCCUUGUGGAGGAGGAACUGUACUUUCUUCGCAAUUUCCACAAAAGAAUAAGCUAAAGUCUCCCUCUUAGGACCCUUUUAGCUCAACGAAAGGUACAUGUAAUUUGCAAAGCAAAACUCAAAUUGCGUAAAAGAUUGACAUUAGCACGGACCUAAAAUUAAAGAAUAUAGAAAACUUUAAUCAAUAUCUUUCAAUUUUUUGAACCAUUAGGUGUAAUUGAAGUGCAUAGACUUCGAAGAAGGUCAGCCAAAUAAAAUUGCCCAAUCUAUUAUGUAGAGUUAAACUGAAGCUGAAAGAGUGGUUGCUCCUAUACCGGUCACGCCACACUUCUCUAUAGCUCUAUACUUAUGACGUGACAUAACACUUAGCAUUGUGUUGCCAUGUGGUCCAAUGACCUUACAAAUUAUUUAUAUGUCUUCUUGUAAUUCAUGUGUUAUUUUCUAGUGCUAUUUAUAGAAAACAUCAACAUUUAAUCAUAUUCAAAUACUAGAAAAACUGAUUAUAUCUAGAGGUAGGCUUAGGCAAAACAAUAGAUUUAAACUUAGCCGAAGUGAUUGAAUCAAACAAUGAAUAGAAUGGAUGUGUUUUAUAAGUAGUACAUACUCCAAUAAUUGUCAUCUUCCAUGGAGCAUCCACUUUUUUUUUUCCCCGGAAAUCUUGAAAAUUAAUGUUACACUUUUUUUUAACUAAAUUUGAUCGAACUUGGUCCAGCAUACUUUCUGUACAAUGGACAAUCGAACCCAUUUUCUCCCACGGAAGCUGGUGACUUCAAUUUUGCUAAAAUGCAAUUCACCUCGGAUUGUGGCUUUUGGGUGGUUGGGUCAGAUAGAUGAACUUUGCAAAAAGUGAUGAUAUUUUUGUUAUAAAAAUUCCGAUCAUUGUGAUUUUUAUGGUGUUGGAAAGCUUAUUAUUUAAUUUUUAAGAUGAAAUUAAUCGAUUGGAUAAAAUCAUAAAGUUUCCAACACCUCAUGAUCGGACAGCCAUGUUUGGAAAAACUUGACGUCUUAAGAUCAAGUUGUUCAAUUUGGGCAAAUUGGGUAUCUUGGAAAAGCUUUUGACAAGUACAACUUAAUUAUAGCCUUAACCAUUGGGAUUUGCCCUAAUGGUCACUCUUCCAACUUGGAAGAGGGAGGUGGAGGGUUCGAAUCCUCACAUUCUCAAAGGAGGUUGGGGUGGGGAUGGGUAAGUUUCACGAGUGGGUUUCGACUCCCACACACCGCAAGGAGGCAGGGCAAAAAUUUGAGAGAAUGAGUGUUAGAGUAAGAAUAAAGUAUGACCGACCGAAAAAAAAAAAAUUAUAACCUUUCAUUGAACUUUUAAUUGAACUUUUAAUGAGGUUUGCCUCUCGGUCAACUUUGCUAUGGCAUUGGAGGGUCGCUCGUGUCUUUAGUGACCUUUCGCAUGUGUUCAAUGAUGCAAUGGAGGCUCUGUCCACCAGUGAUUAUCUAUCGAGCAAUCGAGCUUCGCCAUUUCUAUUCCUUAUUUGAUGGAGUUAGCCAACAACGAGCACGGCCAUUUUAGGGUCCAAUCGUCAUAGCCGAAAUAAUAUAUUCUGGAGUUCUACUGUUCUUUUGGUCUUUACUAUAUUGGAUCCAAAUUGAAUGUGAAAGAGCUCUGACUUCUACUUCUAACAUAUUAUGAAAACUUUGGCCUUGAUGAAUUGUGUUAUGUCUGAGAAAUCUUGGCGACAGUGAGGACUUGGCUACAUAAUCUGUAUGGUACAUAUUUUCCUUGAUAUGAUGAGGAAUUGGCCACAGACAAAGAUGCCGACCUCAUCUAGCGGACUAUCCACAACCAUAUGGUACCUAAUAUGCACAAAUGAAAAAGCGCCUUUGAGCUCUCCGAGCACAUCAGCGGGGACAACAAAAGAUUAUUAAUUAUUCCUUAUUAAUUAAUCUCAUUCUUUCUUAACUACAUGGACUUUACCUUUUUUUAUAGUCGUGUCUUACUCCUAUCUUAUCUCUCACUUGGCAUAGAGCUAUGUAUCGUAGGCUCGUAACUAAGUAGGGCAUUAAAUUGGUCGAAUGUUCUUGAUCAGUCAGACCAGUGGAAUGAGCUACAUCCUCAACUAGCGUGCGCCCUUUCUCGGGUUCAAAGGGACUCCCCGUCGUCAAGAUCUAGCUAGGAACAAAGGUUCCCUGUCAUUUCGAUGCCGCAAAAACGCUUAUUUCGUUACAUGCUUGUACGGCAAAAGCAAAAGGUAAAGAGCCUACGUAAUGACCCCAUUUCAGACACGUGGAAUACAAAGGCUGAAAUUAUUUGGGACCCACAAGCGUACCUAUCCCACGUCGGGACGUGAAAGUCCAAAAUUACCGCGCACGCAGGAAAUGGGAAAUAUGAAGAGCCUUUUUUAUAUAUGUAUGGAUGAAGAGAGAACGGGGAAAAUAAGCAUUUUAGAAAUAUAAGUCCCAUGUCAACUGAUUAUAUUUGAACAUCUUGACCAAAUUGGUCUUGAUGGGUUAUCGACACUCCAUUACAUCCCACUCGUUGCGAAGGAGUAUAAAAAGAAGGGUGCUUUGGUCAUGUGAAAGCAACAGCCCAAUUUCAAGAUUCAAAACAUCACAAUUUCAGCACAGGGUUGUCUGGCCGAGUAGCAACUACAUCUAAACCCAUCUCGGUAUCAGGAAUAUAGCUAAUGAAUUAAUUACACAAUAAAAUCCAAAUGAAUUAUGAUGCUUAGCAUGAUAUAAGAAGUUAUGAUCCAUUAUGAUAUAAUAAUCUCUCUUUCGAUGGAUCUUGAAGUUAUCUAAUCAUGAAAAUUAUUUACUAGUUUCGAUGUUUCAAUUUGAAAGCAUUAAAGCGAAAAGGACGGCUUUUUAAAGUCCUAACUAAUAAUUUCUUUUUAAUAAUUGAGAAUAGAAAUUAAUAAUCCGAGAAAUUUUCCUUAAUGAAACAAACCAUCGUUUUUUCAUUUUCUUCUCUCCUCCCUUGCCCUCUUCUCCUACUCCACAGACGUCGCUUCAGUGCAAGCUUCGACAGCCUUUGGCAGCUUUCUAGCUCAAGGAAGGCGGCCAGUACAUGUGUUGAAAUCUUUAAAAAGGGAAACAUUCCAUCAAAUUUCAAUUUGUUGAGUUCUUUAACCCUGUAGUCCGUGUGCUCGUAAAACCAGAGUCCUGUAGUUUAUCAUCUCUUGAAUUGUUGAUAUGAAUGCCAAGUACCAAAAUAUGAGUCCACACUUUAUUCAAUAUCAUGACCAGGUAGAAGCCACGACAAAACUAUUGGACAUUUGCCGGAAACCAUGAAAUGAGUGGAAUCGGUAGACCAAUUCUUGCCAAUGUUAUUUUGAACAAUUUGUGUUUAGUUUUAAUGUGUAGUUUCCUCGAACCAUCCCAACAUGAUGGUCUUGUGUACUUGCAAAAACGAUUGUUAUUGAGUCUUGUUUUAAGAUUAACCAACUUGAUCAAAAAACAUUUUGUAACAGAAGAGUCCUCAUUAUAUGAAGCACCAUUGCACACAAGGACCAUGAGAAUGAUUCCUUGAAAGCAAGAUGAAUUUCAGCUCAAAACUUGAUAAAACUUAAACUCAACUUGAACUUUCUUCACGCGACUUCAUCUACCAAGCAUGAACUCCCAAAAGUUGCUGAGAGAUGGGGCAAAUAUCCUCAAGUCUCGCACGAAAGUUCCCGCGGAACAGCUAUGCUCCACCAUUUUUUCCUCACUUUUUUGACUGGGUGGAAUCCACGUGGCAAACUUAGGGUCCAUUCGUUUCACGGAAAUCCGAAAAAUAUUUUCUCAGAAGUCAUUUUUCAGGAAAAUGACAAUAUUUUCUGAUGUUCGGCUAAAAUCUGAAAAUGUUUAGGAAAAUAUUUUCCGGUGUUCGGUAAGGAAAAUAUUUUCCACUCCCCAGAUUGGUGAGCGCGAGCGUCAAGCUCGAGGCUCGCUAAAUUGACGAGCACAAGUUUGAGAUCGAUGAGCUUGAGGUUCACCUGGUCUGACGACUAGCCAAGAAAGAAUAAUAUGGGAAACAAAAAAAAAAGAGAAAGAAAAAAAAAAGAAAAUUAAAAAUAAUCCAAAUUAAAAAAAGAAAAAAGAAAAAUAAAAAAUAAUUUGAAUAAAAAAAGAAAAGAAGAAGAAGAAAUGAGAGGAGGAAGUGAGGAUUUGCAGAGGUGUGAGAUAAGAGAGAUCAAGUGAGAAAAGUGAAAAACAUUUUCCGCCAUUUUAUAAGACUUUUUUCAUUUGAUGGAAAACAUUUUCCCCAAGAAAUUCAUUUUCCGGGAAACGAACACCGGAAAAUCCAGAAAACGUUUUCCUGGAAAUUAUUUUCCACGAAAUAAACAGAGCCUUAGAGUCGUUAACUUUUCUUUUAUAAAGAAGAGUGGUCGGCCACUUGAAAAUUUUGCAAUUUGGUCUGUUGGGGGAUCCAAUUUUUUGAGGGCUUUUCUAAUAUUUGUCCAGUCAACUUUAUCUCAGAUGCUUAGGCAAUCUUUCGUAUCUUUGGUUUGAUUUACUGGGCGAUGAGAAGAGUGAGCUGAGGUAAAUCCCUCGGCGGCUUGUGAUAAUUCGAACUGAAUUGACAUCGAGCCAACCUAGUUAAUCCCUUAAUGCCACGGUCUGCAUUAGAAAGUAUAACACGUUCACAAGAAUUACAAUGAGCUAUGAUUGAAGUUGAUCAAUCAAGUGUGCAUUUAGUAAUAUUUCUAUUUAGGAUAAUAAUUUCGUUUUAGAAAUAAUUUAUUUAUAUUUUUAUUUUGUGAAAUAAUUUUUGAGUAAAAUAACACGUUUGGUAAUUAUAAAAAAAUUCUAUUCUCGAAAUAGAAAAAGAGUAGGAAUGCGUUUGGCACGACUUACGAAUAUUUUUGUAAUGUAGAAUUUCAUUUAAUUUUUAAUAUUAUUUUUAAUUUUUUCUUUGUUUUUUUCCUCUCUUCUUCUUCUUGCUCCUCCUCUAGCUGGUAGUGGCGGCGUUCGAUGAGUGGCGGCAAGCGGCGACCCGUGGCAGUGGCCGCACGAUUGGCGGCAUCUGGGGGGGGGGCCUAUGAGGAAGAAGGAGAAAAGGAAAAAAGAAGAAAGAAAAUAACUUAUUUGUAAAAAUUGUUUCUUGAAAUAAGAAGUUAUUUUUUUUUUAUUUUGUAUUUCUAUUUCAAAUCUAUUCUCUGACUACAUUUCUAUCCCGGAGAAUUAAAAAAUUAGUUGACGUUACCAAAUGGAUUUCUGUUAUUAAUUUGUUCCGGAAAACAAAAGAACAAAAGACUAGAGAAAUUGGCAAGUUACCAUGCACACCCCAAGGAACCAUAGGAGGGAAAUAGUUGCAUGGUUCAUGGUCUAUGGACCAUAUGCAAUCACAUCCAUUGAUUUUUGUAAUUUAUACAACUAAUGAUCUUAAUAGACCCGAUUUAUGGGACUUGAGUACUGGCAAGUCUAAUCUGACAAAGCCUAUUUGAGUUAGGAGAGAGAAUGAACAUCCUUAAGAAACAGAAAUGAACCUGCCUUUUCUCUUUGCUUAUGAUGUACACAAGUCAAUCUUCAAGUCUUUGUCCAACCCUCUUGUGAAGGCAAAGGAGAAAGCGCCGAAGUAUGUCUUGUCUAGUCAAUUGACUCGUUAUGCAGUGGUCUGCACAUGGUCAAAUUGCGCGUCAAGUAGGCUAGUAAUUCGUGUGUUCACACAAAUACACACAAAGAUGUCAACACUUACAAGUUCCGUUUGGAAAUUGGCAACCCACUCGCAAGACCAGCAAAGCGCGUUUUGAAAUUUCGGCCCUGGAAAGUACCAGGAAACUCAGGUUGAUAUUAUAAAAGAAAAUCAUACAGUUCACACCUCUGAGAAUAAAAUAUUUAAAAUAUCUCAACUUUGUUGGAAUCAUCGUGAAGGAGGAACCACAUUUUCUUUGCAAUUUCCAUUAGAAAAACAACGUCAAAUUAAGCAGACAUGAAUCCAAUGCCAAAUCAAGCAGUAAAUAAACAAUAGAGACGAAUCAGACAAAAUCAGCAUUUGAUUUGAAUAUCAGCAUCGGUGUACGAUUUCAAUCAGCUGAGCAAUUUCAUUUUGUCAUCGUUCAAUCUAGCAUUGAAGUGCAAUCAUAACAUGCAAUCCUAGUUUAUUUUCAGCUUCAUGUAACUUUUUGGCAAUAGCAAAUAAUAUCGAGUGUGAAUGGCUUUACGAAGGAAGGCUGCAGGUGGCUUCCAGGCAAAUGGCGCAUAGUACCAAAGAAAUAGCAAGCGGAACUCAUUUUAACUUGUCCAGAUACAUCCAACAUCUAACCGUUCAGCAACACGCAACUUAUACUUCCGACGCCACCUCCUCCCCUUCGACGACUUUCAUCAACUUAGCCUGAAUGCUUUUGUUUGCUUAUGAAGGAAGGUCGCUGGUGCAUUACAGUGCCUGUUACUCUAGACACAACUCGCCCGGUCUCUACUCUGUGAACAACCAAUUAUACUUUCGAUUGGUAUUGCAGGUAUAAGGAAGGCAGCACACGAUUGAUAAAGUUGGAUUAUGGGUGCGUUUAUUUUACGAAAAAAUGAAUAAUUUAAAAAAUAUUUUUUUAAAAAAGAUUGUUUAUAUCGCUCAAUAUAAUUAGUCGAUGAAAAAUAUUUUCAUUAUCGACAAUAAUUUAUAUCUAAAUAUUUUCGUAAAGAAUGAAAAUAUUUUUCGUUCAUUUAUUGGGAACAGAAAAGCACCCAAACGCGUUUCUGUUCCUUUUUUGUUCCCAGGAACAAAAAAACAGAAAUUUUUGUUCCUGGGAACAGAAAUAAGGUGCAGCCAUGCAGGGCCUAAGUGGUUCAAUUCAUAAGAAAUUAACAUUGUGGAUUCUAAGUUGCAAUAUGUCAGUGGAUUUCCUCUUCAUGAGAUGAUAUAAGUUCCUCUGUUUUUGUAAUGAGUUUUCAUGCAAUAAAUAUCCUUCUUGUAGAUUCUGAGUUGAAAUUUUUUUUUUUUUUUUUUUGCCUUUGAUGUUUUUUCAGUUGAAGAAACAAUUAACUACAAAUAUUCAAGAGUCCCUGGCAUGUUCAUGGUUUUAAUGAUUACUGACACUCUUUUCUGUGGCAUUUCUUUUCACUCUACUAAAAGAUUUACCUACCAAUGUUCAAAUGUAUAAAUUACGGUAGUGCGAAGCUCGAGCUCAACUCCUAUUAGACAUUAGAUGCUCGGAACUCCACUCGAACCAUGGAGUAUUCAAUUUCCAGCUUGAGCUUGACCAGAAAAAAAUGGAGAUAUCAAGCUCAAGUAGACUCGACACAAUCACGUUAUAAAAUAAAUGAGUUCAAGCUCGAGCUCAAUAUGUUCAAAUAUUAUCCUUUUCAUUUAUGUAAUUAUAUAUGUAUAUCACAACUUUUAAAUAUCUUGCCCUUCAUUUUCCAUAGCUAUCAAAUAUUUAACUGAACAAAAUAAUAGAAAGUUGAUUAAUAUGGCGAGUCUCUCAAACAGAAUAUAAUGAGCUCAAUUUUUUUUUUAUUUGGUCGUGAAUAAAAUUCUCGUUGAUAGAUUAAGAUUUGUUUGGCUUAAGGAAAGCAAAAAGGAAGUUUGCCUCCAGCAGAGAAAAACUAAUCCUUUUUAAUAUAUAUAUAUAUAUAUAUAUAUAUAUAUAUAUAUAUAUAUAUAUAAUUAGCAGAACAAAAGCAAUUGAAAUAUGCUUUUCCUAGCCUAGAAAUAAAUGAAAAAAUUCCUCAUUCCAGAAAACAAAACAGACCAAAAAGAAUAAAGGGGAUUUAUUAUGCUUCCUUUGCGGUCACGCCAAAUUUGAGUGGACCUCACAAACCAAUUGAAAUCAUCUCCUUUAUAAAUCAUACUACAUAAAUCAUCUAAUGUUAUUACAAUUUAAUGUAUGUCUAAAUGGUAAUGCACUAAGAAAAGCAUCUUGAUUGGGAUCCAAUGAUUUACACCAUGAUUGAAUUGCCUAGUUCGAAUUAGAAACAAAUCCAGGGGCUUUUGUCUUUGCUUAGAACAUACGCAAGUUCAUCGUCAAGUCUUUGUCCAACCUGCUUGUUAAGGCAAUGAAAAAGCACUAAAGUACGUUUAUCUAGUCAAUUCGCUUAGCAUGCGCUGGUAUGCACACAUCCAAAUGUCACAUCAAAUAGACUUGGCAACUCACCCACAAGACCGGCACAACGUGUUUGGCCCAGGGAAAAUACCAGGAAACGUGGGUCGAUAUCAUUAAAAAAAGAAAAGAAAAAGAAAAAGAAAAGCAUAAAGACACUCAUUCGAGAAUAAAAUGUUUCAAAAAUCUCAACUUCGUUCGGAUCAUUUUCAAGGAGGAACCAUAUUAUCUUCGCACUUUCCAUCAAGAAUCAGCUGAAGUUCAGUGAAGACUCUUUUGCUCAUUGAAAGUGAUUUAUUUUGUAAACAUAGUUUGCAAAGCAAAACUCAAAUUGCAUGAAAGAUUAAAAUGAGCAUCGACUUGAAAUUAAAGAAUACAGAAAACUUUAACAAUGUCUUCUAAAUUUUCGAAUUUAAGUCCAUUUAAAGUGUGGAAACUUCUAAGUAGGUUGGCCAACUAAAAUUGCAAAGUAAAAAAUCUAGGAAGGGCACGUUUUGGAAAUUUUUUUGGAGUCCGUUCACGGGGUCUGAAUAUUAAGUAUGAAUCAUAGUUAAUAUUUUGUGAUCUAUACUCAAAUACACCCCUUGCCUAUGGCAGUGAGGGCCAGGACCCUCACUUGUGGUUGGGAUCUUAUGAUCUAUGUCCAAAUUGUAAAACUAUAAGAUAGCAAAGCAUAUUGGCUGGUCUCUUAAAAUAUGUUUUCCAAAGCAUCCCGCUCAACAACUUCUCCAGUAUGCUGCUUAGCUCAUGGGAUUGAGAAUAUAAUGUUCUUUAAUUGUUCGCCUUCCAUAAAAUAAAAUUAAAAAAUCAAAAUCCUUGUCCUGAUAAUAAGAGUUAUCGGUUAAGACAAUUUUUCUCUUCAAGACUUAGUCAUAACCCGUGGAAUUUUUUGGAUAGUAUUUGAGAAAGUCAAUAUGAAAUGUAAGCACCACCUCACAUAGCGUUAUAUUUGUCCACCUAGCAAUAGGUUAAACUCUCUCGGCGUCCACUCCGGUAGGAUCGUGACAGUGUGCAUAUUCAAGAUAUGCUUGAUCCAAAGGUAAUGUUUCGUUCAUAAUGCAAAGGUGUGCAAUCAUCAAAUUUCAUAUCGCAAGUCAACAUUCAGAAAUUCAAUCAAUGACAUUCAAUGAAUGGCUGUCAAGUUUUUCAAACAAAGGAAUGGAGUCAGAAUUAUCUGAAAGUUGUUUCUUUGUAAUAUUUGAGAAUAAUUAUUCGAAAAUUAUCACAUAGACCCUCGGUUCACAGAUCAACGACGUUCGAGGACUCUAUUCAGACCAUUUGCCUUACAGCCAUUUGGUGCGAAUCCGAAUGGAUCUUUUUAACUUAUCAAGGAAUGCCGCAAGUAACUUCCAGACAAAUGGAACAAAAUAUCCAAGUAAUAGUCAGUGGAACAUAUAUCAAGUUGUCCAAUACGUCCAACAUUCAAAGAACAUGCAAUCAUAUAAAAUAAUUCCGAGACAACCUCCUCGUCUUCGAAGACUUACACCAAUUAUCUCCUCACACUUAGCCUCCUAUUUGGUGCUGAGUCUGAAUGAUGUUUUUUCUUCUUCUUUUUUCCUCUGAUGAAGGAUGGCCCCAGGUAACUUCCACGCAAGUAGUACAUGAUAACAAAGUAAUGGCAAGCGGAAAAUAUAUUGAGUUGUCCAAUACGUCCAACAUCAAACUGAACAAAUUAAUAGAAAUUUCUGGCCAAAAAAAUGUAAUAGAAACUUGAUUAAUAUCGCGAGUCUCUCAAACAGAUAUAAAUAAGCUCGAUUUUCUUUUUGUUCAUGAAUAAAAUUCUAAUUAAAAGAUUUGAGAUCAUGCUAACACCAAGCACAAACAAUUGGUUUUUUACCAAUACAUCACGCUAGUAGGUGGAAUAAUAGCAAGAAUCAAUUGAUCAUGCCGAUUAGCACGAAUCUAGAUUGAAAAUAAGAAGAUCUGCUUUGUUUGGCUUAGCAAAAUGGAAGUUUGGCUCAGCUUUGGCUCAGAUGAGAAAAGCUAAUCCUUUUUUAAUUUAAUUAGCGGAACAAAAGGAAUUGAAAUAUGCUUUUUCUAGCUUAGAAAUAAAGAAACAGAUUCCUCACCCCCAAAAACAAAACAGACAAAAAGAUCAAAGGGGAUCAUCAAUAAUGCUUCCUUUAUGGUCACGACAAAUUUGAGUGGACCUAAUGUGCCAAUUGAAAUAAUCUCUUUUAUGAAUCAUACUAAUUUAAUUAUCUUAUGUUAUUAUAAUCUUAGGAAUGUCUAAUUGGAAAUGCACUAGGAAAAGCAUCUCAAUUGGCAUCCCGUGAUUCACGCCAUGAUUGAAUUGCAUAGUUUGAAUUAGAAACAAUUCGUCUUUUCUUAGAACAUACGCAAGUCCAUCGUCAAGUCUUUGUCUGACCCUCUUGUGAAGGCAAAGAAAAAAGCACUAUAGUAUGUUUAUAUCGUCAAUUUGCUUAGUAUGCGUUGGUCUACAUAUAGCCCAAUUUCAGUCAUGUAGACUCUUGUGUUCGUUGACUCAUUUUCCUUAUUAAUCUAAAUGCCAAAAAAUGAGGAUAAUAUAAUAUCGGAGUAUGCUUUUCACGAAACANNNNNNNNNNNNNNNNNNNNNNNNNNNNNNNNNNNNNNNNNNNNNNNNNNNNNNNNNNNNNNNNNNNNNNNNNNNNNNNNNNNNNNNNNNNNNNNNNNNNNNNNNNNNNNNNNNNNNNNNNNNNNNNNNNNNNNNNNNNNNNNNNNNNNNNNNNNNNNNNNNNNNNNNNNNNNNNNNNNNNNNNNNNNNNNNNNNNNNNNNNNNNNNNNNNNNNNNNNNNNNNNNNNNNNNNNNNNNNNNNNNNNNNNNNNNNNNNNNNNNNNNNNNNNNNNNNNNNNNNNNNNNNNNNNNNNNNNNNNNNNNNNNNNNNNNNNNNNNNNNNNNNNNNNNNNNNNNNNNNNNNNNNNNNNNNNNNNNNNNNNNNNNNNNNNNNNNNNNNNNNNNNNNNNNNNNNNNNNNNNNNNNNNNNNNNNNNNNNNNNNNNNNNNNNNNNNNNNNNNNNNNNNNNNNNNNNNNNNNNNNNNNNNNNNNNNNNNNNNNNNNNNNNNNNNNNNNNNNNNNNNNNNNNNNNNNNNNNNNNNNNNNNNNNNNNNNNNNNNNNNNNNNNNNNNNNNNNNNNNNNNNNNNNNNNNNNNNNNNNNNNNNNNNNNNNNNNNNNNNNNNNNNNNNNNNNNNNNNNNNNNNNNNNNNNNNNNNNNNNNNNNNNNNNNNNNNNNNNNNNNNNNNNNNNNNNNNNNNNNNNNNNNNNNNNNNNNNNNNNNNNNNNNNNNNNNNNNNNNNNNNNNNNNNNNNNNNNNNNNNNNNNNNNNNNNNNNNNNNNNNNNNNNNNNNNNNNNNNNNNNNNNNNNNNNNNNNNNNNNNNNNNNNNNNNNNNNNNNNNNNNNNNNNNNNNNNNNNNNNNNNNNNNNNNNNNNNNNNNNNNNNNNNNNNNNNNNNNNNNNNNNNNNNNNNNNNNNNNNNNNNNNNNNNNNNNNNNNNNNNNNNNNNNNNNNNNNNNNNNNNNNNNNNNNNNNNNNNNNNNNNNNNNNNNNNNNNNNNNNNNNNNNNNNNNNNNNNNNNNNNNNNNNNNNNNNNNNNNNNNNNNNNNNNNNNNNNNNNNNNNNNNNNNNNNNNNNNNNNNNCAUAUAUAACGGCCAAUUAAGUGGACAUGAAUCCAAUGCGAGAUCAAUUAAUAAACAAAUGACAAAGAUGAAUCCUGACAAAAUCUACAUUUAAUUUUAGUAUCAACGUGCAAUUUUAUUUAGUAAGUGAUUUCAAUCGGCGAGGUAUUAUUUUGUCGUCAUUCAAUUUAGUAUUGUAGUGCAAUCAUAACAUACAAUCUUAGUCUAUAUUUAGUAUUGUAGUGCAAUCAUAACAUACAAUCUUAGUCUAUAUUUAGUUUCAUGUAACUUUAUGGCAAUAGUGAAUAAUUUCGAAGUUACCAUGCAAUCUCUAGUCAGCAUGUGAUUUUAUAGUAGCCCAAAAUUUUCAAGACAAGUGUUCAUAAGAUCAUUAUAGGGGAUUUUGGAAGUCUAAUUGAGGGGAGGCUUACACAACUACAACUAGUUGUACAAAAAUCCAAUCCAAUAAAUUACUUAUUUUAUGUCAAAUAACUUGAAUUAGUGUUCUGGACAUUGUAACAAAGUAAUGGCGAGAGUAGCACGUGACUUUUCCUGCCAAGACUUUCAUUAAUUAUUUCUUCAACUAGUCGGUGCGAGUCUGAAAUUUUUUUUCCCUUUUUUUUAUAUACAUGAAGGAAGGCCGCAGGUGACUUCCAGGAAAUAGAGCUUAGUAACAAUGUAAUAAUAAAAUAUAUUUCUGAGACCACGUCCAAGGACGACGACUUCCAUCAAUUCUUUCCUAUUUAGUGCGAUCCGUGUGGCCCUUCUUUUAAGCUUACGAAAGAAGGCUGCAAGUGACUUCCAGGCAAAGGAUUAUUUCCUCAACCGAGCGAUCUCACUCUGUUUGCGUGGGGGCUUUUAGGCCAAGGAGCAAACGGGAAAAGGUAAGGAAAGUUUCAUUAGAAGUUUGCGUGGGGAAGAGCUUCAUUUUUUAGUUGGACUGUUGUCUCCAAGACCAAACAGACUUGCCUAUUUGUAGGUUCGUUUCGACUGUCGUUCUUCAGUUAAUUUCUCUGAACAUUGUUUCUGCUUGUUCUUUUUGCAUGCGGAAUAUUUUAUUAGCCAUUUUUUUUAACUAUCACAAAUUAAGCUAGAGAUCGCCAACUACAACGACCAGCUAGAGACUUGAAUCUUACAGAAGUCUAGCAGUUUCUAGAAAUUUGAUCAAGACGUCCACAGCUUUAUCAAGUUGUUUCAAGGAUCAGACUCAAGACUGCCCGAGUCACCCCGCAGACUCGAUUCUGAGAUCAAUAACUCCAUCGUCCUCUCGGAAUGAACAGAAAUAGUGAGGCAGAAGAGACAGCAGCACCCGCGGCGACGGCGAUGGAGGUGGCGACAGCAGCUCUGGCAAGCGGCAGUCAUGAUGGUGGAUCAGAGAGGGGGCUGAUGGUGGUGGCGACGGCAGCUCUGACGAGCAAUAGCCAUGAUGGCAGAUUGGGGAGGACCCAUGAGGUGUUCCUGAGUUUUAGAGGGCCUGACACCCGUUUAACAAUUGCGGAUUCCCUGCACAAAGCCAUUGAACGUGCAGCAAUCCGUGUUUUCAAAGAUGACGAAGGGCUCCGAGUCGGUAAAGAGAUUGGAGGCAGUCUUAUGCAAGCAAUUAAUGAAUCUAGAAUUUACAUCCCGAUUUUCUCCAAAAACUACGCUUCAAGUAAGUGGUGCCUCCGUGAGCUUGCACACAUAAUGAAGUUAUCGAGAGACGAUACCGAGAAAGUGAUACUCCCUAUAUUCUACGACGUGGAUGCGGAUGAUGUUAAGCUUAAGACCGAAUUAUAUAGGACAGCCCUCCAAAAUCAUGAGAGUGACUCUGGGAAGGAUAUGGCAAAGCAGUGGGAGGAGGCUUUAAGAGAGGUUGCCAGAAUUAAAGGAUGGAAUCUAAAAGAUUACGGGUAUUGUUAACUUCUUCCGUUAAGUUUAUUUUCAUUUCAUCAAUUUCGAGAUUAUAUUCUAUGAUACUUUUUCCAGAGUAAUAACUUCCAGUUUGCUGUUGUCGAAUCUUAUGUGAUGUAUGGUUGGAUCGGCCGCAGUGAGGGAGGCAGAAAUUUUGCUCAGGGAGCAAGGUUUCUUGCAUAAAUUGACUUUUCACUUUUAAUCCCAAGUUUUGAUAACAAUAGUCUCAAGAUAUGUCAACUUAAUUAAUUAAUCAUUAAUGCAAAGCAAAUAUGUGUGAAAAAUAAAAAUUUAAAUCUCUUAACUUUGCAGCUCACUUUUCGGCUAGCAAAAUGCUUUUAAAAAAACUUUGGUCAUUUCUCUUGCUUUGACCUAUUCACAACCCCGGAUCGUGCUUCGGGCACCACAGGUACGGAUUUCCUUUGCCUUAUGACCAUCCUAGUUUUAAAGUUGUCAACUUUUAUAUGAAAGUACUAAUCUUAAUUUGUGUCUUACCAACUUCUUUUCGAUUAUUUUAAAAACUAAUUUUAGGUUACUAGCGUUUGUUUGAGUCAUUUACUAAGUUUAAUUGAUUGUUUGCCGAUUUACAAAUUUUAUAGAAUCUGUUAUCUCUUAUUUGAAUUGUUUACUUCACAUUUCAAAGUUACCAAUACUUGAAACAAAUUAAUAACCCUAAUACAAGUUUUGUACUAACGAAUCUCUGAUUAAGUUACUAACUAAUUUAAGUUACCCAUUCCUACGUGAACCUCUUAUCAAUAUUUAUUUUUUUGUUGAAAAUUCCACCUUUUGUAACAAACUUUUGUUAUCAACGGACCCACUUUUAUUAGCAUAGUUCACAAACAUUCUGAGGUUAGGAACUCAAUUAUCAAAUUACCAAGCAUAAUUUGAGUUACUUACCAACUUAUUCUGAUUAAAUUACCAACAAAUUUAUUGUGACUGAUGAAAUUGCUAAGUUAAACCAGUUGGUAGCUUAUUCAGAAAAAUGAUUGUUGGCAACUCAAAUGAAGGCUGAUAAAUACUCUGAAAGUGUUCCUCAUUUUCGGUUACUACCCUAUUACUCGGGUACAUUAAGAAAAACGCUUUUGAGCUUUUAUUCUCGUUUCCUAAAUUCCAGGUAACUGCCUAGUGAGAAAAUCUUUUUCUUUUAUGUCAUUCUUCAAAAUCAUCCUUAGUGGCUGAAGAGAUAAAAAAGACCGGAUUCACCGAGGAAUUCUCGUCAAAGCCCAAUUAGACCUUCGUCAUGAAAUAACCUUUUUCCUACCAUUUACCGGACCAAAGAAUCCUAACAGUAGCAGCUUUCAUUUUUCUUUUUUUAUUACUUUUUUUUGUGGCAAACGGCUCGCAGCAUGAAUGAUCACUCAUUUCAUGCUGGUUGCUUUCAAAGUCAAUUACUUUGAAUUUGAUGAUAACCUUCCAGUGACACGUUAUGCAGGCAUAGAUUCCAUAUGUGAUUUUUUUUUUUUUUAUCUGAGAUGAUUGCAUGUUAUGUAUAUGGCAGCCUAUAUAAACUUACAAACCUCGUGGUGGAAGAGGUUUCAAAUUUGCUAUGGACAAGACAGACGGACAUGUCUAAUCAUUUGGUGGGAAUUAAGGAUCGAAUGGAUCACAUUAUGAAGCUAUUAGAUGUAGGAGCUUUUGAUGUACGGUUUAUUGUGAUUCAUGGUAUGGGUGGCAUCGGAAAAACAACACUAGCCGAGGCCAUCUUCAAGCAAAUGUACCCUCAAUUUCAGGAUCAUUGUUGUUUUCUUAAAGAUGUUCGAACUCAUGAUAUAAUAGGCUUACAAAAGAAAUUGUUGUUUGAUGUUCUCAAUCUUAGUUGCACAAACCCCUUCUUCAUUGAUGAAGUGAUCAAGACAAGGUUUCUUGGCAAGAAAGUCCUCGUUGUUCUUGAUGACAUUGACAACUGGGACCAAAUCAUGAGGCUUGCAGGCGAGCCCAACUGGUUUGGUAGGGGUAGUAGAAUCAUCAUAACAACAAGAAAUAUUGAAUUCCUGGUAAAGGAAGUUGAGGAUGACAAUCUCCCAAUCUCUAAUAGUGGACAAUUUUCAUUCUACGAUAUGCCGGAGAUGAAUUCACAUGAUGCUCUUCAACUGUUUUGUGAGCGUGCCUUGGGAUGUGCCAAGCCUCCGCCUAGUUACAUGGAUAUCACAGAAAAGCUAGUCAAUGCACUAGGAGGACUUCCAUUGGCUCUCAAUGUCAUAGGUUCCACGCUCCAUGGAAAAUGCCGAAGAACAUGGGAAGACACCCUAUGUAAGUUAAAGAAGGUGAUGAAUGAGGAUGUCAGGAAGAAGUUGAUGAUAAGCUAUGAAGCAUUGGAAAAUAAUCAACAGCAAAUUUUUCUUGAUAUCGCAUGUUUCUGCUUCAACAAAGAGAAAACAACUGCAAUUAAAUAUUGGGAUUCGAUUUUUGGGUAUCCAACCGAAAUCGAGGUUAAUAUCCUUAAACGUAUGUCUCUAAUAAAAAUAUCCUACGAUAAUAAACUAUGGAUGCACGACCAACUUAGAGACCUUGGAAGGAGUAUCGUCCAUCCAGAAAGUGGUGAAAUCCAUAUGAAGGGUAGUAGAUUGUGGGCUCCCAAGGAUGCCUUCCAUGUAGUGUAGGCAGAAAUGGUAAUCUUGACCUCUAAAUGUUUUCUAGUGCAUCCAUUAGCAUCACCACCGUUUUAUCUAAUUUCAAGUCAAAGUGACAUAUGUAUUCAUUAGACGUACAGAUUUAAGCGCGAGCAAUUUAUGGGCUUGGUCAACCUUAGGUUUCUUCAAUUGGACCAUGGAAAUUUUGAAGGAGACUUUAAGAAUGUUUUCUUUAAUCUGAGAUGGCUCUCUUGGAGCAAUUGCCCUUCAAAAUUCCGAGCUAGCAACUUUGGGUUGAAGAACUUAACGAUUCUCAUGUUAUCUGGGGAUAACGUUACUGAAGAUUGGGGAGGAUGGCGUCAAAUCAAGGUAUGAUCUCAUAACAUCCUUUUGCAUUAUAUUUACUUUUCCUCUUUUCUGAAUGUCUACUCAAUUGCUUUAUAGGUAGCAGAACAAUUGAAAAUCCUACAACUCGAGGAUUGUCCAUUCCUUAUAAAGAUGCCCAAAUUCUCCACAUUCUCGCGGCUAGAGAAAUUGAUUCUUAGAUGCGUUCGACUAAGAAAGAUUGACAAGUCCAUUGGCAAUCUACAACAUCUUGAUUACCUAGAGAUAAAGAGUGAAGCUAUUGAGUCGCCACCAGAGUCCAUCAGCGGUCUCAAAUCUUUAACAGUGCUAAGAAUAGAACGAACACCCUCAAGGAAGCCUCGCUUGAUUGGCAAUUUAGCAAAGGUGAAGUCUCUAAUCUUGCCAUGCAAGGAACUUCAAAAGCUUCCCGACUCUAUCGGACAAUUGGAGUCACUACUUGAGCUAGAUGUCCAAUAUUUAAAAAUUAGUGAAUUACCUCAUUUUAUUGGAAAUCUUGAAAGGUUAAAAGUUUUACGUAUCUGGAAUUCCUAUCUAGAAAAGCUACCAGACUCAAUUGGGAGGCUCCAAUCAUUGGUCGAGUUGGAUUUGAGCCAUUCCAAAAUUGGGAGCUUACCUGAUUGUAUUGGAAAUCUCAAAAAGUUGAAGGUACUAAAUCUCAAUGAUAGUUGCAUAAGUGAACUUCCGAAAACCAUAGGAAUGUUGGAAAAUCUGGAAGAGUUAGAUGCUCGCUCUGAACAUCUAGUGGGGGAAAUUCCAAGUGAAAUCGGGGCACUAUCCUCAUUGAAAUAUCUAUCCUUAUGCAAAGGUCGCUUUAGUGGAUUGCCCACAACGAUCAAUCAGCUUACAAAUCUCCGAAUGCUUUCGUUACUGUUCUGUGAUUCUAUCCAACAGUUGCCAGAGCUUCCCAAGAGUCUAAUUUCUUUAAGCCUUCUAUCGAAUUCACUAACCACGAUCCCUAACUGCUCAAACUUAACCAGUUUAGUUGACCUUGACAUAAUUGGAUAUUCAAUUGAAGAACCCAACAUAGAGGGGAUCAUGAGACUACUUGCUCCAAAACGAAUGGCCCGCCGUGUUGGAAAAAUGGCCUUGCCUCCAACUGAUUUCAGUUCCCUCUCUCAGCUACAAAGCCUCAGCAUAAAUUAUGCUAAGCCCCAAUCUCCUAUCGGACUCCCAUCCAGCCUUCAAGAUUUGUUGUUACGUGAUGUCCAAUCACCAAUAGAUUGGUCAGUCUUUUCCAACUUGGAGAAUUUGUUGGGGCUGUCUAUUUAUAGAUAUUUGUUGAGAGAGAUUCAAUUUGAGGUGCUUGGAGAGCUACGGAAAUUCAAUAGAUUGUGGAUGUCCAACUGUCCCUUGCUUAAGACACUGCCCGUUCUACCUUGUUUGAAGGAGAUCCGGUGUUUGUCCCUGUUCCGAUUGCCUCAAUUAAUUGAGAUUCAGGGUUUGGGAGAAUUGAAAUCAUUGCAGAAUUUGUCUAUUGGGUAUUGCAAUUCAAUCAAAAUGUUAAAUGAAUCUGAUCUUUCUAAUCUACAGAAUCUGAAACGUUUGAGAUUCUAUAAAUGUGAAUCAUUAGAGAGGGUGCUGGGUGUGCCAAAAUCUUGUCAACUCGAGGUCUAUGAUUGCCCAAGGUUCAAGAGAGAUGGAUAAGAUAUGUAUCAUUUGAUUGACAAAGAUAGUUGAUGAUGGUAAGUCCAUAGAACUAGAGUUCGUUUUUUUUUUUUUUUUUUUUUUUGGUGAAAGGUAAUAGAUAUAUUGAGGAGAGGCCAAUUGUACACAAGAUCACGGCUUCAAAACUUGCACUCCAAAUGAGAAGAUCAAAAGGAGUGGAAGGAUGCCAUGAUGUAAAAGCCAUGGACACGCGGCACACACCCUACAACGCAACGCCAAAGACAAGCACGGAAUGGACAACCGGCAUUCAAAACAAAAAGCGACAGCUAGGGAGGAGAGUAGCCCAUGGCUCCAAAGCAAAGAGGCUCUGACAAGGCUACGAGUCCCCGGAGAAAAUGAUCGGAUCAAUACCCCAACUUUGUUGCAACCUUUUGUUCGUAAAAGUAUCUUCAACGUUCCUGAAUGUGAUAGCCUUGUCUUGGACCACUUUGAAAAGAUGGUUCUUCAUGGCCGGGACCGUAAGAGGCUGAUCUCUGAAGAUGAUGCUAUUCCUAUUUUUCCAAAUGAUAUGACAAAGAGCGCCGAAGGAAAAACAUCAAUGUAUUUAUAAAAAUCUUUACCCAUAAAAAAGGUAGAGGCCCAAUGUAAAUUCUCCCUCCAAGAGUUCCUUUUUUUUUGUUGUGUCUUUCCUUCAGCUAACCUUUCAUCUUGGUUCUGGAACCACCUCUUGCAUUCAUUCAUCAUGUUGUCUCUAAGGGAAAAUCCUCUUUCAUGUAUCAUAAACACGUGACACUUUGACUUGCCUACUUGACGAUGGCGAUACCUAGCUAGUUUGUGUUGCACACUAGCAUAACGUCGGGAUUGACAUGCUUCGUGGCACAUGUUUUGCUUAGAAAAAAAUCGAUAAAGUGGAGGGGAACUAUUAUAUAGUAAGCACACUAAAGAUGCUAACAAAUGCUAGGUUUUUGUUGUAAGGCUGAGUUGGUUGAGACUUGAGAAUACUGGUCUCACCUUAUGGAGUGCUUUUAAUAUCAGUAGAGAACAAUCAUGAUUUGUGAUUACUGAAAUAAAGGAAUUAAUGCUUGGGUAGUGGAAGAGUGAAUCAUUGAUACCUAUUAUGCAAUAUGAGUGAUUUAGUUAUUUCCUUCAUGAAGAAUUCGAGGUGUUUUUCUGGUUACUUCCGAACUAAAGUGGAGAAGCUUCAGGUCUUGAGUCACUGUGUGAUUUGUGAACUAUCUUUCUUCAUUCUAGUAUUUAGCCAUUUAUGUGUUAAAUUUGUGCUGCGAGACAAUUGAUAUUGGCAUAAGUUUGUCGAUAUGGUCAAGCCACUAUUUUGAUGAAGACUAGGUUUAGCUGCAUCAAGUUGUGCAUUUUGCAUUUAGUGGUGUGAGGAAAGAGCACCUUUGUGUCGUUGAAGACUAGAUUUUAUUUAUUCUUUUAGCUGACUUAUUGUAGCUUUCCUCAUCUCUCUCUCUCUCUCUCUCUCUCUCUCUCUCUCUCUCUGCUACUGUUAAGUUAUUAAAUAAACUUGUUUGAUCUUUGUAUCUAUCUAUCAUUUUUACAUUUGCUAAUAAAAUAUUUUUGCACAAGCUCCUCCGAGAUCAUAGUGAAAUGUUCUUUUACAUGGACGUCUAGGCUUUGGCAAGACAUAUUGUUGGUGCUAUAGCAAUGACUUGUUCUCUUCAAUCCAUAUCAAUAAAAGGGCGAGCUGUGGUAAAGUGAAUUGGUACUUUUGAGCAAGCUAUAAUAGGCUUCUUUUCAACUACAUGGAUGUUUAUUGAGUUCCACUGUGCAAUCUUCUAUUGAACUUUGUUAUUUCCAUACAUUUCACAAUUUUGUGCUUUCUUCUUUUGCUUUUGUAUACAUUCAAUAGAGGUCCCUUCAUCUAUGCCAACAGUUGAAAUAUGAUAACUAUCAGUAGCAAUGAGGAUCCUCUGCAGCCAAGAUGUUCUAAUUAUAUUAUUUUAAACAACAACAAUGAGGAUUCUCCCAUAAUUAAUGAAGAGGCCAAGUUAAAAUGCUUAUGGAGUUAUCUCAUGCACGAAUGAGAGAAUCCUCUAUGAAGAUUAAGAUGUAAGAUAUUUGAAGUUUUUCUCUACUAAAAAUUUGAAAUUGGUGAUCAAAUGUCUACUAGAUCAUUUGUUCUGCACAUUGACAGCAUUGAUUUUGUGAACAAACUAGAGAAGUUUUGAACAUUUGAGAGUAAUGGCAAUUAUAAAAUUAUAGGUUCGGAUAUAUUUUCAAAGGCAAUAGCUGUGGCACCUUGCCUUCUCUUUUUUCAAGAAUUUGACUCCAUUGUGCUGAAGAGAGGGCAUGAUAAUACGGGGGUCACUGACCAUGUCAUCAAUCAGUUAGUUUCUUGCAUUCAAUGGCACUUAUAAAGUGGUCAUGUGAUGGUAUGACUCACUAAUGGUAUGUUAUUCAUUGAUGCAGUUUUUUUUAUUGAAUUAGAUGGUGUUGAAGUUUUAGGCAGUGUGUUUGUGUCAGCGGGGACAAGGUAAUAAUUUCGUUUUACAUGGUAACAAAAAGUGCUCUCUUUUUAUAGCACACUAACUGUAAACUACUGUUGGAAAUUGCAUGGCCAUUAUGAAUGCUUUGCUAAAAAAUUUUCUAUGAAGCAUUUAAUAUGGAGACUAUGUAAUAACCUUCAAGGCAAACUAUUAAAUGCUAGACAUGACCUUUCCUUGAUUUGGAAUUGUUUAACUUCGGACACACAGUAUUGGAUAAACUACAUAUGUAUCAAAGAAGGUAAAAAACGGUAGCAUUGCUUGAGUUACUGUUCAGUUGUUGAAGUAGCUUAGAGGAAGUAUAUUAAACUGGUCUUGAGCCUCUUCAAUAGCAUCAACGGAUGUUGAUUGUUUCAGUUUUGUGAUAUCAAGCAUAGUGCGAUUUCUCAGUUAUAUCAUGACAUAUUUGCUGCAUGAGGUGCAAUUUUGUUUUCCUUAGGGAUCAUGGGUUCAUCUAUCUCCUAAUAAGUCUAAUUCACUUUUCUUUCUUGGGAUCCUUCCAUUUUACACUUGUCUAGUUAUGUGCUUUUAGUUCUAAUCGAGUUGCAUUUGAUGUGAAGCAAUAGACUGGACCAACUUGAUGCUGCACUUCUAAUACCUGGCAGGCUUGAAGACUUCUGCUCUGUGAAUUUUCUCCUAUACAGGACAGAUUGGAUACCUUUAAAUUUUAUGAAGGAAGGUACAAACAUACAGAAUCUAAAAACAUUGGGUUUCUAUAAGUGUGAAUCAUUAGAGAGCAUGUUGGAUGUGCCAAAAUCUUGUGAACUCACCAUACGCAAGUGCCCAAGGUUCAACAGAGAUGGAUAAGUAUUUAUCGUCUGAUUGGCAAAGAUCGUUGAUGAUAGUAGGUCUAUAGCAUCGAGCCGAUUGGAUAACAUCUUUUUGUAGCCAAUUUGCAUGCACUUGAGUCUCCAAAUACUUUGAUUGAUUAGAAGAUUUAAUUGACUGACUUGCCUUGUUCAAUUCCUGAAAUUGUCGAUACCGAAACUACUUAUGGGUUAUCAUGGAGAGAAAAGGAAAGAAUACAAUCAUUCCCUUUGAUCCAUAAAUGAUGUUUAAAUGCUGUCAGGUAUACUGACAAGGCAUACAAAAUUUGGUUUGACAAGAGGUGGUUUCCACAAUCCUCUACAUCAUCUCUCUUCAAUGUUCAUCUCCAAAAGAGAGUAAAAUUACAUUUUUCUUCUCUGUUUGUUUGCUUUUUGUUCAUUCUCUCCCAUCUUCAACUGCCAAACACAGUUAUGGAAGAUGUUGCAAUUUGCCUGACAGGGCAUUUGCAUUCUUGGAUUCUUAUUUGUUGUGUUGAUGACAUGUCCUUUUCUUUAUAUUUUUCCUUUAAUGUUUUGAGUUGAGUCUAGAAGUUUGACGACUCUGACUCAUCAAUGAAUUCAAUAAGGCAAAUGCAAUUACCUGGGUUGCUCCCUUUUGUAUCAUCUUUGUUUCUUGUAGUUCCAGAGAUUGAGCAGGAAUUACCUGAUGCUGCACAAUCAAAGAUUACAUUUUACUUACUCCUUAUUUGAUGCCCAUGGUUAUAGUUGCAAUUUUUAAGUAUUCCCAUUCUUAAAAUUGAAAUUCUGCUUCUCCAGCAAUAAUUAUAAGCUUUCUUCAUCUAUUUCUGCAGAGUCUUAAGUAUUUUUAGGAAUAACAGUUAGGAAUCUAUGUGAGCAACUUAAAGUUGCUUACUGGGCAAACUUUUUCUUGUUGAUAGUCCUAUUCUGCUUAGGCAUUCAAUGGCUUAUUGUACUAACCUUAGCUUUUAUCAACUGAAGUAGUUAUUUUCAGUACUCUUAAUUAGCUUAAUUAGAGUACAUAAUCUAUUUCAUAGAUCAUGAUUAAAUCUGUCAAGUAGUAGAUAUGUUUGGGGACUGAAACUUGAAAGAUCUGCCACUUCCUUUCAUAUUCUUGAGUGUGCUUCCCACAUACUUUAUGCUGUCUGAUUGCUUAAUUUACUUUAUCGUGCUGGAUGAGGAAUUUGUCAUUCUAUUAUUGUUUUAUGAGUGUCUUUCAUUGAGUAUCUGGACAAGCAAUACUAAUCUAUGUUGUCGGUUCACAAGUGUCUGUUUUCCAUUAAGUGCUCUACUUUUCAUGUAAAAUCAAAGUCAUCUUUUGGUGGUAAGCUGUCUAAACAUCUUUUUGUAGAUCGACAAUCCAGUGGAUGGAGCUUAUGGUUAGGCUCUACAGAAUCUCAAUGAGAGGAUCGGUUACCUGAGAUUGUGGGGUUUAACUACCUACCAUUGUUUCCCUUAUGCAAUAUUGUGAGCGAGCGAGAUUAUGCAUGGAUUUUGUUCAAGAAAGUUUAUUUAACUGCAUUAGUUUUGUCUAAGCUGUAGCGUUUGUUUAUUCUUUCUGGUGUCUUAUCACACGUUUCCUCUCUCUAUGUCUCUGUGCUUAUAAUGUGGUUAAUGUUAACUUCUAAAAUAAACUAAUUUACUUAUUUGAUCUUUGUGUCUGUUAUUCUUACAUUUGCUGAUAAAAUGUUUUUGGGCAAGCUCCUCUAAGGCCAUGGUCAAAUCUUGUUUUACAUGGACAACAGGAGCAACUUGUUCUCUUCAUUCCAUAUCUAUGAAAGGGAUGAACUGUUGAAUAAGCACAUUGGAACUUCUGAGCAACUUAUAAGAGGCUUCUUUUUAACUACACUGAUGUUGAUUGAAUUCCAUUGUGUAAUCUUACAUUAAACUUUGUUAAAUCCAGACAUUUCACAAAUUUGUGCUUUUUUUCUGUUGCUUUUGCAUGCAUUUAAUGGAGGUACCUUUUUCAACCAAAAAAAUAAAAGAAAAAUAGAGGUCCCUUCAUCUAUACUGGCAGUUAAAAUAGUUAACUAGCAACAUCAACUAGGAUCAUCCCACUGCGGCCAAGGUGUUCUUAUUAUAUCAUUUUUAACAAUAGCUACGAUGAUCCUGCCAUAACUACUGAAGUGACCAAGACAAAAAGAUCGAUGAGGGGGGCGUGCAUGUGAAUGAGAGGAUCUUCUAUGACCAUUUGAUUAAGAGAAAGAUUUCUCUUCUAGAAAUUUGAAAUUAGUGAACAAAUGUCGACUGCAUUUUCUAUUCUGCACAUUGAUGGGGUUGAUUUUGUCAGCAAACUGGAGAAAUUUAAAUAUUUGAGAGUAACGGCAACUAGAAAAUUACAAGUUCUGGAUAUCCUCGAAGGCAGCAGCUACAUCACUUGGUAAAUCUAAGUCCGUUUUGUUCUUUUUUCCACUAUAACCCUUAGUGAGGUUCGUUGUUUAGACAUAGUCGCUACCUAGCAGGCCAAGAAGGGUUUUGGUGAGGUUCAUUAUGUCACGCAACUCUUACUUCUGACUGUGUAAACUAGAUUAUGGGGGAAUCUCCUUUUCUUUUCCCAAGUUGAUGGGAAAGUGGUGGUUAUUUGCUUUUCAUAUGACAAGCUGCCCUUUCUAUGGACUCCAAUAAUAUGGUUGGGGGUACCUUGAUGGACAACCUUGUGCUGAAAGUGCGAGGUUCUUGAGAAAGUGUUGGUGCACGUCACUAAAUAGUAAGCCUUGUUUAUGCUCCCCAUGUCAGGAAAUGUUCUCAUUUAAUGGCAUGAGGAACAUGUUGAUUAGGUGUUGCAUCUUGCACGGUAUACCUUAUUCAUCGGUUUUGUCAUGGAAAAACGUUGAUAUUACCUUCCAUGUUUGGCGGUCAUGCAUUAGAUGCUUUCAAUUGGUUAUCUUAAAAUGGUUAGGACUUUUCUGCAUUUAGGCUCUAUUUAAAAAUUAAUCACUGCUGUGGAUCUUUCUCUUGUCCUUUGAGAAAAUGCAAGAGUAUAGGACGAGGUAUUGUUUUGCUUGUUAUUCUAUUUCGGAGCCUGGCUAAUAGUAUUGCAAGAAAGUAAUAAAAGAAAGGUGGAGAUGUAUCUAAUCCAGGAUUUUUUUUUUUGUGUAUUUUAAAACUGUUUCAAAAAAGUGACAAAAGAAAGGUGGAGAUGAAUCUAAUUCAGGAGUUCUUUUGUUGUCUCUUUUUUAAGAUAGUUUCAAAAAAGUGACAAAAGAAAGGUGGAGAUGUAUCUAAUUCAGGAGUUCUUUUGCUUUCUCUUUCUUAAAACUGUUUCAUAGUUGGUUGUUUUCAAUUUUUCACUGAAUACUUAAGGGAGCUCAGAGGUGCUAGUACUAUCUUUCAUGUGUCCCUUCAUUCAGAUAGGACAAUGCUUCCGUGCUGUUGUAAUAUUCUUCAGAAAGCAAUAGUUUACUUGCUAACACACCAAGUGGGAGCAAACCUUUUAAUAGAGUUAUAUAAACCAGAGUGAAUCUGACAAAGUUGAGGUAAGAAAUUAAUUGUACAAAGAGUAAACCAUAACGUCGAGAUUUGGAUUGGAUAUGACUCAAUUCCAUGGUCAACAUCUUAUCUUCAGCUCUUUGAUAGAUCCAUGUCCUGAGGAGAUUCCGUCCAACGGCAACAUAAUAGAUGGGUGACCUGAGGAUUCUCAUAGACUUUACUAUAGCUAGUAUCGAUUUGUAUGCAUCCUUCUUUUUUUCUUACUGUAUAUCGGCUACUUUUAAACACUCCCAGGGCAAUGACUUAUGUGGAAAACCUGUGGUGCCAAAUAACCAUUCGAAUAAAGUCAAUGUGGUUUUCAUCAGCCCUUGCCUUCUUUGAAUAAAGUCCUUCCCCGUCUCUUUCACUCCAGCUAACUUUUGUGCGAGAACCAAAGUUUGACAAUCUUGUUCUCGUUUGGUCACCAUUCUCUUCGCAAGUGGUAAAUUGUACAUUCCGGUACUUUUUGCCGUCAACGAAGUUUCCUGCUCACGUGCUAUUUUGUUGCAUAUCUCUGUAGUGCACAAGAAUCUGCUAGAUUUGUUCUGCACAAUUAGUCCUUAAAACACAGACAGAGCACACAAGUUGUACUAUGCCCUGCCUCCAUCUGUCUCUGCACUAAGGUUUUCUUCCUCAAAUAGGCUACAACCUUUAACUCUCUGAUAUUAUAUAAAUAAGGUGCGCUAUCUUUCUCAAUACGAAAAUCCAGGAUUUAAAUUGAUCAAUCAUUUCAAAUUGGGCCACCUUGAUGCAACCAUUACUUCACCUCACCACUCCAUUUGGCCACAAAGAUAUCCUCUUGUUUAGGGUCUAGUUUAUUUAACACUCAACUAGGAACCUGCAUACCGACUGAAGCAAACUGGCCAAUUGGAAAGAGCGCCUUAUACCAAAGUGACUCUCCCAUUUUUCGACAUUAACUUUUCCAACCUGCAAGUCUGUACUUAGAUAGCUCACUGGUUGGAUCCCAAAUUUUCUUUAAGCCCUAGAGGAAUGGUUAGAUGUGUUAUAGCAAAGUGACUUGUGAUCGAGCAUGCAUGCCAUUGUGUGUGUGCAACGGGCAUAUGUCUAUACUACUGAAAUAUUGAACCAUAGCCUCAGAUCUGGACUUUAAGAUUGAAAUUCAAGCUGAAUGCUUCUUAGUGCAUGUAUUUUAACUAAGUAUUCUUCCAAUGCAGAGUUUUUUCUCAUUUUAUCCCCUGAAGUUCUUUGUACUGUCAUUGAAACACCAAUUUUUUAGCUCACAGUUCCUCUUUUUCAUCUGGAAUGCUUGACAGUCUAUCAGUCAUCUUUCAUGUGUGAUGUGAACUAAAAUUUUUGCAUAAUCUUAUCAUGCUAGAAAUUUGCGUGUUAAAAUAUCUUCUUGCUCCUCGAUGUUCUCUUAGCUGAUCAUAUUGGUCCAUUUUUUAUCUUAACAAAGCAGGUAGAGGAUAUGGUGGUCUUAUUCUUGCCAUACUAGGAACUACUUUUGGUGCACUUGACUAAAUAUGGAAUAUUCAAUUGUCUUUUUUCCUUCGCAAAUGCACUUCCAGAAGCAAUGUUCCUAAGAAUCUAGCUAGUGCUUUAAAGAACCCAUGUUAAUCUCGAUAAUUGUGCGGUGGUUUUAGAUUUGGACACCUAAAUAUCGCCAAUAAUGUUAUGCUUUGAUGUCUGAAGGUCUAUUAGAAAGCAAUAUGGGGUGGGAUUACUGUAUUGGGCUUUAAAACCUAGGACCAUCAAAACUUCUAAGACGCAAAAGAUAAUAAUAGGUGCCAAACUGACCGGCUUUAUGGCUCUUUAUUGUGGAUGCAGGCAUUUGCUGAUUUUGAAGUCUCUGAAGGCAUUUAUUCAUGAGCUCGCAUCUAAAAUACUGAUUCGGUAUGUUUUUGGCUAAGAGCAAAUGUUAUGUUGGAGUAUUCAUGCGAAGAGGUACUUGAGUUGAAGCAAUGUCCCUUUAUCUCCAAUAAUGAUGUCAAGUAUCUUAUUUAUUGCAUUAAUUCAUGUUGCAGGCAACAACUCUUCUACAAAAGAACCUAGAAAUUGCUAAAGCAAGUUUAGAAGUUCUUGUUGCUGAUCUACAAUUCUUAAGGGACCAAGUAAUGUUUCUGACUUGCUCCUACGGAACCAAGGUCGAAAAGAUUGCAAAAAAAAAAAAAAAACAGUCAUUCACAACCACUGAUGAAGGAUUCCUCGAAAGUUAAGGAUUAGUAAUCCUUUUUAGAAAUCGAAUGGAUUCGGUCUUAUACAUACGCAAGGAAGGUAAUCAAAAAAGAAAUGAUCACACAGGUAAGUCGGAAUUUUUUGGGAACUUGAAGGUUCCUGUUUGUUUCAAGCUGUUUACUAUGUACGUUUGGGGGUAGGUCUAUUGUUGUUGAACUGCUGUUGCUGUGAUUUUUUUAACUGGUGUGAGGCUAUAUAUUGGGAAGACAUGUUAAUUUGUGACAACCAAGAGUGGAGUAAUGUCGCACUUACUUGAACUUGAAAAAUUCAAAAGUUGUUGUAGGACCGUAUUCUUUAGUUUUGCAACUCAAAUCAUGGUAGCACAAUGUGUACUUCGAGAGACUUUGUUCUCCCCAUUUUGACAAGUGAUUUUGGUUAGGUUUCGUGAGAUUUACUGCAUUAUAGCAAGCUUGCCAUGUAAAAUGAUUUUGAUUGAGAACCUCUUGGGCUUGACUUUUCACUUUUUAUGUUGUACACUAGUUUUGAGUUGAUAUAUGGUCCAUCUGUUUUGUCUCAUUUCACCUUGGUCAUGCAUGUUAGAAAGGACCAAUCUAAAUUUGAAUUUGGGGAAAAACAUGGAGAGAUGUAUUUUUUGCCCGAUAAGGCAUUUACAUUCUUGAAUUCUUAUUUGUUGUGCAGAUGAUAUGUAUUUUUCUUUUUCCUUUGCUGUUUUUAGCUGGGUCUGGGAGUUUGAUGACUGUGAUUCAUAGAUGAAUUCAAUUAGGCAAAUGCAACAACCUGGGUUGCUCCCUUUUGUAUAAUCUUUGUUUCCUGUGGUUCCAGAGAUUGAACUAGGAUUAUCUGAUGCUGCACAACCAAAGGUCACCAUAAACUAGGAUUAUGAACUAGGGAUACACAAUAUUGGAUAGACUACAUAUGUAUCAAAAAGAAGGUGACAAAAGAUGGGAUUGCAUGAAUUACUUUUUAGUUGCUGAAGUAGCUUAAAAGAAGUGUAUCAUGCUGGUAUUGAGCCUCCACAACGGCAUCAACUGAUGUUGAUCAUUUGAGUCUAGUGACAUCGAGCAUAUGCAAUUCCUUAGUCAUCAUGACAUCUUUGCUGCGUGAGGUGCUCUUUUGGUCAGUUCCCUGUCAAAGAUGAAAUGCUUUUUCUUUAUUUAAUAAUUGUCCGGUUAUGGGCUUUUAGUGCUAACUGAGUUGCAUUUGAUGUGAAGCUGUAGAACGCACUCACUUGAUGCUGCACUCCUGAGUCCUGGCUGGCUCAACAUAAAUUCUGUGAUUUUCCUUCUAUACAGGAGAGGCCAGAUAUUGUUAACAUUUAUCCAGGAAGGUAGAAACUUAGCUUACAUCCUUCUACCAAUGCCUUUUCUUUUAGCAUUUCAUCUUUGACAGGGAACUGACCAAAAAAAAAAAAAAAAUCUUUGACAGGGACUGAAACGGGUUCUAUUUGUUAAAGAACUUUAUAACUGCAAUCCUACUUUUUCAAGAAAAAUCAUCGGAAAGACUACAUAUGAAUAGAAAAAUGCUUAAAAACUAACAAAAAGAGUUAGAAACAGAGUCAAUUGAGCGGCUAAAGAUCCUGUUUAGAACUUAUGGCAUCUGAUAGAGUACAUUUGGUGAAACAUGUUAAGUUAAAAUUUAAAACCCCUUCUUCCAUGGAGUUCUCCAAAAGUCCUUCUGCUCCAAAUCAUCCUAAACAUUGUGAAGUACAAGAGAAGAUUGUAAAAGGCAUUCGUGGGUUGGAUCUGCAACCUGCUAAGGUGGGGCUCAGGCAAGUCUAAAUGUCCAAUAGUAAAUCACUUUCAACCUCGGACCUUGAGACUAGUAGAUUUAACAUAUACUGAUGUUGCUCAGAAAAGAAAAAUGAGAAAGGCCUUGACAGCUGACUCCAUGAGAUGGGACCAAGACUUUACCUUUGGUAGAUUUAAUUAUAUUAAUCCGAUUCUGUCAGAUCAGUCAGUAAAAUUGGCAACCACUGGGCAAUGCUGAAGUUUUGCUGUGUGUAUGCUCUAAUGCCCCUGUGCGGUUCCUUUGGCCAGUGAUGUGGACUUGGAUGCUAUAGCUCAUAUGACAGAAGGAUUCAGCGGAGCGGAUCUUGAAGCUUUGCUUUCGGAUGCACAGCUUCAAGCUGUUCGUGAUCUUCUCGGCAGGGGCGAGAACAAUCAGCAUGGGAAAAAGCCAAUUAUAACCGACUCUUUUGAAGUCUGUUGCUUCAAAGGCAAGGCCGUCAGUCUCAGAUGCUGAAAAGAGAGAGGCUCCGUACAAAUUCUUUUCGUUCACCAAAUUCUAUCUUCUCUCCCCAAAACUAGAACUGUGCAUCCCCUAUCAGAAUUUCAACUGUGGAUUUUGAUAGUGGCUUGUUAUGCAUCUGUUGUAGUUAAUCCUUGCAACAAUCUCAUUCUCGUAUGGGGGCGUGGCAUUUAUAGAAAAAUUCAUCAGGUGCGUUUGCAAUUUCCAGUCACAAAUUUGGAGCAGUCACGACAUUUUAGCAGCUGCCGCUAUUUCCACAGUUUCUUUGGCUUAGAGCACCGCAUUCUGAGUGAGGAGACAAAUCGUGGGCUCAAGAUUCUAUUCUGUUCACGUUAUUUGUUGUCAUUGUUUAAAAGGGUUCGAUGACCUGUGCUAUGAUAUUUCAUGGCACAAUUCAUCAGUAUAGUCAUAGCGACUUUUUUGGUGAAUAUGCUUUUUCCUUUUGCUCUUGGUUUGAAAGAAUCUCUUUGGAACUGUUGUCUAAUUGGUGUAAUUCAAAUAAAUCAUGAAUAUAUCAAGGCAGAAGAUCAUGGGUGAUCGACUAAAAAAUGAGGAAAUGUGGCAUAGAGAGACCACUCGCGAGCUCCCUUAUCGCAAAUGAAUCUUUUUACCUCAAAGAAAUGACAUUUACCAUAUAGAAGAUAUUUAUUCCAAGGAUAAGAUAUUUUUACUACAAGAAUGAGUAACCUAUAUAUCAAGUGAAAAAGUUAGACGGUUGGGAUUACAUUUCUACGUUUCUUUAUGAAUGAUGGUGAGAGAUCUAAUCUCAUGAUAAUGUGACUUCACUAGAAAAAAAACUAUCUCAAAUAUGUCAUGUGAUGUUUCGAUUGCGGGAUAUAAUAAGAUAGGAAUGGAAAAGUUAUUCCAUAAAAUUGGAAGAGAGUAGGACUAGGAAUGGAAUAGCUGAUUUGUAGUUUGGUUUGUAUAAUGGAUUCAAAAAUUCUCUGGUUUGUUUUGCCACGGUAGCAGAAAGACUAUGUUUGGAAUAGUGUACAAUACCCAAAAUACCCUUUGAUGAUAUAUAUCAAACUCUAAUUUCUUUUAUUAUCAUAUUUUCAUAGGACAUAAAUGAAAGCCUACUAUAAUUUCUAAAUAAUUGCAAUAUUUGAAUUUCUAAUGUAAGUAACCAUUAUUUUAUUAAUUGAUAUAAUUAAACCAUAAUAUUGUCACGCCCCGAUCCUCGGGCACGCACACAUCCUUCUACCUUGGUCGAUUUUAUAAUGCGAUAUCCCAGGACAAUGUAUCGCCGACCCUUUCUUUUAUUAAGUACAUGCGGAAGCAGUUAAAAUCCCCAGACAAUAAAACGAUGGGAUAGAAAAGCAAGGCCAUAUUUUUCAUAUUGAAAUUUAUAACCCAACUUUUAUACAAAACACAAACCAUAACACUUCACAACUUUUUAUUCUAAACUCUAUUCACAUCAAAAUGGAGAUAUCAAAGAAGAUAACAUCUCAGUCCACCUGGGCCGUCCUCAAGGCCCUUCUCAGGAUUAUCUUCUUCUUCCAAAAAUCCUUUUCUUCAGAUCUCACCUCCGAGUUCUCCUUCUCGGAUUCCUCCUCCUCAGCUCUUCAGCGGGGUCCUGAAAUGGUUUCCCCAAACUGGGAUGAGACUACGUCUCAGCGAGUUCUACCCCACUAAGCCCGAUUAGAAAACUAUUAUACUAAACGCUGCCUAAACACGCAUAGGGCAGAUGACUUACCUUGGCCUCUGAUCCUACCUGCAAGUCAGUACAAUUCACAAUAAACAGUCAUUUGCUUCCAACAAAUUGAACUAGUCGAUUACAUGUCAUACAAUUCAAUAUCCCCACUGUGGGAUAUUUAAAAGCUAGGCCACGUGUAUUCUCCAGGACGACCUUCCAAGUCUCCGAGUUCACGUGCCUCGAACCUUGGGCCCACGUGCAUUCUCUCAGGCGACCUUUUCGCCAAAGUGAUGCAUCAAGUCACCGAGACCACGUGCCCUUUUAGAUGCCUGUACUUAGUCACAGAGCUCCAUCAAUGCUCUCGGGCGACGAUUCGCCAAGGUGACGUACAGUGAACACUUUACUAUGCUCUCGGGCGUCUUUUUCGCCAUGGUGAUACACUGAUCACAGAGCCAACAUAAACAAUUCAAUAUGCUCUCGGGCGUCUUUUUCGCCGUGGUGAUACACUGAUCACAGAGCCAACAUAAACAAUUCAAUAUGCUCUCAGGCGAGCCAACAUACACAAUUCAAUAUGCUCUCGGGCGUCUUUUUCGCCGUGGUGAUACACUGAUCACAGAGCCAACAUACACAAUUCAAUAUGCUCUCGGGCGUCUUUUUCGCCGUGGUGAUACACUGAUCACAGAGCCAACAUAAACAAUUCAAUAUAAUCAACCACUAAACUCACGUGCAUUUUCCAGGUGAUAUUCCAAUACCCAACGAUUUCUCAAUCAAUUAAUUAAAUCAACUCAACAUAGCAUUAUCAAUGCUAGAUAACAUACUUGGCCAAUUCAAUCUCAAUCAAUUCCAAUCAAAUUAGGGUAAACCCUAAAAUAUCUCAAUUUAUUCAAUUCCAUACAACGUGGAGCUCAAAUAAAUAAACGGGCUACGCCACGACGAUCAGCAUGAGAGUUCGGUUGUCGGCCAUCAAAAUCUUAAUUUCCGAAAAAUAAAUAAUUAAUUAUUAAUUUCGAAAAUUAAUUAAUUACUAUUAAAAAUUCAAUUUAGCUCAAAAUAAAGCCCGAUUAAAUAAACGGACUUCACCACGCUCAUCAGCAUAAUUUUCCGGUUCCAUAUCAUCUCAGUUGAAUUUUCGAAAAAUAAUUAAUUAAUUAAUUAAUUUCGAAUAUUAAAUAAUUAAUAUUAAAAAUCCCAUUUAGCUCAAAUUAAAGCCCGAUUAAAUAAACGAACUUCACCACAUUCAUCAGCACAAUACUCCGGUUCCGAACCAUCUCCCUUGAAUUUUCGGAAAAUAAAUAAUUAUUAAAUUUAAUUUCGAAAAUUAAUAUUUAAAUACUAAAAAUAUCCACUUAGGCCCGAAAAGCCUAAUUGGAGCCCACUAAGGGUCGGGAAAAUUCCCGAAGCACUUCCAAUAAUUAGUAGACCACGUCUACUUGCUAAUUACACAAUCAAUUUAUCUAAAUCACAUCACAAUUGACUAAUAAUUGCUAAUUUAUUCUAAUCUAACAACCUAAACAUAAUUAAUUAAAUCUAAACCAGCUUAAAGCAUAAUUAACCACUAAUCCUGGAUUAGUGAGAUUACUCACCAAAUCGCGCGCAAAUCGGAUCAAUCCGACGGCGGCGACGCGAGGAACGAUUGUUCCCAAAGCACGGCUCGGGUUCGGAGCCGGGAAACGGUCCAAAAGCGGGCCCGAAGGUGCUGAAACCCACUCCGUGGGUCUUGCUGGUCGCGGCUGAACGGAGCAGCUCCGGCGGCUAGGGCGGCGGGGGAAGGCCGGCGGAGGGCGAGGGGGUCACCGGGGGUGGUCCGGCGGGGUUGGCGGUGGCCGGAGGUGGCCGGAGAUGGGCUGGUCGGUGCAGAACAGUAGCUGGGUCAGCUGGAUCGCGCGGAGGGAGGAGCGGCAGCGAGCGACGGACGGCGGGACGGCGACGGGCGCGCGGGCGCGGCGCGGCGGUGCGGCGGUGCGGUGGUGCGGCGAGCGGGAUGAGCGGCGAGCUGCUGUCCUUCCUCCGUUUCUGGUUUCCGCGAAGAAGAAGAAGGAAGAAAAGAGGGGUUCGGUCGCGUGGGGAAGAAAGAAGAAAGAGGAGAGAGGAGAGAGGAGAGAGAGAAGAGAGGGAUAAGGGUUGACCGGUCAAGAGAAAAAGAAAGAGAGAGAGAGUAGGCGGUGGGGGAUCGCACGAGGGGGAGGGAAGAGGAGAGAGGAGAGAGAAAGAAAAGAGAGAAAAAGAAAGAAAAGAAAGAAAAGAAAAGGGAGGGAGAGAGAGGAAAAAGAAAAGGAAAUGCAUAAUUCCUUAUUUCAAUUUUCCUUUUCUCUUUUCCUUUUCCUUCCUCUAUUCUUUUGGGCUUCAAUUUUUCUUCCGAUAAUUUCUUUAUUGAAAUUUCGGACUCGUCAAUAAAUUGACGAGCGAUGAGACAGGAUCCUAAAAAUAAGAAUUAUGACGCGCUUAAAAUUCGAUUCCCGAAAUCGAGUUCAAUUUUGUGGUUAAAAAUCGAUCAGACGUGAUUUUAGCUCAAUCCAACCAAUUAUGUAGCUUUUAGGGAUUUUACAGCUGAUACAUCCCUUAACGGCUUUACCCAAUAGGUUAGUUAACUCGUGAGUGAUCAGCUCAGAGAAAAAGGCUAUAGGCACGCCGACGAAAUGCCCAUUUCACUUUAUCGAAACGGGGUCGAAUUUCAGGACGUCACAAAUAUAAUUACUAAAAAAAUAAAUGAACUAAUUAUUAAACAAUAGUAUAAUUACUAUAUAGAUAACUAUUAUUUUUAUAUAAUAACUACCAUUCGAGUCAAGCCAAUACAAUAAGGCCAAGCUCAAGCUCAACUCAUAUUAGAUAUUUGAUGCUCGGAGUUCCACUCUAGCUAUGCAACUCAAAUUUUUAAUGAAAAAAAAAAUACAAGAAUAUUAUUAAUAAUAAACAAAGUAAUUGCAGAAAAAUAAUAAAAACACGGAUCGACUGUCCAAUGACUAUAUUUCUGAAGCACCAAAAGUCCUCAAGGCUGGGGCCAACCAGUCCAUCAAAUGUUUGUCAGGCCACAGUCAGCCAAUUAGGGCCCAUGGGCUUGAUUUGACCUACGCUCACAAUGGGGUUGGGCAACACGGCCAACAAGGCCCUAAAGUAACUAUAACUUUAGUGUUUAAUCUAGUGAUGAUCGACAUAAAAUGCUACAAUGUACAUUUUCUCCAUCAUAAAAUAAAAUAGCAUUAAAAAAAGCUCGAUGGCGCCAGUCAGCUGCCACAUUAACGCCGGCUGGCCAAUUUUGGCCAAAUGGAUUGAUCGGGAAUAAUUGUAAAAGGUUUAGGACUCAAUCAAUCAAAAAAUAAGUUUAGGACUGAAUUGGCACAAUUACAAUAGGUUUAUGACUUUUUUGGUAAUUUUUUCCUGUUAAAUGGGUUGAUGUUAGAAGGAACGACUUCACCUAGUUGAUUCAGCUGAAGAUCAUUUCCUUGAAUAAUGAAAAGAUGUCGAUGGGGUUAUCCUUACUUAUUGAAAAUUCCCUACUAUGCUUAUCCAUAAUUACUGAAUAUAUAUAUAAAUAAAAAAUAAACUUCAAAUUUUGGUUUCCACCUCAAAUUUACUUCUAUACCUUCACAUAUAUGUUUUAACAUCUUGCAUUUACACUUACAAUCGAAAGAUCUGCACCAUACUAUGCCAAGGAUGAGAGAAAAUAGGAAAUGGGGGGAAGAUGGAAUAAUUUUGUUGAGAGCAAAUAGGAGAAAUUUAUGUUUUUAUCAGCUUUAAAUUAUUAACUAACUUAUUAAGUGUUCUCUCUUCGUCAAAGAAUAAAAAAGGAAGAAGAAAACUAACCAGUCUGGCAUUGUGUAACCACCUAGUUCAUUCAUUUUAUUUGGCUGAAGUUGUAUGUAUAAUCGAACAACCUUUUGGAGGCACUUUUAUGACAUCUACUGAUGCGUUAAAGUGUCACCUUAUGUUCAUCGUCGUUUUUACAAAUGCUACAAACUGUGAUGCUUAAUGCACAAAAUAGCAAUAUUUUGCAAAGUGACUCUAAAAGUGCACCAUAAUCAAGGGUUAAGAUGAGGAAAAUUAUUCAAAAAAAUAUACAUUAUUGUAUAGCAGCAAAUUUGAAGAGUUUGAGCAAUUUAGACGAUUUUCCAAUAGAGUCCAUCCAAUCAAUUUUGAUUGAAAAUCACUAAUGUGAUAGUUCAAUGAGCACUAGCCAUCCUCCUUGACUCAGUUGAUACCAAUAUGGAGAAUAUUUACAAUUUCUUAAAAUUUUCUUUCUUUUUUCUAUGUCCCUUUCCUUUACUUUUUUUUUUCCUUUUUCCCUUCACCGGUUGUCAAUAUGCUUGUCGUUGCCAAAGGCCAUGACUCCCUAUCCUCUUCCUAAUUGAUGCCCCUGCUAGAUUUGGACUGAUGACCUCUACUGGCUAUCACUAACGCUCCGCCCUAAGAAAUAGGAAAAAAAUUAAAAAAAGGAAAAAGAAAAAGGAAAAAAAGAAAAGAUUUAUAAGUGUAAAAGAAUUAUACAAAUCAUUAUGUUAGUGUUAAUCAUACUANNNNNNNNNNNNNNNNNNNNNNNNNNNNNNNNNNNNNNNNNNNNNNNNNNNNNNNNNNNNNNNNNNNNNNNNNNNNNNNNNNNNNNNNNNNNNNNNNNNNGGAUAUUAUCCGUAUUGCCGUGGUACUCUAACAAGUGUUCUCCUUACUUGUGGUGGCACUUCGCACCAUUUAAAGGCGCUUUUCAAAGUACGUCCACUGCUCUGUUUUGUCUAGGGGAAGAAAAGGUCAUUAAAGGACCGUUUAGUUUUUUUUUUUUUUUCCAUAAAAAGUGAAAAUAUGAGGGGGACAACAGUUAAUUUUGUGAUGAAUACCAGCGCCUAAAUAACGGUACUCAUCUGCAAUGUAGGUGAAGAAACAGCAGAGAGGUUGAAUAUUCGUCAGUUGCACAAAAAAGGUAAAAUUGAGAGAGUUUUCAGUGGGGUUGGGCAUUGAACCGGACCAUCCCUAACGGGCUUGAGGCGAGCCCAACCCGGUUUCUUUUUCGAAUGUCUCCUGGGGGGGAUUGAAAAUUUUCAUUUAAAAAAAAAAAAAAAUGGAAGAAGAGUUUUUUCGAGAGGGGGGGAGGGGGGGGGGGGUGAGAGCAGGGAAUUUAAGCAAGUGCCCUUUGAUUUUGUUUUUCAUACUCCCAUUCUUAUUUUCUAAUCCCUUAUAAUGAAUUCUUGAAAAAAUUGAAUCGAUAGUUCUAAACAUGUAUCUCAAUCUAUGUCAAAUUUUAGAAGUUAAAAAAAAUAGAAUCUAACUUUAAAUGUUUUAAAAUUGUUACAAUUAAGUCCUUUAGAUGACACCUCAGUCAUUUUGGCUUAUGUGGCCAUUGGGAAUUUGGUGUGGCUUUUUUUAGCAUAUGGGGCACAGAUGUGGUGCUAAUGUAUUUUCCACAUCAAUAAAACUCAAAUUUCUAAAUACAACAAAAAGAAAUAAAGAAAACCCGUAAACCCAAAAUAAUUAUAUAAUCUGAAAAUAGAAGGCCGUAAAUUAAAAAAAUAAAAGUAAAAAAAUAAAUUAAGAGAGAGAAAGAGAUGAUGUUGGGUUAAGCAAUCCUUGCCGGCUAAAGGCAAGGGCUUGCAACUCCACCUCUAGCCACCACCGCUGGAGGAUUGCUCGACCCUGGGAGUCCUACGUGGGGGUGAGGGCUUCGCUCUCCGGCAACGUCAGCCGAUGGUAUUAAUCCCAAUCGACAGUGGAUCCCCAUCCACGCCAAACCCCUCCCUCCCUGUUCAGUUGAUUUUUUUUCUCUAGAUUUUGGCUUUUUUUUUUUGUUAUUUUUGUUACUUUUUUUUUUGUAUAGUUGACUUUUUGAAUGCGGUGCCAAUGUUAGUGCCACAUUUGCUCAAUAGUGUUACAACACGUUGAAUUCACACAUGCUGCAUUAACAAUUCUAGCUAAUUAGUCAUUGACAGGACUUGAUUGUACCAUGUCUUUAAUUUAGUCUUCAUUUCUUUUAUUAUCACUUAUAAUUUAAUUUCAUUUUCAAAAUCUUACCGAUUUUUUUUUUUUUUUUUAUGUUUUUGCAUCGUAUAUAAAAGUAAAACAAAAAGUCAAUGUGGUAUUAAUACUUAUUGCCUCAGUAAGCUGAACAAGAUUAUCUCAAUUAUGUCAAGCUUAUGUAAAUAAAAUAAAAAACUUCACCACAUACAUGACCGAUUUGAAAAUUAACAUACUAACCCCAUUGACGUGAUAUCCAUUAUCUUACCUAGCGGAGCCAAUUCCUUGGAGUUCACAACAAAAGAGAUAAUAGAUCAUUUGACCACCCAAGCCGACAUAAACAAGGAUGCCCUUGCCAUGUUUGUAGCCCCUUGUUGGAAAGAACCGUUAUCGUGUAGAGUUACGGAAGAAUGACUACAAUAAACACUUAGUAUUACAAGGACAUAUAGUCGACGCCACAUUCUUUUAUUGUUACAAGAACAAACGCUUAACACUUCUCACAGCCUCACACUUCUUUCUAAUGGUGACCUGCAAUGCGCACGCAUAUUUUCCUCUCUCCCCUCUAUUCCGCACGUCACACACGCACACCCUCCAAACCUCACUUUCUCUCUGGUGGAGCCUCCCGAUCCACGCCCAAAAAUGGAGCACUUCGGCUAAAGUUGGUGGAGGAAGCCCCCUCAUUUAUUAUGCGCCAAACUUGCCUCCUGCCAGCUUUCUAACUUGUUGGCUGCCAAGUUUGAAUAUUCUUCAUGUAGAGGGGAGAUAUCUCGAGAGAGCGGGAGAGAGAGAGAGCCGUGGUGUCUCUCCAACAUAUCGUUCCAUGAAUUGCACCAAACAAUCCAACCCAAAAAAUUUAUUUCAUUUUUAGGAAUAGCUAAGAAGAUUAUACUAGUUAUAACGUGAGCCCCAUAAUGGAAUUGAUCCAUUGUUAGGAAUAGCUACCCUCAUACCUUCAUCAUUUCAGAGAAGAUUAUGCUUGUUAUAAUGUGAGCCCCAUCCAUUUUUAGGAAUAGCUACCUCAUAAUUGAUACUAGACAUUGUAAAAAUAGGACCCAUGUGCUUUGGCAUGAUUAUAUGGACUCAUUUUAUUGCUUAUGAAAUGGAUGAACCUCAUCGCAAAAUUAAGAUGAGAAAUACGGAUUUUUGUAGCGUGAGCAUCUUCAAGGAGUACAAAUAGGCCAAGUAAUUAAAAAGUUUGUCCCAUGUAUGCAUUCUUACUGUAAAAGCCUACAUUUAUUUCCACGAAGGGUGGGAAACCCAAUUGAAAUCGAGUCCGCUUGGGCUUUUACUAUAUAAUUUCAUACUUCUAACUCGAAAGUCCCUAGAAAAAGCAUCUCAAUUGGGAUCCCGGAAUUCACCCAAUGAUUGUUUUCAUACUUUGGAUUAAACGCAACUCUCUUGUCAAAAGAGUUAAAAUACAUAUAUUGUCUGAUUUAUACAUAUACAAACCCAUAAUGUUGGAAUUCAAACUUAGUGCCCACCUUGACGAAGGCAUGAUAACACUACAAUAUUUACGUUCAGGAUAUUAUAACGUCAUAAAUUUUGUGUGUGGGUGAUGGUAGACAUGUGUUGCCCAAUUUUUCUAGAAUAUCAAAGUUUAUUUUGAAAUGAACGUUGAGAGAACAAUAUCAAAAUCUUGAGUCUAUCUAGUAAGACAGUUUAUUAAAAAAAUUCAUAGAUUUUAAUAGAGCAUCUCAUUUGAAUAUAAUACUCUCUUGAAUAUAAUUCCACUUUUACCUUGUGAUGUGGUUUGGAGUCAAAAUCAUGACUCGUUAUCAAAUAAGGCCGCAACUAAAAUUACUUGCCGAAGGAGUAGAAAUGAAAUGGAACAACAAUCGCUCUAUCAUUCCGUGGUUUUCUCAGGUAUACCUAAAAAUGAAUACCAUUCAAAGUUAGGAAUAAAAUAAAAAAAUUCGUGAUACUGGUUUUUAUAGGGUAUACCUAAUAUCGCGGGCCAUUUGAAAAAAGAUUAUGUCAAAUCUUAACAAAACGCCAGAAGACCCCAAGUAAAAAAGAGGAAAUUAUACUUCUAGACAUCCGCUGAUUACAGAGCAAACCCAGUCACAAAAACUGGAGAGAAAAAGUUGCAUCAUGGGAUUUCAACUUGAGUCAAUAAGGUCACGAACCUGAGGAGGGUGGAUGAUAGGAGUAUUCAAAACGCUCCCGUUGACACCAUCGUAAGACAUCGUAAAAGUACCUCCUGCCAUUUCAUCAAUUGAGAUGGAACCAUCAUUCAUUUGCUUUCUUUACAAGACUAUUGAUUUCUUUUUUGAUAUCAGCAAAAUUCAUCUUAUCAGCAUUUUGAAUUACGGAAACAACUAGACCUCGCGUGAAGAAAAAACGAAUUAACUUAAACAACAAUUUCUCAUUAGAGUCUAUAUGUACUAGACGAUCAAAAGACAAAUCCCUAUACCUACGCCAAGCUUAGAGAGAAAUAUCAUGGAAAGGACUGGGAAUUUAUGUAGCUAAUCAGUCAUUUUCUGGAGACGAAGGGCUACAGGUAGUGUUUUUUUGGGGUGGGGGUAGAAGGGCUGCUGAUGAUGCUAGAAAAGCGUGACAUUAUCUCAUCACUUCUCAUGUUUACUAUCCUUGGAAUGAUGGAGGCAUCCAAAAUCAAAGAACGAGAAUAGUCGCUCUAAAUCCUUGGUCUCCAUCCUGGUGAUUUUCUACAGCUUAAGAACAACGCCAAUGGAAAUCAUAAUAUGCGUAAGACAGGUUUGAACCAGGAGCUUGUGCUCCAUAUAAGUCGGUGCGAAGCAAAUUAAAGAAACCUCUUUCGUCCGGGUGAGAGCAAAGGUGAAUCACUGCUUGUCAACGUAUGAAGAUCUACGUCCUUUGGCCCAUGUAGAGAAGGAAAAAUAAAUAAAUAAAAGGUAAAAAGUCCAAAAAAAAAGUCCCAAACUUUACAUGUAUGAUACAUUUACCACAAACUUUUUUUGCGACGUCAAAAAUCCCAAACUUAUAUCUAUGUGACAUUUUUACUACCAAAUUGUUUUCUGUAACAUCAAAAUCGAUGCCAAAUUUUUAAAGGUAAAUGUGUCGAAUACAAAUUUAGGAUUUUUUGUGUUAUAAAAAUAAGUUUUGGAUACUUAACAAAAAAAAAAAGGAUAAAUGUGUCUCACUAUACAAAUUUAAGGUAAAUGUGUUACAUAAAUACAAGUUUAUGAUUCUUAGUGUCACAAAAAAAGUUUAGAGUAAAUGUAUCACAGUAAAUAUAAUUUAGGAUUUUUGAUGAUUUUUACCCUUUCUUUUUUCCUUUUUACAAAACAAGCACUUGAUAGCAAGCAAUAGUUGUAAAGUGAUUGCAAGCAUGGGAUAAAGACCCAAUGCCAGAUGCUUUUUAGUCUUGACGAUCAACCCUCCAAAAUUGACUUAUUCUAAUGGGUUUUCCUUUCAAUCUUGGAUGUCACAUGGGAAAUUUUAUACAAGGAACAAGUUGAGAUGGUCUUGAGUUUUAACUCAACUAUUGAGGUAGAAUUAAAAUGUCCUUUGGAGAUAUGGUACUGAAUAUAAAAAAUCCACAUAUUCUAAAUUGAAAAUAGAAUCCAAUUGAUAUAGAAAGUAGCAAUAUUCAAUUUUUUAAAUUUUUUUAUUUUACCUUUAUGAAAAGUUAAAUUUGACUUAAAACUUUCAUGUGUAUUUUUCAUGUUUGAUUUGACAAAUGGUUUUACUUGGUAAUUUUUUAUGCCUAAUGGAUAACGAACAGAGUGUUAUACACAAUCCAAAAUUAUUGACAUUAAUAAAAAUAAAAAUGAAAAUAAACAUAUUUGAAGUACAUUUAUUAACAUAUGUUCGCGUACAGCUUGGGCAAAGUACCUAGUUUUAGUUUUAAUCCCUUCUUAUCGCGAAGCACUCCAAACACGCGACUCUGGUAAAUCUGUUCACCUGCCGCGUGUACAUGGUGCGGUUAUCCUCCUAAAUGACUCAACUGCCCUCACUUUUUUGACGAAUUUCCUUAAAAAAAAUAUUCGGACUCUGAAAAAUCCCCUACUCUUCCCUCAGUCUCUCCACUCCGCCAAUCGGUCACCGCAAGCCUCCGCCACCUCGCCGCUGCGUCGCCGUCGCCGUCGACGUCGUAUUUCCUUCCCGUGCCAUCACCCCUCGUCGUCGGCCAAGCCACCAUCUCUCUCUCUCUCUUUCCCCGUGUUUCCUCUUCGAAGCAAUUAUUUUGUCAAUCUGAACGGCUUUUUCACUUAUGAAGGAAGGCCGCGUGUAACUUCCAGGCAAACACAGCGAAAGUGAGAGAGAUCUCUCUCCGUUGCUUUAUCAAGUUGCUACAAAGAUCAUACUGGGACUUCCCAAGCCACCGGGCAGGCCCAAUUUAGAUGUUUGUGUAUAAUUUCUCAUCGACUGAUUCUUUUGUAUCGUUAUAUCUGCUAUUGAAUUCGCUGUUCAGUUACAUUUCGUUGUUCAUUUUCUUCAUGUGAUCACNNNNNNNNNNNNNNNNNNNNNNNNNNNNNNNNNNNNNNNNNNNNNNNNNNNNNNNNNNNNNNNNNNNNNNNNNNNNNNNNNNNNNNNNNNNNNNNNNNNNNNNNNNNNNNNUUUCAAUAUAGCGUAACCAACGCAGUGUUGAAAAUUUAAGCAAUGGUUAACAUGGAGGUGGGCGUACGUGCAUGUGUGGUUAGAACUUUUCUCAAGAACUUGAAGCAUCUGAGUGGGCACUUUUUUCUUGAUUCUUAAGAGGUAUAAAGACAUGAUCAGAGAUAUUGAUACCAAAGGCUCAAUCACGAUGAAUAUUUAGUUUCAGGAAAAAGAAAUGUACUGGUUGAGACAAACAAGUAACACAACAAGAAGCUUGUCGGCUCCGAGUUCUGCCUUUCAUAGUGCAUUGUUUAUUUAGUAUCUUACAUUUUUCAUUAAUGCAAUGGGCAUGUCCUCAAUUAUGAAGGUUGCUACUCUCUCUUGCAGUUUUCUUUCUCCUUAUUUCUCUUAUCUAGUUUCUGCUUUUCUAGUUCAACUUAAACCUCUUCUCAAAUUCGAGUGAGUUUUACUUUUUCCCUAAAAAAGGAUGAGAAAUUGGCUUACUGUUGCAAUUAUUGUGAUCUAAUCUAGAAUAAAAAGUUAAAACAAAUCCAGAGGGUCAGCACCUCUUUGACAUCUCACAGUGAAUUUCUCUUUACAUUGACCUGAUAGAUCUGAGUGCACGUGGUUCGUUGUUCCCACAGAACUUGAUGACUUUGUUAGUAUUUUAUUGUUACUCUGUCAGCAUGAUACUUGUUCAUUUGCUUUUUAUUGGGUUGUUAAUUAAAUGUCUAUAUUAAAUGCCAGGCAAAAAUUCCUGAUAUUGAGAAGUGUUUAGAGAUAGUCGCCACUCUACAGGCCAAGAAGAGUUCUGGUGAGGUUUGUUGUCUCACGCAACUCAUACUUCUGACUAUGUGAGCAAGAUUUUGGGUGAAUUUCCAUUUAUUUCCACAAGUUGAUAGGAAAGUGGUGGUUAUUUUCUUUUUAACAAGAAGCUGUGGAUUUCGGUAAUUUAGUUGAUCGGUGCCCAAUUGAUUGACGACCUUGUGUUGAAAUUGCAAGGCUUUGAAUCUUGAAAUGAUUGCAGUUACUUACCUCUGAGCAAAUUAGAUCGAGAUGUUCACAUGUAAUUAGAAUGAGAAAGAGACUCUCCUUCUAAAAUGCUUGCUUGGCCCAUUUAUGAAAAUGAAGAAUGUCGAUGCACAUCACUAAAUAGUAAGCCUUGUUUAUGCUCUCCACGUUAGGAAAUUUUCUCAUUUAAAGGUACUGGGAACGUGCUGAUUAGGUGUUGCAUCUCACAUGUUAUACAUUAUAAAUCUUCCUUAUACUUUAUCACAUAAAAUGGUUUGUCAUUGAAAAACGUCGGUAUUAUUUCUCAUGUCGUGCAUUAGAGGCUUUCAAUUUAAAAAGGAAUCACUUCAGCGGAUCUUUCUCGUCCUUUGAGAAAGCACAAGAGUAUAGGAAGAGAUAUUGUUUUGCAUGUUAUUCCAGUUCAGAGCCUGGUUAAUGGUAUUGCAAAAACUGACAAAAGAAAGGUGGAAAUGUAUCCAAUUCUGGAGUUCUUUCCUUUUUUUUUUCUUUUUUUCUUUUUUAAACUGUUUCACAUUGGUUGUUCUUUUUUUGGCUGAACCCUUAAUGAAGCUCAGAGCUGGUAUUAUUGUCUUGUGUACAGAACAAAAUAAACAAUUCAUUUGUUUCAUGUGUCCCUUCAUUUAAAUAUGAGAAUGCUUUCUUGCUGAUUGAAUAUUCUUCAGAAAGCAAUAAUUGUUAGAGCAAACCUCUUAGUAGAGUUAUUUACAUGAGAGUGAAUCUAACAAACUUGGGGUAAGAAGUUAGUCUUAGAAAUUGUUAACCGCGUGUGAAGUCUAAAAAGCCAUCCUUUUCCUUAAUGCAAGAUUUAAAGGCUCUCUUAUUUCUAUCUCUUGACUAAGAAAAAGGCUAAGAUUUGGAUUGGGAUUCAAUUCCAUGGUCACCACAUCUUAUCUGCAUCUUUUCCAGCAUAUCCAUGUCCAAAGGAGAUCAAGUCUGAGGGCAACACAUUGGUGGGUGAUCUGAGGAUUCUCAUUGACUUUGCCAUAGCUAGUAUCUGUUUGUAUGCACACUUCUUCUUGUUUUUGGUUUCUUUUUGUAUGUUGGCUAUUUGGAAACCCUCCCAGGGCAAUCACACAUGUCGAAAACUUGUGAUGCCGAAUAGUUCCAUAUGGUUUUCAUCUAAGCAACUAAUACCCCCUGCCUUCUUUGGACAGAGUCCUUCCGUCUCUUUGUUACCAGCUAUAUUGUGUAAGAGAACUUAAAAUUUGGCCAUCUCAUUCUCUACUGGUUACCAGUCUCUGCAUAAAUGGUGAAUCCUACCAAUACCUUCUGCCAUCAACAAAGUUUCCUGCUCAUGUGCUAUAAUAGCCAUAUCUCUGCAGUGGACAAGAACCUGUGAGAUUUGUCCUGCACAAUUAGUCCUUAGCAUCUACUAUGGGUCGCCAGGCACUCGGCCCCUCUGCCAAGACCCAUCUCUCUCUCUCUCUCUCUCUCUCUCUCUCUCUCUCUCUCUCUCUCUCUCUCACACACACACACACACACACACACACACACACACACACACUUACACACACAAACACGGACAAACACAAGUACUACUAUGUGCUGCCUCCAUCUUUCUUUGCACUGAGGUUUACUCCAUUAAAUAGGCUAUGACUGUGCUGACAGUACAUAAACAAAGGUGUGGUAUUUCUCUCAAUACGAAAAUCCAGGAUUUGAAUUGGUCAAUGAUUUCAAAUUGGGGCACCUUGAUGCAACAAUUAGUUCACCACUCCAUUCCACCACAAUGUUAUGCUCUUGUCUCCUCUCUUAUUUAUUUGAUAUGUAUACCUGCAUAAUGACUGAAGCAAACUGGCUUAUUUGCUAUAGCAAAGUGACCUGUGAUUGAGGAUGCCAUUAUAUGCGUGCACAAUGAGCUUGAGUUUCUAUUACAGUAAGAUUGAAUCAUGGCCUCAGAACUGGAAUUUAAGUUUGAAAUUCAAGCUGAACACUUUUCGGUGCAUGUAUUUUAAUUGAGGAUACUUAAUCGGUAUCUGUCAGGCUCAUGCUGCUGACGUUGAGGCUUUUCACAAAGUAAACUUGAUGUCGCAUAACCAGAUCAUAUUUUUUCAAUCCGUAGUUUUUUCUCAUUAUAACCACCAGAGUUCUUUGUAUUGUCUUAGAAUCCACCAAUUUUUUCCUUUGCAGUUUCUGUUUUUCAUCUGGAAUCCUCGACAAUCUAUCAGUCAUCUCUUAUUUAUGAUGUCAACUAAAUUUUUCUCAUAAUCUUAAUGUGCUAAAAAAUAUUAUCUUAAAAAAAUAUUCUUGCUCCUCGAUGCUCUCUUAGCCGAUCAUAUUAACCCUUUCUAUCUUUACAAAGCAAAUGGAGGAUAGGCUAGUUUAAUUCUUGCCAUACUAGGAACUAAUUUUGGUACGGUUGACAUGAUGUGAAAUAUCUAAUUGUCGUUUCUCCUUUGCAAAUGCACUUCUGGAAGCAAUAUUCCUAAUAAUCUAGGUUAGUGCUUUGAAGAGCCCAUGCUGAUCUCAAUAAUGGGGUGGUUUUAGAUUUGAACACCUGAAUAUCACCAGUAAUAUUUAGCUAGUUGCUUUGGUGUCUGAAGGUCCAAUUAGAAACUGACUUUGGGGUGGGAUUACUGUUGGGCUUAAGACCUAAGACUAUCAAAACUUAUAUGGCGCAAAAGAUAAUAGGCACCAAGCUGACUGGUUUUUAUGACUCUUUAUUUUGUAUACAGGCACUCCUUGCUGAUUUUGAAAUCUCUGAAGGCAUAUAUUCUCGAGCUCGCAUUGAAGAUACUGAUUCAGUAUGUCUAUGGCUGGGAGCAAAUGUUAUGUUGGAGUAUUCAUGUGAAGAGGUUGUACUCGAGUUUAAGCAAUGUCCCUUUCUCUCCAAUAAUGAUGUCAAGUAUCUUAUUUAUUGCAUAAAUUUAUGUUGCAGGCCACAACCUGUCUACAAAAGAACUUAGAAAAUGCUAAAGCAAGUUUAGAAGUUCUUGUUGCUGAUCUACAAUUCUUAAGGGAGCAAGUAACAAUCACGCGGAUAAGUAAGAAUUAUUUGGAACUUGGAGGUCCUUGGUUAUUUCAAGCCGUUUACUAUGUCAGUUUUGGCUAGGUCUUUUGGGGUUGAACUACUGUUGUUCUGAAUUUUCUUUUCUUUUUUUUUUUUGGUAAAAGGUAAGAAAUAUAUUAAGGAAUGGCCAAAUGUACAAAAGAUCUCGACACCAGGAACUUGCACUCCAAAUGUAUGAACAAAAGAAGUGGAAGGGUGACGAGAUGCAACAACAACAAGGCCAAACUAAGCAUAGCUAGGUCAACCGGCGACCAAACAGAGAUAAAAGCAAGGAGGAGGCCACCGUCAGUUCAAGGACCUACGGGUCCCCAGUGAAAAUAAUUGGGUCUAGGCUCCAACUUCUCUGCAGCCUUCUGUUUCUGAAAUUGUCUUCGACGUUCCUGAAGGUGAUAGCUUGUCUCGGACCACUUUGAAGAGGUGGUUCUUCAUGGCCGGAACUGAGAGAGGCUGGUCUCUAAAGAUGAUGUUAUUCCUGUUUUUCUAAAUGAUAUGACAAAGCGCGCCAAAGCAAAAACGGGCUAUGCACUUAUAGAAAUCUUUUCCCAUCAAAUAGGUAGCUGCCCAUCGGAAGUUCUCCCCCCAAGCUCUGUUACGCCAGGGUAAAUUGCAUCUGGAAGCCCAAAAGAAAGCAACACUAGCCGUGAUACAGCAGUCAAAAAACAGGUGGUCAAGAGAGUCAGGAAUAUUCUUGCAAAACGCACAGGUAGCACUUCCAAUUAUACCAUAGGACAGAAGGAGAUCCUGGGUUGGAAGCCUACGUUUGGCCAUGAGCCAAAGAUUGAGCUGAUAUCGAGGCACUAUGGCGUUGUCCCAUAUGAAAGAGUACCAAUGGACCCGCGUCCUCUUCUUCCUGAUGAAGUUCCACGCCGAUGCCAUAGUGAACUGUCCCGAAGAGCUUUCUCGCCAACAGCAACGAUCCAGGACACUCGUCAGGAUCGAAAGAGGAUGACCCCACGUUUCAAGCACCAACCUAAGAGCUUGGCCAACAUCUGACAAGAGGUCAGCAACACAAGCUUGUCUAGAGAGCCCUGAGCUGUCGAUAAGAGAAUCUGAGAAGAUCAGGUUCAAGGGCCCUCUAGGGUGCCAAUUGUCAAACCACAGAGAGGUUGUUUGUCCAUCGCCAAUUUUCCACUAGAAGGCCAUCCUGAAAUCCCUUCUUAGGAUCAACAAGCUCUUCCAGGCCCAGGAUCUAGAUGUUGGCUUCCUAGCAACCCAAAAGUUCUUAUUUUUUAAGAAGGUGGAAUGGACCCAUCUACACCACAGCGCUUCCUUGUCAGAGAACAAGAGCCAAAUAUGCUUUAGCAUGGCAGCUUUAUUACAAUCUUGGAGCCUCCUAAUACCUAGCCCUCCUUCAUCCUUUGGAAGGCAAACUUCAUCCCAGGCUACCUUAGCACCACCCCUGCCUAGGUCCGGACCUUUCCACAGGAAUUGUCUAAAUAUUUUCUCUAUCUAUUCCAUCACAGCUAUAGGUAAAACAAAAACACUAGCCCAAUAGGCUUGUAUAGCAUGAAGAACUGACCUGAUAAGCUGAAUCCGACCAGUAAUAGAGAGGAAACGGUGGGUCCAAGACUGAACCCUUGCAGUGAUACGAUUGACUAGGGUACAACAAUCUGCUUUGUUGAUCCUCGAAGUGAUAAUGGGAACCCCCAGGUAUCGAACUGGCAAGCUUCCUUCUCGAAAGCCCAACUCCAAGAGAAUAUUAUUCCUUAAGGAGGGAUUGCCACCUGCCAAAAAAAUUUCACUCUUGCACGGGUUAGGACAAAGGCCACUCCAAGAGGAAAAGAUAUUAAGACCUUCCUUAAGGAGAGUCGCCGUAGGAAGAUUCGCCUCACAAAAAAGGAAGACAUCGUCCGCAAAAAAGAGAUGUGAAAGACCCACUGCCUUGCACCUCCAGAAGAACUUGAAAUCAGGCCUUGAAGAGUACUUAAGAAUGAUCCCUGAAAGCACUUCCAUGACCAUAGUGAAGAGGUAAGGAGAGAUGGGAUCACCUUGGCGAAGGUCUCGACCGCUCGCAAAAAACUCGUGGAGCUCUCCAUUCAAAGCAAUUGAGAAUUUAGGAGUGCGUACACAAGUCAUAAUAAGUCUAGUCACAGACUAAGGGAAGCCAAAGGCCAGCAACACACUUUCAAGGAAGUCCCAAUCCACAGUAUCAUAGGCUUUCCUGAAGUCCACCUUUAUCGCACAUUUAGGGAGAUAGAGCUCAAGGUGGAAGCUAGAGAAUAGCUCCUGAGCCAGCAAUAUAUUGUCCCUGAUCCGCCUACCUUUUACAAAAGCAGUCUGAAAGGGGCCUAUCGUGCUCUUCAAAGCUAGGGCCACCCGAUUUGCUAGCACCUUUGUAAUACACUUGUAGAUAGUGUUGCAGCAGGCGAUAGGCCUAUAAUCCUCCACAGAAGUGGCAUUGAGCACUUUAGGAACCAUUACCAAGAUGGUAUUGUUAAUCUCCCUCAAGAGUUUACCGGAGGUGAAGAAAUCCAACACUGCGGUCGUUACUAAAGGACCAACCUUGUCCCAGUUUUCUUUGAAGAACUCCGCUAUGAAGCCAUCCGGCCCAAGAGCCUUUCCCUUAGGCAAGGAGAAGAUAGUGUCCAGGAUCUCCAACUCUGUAACUGGCCGAGCAAGAAGCACAGCCUGAUCAAGUGAGAGUGGAUGGUGGAUAACCUCCCUCAAGUCCUCUAACGAAGGUCUAACAAUCUCCCCUUGCGGCGCCAAGAGGUCCUCAAAGAACUUUACAAAUCGUCGUUGCACCAGCCGUGGCUCCGUCACUAGGUUCCCCGAAGAGUCAAGGACGGAAAGGACUCUGUUCCUCAACUGUCUUUUGUUGACAUAUUGGUAUUUCGGUCUCCCUCCCUGAGCCAUCUGAUCCUAGACUUCUGCCUGAAGAAUGACUCCUCCGAGGAGCGCAACUCUGCAAAGAUACACCUUUGGUUCUUUUCCACCUCAGCAAGGUCAGCAGAAAAGGGAUUUAGCUGUAAUUCUGCUUGAGUGGCCUCCAUCAUCUUUCGCGCAUCAAGAGUUCUGGCAGAGAUAUUAGAGAAGGAAUCUCUAUUGAGCUGCUUGAGCCGACAUUUAAGAGCCUUGAGCUUAGACACAAGCCUAUACAUAGGAACACCACUCCCCGUCGCAUCCCACACUUGCGAGACAAUCUCAUUGAACUCCGGGUGCUUCAUCCAGAAGUCGAAGAACUUGAAGGGCUUCCUCUGAUGAGUCGGAUUAAGCACCUUCACCACCAUAGGCGAGUGAUCUGAGAUUCCCGGAGCAAGGAAGGAGGCUUCCGAGUAAGAGAGAUCCGAGCUCCACUUGGCGUUCACUAGAACCCUGUCAAUCUUUCUUGCUUUCCUAGAAGGCCCUGAAGACGUAGCCCAAGUGUAUCUAAAACCAACAAACCUCGAGUCUUCCAGCUCGGCUUGCUCCAAGCACUGUCCAAACUCAUCAAAGCAAGGGAGCCAAUCUUCGGAGCCACCGACACGGUCCGAUGGAUCCUUAAUAGCAUUGAAAUCCCCCAAGACAAGCUAAGGAGUGUCCCGGGAGAUGGGUGCUUUUCAGAAUGAUAUCCUCCCACAGCGGUCUCCUCAGCGAAAAAGAGUGAUCUCCAUAGAUAAAAGACAUACAGCAAGCCACCCCAGAGCCCAAGCUCUCAAGAUUCCCAUGAAUCGCCUGCUUGGUAAGUGAGAAGGCUUCAAACUUAACUCUCACGGGGUCCCAACCGACCCAAAUUCUACCCUUGGGGAAGAAAUCAUAGUUUGCAAUCCAACACCAAUCCCUCAAUAGACCUUCGGAUAUGGAGUUAAAGCAAUCUUGUGGCACCUUAGUUUCCACCAAACCAAUACAGCACAAGUGGUUCGAAAUAAUAAAAUUACAAAUCUCCGCUUGCCUAGUCGGUUCAACCAUGCCCCUAAUAUUCCAACAUCCUAUAUACAUAUCUACAAAAGAGGAAAAGAGGAAGGGUUACCUCCUUCUCGGUGGCUUGCGACGGCUCGGAGGGGGAGCCGCUCGAGCCGAUGGAGGAGGUGGGUCUGGGGAGAGCGCCAGGGGCUUGUCCUGGGUAGUCUCCUCACUUCUUCUAGUUGGAGGAGCCUUCGGCGAUAGACAUGGAGGAGCUUUCGGCGAUAGACAAGGCGAGAGAAGAUCAUCAUCUGAGCUAUCUAGGUGGUUGACAGUCUCAUUCAACUCCGCUCCACUCCCCAUGCCCGCAUCCGGAUGGCUAAUGGAGUCUUCCUCCAUUGUCGAGGUGGGGUCAUCCACCCUGAUUAGGGCUCGAAACCCACUCUGAGCCCUCCGGGUAGAGGUUGAUGGCAAGCUUUUAAGAGCUGCUGCUGUCUGCUUGAGGGAUGGUUCCUCUUCUCCGAAGCUGACUGGAUGGUCUAAGCACGUCUCCUUAGGAGGGGGGGAUUUCUUCUUCUUUCCCUUGACUUGUUUCCACCCAAAUUCAGCCUCAUUCAGAUCUACCACCAACACUGGGGAAGUCUCAGGGGGGGCGGGCCUCCACUGAGGGGGAGGAGAUAGGCUGAGCCUGCUUGUGGCCUUGCAUCGCCUUCCGACCAGCUAAAGAGGCUGCACAAUUGUGCCCAAAGGAGCCACACUUCAAGCAUUCCGCUGGCUUCCACUCAUAGUCGAUGGCAAUGGACCGAGCAACUCCAUUUAGUCUUACCUUGGCCGAGGAGAACCUUGGUUGAUUAACUUGAAGCUCCACGCAAACUCUUGCGAAAGAGAUCCUUUGAGUUUGCUCCGUGCGUUGAUCAACAAACAAAGGCUUGCCAACAGUGCUCGCAAUAACGCUAAUUGUCGGGGCUGUCCAGAGGUCAAGAGGUAGGUUCUUCAGGCGAAUCCACACCGGCACCGUGGUUUGCUUCUCCCUCUUCAACUCUAGCAGAGGCUUCCAUUGUUGCAAAACGAGCGCAACCCUUGCAACCAUUAUAGGACCGUCUUCCAAAAUCUUCCUUCGGAACUCGGGGUCAGGGAUGCGGAAGAAAAAGAAGCCCUGGUCAUCGGCGAAAACCUCAACAAGCUUCGAUCCCCAACUUGGCUUGAGCGUGUUCUCCGUGAGCUGGAACGGCAAACUCCUUCCUACAUAAUACCCAACCAGGCACUCAUGCCAUUUGGGAUCCACCACAUCUAACACUUCAUCAGGGAGAUCCACCACUGGGAUAUCAUCCUCAAACGAGGGAGGAACAAAGGUAAGGUCAUACCCUUUCGCUGCAAGUUUCGCAACAUUUGCCCACGUCCGGAUAGCCGGGGCGUCUGUUUUCCUCCCUUGCUUUUGCGAGGCCUGGGGCUGUUUGGAAGCCGACCUCACUCUGCUUCGUCCUCUCGAACGCCUAUCACGGGCUGCAUCCUUAGGAGGACCACGGUUUGAGGUCUCCGCUGAUGCAGAAACCUUGCCCGUGAGCAAGGAGGACCGGGCCUCCUUGUUUCGAUUGAGAGGGCUAGAAGCCUUCUCCGUUCCAGCUCUCAACUGGGCCGCAAUACUUGGCUCACCAACCACAGCAGAUGGAGCAGCCAUAACUACAAUAAUACCUAGCCAGCUAAACCCGAACCCUCUACACAGCAGCCAUCAAGAGAGCGAGAGACUAACCGGGCGUUCUGAACGGACUGACCAUCUCUACUAGAGGAUGAUUUUCUAAGUGGCGUGAGGCUAUAAAUUGGGAAGACAUGUUAAUUGGUGAUAAGUUGGAGUGUGGUAGGUUUGCACGAAAGUGAGGGGGGGGGGGCGCGGGAGGGGAGGGAGGGGGAUGGUUUGAAACAGCCCUUUAGAGGUGAAUUUUUAUUUGGCAGGUUACGAUUGCUCGUGUGUAUAAUUGGGAUGUUCACCAAAAGAGAAUCCAUCAAGCUGGUGUUCCUGCCAAAGACUCUUAAAGGAGUCUUUUCAACUUGGAUCAUGGUAGGAGAAUGCGUACUCCUGAAUGAGAGUAUGACUUUGAUCUCCGCAUUUUUUAUUAGGUGAAUGAAUUAUGUACCGCUUUGUGAUCGCAAUGGUUAAGACCGACUAUGGGUGAUUUUGGUUAGGUUGAGUUAGAUUUACUGCAUUACACAAAGCUUGUCAUGUAAACGAUUUCUUGAGAACCUCUUGAGCUUGAGUUUUCACUUACUGUGUGCAGUGUGCUAGUUUUGAGUUGACGUUGGAUCCAUCAAUGUUUUGUCGUUUCACCUUGACUAUGUAUGUUUAGUAAGAACCAAUUUAAAUUUGAAUUCGGGGGAGAAACAUGGGCCUGCCUGGGGUCCCCUGAGGAAUACGCGUCAGCACGAGUGUUUUUGGAUCAAGUGACUUAAUGCUGGAAUUUUGGGUGGGGCUCUUGUUGUCAGAUCUUGAAGAUUUCCAUUAUAUUAGAGCAAUUUAGGUACAGUCUGGGUAGAAAGUCCGUGCCAUGACAAUUUGUGUGUGUAUAUAUAUAUAUAUAUAUAUAUAUAUAUAUAUAUAUAUAUAUGUAUGUAUGUAUGUAUGUAUGUAUAUAUAUGUAUGUAUGUAUGUAACCAAUCUAGUUGAUUUCCAUUAUAUUAGAGCAAUGUAGGUACCGUCUGGGUAGAAAGUCCGUGCCAAGACAAUUUGUAUAUAUAUAUCACUAAAAUCAACUUUUUGCAACUUUUAAGUUUUUAAUGUAAGUACAUUACUCAGUCAAAUUUUCAAUUCGAGCCAAUACAGUAGUGCCAAGCUCUGAGUUCAACUCCUCUUAGAUAUUCGAUGCUCGAAACUCCCCUCAAAUAAUGGAGUAUUAAAAGUUUGGCUUGAGCUUCACCAAACUAGAAUCAAGAUAUUCAAGAUCAAGUCGACUCGAAACAAUCAAAUUAAAGAGUGGGCUUGAGCUUAAGCUCAUUAACUUCAAAUAUUAUCCUCUACAUUUAUGUGCUUUAAGUAUACUACAAUUUGCAAAUGUCUUCCCCUCUAUUUUUGUGAUUAUCAAUUAUUUUCUGAACAAAAUAAUAUAAAUUGGAUUGGAAUUGUGAUUCUCUCGAGGUUGAUCCUGACUCUAUGAAAUUCUUGGUGUAACUUCAGUCUAGGCUCGACUCAAAACCAGACUAGUCGAUUUCAAUUAAUUAUUAAGUCAAGCUUCAAUUAGUCUAAGCUCGACUCCAAACUAGACCAGUCGAUUUCAACUAAUUAUUAAGUCGAGCUUGAAUUAGUCCUAAGUUGGACUCAACUUCAACCCUACUGCUAGGCUUGCAAAGUCCAAUAUAUGUAUGAGGACUUUCAUGGGCCAAAUAGUAUUUCCGACGUUGAACUCCACAUUAUGUGAUGCAAGCCAUUCCUUGGUAGGAGGGUCUCGCACAUCUCCCCGAAGAGUUAUGACCUCCGAAUGAACGCGAAUUUCUAGAAAAGUUGAUGGGAAAAAGUAUAUGAUCACAAUUCAAUGGAGGCAAUUAAAAGUCCCAAAGGGACAAUAUUUCUUUUUCCAUGUGAAAGAAUGUAUAUUUAUUAUGUACAAUAAUUAUUCCUCUGAUCAUGAAUAUACCAAGAUGAUGGAAUGCAAAAGGUCAUUAGUGAAUUUGGGAAAAUUUGUUUGUUUUCUCAAACAGUCUAUUAAUGUUACAUCAUGCAUUACAAUCAAUCUACGACUCUUGAAAGCAAAAGGUGACUUGGAGCCAAAUUCAAAUUUCACAACUUUUUCAUGGCACAAGAUAAAAGAUUAGUAAGUGGAAUAAAGGCAAGUAUCAAUUGAUCAAGCAAAUUAGUGUGAAUAUGGAUUAAAUAUUAGAAGAUCUGCUUUGUUGGGCUUAGCAAAAGCAAAAUGAAACUUCGGCCUCAUGAUUUUUUGUGGUUGAAUUCCUUCUGAAUUUAAUGAGCAAAACAAAAACAAUUGUGCGUGGUUGUAUAGUAAAAGUUCCACCGUGAAAGUAAGCAAUAAUUUUGCUGCAAUGAUCUCGGGGUGAACAGUAUCUUGUCUGCCAAUACUGGAGACCUGAUAGCAUAGUGUAAAUAAGCAAUAAUUUUUUCUGUAGUGAUUGGACAGUGAAUAGUAUUAUUACACGUGUUGCUACAGCUUCCGGCGGCUAUCUUCUCUUAAUGAUUUUGUUCUUCUUCUAAUAGGUCGACCCCACGGCAAUCAUCUUCUUUUGUAUCUCCGCUACGAUGUGAUUGGUAGGAACUAGCUUUUCAUAGUUGGUGGGCUCCUUAAUUUCGGAAAUGAUUUUCUCCAUUACUGAAACAUAUUCAUGUGGUGAUUGCGCAGUAGCAAGGUAGGGCUACUGCAAGAGAUUUUCGUUGCAAGAGUGAUGCAUUUGAUGAUCCAUCUAAUGUUGUUUGUGAUCUUGUGGUGAUUUGGGCGUAACGGUUGUUUAACCAAUUAUGGACUGAUUCUUUAGAAGUUUGUAUCGUCAAAGAGCGCAUAUAGCAAAGUUUAUCCCUACUCCCGCAAUUUAUGCAUUCCUACCGUAAAAGCCUGCAUUUAUUUCUUGAGUUACACACAUUUUCUUGAUGAGUGAUGACCAAGCCUCACCUAGCCACGACAAAAAGUUGAUGGAGCAAUCUAUCCUGUAAAUAACAAAAUUCACCCAAUUUUCACUAAAAAGACAAAAUUGUUUUAAAUCAUUCAGUCUCAAUUUAAUUGAUAGCCCCAAAUUCAUGAACUUUUUUUUGUUUUUGUUUUUCUAUUUCAAUGUAGGAUUUCGUUACCAUAAUUAAGAAUUUCACAUGUCUAGUUUUUCUUUGUAAUAGGUAUUUCAAAUAUAUUUAAAACGCCAUUUCUUUUUUCACUGCUAGAUUUUUCUUCCAUAAAAAUUAGUUUUGUCUAAAAAAGAAAUUUCCAAGAAACCUAGUAUGUCAAGCAAAUUUAAGGAUGAAUCUAGAAAAAAUUAUUAUAUAAAUUUUUUUUGACACAAACACUUGUUUACAAAUUUUCAAUUUUGUUGUGCAUAUCACUAUCAAACUCCUUCUUUUAUCAUUUGACCAAAUAAAAUUCCUUCUUAUCAAUUCUCUUCUAUACAUAGAUACAUGCAUGCAUGCGUGGAAAUUUAUCUAAUCUUCUAUCUAUCUAUAUAUAUAUAUAUAUAUAUAUAUAUAUAUAUAUAUAUAAUGGGAUGAUCGGAGAAAUCAAGAAGGACUAGCAAAGAUUUUGAACUUAUUUCAAAAUAAAGAUUCAAAGUAUUAGAUCAAAAUCUUGAAUUUAUUUGACAAAUUUAGAUAGAUUAUCAAAAGGGCCUUUAAAUUUUUGUUAUCAAUCAAGAAGGACCAACAAGGAUUUUAAUAGUGCAUUACAUUUCAAUACAAUAUAUCACAUAUAAAAUUAUUGUUCAGUUUGAUCAAGGAAAAAUUGAUCAUGUCACUUAAUGCGACAUUGGAUUAAAUAUAAGGAGAUCUGCUUUUUUGGGCUUAGCAAAAGUAGAAUGGAAUUUUGGCUCCAACUGACAAAAGCUAAUCCUUUUGAAUUGAAUGAGCAAAACAAAAGCAAUUGCGCGUGAUUGUACAGUAAAAACUCUAUAGUGAAAGUAAGUAAUAAUUUUGCUGCAAUAAUCUGAUGGUGAAUAGUAUCUUGUUUGCUAGUAUCGGAGGCCCGCUGGCAUAGUGAAAGUAAGCAAUAAUUCUGCUGCAGUGAUUAGAUGGUGACCAGUAUUAUUGCACAUGCUGCAACAAUUUCUAGCGGUAUCUUCCCUUGGUGAUUUUGUUCUUCUUCUAAUAGGUGGACCCCAUUCCAGUCAUCUUCUUUUGUGUCUCCAUUACGAUGAGGAAAACAAAAGCAAUUGUGCGUUAUUGUACAGUAAAAGUUCUAUUGUCACGCCCCGAUCCUCAGGCACGCACACAUCCCUUACCUUGGUCGAUUAAUAGCGACGUCCCAGGACGCAUCGCCGAUCCUUUUAUAUAUUAAGCACAUGCGGAAGCAGUUAUAAAUCCCCAGACAAUAAAACAAUGGGAUAGGAAAGUAGGCCAUAUUUUUCAUAUUGAAAUUCAUAACCACACUUUCUUUAACAGCACAACUCAUAGUAUAUUUACAAUACUAUUUACAACAUAAAAGUCUCACACCCAUCUACAUUAAGACAUGGUGCACAAAAGGGAUGGGAUCUCAAUCCACAUCUAGGUUGUACUCAAGAUCCCUCUCUGGAUCAUCUUCUACUUCAAAAUACUUUCUCCCCUUCAGGUUCUUCCUCCUCAACUUUUCCUCAGGGUCCUGAAAUGGUUAUUCAAUAACCAAUGAGACCACGUCUCAGCGAGUCCUACCCCCUACGACUCGAUUAGUAAACUAAUACACCAUACGGUUGCCUAAGCACAACGCGAGUCAGAGGACUUACCUUAGCCUCAGUUCCAACCUGCAAUUCAAGGUUAAACAUAGAUAUCCAAACAAUUCACGAAAUCCGAUCAAGCACUGGUCAAUCGACUAAGUCGAUUACAUGUCAGUCAGACCCUUUCUAGGUCAUUCCCACUCAUACCACGAUUUCUCAAUGGUGUACUCAUUCACCAAAUCACAUGUGUUUCUCGGGCGUCGUUUUCGCCAAUGACAUACCGAUCACCGACACCGUGCGUUCUUUAAGGCGCCGUUUUCACCAGUGAUAACCUUGAUCACCGAACCACGUGUCCUUUCAAGGGCGUCGUUUUCGCCAAGGUGACAUCGGCUAUAGACAACAUCGUGCGUUCUUUAAGGCGCCGUUUUCACCAGUGAUAUUCCCAUAACCACCGAACCACGUUUGUCUAUAAGUCAUUUACGUGCGUUCUUUAAGGCGCCGUUUUCGCCAGUAAUACUUCCAAUCACCGAACCACGUAUGUCCAAUAAUAUCGUACCUGAUUGGUCUCACCAUUCUCCCUACUAUAUAGCCCAUCAACGUACUGGCGCUAUAUACUCAUGCUCGACCAUUACCAAUCAAAUACUCAAUAACAAACAAUUUGGGACAAUUCCUCAAAUUUCACAAUUUAAAUCAAUUCCAUAAAAAUUGAAGCUCAAUUAAAUAAACGGACUGCACCACGACAAUCGGCACGAAAUUCCAGUCACCGGCCAUCCCGGUUGAAUUUCCGGAAAAAUAAUUAAUUAAAUAAAUAAAUUUCGAAAAUAAAUAAAUAAACAUUGAAAAUCCAAUUUAGGCCCAUAUUGCCUUAUUGGAGCCCGAAACGGGUCGGGAAAAAUCCCGAGAUACAUUCAAUAAAUAACCAAACAUUUCUACUUGCUAAUAGCUAGGUCUAACCACCUAACAUGCAUCCUCAAGUCACUAAUUUAAUUGUUCUAACCUAAUCUAACCACCUAAGUGCAUGUAAUUAAAUCUAACCAACCCUAAGACAUAAUUAGCAAACUAAUAAAGCUUUAGUGAGUAAAACUCACUUGAUUAAAGAUUUGAUUGGAUCAAAUCGACGAGCACGCGACAAGGCUCGAUUCUCUCCAAAGCGAGUCCGCCAACCGGGGUCAAACCGGGGCCGAAAUCGGCCUACAAGCUCGCUGCUCGAGCUGGGCUGAGUCCACUGAUUCGGUGGGCCUGACUUCAAUUGAUUUGCUGGAAGUUGGGCCUCAAAACUGAGCUGUAAACAGGUUAGGCUUGCUGGGCUGAUAGUGCUGAAGAUGGGUCGAGCUCCACGCGGGCUGAACUGUUGGAUUGGGCCACUGAAAAAUCAGAGUGGGCUUGCUGUGGUUGGUCCACGAGCAAAAGAAAUGGACGCUGGCCUCACGGACUGGGCCAAAGACACGUGAGCGAAGGAAGCAGCGGCUUGCGGCGUCGAGCUGGGGAGGACCACGCGGAAACGCUGAACUGCUGCUUCGGUUGCUUCGAGCUUCACUGGCAAGGGAACUUCGUCCGAUGCUGAGUUAAUUUCGUUGCCUUCAACGCUGCUUCGGUUAACUGGGAUGUGGCAGAGACGGAGGGAGCAGCUGCUGGCCGAAGAUGGAAGACACGCGGAUUGAAGCCCGCUCGGUGGUCAACAAAACAGGAGGUCAGCAAAGUGAUGCUGGCGUAGAGAAUUUACUGGUAGAGGGGAAGCGGUGGAGGGAUUUCGGUUGGGUCUUCGAUGGAGGAACGUGGGGUAGCAAUUCGGUAGAGAGAGAUGCGAAGAAAUUGAGGGAGGCUUCGCUGGAGAACCCGCUGGUUUGACUCGGGGAAGAUGAGCUGCAGACAAGUGGUGGCUUCGGUGGGGAUGAGGCAUGCGUGAGUGCGGCCAUGGUAGAGGAGAAGAGGAAUCAUGGGGCUGCUUCUGCGGGUUUGCUUCCGUCCAAGCAAAUUAAAGAAAGCAGAAGACGUGAGGGAGAGAUAUUUGUUUCUUGGAUAAGUGCAAGCUUGGUCAAAGAUAAAAAGGUGAGGUUGAAUUUCUGCAGGGGGAAAGCUGUCGGUGGGCAGCUAAGAGAGAGAGAGAGAAAACUAAAAGAAGAACGUGCGGGUGGGGAAGAUCGCACGCGGAGAGAGAGGAAAAGAGAUCUGUGCGGCUGAGGGAGAAAUGGAGGCGUGCGUGUGAGGGGCGUGGGUUCAAGGAAAUAUAAGGAUAAAACAAAAUCACAAAUACAAUUCUUGAUCCAUUUCAAAACCACCGUGUGAAUUGGUCACUCUAGGAUCAAUUUCUCAGCCGACUUAAACAUUCGAAAUCCAAUUUAAGACGGUCCUUUAACCCCGCAAAUUUUCUUCAAAACCGACUUCCAUUUCAUUUUUCUCGGAAUCCGAUUUUCUGAACAAAUAAAUUCGAUUGAGGUCCAAUUUGAAAUCAAAAAAAGCCCGAACAACUUCCAUUCACCGAUUCACUUACACCAGAUGUCAAAAGUCUCUUCGAAUUGACCAAUCUGAAUUUCUGCUCGUUCUCCGAAUCGUCCGUCCCGAUUUCCCCGAAAAAUCCCGAACUCUCCAGAAUUUCCUCAAAAGGUGAGCCGACGUUCCUUGAAUGACUCAUGACACGACAGGACUUCCAAUUUCUGAAAUCGAAUUCAAAUUCGCGGUUAUUUUCAAUCAAACGUGUUUUUAGUGUGACCUUACCUACCGGGUAGCUUCUAGGACUUUUUGGCGCAAUUGACCCGUGGUCGAUUUUCUUCGAACCACAAUGAACCCAUCCGACCCAUUAGCAACUCUUGAUGAUCGUGAAAAUCUCAAGGUUUCAAACACGGGCAUAGGGUACCCAAAACGACAGAAAAUUGGUUUAGUGCCGAUCGAUGAGAAUUUUGCAAUCAGGUGGCAUCACCCACACUUGAUCACAUAUCUCAGUCAAAUUGACCUAUCUCCGAUCUCUGAUCGAUUUUGACAAUGCCGUAAUGACCCUUGUAGACUAGCACGGUCGAGUAGUCGAUUUCUGGUCGAAUUCUCAAGUCUAUUGCGUUUAAAAUCCCCGAAUGGCUUCACCGGAUAGGCCAGUUAUCUCGUGAGUGGCCAACUCAGAGAAAAACACUAUAGUCACGUUGACGAAAGGCCCAUCUUAUCCAAUCGAAAUCAGAACAUGAAAUUCAGGAUGUCACAUCUAUAGUGAAAGUAAGUAAUAAUUUUGCUGCAAUAAUCGAAUGGUGAAUAGUAUCUUGUCUGCUAGCACUGGAGGCUCGCUAGCAUAGUGAAAGUAAGCAAUAAUUCUGCUGCAGUGAUUUGACGGUGACCAAUAUUAUUGCACAUACUGCUACAAUUUCUAGCGGGUGUCUUCCUUUGGUGAUUUUGUUCCUCUUCUAAUAGGUGGACCCCAUUCUAGUCAUCUUCUUUUGUGUCUCCAUUACGAUGUGAUUGGUGGGAGCUAGCUUUUCACCGUUGGUGGACCCCUUAAUUUCGGAAAUGAUUUUCUUCAUUACUGCAAUAUAUUCAUGCGGUAAUUGUGCAGCAGCAAUGUGGCUUGCUGCAAGAGAUUUUUGUUGCAAGAAUGAUGCAUUUGAUGAUCUAGCUACUGUUGUUUGUGAUAUUGUGGUGAUUUGGGCGUUUCGGUUGUUUAACCAAUUCCUGACUAAUUCUUCGGAAGUUUGUAUCUUCAAAGUUCAUUUACCCUCCCGCAAUUUAUGCAUUCUUACCAUAAAGGCCUACAUUUAUUUAUUUCCCGGGUUACACACAUUUUCUUGAUGAGUGAUGAUGAUCGUGCCUCUCCCGGCUUAUGGCAAAAAGUUGAUGGAGAAAUCCAUUUCAUGUAUAACUAAAUUCACCCAAUUUUCACUAAAAAGAUCAAAGUGCGCCAAAUCAUUCAAUUGCAAUUUAAUUGGUAGUCCCAAAUUCAUUGACUUUUUUUUUUUUUUGGUUUUUCUAUUUUAAUGUAGGAUUCAAUUACCAUAAUUAAGAAUUUCACAUGUCUAUUUUUAAAAUUUUUUAUUGUAGGUAUUUCAAAUAAAUUGAAAACACCAUUUCUUUUUUCUUUGUUAGAUUUGUCUUCCAUAAAACAUAGUUUUGUUGAAAAAAGAAAUUUCCAAGAAUCCUAGUUCUUUUCAACGUUGUCAAGCAAAUCUAAGGAUAAAUUGUCAAGUAAAAUCUAAAAAUAAAUAAAUUAUCAUAUAGAUUUUUUUAAUACAAUCACUUGUUUACAAAUUUUCAAUUUUGUUGUGCAUAUCACCAUCAAAUACCUUAUCGUUUGACCAAAGAAAAUUCCUUCUUAUGGGUUCUCUUCUACCACACAUAAUUGGAUGAUCGGAUAAAGAAACCCUCUUUAGGGUUUGAAGAUUUUCCAAAAUAAGAUCACAAUUACAUUUUCCAAUGGAAAACUUUAAAGAUGAAAUUUAAUUAAAUUAAAAAUUGCACAAAAAAUAAUUUUUUUUUUAAAAUGUUGAUGACAUCUCAUUAUUUUGAAUUGAAAAAAAAAUAAUAUCAUUGACGAAGUAUGUAUGAAAAAUUAUCUUGAUGCUUCAUUAUGCACAACCGUUUUAGUAUAUUCCAAGAUAUUCCACAACGCCUAACAUCUAUGUAAAAGCAUCUCACCGAUAGUGAGGGUAAAAGAUAAGUUCUUUAAAAAGACUUGCUAUAUAUUUUAGACUAAUGAAAAUAAAAAAAUAAAUAAUUCAGCAAGAAAGUGAGCUUUUGAAAUAAGAGGGAGAAAGAAUAAAUUAGUUUUUAUUAGGGCAAUGAUGAGAAGAGACUUUCAAGGUUUUGACUAUAUCAGAUAAUUUGUGUUUUUUUUUCUUACUAGUAGCCUUUAUAUGAAGCAUGUAAUACAUUAUAGUAAUAUGUAAGGAUACACUAAAAAAAAUUCUUUAGUACACUAAGAAAAAUAAAAUGUGUGGAAUGCGUAAUUAUGGUAACUAGAAAAAGUAGGAAAAGAAACGAUGUGUUUGUCACUUUAAAUUGCAAUUGAAUGAUUGAAGGUAGUUUAGUCUUUUUAGUGUAAAUGUGGUGGAUUUGAUCUAGCUGUCCAAAAUUUAAUGGGGAAAUUAAAGUUACAAUGAGAUAAUAUUUUCUUUUCCAUAUAGAAAGAAUGUUAGCUCUUAUGCACACUAUUUAUUCCUUCAUCAUGAAUAUACCAAGAUGGUAAAGUACAGAGGUCAUCACUAGAUUUAGAAAAAUUCCGUGUGAUUUCACCAACAAUUGGCUUUUAACAGUGUAUCAUGCGUUAUGGUGGAUCUACGACUCUCGAGGGCGGAAGGCGACUCUAUGCUGAUUUUGCAUUCACAAUUUUGCAAUGACAAAAGAAAAAGAGUAGUCAAUGGAACAAAGGCAACAUGAUCAUUUGGCUUAGCAAAAGCAUAAAGGAAGUCUGGCUCGGACUGAGAAAAGCUAACCCUUUUUAAGUUAAGAAGCAGAACAAAAGCAAUUACAAUAUGCUUUUUUCUAGACUAGAAAUCGAGGAAGAGAUUUCUCACCAAAAACAAAACGGACAAAAAGGAUAAAGUGGAUCCAUUAUACUUCUUUGGAGGUCAUGCCAAAUCGUCUAUUUAUGGAGCCAGACCACUUACAUGUUACAUCAUCUUGUGUUAUUGUAAUUCUAUAUAUGUCUAGAAGGAAAAGGGCAUUAAGACAAGUGUCUAGAUUGGGAUCCCAUGAUUCGUGCAAUGACUUAAUUGCAUAAUUUGAAUUAAAAUACAAUCUAUGAUAACAAAAAUUAGAUACAAUUCUAAAUGAUUUGUGAGCCUAUUCCCUCUCACUUUUUGUUUCUCGAAUUUAGACACCUAUAUGGGAAGCUUAAUUUUUACGUGAAAUUAAUCGUCAGUAUCAAUAAAACAUUUUAAAUUUCUGUGUGUGCGUAUGUGAAGUGAGUGUCUAUACAAUCGCAUAAUAUUAGAUUCAAACUUGGUGUCCACCUUAAAAAUGACAUUAGGACAUGAUCACAUUUUGUGUAUUUGCAUGUGUGAAUAAUCUGCAGAAAUGGAGAAUAAAUCUAGACUGCAUUCAAUGGAGCUAGAGAAAUGUUCAAUGCCUUCGAUUCAUUAGAGACGUCAUCAUCGAUCCACCAGAAAAAAGUAGUUGAUUUAACCGUAAAAUUUUGGGCCUGGCACUUAUAAGAAAGAAAAAUUUGCUCACAAAAAGAAGAAAAAAGAAAUAUAGCCCUUUGGUCGUUACAUGGAUGUUUCUACGAUCUUUCCAAGAGGCAUAUGCAAUUGUUAAAUCACAAAAUAAUGGAUCUCAACUGUGAAAACAAAGCUUUUCAAGUUUUUAAAUUCAGAAAUCACACUCUCUGGCUGGAUUUUAGGUAUGAACGGUUACCUCACUACUAUUAUUCCUGUGGCCGAUUGGGCCAUUACACUGUCUCCUGCCCGUCAGUCCCUUUCGAGGAGAAUAUGAUGACAGACUCUGGGAAAACACCUUAUGGCCCCUGGUUAAAAGCAGAAGUUCAGCAAUACAGCCCUUACUGGAAAGUCUAUUAUGAACAGUCAACUAUGGAAGAGGGGUCGGAGGAAACCGUACCUGAAACGCCUCCUACCAAUGCUCACCCUAUCCCACUUCUACCACCACCCACUCCCAAAGUACCCGCUUCUUCACAGCAGGCUACUUUGAUCAUAUCAAAGGGUUGUAAUGAUAUAGCGGGCUCAACUCCUUUGACGCGUCAUAAUACCAAUACUGCUUUAAUUCCUGCGGAGGAAAAGCUUAAAGGAGUGCAAAUACAGACCUCGGUUCCUCCAGCAAAAAAGGGCAAAAAUGUUCGUUGGAGAGUUAAAAUAGGCCCUGCUAAGAAACCACGACGUUAUAAUCCAUAUGACAUACCUGGAGGGCAACUGGGAACUGAUGAUGAUUCACUCUUGUUGGACACGCCAAUUGUCGAGGCGGCAAACGAUAGUUUGUGGGCGACGGUGGCUGGCCCUAAACAGUCACCUGUUCAAAGAUGAAACUUAUUAGUUGGAACUGUCAGGGUUUGGGCAAUCCCCUGACAGUUCAAGCUUUAAAAGCCCUUUCGGCUAAAGAAAAGCUUGAUUUGUUAUUUUUUAUGGAAACGAAGAAUGGCGAUGAAGUUUUAUCUCACCUGAAUCGUACCUUGCGUUUUUUGAAUCUUAAAGUGUUCAGCCCUGUUGGCUCUACUGGUGGCUUAGCCCUUUUUUGGAAUGAGGGUUUACGGCUGAUGGACAUUACCUCCAAUCCUCAUUUUUUUGACUUUAUUUGCCACGAUAUCUCCGUUGAUAGAUCCAUGCGGAUUACCUGCCUUCACGCACCUGCAGUUUUUCACGAUCGUCAGUAUCUUUGGCAGACUUUGUGACAGUUUAGCAAUUUCAAUGUUUUACCUUGGGUUUGCCUUGGUGAUUUUAAUGAAAUUCUUAAUCGUUGGGAGAAAAUGGGAUCUCGACCUGCUGACUCUUACCGUCUAUCUUCAUUUCGAGAUGUUCUUAAUGACUAUUGCUUGCUGGAUCUCCCUUCUCAUGGCUGUGCCUUUACUUGGUCCAAUAACCGAGAAGGGGAUGCCUUAGUGAAGGAGCGUCUUGAUCGGGCUGUUUGUACUGCUAAAUGGCGUGUCACUUUCCCAAAUGCUCAAGUGCUUGCUCUCCCUACAGUAGGAUCAGAUCACAGUCCACUUGUAUUAGAUACUAAACCCUGUACGGUUCGACGAAAGAGGCAUUUUACCUUUGAAGCUUUCUGGAAUCAGGAUCCUGACUGUAACUCGGUCAUUCAAACCUCCUGGCACUCUGUUUCAAGGCAGCACUCUCCUUUCUCAGCCAAGCUUCGAGCGGUUAUUGCUGCUUUAUCCACUUCGAGUCGAAAGAAAUUCUCACAUAAUCGGCAACAGGCAAUGAAAUUAUAGCACCAGUUAGAACUUAUGACAAAUCAGCAUCCUACUUCAAAGAAUCAAUCAAGGCAACGAAUUUUAAAAACAGAACUUCAGAAAGUAUGGCAGAGGAAGAGCAAUUUUGGGCAAUGUGUUCUCGGAUUAAUUGGUUAAAGUGGGGAGACCGCAAUACCAGAUUCUUUCAUGCCACUACACUUCAAAGAAGACAACGUAAUCAAAUCACAGUAUUGCGAGAUGCACAUCAGCAAUGGGUUCGGGAUCCUGGACAGCUCCAAGAGAUGACUACAAAUUAUUUUUCUCAGCUCUAUACAACUUCAAGCCCUAUAAAUUAUGCACAGAUCUUACAACAGUUCCCUCAGGUGGUUAAUGCAGCAAUGAAUGAAACGCUUCUUGCACAGGUAACAAUGGAAGAAGUAAAAGAGGCUACAUUUCAAUUGGGAGCUUCGAAAGCCCCUGGUCUGGAUGGUUUGAAUGGAAUAUUUUAUCAAUCUCAUUGGGAUGUACUUAAAGUGGAUAUUUAUUGGGUCGUUAAGCAAUUUUUUAAUUUUGGAUCAUUACCGUUAGCUUUAAAUAGAACUGCUAUCACUUUGAUCCCCAAAACCUCAAACCCAGAAAAGCUUGGAUCAGUAUCGUCCUAUUAGCUUGUGCAACUAUGCUUAUAAGAUUUUUUCUAAAGUGCUUGCUAAUAGGCUAAAACCCCUGCUGCCUACUUUAAUUUCUGAGGAACAAAGUGCUUUCGUUGCCGGAAGACAGAUUCAAGAUAAUGUUCUCAUAGUACAGGAAGUCAUUCAUCAGCUUAAGACCAGAAGAAGGAAGCGAAAUUUUCAAGCUAUUCUAAAAUUCGAUAUGCAGAAAGCGUAUGACCGUGUAGAAUGGGAUUUUCUUCAGGACUAUUUACUUCAAUUAGGCUUUCAUUCUCAUUGGGUCCACCUGAUCAUGCAGUGCAUCUCAACAACAACGCUGUGCGUCAAAAUGAAUGGUGAGUACUUGCAAAGUUUUAUACCUACCAGAGGGCUUCGACAGGGAGAUCCUUUAUCCCCUUACUUAUUUAUUCUCAUGGCUAAUCUUUUAUCCUUUCUAAUCCGAAAUGCUGUGGAUAUGGGCUUACUCAAAGGCAUUAAGUUGAAUCAUUGGUGUCCUGCUUUAUCACAUUUAUUCUUUGCUGAUGAUAGUGUGUUCUUUCUUGAUGGUACCUUGUUGGAGUGCCAGAAUCUAUCUAACAUAUUAAACCAGUAUUGUUUGGCUACUGGACAAACUAUCAAUAGAAACAAAUCUGGAAUUUUCUUCAGUCCAUCUUCUCCUAUUUCUCUCCAGCAAAAUUUGGCUAGUGAAUUAAGGGUACCUAUUUUACAGCGAUGUGGUAAGUAUUUAGGGAUACCUACUGAUUGGGGAAGCUCUAAAAGGGAUAUGUUUUCUUGGCUCCUCAGUCGAAUUCAGUCGAAAUUAGAGGGUUGGAAGGAGAAAUUGAUAUCUAAGGGAGGAAAGGAAGUCCUGCUCAAGACUGUGAUUCAAUCAAUUCCGCAAUAUGCCAUGUCUAUUUUUAAAAUUCCCAUUUCAUUAUGCAAAGUUAUAGAACAGCGUAUGGCUAAAUUCUGGUGGAACAAUGAUACAAGCAAGUCUGGCAUUCAUUGGCAGUGUUGGAAAGGACUACAGAAUCGAAAGGAAGUAGGGGGUUUGGGCUUCAGAGAUUUGCUCAGUUUCAAUCAAGCCAUGCUUGGCAAGCAAGCAUGGCGCCUUAUUCAACAACCUUUAUCAUUAUGGGGUAAGUUUUUUAGAGGUUUAUAUUUUCAUUCCUCCACUUUUCUCAAUGCUGUCAAGGGCUCUCGCCCAUCAUGGGGCUGGCAGAGUCUCUUGAGUGGGAGGGAAGCCAUCUUAACCAACAUUCGUUGGUCAGUCGGGGAUGGAAAAUGCAUCAACAUUAGACAAGACAGAUGGCUUCCUAUGGGCAUUCUAGAUGGACCAAAGACCCAAGAAGAACCCCUUCUAGUAGCUGAUCUUAUUGAUCAGUCUACCAGCACAUGGAAGAUAGAAUUACUGCAUAAAUUUUUCGACUUGCCUAUCAUUCAACAAAUCACAGACAUUCAGAUCAGACCUUCAUUCGCCAAAGAUGCACUCAUAUGGACAGCCACUAAUCAAGGAAUAUUUACGGCCAAAUCAGCAUAUCAUCAAAUCAUGAAGACUAAAUCAGGUAUUCCACAACUGGUGCUUCUACAUCGUAUCAAAUUCCUACCUAGCUUUGGCGCAAUCUAUGGAAGAUGCCUGCAGCUCCUAGAUCCGCAUCUUUCUCUGGUCCAUAUGCAGCAACUCCUUAGCAACGAGAGAUAACCUGCAUCGAAGGCAUAUUAUAGAAAGUCCUUGUUGCUUAUUAUGCAAAAAAUAGAUUCCAGAAACUUUAGAACAUUUGUUCUUACUCUGUUCGUGGACUAAUCGGGUGUGGUCACACUCUUAGAUCGGGAUCUCUGUCAACCCCAACAAUAUACAACGUUUGGACUCAUGGAUUGUGGCUACAGUAGGGAAUGGCAAUCGAUUACCUCGACUGGCACUUAUCUCCAAUGUACUGUGGCAGAUCUGGUGAGCUCGGAAUGGUUUCCUUUUCCAGGGAACUUUUCCCAAUCCGAUCCUGGUCGCAGAAGCAGCAUUGACUCAUUCCCAGGUCGAUCGCUUGUCUUCGCCCUCCUGCACACAAAAGGAUCGCUUGGUUAACCAUAAGGAAAAUCUCUGGCGUCCACCAGAUCCUGGGGUUCUCAAGGUGAAUAUUGACGGAUCUUUUCAACAGGGUAGCAAUCACGGCAACAUAGCUUGUAUUUGUAGGGAUUACCAGGGUCGACUCACCGAUGGAUUCUCCAAAGCAUCGCUGUGUCCUUAGCUAUGCAGGUCGAGAUCCAAGCCCUUUCCUUGACGCUUCGGCAUCUUCUCGAUCAGGGUCUCCAGAGUGCAAAGCUUCUGGUGGAAUAUGAUAAUCUCACCCUGGUGGAAACGCUGAAUCGUCGGACACAACCGCCAUGGACGGAUCGCGCUCUCUUCUCUAAGGCAGCAUUCCUGUUAACCCUCUUCUCCAAUCUCUCGCUAGGGUUCUAUCGAAGGGAGGCAAACACGGCAGCCGACUGGGCCUGUAAGGCUCAUAACCGAACUCCUUUGAAUUGUAAUUGGGCUCUUCUUCCGCCCUUUCCUCUUAUGAACUUGCUAUGCGCGGACACUAUAGCAGCUGGAUGUAUGGAUUGCUCGUAUUAAUAUAUGUUUUGGAGUUUUAACGACCAAAAAAAAAAGUUUUUAAAAAUUGCUACAAUUUGCAUUAUGACAGGUAUCGAUUGAUCCUCUAAUCAUAAAAUGGAAAUAGUUGCAUGGUUCGUGGUCUGUAAAAUAAAUGUGAUUACAUCCAUUGAUGUUUGGGCGUUCCAUGUAUAAUAUAUGUCAUAAUCAAUUUUGUGAUAAACCUGUUUUAUGUGGAUCCGAGUACUGGCAAGCUAACCCAAUGAAGCCAACAUGAGUUAGGAGAGAGAAUGAACUUCCUUAAGAAAAAAAUAUGAACUUGAGUUCUCUUUGCUUAUAAUAUACGCAAGUCUAUCCCCAAGUUUUUGUCCAGCCCUCUUGUGAAAGCAAAAGCAAAAGCAAAAAAGCACUGAAGUACGUUUGUCUAGUCAAUUCAUUUGCACAUACCCAAAUUCCACGUUAAACAGACUUGUUUGUUCGUGUGGUCGCACACAUGCGUGUUUUGCAAUUUCAGGACCGAGACCUGGAAAAUACCAAGAAACUCAGAAUGAUAUCAUCAAAAAGCAUAAAGACCCUCCUUCAAGAUUAAAAAUGUUUCGAAAAUCUCAACUUUGUUGACCUCCUUGUGGAAGAGGAACUGUACUUUCUUCGCAAUUUCCACCAAAGAAUCGGCUAGGACUCUUUUAGCUCAAUGAAAGGGAUCUAUUUUGUACAUGUAAUUUGCAAGGCAAAACUCAAAUUGCGUAAAAGACUAGAAUUAGCAUGGACCUAAAAUUAAAGAAUAUAGAAAACUUUAAUCAAUAUCUUUCAAUUUUUUGAACCAUUAGGUGAAAUCCAAGUACAUAGACUUCGAAGGAGGUCAGCCAACUAAAAUUGCCCAAUCUAUUAUGUAGAGUAAAACUGAAGUUGAAAGAGUGGUUGCUCCUAUACUGGUCACGCGACACUUCUGUAUAGCUCAAUACUUAUGACAUGAUGUGAUAUGACACUUGGUAUUGUGCUGCCAUGUGGUCCAAUGACCUUACAAAUUAUUUCUAUGUCAUCUUGUAAUUCAUGUGUUAUUUUCUAGUGCUAUUUAUAGAUAACAUCAACAUUUAAUCAUCUUCAAAUACUAGAAAAAAUGAUUAUAUCUACAAGUAGGCUUAGGCAAAACAAUUGAUUUAAACUUAGCCGAAAUGAUUGAAUUAAAUAACGAAAGGAAUGGAAAUGUGUUUUAUAAGUAGUACAUACUCCAAUAAUUGUCCUCUUCCACGGAGCGUCCACUUUUUUUUUUUUUUUUGCUUCAAAAAUCUUGAAAAUUAAUGUUACACUUUUUUUUUAACAAAACUUGAUCGAACUUGGCCCAGCAUAACUUUUCUGUAUAAUGUACAAUUGAAGCCAUUUUCCCCCCACGGAAAGCCGGUGACUUCAAUUUUGCUAAAAUGCAAUUCACCUCAGAUUAUGGCAUUUGGAUGGUUGGGUCGGAUAGAUGAACUUGGCAAAAAGUGAUGGUAUUUUCGUAAUAAAAAUUCCGAUCUUUGUGAUUUUUGUGGUGUUGGAAAGCUUAUCAUUUAAUUUUAAGAUGAAAUCAAUCGAUUGGAUAAUAUCAUAAAGUUUCCAACACCUCAUGAUCAGACAGCUGUGUUAGAAAAACUUGACAUCUUAAGAUCCAGUGAUUCAAUUUGGGCAAAUUGGGUAUCUUCAAAAAGCUUUUGACAAGUACAACUCAAUUAUACCCUUUGACUGAACUUUUAACGAGGUUGGCCUCUCGGUCGACUUUGCUAUGGCAUUGGAGGGUCGCUUGUGUCUUUAGUGACCUUCCGCAUGUGUUCAAUGAUGCAAUGGAGGCUCUGUCCACCAGUGAUUAUCUAUGGAGCAAUCGAGCUUCGUCAUUUCUAUUCCUUAUUUGAUGAAGUUAGCCAACAAGGAGAAUGAUCAUUUUACAGUCCAUUCGUCAUUGCCGAAAUAAUAUUUUCUGGAGUUCUACUAUUCUUUUGGUCUUUACUAUGUUGGAUCCAAAUUGAACGUGAAAGAGCUCGGACUUCUGCUUCUAACAUAUUAAGAAAACUUUGGCCUUGAUGAAUUUUGUUAUGUCCGACAAAUCUUGGCAACGGCGAGGACUUGGCUACAUAAUCUGUAUGGUAAGUAUUUUCCUUGAUAUGAUAAGCAAUUGGCCAUAGACAAAGAUGCCAACCUCAUCUAGCAAACUAUCCACAAACAUCUAGGACCUAAUAUGCCCAAAUAAAAAAGCACCUUUGAGCUCUCAGAGCACAUCAGCGGGGCAACAAAAGAUUAUUAAUUAUUCUUUAUUAAUGAAUCUCAUUCUUUCUCAACUACAUGGACUUUACACUUUUUUUAUAGCCGUGUCUUCCUCCUAUCUUAUCUCUCGCUCGGCACAGAGCUACGUACCGUAAGCUCGUAACUAAGUAGGGGAUUAAAUUGGGUCGAAUGUUCUUGAUCAGUCAGACCAGUCAUCCUCAACUAGCGUGCACCCUUUCUCGGGUUCAAAGGGACUCCCCGUCGUCAAGAUCUAGCUAGGAACAAAGGUUCUCUCUCAUUUCGAAGCUGCAAAAACGCUCAUUUCGUUUCAUGCUUGUAUAGCCAAAGCAAAAAGUAAAGAGCCUACGUAAUGACCCCGUUUCAGACACGUGGAAUACAAAGGCUGAAAUUAUUUGGGGCCCACAAGCGUACCUAUCCCACGUCGGGACGUGAAAGUCCAAAAUUACCCCCCGCACGCAGGAAAUGGGAAAUAUUAAGAGCCUUUUUUAUAUAUUUACGGAUGAAGAGAGAAGGGGGAAAAUAAGCAUUUUAGAAAUGUGACUGCCAUGUCAACUGGUUAUAUUUGAACAUCUUGACCAAAUUGGUCUUGAUGGGUUAUCAACACUGUGAGCCUCCGUUACAUCCCACUCGAUGCGAAGGAGUAUAAGAAGAAGGGUGCUUUGGUCAUGUGCCAAUUUCAAGAUUCAAAACAUCACAAUUUCAGCAUAGGGUUGUCCGGCCGAGUAGCAACUACAUCUAAACCCUUCUCGGUAUCAGGAAUAUAGCUAAUGAAUUAAUUACACAAUAAAAUCCAAAUGAAUUAUGAUGCUUAGCAUGAUAUAAGAAAUGACCCAUUAUGAUAUGAUAAUCUCUCUUUCAAUAGAUCUUGAAGUUAUCUAAUCAUGAAAAUUAUUGACUAGUUUUCAUGUUUCAAUUUGAAAGCAUUAAAGGGAAAAGGAUGGCUUUUUAAAGUCCUACCAAAUAAUUUAUUUUUAAUAAUUGAGAAUAGAAAUCAAUAGUCCGAGAAAUUUUCCUUAAUGAAACGAACCAUUGUUUCUUCAUGUUCUUCUCUCCUCCCUUGGCCCCUUCUCCUUCUCCAUUGACGUCGCUUCAGUGCAAGCUUCGACAGCCUUUGGCAGCUUUCUAGCUCAAGGAAGGCGGCCAAUACAUGAUUCAUGAAAUCUUUAAAAAGGGAAACAUUCGAUCAAAUUUCAAUUUGUUGAGUUCUUUCACCCCAUGGUCCAUAUGCUCGUAAAACCAGAGUCCUAUAGUUUAUCAUCUCUCGAAUUGUUGAUAUGAAUGCCAAGUACCAGAAUAUGACUCCACACUUUAUUUAUAUCAUGACCAUGUAGAAGCCACAACAAAACUAUUGGACAUUUGCCGGAAACCAUGAAAUGAGUGGAAUCGGUAGACCAAUUCUGCCAAUGUUAUUUUGAACAAGUUGUCUUUAGUUUUAAGGUGUAGUUUCCUCAAACCAUCCCAACAUGAUGGUCUCGUAUACUUGCAAAAAUGAUUGUUAUUAAGUCUUGACUUAAGAUUAACCAACUUGAUCAAAAAAUACUUUGUAACAGAAGAGUCCUCAUUACAUGAAGCACCAUUGCCCACAAGGACCAUGAGAAUGAUUCCUUGAAAGCAAGAUGAAUUUCAGCUCAAAACUUGAUAAAACUUAAACUCAAUUUGAACUUAACCUUCACGCGACUUCAUCUACCAAGCAUGAACUCCCAAAAAGUUGCUGAGAGAUGGGGCAAAUAUCCUCGAGUCUCGCACCAAAGUUCCCGCGGAACAGCUAUGCACCACCCUUUUUUCCUCACUUUUUUGAAUGGGUGGAAUCCACGUGGCAAACUUAGAGUCGUUAACUUUUCUUUUAUAAAGAAGAGUAGUCGGCCACUUGAAAAUUUUGCAAUUUGGUCUGUCGGGGGAUCCAAUUUUUUGAGGGCUUUUUAAAUAUUUGUCCGGUCGACUUGAUCUCAGAUGCGUAGGCAAUCUUUCGUAUCUUUGGUUUGAUUUACUGGGCGAUGAGAAGAGUGAGCCGAGGNNNNNNNNNNNNNNNNNNNNNNNNNNNNNNNNNNNNNNNNNNNNNNNNNNNNNNNNNNNNNNNNNNNNNNNNNNNNNNNNNNNNNNNNNNNNNNNNNNNNAGAUAAGGAAAAAAAAAGAGAGAAAGGAAAAUACUUAUUUGUAAAAUUGUUUCUUCAAAUAAGAAGUUUUUUUUUUUAUUUCUUAUUUUUGUUUCAAAUCUAUCUCUGGCUACUAUUCUAUUCUGGGGAUUUAAAAAAUUAGUUGACAUUACCAAAUGGAUUUCUAUUAUUAUUUUGUUCCGGAAAACAAAAGAGUAAAAGACUAGAGAAAUUGGCAAGUUACCAUGCACACCCCCAAGGAACCAUAGAAGGGAAAUACUUGCAUGGUUCAUGGUCUAUGGACCAUAUGCAAUCACAUCCAUUGAUUUUUGUAAUUUAUACAACUAAUGAUCUUCAUAUUUGAGUUAGGAGAGAGAAUGAACUUCCUUGAGAAAUAGAAAUGAACCUGCCUUUUCUCUUUGCUUAUGAUGUACACAAGUCAAUCUUCAAGUCUUUGUCCAACCCUCUUGUGAAGGCAGGAGAAAGCACCGAAGUAUGUCUUGUCUAGUCAAUUGACUCGUUAUGCAUUGGUCUGCACAUGGUCAAAUUGCGCGUCAAAUAGGCUAGUAAUUCGUGUGUUCACACAAGUACACACAAAGAUGUCAACACUUACAAGUUCUGUUUGGAAAUUGGCAACCCACUCGCAAUACUAGCAAAGCGCGUUUUGAAAUUUCGGCCCUGGAAAGUACCAGGAAACUCAGGUUGAUAUUAUAAAAGAAAAUCAUACAGUUCACACCUCUGAGAAUAAAAUAUUUAAAAUAUCUCAACUUUGUUGGAAUCAUCGUGAAGGAGGAACCACAUUUUCUUCGCAAUUUCCAUUAGAAAAACAACGUCAAAUUAAGCGGACAUGAAUCCAAUGCCAAAUCAAGCAGUAAACAAACAAUAGAGACGAAUCAGACAAAAUCAGCAUUUGAUUUGAAUAUCAGCAUCGGUGUACAAUUUCAAUCAGCUGAGCAAUUUCAUUUUGUCAUCGUUCAAUCUAGCAUUGAAGUGCAAUCAUAACAUGCAAUCCUAGUCUAUUUUCAGCUUCAUGUAACUUUAUGGCAAUAGCAAAUAAUAUCGAGUAUGAAUGGCUUUAUGAAGGAAGGCUGCAGGUGGCUUCCAGGCAAAUGGCGCAUAGUACCAAAGUAAUAGCAAGCGGAACUCAUUUUAACUUGUCCAGAUACAUCCAACAUCUAACCGUUCAGCAACACGCAACUUAUACUUCCGACGCCACCUCCUCCCCUUCGACGACUUUCAUCAACUUAGCCUGAAUGCUUUUGUUUGCUUAUGAAGGAAGGUCGCUGGUGCAUUACAGUGCCUGUUACUCUAGACACAACUCGCCCGGUCUCUACUCUGUGAACAACCAAUUAUACUUUCGAUUGGUAUUGCAGGUAUAAGGAAGGCAGCACACGAUUGAUAAAGUUGGAUUAUGGGUGCGUUUAUUUUACGAAAAAUGAAUAAUUUAAAAAUAUUUUUUUAAAAAGAUUGUUUAUAUCGCUCAUAUAUAAUUAGUCAAUGAAAAAUAUUUCCNNNNNNNNNNNNNNNNNNNNNNNNNNNNNNNNNNNNNNNNNNNNNNNNNNNNNNNNNNNNNNNNNNNNNNNNNNNNNNNNNNNNNNNNNNNNNNNNNNNNNNNNNNNNNNNNNNNNNNNNNNNNNNNNNNNNNNNNNNNNNNNNNNNNNNNNNNNNNNNNNNNNNNNNNNNNNNNNNNNNNNNNNNNNNNNNNNNNNNNNNNNNNNNNNNNNNNNNNNNNNNNNNNNNNNNNNNNNNNNNNNNNNNNNNNNNNNNNNNNNNNNNNNNNNNNNNNNNNNNNNNNNNNNNNNNNNNNNNNNNNNNNNNNNNNCAAACCAAUUGAAAUCAUCUCUUUUAUAAAUCAUACUACAUAAAUCAUCUAAUGUUAUUACAAUUCCAUGUAUGUCUAAAUGAUAAAGUACUAAGAAAAGCAUCUUGAUUGGGAUCCAAUGAUUUACACCAUGAUCGAAUUGCCCAGUUCGAAUUAGAAACAAAUCCAGGGGCUUUUGUCUUUGCUUAGAACAUACGCAAGUUCAUCGUCAAGUCUUUGUCCAACCUGCUUGUUAAGGCAAUGAAAAAGCACUAAAGUACGUUUAUCUAGUCAAUUUGCUUAGCAUGCGCUGGUAUACACACAUCCAAAUUUCACAUCAAAUAGACUUGGCAACUCACCCACAAGACCGGCACAACGUGUUUGGCCCAGGGAAAAUACCAGGAAACAUGGGUCGAUCAUUAAAAAAAGAAAAGAAAAAGAAAAGCAUAAAGAUACUCAUUCGAGAAUAAAAUGUUUCAAAAAUCUCAACUUCGUUCGCAUCAUUGUCAAGGAGGAACCAUAUUAUCUUUGCACUUUCCAUCAAAAAUCAGCUAAAUUCAGUGAGGACUCUUUUGCUCAUUGAAAGUGAUUUAUUUUGUAAACAUAGUUUGCAAAGCAAAACUCAAAUUGCGUGAAAGAUUAAAAUGAGCAUCGACUUGAAAUUAAAGAAUAUAGAAAACUUUAACAAUGUCUUCUAAAUUUUUGAAUAAUUAAGUCCAUUUAAAGUGUGGAAACUUCUAAGUAGGUUGGCCAACUAAAAUUGCAAAGUAAAAAAUCUAGGAAGGGCACGUUUUGGAAAUUUUUUUGGAGUCCGUUCACGGGGUCUGAAUAUUAAGUAUGAAUCAUAGUUAAUAUUUUGUGAUCUAUACUCAAAUACACCCCUUGCCUAUGGCAGUGAGGGCCAGGACCCUCACUUGUGGUGGGGAUCUUAUGAUCUAUGUCCAAAUUGUAAAACUAUAAGAUAGCAAAGCAUAUUGGCUGGUCUCUUAAAAUAUGUUUUCCAAGGCAUCCCGCUCAACUACUUCUCCAGUAUGCUGCUUAGCUCAUGGGGUUGAGAAUAUAAUGUUCUNNNNNNNNNNNNNNNNNNNNNNNNNNNNNNNNNNNNNNNNNNNNNNNNNNNNNNNNNNNNNNNNNNNNNNNNNNNNNNNNNNNNNNNNNNNNNNNNNNNNNNNNNNNNNNNNNNNNNNNNNNNNNNNNNNNNNNNNNNNNNNNNNNNNNNNNNNNNNAACACCUCAUAAUGGGGUUACAUGUGUCUGCCUAGCCAUAGGCUAAACUCUCUUGGUGAUUCAUGAAAUGCUUGAUUCAAUGGUAAUAUUUUGUUCAUAAUGCAAAGAUGUGCAAUCAUCAAAUUUCAUAUCGUAAGUCAACAUUCAGAAAUUCAAUCAAUGACAUUCAAUCACUGGAUGUCGAAUUUUUCAAACAAAAAAAUGGAGUCGGUAUUAUCUAAAAGUCGUUUCUUUAUAGUAUUUGAGAGUAAUUAUUUGAAAAUUAUCACAUAGAGCCUCGGUUCACACAUCGAUGAUGUUUGAGGACUCGUCUUGGACCAUUUGCCUUAGCCGCCCAUUUGGUGCGAAUCUAGAAGGGUCUUUUUAACUCAUCGAGGAAGGCCGCCGGUAACUUCCAGACAAAUGGAACAAAAUAUCCUAGUAAUGGCUAGUGAAAUGCGUCCAAACAUUCAAAGAACAUGCAAUCAUGUAAUAUAAUUCCGAGACGACCUCUUCGUCUUCGAAGACUUACACCAAUUAUUUCCUCAAACUUAGCUUUCUAUUUGGUGCUGAGUCUGAAUGGUGUUUUUUUUUUUUUUAAUUAACUGAUGAAGGAAGGCCCCAGGAAACUUCCAGGCAAGUGGCACACGAUAACAAAGGAAUGGCAAGUGGAAAAUAUAUACUAAGUUGUCCAAUACGUCCAACAUCUAACUGAACAAAAUAAGAGAAACCUUCUGGCUAAAAAAUAAAAAUAAAAACUUGAUUAAUAUCCCGAGCCUCUUAAGCAGAGUAUAAAUGAGCUCGUUUUCUUUCUGUUCAUGAAUAAAAUUGUAAUUGAAAUAUUUAAGAUUGUGCUAACACGAAGCACAAAAAAUUGGCUUUUUACUGAUGCAUAAUGCUAGUAGGUGGAAUAAAAGCAAGAAUUAAUUGAUCAUGCCAAUUAACGCGAAUCUAGAUCGAACGUAAGAAGAUAUGCUUUGUUUGGCUUAGCAGAAUGGAAGUUUGGCUCCAGCUGAGAAAAGUUAAUCCUUUUUUAAUUUAAUUAGCAUAACAAAAGCAAUUGAAAUAUGCUUUUUCUAGCCUAGAAAUAAAGGAAGAGAUUCCUCAUUCCAAAAACAAAAUAGACAAAAAGAUCAAAGGGGAUCAUCGAUUAUGCUUCCUUUGUGGUCACGCUAAAUUUGAGUGGACCUAACGGGCCAAUUGAAAUAAUAUCUAUUAUGAAUUGUACUGCAUAAAUCAUCUUAUGUUAUUAUAAUCUUAUGAAUGUCUAACUGAAAAUGCACUAGCAAAAGCAUCUCAAUUGGCAUCCCGUGAUUCACGUCAUGAUUGAAUUGCAUAGUUCGAAUUGGAAACAAAUCUGUGGCCUUUCGUCUUUUCUUAGAACAUAAGUAGGUCCAUCAUCAAGUCUUUGUCCGACCCUCUUGUGAAGGCAAAGAAAAAGCACUAAAGUGUAUUUAUCUAGUCAAUUCACUUAGUAUGUGUUGGUCUACAUAUAGCCAAAUUCCACAUCAAGUAGACUUGUGUUGGUUGACUCGUUUUCCUUGACAAUCUAAACGCCAGAUAAAUCGGAAAAUAUAAUAUCGGAAAUAUGUUUUCCACGAAACAUAUUUGGAGAAUGGCAACCCACUAGCAAGAACAGCAAAGCGUGUUUAGAAACCAGCAAGCUUGGGUUGAUAUCAUCAAAAAAUCUUAAAAGUCACACCUUCGAGAUUAAAAUGUUUGAAAAAUUUCAACUUUAUUGGAGUCAUUGUGAAAGAGGAGCCACAUUUUCUUCGCAAUUUCCAUAUAAAACGUCCAAUUAAGCAGACAUGAAUCCAAUGCGAAAUCAAUUAAUAAACAAGCGACAGGGAUGAAUCAAAUCCCGAUAGAAUCUACAUUUGAUUGUAGUAUCAGCAUGCAAUUUUAUUUAGUGAGUAAUUUCAGUCGGCGAGGAAUUUCAUUUUGUCAUUGUUCAAUCUAGUAUCGUAGUGCAAUCAUAACGUGCAAUCUUAGUCUAUAUUCAUUUUCAUGUAACUUUAUCACAAUAGCAAAUAAUUUUGAAGUUACCAUGCAAUCGCUAGUCAGCAUAUGAUUUUAUAGCAGCCCAAAAUUUUCAAGACAAAUGUGUAUGUUCAUAGGAUCGUUAUAAGGGAUUUUGGAAGUCUUACACAACUACAACUAUUGUAUAAAAAUUCAAUCCGAUUAAUUACUUGUUUUACGUCAAGCAACUUGAAUUAGUGUCCUGGACAAAGUAACACAGUAAUGGCGAGAGUAGCACGUGAUUGUUCCUCCUAAGACUUUCAUUAAUUAUUUCUUCAACUAGUUGGUGCGAGUCUGAUUUUUUUUUUCCUUUUCUUUUUUUAUAUACAUGAAGGAAGGCCGCAGGUGACUUCCAGGCAAAUGGAGCUUAGUAACAAUGUAAUAAUAAAAUAUAUUUCUGAGAUCACGUCCGACGACGGAUGACUUCCAUCCAUUCUUUCCUCAACUUGGCCUCCUAUUUAGUGCGAUCCGUAUGGCCCUUCUUUUAAGCUUAUGAAGGAAGGCUGCAAGUGACUUCCAGGCAAAGGAUUAUUUCCUCAACCGAGCGAUCUCACUCUGUUUGCGUGGGGGCUUUUAGGCAAAGGAGCAAACUGGACAAGGUAAGGCAAGUUUCAUUAGAUGUUCGUGUUUUACAAAGGAUAGAGGGGAAGAGCUUCAUUUUUUAGUUGGUCUGUUAUACUUGUUUCCGAGACCAAACAGACUUGCCUCUUCAUAGGUUCGUUUCCACUGCCGUUCUUCAGUUAAUUUCUCUGAAUAUUAUCUCUGCUUGUUCUUUUUGCAUGCUGAACAUUAUUUUUAACUAUCGCAACUCAAGCUAGAGAACACCAACUACAACUACCAACUAGAGACUUGAAUCUUAGAGAAGUCCAGCAUUUUGUGGAGAUUUGAUCAAGACGUCCACAGCUUUAUCAAGUUGUUUCAAGGAUCAGACUCAGACUUCCGAGUCACCCAGCGGACUAGAUUAAGAGAUCAAUCACUUCAUCGUCCUCCCAGAAUGAAUAGAAAGAGUGAGGCAGAAGAGAUGGCGGUGCCUGCAGUGAUGGCGAUGGAGGCGGUGACAACAGCUCCGGCAAGUGGUAGCCAUGAUGGUGGAUCGGAGAGGGGGCUGAUGGCGGUGGCGAUGGCAGCACUGGCAAGCAGUAGCCAUGACGGCGAAUUGGGGAGAGGCUAUGAGGUAUUCUUGAGCUUUAGAGGGCCCGACACCCGCUUAACCAUCGCUGAUUUUCUCUACGAAGCCAUUAAACAUGCAGGGAUCCGCGUUUUCAAAGAUGACGAAGAGCUCCGAGUCGGUAAAGAGAUAGANNNNNNNNNNNNNNNNNNNNNNNNNNNNNNNNNNNNNNNNNNNNNNNNNNNNNNNNNNNNNNNNNNNNNNNNNNNNNNNNNNNNNNNNNNNNNNNNNNNNNNNNNNNNNNNNNNNNNNNNNNNNNNNNNNNNNNNNNNNNNNNNNNNNNNNNNNNNNNNNNNNNNNNNNNNNNNNNNNNNNNNNNNNNNNNNNNNNNNNNNNNCCUCCAAAAGCACCAGAAAGACUCCGGGAAGGAUACGGCAAAGCAGUGGGAGGAGCGAUUUAAAAGAGGUUGUCAGAAUUAAAGGAUGGAAUCUAAAAGAUUACGGGUACUGUUAGCUCUCUGUUAAGUUUAUUUCCAUUUUGUCAAUUUCGAGAUUAUUUUCUAUGGUACUUUUUUCCAGAAUAAUAACUUUCAGUUUGCUGCUGUUCAAUCUUCUUUGAUGUAUGGUUGGAUCGGACGCAGUGAGGGAGCGAGAAAUUUUGCUCUGGGAGCAAGGUUUCUUGCACAAAUUGAUUUUUCACUUUUAAUCCCAAGUUAUGGUAACAAUAAUGCACAUAUGUGUGAAAAAGAAAAUUUUAAAUCUCUUAACUUCCCAGCUUAUUUUUCGGCUAGCAAAAUAUUUCAAAAAAAUUUUGGUCGUUGCUCUUGCUUUAAACAUGGACCUAUUCACGGCCCCAAACCUUAUUUAGGGCACCACGGGGUGAAGAUUUCCUUUGCCUUGUGACCAUCCUAGUUUUAAAGUUCUCAACUUUUAUAUGAAACUACCAACCUUAAUUUGUGUCUUGCCAACUUCUUUUCGAUUAUUUUACAAACUAAUUUUGGGUUACCGGUGUUUAUUUGAGUCAUUUACUAGGUUUUAUUUGAUCGUUUGCUGACUAACAACUUUUUAUAAAACCUACCAUCUCUUAUUUGAAUUGUGUACUUCACAUUUCAAAAUUACCAAUAUUUGAAACAAAUUACUAACCCUAAUAUGAGUUUCAUACAAACUAAUCUCUAAUUAAGUUAAGAACUAAUUUAAGUUACCUACUCUUAUGUGAGCCACUUAUCAAUAUUUAAUUUUUGCUUAAAAAUUCCCAACUUUCGUAACAAAAUUUUGUUAACAACUGACCCCCUUUUAUUAGCAUAGUUCACGAACAUUCUUACAUUAGGAACUCUAUUAUCAAGUUACCAAGUAUAAUCUGAGUAACUUACCAACUUAUUCCGAUUAAAUACUAACAAAUUUAAUGUGAGUGAUGAGAUUGCUAACUUAAACUAGUUGGUAGAUUAUUCGGAAAAAUGAUGGUUGCAUGUUAUGUAUGUGGCAGCCAAUAUAAACUUACAAAGCUCAUGGUGGAAGAGGUUUCAAAUUUGCUAUGGACAAGACGAACGGACAUGUCAAAUCAUUUGGUGGGAAUUAAAGAUCGAAUGGAUGACAUUAUGAAGCUGCUAGAUCUAGGAGCUUUUGAUGUACGGUUUAUUGUGAUUCACGGUAUGGGUGGCAUCGGAAAGACAACACUAGCCGAGGCCGUCUUCAGGCAAAUCUACCCUCAAUUUUUGGGUAAUUGCUGCUUUCUUAAAGAUGUUCAAACUCAUGAUAUAAUAGGCUUACAAAAGAAAUUGAUGUUUGACGUUCUCAAUCUUAGUUGCACAAACCCCUUCUUCAUUGAUGAAGGAGCUGACAUGAUCAAGACAAGGUUUCUUGGCAAGAAAGUCCUCAUUGUUCUCGAUGACAUUGACAAUUGGGACCAAAUCAUGAGGCUUGCAGGUGAGACCAACUGGUUUGGUGGGGGUAGUAGAAUCAUCAUAACAACAAGGAAUAUUGAAUUCUUGGUAAAGGAAGGUGAGGAUGACAAUCUCCCAAUCCCUAAUAGCGGACAAUUUUCAUUCUACGAUAUGCCGGAGAUGAAUUCACAUUAUGCUCUUGAACUUUUCUGUGAGCAUGCCUUGGGAUGUGCCAAGCCUCCGCUUAGUUACAUGGAUAUCACAGAAAAGCUAAUCAAUGCACUAGGAGGACUUCCAUUGGCUCUCAAUGUCGUAGGUUCCAUGCUCCGUGGAAAAUGCCCAAGUACAUGGGAAAACGCCCUAUGUAAGUUAAAGAAGGUGAUGAAUGAGGAUGUCAAGAAGAAGUUGAUGAUAAGCUAUGAUGCAUUGGAUCAUAAUCAACAACAAAUUUAUCUUGAUAUUGCAUGUUUCUUCAUCAACGAAAAGAAAACAAUUGCAGUUAAAUAUUGGGAUGCGAUUUUUGGGUAUUCGACCGAAAUCGAGGUCAAUAUCCUCAAACGCAUGUCUUUGAUAAAAAUAUCGAACAACAAUAAACUAUGGAUGCACGACCAACUUAGAGACCUUGGAAGGAGUAUCGUCCAUCCAGAAAGUGGCGAAAUCCAUAUGAAGGGUACAAGAUUGUGGUCUCCCAAGGAUGCCUUUCAUAUAGUGCGGACAGAAACGGUAAUCUUUACCUCUAAAAUUUUUCUAGUGCAUCUAUUAGCAUCAUCACCUUUUUAAUCUAAUUUCAACUCAAACUAACAUAUGUUUUCAUUGGUUGCUACUUUUAUUUUCCAGGGAACCAAGGACGUAGUGGCGCUCAAUCUUGGUACACUUGACCCCCAUAAGACAUACAUAUUUAAGCACAAGCAAUUCAUGGGCUUGGUCAACCUUAGAUUCCUUCAAUUGAACCAUGGAAAUUUUGAAGGAGACUUUAAGAAUGUUUUCUUCGAGUUGAGAUGGCUCUCUUGGAGCAAUUGCCCUUCGAAAUUCCGAGCUACCAACUUUGGGUUGAAGAACCUAACGAUUCUCAUGCUAUCUGGGAAUAAUGUUACUGAAGAUUGGGGAGGAUGGUGUCAAAUCAUGGUAUGAUCUCACAACAUGCUUUUGCAUUACAUUUACUCUUCCUUUUGCAUUACAUUUACUCUUCCUCUUUUCUAAGUUUCAACCAAUUACUUUAUAGGUGGCGGAACAAUUGAAAAUCCUACAACUCGAGGACUGUCCAUUCCUUAGAAAGAUGCCCAAGUUCUCCACAAUCUCGCAGCUAGAGAAAUUGAUUCUUAGAUGCGUUCGACUAAGAAAGAUUGACAAGUCCAUCAGCAAUCUACAACAUCUUGAUUACCUAGAGAUAAAGAGUGAAGCUAUUGAGUUGCCAUCGGAGUCCAUCGGCGGUCUAAAAUCUUUGACAGUGCUAAGAAUAGAACGGCCACCCUCAAGGAAGCCUCACUCGAUUGGCAUUUUAGCAAAGGUGAAGUCUCUAAUCUUGCCAUGCAAGGAACUUCAAAAGCUUCCCGACUCUAUCGGACAAUUGGAGUCACUACUUGAGCUAGAUGUCCAAUAUUUAAAAAUUAGUGAAUUACCUCAUUCUAUUGGAAAUCUUGAAAGGUUAAAAGUUUUACGCAUAUGGAAUUCCUAUCUAGAAAAGCUACCAGACUCGAUUGGAAGGCUCCAAUCAUUGGUCAAGUUGGAUUUGAGCAAGUCAAGAAUUGGGAGCUUACCUGAUUGUAUUGGAAAUCUCAAAAAGUUGAAGGUACUAAAUCUCAAUGAUAGUUGCAUAAGUGAACUUCCGAAAACCAUAGGAAUGUUGGAAAAUCUGGAAAAGUUAAAUGCCCGCUCUAAACAUCUAGUGGGGGAAAUUCCAAGUGAAAUUGGGGCACUAACCUCAUUGAAAUAUCUAGACUUAUGCCAAGGUCGCUUUAGUGGAUUGCCCACAACGAUCAAUCAACUUACAAAUCUCCAACAACUUGAUUUACAGUACUGUAAUUCAAUCCAACAGCUGCCGGAGCUUCCCAAGAGUCUAAUGUUUUUAACCCUAACAUCGGAUUCACUAACCACGAUCCCCGACUGCUCAAACCUAACCAAUUUAGUUGACGUUACGAUAACUGGAUAUUCAAUUGAAGAACCCAACACAGAGGGGAUCGUGAGACUACCUGCUCUAAAAGCACUGAUCCUCCGCAUUGGAAGAAUGGCCUUGCCUCCAACUGAUUUUAGUUCCCUCUCUCAGCUACAACACCUCUCCAUAAAUUGUGCUGAGCCCCAAUCUCUUAUCGGGCUCCCAUCCAGCCUUCAAUAUUUGUUGUUAUGCAAUGUCCAGUCACCGAUAGAUUGGUCAGUCUUUUCCAACUUGGAGAAUUUGUCAAAUCUGCAUAUUGGUGGAUAUUCGCCGGGAGAGAUUCGAUUCGAGGUGCUUGGAGAGCUACGGAAAUUCAAUAAAUUGUUGAUGUCCAAUUGUCCAUUGCUCAAGACGCUGCCCCUUCUACCUGGUCUGAAGGAGAUCCAGAGUUUGACCCUAGUUCUAUUCCCUCGGCUAAUUGAGAUUCAAGGUUUGGGAGAAUUGAAAUCAUUGCAGGAUUUGCAUAUCUUGGAAUGCAAUUCCAUCAAAAGCUUAAACGAAUUUGAUCUUUCUAAUCUACAAAAUCUGAAAAGUUUGAGGUUCUGUGGAUGUAAAUCAUUGGAGAGGGUGCUUGGUGUGCCAAAAUCUUGUCAACUUGAGGUGGAUGAUUGUCCGAGGUUCAAUAAAGAUGGAUAAGAUAUGUAUCAUUUGAUUGGCAAAGAUAGUCGAUGAUGGUAAGUCCAUAGAAAUAGAGUUCAUUUUUUGUUGUGUCCUGUUUUGUGAGUUUUCCUUCAACUAACCUUUCAUCUUGGUUUUGGAACCACCUCUUGCAUUCGUUCAUCCUGUUGUCUCUGAAGGAAAAUCCUCUUUCAUGUAUCAUAAAUGUGUGAUACUUUGACUUGCCUACUUGACGAUGGUGAUACCUAGCUGGUUUAUGUUGCACACCAGCAUACGUCGGGAUUGACAUGCUUCGCGGCACCUGUUUUGUUUAGAAAAAAUGGAUAAAGUGGAAGGGAACUUUUACAUAGUAAGCACACUAAAGAUGCUGACAAAUGCUGGGUUUUGUUGUAAGGCUAAGGUGGUUGAGACUUGAGAGUACUGGUCUCAUCUUAUGGAGUGUUUUUUUUAAAUUAGUAGAGAACAAUCAUGAUUUAUGAGGACUGAAAUAAAGGAGUUAUUGCUUGGUUAGCGGAAGAGUGAAUCGUUGAUACCUAUUAUGCAAUAUGAGUGAUUUAGUUAUUUCCUUCAUGAAGAAUUGGAGGUGUUUUUCUUGUUACUUCUGAACUGAAGUGGAGAAGCUUCAAGUCUUGAGUCACGGUGUGAUUUUGUGAACUAUCUUUCUUCAUUCUAGUAUUUAGCCAUUUAUGCAUGAAAUUCGUGCUGGGAGACAAUUGAUAUUGGAGUAAACUUGUCGAUAUGGUCAAGCCACCAUUUUGUUGAAGACUAGGUUUAGCUACAUCGAGUUGUGCAUUCUGCAAUUUCUGUUGUUAGGAAAGAGGACCUUUGUGUCAUUGAAGACUAGAUUUUGUUUAUUCUUUCAGCUGACCUAUUGCACCUUUCCUCAUCUCUCUCUCUCUCUCUUUCUGCUAAUAAUGUGGUUACUGUUAACUUGUUAAAUAAACCUGUUUGAUCUUUGUGUCUAUCAUUUUUACAUUUGCUGAUAAAACAUUUUUUUACAAGCUCCUCCAGGACGAUGGUGAAAUGUUCUUUUACAUGGUAGUCUAGGCUUUGGCAAGACAUAUUGUUGGUGCUACGGUAACGACUUGUUCUCUUCAAUCCAUAUUAGUAAAAGGGUGAGCUAUGGAUAAGUACAUUGGUACUUUUAAGCAAGCUGUACAAGGCUUCUUUUCAACUAUGCGGAUGUUUAUUGAGUUCUAUUAUGCAAUCUUCUAAUGAACUUUGUUAUUUCCAUAUAUUUCACAAUUUUGUGCUUUCUCCUUUUGCUUUUGUAUCCAUUUAAUAGAGGUCCCUUCAUCUAUGCCAUCAGUUGAAAUAGGAUAACUAGUAGUAGCAAUGAGGAUCCUACCACUGCAACCAAGAUGUUCUAAUUAUAUUAUUUUAAACAAUAGCAGUGAGGAUUCUCCCAUAACCAAUAAAGAGGCCAAGUUAAAAUGGUUCUUGAGUUUUCUCACACAUGAAUGAGAGAAUCCUCUGUGAAGAUUAAAAGAAAGAUUAAGAUGUAAGAUAUUUGAAGUUUUUCUCUAAUAGAAAUUUGAAAUUUAUGAUCAAAUGUCUACUGGAUCAUCUGUUCAGCACAUUGGCAGCAUUGAUUUUGUGAACAAACUAGAGAAAUUUUGAAUAUUUGAGAGUACUAGCAAUUUUAAAAUUACAGGUUUGGAUAUAUUCUCGAAGGCAACAGCUAUAGCACCUUAACUUCUCUUUUUUCAUGAAUUUGAUUCCAUUGUGCUGAUGAGGAGGCAUGAUAAUACGAGGGUCACUGACCUUGUCAUCAAUCAGUUAGUUGCUUGCAUUCAAUGGCACUUGUAAAGUGGUCAUGUGAAAUAUAGUUGAUGGUAUGACUCACUAAUAGUAUGUUAUUCAUUGGUGCAAAUUUUUACCGAAUCAAAUGGUGUUGAAGUUUUAAGCGGUGUGUUUGUGUCAGCAGGGACAAGGCAAUAAUUUCAUCUUACAUGGUAACAAAAAGUACUCUUUUUCCAUAUCACACUAAUUGUAAACUGCCAUUGGAAAUUGCAUGGCCAUUAUGAAUGCUUUGCCAAAAAAAUUUCUAUGAAGCAUUUAAUAUGGAGACUACGUAAUAACCUUCAAGGCAGACUAUUAAAUGCUGGACAUGACUUUUCCUUGAUUUAGAAUUGUUUAACUUUGGAUACACAGUAUUAGAUAAACUACAUAUGUAUCAAAUAAGGAAACACACGGUAGGAUUGCUUGAAUUACUUUUCAGUUGCUGAAGUAGCUUACAAGAAGUGUAUUAAACUGGUCUUGAGCCUCUUCAACAACAUCAACGGAUGUUGAUCGUUUUAGUUUUGGGUGUGCCAAAAUCUUGUGAGCUCAUCAUCAUUGACUGCCUGAAGCUCAAUAGAGAUGGAUAGGGUAUAUAUCAUUUGAUUGGCAUAUAGUUGAUGAUGGUAAGUCCAUAGAACUAGAGUUCGUUUUUUUGCUACGUCCUAUUUUGUGAGUUUUCUUUCAGCUAAGCUUUCAUCUUAGUUAUGGAACCACCACUUGUAUUCGUUCAUCCUGUUAUCUAUGAGCAAAAUUCCUUUUUUGCAUGUCAUGAACAUGCGGUACUUUCACUUGCCUCCACGGUGGUGAUGCUUAACUAGUUUAUGUUGCACAUCAGCAUAAUGUUGGGGUUAACAUGCUUCGCAGCACGUAACUUGCUUAGAUAGUAAGCACACUGAAGUUGCUAACAAAUGCUAGGUUUUGUUGAGAGGCAGAGAUGGUUGAGAGUACUAGUCAUACCUCAUGUAGUGUUUUUUCAAUUUCACUGUAGAACAAUCAUGAUUUGUGAGGAAUGGAAUAAAGGAAUUAAUGCUUGGUUAGCGAAAGAGUGAAUUGUCGAUACCAUUUAUGCAGUAUGAAUGAUUAAAUUACUUCCUUCUGAAAGAAUUGAAGGUGCUUUUCUAGUUACUUCUGAACUUAUAUUAUGUUUGUCUAGUUGUUUGCUAUUUGUUCAUUCCCUCCCAUCUUAAAUUACCAAACACAAUUGCGGAAGAUGUUGCAAAUCACCCAAUAAGGCAUUUACAUUCUUGAAUUCUUAUUUGUUGUGUCGAUGACUUCUGAAUCCUUUGCUAUUUUCAAUUGGGUUUGGGAAUUUGAUAACUCUGACUCAUUGAUGAAUUAAAGAAGGCAAAUACAAUAAUCUUGGUUGAUCUCUUUUGUAUAAUUUUUGUUUCCUGCAGUUCCAUAGAUUGAAUUGGGAUUUUCCGAUGCUGCACAAUCAAAUAUCAUUGUCAGCUUUGCUCCACAUCUGAUUCCAAUGGUUAUAGUUGCAAUUUUCAAGCAUUCACAUUCUUAAAGUAGAAGUUCUGCUUCUCUGGCCAUAAUUAUUAACUUUUUUCAUCUAUUUAUGUAAAGUCCUGGAAUGCAGUCAACUGUUGUUGUUGAAAUGUCUUAGUGUGUAAUGGUGGGGAUCUAUAUGAGCAACUUAAAGUUGUUUGCUGGCCAAACUUUGUUUGGCCCAUAGUCCUAUUCCUCUUAGGCAUUCAAUGGCUUAAUGUAUUGAGCAUUAACCUUAGCUUUUGUUUGCUGAAGUAUUUUUCAAUACUCAUAAUUAGCUUAAUCAAAGUACAUAAUUUAUUUCACCCACAUCUAGAUAGUGUUUUAUGAGUGUCUUUCCUAAUUGAGUAUCUAGGCGAGCAAUACUAAUCUCUAUUGUAGGUUCCCAAGUGUCUGUUUUCCAUUGAAUGCUUUACUUUCCGUGUAACGUCAGAGUCAUCUUAUGGUGGUAAGCUAUCUAAACCUUUUUGCAAAUCAACAAUGUAGUGAAGGGAGCUUGUGGUCAAACUCUGCAAAAUUUCAGUGAGAUGAUGGUAUUACUUGAGAUUGUGGGGUUUAAUUGCCUACCAUUGUUUCCCUGAUGCAUUCUUGUGGAGUUCAGGAGUUCUUUUGUUUCAAAAAAGUGACAAAAGAAAGGUGGAAAUAUGUCUAAUUUAGGAGUUCUUUUGUUUUCUCUUUUUUUUAAACUGUUUCAUAUUGGUUGUUUUCAAUUUUUCACUGAACACUUAAGGGAGCUCAGAGCUGGUGGUACCAACUUUCGUGUGUCCCUUUAUUCGAAUAAGACAAUGCUUCCUUCCUAUUGUAAUAUUCUUUGGAAAGCAAUAGUUUAAUUGCUAACACACCAAGUGGGAGCAAACCUUUUAACAGAGUUAUUUAAACUAGAGUGAAUCUAACAAAGUCGAGGUAAGAAAUUAAUCGUACAAAGAGUAAAUCAUAAUGUGAAGUCUAAAGCCAUCUUCCCUCAAUGCAAGAUUGAAAGGCUCUCUUACUUCUAUUUCUCAACUAACAAAAAUGUCAAGAUUUUGAUUGGAUAUGACUCAAUUCUAUGGUCACCAUCUUAUCUUCAGCUCUUUAAUAGAUCCAUGUCCCGAGGAGAUUUAGUCCAAUGGCAACAUAAUAAGUGGGUGACCUAAGGAUUCUCAUUGACUUUGCUAUAGCUAGUAUCGAUUUGUAUGCAUCAUUCUUUUUUUCUUUUUGUAUAUCGGCUACUUUUAAACACUCCCAAGGCAAUCACUCGUGGAAAACCUAUGGUGCCGAAUGGUCCCAUGUGGUUUUCAUCUUGUAAGCAGCUAAGCUAAUAGCCCUUGCCUUCUUUGGAUAGUCCUUCCUUGUCUCUUUCACACCAGCUAACUUGUGUGUUCGACAAUCUUGUUCUCGUCUGGUCACCAGUCUCCAUGCAAGUGGUAAAUUGUACGUUCUAGUACUUUCUGCCAUCAACAAAGUUUCCUGCUUGCGUGCUGUUAUUUUGCAUAUCUCUGUAGUGCACAAGAAUCUGCUAGAUUUAUUCCGCACCAUUAGUCCUUCAAAAAAUCAACUAUGAGGUAGCCAAGCAUCUCAGCCUCUCUACCAAAACACAGACAAAGCGCACAAGUAGUACUAUGUCUUGCCUCCAUCUAUCUCUGCACUGAGGUUUACUACCUCAAAUAGGCUACAACCUUUAACUCUUUGAUAUUACAUAAAUAAGGUGUGCUAUCUCUCUCAAUAUGAAAAUCUAGGAUUUGAAUUGAUCAAUCAUUUCAAAUUGGGCCACCUUGAUGCAACAAUUACUUCACCUCACCACUCCAUUCAGCCACAAAAAUGUCCUCUUUUUUAGGCUCUAGUUUUUUUUUAUACUCAAUUAGGAACCUGCAUAAUGACUGAAGCAAACUGGCUGAUUGGAAAGGUGCUUUAUACCAAGGUGACCCUCCCAUAUUUCAACAUUCACUUCUCCAAUCUACAAGUCUGUACUCAGAUAGCUCACUGGUUGGAUCCGAAAUUUUCUUUGAGCCCCAGAGGAAUGGUUAGAUGUGCUAUAGCAAAGUGGCUUGUGAUGGAGCAUGUGAUUAUGUGUGUGCAAUGAGCAUGUGUCUAUACCACUGAAAGAUUGAACCAUAGCCUCAAAACUAGAAUUUAAGAUUGAAAUUCAAGAUGAAAGCUUCUCGGUGCAUGUAUUUUAACUGAGUGUUUUUCCAAUGCAGAGUUCUUUCUCAUUCUAUGUGACACCCCUCGGUGGCUCCCGAUCCGUUAGGGUCGCCACAGCCUGCCAAUCGGUUUCUCUCAAAAGAUAUCCGUUACUUGUCUUUUAUAAAAAGGGGUUUUAAAGAAGGACCGAGGUCCUUAGGCAUUUUUUUUUUUUGAAAACAGUCCCAGCGCAACUUAUUAGCGGAAGCAUAAUUGAGUCUUACCAUCUCUCCUUCCAAUAACUAUAAUGGAUUUCUCGGGUCGGUACAGCCAAAAAGAAAAGCCAAGACUUUUAACUACACCUGGCCAUAACCCAAAAGAUAUCUCGACCCCUAUAAUGAUCACGUGUCAUCCUCCAUCUAUCAGUGUCGGCUACUCUAAAAAAGAAACGUCAGCUCUCUACUCCUCACACGGCUAUCACACCCAUCCUAGCGCGUCGGGCGGUGGUGGCGGCAAAAUGCCCCGAAUCACUCCAUCUCGGCGGACGUGGACUGACAAAACUCCUGAAUGACCGGGCCCCCAGCCAAGCCCACACCGUACAUGACAGCACUCGAACUUGCACAAACGUCAGACCAGGGAUGGUAACACAAUCAAUCUCUGAACACUCGACCUCCACAUCAGAAGGAAGGUCGUAAAAGGAACCCCACAUGACCAGAGAGAGCGACAUCUUCCUAAUCUGAAAUGUUGGUCCCCGAAAGGGUGAGUACAGCCACUCAUCAGGUAAAGGAUCCAAUAAACUACUUAAUGCAUCACAUAAUACAAUCACAACAUCAUAGCAUAGUACAUAUCAUCCAUGCAUCCAAGCAUAACUUACCUUGCAGCCAUGCAUAUGUCAUCAUACCAUAUGUGCAUACAUCCUCAUGCACUCAUCACCAAGCUUUCAUACAUAUACCAUCAUGCCAUAGGUGCGCAUACAACCGUGUACUCAUUAUCAAGCAUCCACACAUAUACCAUGCCUCAUGUACGCAUACCGUCAUGCCAUAGGUAUACAUACAACCAUGCACUCAUAUACAUCAUAUCAUACAGCCAUGCAUACAUGUCACCACACCAUGCAUGAUUCAAUUUCCACUUUUUAUCUUUCAAUUUGAUCACCACAUCUUUCUUUCCCGGGAUUAGUAAUUGCAUCCCACAUUUUAUCACUCGCACCCCAACUUGGCAUCGCGAGAAAAACCUCCGGCACACACCACCGGGCAUCCGGCACCCCCACAUUCCGAGCAUCUCGUAUCCCAACUGGCAUCACGAGGCAUCCCUCGGGCACAAACCUCUGAGGCUUCCGGCACCCAAACAUUCCGGGCAUCUCGAAACUCCCAAGGACAUCCGGGCAUGUAUCACAAUACAACCGGGCAUCCGACACCCCCCAUCCCGGGCAUCCUGACACUCCCAGGGCAUUAUCGGCUCACCCCCAACAGUUUCCUCAUUAAUCAUAAUUCAUAUUCACCAAUUUAUGUCUCACAAUCAACAUGGCACAUGAUGUAAUGGCAACAAAGUCAAAUUCAGCUUUUGAUGCUAUAUGCAAUGCCGAAUAUCAUCACAUGUGCAGCAAGAUUUAAUCACUUACAACAAUACAAUUUAUGGGGCUCAUGCAAAACAGAAUAGUCAAUGCAUUACAGCCCUUGAAAUCCACACAAUCCAGCUUGCACAGUUUUAGAAAAUAUUUCCAUUAAAUACCCAAAUGACCUUUAAAAAUUAUGAAAUUCAAACAAGUGAUAGCCAAGACAUAAAGGCAGAUAUUUCAUGCGGGACACUGCACCAAAAGACCCUCAUAUCAUACGGUAUAGACCGAACAUCACAGCACCAUUAUCAUAACCACUUAACUUGCACAGUUUUCGAAACAUUUUCAGUUAAAUAGGAAAAUGAGCUUAAAAAAUUAUGAAAUUUGAAUAUGUUUCAGGGAAGACAUAAAGAAAGAUACUUUAUGAAGAACACUUUGCCGAAAGAUCUUCAUACAAAAUGAUAUGGCCCACGCAUUGAAACUGAUUAAGUCCGAACGCGUCAGAUUACACGAUUUUUGAAAUAUUUCCGAUUUGAAUACCCAACUGAUCUUCAAAAUUCAUGAAAUUAGACUAUGUUGUAUCCAGGAUCCUAAGGUAGGUUUUUCAUGAAGAAACCAAAGUCAAAUUCGUUCUAGGUGAUUUAAUAUAGACGGUUAAAGCUUCUGUUUCACUACCGAAGUUUCCAGAUCUGACUAUUUCCGAAAAACUACGAUUUCACCUAUCUAUUCUUGUUAUUUUUCUCUAAAUUUUUUAUAUGUUAAACCUCAGGUUGUCCUUUACAUAUUUUGUUAAGAAAUCAAAGUGAAAUUUCAACAAAAAGAUAGGCUUACAGACCAUGCAUUCAUCAAAGGUAGUUACCGAAAUCUCCAGAUUCAGUCUCUCCGAAAAAGUAAGGAUUUCACCCACUUAUACUUAUUCGUUUUGUCCCAAAUUUGAGUAUGUUAUAUUUCAAGAAGUCCUUAACAACUUUCAUUUAGAAGUCAUGGCCAAAAUCCAACUCAAACAACACAUACAAGGCAAUAGAACAUCCAAGGUCGAACUGUUUCCUCAAGAACAGUUUACUAGUCUCAAACAUCCCUCUUAACACUUCAACUUUUAACACCCUAAACAUCCGAAAUCUAUCACCAUUCAAGCACACAUACUAGGCACAACGUGCAAGAGCAGAUUAAGGAUCCCAACUUGCCUCUAAACCGAGCAAACAGCAAGCACAUGGCGACAAACGACGGACGCACGGCGGACGGUCGACGGACGAUCGGCUUCCUUCUUCUUCCGCACGCUCACUCUCCCUUUCUCUCUCAAUUUCUCUCUUUCUCUCGGUAACCCUCUCUCUCUCUCUCCCUUCUCGGUCGACAUCCCCCCCCCCCUCUUCAUCAUCAAACGGUUCUCUCAAGUUUUCCUCUCCUCAGUGAUGAACAAUCAUUGAUUUUGCCUUAAGGACACUUGGACUAAGGGAGAAACACUUGGCAAAAUCUUCAUGCAAAAAGAGUGGGCUUCUCAUGGGCCGGUUCUUCCUUGGUCGACGGCCCAAUGGGGCUCCAUCCAGCUAGGCUUGAGGCCAGCUUGGCCGACAGCUCCUCCUCCUCCUUUGGGCUUCGCGGCUAAGCCCAAAUGGCCGAAGGGUGGGGCUUCUUGUGGGCUGGUCUUGAGCUAGAAUUUUGGCCCACACCUCAUCCUAAUAAUCCUCCUUAAACCUUAAUUUUAUAAACACCUAAUUGGAAUUUAUAAUUCACAAAACUUUGUGACCUAAAAUUCCAAUCCAUAAUUCACACGGCCAAAAAUAGGAUUUUCCUAUCAAAUAAUUAUUCACCAAAAGCUUGGCCAAAGUCUCAAUGCAAGACAUGAAUUAGAGCACCCCUAAAGAUUGGCAAGGAAUUCUAGGAUGCCACAUUAUAUUCCCUUAAGUUCUUUUUACUGUCAUUGAAACACCAAUUUUUUACUCUACAGGUUCUCUUUUUCAUCUGGAAUCCUUGACAUUCUAUCAAUCAUCUUUCAUUUGUGAUGUGAACUUAAAUUUUCUCAUAAUCUUAUCAUGCUAGAAAAUUUGCAAGUUGAAAUGUCUUCUUGCUCGUCGAUGUUCUCUUGGCUGAUCAUAUCAGCCCUUUCUAUCUUAACAAAGCAGGUAGAGGAUUUGGUAGUCUUAUUCUUGCCAUACUAGGAACUACUUUUGGUGCACUUGACUAAAUAUGGAAUAUUCGAUCGUCUUUUUUCCUUCGCAAAUGCACUUCUGGAAGCAAUGUUCCUAAGAAUUUGAGCUAGUGCUUUGAAGAACCCAUGUGAUCACAAUAAUUGUGCGGUGGUUUUAGAUUUGGACACCUGAAUAUCACCAGUAAUAUUAUGCUUUGAUGUUUGAAGGUCCUAUUAAAAAGCAAAAUGGGGUGGGAUUACUGUAUUGGGCUAUAAUACCUAAGACCAUCAAAACUUCUAAAACGCAGAAGAUAAUAAUAGGUGCCAAACUGACCGGUUUUUAUGGCUCUUGAUUGUGGAUGCAGGCACUACUCACUGAUUUUGAAGUUUGUGAAGGCAUAUAUUCACGAGCUCACAUCGAAUAUAUACUGAUUUGGUAUGUUUAUGGCUUGGAGCAAAUGUUAUGUUGGAGUAUUCAUGCAAAGAGGUACUCGAGUUAGAGUAAUGUCACAUUAUCUCCAAUAAUGAUGUUAAGUAUCUUAUUGAUUGCAUUAAUUCAUGUUGUAGGCCAUAACUCUUCUACAAAAGAACCUAGAAAAUGCUAAAGCAAAGUUUAGAAGUUCUUGUUGCUGAUCUACAAUUCUUAAGGGACCAAGUAACGAUCACCUAGGUAAGUCGGAAUUUUUUGGGAACUUGGAGGUCCCUGCUUGUUUCAAGUUGUUUACUAUGUCAGUUUGGGGUAGGUCCAUUGUUGUUAAAUUACUGUUGCUGUGGUUUUUGUUACUGGCUUGAGGCUAUAUAUUGGGAAGACAUGUUAAUUUGUGACAGCCUGGAGGGUAGUAAUAUCGCACUUAUGUGAACUUGAAAAAAAUUGAAGGUUGUUGUAGGACAGUAUUCUUUAGUUUUGCAACUUGAAUCAAGCUAGCAAGGGUUAGAUGACAAGUGAUUUUGGUUAGGUUUAGUAUGAUUUACUGCAUUACAACAAGCUUGCCAUGUAAAACAAUUUUGAUUGAGAACUUCUUGGGUUUGAGUUUUCACUUUUAUGUUGUGCGCUAGUUUGGAGUUGAUAUAUGGUCUAUCUGUUUUGUCUCGUUUCACCUUGGUCAUGUGUGUUAGGAAGAACUAAUCUAAAUUUGAAUUCAGGGAAAAACAUGGGGAGAUUUAUUUUUUGCCCGAUAAGGCAUUUACAUUCUUGAAUUCUUAUUUGUUGUGGUGAUGAUAUGUAUUUUCUUUUUCCUUUGCUAAUUUUCGUUGGGUCUAGGAAUUUGAUGAUUCUAACUCCUAGAUGAAUUAAGUUAGGCAUAUGCAAAACUUGGGUUGCUCCCUUUUGUAUAACCUUUGUUUCCUGUAGUUCCAGAGGAUAUAACUGGAAUUAUCUGAUGCUGCACAACCAAAGAUCACUAUCAACUUUACUCCACAUCUGAUGCGAAUUGUUAUAGUUGCAAUUUUCAAGUGUUCCCAUUCUUAAAGUUGAAGUUCUAGUUCUCCAACAAUAAUUAUUAGCUUUCUUCAUCUAUUUAUAAAGAUCCCUAGAAUGCUGUUGUCACAAAGCUGAUUAGAGAACCCGCAGCAAAUAGUAAGAGAGAAAGAAGAAGAGAGAAGGAAUAGAGAAGAGGAGAAGGAGAAUGUGAAAGAAAGAAACAAAGAGGGGCCGUAGAUUUCUGUAGUAACAGAAACCCUAUACCCAUUGUAUUUAUAUUGAAUAUAAAUUGUAUAUGACAAUAAUACCCUUAUGUAAGUAAAAAAGGAAAUAAAACUCUGAUAAUAAAGGAAACUUAAUUAAAGUACCUUAACACUCCCCCUCAAACUGGAGCAUAUAGGUCACCCACGCCCAGCUUGGAACAACCAGCAACAAAAGCAGGACAAAAUAAUGCUUUGGUAAACAUAUCAGCAAACUGAUCUCUAGAGGCAACGUAAGGAGUAGCAACAAGCUUCUACUUCAUAACAUCCCGAACAAAGUGACAGUCAACUUCUAUAUACUUAGUUCACUCUUGAAAAACAGGAUUCUCAGCAAUAUAAAUAGCUGCUUGAUUAUCACACAUCAUAUUAAUAGGUUGAUUAAUCGAAAAUCCAAGCUCCUGGAGAAGAGAUUUCAACCACAACAAUUCGGCCACAGUAUGUGCCAUAGCACGAUAUUCAGCCUCUGCACUAGACCUGGCAAUGGUAGUUUGUUUCUUGCUUCUCCAAGUAACCAAAUUACCACCAAUAAAGGUGCAAUACCCAGUUAUAGACAGUCGAUUAUAUGUUGACCUAGCCCAAUCAGUAUCAGAAUAGCCAACCAGAGUGGAAGAACCAUUAGAUUAUAAAUUAAUCCCUUACCAGGAGAGCUUUUAAGAUAUCGAAGAAUGCGACAUACAGCAUCCCAAUGUAUGACAUCCUAAAAUUCGACCCCGUUUCGAUAAAAUGAAAUGGGCAAUGUCGUCAACGUGCCUAUGGUCUUUUUUCUCUGAGCUGACCACUCACGAGUUAACUAACCCAUUAGGUUAAGCCGUUAAGGGAUGUAUCUGCAGUAAAAUCCCUAAAAGCUACUAAAUUGGUUGGAUUGGACUAAAAUCGCGUCUAAUCGAUUCUAACCAUGAAAUUUAAUUUGGUCUCGGAAAUCGAAUAUUCGAGCGUGUCACAAUUCAUUUUUAGGACCGUCUCAUCGUCUGUCAAGAAAGAAAUUAUCGGAGGAAAAAUCGAAGACCAAAAGAAAUUAGAAAGGGAAAGAGAAAAGAAAAAUAAGGAAAGAGAAAAGAAAAAUAAGAAUAAUAUAAUUUUUGAAUUUCUUUUCUCUCUCUCCCUUUUUUUUUCUCUUUUUCUCUCUCUCUUCUCUCUCCUUCCCUCCCACUCGUGCGAUUCUUUUCCCCCAGCCGGAUGCCCUUCUUUCUUAUAUUUUAUUCUUGUUUUAUCUCUCAUCUCUCUCUCUCUCUCUCUCUCGUCACUCUCUCUUCUUCUUCUUCUUCGUGCAAACGAACGGAACCAGAAGCUGAAGAAGAUCGGAAGCAGCAGCCGCUACCGUCGCCGUCCGUCCCGCCGCCCGCACCGCACGCCCGCGCACCCACGCGUCCACCGUUCGCCACCCAUGCGCCGCCUGCGCCUGCCAUCCCUGCCGUGCGACCCAGCUCCUGUUCGGCCUUUGUUCAGCCACCGUGAGAGGCUGAGCAGACCGCCGGAGCCACCGUCCGGCCUCACCGGAGCUCCGCCUGCUUUCUCGACCUCUUGCUGCCCCCAACCCUCUCUCUUUCUCUCUGUUUUUCAGCCGAACCAGCAAACCCGCGAGUGGGUUUCCAGCCGCUUCGUGGUUGGUUUUAUGCCGUUUCCAGGCCCCGAACCCGAGCCGUCCUUUGGGAGGAAUCGUUCCUCGCGUCGCCCCCGUCGGAUUGAUCCGAUUUGCGCGCGAUUUGGUGAGUAAUCUCACUAAUCCUUGCUUAGUGGACUAAUUACGCUUAGUGGUUGUUUAGUUUUAAUUAAUUAGGUUGAGGUGGUUAGAUUAGUAUGAAUUAGUGUUUAUUAGUCGAUUGUGAUACAAAUUAGAUAAAUUGAAUGUGUAUUUAGCAAGUAGACGUGGUCUACUAUUUAUUGAGGGUUGCCCAGGAUUUUUCCCAACCCUAAUCGGGCUUCAAUUAGGCUUUUUGGGCCUAAAUGGAAUUUUUGGUAUUUAAAUAUCAAUUUUCGGAAUUAAAUUAAAUAAUUAUUUAUUUUUCGAAAAUUCAGCUGGGAUGGCUGAAGACCGGAAUAUUAUGCUGAUAACUAUAGUGAAGUCCGUUUAUUUAAUCGGGCUUUAUUUUCAGCUAAAUCGAAUUUUUAAUAUUAAUUAUUUAAUCUUCGAAAUUAAUUAAUUAAUUAUUUAUUUUCCGAAAAUUCAAUUGAGAUGGCUAGUGACCGGAAUAUUAUGCUGAUAAUUGUGGUGAAGUCCGUUUAUUUAAUCGGGCUUUAAUUUGAGCUAAAUUGAAUUUUUAAUAUUUAUUAAUUAAUUAUUUUUCGGAAAUUAAGAUUUAGAUGGCCGACGACUGAAAUCUCGUGCUGAUUCUCGUGGCAUAGUUCGUUUAUUUAAUUGAGCUCUACAUUGCAUGGAAUUAAAUAAAUUGUGAUAUUUUAGGGAUUUACCCUAAAUUGAUUGAAAUUGAAUUAUUGAUUAGUAGUUGGCCAAAUAUGGCUAUUUAGCAUUUUGAAUGCCUUGUUGAGCUGUAAGUGGAGAGAGUGGUGAGAACUAACUGAGAAUUCUAUUGGCUGAGACCGAUCAAGUACGAAGUAUAGACAGGUGUGGUUCGGUGAUUAAGGAUAUCAUUGUGCGAAAACGAUGCCUUAAAGAACGCACGUAGACUGUCUGUGAUCUAUGACGGGCGUGGUUCGGUGAUAAGGAAUAUCACUGUGCGAAAACGGCGCCUUAAAGAACGCACGUAGACCGUUUGUUAUUUACGUCACCUUGGUGGAAGCGCCGCCCGAGAGCAUUGAUGUGGCUCUCUGAUCGAUUUCACUAUGGGAUGUUAUAUAGUGUGGAUCGAGUGACCUAGGAAUGGUUUGACUGACAUGUAAUUGACUAGUUCGAUUGAUCAAUGAUUUAAUCCGAUUGCUGUGAUUUGAUUGAUUGUUCGUUGUGAUUUAUGAAGUGUCUGUAUAUAACCUUGAAUUGCAGGUUGAGACUGAGGCCAAGGUAAGUCCUCUGAUUCGUGCUAUGCUUAGGCAACCGAGUAGUGUAUUGGUUCCCUAAUUGAGUCUUAGUGGGGUAGAACUCGCUGAGACGUAGUCUCAUCCCGGUUUGGGAAAAACAUUUCAGGACCCCGAUGAGGAGCUGAGGAGGAAUCUGAGAAGGAGUACCCUGAGGUGAAACCUGAGGAGAAUAAUUUUUGGAAGAAGAAGAUAAUACCGAGAGGGAUCUUGAGUACGAUCCGGAUGGACUGAGAUUUCUUCUUCUUUUAAGAACUCCAUUUUAAUGUGAAUAGUUGUGAAGUGCUCUGGUUUGUGUCUUGUAUAAAAGUUUGGUUAUAAGUUUCAAUAUGAAAAAUAUAGCCUACUUUUCUAUCCCAUUGUUUUAUUAUCUGGGGAUUUAUAACUGCUUCUGCAUGUGCUUAAUAAAAGAAAAGGUCGGCGAUACAUAGUCCUGGGAUAUCGCAUUUUAAAAUCGACCAAGUAGAAGGAUGUGUGCGUGCCCGAGGAUCGGGGCGUGACACAAUGAGCCUUUUUAGGUGACUCCAUAAACUGACUCACCACACCAACAACACAAGAAAUAUCAGGACGUGUAAUAGUAAGAUAAAUUAGUUUCCCAACUAGACGUCAAUAUUGAUGUUGUCUUCAAUUUCACUUCCAUCAUCAACUCCAAACUUUUGAUUUGGAUCCAUAGGAGUAUCAACUGGCUUGGAAGCUAGUGUACCUGUCUCAGACAAAAGAUCAAGAACAUACUUUUGUUGAGACAAAUUAAUACCUUUUUUACUUCGUAAAACUUCAAUAUCCAAAAAAUACCUAAGAGUUCCCAAGUCUUUAAUCCGAAAUUGCUGCUGAAGAAAGGACUUAACCUCAUAAAUGCCAGUCAUAUCACUACCCGAAACAAUUAUAUCAUCCACAUAUACCACAAGAAUGACCACCCCCGAUUCCUUCUUGCGAACAAAAACAGAAUGAUCAUAAUAACAUUGAUGGAAACCACAUCUGGAAAUCAUUGAACUGAAUUUUUCAAACCAUGCUCUUGGAGACUGUUUCAACCCAUAAAUGGCCUUAUGUAGCCGACAUAUUUUUACUACGAUUCUCCCCCUGAGCAACAUACCCAGGAGGUUGCUCCAUAUACACUUCUUCAGACAAAUCACCAUAAAGAAAAGCAUUCUUGACAUCCAAUUGAUAUAAUCGAAAUUCACAGCAAGAGAAAUAAUAACACUACCAAAAUUGAAACGUGCCACAGGGGAAAAAGUCUCAAAAUAAUUAACUCCAUAAGUUUGAGUAAAACCUUUAGCAACGAGCUGAGCUUUAAGACGCUCGAUUGAGCCAUCUGGAUUGUACUUGAUAGCGUACACCCAACAACACUUCACCACAUCUUUCCCAAGGGGAAAAUCAACCAAUGACCAUGUUUGGCGAGACACCAGAGCUUCCAUUUCCACAUCCAUAGCUUUCUUCCACUAAAGGCGAGACAAAGCCUCAAUGGUAGAAGUAGGAAUUGUGUAAGUUUGUAAUGAUAGAGCAAAGUCAUGUAAUGGAGAAGGAAGAUGUGAAAGAGACACAUAACGCUCAAUAGGGUAAGCCAAAGAGGAUUUUUGUGUGCAAGACCGAGUACCUUUGCAAGGGGCAAUCGGAAGAUCGUCUGGACUAGGAGACAAGGAGGAAGAUUGAUUGGAGGGCAUUGAAAAGCUAGAGACUAGUGGUGCCAUAAACUGCUUUCGCCGCUGAUACACCUGCAAGGGAGGAGAUAUUGGAGAAGGACUAACGGAAUCUAGGGGGAUUUGUUGUGGGAUAGGAGGAUCAGCUACAAUGUCAGUUGAAAACUCUUUACCCUCAGUAGAAUAGUAUGGUGUGCCCUCGAAAAAAGUAACAUCAGCACUAACAUAUUGGGUAUAAGUUGUAGGAUCAUAACACCGAUAUCCCUUCUGUGUACAUGAAUACCCGAGAAGAAUACAUUUAGUAGCAUGAGGAGAUAGUUUAUCAAAACCGGAACGUAGGUUAUGAAUAAAGCAAACACACUCAAAGACACGCGGGGUAAGAGAGAAUAAUGGCUUGUUAGGAAAUACAAUACCGAUUGGUGACUGAUGAUUAAGGAUAGUGGAAGGCAUACGAUUUAUGAGGUAACAUGCGGUAAGGACAGCAGCAUCACUCCAAAAUGAUUUUGGCACAUUCACAUGAAAUAAGAGUGAACGAGCAACUUCUAGAAUGUGACGGUACUUUCUCUUGGCCACACCAUUUUGCUGAGGGGUAUAAGUACAACUUGUUUGAUGUAUAAUACCAAGACUAGAACAAAACAAAGAAAUUGAUUUUUGUGUAUAUUCUAGAGCAUUAUCUGUUCGCAAAAUUUUAAAGGAUGUAUUAAACUAAUUAGUAACCUCACGAUGAAAUAAUUGAAAAACAUGUAAAAAUUCAGAGCGGUCAUGAAGCAUAUAGAGCCAUGUUAAACGAGAAUAAUCAUCCACAAAAGUAACAAAAUACUUAAAACCAUUUCUACUAGUAAUACGAGAAGGUCCCCAUAUGUCCGAAUGAACAAGUUCAAGUAAAGUAGGUGCAGGAGAAUCAUUACGACUAGGAAAAGAACUACGAUGAUGUUUCCCAAGUUCACAAGCCUCACACUCAAGAGUAGAAAUUGAUUUACACUCGGGAAUUAUUUGUUGUAACUUAAAUAAAGAUAAAUACCCUAAACGAGAAUGCCAUAAUAGGGGAGUAAUAGAACUAGCAGCUAGACCAUUGGUGUCAGCAGUAGAGACACCAUUUAGAUAGUAGAGUCCAUCACGUUCAUGCCCUCCACCAAUCAUCUUCUUUGUCUGAAGGUCCUGAAAAACGCAAUGAGAUGGGUAAAAUGUAACUAAACAACUAAGAGCUUUAAUUAACUGACUAAUAGAUAAUAGAUUUAAAGGAAGUUGGGGAACAUGUAAAACAGAGGACAAAGAUAAGGAAGAUGUAAGUGAAACAAUCCCUGAUCCAACCACUUGAGUCGAGGAACCGUUAGCUAAAAUAACUUCGGAUCAAGGACUAGAGUUAGUGUGGGAAGAAAAUAGUUUUUGCUUACCCGUCAUAUGACUAGAAGCUCCCGAGUCAAUGACCCAAGAGGUGUUAGGAGACAAAGUAGAGAAAGAGGCCAUGUUACCUGUACGUGCAAGAGUGGCGGUGGAUGAGAAAUUGGAAGCCUCUAGUUGUUGAACACGCUUGAUGAGUUGUGCAACCGUAUCAUCUCGAGUUGUAGACUCAGAAGAACUACCCCCAAGUGGGAUAGAUGGGUUCAUGUCGCUGUAAGACACAUCUCGAGCACUCCCUUCAGACACGGCAGUAUUUGCGGUAACUAAUUGUUGAGCCCACUCAGGCUUGCCAUGCUUGGCCCAAUAAGUGUCAACAAUAUGACCGGAUUUGCCGCAGUAUAUACACUGAUGGCUAUCUUGACCAGAACUUUGUCCACUACGUCCACCACCACGACUACGACCUCCCCCGAAACCACGACCUCUAUUGGAAAAUCCACCACAACCAUGACCACCACUACCAGCCACAAAUGUUGAAUUGUCUUUAGAUGAUGUAAAAGACAGAGGGACAAUGCACUGAAUUCGACAAAAUGCUUCAUUCAUAGAAGGAACUCUCUCUCCAGCAAGAAGUUGACUCUUCAUAGGCUGUAAGUCAGCAUUCAAGCCAGAUAAAAACUUGGCCACUUGAAAUUCAGCUCGUUGUGUCUUAAGUCUCUCAAGGUCAGUAGUGAUGGGCUGAUAAAGAUUGAGUUCUUCCCAUAUACCUUUCAAAGCACCAUAAUACUCUCCAAGAGACUUGUCUCCCUGUUUAAAAUUAAAGAUCUUCUCAUAUAGUUCAUAAACUCUGGACAUAUUUUUGUCUUGUGGGUAACUCUCCAUAAGAUCAUCCCAUACUCCCUUAGCAGUUGUGUCGAACAUUACCUUAACAGCGAUGGAUGGUUCCAUGCUAUUCCAUAACCACACCAGAAGUGUAUCAUUCUCUCUUAUCCAAUUACUAUAGUCUCUAGAAUUUUCAGCAGGAGGGUCUGUGGUAAGAUAAUGAAGUUUCCCUUUGGCAUUAAUAUAGACCUUCACAGCUUGGGCCCAUAACAAGUAAUUGAAGGAUCCAUUUAAUUUAAUAGUGGUAAUUUGAACAUUGACACUAUCUAUAGGAGGCUUAGUAUCACUCAUGAUGAUAAUCUCAAUAUAAAUAUAUCUACCACUAAUCAAGAAGGUUGAAACUUUAGUGUAAGAAACAAAACAACAACACUAAUGUAUAAUCAGAUGUAAUUGGCUCCAUCAAUUAACCAAAGGGAUGCAAUAGAGUUCUGAUUCUUGAAUCCACUUAUCAGUAAGUGUUGUAAUCCAUGUUCAUAAACCGGACCUGAUGAAUCUGAUAUCUUUUGAUCUCAUAUGUAUCAAGACUUGAAGAGAAAAUAGAUAAAAAUUGCAGCUUUAGGUGGCUACGCACCAGAAAAGAAUUAGGGUUACUAGGGGACUCUCAAACCAGCAAUAGGAUCAAGUGAUCAGGUAGUUAGAUCUGCUCUGAUACCAUGUCACAAAGCUGAUUAGAGAACCAGCAGCAAAUAGUAUAAGAGAAAGAAGAAGAGAGAAGGAAUAGAGAAGAGGAGAAGAAGGAGAAUGUGAAAGAAAGAAACAAAGAGGGGUUGUAGAUUUCUGUAGUAACAUAAACCCUACACCCAUUGUAUUUAUAUUGAAUAUAAAUUGUAUACGACAAUAGUACCCUUAUGUAAGUCAAAAAAGGAAAUAAAACUCUGAUAAUAAAGGAAACUUAAUUAAAGUAACUUAACAGCUGUCAACUAUUCAUGCCGAAAUGUCUUUAGGUGUAAAGGUGGGGGAUUUAUAUGAGCAACUUAAAGUUGUUUGCUGGGCAAACUUUUUCAGGCUAAUAGUCCUAUUCUGCUUAGGCAUUCAAUGGCUUAAUGUACUGAGUAUUAACCAUAGCUUUUGUUUAUUGAAGUACUUAUUCUCUGUAUUCAUAAUUAGGUUAAUCAAAGUACAUAAUUUAUUUUAUAGACCUUGGUAAGUCAGUCAAAUAGUAGACAUUUGGGGGACCGAAACUUGGAAGGCCCGUGACUUCUUCUAUGUUCUUGAGUGUGCGUCCCACAUACUUCAUGCUAUUUGAUUGCUUAAUUCACUUUAUCUUGUUGGAUGAAGAAUUUGUUAUUUUGUUAGAAAAAGGACUUGUUCCCCAUACUCAACAUGUGCGAGGAUCCUAUUAUUGUUUUAUGAGUGUCUUUCCUGAUCGAGUAUCUGGAUGAGCAAUACUAAUCUAUGUAGUAGGUUCUCAAGUGUCUGUCUUCCAUGAAGUGCUUGACUUUCCAUGUAACGUCAAAGUCAUCUUUUGAUGAUAAGCUAUCUAAACCUUUUUUGCAAGAUUGACAAUCUAGUGAAGGGAGCUUAUGGUUAGGCUCUAUAGAAUCUUCACUAAGAUGAUGGGAUUACCUGAGAUUGUGGGGCUUAACCACUCACCAUUGUUUCCCCGAUGCAUUCUUGUGAGUGAGCUAAAUUAUGCAUGGAUUUUGUUCAAGAAAGCUUGUAUAACUGCAUUGGUUGUGUCUCAGCUAUAGCUUUUGUUUAUUCUUUCUAGUGACUCAUUACACCUUUCCUCAUCUUGCUCUCUCUUUAUCUCACUAUGCUAAAAUGUGGUCAUUGUUAACUUGUUAAAUAAACCUAUUUCAUCUCCGUUUCUAUCAUUCUUAUAUUUGCUAAUAAAAUGUUUUCAGGCAAGCUCCUGUAAGGCCAUGGUCAAAUGUUCUUUUAAGUGGACAUCUGGGCUUUGGCAAGACACACAUUGUUGGUGCUGCAGCAACAACUUGUUCUCUUCAAUCCGUGUCAGUGAAGGCUGAGCUGUUGAAUAAGUACAUUGGUACUAUUAAGCUAGCUAUAAGAGGCUUCUUUUCAACUACAUUGAUGCUGAUUGAAUUCCAUUGUGCAAUCUGGUAUUAUACUUUGUUAUUUCCAAACAUUUCACAUUUUUGUGCUUUCUUCUGUUGCUUUUGUAUGCAUUUAAUAGAGUCUCUUCAAGUAUGCUAGCAGUUGAAAUAGGAUAACUAGCGGCAACAAUGAGGAUCCUCCCAUAACCACUAAAAAGGCCAAGUUAAAGCGGUUGAUGAGUUUCUAACACAUGAAUGAGAGGAUCAUCUAUGACCAUUUGUUUAAGAGAAAGAUUAAAGAUGUAAAAUAUUUGAAGAUUUUUCUUUACUAAAAAUUUGGAAUUGGUGAUCAAAUGUCAACUGGGUUUUCUAUUUUGCAAAUUGAUGGCAUUGAUUUUGUCAACAAAAGGGAGAAAUUUUGAAUAUUUGAGAGUAAUGGCAAUUAGAAAAUACAGGUUUUGAAUAUAUCCUUGAAGGCAGUAGCUGCAGUCCUUGCCUUCUCUUUUUUGAUGAAAUUGAUUCCAUUGCUCCAAAGAGGGAUAAUAAGGGGUUCACUGAUCAUGUUAUUAAUCAAGUCAGUUUCUUGCGUUCAUAGCACUUAUAAGGCGGUCAAGUGAAUAUAUUCAAUGGUAUGACUCACUAUUGGUAUGUUAUUCAUUGGUGCAGUUUUUUACUAUAUUAGAUGGUGUUGAAGUUUUAUUCGGUGCAUUGCUGUUCGCAGAAACAAGGUAAUGAUUUCAUCUUACAUGGUAACAAAAAGUACACUCUUCCAAUAGCACACAAGCUGUGAACUAUGUGUGAACUACUAUUUGAAGUUGCACAGCCAUUAUGAAUGCUUUAACAAACAUUUUCUACCAAGCAUUUAGUGUGGAGACUAUGUAUUAACUUUUGAGGCAGACUAUAAAAUGCUAGAAUUGACUUUUCCUUAAUUUAGAACUGUUUAACUUUGGAUACACGGUAUUGGAUAAACUACACAUGUAUCAAAGAAGGUAAUAAAAGAUGGGAUUGCAUAAAUUUUCAGUUGCUGAAGUAGCGUAGAAGAAGUGUAUUAAGCUAGACUUGAGCCUCUACAACAGCAUCAAUGGAUUCUGAUAGUCUUGUGACAUCGAGCAUAGGGCGAUUUCUCAUAUCUGUUGUGACAUCUUUGUGGCAUGAAGUGAUCUUUUGUUUUCCUCAGGAGUCAUGAGUUCAUCUAUCUCUGAAUAACUCCAAUUCACUUUCCUUUCUUGAGAUCCUUUUUCUUUAUUCUAUAUUUGUCCAGUUAUGUGCUCUUAGUUCUAAUCGAGUUGCAUUUGGUGUGAAGCGGUAGACCGGGACUUACUUGAUGGUGCAUUUCUGAGACCUAGCAGGCUUGAAGACUUCUAUUCUGUGAUUUUUGUUCAAUAUAGGAGAGGCUAGAUAUCCUUAAAGUUUUAUCAAGGAAGGUAAAAACUUAGCUUCCAUCCAUCUGCCAGUGCUUGCUUUUAACGUUUCAUCUGUGACAUGCUCUGAAACUGGUCAUACAGAUGGAAAAUUUAUAUGAUUACUUGUUAGAAGAACUACAUAUCCGCAAUCUUACUUUUCAAGAAGAUGCAUCUGAAAGAUUACAUAUGAACAGAGAAUGUUGGAUCCUGUUAAGUAAGAGCGCUAGAAACAGAGUCAAUUUGAGCAGCUGAAGAUCCUGUUUAGAACUCAAGGCAUCUGACACAAUACUUUUAGAAGAAAAUGUUGUAAAAGGAUUGGAUCUACAACCCGCUUGGGUGAGGCUUAGAUAAGUUUAGAUGUCCAAUAGUAAAUCACUUUCAACCUCGGAACUUGGAACUGGUAGAUUUUACACCUAUUGAUGUUGCUUAGAAAAAAAAUGAAAAUGGCCUUUAUAGCUGAUUCCAUGAAACAGGACAUUGUCAUCUCUCUCUCUCUCUCUCUCUCUCUCUCUCUCUCUCUCUCUCUCUCUCUCUGUCUUCUUUUCUCUUGGAACUAAUUAGGAAGAUAUUGGCAAAUUCAUUUAAUUAUAUUCCUCCAAUUCAGUAUAAUGAGGCUGUUAAAAUGGCAACAAUUGGGCAUCGCUGAAGUUUUGCUGAGUGUCUGCUUUAAUUCCCUUUUGCAGCUUCCUUUGGCCAGUGAUGUGGACUUGGACGCCAUAGCUCAUGAUCUAAUCGGUCUAAUCAUAAUCAGCGGUUCUCUGAGCGCUGCUUCAGAUUCACAGCUGCAAGUGGAGAGAGAAAUCAGCAUGGGAAAUAACCAGUUAUAACAGACUCUUCUGAAGUUCGCUUCAAAGGCGAGCCAGUCAAUUUCAGAUGCUGAGAAGAGAAGACUCCAUACAAAUAUUUCUCAUUCUUUGUUUAUCAUCUCUCCCCAAAACUACAAUUGUGCAUCUCCGAUCAGAAAGUUCAACCGGGGAUUCUGGUAGUUGCUUAUUAUUGCAUCUUUGUACGUCAGUAGAUCAUUGAUUAGCAUACCUCCUCCGAAUAGUCUACCUGGUCUACUGGCUUGUAGGACUGUUAAUUUUUGUGAUCCAAUAAUGCCAGACAGCUUAAUCCUUGCAGUGACAUUCUCGUAAGGGGUAUGCGACAUGUCUAGGAUAUUCAUCUUGGCGAGUAAAUCAAUAAGAUGGCAUGCUCAGGUUGGUCUUUCAGUUUCCAGUCACAAAUUUCGAACAGUGAGCAGUUGCUGGAGCGAUCCCUUUGCAUUAGAAAAUCGAAGAAAUGGCCUUUCGGUGGCAGCUGCUAUUUGCACGGCUUCUUUGGUUUUGAGUCCCUCAUUCAAAGUGAGGAGACAAUUUAACCUCUUAGUAAAAUCGACUAAAGCAGUGGAACCCCCAACUUUAAAACCUUUCGUCUCUGAUUAUUAUUAACAUUUGCCCCUAACCAAAUGUUGUUGAUUUGAGAAACUGCAAAGCCUAACAAAUUGUGGACUCAAGAUUCAGCGUUGGAGAGGACAUGGAAAAUUCUGAGCCUGAGUAAUCCUAGCCGGGUAGAACAAUUACUUCGGCAGGUCAAUGGUGUGGUCCACCUCUAUUUUUAAGAAACUCCAUAUCAACAAAAUUCUAACGUAAUCAUCUGCAGUUCGCAUUGUUCCUUGUUGAUACGAUAUUUCAAGGCGCAAUUCAUAAGUAUUGUUGCCGUGAGUCUAUCCCUGCAUAUGCUUUUUUAUUUUUCCCUGGCUUGAAGGGGUCUUUAUGAAACUAAUGUCUAAUUGAAGUAAUUCAAAUAAGUCCUGAAUAUAUCAAGGCAUCGGAGCACCAGGUGACCGGCUUAAAAACGAGGCAUUGAGAAAUGGAGAGACCACUUUUUUACUGACGAAUUGAUCUUUUAUAAUUGGGAAAGGUAGUCCAUUUCUCUUAACUGGUCAACAUAAGUACUGUAGAUAUCAUUGGUGGUCAAUGCACUAGAAGAAAUUGAAUCGAAGGGAGUCACUUGGCCACUUAUCACUAUUUAUAUCAACCGUGGAAAGUAUGUCAACUAAAGCUGAAACCUUAAGCCCAUUAACAAACUUAGUAAAGUCCAAUAUCACACAAUGCUUACCUCGUUAUGAGCGGAUUAGAUAAAGUAAUUUUGGCCCAAACAUAAACUAUAUAUUAAUUGUUCUAUAAGACCGUCAACUUUUUGAUGUCAAACUUUACAAUUGCCUUCGUGUAUUACUUUAGAUUGGGGGAGCAAAAGCAGGAUAGGCCAAAAUAGAAAAACAAUUUAUUUGGAUGAUGCCUUACAUGAGGAAUUUUCGGAGGAGGAUGAACAAUAUAUUCAUAUUGCUCAGAGCAAAUAAUAGCUUGACUGACUUAAAAUAAUUAGUCAAUGAAAAAUAUUGUUGUUACAAUUUAUAUUCAGAUAUUUUCAUGUAUGAUAAAAAUAUAUUUCGUUCAUUCAUUUUUAUAAGUAAUUAUUUUAGGAAAAUAUUUUUCAUAUAAUUCAUUUUCUAUGAAAUAAACAGAGUCUAAUAUAUGAAUUGAUGCCCUGUAUAUCUGUAAUUUUUUUAGGACAUCAUAUAUGAUGAAAAGGGCUGUUGGAUUGGGAGUUUUAGCAAUUCAAGUCAAGCUUUGUUGAUAAUGACGUGACGUUUGCUUUUCUUUAAGACAAAAUCCUUUGGUGUAUGCUUAUAUAAAUUUUCUCAGUUUUCGCCGGACAGAGUUCCAUAAUGAAAGCAUAAAUAAAUCAAUUGAGGAUGCAUUUUUGUGAAGCUGAGCAAAGAAUUUUGUGAGAUAAUAUGAUAAUGAAGAGCCAAAGAGCAGAAGUCCAAGGCGCUUUAUUUGGCAUUUUGCCUUUUUGAAUAUUAAGCCGCCUAAAAUGUAUUAUUUUGUAAUAAGAUCAUUUUUAACUGAAUCAAGUUCAUCGCCUUUCUUUUUCUUUUAAAAAAUAACAAACCUAAAACGAAUUCUGAACCUGUGUAUAGAAAUAAACAGUUGAAAAACAUAUCUGUGUAUUUUGGCUUGAUUGUGUAGACUCAUUUUACCAUUUAUAUAGGAGAUGAGAAUAAUCACAUCACAGGAUUAAUGCAAGGGCUGUGGAUCUUUCUCCUAGGUAAAUAUUUGCAACCUUUCUAAUUUAUAGUUUUUUUACGAUAAAAGCCUACGUUUAUUUCUGCAAACGACGGGAGACCAAAUGGCAAUUGAGUUCGAUUGGGCUUUGUGUGGAGCUAACAUGCCAAAUAAAAUCAUCUCUUUUGUGAAUUUGACCGCUUAAAUCAUCUUAUUAUAUAAUUUCUCAAUAGUUGACUUCUAGCGCUGCUCGACGCAUGCUCCCUAGUGGCCUCAACAACGGGCCUAUUAUUCCCAUUGGCCCUAAGGAGUCAUCAUUUCUCCAUUUAGAAGUAAAAUAGGCUUACGAACAAAUUUAAUUGAUGCAAAUAGAAUAAUAAACUGAUGGCCUUUCGUUUUCACAUCCAGUAGUCUUCCUCUGCGCGAGCUCGCACGUUGCCUUCUAGGGAUAAUCAUUAUCCCGGGGAGUUUGGGCGUGUAGAAGGAGCAAAAUGCUAUAAGCAUCCGAUGUAUAGGGGCUUACUUCAUCUUAGCUAUUAGAUUAUGUGAGUGGUCAUAUUAUUUAAUGUGCUGAAUUUUAUCUAGGGAGGCAUUAGGAUAAGCGUCAAUAUUAGGAUCCCUUGAUUCAUGCAAUGAUUGAAUUUCAUAAUUAAAUUAAAUGCAAGUUUGUGGUCAAAAAAAUUAAAUACGAUUCAGUGGAUUCGUUUGCCUCUUCCUUCUCCCUUCUUGUUUCCCAAUUUGAGGUGCAUGUAUGAGAAGCCAAUUUUUUAUGUGAAGUUAAUCGUUAAUACUGAUAAAAUAUUUCAAAUAUGUCUGUUUUGCAUUUAUACAAUCCCAUAAUGUUAGAUCUCAAAUUCCAUGCCCACUUUGAAUGUGACAAAAUAACAUAUUCAGGACAUGAUGACAUUAUUAAUACGUUAAAUGUGGUGUCAACUUCUCCAGGAAGAAAAUAUAAGAUAAAUUACUCCUUAUUCCUUAACUAUAGAGAAUCUCAUGUUAAAAAAAAAAAAAAAAACUAUAGAGAAUCUCCGGUAAAUCUGUUCACCUGCCGUGUGCGCAUGGUGCGGUUACCCUCCUAAAUGACCCAACUGCCCUCACUUUUUUGACGAAUUUCCUUUUUAAAAAAAUCCGGACUCUGAAAANNNNNNNNNNNNNNNNNNNNNNNNNNNNNNNNNNNNNNNNNNNNNNNNNNNNNNNNNNNNNNNNNNNNNNNNNNNNNNNNNNNNNNNNNNNNNNNNNNNNCCGUGCCGUCACCCCUCGUCGUCGAGCCGCCCCCGGCCAUCGCCUGUGCCGAUCCUUGACCUCAAAUUCGGAGUCCAUCUCUGCAUCGUCCUCACAGAAUGAAGAGAAAGAGGGAGGGAGAAGAGACGGCGACAGGCAGCUGGGACAGGCAGAAGCCGUGAUGGCGGAUUAGGGAGGGGUUACGAGUUGUUCCUGAGUUUGGGACUUUUGCUUACGCUAGGCCGAAGGUGCUGGUGAAGGAUAUGUCUGUUGAAAUUUUGGAUUUUUUUUUUCUUUUGGAGUAUUAGAGUACUUGUGGUGAUUGGUGGGAUGAUGCUUGCAGGCUGCAGCAAUGUAAGCUGGGAUGGUGAUUGGAGGGAUCGCUGGCUUUCUCUAAUUCGUAUUUUUGCUGGCAAAGGUUUCCUGACUUCAUUGUUGCUACUUUGGGAUUUGUUAUUAUCGACAUCCCUAUAGAUGUUUGUGUAUAAUUUCUCAUCGACUGAUUCUUUUGUAUCGUUAUAUCUGCUAUUGAAUUCGCUGUUGAGUUACAUUUCGUUGUUCAUUUUCUUCGUGUGAUCACAAACAAAGACCCAGAUUUAAACGCAUUGUCGAAUACCAUAGACACUAUCCCUCCUGUCUGCCCUUGUGCUAGCACUAGACCUUGUUUUUUUCUCUUCUUUUUCUUUGGUUUUUUCAGUAUAGUAUGACCAACGCAGUGUUGAAAUGUUGCGCAAUGGUUAACAUGGAGGUGGGCAUACGUGAGGUUCGUUGUCUCAUGCAGCUCAUACUUCUGACUACGUGAACAAGAUUUUGGGUGAAUUUCCAUUUAUUUCCACAAGUUGAUAGGGAAGUCGUGGUUAUUUGCUUUUUAACAAUAAGCUGUGGAUUUUGGUAAUUUAGUUGAUUGGUGCCCAAUUGAUUGACGACCUUGUGUUGAAAUUGCGAGGCUUUGAAUAUUGAAACGAUUGCAGUUACUUACCUCUGAGCAAAUUAGAUCAAGAUGUUCACAUGUAAUUAGAAUGAGAAAGAGACUCUCCUUCUAAAAUGCUUGCUUGGCCCAUUUAUGGAAAUGAAGAAUGUCGAUGCACAUCACUAAAUAGUAAGCCUUGUUUAUGCCCUCCACGUCAGGAAAUUUUCUCAUUUAAAGGUACCUGGAACAUGCUGAUUACAUGUUGCAUCUUGCAUGUUAUAUAACCUUAUAAAUCUUCCUUAUACUUUAUCACUUAAAAUGGUUNNNNNNNNNNNNNNNNNNNNNNNNNNNNNNNNNNNNNNNNNNNNNNNNNNNNNNNNNNNNNNNNNNNNNNNNNNNNNNNNNNNNNNNNNNNNNNNNNNNNAUUAUUUCUCAUGUCGUACAUUAGAGGCUUUCAAUUGCUUAUCUUAAAAUGAGUAGGAAUUAUCUGCAUUUAGGUUCUAUUUAGAAAGGAAUCACUUCAGCAGAUCUUUCUCGUCCUUUGAGAAAGUGCAAGAGUAUAGGAAGAGAUAUUGUUUUGCAUGUUAUUCAAGUUCAGAGCCUGGUUAAUGGUAUUGCGAAAACUGACAAAAGAAAGGUGGAGAUGUAUCUAAUUCUGGAGUUCUUUCCAUUUUUUUCUUUUUUCUUUUUUUCUUUUAAACUGUUUCACAUUGGUUGUUCUUUUAUUGGCUGAACCCUUAAUGAAGCUCAGAGCUGGUAUUAUUGUCUUGUGUAUAGAACAAAAUAAACAAUUCAUUUGUUUCAUGUGUCCCUUCAUUUAAAUAUGAGAAUGCUUUCUUGCUGAUUGAAUAUACUUCCGAAAGCAAUAGUUAUUAGAGCAAACUUCUUAGUAGUUUUGUUUACAUGAGAGUGAAUCUAACAAACUUGGGGUAAGAAGUUAGUCUUAAAAAUUGUUAACCGCGUGUGAAGUCUAAAAAGCCAUCCUUUUCCUUAAUGCAAGAUUUUAAGGCUCUCUUAUUUCUAUCUCUUGACUAAGAAAAAGGCUAAGAUUCGGAUUGGGAUUUAAUUCCAUGGUCACCACAUCUUAUCUGCAUCUUUUCCAGCAUAUCCAUGUCCAAAGGAGAUCUAGUCUGAGGGCAACACAUUGGUGGGUGAUCUGAGGAUUCUCAUUGACUUUGCCAUAGCUAGUAUCUGUUUGUAUGCACCCUUCUUCUUGUUUUUGUUUUCUUUUUGUAUGUUGGCUAUUUAGAAACCCUCCCAGGGCAAUCACACAUGUCGAAAACUUGUGAUGCCGAAUAGUUCCAUAUGGNNNNNNNNNNNNNNNNNNNNNNNNNNNNNNNNNNNNNNNNNNNNNNNNNNNNNNNNNNNNNNNNNNNNNNNNNNNNNNNNNNNNNNNNNNNNNNNNNNNNNNNNNNNNNNNNNNNNNNNNNNNNNNNNNNNNNNNNNNNNNNNNNNNNNNNNNNNNNNNNNNNNNNNNNNNNNNNNNNNNNNNNNNNNNNNNNNNNNNNNNNNNNNNNNNNNNNNNNNNNNNNNNNNNNNNNNNNNNNNNNNNNNNNNNNNNNNNNNNNNNNAACUAUGAGUGGACAAGAACCUGUGAGAUUUGUCCUGCACAAUUAGUCCUUAGCAUCAACUAUGGUUUGCCAGGCACUCGGCCCCUCUGCCAAGACCCAUCUCUCUCUCUCUCUCUCUCUCUCUCUCUCUCUCUCACACGCGCACGCACGCAAACACGGACAAACACAAGUACUACUAUGUGCUGCCUCCAUCUUUCUUUGCACUGUGGUUUACUCCAUUAAAUAGGCUAUGACUGUGCUGACAGUACCUAAACAAAGGUGUGGUAUUUCUCUCUAUACGAAAAUCCAGGAUUUGAAUUGGUCAAUGAUUUCAAAUUGGGGCACCUUGAUGCAACAAUUAGUUCACCACUCCAUUCCACCACAAUGUUAUGCUCUUGUCUCCUCUCUUAUUUAUUUGAUAUGUAUACCUGCAUAAUGACUGAAGCAAACUGGCUUAUUUGCUAUAGCAAAGUGACCUGUGAUUGAGGAUGCCAUUAUAUGCGUGCACAAUGAGCUUGAGUUUCUAUUACAGUAAGAUUGAAUCAUGGCCUCAGAACUGGAAUUUAAGUUUGAAAUUCAAGCUGAACGCUUUUCGGUGCAUGUAUUUUAACUGAGGAUACUUAAUGGGUAUCUGUCAGACUCAUACUGCUGACGUUGAGGCUUUUCACAAAGUAAACUUGAUGUCGCGUAAGCAGAUCAUAUUUUUUUAAAUCCGGAGUUCUUUCUCAUUAUAUCCGCCGGAGUUCUUUGUAUUGUCUUAGAAUCCACCAAUUUUUUCCUUUGCAAUUUCUGUUUUUCAUCUGGAAUCCUCGACAAUCUAUCAGUCAUCUCUUAUUUAUGAUGUCAGCUAAAAUUUUCUCAUAAUCUUGUUGUGCUAAAAAGUAUUUUCUUAAAUAAAUAUUCUUGCUCCUCGAUGUUCUCUUAGCCGAUCAUAUUACCCCUUUCUAUCUUUACAAAGCAAAUGGAGGAUAGGCUAGUUUAAUUCUUCCAUACUAGGAACUAAUUUUGGUAUGGUUGACAUGAUGUGAAAUAUCCAAUUGUCAUUUCUCCUUUGCAAAUGCACUUCUGGAAGCAAUAUUCCUAAUAAUAUAGGUUAGUGCUUUGAAGAGCCCAUGCUGAUCUCAAUAAUUGGUUUUAGAUUUGAACGCCUGAAUAUCACCAGUAAUAUUUAGCUAGUUGCUUUGGUGUCUGAAGGUCCAAUUAGAAACCGACAUGGGAUGGGAUUACUGUAUUGGGCUUAAGACCUAAGACUAUCAGAACUUAUAUGGUGCAAAAGAUAAUAGGCACCAAGCUGACUGGUUUUCAUGACUCUUUUUUUUUUUAUACAGGCACUCCUUGCUGAUUUUGAAGUCUCUGAAGGCAUAUAUUCUCGAGCUCGCAUUGAAGAUACUGAUUCAGUCUGUCUAUGGCUGGGAGCAAAUGUUAUGUUGGAGUAUUCAUGUGAAGAGGUUGUACUCGAGUUUAAGCAAUGUCCCUUUCUCUCCAAUAAUGAUGUCAAGUAUCUUAUUUAUUGCAAAAAUUUAUGCUGCAGGCCACAACCCGUCUACAAAAGNNNNNNNNNNNNNNNNNNNNNNNNNNNNNNNNNNNNNNNNNNNNNNNNNNNNNNNNNNNNNNNNNNNNNNNNNNNNNNNNNNNNNNNNNNNNNNNNNNNNGUAAUGUUGGAUCCAUCAAUGUUUCGGCAUUUCACCUUGACUCUGUAUGUUAGUAAGAACCAAUUUAAAUUUGAAUUCGGGGGAGAAACAUGGGCCUGCCUGGGGUCCACUGAGGAAUACGCGUCAGCAGGAGUGUUUUUGGAUCAAGUGACUUAUUGCUGUAAUUUGGUUGGUCUCUUGUUGUCAGAUCUUGAAGAUUUCCAUUAUAUUAGAGCAAUGUAGGUACCGUCUGGGUAGAAAGUCCGUGCCAAGACAAUUUGUAUAUAUAUAUCACUAAAAUCAACUUUUUGCAACUUUUGAGUUUUUAAUGUAAGUACAUUACUAAGUCAAAUUUUCAAUUCGAGCCAAUACAGUAGUGCCAAGCCCUGAGUUCAACUCCUCUUAGAUAUUCGAUGUUGGAAACUCCCCUCAAAUCAUGGACUACUAAAAGUUUGGCUUGAGCUUCACCAAACUAGAAUCAAGAUAUUCAAGAUCAAGUUGACUUGAAACAAUCAAAUGAAAGAAUGGGCUUGAGCUCAAGCCCAUUAACUUCAAAUAUUAUACUCUACAUUUAUGUGAAUUAAGUAUACUACAAUUUGCAAAUGUCUUCCCCUCUAUUAUCGUGAUUAUCAAUUAUUUUCUGAACAAAAUAAUAGAAAUUGGAUUGGAAUUGUGAUUCUCUCAAGUUUGAUCUCGACUCGAUGAAAUUCUUGGUGUAACUCCAAUCUAAGCUCGACUCAAAACCAGACUAGUUGAUCUCAAUUAAUUAUUAAGUCAAGCUUCAAUUAGUCUAAGCUCGACUCGAAACUAGACCAAUCGAUUUCGACUAAUUAUUAAGUUGAGCUUGAAUUAGUCCUAAGUCGGACUCAACUUCAACCCUACUGCUAGGCUCGCAAGGUCCAAUACAUGUAUGAGGACUUUCAUGGGCCAAAUAGUAUUUCCGACGUUGAACUCGUCAUUAUGUAAUGCAAGCCCUUCCUUGGUAGGAGGGUCUCGCACAUCUCCCCGAAGUGUUAUGACCUCCGAAUGAACGCGAAUUUUUAGAGAAGUUGAUGGGAAAAAGUAUAUAUGAUCACAAUUCAAUGGAGGCAAUUAAAAGUCACAAUGGGACAAUUUUUUUUUUCCAUGUAGAAAGAAUGUAUAUUUAUUAUGUACACUAAUUAUUCCUCUAAUCAUGAAUAUACCAAGAUGAUGGAAUGCAAAAGGUCAUUAGUGAAUUUGGGGAAAUUUGCAGUCUAUUAAUGUUACAUCAUGCAUCACAAUCAAUCUAUGACUCUUGAAAGCAAAAGGUGACUUGGAGCCAAAUUCACAUUUCACAACUUUUUCAUGGCACAAGAUAAAAGAUUAGUAAGUGGAAUAAAGGCAAGUAUCAAUUGAUCAAGCAAAUUAGUGCGAAUAUGGAUUGAAUAUUAGAAGAUCUACUUUGUUGGGCUUAGCAAAAGCAAAAUGAAACUUCGGCUCCGGCUGAGGAAAAGCUAAUCCUCAUGAUUUUUUGUGGUUGAAUUCCUUCUGAAUUUAAUGAGCAAAACAAAAACAAUUGCGCGUGGUUUUAUAGUAAAAGUUCCACUGUGAAAGUAAGCAAUAAUUUUGCUACAAUGAUCUCAGGGUGAACAAUAUCUUGUCUGCCAGUAGUGGAAACCUGAUAGCAUAGUGUAAAUAAGCAAUAAUUUUUUAUAGUGAUUGGAUGGUGAACAGUAUUAUUGCACAUGUUGCUACAGUUUCUGGUGGCUAUCUUCUCUUGGUGAUUUUGUUCUUCUUCUAACAAGCCGACCCCACGGUAGUAAUCUUCUUUUGUAUCUCUGCUACGGUGUGAUUGGUAGGAGCUAGCUUUUCACAGUUGGUGGGCUCUUUAAUUUUGGAAAUGAUUUUCUCCUUUACUGAAACAUAUUCAUUUGGUGAUUGCGCAACAGCAAGGUAGGGCUACUGCAAGAGAUUUUUGUUGCAAGAAUGAUGCAUUUAAUGAUCCGUCUAAUGUCGUUUGUGAUCUUGUGGUGAUUUGGGCGUAACGGUUGUUUAACCAAUUAUGGACUGAUUCUUUAGAAGUUUGCAUCAUCAAAGAGUGCAUAUAGCAAAGUUUAUCCCUACUCCCGCAAUUCAUGCAUUCUUACCAUAAAAGCCUACAUUUAUUUCUCGAGUUACACACAUUUCCUUGAUGAGUGAUGACCAAGCCUCACCUGGCCACGGCAAAAAGUUGAUGGAGAAAUCUAUAUUGUAAAUAACUAAAUUCACCCAAUUUUCACUAAAAAGACAAAAUUGCUUCAAAUCAUUCAAUCGCAAUUUAAUUGAUAGCCCCAAAUUCAUAAAAUAAAUAAAUAAAUAAAUAGUUUUUCUAUUUCAAUGUAGGAUUUCGUUACCAUAAUUAAGAAUUUCACAUGUCUAGUUUUUCUUUAUAAUAGGUAUUUCAAUAUAUUUAAAACACCAUUUCUUUUUUCACUGUUAGAUUUGUCUUCCAUAAACUUUAGGAAAUUUCCAAGAAACCUAGUAUGUCAAGCAAAUUUAAGGAUGAAUCUAGAAAAAAUUAUUAUAUAAAUAAUUUUUUGACACAAACACUUGUUUACAAAUUUCAAUUUUGUUGUGCAUAUCACUAUCAAACUCCUUCUUUUAUCAUUUGACCAAAUAAAAUUCCCUCUUAUCAGUUCUCUUCUAUACAUACAUACAUACAUACAUACAUACAUACAUACAUACAUACAUACAUGCAUGCGUGGAAAUUUAUCUAAUCUUCUAUACAUACAUACAUACAUACACACACACAUAUAUAUAAUGGGAUGAUCGGAUAAAUCAAGAAGGACUAGCAAAGAUUUUGAACUUAUUUCAAAAUAAAGAUUCAAAAUGUUAGAUCAAAAUCUUGAAUUUAUCUGACAAAUUUAGAUAGAUUAUCAAAAGGGCCUUUAAAUUUUUGUUAUCAAUCAAGAAGGACCAACAAGUAUUUUAAUAGUGCAUUACAUUUCAAUACAAUACUUAUCACAUAUAAAAUUAUUGUUCAAUCUGAUCAAGGAUAAAUCCAUCAUGCCACUUAGUGUGACAUUGGAAUAAAUAUAAGGAGAUCUGCUUUUUGGGCUUAGCGAAAGUAGAAUGGAAUUCUAGCUCCAACUGACAAAAGCUAAUCCUUUUGAAUUGAAUGAGCAAAACAAAAGCAAUUGUGUGUGAUUGUACAGUAAAAGUUCUAUAGUGAAAGUAAGUAAUAAUUUUACUGCAAUAAUUUGAUGGUGAAUAGUAUCUUGUCUGCUAGUACCAGAGGCCCGCUGGCAUAGUGAAAGUAAGCAACAAUUCUAUUGUAGUGAUUGGACGGUGACCAGUAUUAUUGCACAUGCUGCUACAAUUUCUAGCGGGUAUCUUCCCUUGGUGAUUUUGUUCUUCUUCUAAUAGGUGGAUCCCAUUCCAGUCAUCUUCUUUUGCAUCUCCGUUACGAUGUGAUUGGUGGGAGCCAGCUUUUCACUGUUGGUGGACCCCUUAAUUUUAGAAAUGAUUUUCUUCAUUACUGUAACAUAUUCAUGCGAUAAUUGUGCAGCAGCAAUGUGGCUUGCUGCAAGAGAUUUUUGUUGCAAGAAUGAUGCAUUUGAUUAUCUGGCUAUUGUUGUUUGUGAUCUUGUGGUGAUUUGGGCAUUUCAGUUGUUUAACCAAUUCCUGAGUAAUUCUUCGGAAGUUUGUAUCUUCAAAGUUUAUUUCCCCUCCCGCAAUUUAUGCAUUCUUACCAUAAAGGCCUACAUUUAUUUAUUUCCCGGGUUACACACAUUUUCUUGAUGAGUCAUGAUGAUCAAGCCUCUCCUGGCUUACGGCAAAAAGUUGAUGGAGAAAUCCAUUUCAUGUAUAACUAAAUUCACCCAAUUUUCACUAAAAAGAUCAAAGUGCACAAAAUCAUUCAAUUGCAAUUUAAUUGGUAGCCCCAAAUUCAUUGACUUUUUAAAAAAAAAUUCUAUUUUAAUGUAGGAUUCAAUUACCAUAAUUAAAAAUUUCACAUGUCUAUUUUAAAAAAAUAAAUUAUUGUAGGUAUUUCAAAUAAAUUGAAAACACCAUUUCUUUUUCUCUGUUAGAUUUUUCUUCCAUAAAACAUAGUUUUGUUGCAAAAAGAAAUUUCUAAGAAUCCUAGUUCUUUUCAAUGUUGUCAAGCAAAUCUAAGGAUAAAUUGUCAGGUAGAAUCUAAAAAAAAAAUUUAUCAUAUAGAUUUUUUUAACACAAUCACUUGUUUACAAAUUUCCACUUUUGUUGUGCAUAUCACCAUCAAACACCUUAUCGUUUGACCAAAGAAAAUUCCUUCUUAUGGGUUCUCUUCCACCACACAUAAUUAGAUGAUCAGAUAAAGAAACCCUCUUUAGGGUUUGAAGAUUUUCCAAAAUAAGAUAACAAUUACAUUUUCCAAUGGAAAACUUUAAAGAUGAAAUUUAAUUAAAUUAAAAAUUUCACAAAAUAUAAUUUUUUUUUAAAGAUGUUGAUGACAUCUCAUUAUUUUGAAUUGACAAAAAUUAAUAUCAUUGACCAAGUAUGUAUGAAAAAAUAUCUUGAUGCUUCAUUAUGCACAACCGUUUUAGUAUAUUCCUAGAUAUUCCACAAUGCCUAACAUCUAUGUAAAAGCAUCUCGCUGAUAGUAAGGGUAAAAGGUAAGUUCUUUAAAGAGACUUGGUAUAUAUUUUAGACUAAUGAAAUUAAAAAAAAUAAAUAAUUCACCAAGAAAGUGAGCUUUUGAAAUAAGAGGGAGAAAGAAUAAAUUAGUUUUUAUUAGGGCAAUGAUGAGAAGAGACUUUCAAGGUUUUGACUAUAUCAAAUAAUUUGUGUUUUUUUUUUCUUACUAGUGGCCUUUAUAAGGAGCAUGUAAUACAUUAUAGUAAUAUUUUAAGGAUACACUAAAAAAAAAUUCUUUAGUACACUAAGAAGAAUAAAACGCGUGGAAUGUGUAAUUAUGGUAACUAGAAAACGUAGGAAAAGAAAUAAUGUGAUUGUCACUCUAAAUUGCAAUUGAAUGAUUGAAGGCAGUUUAGUCUUUUUAGUGUAAAUGUGGUGGAUUCGAUCUAGCGCUAUCCAGAAUUUAAUGGGGAAAUUAAAGUUACAAUGAGAUAAUACUUUCUUUUCCAUAUAGAAAGAAUGUUAGCUCUUAUGCACACUGUUUAUUCCUUCAUCAUGAAUAUACCAAGAUGGUAAAGUGCAGAGGUCAUCAGUGGAUUUAGAAAAAUUCCGUGUGAUUUCACCAACAAUUGGCUUUUAACGGUGUAUCACACGUUAUGGUGGAUCUACGACUCUCGAGGGCGGAAAGCGACUCUGUGCUGAUUUGACAUUCACAAUUUUGCAAUGACAAGAAAAAGGGUAGUCAAUGGAACAAAGGCAACAUUGAUCAUUUGGCUUAGCAAAAGCAUAAUGGAAGCUUGGCUCCGACCGAGAAAAGCUAACCCUUUUUAAGUUAUGGAGUAGAACAAAAGCAAUUACAAUAUGCCUUUUUCUAGACUAGAAAUCGAGGACGAGAUUUGUCACCAAAAACAAAACGGACAAAAGGAUUAAAGGGCAUCCAUCAUGCUUCCUCAGAGGUCACGCCAAAUCGUCUGUUUAUGGAGCCAGACCACUUCAUCAUCUUAUGUUAUUAAUAUUCUAUAUAUGUCUAGAAGGAUAAAAGCAUUAAGACAAGCGGCUAGAUUGGGAUCCCAUGAUUUGUGCAACGAUUGAAAUGCAUAAUUUAAAUUAAGAUACAAAUAUGUGAUAACAAAAAUCAGAUGCAAUUCUAAAUGAUUUGUGAGCGUAUUCCCUCACUUUUUGUUUCUCAAAUUUAGGCGCCUGUAUGAGUAGCUUAAUUUUUACGUGAAAUUAAUCGUCAAUUUUGAUAAAACAUUUUAAAUUUCGGUGUGCUCGUAUGUGAAGUGAGUCUCUAUACAAUCGCAUAAUAUUGGAUUUCAAACUUGGUGCCCACCUUAAAAAGGACAUAAUAACAUGUAGGACAUGAUCACAUUUUGUGUAUGUGCCUGUGUGAAUAAUCUGCGGAAAUAGAGAGUAAAUCUAGACCGCAUUCAAUGGAACUAGAGAAAGGUUCAACGCCUUCGAUUCAUUAGAGACGCCAUCAUCGAUUAUUAGCAAAAAGUAGUUGAUUUAACCAUGUUUAACCAUGAUUAAGUUAAAAUUUUGGGCUUGGCACUUAUAAGAAAGAAAAUUUUGCUCACAAAAAUUGAAAAAAUGAAGUAAAACCCUUUGGUCGUUACUUGGAUGUUUCUACGAUCUUUCCAAAAAGCAUUCUAGGAGGGCCUGCAAUUGUUAAAUCACAAAAUAAUGGAUCUCCACUAUGAAAACAAAGCUUUUUCAAGAUUUUACAAAUUGCUACGGUUUGCAUUAUUACGUGUAUCGAUCCAUCGACUAAUCAUAAAAUGGAAAUAGUUGCACGGAUCAUGGUUUGCAGACCAAAUGUGAUCACAUCCAUUGAUGUUUAGGUGAUCCAUGUAUAAUUUAUGUGAUAAUGAUUUUUUGAUGGACCCGAUAUAUGUGGAUCAGAGUACUGGCAAGUCUUAACCCAAUGAAGUCUAUAUGAGUUGGGAGAGAGAGUGAACUCCCUUAAGAAACAAAGAUGAACUUAAGUUCUCUUUGCUUAAAAUAAAUGCGAGUCUAUCCUCAAGUCUUUGUCAUACCCUCUUGUGAAAUCACUCUUGUGAACGCAAAAGCAAAAGCACUUAAGUAUGUUUGUCUGGUCAAUUCUUUGUCAGAUCCUCUUGUGUAAGCAAAAGCACUGAAGUAUGUCUGUCUAGUUAAUUCGUUUGCACAUAGCCAAAUUCCACAGGCUUGUUUGUUCGUGUGUUCACACACGCACAACGUGUUUUGCAAUUUGAGGACCAGGACCUGGAAAAUACCAAGAAACUCAGGUUGAUAUCAUCAAAAAGCAUAAAGACCCUCAUUCAAGAUUAAAAAUGUUUCGAAAAUCUCAACUUUGUUGAUCUCCUUGUGGAGGAGGAAUUGUAUUUUCUUCACAAUUUCCACAAAAGAAUCAGCUAAAGUCUCCCGCUUAGCUCCCUUUUAGCUUGACAAAAGGGAUCUAUUUUGUACACGUAUUUUGCAAAGUGAAACUCAAAUUGCAUAAAAGAUUAACAUUAGCAUGGACCUAAAAUUAAAGAAUAUAGAAAACUUUAACCAAUAUCUUUCAAUUUUAUGAACCAUUAGGUGAAAUCGAAGUACAUAGACUUUGAAGAAGGUCAGCCAACUAAAAUUGCCCAAUCUGUUAUGUAGAGUUAAACUGAAGCUAAGAGACCGGUCACUCCUAUAUUGUUCAUGAGACACAUCUCUAUAGCUCUGUACUUAUGACGUGACAUGACGCUUGGCAUUGUGUUGCCAUGUAGCUCAAUGACCUUACAAAUUAUUUACAUAUCAUCCUGUGCAAUGUGUUAUUUUCCAGUGCUAUUUAUAGAUAAAGUCAACAUUUAACAUCUUCAAAUACGAAAAAAAAAGAUUUUAUCUAGAGGUAGGCUUAGGCAAAACAAUUAAUUUAAACUUAGCCGAAAUAAUUGAAUUAAACAACAAAUAGUAUAGAAAUGUGUCUUAUAAAUAAGUAGUACAUAUUGCAGUAAUUGUCUUCUUCCACGGAGCAUCGACAUUUUUUCUUCGAAAAACUCGAAAAAUAAUGUUACCCAUAUUUUACCUAAAUUUGACCGAAUUUGGUCAAGCAUAACUUUUUCGUAUAAGGUACAAUUGAAUCGAUUUUUCCCCCAUGGAAAGCUGGUGACUUCAAUUUAGCUAAAACGCGGUUGACCUCAGAUUGCGGAUUUUGGGCGGUCAGGCCAGUUUGAACUUGGCAAAAAGUUCUGAUGUUUUUGUCAUAAAAAUUCCGAUCUUUGUGAUUUUGAUGGUGUUGGAAAUCAUAAAGUUUCCGACACCUCAAGAUCGUACAGCCGUGCUUAGAAAAACUUGAUAUAUUGAGAUCUGGCUGUCCGAAUUGGGCAGAUUGGGUAUCUUUAGAAAGCUUUUGACAAGCACACCUGAUUACAACCUUCGACUGAACUUUUAAUGAAGUUUGACUCUCGGUCAACUUUGCUAUGGCACUGAAAGGUCGCUUGAGUCUUUAGGGACCUUUCGAAUGUGUUCAAUGAUGACAAGUGAUUAUUUGUCGAGCAAUCCAGCUUUGCCAUUUCUGUUCCUUAUUCGAUGGAGUUAGCCAACAAAUAGGGUGACCCUUUUUUCGGUCCAUUCGUUAUUGCCGAAAUAAAAUUUUCUGGAGUUCUACAAAGACAUUCGACUUGUUCUUUUAAUCUGUACUGUGUUGGAUCCAAAAUUGAAUAUGAACGAGUUCGGAGUUCUGCUUCCGAUAUAUUAUGAAAACUUUGGCCUAGAUGAAUUGUGAGAUAUAGAACAAAUCUUGGUGAUGGUGAGGACUUAGCUACAUAAUCUAUGGAUCAAUGCAAUCACAUCCAUUGAUUUUUGUAAUUUAUAUAGCUAAUGGAUUUGAUAGACCCAAUUUAUGGGGACUUGAGAACUAGCAAGUCUAAUCUAGUGAAGCCCAUUUGAGUUAGGAGAGAAGAUGAACUUCCUUAAGAAACAAAUUUUUUUUUUUUGAUCAACUAAGAAACAAAAUUGAACCUGCCAUUUUUCUUUGCUUAUAUUGUACAGAAGUCAAUCUUGAAGUCUUUGUCCGACCCUCUAGUGUGAAGGCAAAAGAUAAAGCACAGAAGUAUGUUUUGUCUAGUUAAUUCGCUCGUUAUGCACUGGUCUACGCAUUGCCAAAUUGCACGGCAAAUAGGCUCGUAAUUCGUGUGUUCACACGAGUACACACAAAGAUGUCAAUACUUACAAGUUCCGUUUGGAGAUUGGCAACCGACUUGGAAGAUCGGCAAAGAGCAUUUUGAAAUUUUAGGCCCUGAAAAAUACCGGGAAACUGCGGUUGAUAUUAUCAAAAAAUCAUAAAAGUCAAACUUUCGAGAAUAAAAUGUUUGAAGAAUCUCAACUUUAUUGGAAUUAUUGUGAAGGAGGGACCACAUUUUCUUGGAAAUUUCCAUAAGAGAUCAACGUCCAAUUAAGCGAUAUGAGUCCAAUGCUAAAUCAACCAAAAACAAAUGAUAGAGACGAAUCAAAUCCUGACAGAAUCAACAUUUGAUUUAAAUAUCAGCGUGCAAUUUUAUUUGGUGUACAAUUUCAAUCCGCGAGCAAUUUUAUUUUGUUACCGUCCAAUCUAACAUCGAAGUGCAAUCAUAACUUGUAAUAAUGGUCAAUAUUCAGGUUCAUGUAACUUUAUUGCUAAAGUGACUAAUUACGAGUAUGAAUGGCUUUUUGGGUUUUUUUAUUUACGAAGGAAGGCUGCAGGUGGCUUCCAGGCAAACGACACGUAGUACCAAAGCAAUGGCAAGUGAAACUCAUUUUCAGUUGUCCAGCUACAUCCAACAUUCAACCAUUCAUUAACACACAACUUAUACUUCCGAGACCACCCCCUCCUCUUCGACCACUUCUAUCAAUUAUUUACUCAACUUAGCCUGAAUGCUUUUGUUUGCUUAUAGAGGAAAGCCGCAGGUGAUUUCCCAGGAAACGCAGUGGAAGUGAGCGAUUUCACUCCUUUGCUUCGUCAAGUUGUUGCAAGGAUCAGGCUCAAACUUCCCGAGUUACCGGGCGGACUCAAUUCAGGGAUCAAUCACUCCAUCGUCCUCUCAGAAUGAAGAGAAAGCGGGAGGGAGAAGGGGCGGCUCUGACAGCUUCAGCAAGUAGUAGCUGUGAUGAUGGAUCAAGGAAGGUUUAUGAGGUGUUCUUGAACUUCAGAGGACCUGACACCCGCUUAACCAUCGUUGAUUGUCUUUACAAUGACUUGAUCUGUGCGGGGAUCCGCGCUUUUAAAGACGAUGAAGAGCUCCGAUUUGGCAAAAAGAUUGAAGGCGGCCUCUUGCAAGCAAUCAAUGACUCCAGAAUUUACAUCCCGAUUUUCUCCAAAGAUUAUGCUUCAAGUAAGUGGUGCCUCCGUGAGCUGGCACUCAUAGUGGAGUUAUCGAGAGAUAAUGAUGAGAAAGUGAUCCUCCCUAUCUUCUACGAUGUGGAUGUGGACGAUGUCAAGCUUAAGACCAAUUUAUAUAAAGGAUGCCUCCCAAAAGCACAAGAAUGACUCUGGGGAAGAUUUAACAAAGCAGUGGGAGGAGGCUUUAAGAGAUGUUACCAGAAUUAGUGGAAAGAAACUAAAAGAUUACGGGUAUGGUUUGCUUCUCCAUUGACUUUAUUUUCUUAUUCACAAUUUCAAUUUCUUAUUCCUUCAUAGAAUAGUUAGAUUCAGUUUGCUGCUGUCCAAACUUAUGUAAUGUUUGGUUGGAUUUGACGCAAUGAUCUGUCAUUUUUUAAACCAAGUUUGCUCAGAGGGCAAGGUUUCUUGCACAAAUUGACUUUUCAUUUUUAAAACCAACUUUUGAUAACAAUUAAUGUUAAGGUGUAUCAACUUGAUUAAUUAAUAUAUAACGGAAAAAAAAAAAAAACCAAGAUAUCCAUAAACAUCUAAGAUGUGUUAAUAUAGUAUGACUAUAUAUGUGUGAAAAAUAAAAAUAUUUAAGUUUCUUAACUUCAAUUGCAUUUUGUACAUAAAGUUAAAGACCUGUUACAAUUUUCUUGACCUUAUGCCUAUGAUGUUUGCCUGAAAAAUUAGAUCGAGUUUAGUAUUAUAUCUUCUUUCCUUUUGUUAUACUAAUGAAAGCUGAGGAAGAAUUGGCCCAAAAUAGGAGAGCUCAGUAAGGAGCUUCUUUAUGCGUCCGAGCUAAUAAUGGUUAUAGUUAGUUCAUACUUGUUAGUGUAUGAUGUACCCGAGGGAGACGAAAAAAUGCGCAGGAAACAUAGAGGAAGUCUUUGGGAUACUUUUCUAAAACUUAACAGCGAAGAGGAAGAAAUGAUAGAGCUGACCCCCUUUGGGAUUGACCCAGUGACUCUGGGAAGGAUAUGGCAAAGUAGUGGGAGGAGGCUUUAAGAGAGUUUGAUAGAAUAAAGGACGGAAUCUAAAAGAUUACGGUAUUAUUAGCUUCUUCCAUUAAGUUUAUUUCCAUUUCAUCAAUUUCGAGAUUAUAUUUUAUGAUACUUUUUCCAAAAUAAGAACUUUCAGUUUGGCGCUGUCCAAUCUUAUGUGAUGUAUGGUUGGAUCAGCCGGAGUGAGGGAGGCAGGAAUUUUGCUCUGCGAGCAAGGUUUCUUGCACAAAUUGACUUUUCACUUUUUAUCCCAAGUUUUGGCAACAAAUAGUCUCAAGCUAUAUCAACUUAAUUAAUUAAUUAAUCAAUAAUGCAAAAAAAAUAUUUUUAUGAAAAUCUAAGAGUUGAUGAAAUAGUAACAUAUGUGUGAAAAGUAAAAAUUUAAAUCUCUUAACUUCGCAGCUCACUUUUCAGCUAGCAAAAUGCUUUUAAAAAACUUUGGUCGUUUCUCUUGCUUUGACCAAUUCACGGCCCCAAAUUGGGUACCACAGGGUGCGGAUUUCCUCAGCCUCGUGACCAUCCUAGUUUUAAAGUUGUCAAGUUUUAUAUGAAGCUACCAACCUUAAUUUGUGUCUUACCAACUACUUUUCGAUUAUUUUACAAACUAAUUUAAGGUGACCGGUGUUUAUUUGAGUCAUUUACUAAAUUUAUUUGAUAGUUUGCCGAUUUACAAAUUUUAUAAAACCUGCCCUCUCUUAUUUGAAUUGUUUACUUCACAUUUCAAGAUUACCAAUACUUGAAGCAAAUUACUAACUCAAAUAUGAGUUUCCUACUAGCUAACCUCUGAUUAAGUUAGUGACUAAUUUAAGUCACCCAUUCCUAUGUGAGCCACUUAUCAAUGUUUAUUUAUUUGUUGAAAAUUCCCGCCUUUCGUAACAAACUUUUGUUAUCAACGGACCCGCUUUGAUUAGCAUAGUUCACAAAUAUUCUGAGGUUAGGAACUCGAUUAUCAAAAUACCAAGCAUAGUUUGAGUUACCAACUUAUUCUGAUUAAAUUACCAACAAAUUUAAUGCCACUGAUGAAAUUGCUAAGUUAAACCAGUUGGUAGCUUAUUCGGAAAAAUGAUUGUUGGCAACUCAAAUGAAGGCUAAUAAAUACUCUGAAAGUGUUCCUCAUUUUCGGUUGGUACCCUAUUACUCGGGUAUAUUAAGAAAAACGCUUUUGAGCUUUUAUUCUUGUUUCCUAAAUUCCAGGUAACUGCAUGGUGAGAAAAUCUUUUUCUUUUAUGUCAAUCUUCAAACUCAUCCUUAGUGGCUGAAGAGAUAAAAAAGACCGGAUUCACCGAGGAAUUCCGGUCAAAGCCCAAUUAGACCUUCGUCAUGAAAUAAGCUUUUUCCUACCAUUUACUGGACCAAAGAAUCCUGACAGUAGCAGGUUUCAUUUUUCUUUCUUUUUUUUUUUCCCUUUUUGGGCAAACGGCUCGCAGCAUGAAUGAUCACUCAUUUCAUGCUGGUUGCUUUCAAAGUCAAUUACUUUGAAUUUGAUGAUAACCUUCUAGUGACACGUUAUGCAGGCAUAGAUUCCAUAUGUGAUUUUUUUUUUAUCUGCGAUGAUUGCAUGUUAUGUAUGUGGCAGCCUAUCUGAACUUACAAAACUCAUGGUGCAAGAGGUUUCAAAUUUGCUAUGGACAAGACGGACGGACAUGUCUAAUCAUUUGGUGGGAAUUAAGGAUCGAAUGGAUCACAUCAUGAAGCUAUUAGAUGUAGGAGCUUUUGAUGUACGGUUUAUUGUGAUUCAUGGUAUGGGUGGCAUCGGAAAAACGACACUAGCCGAGGCCGUCUUUAGGCAAAUCUACCCUCAAUUUCGGGAUUAUUGCUGUUUUCUUAAAGAUGUUCGAACUCAUGAUAUAAUAGACUUACAAAAGAAAUUGUUGUUCGAUAUUCUCAAUCUUAGUUACACAAACUCCUUCAUUGAUGAGGUGAUCAAGACAAGGUUUCUUGGCAAGAAAGUUCUCAUUGUUCUUGACGACAUCAACAAUCGAGACCAAAUCAUGAGACUUGCUGGUGAGCCCAACUGGUUUGGUGGGGGUAGUAGAAUCAUCAUAACAACUAGGAAUAUUGAAUACCUAGUAAAGGAAGGUGAGGAUGACAAUGUCCUAACCUCUAUUAGUAGACAAUUUUCAUUCUACAACAUGCCGGAGAUGAAUUUGCAUGAUGCUCUUCAACUUUUCUGUGAGCGUGCCUUGGGAUGUGCCGAGCCUCCACCUGGUUAUGUGGAUAUCACAAAAGAGCUAAUCAAUACACUUGGAGGACUUCCAUUGGCUCUCGAUGUUGUAGGUUCGACGCUCCGUGGAAAAUGCCGAAGAACAUGGGAAGAUGCCCUAUGUAAGUUAAAGAUGGUGAUGAAUGAGGAUGUCAAAAAGAAGUUGAUGAUAAGCUACGAAGCAUUGGAACCUAAUCAACAACAAAUUUAUCUUGAUAUCGCAUGUUUCUUCAUCAACGAAGAGAGAACAACUGUAGUUAAAUAUUGGGACUCGAUUUUUGGUUAUCCGACUGAAAUCGAGGUCAAUAUCCUCAAACGUAUGUCUCUAAUAAAAAUAUCCUACAAUAAUAAACUAUGGAUGCACGACCAACUUAGAGACCUUGGAAGGAGUAUCAUCCAUCCAGAAAGUGGCAAAAUCCAUAUGAAGGGUAGCAGAUUGUGGUCUCCCAAAGAUGCCUUCCGUGUAGUGCAGACAGAAAUGGUAAUCUUUACCUCUAAAUGUUUUCCAGUGCAUCCAUUAGCAUCACCACCUUUUUAUCUAAUUUCAAGUCAAAGUGACAUAUGUACUCAUUGAUUUCUACUUUUGUUUUCUAGGGAACCAAAGACAUAGUGGCACUCAAUCUUGGUACACCUAGCUUGAAUAAGACGUACAGAUUUAAGCGCAAGCAAUUUAUGGGCUUGGUCAACCUUAGGUUCCUUCAAUUGGACCAUGGAAAUUUUGAAGGAGACUUUAAGAAUGUUUUCUUCGAGUUGAGAUGGCUCUCUUGGAGCAAUUGCCCUUCAAAAUUCCGAGCUACCAAUUUUGGGUUGAAGUACCUAACCAUUCUCAUGCUAUCUGGGAAUAACGUUACUGAAGAUUGGGGAGGAUGGUGUCAAAUCAUGGUAUGAUCUCACAACAUACUUUUGCAUUACAUUUACUCUUUUACUCUUCCUCUUUUCUGAGUUUCAAACAAUUACUUUAUAGUUGGCAGAACAAUUGAAAAUCCUACAGCUCAAGGACUGUCCAUUCCUUAGAAAGAUGCCCAAGUUCUCCACAUUCUCACAGCUGGAGAAAUUGAUUCUUAGAUGCGUUGGACUAAGAAAGAUUGACAAGUCCAUCAGCAAUCUACAACAUCUUGAUUACCUAGAGAUAAAGAGUGAAGCUAUUGAGUCGCCACUAGAGUCCAUCGGCGGUCUAAAAUCUUUGACAGUGCUAAGAAUAGAACAAACACCCUCAAUGAAGUCUCUAAUCUUGCCAUGCAAGGAACUUCAAAAGCUUCCCGACUCUAUCGGACAAUUGGAGUCACUGCUUGAGCUAGAUGGCCAAUAUUUAAAAAUUAGUGAACCACCUCAUUCUAUUGGAAAUCUUGAAAGGUUGAAAGUUUUACGCGUUUGGAAUUCCUAUCUAGAAAAGCUACCAGACUCGAUUAGGAGGCUCCAAUCAUUGGUCAAGUUGGAUUUGAGCUAUUCAAGAAUCAGGAGUUUACCUGAUUGUAUUGGAAAUCUCAAAAAGUUGAAGGUACUAAAUCUCAAUGAUAGUUGCAUAAGUGAACUUCCGAAAACCAUAGGAAUGUUGGAAAAUCUAAAAGAGUUACAUGCCUGCUCUAAACAUCCGGUGGGGGAAAUUCCAAGUGAAAUCGGGGCACUAUCCUAAUUGAAAUAUCUACUCUUAGGCGACGGUUGCUUUAGUGGAUUGCCUACAACGAUCAAUCAACUUACAAAUCUCCAGCUACUUUAUUUACAGGACUGUAAUUCAAUCCAACAGCUGCCGGAGCUUCCCAAGAGUCUAACGUCUUUAACCCUUACAUCGGAUUCACUGACCAUGAUCCCCGACUGCUCAAACCUAACCAAUUUAGUUGACCUUAUGAUAAUUGGAUAUUCAAUUGAAGAACCCAACACAGAGGGGAUCGUGAGACUACCUGCUCUGAAACGAAUGGUCCUACGCGUUGGAAAAAUGGCCUUGCCUCCGACCAAUUUCAGUUCCCUCUCUCAACUACGAAGCCUCAGCAUAAAUUAUGCUAAGCACCAAUCCCUUAUCGGGCUCCCAUCCAGCCUUCCAUAUUUGUCGUUAUGCGAUGUCCUGUCACCGAUAGAUUAGUCAGUCUUUUCCAACUUGGAGAAUUUGUUGAUGCUGUAUAUUUAUGGAUAUUUGCUGAAAGAGAUUCGAUUCGAGGUGCUUGGAGAGCUACGGAAAUUCAAUAAAUUGAGGAUGUCCGACUGUCCAUUGCUCAAGACGCUGCCCGUUUUGCCUGGUCUGAAGGAGAUCCAGUGUUUGUUCCUGGUGUGAUUGCCUCUGCUAACUGAGAUUCAGGGUUUAGGAGAAUUGAAAUCAUUGCAGGAUUUGGAUAUUUCGGAAUGCAAUUCCAUCAAAAGCUUGAAUGAGUCUGAUCUUUCUAAUCUACGGAAUCUGAAAAGUUUGAGGUUUUGGCGAUGUGAAUCAUUGGAGAGGGUGCUGGGUGUGCCAAAAUCUUGUCGACUCAAGGUCGAUUGUUGCCCGAGGUUCAAUAGAGAUGGAUAAGAUAUGUAUCAUUUGAUUGACAAAGAUAGUAGAUGAUGGUAAGUCAAUAGAACUAGAGUUCGUUUUUUGUUGUCUUGUUUUGUGAGCUUUCCUUUAGCUAACCUUUCAUCUUGGUUCUAGAACCACCUCUUGCAUUCGUUCAUCCUGUUGUCUCUGAGGGAAAAUCCUCUUUCAUGUAGCAUGAACGUGUGAUACUUUGACUUGCCUACUUGACGAUGGUGAUACCUAGCUGGUUUACGUUGCGCACCAGCAUAAUGUUGGGAUUGACAUGCUUCACGGCACCUGUUUUGUUUAGAAAAUAUGGAUAAAGUGGAAGGGAACUUUUAGAUAGUAAGCACACUAAAGAUGCUGACAAAUGCUGGGUUUUGUUGUAAGGCUGAGGUGGUUGAGACUUGAGAGUACUGGUCUCAUCUUAUGGACUGUUUUUUUUUUUUAAAUUAGUAGAGAACAAUCAUGAUUUAUGAGGACUGAAAUAAAGGAAUUAUUGCUUGGUUAGCAGAAGAGUGAAUCGUUGAUACCUAUUAUGCAAUAUGAGUGAUUUAGUUAUUUCCUUCACGAAGAAUUGGAGGUGUUUUUCUGGUUACUUCUGAGCUGAAGUGGAGAAGCUUCAAGUCUUGAGUCACGGUGUGAUUUGUGAACUAUCUUUCUUCAUUCUAGUAUUUAGCCAUUUAUGCGUGAAAUUCGUGCUCCGAGACAAUUGAUAUUAGAGUAAAGUUGUCUCUAUGGUAAAACCACUAUUUCUUUCAAGACUAGGUUUAGCUGCAUCGAGUUGUGCAUUUUGCAAUUUCUGGUGUUAGGAAAGAGGACCUUCGUGUCAUUGAAGACUAGAUUUUGUUAAUUAUUUUAGCUGACUUAUUGCACCUUUCCUCAUCUCUCUCUUUUUUUGUGCUUAUAAUGUGGUUAUUGUUAACUUUUUAAAUAAACAUGUUUGAUCUAUGUGUCUAUCAUUUUUACAUUUGCUGAUAAAACGUUUUUGCGCAAGCUCCUUCGACACCAUGGUGAAAUGUUCUUUUACAUGGACAUCUAGGCUUUGGCAAGACAUAUUGUUGAUGCUACAACAACAACUUCUUCUCUUCAAUCCAUAUUAGUAAAAAGGCGAGCUGUGGAUAAGUGCAUCGGUACUUUGUAGCAAGCUGUAAGAGUCUUCUUUUCAACUAUACGAAUGUUUAUUGAGUUCCAUUAUGCAAUCUUCUAUUGAACUCUGUUAUUUCCAUACGUUUCACAAUUUUGUGCUUUCUUCUUUUGCUUUUGUCUGCACUUAAUAGAGGUCCCUUCAUCUAUGCCAGCAGUCAAAAUAGGAUAACUACUAGCAAAAAUGAGGAUCCUACCUUUACAGCCAAGAUGUUCUAAUUGUAUUAUUUUAAACAACAGCAAUGAGGAUUCUCCCAUAACCAAUGAAGAGCCAUGUUAAAAUGGUUCUUGAGUUUUCUCACGCAUGAAUGAGAGAAUCCUCUAUGAAGAUUUGAGAAAGAUUAAGAUGUAAGAUAUUUGAAGUUUUCCUCUACUAGAAAUUUGAAAUUUGUGAUCAAAUGUCUACUAGAUCAUCUGUUCUGCACAUUGACAGCAUUGAUUUUGUGAACAAACUAGAGAAUUUUUGAAUAUUUGAGAGUAAUGGCAAUUUUAAAAUUACAGGUCUAGAUAUAUUCUCAGAGGCAGCAUCUGUAGUACCUUGCUUCUCUUUUUUCAUGAAUUUGAUUCCAUUGUGCUGAAGAGGGGGCAUGAUAAUACGGGGUCACUGACCAUGCCAUCAAUCAGUUAGUUUCUUGCAUUCAAUGACACUUAUAAAGUGGUCGUGUGAAAUAUAGUUGAUGGCAUGACUCACUAAUAGUUUGUCAUUCAUUGGUGCAGUUUUUUUACUGAAUCGGAUGAUGUUGAAGGAGACUUUAAGCGCAAGCAAUUUAUGGGCUUGGUCAACCUUAGGUUCCUUCAAUUGGACCAUGGAAAUUUUGAAGGAGACUUUAAGAAUGUUUUCUUUAAUUUGAGAUGGCUCUCUUGGAGCAAUUGCCCUUCAAAAUUUCGAGCUAGCAACUUUGGGUUGAAGAACUUAACAAUUCUCAUGUUAUCUGGGAAUAACGUUACUAAAGAUUGGGGAAGAUGGUGUCAAAUCAUGGUAUGAUCUCAUUACAUCCUUUUGUAUUAUAUUUACUCUUCCUCUUUUUUGAGUGUCUACUCAAUUACUUUAUAGGUAGUAGAACAAUUGAAAAUCCUACAGCUCAAGGAUUGUCCAUUCCUUAGAAGGACGCCCAAGUUCUUUGCAAUCUCGCAAUUGGAGAAAUUGAUUCUUAGAUGCGGUCGACUAAGAAAGAUUGACAAGUCCAUUGGCAAUCUACAACAUCUUGAUUACCUAGAGAUAAAGAGUGAAGUUAUUGAGUCGCCACCGGAGUCCAUCGACGGUCUAAAAUCUUUGAUAGUGCUAAGAAUAUAACAAACACCCUCAAUGAAGCCUCACUCGAUUGGCAAUUUAGCAAAGGUGAAGUCUCUAAUCUUGCCAUGCAAGGAACUUCAAAAGCUUCCCGACUCUAUCGGACAAUUGGAGUCACUACUUAAGCUAGAUGUCCAAUAUUUAAAAAUUAGUGAAUUGCCUCAUUCUAUUGGAAAUCUUGAAAGGUUGAAAAUUUUACGCAUUUGGAAUUCCUAUCUAGAAAAUUUACUAGACUCGAUUAGGAGGCUCCAAUCAUUGGUCAAGUUGGAUUUGAGCGAUUCAAGAAUCGGGAGCUUACCUGAUUGUAUUGGAAAUCUCAAAAAGUUGAAGAUACUAAAUCUCAAUUAUAGUUGCAUAAGUGAACUUCCGAAAACCAUAGGAAUGUUGGAAAAUCUAGAAGAGUUAGAUGCCUACUCUGAACAUCUAGUGGGGGAAAUUCCAAGUGAAAUCGGGGCACUAUCCUCAUUGAAAUAUCUAUACUUAGGCAACGGUCGCUUUAGUGGAUUGCCCACAAUGAUCAAUCAACUUACAAAUCUCCAGCGACUUUAUUUAUAGGACCGUAAUUCAAUCCAACAGCUGCCAAAGCUUCCCAAGAGUCUAAUGUUUUUAACCCUUACAUCGGAUUCACUGACCACGAUCCCCGACUGCUCAAACCUAACCAAUUUAGUUGACCUUACGAUAAUUGGAUAUUCAAUUGAAGAACCCAACACAGAGGGGAUCGUGAGACUACCUGCUUUGAAACGAAUGGUCCUACGCGUUGGAAAAAUGGCCUUGCCUCCGACCAAUUUCAGUUCCCUCUCUCAACUACGAAGCCUCAGCAUAAAUUAUGUUGAGCCCCAAUCUCUUAUCGGGCUCCCAUCCAGCCUUCAAGAUUUGUGGUUAUGCGAUGUCCAGUCACCGAUAGAUUGGUCAGUCUUUUCCAACUUGGAGAAUUUGUCGACGCUGUCUAUUAAUGAAUAUUCGCUGAGAGAGAUUCGAUUCGAGGUGCUUGGAGAGCUACGGAAAUUCAAUGAAUUGUGGAUGUCCGACUGUCCAUUGCUCAAGACGCUGCCCGUUCUGCCUGGUUUGAAAGAGAUCUAGUGUUUGUCCCUGGAUCGAUUGCCUUAGCUAACAGAGAUUCAGGGUUUGGGAGAAUUGAAAUCAUUGCAGGAUUUGUGUAUUUGAAAAUGCAAUUCCAUCAAAAGCUUAAACGAGUCUGAUCUUUCUAAUCUACAAAAUCUGAAAAGUUUGAGGUUUUGGCGAUGUGAAUCAUUGGAGAGGGUGCUGGGUGUGCCAAAAUCUUGUCGACUCAAGGUCGAUUAUUGCCCGAGGUUCAAUAGAGAUGGAUAAGAUAUGUAUCAUUUGAUUGGCAAAGAUAGUCGAUGAUGGUAAGUCAAUAGAAUUAGAGUUCGUUUUUUGUUGUGUCAUGUUUUGUAAGUUUUCCUUCAGCUAACCUUUCGUCUUGGUUCUAGAACCACCUCUUGCAUUCGUUCAUCCUGUUGUCUUUGAGGAAAAAUCCUCUUUCAUGUGAACGUGUGAUACUUUGACUUGCCUACUUGACGAUGGUGAUACCUAGCUAUUUUACGUUGCACGCCAGCAUAACGUUGGGAUUGACAUGCUUCACGGCACCUGUUUUGUUUAGAAAAUAUGGAUAAAGUGGAAGGGAACUUUUAGAUAGUAAGCACACUAAAGAUGCUGACAAAUGCCGGGUUUUGUUGUAAGGCUGAGGUGGUUGAGACUUGAGAGUACUGGUCUCAUCUUAUGGAGUGUUUUUUUUAAAUUAGUAGAGAACAAUCAUGAUUUAUGAGGACUGAAAUAAAGGAAUUAUUGCUUGGUUAGCAGAAGAGUGAAUCGUUGAUACCUAUUAUGCAAUAUGAGUGAUUUAGUUAUUUCCUUCACGAAGAAUUGGAGGUGUUUUUUUGGUUACUUUUGAGCUGAAGUGGAGAAGCUUCAAGUCUUGAGUCACGGUGUGAUUUGUGAACUAUCUUUCUUCAUUCUAGUAUUUAGCCAUUUAUGCGUGAAAUUCGUGCUACGAGACAAUUGAUAUUGGAGCAAAGUUGUCUCUAUGGUAAAACCACUAUUUCUUUCAAGACUAGGUUUAGCUGCAUCGAGUUGUGCAUUUUGCAAUUUCUGGUGUUAGGAAAGAGGACCUUCGUGUCAUUGAAGACUAGAUUUUGUUAAUUUUUUUAGCUGACUCAUUGCACCUUUCCUCAUCUCUCUUUUUUUGUGCUUAUAAUGUGGUUACUGUUAACUUGUUAAAUAAACAUGUUUGAUCUAUGUGUCUAUCAUUUUUACAUUUGCUGAUAAAACGUUUUUGCGCAAGCUCCUCCAGGACCAUGGUGAAAUGUUCUUUUACAUGGACAUCUAGGCUUUGGCAAGACAUAUUGUUGGUGCUACAACAACGACUUGUUCUCUUGAAUCCAUAUUAGUAAAAGGGUGAGCUAUGGAUAAGUACAUUGGUACUUUUUAGCAACCUGUACAAGGUUUCUUUUCAACUAUGUGGAUGUUUAUUGAGUUUUAUUAUGCAAUCUUCUAAUGAACUUUGUUAUUUCCAUAUAUUUCACAAUUUUGUGCUCUCUUCUUUUGCUUUUGUAUGCAUUUAAUAGAGGUCCCUUCAUCUAUGCCAUCAGUUGAAAUAGGAUAACUAGCAGUAGCAAUGAGGAUCCUACCACUGCAGCCAAGAUGUUCUAAUUAUAUUAGUUUAAACAACAACAAUGAGGAUUCUCCCAUAACCAAUGAAGAGGCCAAGUUAAAAUGGUUCUUGAGUUUUCUCACACAUGAAUGACAGAAUCCUCUGUGAAGAUUAAAAGAAAGAUUAAGAUGUAAGAUAUUUGAAGUUUUUCUCUCCUAGAAAUUUGAAAUUUAUGAUCAAAUGUCUAUUGGAUCAUCUGUUCAACACAUUGGCAGCAUUGAUUUUGUGAACAAACUAGAGAAAUUUUGAAUAUUUGAGAGUAUUCGCAAUUUUAAAAUUAUAGGUUCAGAUAUAUUCUCGAAGGCAACGGCUAUAGCACCUUUACUCCUCUUUUUUCAUGAAUUUGAUUCCAUUGUGCUGAAGAGGGGGCAUGAUAAUACGGGGUCACUGACCAUGUCAUCAAUCAGUUAGUUCUUGCAUUCAAUGACACUUAUAAAGUGGUCGUGUGAAAUAUAGUUGAUGGCAUGACUCACUAAUAGUAUGUCAUUCAUUGGUGCAGUUUUUUUACUGAAUUGGAUGAUGUUGAAGUUUAAAGUGGUGUGUUUGUGUCAGUAGGGACAAGAUAAUAAUUUCGUCUUACAUAGUAACAAAAAGUACUCUCUUUACAUAGCAUACUAACUAUAAACUACUGUUGGAAAUUGCAUGGCCAUUAUGAAUGCUUUGCCAAAACAAUUUCUAUGAAGCAUUUAAUAUGGAGACUACGUAAUAACCUUCAAGGCAGACUAUUAAAUGCUAGACAUGACUUUUCCUUGAUUUAGAAUUGUUUAACUUUGGAUACACAGUAUUGGAUAAACUACAUAUGUAUCAAAGAAGGUAACAAACGACAGGAUUGCUCGAAUUACUUUUCAGUUGCUGAAGUAGCUUACAAGAAGUGUAUUAAAUUGGUCUUGAGCCUCUUUAACAGCAUCAAUGGAUGUUGAUCAUUUCAGUUUUGGGUGUGCCAAAAUCUUGAACUCAUCAUCAUUGACUGCCCGAAGCUCAAUAGAGAUGGAUAAGGUAUGUAUCAUUUGAUUAGCAAAGAUGGUCGAUGAUGGCAAGUCCAUAGAACUAGAGUUUGUUUUUUGCUGCGUCCUGUUUUGUGAGUUUUCUUUUAGCUAAGCUUUCAUCUUAGUUCUAGAACCACCACUUGCAUUCAUUCAUCCUCUUAUCUUUGAGCAAAAUUCCUUUUUUCGCAUGUCAUGAACAUGCGGUACUUUCACUUGCCUCCACGGUGGUGAUGCUUUGCUGGUUUAUGUUGUGCAUCAGCAUAAUGUUGGGGUUGACAUGCUUUGCAGAAUGUAACUUGCUUAGAUAGUAAGCACACUGAAGAUGCUAACAAACGCUAGGUUUUGUUGAAAGGCAGAGGCGGUUGAGAGUACUGGUCAUACCUUAUGUAGUGUUUUUUCAAUUUCACUACAGAACAAUCAUGAUUUGUGAGGAAUGAAAUAAAGGAAUUAAAGCCUCAUUAGCGAAAGAGUAAAUUGUUGAUACCUUUUAUGCUGUAUGAGUUAUUUAGUUACUUCCUUCAUGAAGAAUUGGAGGUGCUUUUGUAGUUACUUUUGAACUUACAUUUUGUUUGUCUGUCUGUUAUUCGUUCAUUCCCUCCCAUCUUAAAUUACCAAACACAGUUGAGGAAGAUGUUGAAAUUCGCCAAACAAGGCAUUUACAUUCUUGAAUUCUUAUUUGUUGUGCCGAUAACAUGUCUUUUUCUGAAUCCUUUGCUGUUUUGAGCUGGGUCCGGGAAUUUGAUGACUUCUACUCAUUGAUGAAUUCAAUGAGGCAAAUGCAAUAACCUGGGUUGCUCACUUUUUAAUCAUCUCUGUUUCCUGCAGUUUUAGAGAUUGAGCAAGGAUUAUCUGAUGUUGCACAAUCAAAGAUUAUUGUAAGCUUUACUCCACAUUUGAUGCCCAUGAUUAUAGUUGCAAUUUUCUAGUGUUCCCAUUCUUAAAGUUAAAAUUAUGCUUCCCUAGCGAUAGCUGUAAGCUUUCUUCAACUAUUUCUGCAGAGUCCUAAAAAUGCAAUAAACUAUUCAUGCUAAAAUGUCUUCAGGUGUAAUGGCUGGGGAUCUAUAUGAAGUUGCUAACUGGGCAAACUUUUUUCUAACUAAUAGUCCUAUUUUGCUUAGGCAUUCGAUGGCUUAAUGUGCUAAGUAUUAACCUUAGCUUUCGUUUACUGAAGUACUUAUUUUUAGUACUCAUGAUUAGCUUAAUCAAAGUACAUCAUUUAUUUCAUAGAUCUUGAUUAAGUCAAUCAAGUAGUAGACGUGUUUGGGAACUGAAACUUGAAAGAUCCGCAACUUCCUUUCAUAUUCUUGAGUGUGCUUCCCACAUACUUCAUGCUGUCUGAUCGCUUAAUUCACUUUAUCUUGCUGGACGAGGGAUUUGUUAUGCUGUUAAAAAAUGGAGUUGUUCCUCGUACUCAAAAUGUGCAAGGAUCUUAUUAUUUUUUUAUGAGUGUCUUUCUUGAUCAAGUAUCCGGACAAGCAAUACUUAUCUAUGUAGUCGGUUCCCAAGUGUCUGUUCUCCAUUAAGUGCUUUACUUUUCAUGUAACGUCAAAGUCAUCUCUUUAUGAUAAGCUGUCUAAACCUUCUUUUGCAGAUUGACAAUCAAGUGAAGGGAGCUGGUGGUCAUGUUCUGCAUAAUCUUCAAUAAGACGAUGGGUUUACCUGAGAUUGUGGGGCUUAACUACCUAUUAUUGUUUCCUUGAUGCAUUCUGCAUUCUUGUGAGUGAGGUAGAUUAUGCAUGAAUUUUGUUCAAGAAAGCUUGUAUAAUUGCAUUGGUUGUGUCCGAGCUAUAGCUAUUGUUUAUUAUUUAUGGUGACUCAUAACACCUUUCCUCAUCUUGCUCUCCUUCUCUCUCUAAAAUGUUGUCACGCCCCGACCCUCAGGCACGCACACAUCCCUUACUUUUGGUCGAUUUAAAAAUGCGAUAUCCCAGGACUAUGUAUCGCCGACCCUUUCUUUUAUAUAUGCACAUGCGGAAGCAGUUAUAAUUCCCCAGACAAUAAAGCAAUGGGAUAGAAAAGCAGGCCAUAUAUUUUUCUUACUGAAAAUUCACAACUACAUCUUUUUACAUGCGAACAAGGUCUGACAAGACAGGAUAGGAUUUCGAUCCUCAUCCGAGUCGUACUCGAUGUCAUACUCGGGGUCCUCCUCCACGUACUCCUCUUUGGGUUCCUCAACAGAGAUCUCCUCAUCAGAUUCAUGCUCCUCAAGCUCCUCAUCCAGGUCCUGAAAUGGUUAUUCAAUAACCACUGAGACCACGUCUCAGCAAGUUCUAGCUCCUAAGACCCAAUUAGUAAACUAAUAUACCUUAGGGUUGCCUACGCACAACAUGAGUCAGAGGACGUACCUUAGCCUCAGAUUCCACCUGCAUAUUAGUACAGUUCGAAUAGGCACACAAGCAAUCACAUCACAGAUCGAAGCAUCGAUCUAAUCGACUUAGUCGAUUUCACAUUAGGAAGACCACUCACGAUCAUCUCCCUUCAAUCAUUCAAUUCACAACAUCAAACCAAGGCAAUGAAUCGCAUCAAAUCACACUCAGAUCGAAUCAUCGAUCAAUCGACCUAGUCGAAUCAUUUCUAGGUCAUUCAUCCCACAUCAAGCAAUUCCUUGGAUUUAGUGGCUUUACGGUCCCACCCGACCCUCUCGAGAACUAGUGGCUUUACGGUCCCACCCGACCCUCUCAAGAACUAGUGGCUUUGCGGUCCCACCCGACCCUCUCGAGAACUAGUGGCUUUUCGGUCCCACCCGACCCUCUCAAGAACUAGUGGCUUUACGGUCCCACCCGACCCUCUCAAGAACUAGUGGCUUUACGGUCCCACCCGACCCUCUCGAGAACUAGUGGCUUUACGGUCCCACCCGACCCUCUCGAGAUGUCAUACUAUGUCACCGAGCCACGUGCAUUCUCCAGGAAGACAUACCGAGUCUCCGAGCCACGUGCAUUCUCUAAGGCUAUCUUUUCGCCAAGAUGACAUAUUAAAUCACCGAGCCACGUGUCUUUCCCAAGUGAUAUUCCAAUUCACUGGGCCACGUGCAUCCUCAAGGUGAUUUACCAACUCACUUUCGAUACUAACAACCGAUAUCCGACCAAUUCUCAAUCACAAGACCAAAAUUGCAUUAUUUAAUAACAUACUUAAAAAUGCACCAUUAAAUCAAUUCGACACAAAUUAAAGCUCAAAUAAAUAAACGGACUGCUCCACGACAAUCAGCACGAAAUUCCGGUCACUGGCCAUCCCAGUUGAAUUUCCGGAAAAUAAAUAAUUAAAUAAUUAAUUUCGAAAAUUAAAUAAAUAAAUACAAUAAAUUCAAUUUAACACAAUAUAAAGCUCAAUAAAUAACGNNNNNNNNNNNNNNNNNNNNNNNNNNNNNNNNNNNNNNNNNNNNNNNNNNNNNNNNNNNNNNNNNNNNNNNNNNNNNNNNNNNNNNNNNNNNNNNNNNNNCGAUCAUCAGCAUAAAAUCCCGUCACUGCCCAUCCCAGUGAUUUCCGGGAAAUAAAUAAUUAAUAAUAAUUUCGAAAAUUAAUAUUUAAUUCCUAAAAAUACCACAUAAGCCCGAUUUGCUUAAUUAACACCCGAUAAGGGACGGGAAAAAUCCCAAGAAGCAUCCAAUAAAUACUACAAGCAAUUCUCUAUCUAAUUACACUAAUCACACAACUAAUAUGCAAAGCAAUUAACUAAUAAUCACUAAUCAAAUCUAAUCUAACAACCUAAUUAUACUUAAUUAACACUAAUCAACCUUUAAGUAUAAUUAGCGCACUAAGAAGGCGUUAGUGAGUAAAACUCACUCAAAACGACGGGCUCGACGCGAGGGUCGACUUUCCUCAAAGCGGGCCAAGCAUCCGGGCUCGGGAAGGCGGCCAAAACGGGCCAAACAGUUGCUGCAAACCUAUUUUCUGCACUCACUGAUCGCUGCUGGUUGGAGGUGAAGGAGGGCGGAUUCGGGGCUGGUUGAGCUCGGGAAUGGGCGGAGGAGCUGAACAAGACCAAGGCGAGUCUUCACGGUGGCCGGAGGUGGUUGGAGGAAGCUCCGGCGGGUCUUGCACGAGCUGGACAGAGGCGGAACAGGGGUUGGACAGCAGCUCUGGAACAGCGAGCUGGGUGAGAGGGAGACCGAGCUGAGCGGAGCAGCGGCGGAGCGCACGGCGUCGCGCGGGCAGCGGUGCGGCAGCUCCGGUCCAACAACGCCAGCUGCUGCCCCAACUCCAGUGUCCUCCUAGAUCUGGAACCCCGAGCAGCGAACAGAGGGGAAGACAGAGGUGCCGACGGCGGCUGGAAUGGGUGAGGGAGAGGCGGAGAUGAACGACGGAGCAGCGGAGCGGGUGAUGCGCCGGCGAGGACGGCUUGAGGCAUGAGGCGGUGUGGAGUAACGACGGCAAGCUACUGUCUCUGUUUCUGCUUCGUUCGAACCAGAGGAGGGAGAGGGGGCGGAGAUGUGCAGACGGCAGCACGGCGUCAGGCUCGGGUGCGCGAGCAGCUCAGGUCCAGGUGGGCGUGCGACGACAACGGCGAGAGGUGAUGACUGCAGCUCAGUCUUCACUGGUCUUCAGCUCCCAUGGAGUUUUGAAGAAAAAGAAGAAGAUGGGGGAGGAGUUCGGUCGACGAAGGAGGAGAGAGGGGAGGAAGAAAAACUCAAUUUCCCUUUCUUUUCUCUCACUCUCUCUCUCUCUUAGGUCAGCCACACAUGGCCACCACCAGCUGUCUCCCACUCUUCAAUUUUUGACAAACAUGCCCCCUUCUAUAAGAUUUAGGUACGCUAAAGAGUUGGGUUUAUAGGCAUACUAAUUUUGCUAACGAUUCUUUUCUAAAUGGAACCUUAAUUCCUCUUGAAUUAAAUCAAAGUGAUCCCCGUUAAUAUAUGCAACACCUCAUCAUUGAAAUUGGUAUUUUCCAUACAAUAUAGCCCANNNNNNNNNNNNNNNNNNNNNNNNNNNNNNNNNNNNNNNNNNNNNNNNNNNNNNNNNNNNNNNNNNNNNNNNNNNNNNNNNNNNNNNNNNNNNNNNNNNNGUAUUUCUUCUUCGUGUCUAUCAUUUUUACAUUUGCUGAUGUAAAAUGUUUUUGUGCCAAGCUCCUAUAAGGAAUGGUCAAAUGUUCAUUUACAUGGAUGUCUGGGCUUUGGCAAGACACACAUUGUUGGUUCUGCAGCAGCAACUUGUUCUCUUCAAUCCAUAUAAGUGAAAGUGCUGAGACGUUCAAUAAGUACACUGGUACUUUUGAGCAAGCUGUAAGAGGCUUCUUUUCAACUUCACCAAUGUUGAUUGAAUUCCAUUGUGCAAUCUUGUAUUAAACUUUGAUAUUCCAGACAUUUCACAAUUUUGUGCUUUCUUUUGUUGCUUUUGUAUGCAUUUAACAGAGGUCCCGUCAUGUAUGCUAGCAGUGAAAAUUAGAUAAUUAGCAGCAACAAUAAGGAUGCUCCCGCUGCAACCAAGGUGUUCUAACUAAAUUAUUGUCAACAACAGCUCCCAUAACCAUUGAAGUGGCCAAAUUAAAAAGCCAAUUAUAACCGAUUCUCUUCUGAAGUCCGUUGCUUCGAAGGGAAGACUGUCAGUCUCAAAUGCCGAGAAAAGAAGACUCCGUAGAAAUUUGAAGUAGCGGCAAGGUAAAAUGUUUUUUUUUUUCAAUUAGAAUAAUUCAUACUUAUUAAACACGCUAAUUACUUCUACGAUCAUGAAUAUACCAAAACGAUCAAAUGUAGAGACCAUUAGUAGAUUUUAAAAAUUCCAUGGGUUUGUAAAAGCCAUUGGCUUUUAAUGGCACGUCACGCGUUACGUUUGACCAACGACUCUUAGGUGCGGAAGGCGGCGACCUUAUGCUGAUUUCACAUUUUCUAGUUUUGCUCUGACGAAAGAAAACGAGUGGAAAGUGGAGUAUAGGCAAAAAUCAAUUGAUCAUGGCUCAGCAAAGCAGAAUGGAAGUCUAGCCCCAAUCGAGAAAAGCUAAUCUUAGUGCAGAAUUUCUCAAGUUCUAUCCAUCACAAGGAGGUUAAUCAUUUUAGCAUGCAAAAUCUUAUUUUUUUAAGGAUACGUCACUAAUUAGUUAUUAGUAGGCUGAUUAAAAAAGUUGAUCCUUUUUAAUAUGAUGAGCAAAACAAAAGCAUUUAAUAUCCGGUAUUUCUAGCCUAAAGAUAAAGGAAGAGAUUUCUCAUUGAACAAACAAAAAGAUAAAAGGGGAUCCAUUAUGCUUUGGUCACACCGGAUGUUGGGCAAAUUCUAUGAGAUAUUGCAUUGAACUUUGAUCUAUAUGUAAAAGAACAUAGAGGAGUCGAAUGCUUUCUCUAGAAUUAUACAUGGAGAUUCUGGAUUCUCUGAAUAUAUAUAAAAGUCAUAAUGCAUGACAAAGUUUGAAAGUACCAACCAUAAAACUUUUUGUGUCAAGAAAAUGCCCAAAAAUACGAUUAUUUAUGUUUUGACAUAAUUUCCGAAUGUGACUCUAAAUAAGAUUUUCAUUACAUAUAUACAUAUCUCCUAAUUCUAGGAGGGUAGCAUAUACAUUUGAAAGCGAAAUGAACUUAGUACAUUUAAAUUUAACAAAAUAUCACCUAAAUACAUGAAAAAAGUGAAAAAGAUCAUAUUAAAAAGGAAAAGUUGCAUAUAAAUUGUGGGUGGGCCUAAUUAGAUCCAAAUAUUUUUUUGUGAUACCAAAAUCCCCAAACUUUUGUUUUGCGACACUAAAUUUUAAGGGUGAAUGUAUAGAGAAUUUUUAUAUCAUAAGAAGAAGUUUGGGAUAUAUAUACAAAUUUGGGAUUCCUGAUGCCAAAGAAAAGUGUGAGGGUAAACGGUGACCAAACUGCCCUCACUUCUUGACAAAUUUCCGUAAAAAAUAUCCGGACCGUGAAAAAUCCCGCGCCAAUUCCAUAAAAAAACACGAACUUUAGGUGUUGUCCCAAAUCUGGCCCGAGCUUUAUUUUGUCUUAAAAAAAAGCAUGAACUUUAGGGGUUGUCCCAAAUCUGGCCCGGAUUUUAUUUUGUCUAAAAAAAAAGCACGAACUUUAUGUGUUGUCCCAAAUCUGGCCCAAAUUUUAUUUGAGACAAAAUAAAGUAAUUCUAUUAUAAAUAGGCUUCCUACAAGAUAGAUGCACACGCUUUUAAUAUCUCGUUUUAAGGCAAUGUAAUCUUCUGUUUUCAAUCCAGUUUUUGACAUUGCAAACAAUUUGCCAAUUGUUAAUUGAUCUAAUGGCCCUAGCUAUGUGCCCCAUCCCCUGGAACUGAAGCUGCUGAAUUAUUUUUCCCAUGAGAAUCAUCUGUAAAGUUCACCUCAUUGGAAGACAAACUUAAAUUUAACACUUCCUCCAAACACUCGAAUACAGCAUCAUUUUGUUGUGUUGGAUAUUAUUGCUGACGUGGAAAUGCCAUGUUGGAUGACUGUGGAAUGAGGGUUAACGGAUGGCAGAUUUGAGACACAAGUGAAAAUUUAUGCCUUUUUUUAGACAAAAUAAAUUUCGGGCUAUAUUUGGGACAAUACUUAAAGUUCGUGCCUUUUUUUGAGACAAAAUAAAGUUCGUGCUUUUUUUUAGACAAAAUAAAGUUCAGGCCAGAUUUGGGAUAACAGCCUAAAGUUCGUGCUUUUUUAUGGAAUUAGCCCGAAAAAUCCCCUACUCUUCCCUUGGUCACCGCAAGCCUCCGCCACUCGCCGCCGCGUCGCCGUCGUAUCCCCUUCCCGUGCCAUCACCCCUCGUCAUCGAGCCGCCCCCGGCCAUCGCCUGCGCUGAUCGUUUCGCGUCCCGUCUCGGCCAAGCCACCAUCUCUCUCCCUAUCUCCCCGUGUUUCCUCUUCGAAGCAAUUAUUUUGUCAAUCUGAACGGCUUUUUCACUUACGAAGGAAGGCCGCCUGUAACUUCUAGGCAGACGCAGCGAAAGUGAGAGAUCUCUCUCCGUUGCUUUAUCAAGUUGCUACGAGGAUUAGGCUCGGACUUCCCAAGUCACCGGGCAGGCCCAAUUCGGAGAUCCAGAAUGAAGAGAAAGCGGGAGGGAGACGAGACGGCGACGGCAGCUGGAACAGCCUGCUGCCGCGAUGGCAGAUCGGGGAGGGGUUACGAGGUGUUCCUGUUUUUGGGCUUUUGCUUCCACUAGGCUGAAGGUGCUGCUGAAGGAGAUGUUUGUGNNNNNNNNNNNNNNNNNNNNNNNNNNNNNNNNNNNNNNNNNNNNNNNNNNNNNNNNNNNNNNNNNNNNNNNNNNNNNNNNNNNNNNNNNNNNNNNNNNNNGUCUUAAGAGUACUUGUGGCGAUUGGUGGGAUGAUGCUUGCAGGCUGCAGCAAUACAAGCCGGUCGAGAUGAAACUCCUAGCUCAACAGAGGGAUCUUCAGGUGUGUUGUUGUAUUCUGCUCUGUCAGUUUGGCGUAAUCGCUGGCUUUCUAUAAUGCGUAUUUUUGCUGGCAAAGGUUUCCUGACUUUAUCGAUGCUAGUUUGGGAUUUGUUAUUAUCGACAUCCCUUUAGAUGUUUGUGUAUAAUUUCUCAUUGACUGAUUCUUUUGUAUCGUUAUAUCUGCUAUUGAAUUCGCUGUUGAGUUACAUUUCGUUGUUCAUUUUCUUCGUGCGAUUACAAAGAAAGACCCGGAUUCAAAUGUACUGCUGAAUACCAUAGCCAUUAUCCCUCCUGUCGGCCCUUGUGCUAGCACCGGACCUUGUUUAUUUCUUUUCUUUUUCUUUGGUUUUUUUGGUAUAGUAUAACCAAUGCAGUGUUGAAAUGUUGCGCAAUGGUUAACAUGGAGGUGGGCGUACGUGCAUGUGUGGGUAAAGAACUUUGAAUCAUUUAAGUGUGCAACUUUUUUCUUGAUUCUUAGGAGGUAUAAAGACAUGAUUAGAGAUAUUGAUACCAAUUGUUAAUCACGAUGAAUAUUUAGUUUCAGGAAAAAGAAAUGUACUAGGUUGAGACAGACAAGUAACACAACAAGACUAUGCUCUCCACGUUAGGAAAUUUUCUCAUUUAAAUGUACGGGGAACAUGCUGAUUGGGGGUUGCAUCUUGCAUGUUAUACCUUAUAAAUCUUCCUUAUACUUUAUUGCAUCAAAUGGUUUGUCAUUGAAAAACGUCCGUAUUAUCUCCCAUGUUUAGCAGUCGUGCAUUAGAGGCUUUCAAUCGCUUAUCUUAAAAUGAGUAGGAAUUAUCUGCAUUUAGGUUCUAUUUAAAAACGGAAUCAAUUCGGCGGAUCUUUCUCGUCCUUUCAGAAAGCGCAAGAGUAUAGGAAGAGAUAUUGUUUUGCGUUUUAUUCUAGUUCAGAGCCUGGUUAAUGGUAUUGUGAAAACUGACAAAAGAAAGGUGGAGAUGUAUCUAAUUCUAGAGUUCUUUUCUUUUCAUUUUUUUAAAAACUGUUUCACAUUGGUUGUUAUUCUCUUUUUGCUGAACCCUUAAUGAACUCAGAGCUGGUAUUAGUGUCGUAUAUAGAACAAAAUAAACAAUUCAUUUGUUUUAUGUGUCCCUUCAUUUAAUUAGGAGAAUGCUUUCUCGCUGAUUGAACAUCCUUCAGAAAGCAAUGGUUAUCAUGCAAACAUCUUAGUAGAGUUAUUUACAUGAAUCUAACAAACUUGGGGUAAGAAGUUAGUCUUAGAAAUUGUUAACCACAUGUGAAGUCUCAAGCCGUCCUUUCCCUUAAUGCAAGAUUUAAAGGCUCUCUUAUUUCUAUCUCUUGACUAAGAAAAAGGCUAAGAUUUGGAUUGGGUAUGAUUCAAUUCCAUGGUCACCACGUCUUAUCUGCAUCUUUUCCAGCAUAUCCAUGUCCGAAGGAGAUCCAGUCUGAGGGCAACAUAUCGGUAGGUGAUCUGAGGAUUCUCAUUGACUUUGCCAUAGCUAGUAUCUGUUCGUAUGCACCCUUCUUCUUGUUUUUGUUCUUCUAAAAGGUCGACCCCAUGGCAGUCAUCUUCUUUUGUAUCUGGUGUGAUUGGUAGGAGCCUUUCACUGUUGCUGGACUCCUUAAUAUUGGAAUGAUAGUCUCCAUUACUGUAACAUAUUCAUGUGGUGAUAGUAUAGCCACAAGGUGGGCUGCUGCAAGAGAUUUUUGUUGCAAGAAUGACUCAUUUGAUGAUUUGGCUAAUUUUGUUCACGAUCUUGUGGUGAUUUGGGUGUUUUGGUUGUUUAACCAAUUCCUGACUGACUCUUCAGAAGUUUGUAUCUUCAAAGAGCACAUAUAGCAAAGUUUAUCCCCACUCCCGCAAUCUGCGCAUACCAUAAAAAGCCUGUAUUUAUUUCCCGGAAUUACGCUUAUUUUAUUGAUGAGUGAUGACCAAACCUCACCUGGUCCACGGCAAAAAGUUGAUGGAGAAAUCCAUCCCCUAUAAAAUUCACCCAGUCUUCACUAAAAAGACAGAAUUGCUCAAAUCAUUCUAUUGCAAUUUAAUUGGUAGCCCCAAAUAUAUUUCAAUGGAUGAUUUAGUUACCAUAAUUAAGAAUUUCACGUGUUCAGUUUUUCAUAAUUGUAGGUAUUAUUAAAAACACCAUUUCUUUAUUCAUUGUUAGAUUUUUCUUCCAUAAAAAUUAUUUGUGUAAAAAAGAAAUUUCCAAGAUAUCUAGUUUGUUGAGCAAAUUUAAGGAUAAAUUUUCAACUAGAAUCUAGAAAAAAAAUUAUUAUAUAAAUAAUUUUUUAACACAAUUACUUGUUUACAAAUUUUCAAUUUUGUUGUGCAUAUCAUUAUCAAAUUCCUUAUCGUUCAAUCAAAUAAAAUUCCUUCCCAUUGGUUCUCUUCUUUAUAUAUAUGGGAUGAUAAGAUAAAUCAAGAAGGACUAGCAAAGAUUUUAAACUUAUUUCAAAAUAAAGAUUCAGGUAUUAGAUCAAAAUCUUGAAUUUAUCUAACAAAUUUAGAUAAAUUAUCAAAAGGGGUCUUUAAGUUUUUGUUAUCAAUCAAGAAGGACCAGCAAAAAAUUUAAUAGUGUAUUACAUUUCAAUAUGAUACCUAUCACAAAUAUAAUUAUUCUUCUGUCUGAUCAAGGAUCAAUUGAUCAUGCCAUUUGGUGUGACAUUGGACUAAAUAUAAGGAAAUCAGCUUUGUUGGGCUUAGCAAAAGCAAAAUGGAAUUCCGGCUCUAGCUGAUAAAAGCUAAUCCUUCUAAAUUUAACGAGCAAAGCAAAAGCUAUUGUGUAUAGUAAAUGUUCCACAAUGAAAGUAUGUAAUAAUUUUGUUGAUAUUUACUAUGAAAGUAAGUAAUAAUUUUGUUGAAUGAUAUGAUGUGAACGAUAUCUUAUUUGCUAGUACCAGAUCCCACCAGCACAUCGUAAGUAAGCAAUAAUUCUGCUUGAGUAAUAACUCUGUUGCAGUGAUUGGACGGUGACCAGUCUUAUUGCUCAUGCUGCUACAGUUUCUGGCGACUAUCUUCCCUUGGUGAUUUUGUUCUUAUUCUAACAAGUUGACCCCGUGGCAGUCAUCUUCUUGUGUAUCUCCUCGACGGUGUGAUUGUUAGGGGGUAGCUUUUCACUGUUGGUGGACUCCUUAAUUUUGGAAAUGAUUUUCUUCAUUACCGCAGUAUAUUCAUAUGGUGAUUGUCCAGCCGCAAGGUGGCUUGCUGCAAGAGAUUUAUGUUGCAAGAAUAAUGCAUUUGAUGAUCCAACUAAUUGUUUGUGAUCUUGUGGUGAUUUGAGCGUUUUGGUUGUUUAACCAAUUUCUAACUGAUUCUUCAAAAGUUUGCAUCUUCAAAGUUUAUUCCCCCUCCCGUAAUUUAUGCAUUCUUACCAUAAAAGCAUGCAUUUAUUUCCUGGAUUACACACAUUUUCUUGAUGUGUGAUGACCAAGCCUCGCCCGAUGGCAAAAAGUUGAUGGAGAAAUCCAUUCCUUGUAUAACUAAAUUCACUCAAUUUUCACUUAAAAGAUAAAAUUGUACCAAAUAUUCAAUUGCAAUUUAAUUGGUAGCCCCAAAUUCAUAAACUUUUUUUUUUCCUUUUAGUUUUUCUAUUUCAAUGUAAGAUUCAGUUGCCAUAAUUAAGAAUUUCAUAUGUCUAGUUUUUCUUUAUUGUAGGCAUUUCAAAUAUAUUAAAAACACCAUUUCUUUUAUUAACUAUUAGAAUUUUUUUUUCUAUAAAGCUUAGUUUUGUUGAAAAAAGAAAUUUCCAAGAAUCCUAGUUCUUUUACAUGUUGUCAAGGAAAAUUGAGGAUAAAUUGUCGAGUAGAAUCUAGAAAAAAUUAUUAUAUAGAUUUUUUUAACACAAUCACUUGUUUGCAAAUUUUCAAUUUUGUUUUGCAUAUCAUCAUCAAACACCUUUUCAUCAUUUGACGAAAGAAAAUUCCUUCUUAUGGGUCCCCGCCCCCCUCCCCCCUCCAGCCAGCCCAGCCCAGCCCAGCCCAGCCCAACCCACACAGAAGGAUGAUCGGAUAAAAAGAAAACCCUCUUGAAGGUUUGAAGAUUUUCCAAAAUAAAAUCACAAUUACAUUCUCCAAUGGAAAACUUUAAAGAAGAAAUUUAAUUAAAUUGAAAAAUUACAUAAAAUAAGAAACUUUUAAAAAUGUUGAUGAAAUCUCAUUAUUUGGAAUUGAUAGAAAUUAAUAUCGUUGACGAAGCAUGUACGAAAAUAUAUCUAGAUGCUUCAUUAUGCACAAUGGUUUUAGUGUAUUCCUAGUUUUUCCACAACGCCUUAACAUCUGUGUAAAAGUAUCUCACAAUAAUAAGGGAAAAUGAUAAGUUCUUUAAUAUUAUAUAAAAAGACUUGAUACAUAUUUUGGACUAAUAAAAUUAAAAAAUAAAUAAUUCAUCAAGAAAGUGAACUUUUGAGAUAAGAGGGAGAAAUAAUAAAUGAGUAUUUAUUAGAGAAAUGAUGAAAAGAGACUUUCAAGGUGUUGAUCAUGUAAAAUAAUUUGUGUUUUUUUCUAACUAGUGGCUUUUAUAUAGAGCAUGUAAUACGUUAUAGUAAUAUUUAAGGAUACACUAAAAACAAUUCUUUAAUACGUUAAGAAAAAUAAAACACAUGGAAUGCAUAAUUAUGGCAAUUAGAAACAGUAGGGAAGGAAACAAUGUGAUUGUCACUUUAAAUUGCAAUUGAAUGGUUGAAGGCAAUUUAGCCUUUCUAUUCUAAAUAGUAAAUGGGGUGGAUUGGAUUAUAUAGGGUCAAAAUAGUGCCGCCCAAAAUUUAAAGGAGAAAUUAAAAUCACAAUGGGAUAAUAUUUUCUUUUCCAUAUAGAAAGAAUGUUAGCUCUUGUGCACGCUUUUUAUUCCUACGUCAUGAAUAGACCAAGAUGAUAGAGUGCAGAGGUCAUCAACAGAUUUAGAAACAUUUUGUGUGACUUCACCAACAAUUGGCUUUUAAUUGCUUUUAACAGUGUAUCAUGCAUUAUGGUCAUCUGCACUCUCGGAUACGGAAGGUGACUUUGUGCUGAUUUCACAUUCACAAUUUUGCAAUGACAAAAGAAAAAGAGUAGUCAAUGGAACAAAGGCAACAUUGAUCAUUUGGCUUAGCAAAAUCAUAAAGGAAGUCUGGCUCCGGCUGAGAAAAGCUAACCCUUUUUAAGUUAAGGAGCAGAAUAGAAGCAAUUACAGUCUGCUUUUUUCUAGACUAGAAAUUGAGGAAGAGACUUCUCACCAAAAAAACAAAACGGACAAAAGGAUUAAAGGGGAUCCAUUUAUCCUUCCUUAGAGGUCAUGCCAAAUCGUCUGUUUAUGGAGCCAGACCACUGGCAUCAUCUUAUGUUAUUAUAAUUCUAUAUAUGUCUAGAAGGAAAAAGGCAUUAAGACAAGCGUCUAGGCUGGGAUCCCGUGAUUCGUGCAAUGAUUGAAUUGCAUAAUUUGAAUUAAAAUACAAAUCUGUGAUAACAAAAAUUAGAUACAAUUCUAACUGAUUUGUGAGCCUAUUCCCUCACUUUUUGUUUCUCAAAUUUAAGCGCAUGUAUGAGAAGCUUAAUUUUUACGUGAAACUAAUCGUCAGUAUCGAUAAAACAUUUUAAAUUUCCGUGUGUGCGUAUGUGAAGUGAGUCUCUAUACAAUCGCAUAAUAUUAUAUUUUAAACUUGGUGCCCACCUUAAAAAUGACAUUAGGAAAUGAUCACAUUUUGUGUGUGUGCAUGUGUGAAUAAUCUGCAGAAAUGGAGAAUAAAUCUAGACCGCAUUCAAUGGAGCUAGAGAAAGGUUCAAUGCCUUCGGUUCAUUAGAGACGUCAUCAUCGAUCCAUUAGCAAAAAGUAGUUGAUUUAACCAUAAAAUUUUGGGCUUGGCACUUAUAAGAAAGAAAAAUUUUGCUCAUAAAAAGAAGAAAAAAGAAAUAAAGCUCUUUGGUCGUUUCAUGGAUGUUUCUAUGAUCUUUCCAAAAGGCAUUCUAGGAGGGCCUGCAAUUGUUAAACCACAAAAUAAUGGAUCUCAACUGUGAAAACAAAGCUUUUCAAGUUUUUACAAAUUGCUAUAAUUUGCAUUAUGACAGGUAUCGAUCAAUCAACUAAUCAAAAAAUGGAAAUAGUUGCAUGGAUCGUGGUCUAUAGAACAAAUGUGAUCACAUCCAUUGAUGUUUGGGUGUUCCGUGUAUAAUAUAUGUCAUAAACAAUUUUGUGAUAAAUCCGUUUAUGUGGAUCCGAGUACUGUCAAGCUAACCCAAUAAAGCCAACAUGAGUUAGGAGAGAGAAAGAGCUUCCUUAAGAAACAAAGACGAACUUGAGUUCUCUUUGCUUAUAAUAUACGCAGGUCUAUCUUCAAGUUUUUGUCCGGCCCUCUUGUGAAAGCGAAAGCAAAAGCAACAGCACUGAGGUAUGUUUGUCUAGUCAAUUCAUUUGCACAUACCCAAAUUCCACGUCAAACAGACUCGUUUGUUCAUGUGGUCACGCGCGUGCGUUUUGCAAUUUCAGGACCAGGACCUAGAAAAUACCAAGAAACUCAGGUUGAUAUCAUCAAAAAGCAUAAAGACCCUUCUUCAAGAUUAAAAAUGUUUCGAAAAUCUCAACUUUGUUGAUCUCCUUGUGGAGGAGGAACUGUACUUUCUUCGCAAUUUCCACAAAAGAAUAAGCUAAAGUCUCCCUCUUAGGACCCUUUUAGCUCAACGAAAGGUACAUGUAAUUUGCAAAGCAAAACUCAAAUUGCGUAAAAGAUUGACAUUAGCAUGGACCUAAAAUUAAAGAAUAUAGAAAACUUUAAUCAAUAUCUUUCAAUUUUUUGAACCAUUAGGUGUAAUUGAAGUGCAUAGACUUCGAAGAAGGUCAGCCAAAUAAAAUUGCCCAAUCUAUUAUGUAGAGUUAAACUGAAGCUGAAAGAGUGGUUGCUCCUAUACCGGUCACGCCACACUUCUCUAUAGCUCUAUACUUAUGACGUGACAAAACACUUAGCAUUGUGUUGCCAUGUGGUCCAAUGACCUUACAAAUUAUUUAUAUGUCUUCUUGUAAUUCAUGUGUUAUUUUCUAGUGCUAUUUAUAGAAAACAUCAACAUUUAAUCAUCUUCAAAUACUAGAAAAACUGAUUAUAUCUAGAGGUAGGCUUAGGCAAAACAAUAGAUUUAAACUUAGCCGAAGUGAUUGAAUCAAACAAUGAAUAGAAUGGAUGUGUUUUAUAAGUAAUACAUACUCCAGUAAUUGUCAUCUUCCAUGGAGCAUCCACUUUUUUUGUGAUAAAAUUCCGAUCAUUGUGAUUUUAUGGUGUUGGAAAGCUUAUUAUUUAAUUUUAGAUGAAAUUAAUCGAUUGGAUAAAAUGGACAAUCGAACCCAUUUUCUCCCACGGACGCUGGUGACUUCAAUUUUGCUAAAAUGCAAUUCACCUCGGAUUGUGGCUUUUGGGUGGUUGGGUCAGAUAGAUGAACUUUGCAAAAAGUCAAGUACACUCGAUUAUACGUAGCCACCCUUCCAACUUGAAAGGGGGAGGUGGAGGGUUCGAAUUCUCACAUUCUCAAGGAAGGGUUGGGGUGGGGAUGAGUAAGUUUUACAAGUGGGUUUUGACUCCCCCACACCUGCAAGGAGGCAGGGCAAAAAUUUGAGAGAAUGAGUGUUAGAGUAAGAAUAAAGUAUGACCGACCGAAAAAAGAAAAGAAAAUUAUAACCUUUCACUAAACUUUUAAUUGAACUUUUAAUGAGGUUUGCCUCUCGGUCAACUUUGCUAUGGCAUUGGAGGGUCGCUCGUGUCUUUAGUGACCUUUCGCAUGUGUUCAAUGAUGCAAUGGAGGCUCUGUCCACCAGUGAUUAUCUAUCGAGCAAUCGAGCUUCGCCAUUUCUAUUCCUUAUUUGAUGGAGUUAGCCAACAACGAGCACGACCAUUUUAGGGUCCAUUCGUCAUAGCCGAAAUAAUAUAUUCUGGAGUUCUACUGUUCUUUUGGUCUUUACUAUAUUGGAUCCAAAUUGAAUGUGAAAGAGCUCUGACUUCUACUUCUAACAUAUUAUGAAAACUUUGGCCUUGAUGAAUUGUAUUAUGUCUGAGAAAUCUUGGCGACAGUGAGGACUUAGCUACAUAAUCCGUAUGGUACAUAUUUUCUUUGAUAUGAUGAGGAAUUGGCCACAGACAAAGAUGCCAACCUCAUCUAGCGGACUAUCCACAACCAUAUGGUACCUAAUAUGCACAAAUGAAAAAGCGCCUUUGAGCUCUCCGUGCACAUCAGCGGGGACAACAAAAGAUUAUUAAUUAGUCCUUAUUAAUUAAUCUCAUUCUUUCUCAACUACAUGGACUUUACCUUUUUUUAUAGUCGUGUCUUCCUCCUAUCUUAUCUCUCACUUGACAUAGAGCUAUGUAUCGUAAGCUCAUAACUAAGUAGGGCAUUAAAUUGGUCGAAUGUUCUUGAUCAGUCAGACCAGUGGAAUGAGCUACAUCCUCAACUAGCGUGCGCCCUUUCUCGGGUUCAAAGGGACUCCCCGUCGUCGAGAUCUAGCUAGGAACAAAGGUUCCCUGUCAUUUCGAUGCCGCAAAAACGCUUAUUUCGUUUCAUGAUUGUACAGCAAAAGCAAAGGUAAAGAGCCUACGUAUGUGACCCCAUUUCAGACACGUGGAAUACAAAGGCUGAAAUUAUUUGGGACCCACAAGCGUACCUAUCCCACGUCGGGACGUGAAAGUCCAAAAUUACCCCGCACGCAGGAAAUGGGAAAUAUUAAGAGCCUUUUUUAUAUAUGUAUGGAUGAAGAGAGAAGGGGGAAAAUAAGCAUUUUAGAAAUAUAAGUCCCAUGUCAACUGAUUAUAUUUGAACAUCUUGACAAAAUUGGUCUUGAUGGGUUAUCAACACUGUGAGCCUCCGUUACAUCCCACUCGAUGCAAAGGAGUAUAAGAAGAAGGCUUUGGUCAUGUGAAAGCAACGAUCCAAUUUCAAGAUUCAAAACAUCACAAUUUCAGCACAGGGUUGUCCGCCUGAGUAGCAAUUACAUCUAAACCCUUCUCGGUAUCAGGAAUAUAGCCAAUGAAUUAAUUACACAAUAAAAUCCAAAUGAAUUAUGAUGCUUAACAUGAUAUAAGAAGUUAUAACCCGUUAUAAUAUGAUAAUCUCUCUUUAGAUGGAUCUUGAAGUUAUCUAAUCAUGAAAAUUAUUUACUAGUUUUGAUGUUUCAAUUUGAAAGCAUUAAAGCGAAAAGGAUGGCUUUUUAAAGUCCUACCAAAUAAUUUCUUUUUAAUAAUUGAGAAUAGAAAUCAAUAGUCCGAGAAAUUUUCCUUAAUGAAACAAACCAUCGUUUUUUCAUGUUCUUCUCUCCUCUCUUGGCCCCUUCUCCUACUCCACUGAUGUCGCUUUAGUGCAAGCUUCGACAACCUUUGGCAGCUUUCUAGCUCAAGGAAGGCAGCCAGCACAUGAUUCAUGAAAUCUUUAAAAAGGGAAACAUUCAAUCAAAUUUCAAUUUGUUGAGUUUUUUAAACCCGUGGUCCGUAUGCUCGUAAAACCAGAGUCUUAUAAUUUAUCAUCUCUCGAAUUGUUGAUAUGAAUGCCAAGUACCAGAAUAUGACUCCACACUUUAUUCAAUAUCAUGACUAGGUAGAAGCCACAACAAAACUAUUUGGACAUUUGCCGGAAACCAUUAAAUGAGUAGAAUCGGUAGACCAAUUCUUGCCAAUGUUAUUGUGAACAAGUUGUCUUUACUUUCAUCGAACCAUCCCAACAUGAUGGUCUAUACUUGCAAAAACGAUUGUUAUCAAGUCUUGAUUUAAGAUUAACCAACUUGAUCAAAAAACACUUUGUAACAGAAGAGUCCUCAUUAUAUGAAGCACCAUUGCCCACAAGGACCAUGAGAAUGAUUCCUUGAAAGCAAGAUGAAUUUCAGCUCAAAACUUGAUAAAAUUUAAACUCAACUUGAACUUAACCUUCACGCGACUUCAUCGACCAAGCAUGAACUCCCAAAAGUUGCCGAGAGAUUGGGCAAAUAUCCUCAAGUCUCGCACCAAAGUUCUCGCGGAACAGCUAUGCACCACCCUUUUUUCCUCACUUUUUUGUCUCUAGUGGCCGGCCAAACCAAGAGUGAAGAUGAAUGGGUAGAAUCCACGUGGCAAACUUAGAGUUGUUAACUUUUCUUUUAUAAAGAAGGGUGGUCGGCCCCUUGAAAAAAUUGCAAUUUGGUCUGUCGGGGGAUCCAAUUUUUUGAGGGCUUUUUUAAUUUUUGUCCGGUCAACUUGAUCUCAGAUGCGUAGGCAAUCUUUUGUAUCUUUGGUUUGAUUUACUGGGCGAUGAGAAGAGUGAGCUGACGUAAAUCCCUCGGUGGCUUGUGCUAAUUCGAGCCAAAUUGACAUUUAGCCAACCUAGUUAAUCUUUUAAUGCCACGGUCUGCAUUAGAAAGUAUAAUACGUUCACAAUAAUUACGAUGAGCUAUGAUUGAAGUUGAUCAAUCAAGUGUGCGUUUGAUAAUAUUUUUGUUUAGGAGAAUAAUUUCUUUUUAUAUAUUUCUAUUUCCUGAAAUAUUUUUUUAGUAAAAGAAUACGUUUGGUGACUAUACAAAAUUUAUAUUCUCGAAAUAGAAAAAGAACAAAAAUGCGUUUGGUACAACUUACGAUUUUUUUUUGUAACGUAGAUCUUUUUUUUUUGCCCUCUCUUCUUCUUCUUGCUCCUCCUCUAGCCGGUAGUGGUGGCAUUCAAUAAGCGGCAGCAACUGGUGACCCGUGGCGGCGGCCACACGAUUGGCGGCAGUGGCUGGCGGACAACGAGGGGGUGGUGGGCUGUGAGGAAGAAGAAGAAAAGGAAAGAAAAGAAAAGAAAUAAAAUAACUUAUUUGUAAAAAUUGUUUCCUGAAAUAAGAAGUUAUUUUUUUUCUAUUUCUUAUUUCUAUUUCAAAUCUAUUUUCUAGCUAAUUUUCUAUUAUGAGAAAUAGAAAAAUUAGUUGAUGUACCAAAUAGAUUUCUGUUAUUAUUUUGUUCCGGAAAACAAAAGAAUAAAAGACUAGAGAAAUUGGCAAGUUACCAUACACAUCCCAAGGAACCAUAGAAGGGAAAUAGUUGCAUGGUUCAUGGUCUAUGGACCAUAUGCAAUCACAUCCGUUGAUUUUUGUAAUUUAUAUAACUAAUGAUUUUAAUAGACCCGAUUUAUGUGACCUAAGUAUUGGCAAGUCUAAUCUUACGAAGCCUAUUUGAGUUAGGAGAGAGAAUGAACUUCCUUGAGAAAUAGAAAUGAACCUGCCUUUUCUCUUUGCUUAUGAUGAUGCAAGUCAAUCUUCAAGUCUUUGUCCAACCCUCUUGUGAAGGCAAAGGAGAAAGCACCGAAGUAUGUCUUGUCUAGUCAAUUGACUCGUUAUGCAUUGGUCUGCACAUAGUCAAAUCGCACGUCAAAUAGGCUACUAAUUCGUGUGUUCACACAGGUACACACAAAGAUGCCAACACUUACAAGUUCCGUUUGGAAAUUGGCAACCCACUCGCAAGACCGGCAAAGCGCGAUUUGAAAUUUUGGCCCUGGAAAGUACCAGGAAACUCAGGUUGAUGUUAUAAAAAAAAUCAUAUAGGUCACACCUUUGAGAAUAUAAUAUUUAAAUAAUCUCAACUUUGUUAGAAUCAUCGCGAAGGAGGAAUCACAUUUUCUUUGUGAUUUCCAUUAAAAAACAACGUCAAAUUAAGUGGACUUGAACCCAAUCCCAAAUCAACCAGUAAACGAACAAUAGAGACGAAUCAGACAAAAUCAGCUUUUGAUUUGAAUAUUAGCAUCGGUGUACAAUUUCAAUUGGCGAGCAAUUUCAUUUUGUCAUCGUUCAAUCUAGCAUUGAAGGGCAAUCAUAACAUGCAAUCCUAGUCUAUUUUCAGCUUCAUGUAACUUUAUGGCAAUAGCAAAUAAUAUCGAGUAUGAAUGGCUUUAUGAAGGGAGGCUGCAGAGGUGGCUUCCAGGCAAAUGGCGCAUAGUACCAAAGUAAUAGCAAGCGGAACUCAUUUUAACUUGUCCAGAUACAUCCAACAUCUAACCGUUCACGUUCGGCAACACGCAACUUAUACUUCCGACGCCACCUCCUCCCCUUCGACGACUUUCAUCAACUUAGCCUGAAUGCUUUUGUUUGCUUAUGAAGGAAGGUCGCUGGUGCAUUACAGUGCCUGUUACUCUAGACACAACUCGCCCGGUCUCUACUCUUUGAACAACCAAUUAUACUUUCGAUUGGUAUUGCAGGUAUAAGGAAGGCAGCACGCGAUUGAUAAAGUUGGAUUAUGGGUGCGUUUAUUUUACGAAAAAAUGAAUAAUUUAAAAAAUAUUUUUUUUAAAAAAGAUUGUUUAUAUCGCUCAAUAUAAUUAGUCAAUGAAAAAUAUUUCCAUUAUUGACAAUAAUUUAUAUCUAAAUAUUUUCAUAAAAAAUGAAAAUAUUUUUCAUUCAUUAAUUUUUAUAAGUGAUAUAAGUGUUCAUUUUUUAGAAAAAAAAUAUUUUUCAUAUCAUCCAUUUUUCGCGAAACAAACGGAGCUUAAGUUAAAAGUCAAUGUUCUAAGACAGUUAAGUGGUUCAAUUCAUAAGAAAUUAACAUUGUGCAUUCUAAGUUGCAAUAUGUAAGUGGUUCAAUUCAUAAGUUCCUCUGUUUCUGUAAUGAGUUUUCAUGCAAUAAUUUUCCUUCUUGUAGAUUCUGAGUUGAUUUUUUUUUUUUUUUUUUUUGCCUGUGAUGUUUUUUCAGUUGAAGAAACAAUUAACUACAAAUAUUCAAGAGUCGCUGGCAUGUUCAUGGUUUUAAUGAUUACUGACACUCUUUUCUGUGGCAUUUCUUUUCACUCUACUAAAAGAUUUACCUACCAAUGUUCAAAUGUAUAAAUUACGGUAGUGCGAACCUCGAGCUCAACUCCUAUUAGACAUUAGAUGCUCGGAACUCCACUCGAGGCAUGGAGUAUUCAAUUUCCAGCUUGAGCUUGACCAGAAAAAAAUGGAGAUAUCAAGCUCAAGUAGACUCGACACAAUCACGUUAUAAAAUGAGUUCAAGCUCUAGCUCAAUAUGUUCAAAUAUUAUCCUUUUCAUUUAUGUAAUUAUAUAUGUAUAUCACAACUUUUAAAUAUCUUGCCCUUUAUUUUCCAUAGCUAUCAAAUAUUUAACUGAACAAAAGAAUAGAAAGUUGAUUAAUAUGGCGAGUCUCUCAAACAGAAUAUAAUGAGCUUGAUUUGUUUGUUUUUUUGGUCGUGAAUAAAAUUCUCGUUGAUAGAUUAAGAUUUGUUUAGCUUAACGAAAGCAAAAUGGAAGUUUGGCUCCAGCAAAGAAAAACUAAUCCUUUUUAAAAAAUAUAUAUAUAUAAUUAGCAGAACAAAGCAAUUGAAAUAUGCUUUUUCUAGCCUAGAAAUAAAUGAAAAAAUUCCUCAUUCCAGAAAACAAAACAGACAAAAAAGAAUAAAGGGGAUUUAUUAUGCUUCCUUUGCGGUCACACCAAAUUUGAGUGGACCUCACAAACCAAUUGAAAUCAUCUCUUUUAUAAAUCAUACUACAUAAAUCAUCUAAUGUUAUUACAAUUCAAUGUAUGUCUAAAUGAUAAAGUACUAAGAAAAGCAUCUUGAUUGGGAUCCAAUGAUUUACACCAUGAUCGAAUUGCCCAGUUCGAAUUAGAAACAAAUCCAGGGGCUUUUGUCUUUGCUUAGAACAUACGCAAGUUCACCGUCAAGUCUUUGUCCAACCUGCUUGUUAAGGCAAUGAAAAAGCACUAAAGUACGUUUAUCUAGUCAAUUCGCUUAGCAUGCCCUGGUAUGCACAUAUCCAAAUUUCACAUCAAAUAGACUUGGCAACUCACCCACAAGACCGGCAAAACGUGUUUGGCCCAGGGAAAAUACCAGGAAACGUGGGUCGAUAUUCAUUAAAAAAAGAAAGAAAAAGAAAAGCAUAAAAACCCUCAUUCGAGAAUAAAAUGUUUCAAAAAUCUCAACUUCGUUCGCAUCAUUGUCAAGGAGGAACCAUAUUAUCUUCGCACUUUCCAUCAAGAAUCAGCUAAAGUUCAAUGAGGACUCUUUUGCUCAUUGAAAGUGAUUUAUUUUGUAAACAUAGUUUGCAAAGCAAAACUCAAAUUGCAUGAAAGAUUAAAAUGAGCAUCGACUUGAAAUUAAAGAAUAUAGAAAAAUUUAACAAUGUCCUCUAAAUUUUUUAAUAAUUAAGUCCAUUUAAAGUGUGGAAACUUCUAAGUAGGUUGGCCAACUAAAAUCGCAAAGUAAAAAAUCUAGGAAGGGCAUGUUUUGGAAAUUUUUUUGGAGUUCGUUCACGGGGUCUGAAUAUUAAGUAUGAAUCAUAGUUAAUAUUUUGUGAUCUAUUUCAUGCUCUAGAUACUCAAAUACACCCCUUGCCUAUGGCAGUGAGGGCCGGGACCCUCAUUUGUGGUCGGGAUCUUAUGAUCUAUGUCUAAAUUGUAAAACUAUAAGAUAGCAAAGCAUAUUGGCUGGUCUCUUAAAAUAUGUUAUCCAAAGCAUGCCGCUCAACUACUUCUCCAGCAUGCUGCUUAGCUCAUGGGGUUGAGAAUAUAAUGUUCUUUAAUUGAUCGCCUUCCAUAAAAUCAAAUUAAAAAAAUCAAAAUCCUUGUCCCGAUAAUAAGAGUUGUCGGUUAAGACAAUUUUUCUCUUCAAGACUUAGUCGUAACCCGUGGAUUUUUUUGGAUGGUGUUUGAGAAAGCCAAUGUGAAAUGUAAGCACCACCUCACAUAGGGUUAUAUUUGUCCGCCUAGCAAUAGGUUAAACUCUCUCGGCGUCCACUCCAGUAGGAUCGUGACAAUGUGCAUAUUCAAGAUAUGCUUGAUUCAAAGGUAAUGCUUCGUUCAUAAUGUAAAGAUGUGCAAUCAUCAAAUUUCAUAUCACAAGUCAACAUUCAGAAAUUCAAUCAAUGACAUUCAAUGAAUGGAUGUCAAGUUAUUCAAACAAAAGAAUGGAGUCAGAAUUAUCUGAAAGUUGUUUCUUUGUAAUAUUUGAGAAUAAUUAUUCGAAAAUUAGCACAUAGACUCUCGGUUCACAGAUCAAUGACGUUCGAGGACUCUAUUCAGACCAUUUGCCUUACAGCCAUUUGGUGCGAUAUGGAUCUUUUUAACUUAUCAAGGAAUGCCGCAAGUAACUUCCAGACAAAUGGAACAAAAUAUCCAAGUAAUAGUCGGUGGAACAUAUAUCAAGUUGUCCAAUACGUCCAACAUUCAAAGAACAUGCAAUCAUAUAAAAUAAUUCCGAGACAACCUCCUCGUCUUCGAAGACUAACACCAAUUAUCUCCUCACACUUAGCCUCCUAUUUGGUGCUGAGUCUGAAUGGUGUUUUUUUUUCCUCUGAUGAAGGAAGGCCCAGGUAACUUCCACGCAAGUAGUACAUGAUAACAAAGUAAUGGCAAGCGGAAAAUAUAUUGAGUUGUCCAAUACGUCCAACAUCAAACUGAACAAAUUAAUAGAAUUUUUCUGGCCAAGAAAUUAUAAUAGAAACUUGAUUAAUAUGGUGAGUCUCUCAAACAGAUAUAAAUGAGCUCGAUUUUCUUUUUGUUCAUGAAUAAAAUUCUAAUUAAAAGAUUUGAGAUCAUGCUAACACCAAGCACAAACAACUGGUUUUUUUUACCAAUACAGCACACUAGUAGGUGGAAUAAUAGCAAGAAUCAAUUGAUCAUGCCGAAUAGCACGAAUCUAGAUUGAAAAUAAGAAGAUCUGCUUUGUUUGGCUUAGCAGAAUGGAAGUUUGGCUCAGCUUUGGCUCAGAUGAGAAAAGCUAAUCCUUUUUUAACAAACAUGAUUAAUUAUCCCCACACAGGCAUGAUCAAAUAUCGCCACACAGGCAUGUUCUACACCACACGAACGGAUUAAUUGUCGCCACACAAACAUCAUCAAAUAUCGCCACAUAGGCAUGAUCAAUUAUCACCACAUAAGCAUGAUCAAUGUGAUAUAUAUUCAACAAUUUACGUGCAUUCUCUAAGGCAUCCUAUAUGCCAAAGCGAUGUAAUAAUCGCCGAGCCACGUCACACGGCAUUUCUUCUCAUCUUUUAUCAUACCAGAUAAAAUAUAGUGCGUGGGCACACGGUUGGCCUUAGCCAAAAUAUAAUAUUUUCCUUUCCAUAACUCCUACACUUUCUAUAGUCCACUAAAAUAUUUUUAGCAUUAUUAACCGAUGCCCGGCUAUUUUUCAACUAAUAACCAACCUUAUUCAAUUUAGGAAUAAAUCCCAAAUUCAUAGAUAAUUCAAUUCAGCACCAAAUAAAACUCAAUUAAAUAAAUGGACUGCGUUAUGACAAUCAGCAUAAAAUUCCGAUCGUCGACUAUCCUUGCCUAAUUUUUGGAAAAUAAAUAAUUAAUUAAUUAAUUUCGAAAAUUAAUAAAUUGAUACUAAAAACCCAAUUUAGGCCCGUAAUGCCUAAUCAGACGCUAGAACGGAUCGGGAAAAAUCCCAAGAUGCAUUCAAUAAAUAUGAGUAUGUCUCUACUUGUUAAUUACACAAACUGAUCGCCUAAUAUGCAUCAUUAAGUCACUAAUUAAAUCACUCUAAACUAAUCUAACCACCUAAUUACACUUAAUUAAAUCUAAUCAACCCUUAAGCAUCAUUAACCGACUAAUAAGGGAUCAGUGAGCAAAACUCACUUGAUUAACACGCAGGUCGGAUCAAACUGACGGGAACGUCAUGGGGGACAUUUUUCUCCAAAGCGGGCCUAGGGUCCGGGGCUCACAAGCACCUCAAAACGGCUUCCAAAGCUUGCUAUAAACCCACUAUUUUUCUUGCUGUUCUUGGCUGGAAUUGAAGGGAAAUCAACUCUGUUUAGGCAGGAAUUGCUCGGGAAUGUAAGAAUAGGCCAAAUCGGGCCUAAAGGAGGAUUCACAAGGGUUAAAUGAGCUCGGGACAGCCCCUGGUGAGCUGCAACAAAACCAGGACAGCAGCUGGGAGGCGAGAGGGAUGCAGCCAAGGGACGGUGUGUGCAGGCGGCGGCGCGUGAACCUGCGACGGCGAGGCGGCGAUCCGGCGUGAGGCAGCUGCAGCUUCUUCUUUGCUGCUGGUUUUGUCCAAAAUGAAGAGAGAAUGGAGUGGAUGGCAAGAAGAAGGAGAGAAGGAAAGGAGUGUGGAGGAAGCUUGGCCUUGGUGGGUCCUUUGGCCAAUUUUUUCCCACCAAGUUGUCUCCCAAAUACUUGCCCAUCGAAUGGUCCAUUUUGCUAGGCUAUGGGGGUAGUUACGAAUUUGGCACAAAUCUUUCUCAAUUGGACACCAUUCCUCACUCAAUUCAAUUCAUUGCCGUUUAAAAUUCAAUGACAUCUCAAUGCCUCCACUGAUAAUUUCCUCACCCAAUAUCCAUCUGCAUCUCAAAUUGCAACUAAAAAUAAUCAUCGGCCUUGAUUGAACAAAAACGGUCAUAAACCGACUUUUUCCUAAAAAGUCUCGGUUGUCAGAAAAAUCUUCUGAGACUGAGUCAUGGGUCUUAGAAUUUAUUGUGACAUGACAUGAUUUUCAAUUUCUAAAAUUGGACUUGAAUUGGCGGUUAAUUUCCAUCCAACGCGUUUUUAGCGUAACUUAGGCUAUCGGGUAGUUUUCAAAACUUUUUAAGGCAAAUGACCCGUGGUUGAUUUUCUUCGAACCACUAUGAACCCACUCGACACAUUGACGACUCGUGGUUGUUGUGAAAAUCUCGAUGAUUCAAAUACGGACACAAGACACCAAAAUGACAAUAAAAUCAAAUUAGUGUCGAUCGAUGAGAAUUUCCCAAUUUAACGGUAUCACCCACGAUCGGCCACACAUCUUAGUCGAAUCGACCUAUCUCUGAUCUCAAAUUGAUUUUAUAUUAUGCCGUAAUGACUUCUAAAGAUGAGCACGAUCGAGAAGCCGAUUCUUGGUUGAAUUCUCCAGUCUAUUGCCUUAAAAUUUCUUAAUGACUUCCCCAGAUAGUCUAGUUAUCUCCUGAGUGGCCAUCUUAGAGAAAGCAUUAUAGGCGCAUCAAUGAAAUGUUCGAUUUAUUCAGUAGAAAACAGGACUGAAAAUCUAGGAUGUCACAACUCUCCCCCUCUUAUAAAAAUUUCAUCCUCGAAAUUUAAACAUUUACCAAUCCCUAAACAAAAAGGUGGGGGUAUCGUCGUCUCAUCUAGUCUCACUUUCCCCGGUUGCUUCUUUAGUCUGGUGGCAUUGUCAGACCACUUUGACCAAGGGGACUAUCUUGGUUCACCGAAUCUGUUUUGAACCACAAUAUGAACUGGGCUUUUCACGUACAACACUCUGUCUUCCACGUCUAAUUCUUCAAGAUUUAGCACGUGGGUCUAGUCAGGUUCAUACGUCCUCAACCUCAAAAUGUGAAAGGCGUCAUGCACUUGUGCCUACCUCGGCGACGACGCAAGAUAAUAUGUUCGGAUCCCGAUUCUUUUCAGAAUCUCAAAGGAACCUACUUACCUCGAUUUAAGUUUUCCCCCUCAUUGUCGAAGCGCAAGGUAUCCCUCAUUAGUGACACCUUCAGAAAGAUGUAAUCACCAAUUUGGAACUCUAAGGGCCUUCAAUACUCAACGAUACAACUUUUCUGGCAGCUCUGAACGGUCUUUAAUCUGUUUUUGAUCACGGCAACUGCAAUCACUAAUUGCUGAAUUGACUCUGGGCCUGUGAUAUUUCUUUUUCUGAUCUCAUCUCAACAAACUGGAGUUCUGUACACUCUGCUAUGUCCUGCCUCAAAAGGAACUAUCUAACUGUUCUGCUGAAACUGGGAACCUCGGUUCUAGAUCUAAUAUAAGUUCGUCACUAAUACUCCAUGCAAACGAACUGUCUGACACACACACACUUUUGUACGCCUAUUCCAAUCAAGAUCCUUUCAUACGGCGAUAAAGUGAGCCGACUUCAUCAGUCUGUCGAUCACUACCUCAAUUGGAGUGAUUAUUCCUCUGACUUCUUGGUAAACCUAUCACAACAUUCCAUCGUGAUAUACUUCCCUUCCCACUCGGGACUCUCGAGUGAUUGUAAAUGCCCUCUCGGUUUGCAUUAAGGAACUUUCACUUACUAGCACAUCUGACACUCACAACCUGUUCGACGGCAAUUAUCUUCAUAUCGAUCUACCAAUCGAGCUGACGUUGAUUCUGACCUACCUCACACUGUAUGUCAAAUACUGCAACUACUACCAUGAAUUCCUAAGUCUCUUCCUUGAGUGUUACAUCAUCAGGUACACCCAAUCACUCUCAGAACCUCAGUGUUCCAUCCUUAGAAAUCUCAAAGUCAGUCUCUUUCUUAUCAGUAUUCUUCUAUAGGAUUUUUUUGACAUCUGGGUCCACCAACUGAAACGUCUUGAUCCUGAAUUAAACAUUCGGUUCAAUUCUGAGGGUGGCCAUAAAAUUCAAAAGGUGGCCUACCUCAAAUUUGAAAACCAAAUUUCGAACCCUUUUCAAGUAAGGUCAAUUCCUUAACCAGCAUACGAGCAACUGAAGAUUCUUGACUCAACACAUUUGCGAACUUAUUUGCUGUUCCGGGGUGAUACCAGAUAUCACCAUCCUAAUCUUUUAAAAGUUCCGAUUCACGACAAUGUCUCAUACUCAACUCCUUCUAAGAUAAUAAAUACCGGAGACUUUAAUAGUCGAUGAAGAUCUGGAAUUUCUCUUCAUACCAAUGAUGUCUUAAAAUCAUUAGAGCGAAAAUUAUUGCUGCGAGUCCUAAGUCAUGCAUCGGGUAGUUCAACUCAUAAGGUCUCAACUAGCGGGACGCGUAUGUAACAAUCCUAUCAUGUUACAUCAGCAUGCAACUCAGUCUUCUGUAGUAAUCUGUCCAAUCCAUCCGGCUUUUGGUCUCUAAUACUGUUGUCGGUCUUGGUCAAUUAAUCAUGGCUUCAAUCUUGCUCGGGUUCACUGAAAUUCCUUCACCUGAGAUCACAUGCCCUAAGAAAGUAACACGAGUUAGCCAAAACUCGCACUUGCUAAACUUAGUGUACAACUGAUGAACUAUCAGCUUUUGCAGCACUAAUCUCAAAAGAUUCUCAUGCUCUCCAUCACUUCUCGAAUAUACCAGAAUAUCAUCAAUGAACACGAUCACAAACUGAUCUAGGUAUUCCUUGAAUACCCUGUUCAUCAAAUCCAUGAAGGCAGUUGAAGCAUUCGUCAACCCGAACGGCAUUACUGUGAACUCGUAAUGAUCAUACCAAGUACGAAAUGCUGACUUAGGAAUAUCCUCCUUCUUAAUUCUUAGUUGGUGAUAUCCUAUCCUCAAGUCGAUCUUUGAAAAUAUUGACUCCUUGUAACUGAUCAAACAAGUCAUCAAUCCUCUGCAGUAGAUACUUGUUGUUGAUUGUUACCUGAUUGAGUUGCCGAUAGUUGAUGCCUAAGAGCAACGAACCAUCUUUCUUCUUCAAAAACAAAACUGGUGCUCCCCAAGGUGAUGCACUAGGGCGGAUAAAUUUCUUAUCCAAUAACUCUUGCACCUGCACCUUCAGUUCUUUCAACUUAGAUAACGUCAUCCGGUAAGAAGCCUUAGAGAGUGACUCUGUCCCGAGUGCUAGUUCGUUCGCAAAUUCUAUCUCUUUCUCUAACGAUGGCCUGACAAUUCUUGUGACAACACAUCUAGAAAUUCUUGGACUACUGAGAUGUCCUCAACGUUCAGUUCUUCAAUUUGUCUUAUCUAUGACAACCGCCAAGUAUCCUUGGCAAUCUCCGUCUAAUUAAUAGGUUGCCUUCGGCCAACGAGAUUAAUGAAAUCGAAGAUUCUUUUCAACUCCUAAUAACCUCGAUGCUUUCACAUGCUAAUGGACUAAAUUGGAUUUCUCCAUGACCAUAAUUCAUUACCACAAGGUGCUUCAUGAGCCCACUCUACUCAUGUGGCGUCCAAAUUAUAUUUGAACAACUAGUCAAACACGACUAUAACUAGUGUUUCCCCUUUCUUCCACUUUAUUUCAACUAACUGAAAUUCUGCAAAUUCAGUCCAAGGUUUUGCUGUUCUACUCUGAUAAAAUCUCCCCAUGAACAUUCUUCUUCUAAUUGGUGUAGGGUUGAUUCCAUUCUUGUUCCUUUCGCCAUCCUAAUGGCGUCCUAUCUCUGGUAGUGGUAUCUGUGCUCCUUUGGAUUCUCACUGGUAGUCUUUCACCUAAUGGUCGUGCAGGUCAUAAUUACAACAUGUUCUAGUCAUUCUUGAACACUGGAUUUAUCCAUGUUUCCUUCUACAAAUCUGACACCUAUCUAGUGUGUCUUCUAUCUCCUAUUAGGUGACAGCAUGCACUCUUUUUGGUACCAAAGGUCUAAUCCAAAACUCCACUGUGCGUUCUAUGGCGCACUUCAUUUGAUCUGUCCCAUCGGCCUUCUAGGACUGUCUCCGGCCAGGUAACCCUGUUGGCUAUACUUGAAACAAAUUUUUGUCCUAAGAAAACAUAAGGCCAAUCUUUGCCGCCACGCACGGGAACAACAUGUUCCAUUUUGACUCAGUGCUGACCUAACUGUCCCACCCUUCCUAUUGGGUGGAAUAGAAUACUUUUCUCUUAACAUCAGUCUUUUCCCCGACCAAUUUCCAUCUCUGCUUGAACUGGAUCUAUACCUCGACUUGGAUGCAACGGCUCAUUCCCAGAUCAUAUCUUCACACUAGAGCUCAGCAUGUGUGGCAACAACGGCGGUUGCGGCACUGACGGCAGUAGUGAUAGCAACAAUAGCGGCAGCUCAGUCCUAAGCUUGUUGGCUCAAUCAAUUCCAAGGACACUAGCACCUGAACGAUCCCAUCAAACUUAGGAUCACUUGGUGCUGCUACACUAGUACCGGCCUACAACGGUACUCUUACACUCGCGUUGGCCUGAGCCAAUGCUCUGCCACAACUGCCUCGGGCACCGAUCCUUGUUGGUGUUCCACCCCGAGUCACAGAGGUUACAAGCCUCUUACUAGGAGUCCUCAGCUCCUGAUCACUCAUGCUACAUGAUCUUUAUAGAAAUAUGUUUUCUAAUUCUAAUACCAUAUUAGAAUUUGAGUGACCCACACAAACAAGCUACCAAUAAGCUAGCAUCAACAUGCACCAGCAUGAAUUUAAAUGCUUUUCCCACUACUAUCCCAUGGUCCAACGCACCUUAUCACUCAAAUCCCUAACGACCAUGCUCUGAUACCACAUAAUGGGGAUGUCAUGCCUCGAUCCUCGGGCAUGCACCCAUCCUUGACCUUGGUCAAUUAAUAGCAACGUCCUAGGAUGAAACAUUGACCCUUUCUUUUUAAUAUGCACAUGUGGAAGUAAUUAUAAAUCCCCAGACAAUAAAACAAUGGGAUAGGAAAGUAGGGCUAUAUUUUUCUCAAAUGAAAAACCAUAACCACACUUUUAUACCAGGCAAACCUCAUAGUAUAUAUUAUAAUACUAUUAACAAGAGUCUGAUCUAUCUCAUAACACUUCACACUCAGGGUUUGCAAAAUAGGGUGGGGUCUCAAUCCUCAUCCGGGUCAUAAUACUCCGGAUCAUCCUCGGAAUCCUCCUUGGACUUCUCCUCCGGUUCCUCAUCAGGGUCCUCUUCGGUUUCUUCUUCCUCAAGUUCCUCUUGAAAUGUUUUUCCACAACCGGGCUGAGACUAUGUCUCAGUAAGUUCUACCCCCUAAGACCCGAUUAGUAAGAAAAUACGCCUUAGGGGCUACCUAAGCACAACCACACAACUUGAACAUGCAAUUGUCGAUUCGCAUACAUCCUUACCUAGUAUGCCAUAGCCUGCACGUUAUAAUUCAGCAUGAUACACGCAAUGCACAUGGCCAUUAGAUGAUGCAAUCAUCAAUCACAUGAGUCACGUCACAAGUGACCUUACCUGGCUAUUGCCACACCCUGCACGUCAUUGAUUCACAAGUGCCAUAAACGAUGUGCUUAACUCAUGCCUUUAAAUUAAUUUCAGCCACACAGGCACAAUACCCAACACACAGAAAUACAGCCUAAUAGGCUCGACAUUACACCACACAAGCACGUUCCAAGCCACACAGGCCUGAUGUUACGCCACACAUGCAUGAUCUAUUUUCGCCGCACAGGAAUGUUCUACACCACAUGAACAUGAUUAAGUAUCGCCACACAUGCGUGAUCAAAUAUUGCCACAAAAGCAUGUUCUACACCACACGAACAUGAUAAAUUAUCGCCACACAGGCAUGAUUAAUUAUCCCCACACAGGCAUGAUCAAUGUGAUAUAUAUUCAACAAUUUACGUGCAUUCUCUAAGACAUCCUAUAUGCCAAAGCGAUGUAAUAAUCGCCGAGCCACGUCACACGGCAUUUCUUCUCAUCUUUUAUCAUACCCGAUAAAAUAUCAUGCGUGGGCACACAAUUGGUCUUAGCCAAAAUAUAAUAUUUUCCUUUCCAUAACUCUUACAUUUUCUAUAGUCCACUAAAAUAAUUAUGGCAUUAUUAACCGAUGCCCAGUUAUUUUUCAACUAAUAACCAACCUUAUUCAAUUUAGGAAUAAAUCUCAAAUUCACAGAUAAUUCAAUUCAGCACCAAAUAAAGCUCAAUUAAAUAAACAGAUUGCGCCAUGACAAUCAGCAUAAGAUUCUGGUCGUUGACUAUCCCUGCCUAAUUUUCGAAAAAAUAAAUAAAUAAAUAAAUAAUUUCAAAAAUUAAUAAAUAAAUACUAAAAAUCCAAUUUAGGCUUGUAAUGCCUAAUUGGACGCCAGAAUGGAUCAAGAAAAAUCCCGAGAUGCAUUCAAUAAAUACGAGUAUGUCUCUACUUGCUAAUUACACAAAUCAAUUGCCUAAUAUGCAUCAUUAAGUCACUAAUUAAAUUACUCUAAACUAAUUUAACCACCUAAUUGGACUUAAUUAAAUCUAAUCGACCCUUAAGAAUCAUUAACCGACUAAUAAGGGAUUAGUGAGCAAAACUCACUUGAUUAACGUGCGAGUCGGAUCAAACCGACGGGAACGUUGCAGGGGACGUUUUUCUCCAAAGCGGGCCUAAAGUCCGAGGCCCGCAAGCACCUCAAAAUGGCCUCCAAAGCUUGCUGGAAACCCACUAUUUUUCUUGCUGUUCUUGGCUGGAAUUGAAGGGAAAUCAACUCGGUUUAGGUGGGAAUUGCUCGAGAAUGUAAGAAUAGGCCAAAUUGGGCCUAGAGGAGGACUCACGGGGGUUCAACGAGCUUGGGACAGCCCCGGGUGAGCUUCAACAGAAUCGGGACAGCAGCUGGGAGGUGAGAGGGUGGCGGCCAAGGGGCGGUGUGUGUGGGUGCUACGCACGGGGCGGCGGCGCGCAAACUGGCGACGAUGAGGCGGCGAUCCGGCAUGAGGCGGCUGCAGCUUCUUCUUUGCUGUUGGUUUUGUCUAAAAUGAAGAGAGAAUGGAGUGGAUGGCAAGAAGAAGGAGAGAAGGAAAGUAGUGUGGAGGAAGCUUGGCCUUGGUGGGUCCUUUGGCCAAUUUUUUUCCACCAAGUUGUCUCCCAAAUACUUGCCCAUCAAGCCAAUAAUCCAUGGCUGUCAUUGAUCCACCAAAUGGUCCAUUUUGCUAGGCCAUGGGGGGAGUUAUGAAUUUGACACAAAUCUUUCUCAAUUGGACACCGUUCCUCACUCAAUUCAAUUUCAUUUGGCCUUUAAAAAUUCAAUUGACAUCUCAAUGCCUCUAUUAUAAUUUUCCUCACCCAAUAAUCCAUCUUGCAUCUCAAAUUUGCAACUAAAAAUAAUCCUCGGCCUUGAUUGAACAAAAAGGUCAUAAACCGACUUUUUCCCAAAAAGUCUCGGUUGUUAGAAAAAUCCUCUGAGACUAAGUCGUGGGUCAUAGAAUUUAUUGUGACAUGACAGAAUCUUCAAUUUCUGAAAUCGGACUUGAAUUAGCGGUUAAUUUCCAUUCGGCACAUUUUUAGCGUGACCUAGGCUACCGGGUAGUUUUCAGAAAUUUUUAGGGCAAAUGACCCGUGGUCGAUUUUCUUCAAACCACUAUGAACCUACUCGACACAUUGGCGACUCUCAGUUGUCGUGAAAAUCUCGAAGGUUCAAAUACGAACAUAGGGCACCAAAACGACAAUAAAAUCAAAUUAGUGUCGGUCGAUGAGAAUUUCUCAAUUUAGUGGCAUCACCCACGAUCGGCCACACAUCUCAGUCGAACGGACCUAUCUUUGAUCUCAAAUCGAUUUUAUACUGUGUCGUAAUGAUCUCUAAAGAUGAGCACGGUCGAGAAGCCGAUUCUUGGUCAAAUUCUCCAAUCUAUUGCCUUAAAAUUUCUUAAUGGCUUCCCCAUAUAGUUUAGUUAUCUCAUUAGUGGCCAUCUCAGAGAAAAGCACUAUAGGCACAUCAAUGAAAUGUACGGUUUAUUUAGUAGAAAAUAGGAUUGAAAAUUUGGGAUGUCACAUGUGUUGCUGGGCUUGUUGCCGUGGAGAGAAUGCUGGUUCGGUGGAGUCUUGCUGGAGUGUGUUGACCAGGCAAAAUGGCAGAUGUGGACUUCGUCGGGGAAGCUAUCUCGACGGGAAAAUUAAGAACAAGCUGUAGGACAAUUGGGGGCAAAAGAUGGUGGAGAUGGCAGAACAUGUGCAGGGAAAAUGAAGGUGAAAGAGAAGCUAUCCAGGGGGCUGGCGGAGCGGGUGUAGGCAAGAGAGAAAAGGUGAGGGGCAGCUGGCAACGUGCGAAUAAAAGAGAGGAGGGAGAGUGGGGCUUCGGCAAGGAGACCAGAGGAUAAGUAUGACUCAAAAAGUCAAAGAAGUGGGGAAAGAUGGUGGGACACGACAUAGGAGCUGUCAGUUUGGGGGGGAAAACGUGGGAGUGAGAGAGAGAGAAAAAGGAAGGGAGAGACGUGCGGUCGAAGGGGGGGGGGGGGUGGGAAAGAAGUAAAAAAAAAAGGAAAUUCCCAUAACCAUAAUUCUUGGUCACACUUGCUCUUAUUUAAUCCAAUCUAGUCCCAAAAAAUCUCCAUGCCAAAAUACUUAAUCCUCACUUACUUUGUUGCACCAAAUUUCCCCCAAAUAACAAGUCUUGGGCAACAAAAACGGCUAUUUCCCUCAAUUCCGAAUUCUAUGUCUUUUUUUUUCCUCGGAAUCCAUUUACUGAACAAACCUCUCAGAUUGAGGUCCAAUUUCGUUGAAGAAAAAGCCUACACAACUUCCUUUCACCAAGUAGUUCACACAGAGGCCAAAUCUCUUCAAUUUGGCCAAUCCGAAUUUCCGUUCGUUUUUCGAAUCGUUCCGAAUCGACUUUUCGUAAAAAUCCUAAACUCACCGAAAAUUCCUCGAAAAAUGAGUCGAUGUUCCUAAAAUGGCUUGUGUCACGACAGAACUUUCAAUUUCUGAAAUUGGAUUCAAAUUCGCGGUUAAUUUCAAUCCGACAUGAUUUUAGCGUGACCUAGGCUACCGGGUAAUUUUCAUAAAUUUUUAAUGCAAAUGACCCUUGAUCGAUUCUCUUUGAGCCACAACGAACCUCUUUGACACUUUGGCAACUCUCAAUUGUCGUGAAAAUCUUGAUAUUUCAAUUACGGACACAGGGUACCAAAACGAUAGAAAAAUUAGUCUAGUAUCGGUCGACGAGAAUUUUGUAGUUUAGUGAAAUCACCCACGCUUAGCCACAUAUCCUAGUCGAACUGACAUAUCUCUGAUCUUUAAGCGAUUUUUAACUGUGCUGUAAUGAUCUUUGCAAAUGAGCAUGGUCGAGUAAUCGAUUUCUAUCUAUUGCAUUAAAAUUCUUUUAUGACUUCCUCAGAUAGUCUAGUUAUCUCAGGAGUGAUCAGCUCUGAAAAUAACACUAUAGAUGCGUCGAUGAAAGGCCCGAUUAAUUUAAUUGAAAGCAGAACGGAAAAAUUCAAUAUGUCACAUUUUGGAAGUCUAAUUGAGGGGAGGCUUACACAACUAAAACUAGUUGUACAAAAAUUCAAUCCAAUAAAUUACUUUUUUUAUGUCAAACAACUUGAAUUAGUGUUCUGGACAAAGAAACAAAGUAAUGGCGAGAGUAGCACGUCGAGAGUAGCACGUGACUUUUCCUGCCAAGACUUUCAUUAAUUAUUUCUUCAACUAGUUGGUGCGAGUCUGAAAUUUUUUUUUUCCCUUUUAUUUUUAUUUUUUAUUUUUUUAUAUACAUGAAGGAAGGCCGCAGGUGACUUCCAGGCAAUAGAGCUUAGUAACAAUGUAAUAAUAAUAUAUAUUUCUGAGACCACGUCCGAGGACGACGACUUCCAUCAGUUCUUUCCUAUUUAGUGCGAUCCGUGUGGCCCUUCUUUUAAGCUUAUGAAGGAAGGCUGCAAGUGACUUCCAGGCAAAGGAUUAUUUCCUCAACUGAGCGAUCUCACUCUGUUUGCGUGGGGGCUUUUAGGCCAAGGAGCAAACGGGAAAAGGUAAGGAAAGUUCCAUUAGAUGUUUGCGUGGGGAAGAGCUUCAUUUUUUAGUUGGACUGUUGUUUCCAAGACCAAACAGACUUGCCUAUUUGUAGGCUCGUUUCGACUGUCGUUCUUCAGUUAAUUUCUCUGAACAUUGUCUCUGCUUGUUCUUUUCGCAUGCUGAAUAUUUUAUUAGCCAUUAUUUUUAACUAUCACAAAUUAAGCUAGAGAUCACCAACUACAACUACCAACUAGAGACUUGAAUCUUACAGAAGUCUAGCAGUUUCUAGAAAUUUGAUCAAGACGUCCGUAGCUUUAUCAAGUUGUUUCAAGGAUCAGACUCAAGACUUCCCGAGUCACCCCGCAGACUCGAUUCUGAGAUCAAUAACUCCAUUGUCCUCUUGGAAUGAACAGAAAUAGUGAGGCAGAAGAGACGGUGGCACCCGCGGCGACAGCGAUGGAGGUGGCGACAGCAGCUCCGGCAAGCAGCAGUCAUGAUGGUGGAUCGGAGAGGGGCCUGAUGGCGGUGGCAACGGCAGCUCUAACGAGCAAUAGCCAUGAUGGCAGAUUGGGGAGGACCCAUGAGGUAUUCCUGAGUUUUAGAGGACCUGACACCCGUUUAACCAUUGUGGAUUCCCUGUACAAAGCCAUUGAACAUGCAGCAAUCAGUGUUUUCAAAGAUGACGAAGAGCUCCGAGUCGGUAAAGAGAUUGGAGGUAAUCUUAUGCAAGCAAUCAAUGAAUCCAGAAUUUACAUCCCGAUUUUCUCCAAAAACUACGCUUCAAGUAAGUGGUGCCUCCGUGAGCUCGCACACAUAAUGAAGUUAUCGAGAGACGACAUUGAGAAAGUGAUACUCCCUAUAUUCUAUGAUGUGGAUGCGGAUGAUGUUAAGCUUAAGACUGAAUUAUAUAGGACAGCCCUCCAAAUUCACGAGAGUGACUCUGGGAAGGAUAUGGCAAAGCAGUGGGAGGAGGCUUUAAGAGAGGUUGCUGGAAUUAAAGGAUGGAAUCUAAAAGAUUACGGGUAUUGUUAGCUUCUUCCAUUAAGUUUAUUUUCAUUUCGUCAAUUUCGAAAUUAUAUUCUAUGAUACUUUUUCCAGAGUAAUAACUUUCAGUUUGCUGCUGUCGAAUCUUAUAUGAUGUAUGGUUGAUCGGCCGCAGUGAGGGAGGCAGAAAUUUUGCUCAGGGAGCAAGGUUUCUUGCAUAAAUUGACUUUUCACUUUUAAUCCCAAGUUUUGAUAACAAUAGUAUCAAGAUAUGUCAACUUAAUUAAUCAAUCAUUAAUGCAAAAAGAAUAUUUAUGAAAAUCUAAGAGUUGAUGAAAUAAUAAGACAACAUAUGUGUGAAAAAUAAAAAUUUAAAUCUCUUAACUUUGCAGCUCACUUUUCGGCUAGCAAAAUGCUUUUAAAAAAACUUCGGUCAUUUCUCUUGCUUUGACCUAUUCACGGCCCCUGAUUGUACUUAGGGCACCACAGGGUACGGAUUUCCUUUGCCUUGUGACCAUCCUAGUUUUAAAGUUGUCAACUUUUAUAUGAAAGUACUUAUCUUAAUUUGUGUCUUACCAACUUCUUUUCGAUUAACUAAUUUUAGGUUACCAGCGUUUAUUUAAGUCAUUUAUUAAGUUUAAUUGAUUGUUUGCCGAUUUACAAAUUUUAUAGAAUCUACCAUCUCUUAUUUGAAUUGUUUACUUCACAUUUCAAAGUUACCAAUACUUGAAACAAAUCAAUAACCCUAAUGUGAGUUUCAUACUAACGAAUCUCUAAUUAAGUUACUAGCUAAUUUAAGUUACCCAUUCCUAUGUGAACCACUUAUCAAUAUUUAUAUUUUGUUGAAAAUUCCACCUUUUGUAACAAACUUUUGUUAUCAACGGACCCACUUUUAUUAGCAUAGUUCACAAACAUUCUGAGGUUAGGAACUCAAUUAUCAAAUUACCAAGCAUGUAAUUUGAGUUACUUACCAACUUAUUCUGAUUAAAUUACCAACAAAUUUAAUGUGACUGAUGAAAUCACUAAGUUAAACCAGUUGGUAGCUUAUUCAGAAAAAUGAUUGUUGGCAACUCAAAUGAAGGCUGAUAAAUACUCUGAAAGUGUUCCUCAUAUUUUCGGUUACUACCCUAUUACUCGGGUACAUUAAGAAAAAUGCUUUUGAGCUUUUAUUCUUGUUUUUUAAAUUCCAGGUAACUGCCUAGUGAGAAAAUCUUUUUCUUUUAUGUCAAUCUUCAAACUCAUCUUUAGUGGCUGAAGAGAUAAAAAAGACCGGGUUCACCGAGGAAUUCUAGUCAAAGCCCAAUUAGACCUUCGUCAUGAAAUAACCUUUUUCCUACCAUUAACCAGACCAAAGAGUCCUGACGGGAGCUGCUUUUUUUUUUUUUUUUGGUGGCAAACGGCUCGCAGCAUGAAUGAUCACUCAUUUCAUGUUGGUUGCUUUCAAAGUCAAUUACUUUAAAAUUUGAUGAUAACCAUCUAGUGACACGUUAUGCAGGCAUAGAUUCCAUAUGUGAUUUUUUUUAAUCUGACAUGAUUGCAUGUUAUGUAUGUGGCAGCCUAUAUAAACUUACAAACCUCAUGGUGGAAGAGGUUUCAAAUUUGCUAUGGACAAGACGAAGAGACAUGUCUAAUCAUUUGGUGGGAAUUAAAGAUCGAAUGGAUCACAUUAUGAAGCUAUUAGAUGUAGGAGCUUUUGAUGUACGAUUUAUUGUGAUUCAUGGUAUGGGUGGCAUUGGAAAAACGACACUAGCCGAGGCCGUCUUCAAGCAAAUCUACCCUCAAUUUCGGGAUCAUUGCUGUUUUCUCAAAGAUGUUCGAACUCAUGAUAUAAUAGGUUUACAAAAGAAAUUGCUGUUUGACAUUCUCAAUCUUAGUUGCACAAACCCCUUCUUCAUUGAUGAAGUGAUCAAGACAAGGUUUCUUGGCAAGAAAGUCCUCGUUGUUCUUGAUGACAUUGACAACUGGGACCAAAUCAUGAGACUUGUAGGCGAGCCCAACUGGUUUGGUGGGGGUAGUAGAAUCAUCAUAACAACAAGGAAUAUUGAAUUCCUGGUAAAGGAAGGUGAGGAUGACAAUCUCCCAAUCUCUAAUAGCGGACAAUUUUCAUUCUACGAUAUGCCGGAGAUGAAUUCACAUGAUGCUCUUCAACUUUUCUAUGCGCGUGCCUUGGGACAUGCCAAGCCUCUGCCUAGUUGCAUGGAUAUCACAAAAAAGCUAAUCAAUGCACUAGGAGGACUUCCAUUGGCUCUCAAUGUCGUAGGUUCCACGCUCCGUGGAAAAUGCCGAAGAACAUGGGAAGACACUCUAUGUAAGUUAAAGAAGGUGAUGAAUGAGGAUGUCAAGAAGAAGUUGAUGAUAAGCUACGAAGCAUUGGGAACUAAUCAACGGCAAAUUUUUCUUGAUAUCGCAUGUUUCUGCUUCAACAAAGAGAAAACAACUGCAGUUAAAUAUUGGGAUGCAAUUUUUGGGUAUCCUACCGAAAUUGAGGUCAAUAGCCUUAAACGUAUGUCUCUGAUAAAAAUAUCGAACGAUAAUAAACUAUGGAUGCACGACCAACUUAGAGACCUUGGAAGGAGUAUCAUCCAUCCAGAAAGUGGCGAAAUCCAUAUGAAGGGUAGCAGAUUGUGGUCUCCCAAGGAUGCCUUCCGUGUAGUGCAGACAAAAACGGUAAUCUUUACCUCUAAAUGUUUUCCAGUGCAUCCAUUAGCAUCACCACCUUUUUUUUUUCAUCUAAUUUCAAUUCAAAGUGACAUGUACUCAUUGGUUGGUACUUUUGUUUUAUAGGGAACCAAAGACAUAGUGGCGCUCAAUCUUGGUACACCCGACUCCAAUAAGACAUAUAGAUUUAAGCACAAGCAAUUUGUGGGCUUGGUCAACCUUAGGUUCCUUCAAUUGGACCAUGGAAACUUUGAAGGAGACUUUAAGAAUGUUUUCUUUGAUUUGAGAUGGCUCUCUUGGAGCAAUUGCCCAUCAAAAUUCCGUGCUAGCAACUUUGGGUUGAAGAAUUUAACGAUUCUCAUGCUAUCUGGGAAUAACAUUACUGAAGAUUGGGGAGGGUGGUGUCAAAUCAUGGUAUGAUCUCACGACAUCCUUUUGCAUUAUAUUUACUCUUCCUCUUUUCUAAGUGUCUACUCAAUUACUUUAUAGGUAGCAAAACAAUUGAAAAUCCUACAGCUCGAGGAUUGUCCAUUCCUUAGAAAGACACCCAAGUUCUUUGCAAUCUCGCAAUUGGAGAAAUUGAUUCUUAGAUGCCUUCGACUAAGGAAGAUUGACAAGUCCAUCGGCAAUCUAAAACAUCUUGAUUACCUAGAGAUAAAGAGUGAAGCUAUUGAGUCACUACCGGAGUCCAUCGGCGGUCUAAAAUCUUUGACAGUGCUAAGAAUAGAUUGGACACUCUCAAUGAUGCCUCACUCGAUUGGUAAUUUAGCAAAGGUGAAGUCUCUAAUCUUGUCACGUAGGGAACUUCAAAAGCUUCCCAACUCUAUCGGACAAUUGGAGUCACUACAUGAGCUAGAUGUCCAAUUUUUAAAAAUUAGUGAAUUGCCUCAUUCUAUUGGAAAUCUUGAAAGGUUGAAAGUUUUACGCAUCUCACAUUGCCCGCUAGAAAAGCUACCAGACUCAAUUGGGAGGCUCCAAUCAUUGGUCAAGUUGGAUUUGAGCAAGUCAAGAAUCAGGAUCUUAUCUGAUUGUAUUGGAUAUUUAAAAAAGUUGAAGGUACUAAAUCUUAAUGAUAGCCACAUAAGUGAAUUUCCAAAAACCAUAGGAAUGUUGGAAAAUCUAGAAGAGUUAUGUGCCUGCUCUGAACAUUUGGUGGUGGAAAUUCCAAGUGAAAUCGGGGCACUAUCCUCAUUGAAAAUUCUAGACUUAUCCCGUGGCCGCUUUAGUGGAUUGCCAACAACCAUCAAUCAGCUUACAAAUCUCCAAGAACUUAAUUUAUGGGGCUGUGAUUCGAUCCAACAGCUACCGGAGCUUCCCAAGAGCCUAAAGUCUUUAGCCCUUUCAUCGGAUUCACUGACCAUGAUCCCCAACUGUUCAAACCUAACCAAUUUAGUUGACCUUGAGAUAAACGGAAAUUCAAUGCAAGAACCCAACACAGAGGGGAUCAUGAGACUACCUGCUCUAAGACGAAUGACCCUGUUCAUUGGAAAAAUGGCCUUGCCUCCAACCGAUUUCAGUUCCCUCUCUCAACUACAACACCUCAACAUAAGUUGUGCCGAGCCCCAAUCUCUUAUCGGGCUCCCAUCCAGCCUUCGAGAGUUGAGGUUAAAGGAUGUCCAAUCACCAAUAGAUUGGUCAGUCUUUUCCAACUUGGAGAAUUUGUCAGGCUUGUCUUUUGUAUAAUUUUUGUUUCCUGCAGUUCCAUAGAUUGAAUUGGGAUUGUCUGAUGCUGCACAAUCAAAGAUCACUGUCAACUUUGCUCCACAUCUGAUGCCAAUGGUUAUAGUUGCAAUUUUCAAGCAUUCCCAUUUUUAAAGUAGAAGUUCUGCUUCUCUAUCCAUAAUUAUUAACUUUUUUCAUCUAUUUAUGUAGAGUCCUGGAAUAUAGUCAAUUAUUCCUGUUGAAAUGUCUUUGGGUGUGACGGUGAGGAUCUAUACAAGCAACUUAAAGUUGUUUGCUAGCCAAACUUUAUAAGUCCUAUUCCGCUUAGGCAUUCAAUGGCUAAAUGUAUUGAGCAUUAACCUUAGCUUUUGUUUGUUGAAAUAUUUUUCAGUAUUCAUAAUUAGCUUAAUCAAAGGACAUAAUUUAUUUCAUAGAUCUUGGUAAGUCAAUCGAGUAGUGGACAUCUUGGGGGACUAAACCUUGAAAGAUUUGCAACUUCCUCUAGUAUUCUCGAGUGUACUUCCCACAUACUUCAUGUCACGCCCCAAACCUCGGGCACGCAACAACCCCUUCCUUGGUCGAUAGAAAGUCAUGUCCUAAGACUCAUCGCCGACCCUUUCAUUUUUAAUCUUUCAUUAUGCGCAAGCGGAAAACAAACCAUCUCCCCAUCAAAAGACAAUCAAGCAAUCAAACAGGGAUAGUGAGAUGAACAGUAGAAACAUAACAUCUACUCAUAUAUAUACAUUUUUACAUUGGAUUAACCUAUGGAGGAUCGCUUCCGAUCUAUAAGUCCAUUAGAGGGGUUGAUCCAACCUCUAAGCCAUACCAAAAAGAAACUAGGCUAGGCUAAUCCAUUAUACACAAAAAUACCCCUCGGGUUCGGCCCUACAAUCACUCGGAUCCAGCGGACUCAGACUCCGUCGAUUCAAAGCUGGAGCCAUACGUGUCUGUCACUAGUGAAGCGGGGCCAGGAUUCUCCACUGCAUCGUCAAGAGGGUCUAGCUCCAUGGGAUCCCAGUCAGCGUCCUCGAGGCCCCUACCCGGUGGCCCGUCAAAACCUCUCAGAGGACUUAUCAACAAAUCGCCGUCCCUAAUGAACCACGCCAGGAACCUAUGGGGUAUCCAUUGCCCUAGUCCCUCAUCUACUCAUACAGUAGAGAGAUACUUCUCGUACAGAUGUGCCCAACCCGGGAAGCGGUGGCGCGUUAUGACAGUAUCCCAGUAGGGAUACCGAACCUCAUUGGCGGAAGUGCCAUCCUAAGGACUUGAAAGUGGUUAUCCAAUAACCAGUGAGAUAAAAUCUCAGCGAGUCCUCCCCUAAGCCCCUGAUGAGAACACUAACUCAACUUAGGGUAUCUCUCCAGAACCACCCCACAAACUUACCACGACUAACAACCAACAACCAACAAAUCACAAUAGUGACGGUCAACCACAAUCACAUAGUAAGUUCGCAUGCAACCUUACCCGGUAUGCCAUACCCUACAUGUUGAAUCUCAGCACAAUACACGCAAUACACAUGGCCAUUAAACGAUGCAGUUCAUCAAUUACAUACGAGUCGCUUCACAAGCGAUCUCACCUAGCUAUUGCCACACCCUACACGUUAUCGAUUCAUGUGUGUAUGCUAUAAAUGAUGUGCUCAACUCAUGCAUAGUCAAAACCAAUGAUGCCAUGAUUCUCAUACACUCUUGCACAUUAGUGCACCACCUAUCAUGCAUCAAUCGAUCACAUGGGUCCCAAUUAUAAGGUAAAAUUAUUAUGACCUCAUAACAAGGUCCAAUUCUCUCAACACUCACUCGUGUCCCACUUAUUAAUGACCUCAACACUCAUGCGUGCUCCAGAUAUUAAUGACCUUCCGGUCAUGGCUAACUUUCCAGUAAUCAGUCAUCCAACUCCUGCCAGGCUACCGAUAAAAAUCGAGCUUUGUCUUGGCCUGUCGGGCACGGCUACAUCGAGAACUUCCAUGCAGACGGUAUCCCAAAGAGGGACAUCGGUCUAGAAUCUAUUGCGAUCGGCUUCCAACUCCCGUUAGGUAUCGCCCCCAAACUUCCAUUGGGUGACGGUUCAAACUUAGCGAUCGUGCAAACAUACCUCCUCAAAGCCUUCUCUCAUAAAGGCAAUCCAUAUCCAAUGCCCUUGGACAAUCCAUUAUUCCCUUCUUCUUUUUUUUAUGAAAAUCCCUCAAUUCAUGCGGAUGCCCAUGCAUUUAUACACUCAAAUCACCUCAUAAGAUCAAAACGCAUGAAAUUGGACAACUUUUCAUUCUCGGGUGAACAGUGCACGUGAAUAGUGUUUUUGUGAACAACGUAUCCUGAACAGUGCUUCGUGAACAGUGUUUUGUGAACAGUGUUGUGUGAAUAGUGAAUUUCCAGAAUUAAAUAACUAAUAAAUUAAAUCUAAAAGUCAUUAAAAACACUAAUUAAAGCAAGCAAUUAAUCAAUGAUUGAUUUGCAUAAUUUAAGUCAAUGCAAAUAUGUGCCAAAAAAAUUAAAUACAAUCCCAAUGGAUUCCUUUGCCUAUUUCUUCUCCCUUCUUGUUUCCCGAUUUGAGGCGCAUGUAUGAUAAGCCAAAUUUUUAAGUGAAGUUAAUCAUCAAUACUGAUAAAAAAAAUUCACUUAUGUCUGCUUUACAUCUAUACAAUCUAAUUAUAUUAGAUUCUCAAACUCAGUGCCCACUUUGAAUAUGACAUAAUAACAUGUUCAGGACAUGAUGACAUUAUUAAAAUGUUAAAUAUGGUGUCAACUACUCUAGGAAGAGAAUUAAGAUGUAAAAUUACCCCAUUAACUAUAGAGAAUCUCAUGUUAAAAAACUUUUAGAGAAUCUCAUUUCCGUAUCUAUUCCAUCAUAUUUUAUAUUUAUUUAUUCAAAUAAUAUUGACAAUCGAAUACACCUUUUUGAAUUGUCACGCCCCGAUCCUUGAGCGUGUGCCCAUCCCUCGGUGGUCGAUUAAAAUGUGACGUCCCAAGACGCGUCACCGACCCAUUCAUUUUAAUGCACAUGCGAAGCGAAUAAAUAAAUCCCCAUACAACACAAAGAUGGGAUAGAAAAGCAGGGCCACGAUUUUAAAAACCACAACACACCUUUAUACAUAGCAGACUAGGUCAUUUAUAAUACUAGUCUAUAUUCACAAGUAUAUAAAGGCAGAAGGGCUACAAGUUCUCUAAGCGUUCGAACCCUUAGCCGAAGACUCUGGUGUCUCAUGGGGACUGGGAGGGUCAGCUGUACCCUCGCCAAAAGCGAUCUCUAACACAGACAUAGGGAUCUCAAACUCCGAUAGGGGACCUUCUCUGGGUCCAUCUCACCCGCGGUGAUACCAUGAUUUGAAUUGAUGGGGUACCCUCCGGGGUAGACUUGCAUCAACCUAGACAAUGGAUCUCAUGAGUUCAUAGACCCAGGCUCCUUGGCCACCAGGAAGAGAAAUCAGAGAGACCUGUUUGGUGACCUUCUUGGGCUAGCCAAAAUGUUCAGGAGGAACCACCAUCUAAGGACCUAAAAAUGUCAGCGCGCGAUGGGGUGAGACGAUGUUUCAGCAAGUUCACCCCCUAAAUUUCGACUAGGAAGGAAAUACGCCUAAAGGCUGCCUAUGCACACUCACAAGAUAGAAGACUUACCUCGCCUCAAUUCCAUCCUACAAGUCAGUAUAGUUCAUGAUUUCAACCAAUCCAUUCAAUUCAAAUCAAACCAUCGAUCAAUCAGUCAAUUAGCUCAAUUCAAUACCAACAAUACUAUCUAUAAGUUCAACACCAUAUAUCAAUCCUUUUGAUACCACAACUACUCAUACAAGCUGCAAUAUAUGGUUAUAGCUCACUCAAGCUGAUAUAGAUAGAUAGUAGCUCGCUCAAGCUAAUAGGUAUAUAGAUUGUGUGUGUGUGUGUGUGUGUGUAUCGUGCUCCCACAAGCUGAUUAAACCGAUCUAACCACCUCACAUGCACAAAUGAAUAUUUAAAUUGCUAAUCCGUUCUAACUUACUAUUUAAACCAUACUUAGCAUAAAAUAAUCAACCUUUAAGCAUCAUUAACUCCCUAAGCAGAGUUUAGUGAGUAAACUCACCGGUUUAGCGAUUCGGUGAGUCCACGACGACGGCAACGCGGAGACGGGCGACAAACUCCGAAGCGGCGAUACCCUACGAGGCUCGGAUGUGUCCUAAAACAGGCCUUGAAGCCCACGAAGGCUUGCUGGCCUGCGGUUAUGCUCUUGGGCCAAGAGAGAUGGCAUAGGGCUCGGCUUGGGCUGGAAACAGCCAGGCGGGCUGCUAGGCGGGUGAGCGGAGUAGGCGGAGCUGAACGGCGGUGGAUGCUAGUUCAGACGGUGGCUUAGGGCUUUGACGGUGACCUGAGGAGGCUCGGGAGGAGCGGCACGGCGACGGAAUAGGCGGGAUGACGCGGCAGUGGCGCGGGCUCACGCGGGGGUGCGACACGUGCGAGCGGAGAGUGGCAGCUGUCUGGCAAGCGUGCAAAGGCAGGAGGUGGCUGGCUCGGUUUUUCUGAAACUUUAGGAGCCCAAAAAUGGCCUAUAAUGGAGAAAGCACUCUGCUGAAGACGAAGAAGAAGAAGACAGUUGCCCAAGUGGAGGGUCCCAAGGCCAAAGUAUCAUCUAGUUUGAUCAUUAGAUGGCCCCUCACCUUGUCUGCCCCAUCCUCAGCCAAAACAUAGCCAACAAGCUUCUCUAGGAAGCCAUUAAAGUGGUCCAAAAGUCCCUCCCCCCAUGGCCUACAAAUUUGUAACAUUUUCCCCCCAGAUUGGAUUCAAUUUCUCUCCAAAUGGACUUAAACCGGUCCCAAUAAAAUCCACCAAGGUAUCCUCGACCAAAUUGACAUUUUUCCUUGCCAAUAGAACCAACUUGCAUCCCAAAAAAGCGAUAAAAAACGUUCCCCUGAAUUUUCCGGAUAAAAACGGCCCUAUUUUGAAUUUUCACCAAAAAUCUCGAUUUGUAGAAAAAUCUUCAGAGGACAAGUCGAUGUUCCUAAAAUAAAUUGUGACAUGGCAGAACUUUUAAUUUUUGAAAUCAGAUUUAAAUUCGCGAUUAAUUUCAAUCUGGUGCAACUUUAACGUGACCUAACCUACUGAGUAGCUUUUAGGAAUUUUUUGUGCAAUUGAACUGUGGUCAAUUUAUUGCAAGCCACAAUGUACAUCUUUGACACAUUGGCAACUCUCAGUUGUCGUGAAAAUCUCAGGGUUUCAAGUACGGGCACAGGGUACCAAAAUGACAGAAAAAUCGGUUUAGUGCCGAUCAACGAGAAUUUUGCAAUCAGGUGGAAUCACCCACACUUGAUCACAUAUCUCAUUCGAACCAACCUAUCUUUGAUCUCUAAUCGAUUUUUAACUGUGUCGUAAUGACUCUUGCAUACAAGCAUGGUUGAGCAGUCAGUUUCUAGUUGAAUUCUCAAAUCUAUUACGUUAAAAUCCCUUAACGGCUUCACUUGAUAAUUUAGUUAUCUCGUGAGUGAUCAGCUCAGAGAAUAGAACUAUAAGCGCGUCGAUGAAAAGCUCGAUUCAUUCAAUUGAAAAAAAAAACUUGAAAUUCAGGAUGUCACAUUAAUGGUAUCAAAGAUUCAAAGCCAUCCAUUAGAGUCAUCAUUACCUGGAUUAAGGGACAAAGUACACCCCAAGUGUCAAAACUUGGUAUGGAGGGAUAUUUAAGUGCCAAAAGUUAAGAAAGUGACACUCAAGUGCCGAAAUCGGAGCAAAAUGAAUCAUUUAAGUGUCAAUCCGGCCAAAAUGCCAAUGUGGCGAUUUUUUGACGAAGCCAAUGAAAAAUGGCGUCAUUUUGCACGUUGACGUGGCUAGAUAAUAUAAAAAUGAUAUCGUUUUGGUGCUGACGUGGUAAAAAUAAUUAAUAUAAAAAUUAAUUAAAUUAAAUUUUAAACUAAAUUUAUUUAAAAACAUUUAAAAAUAAAAUAAAAAUAUUAAAAAACUAAAAAUUAAAAAAGAAAAAAGAAAAGAGAAAAGAGAGGAAACCGGCUGAGGGCUGAGCCCUCGCUGCCGCCACCUCCCUGCUGCCGCCAAAAGGGCCGGCGGUAGAGGGGGGAGGGUCGCGGCCCUCGCCCAGCUCCGACAGGUGUCGAUGGCCCUCGCCCAGCCAGGCCAAGGGCCGCCAGUCGCUGGGGCUGCCUGCCUCUCUCUCUGUUUUUUUAUUUAAUUUUUUGUUAAUUUUUAGUUUUUUAAUAUUUUUUAUUUUUAAAAUGUUUUGAAUAAAUUUAGUUUUAAAUUAAAUUUAAUUAAUUUUUAAUUAAUUUUUUUUUACCAUGUCAGCACCAAAAUGACUUUUUUUUUGUAUUGUCUAGCUAUGUUAGCGUACAAAACGACGUCGUUUUGCAUUGGCUUCGCCGGAAAAUCGCCACGUCAGCAUUUUGCCCGAAUUUUGUCUGAAUUGGCACUUAAGUGAUUCAUUUUGCUCCGAUUUUGGCAUUUAAGAGUACUUUCCUAACUUUUGGCACUUAAGUGUCUCUUCAUGCCAAGUUUUGGCACUUGGGGUGUACUUUGUCCCAGGAUUAAGUUCUUGAUUUUGGCAAAAAAUAGUCGGUUUAACCAUGAUUGACUAAAGCUUGGCUUGGCAUUAGAAAGAAAGAAAAAUAUGCUAACAAAGAAAAGAAAGUAUAUUAAAGGAAAAAAUUAGAAACUCUUUGGUCUUACAUGGAUGCUUCUUCAAUUAUCCGACAAAUCAUUAUAAGAGGGCCAGUAACCAUUUGAUCACAAAAUAAGGGAUCUCAAUUCUUCAUUCAAAUAUUUCAAGUUGUUACAAAUUAUGACAGUUUGCAUUAGAAAUUUUAAUAAAUUUCACAUACUUACAAUGCACUACGGAUUGAAUCAAUCGAUCAAUGAAUCAUAAAAGGGAAAUACUUGCAUGUAUUAUGUCAACCCACUCAAGUCACUCAAAUGCGAUUAGUAUUUUUUUGGUUCCUAAUUAUACCCAAUAACUCACAAUAUUUAGCCCUCACAAUCUCUUGUAAAAUAAUAUAUCAAUCUCACAAAAAAAUUCACACAAGGUUGUUGGGUUUAAAACAUUUUUUGAAUGGCCUCGGAAUGUAAUUAGUCGACGAUGACCCUCUGUACAUUCAUGCCACAAGAAGUGCCACUCCCUCAAACGGCCUUUGAAGACCGAAAGAAAGCCAACAUAGAUCUUUCUAUAUAUUCAUCAAGAAACCUUGUUUUUCCCCGACUCCGACACGAAGAUGAACUUCAGCGUUUUGCAUCCUAAUUUGACCCGAGCUGUCCAAGUUAACAACGAGUCCAAUUCGGAUUUUCCUCAUUGUUGCAACAUCCAGGUCUUCGAACAUUCCAGGACCUGCAUAAUAAUGACAGGAUCGAUGCAAAUGUAGUAUCUCACUCAUAAUGCAAGGACGUGCGAUCAUCAAUUUUCAUAUCUCAAAUCAACAUUAAAAAAUUCAAUAAAUGACAUUCGCUGCAUGAAUGCCAACUAUAUUUCAAAAAAACGAAGUUGGUUUCAUCGAAAAAUAAAUUAUCAUCAAACAAAUAUAACAUCAUUGGAUAGCUUCAACAAAGCCGUGAAUGAUGCACAUUUUGCUAGAUUGGAUUGGAAUCUCAAUUUAUAGACAAAGGAUUCCGAUGAUAUAAAUGAGGAGGGUAAUACUUCAAAUGAUAAUGUAAUAUUUGAUAUGACACAUUUACGUAAUCAAAUAACUAUGAAUUUAGGAAAAAGUUAAGAAUGUUUCUAAUUUUUAAGGAUAAUGAAUUUUUUUCCUCGAAGCAUAUAUUACUAUGUUUAUUGUAAUAAAAGUAUUCUCCUCAAAAUUGAGAAAGAGAGUAUGUGAAUUUUUUUCAUUUGAUAUUUUUUAGCAAAAGAAGAAAUUUUAAUUUUAAUAAAAUUGUUUAUACAACAUCUUUAACAUUGUUGUCAAAUAUAAAUUUAAAAGGUCACAAACAUUAUUUUUUUUUUAACUUUAAACAAAUAAAAAUUGAAAAGCUUAGAUUAAUCAUCAAAUGGGCUUUUCAAAUGCGGCUUAUACCAAAUAGAAUUUCUCUCAAAGUUACUUCUCAAAGUAGAAUUUACCAAACAGUCGUUUCAUUUCCCCCAAAGCCCUUUACACUAAACUAUUUUGUAUUUCCCCAAUGACCUUUCAAAAUGCUUAAUCAAACGCACCAUAAGACUUAUCUUUGGGUAUCAUUUACCAUAACCUUUCUAAGGCAUCCUCAUCCUCUUUUUUUUUUUUUUUUUCCGUUCACUAAUUAGGAAGAUAUUGGGUGGAUUCAAUUAAUUAUAUUAAUAUGAUUCCAUAUAAUUAGUCAGUAAAAGUGGCAACCAUUAGGCAACGUUGAAGUUUUGCUGAGUGUAUGCUUUAAUUCCCUUGUGCGGCUUCCUUUGGCCAGUGAUAUGUACUUAGAUGCUAUUGCUCAUAUGAUAGAAGGAUUCACUGGAGGGGAUCUUCAAGCUCUUCUUUUAGAUGCACAGCCUCAAGCUGUUCACGAUCUUAUCGACAGUAGUGAAGGCAAUCAGCAUGGGAAAAAACCAAUUAUAACCGACUCUCUUCUAAAGUCCGUUGCUUUAAAGGCAAGGCUGUCAGUCUCAAAUGCCGAGAAGAGAAGACUUCAUAGAAAUUCUUUUCAUUCGUCGAAUUCUAUCAUCUAUCCCCACAACAAGAAUUGUGCAUCUCCAAUCAGAAUUUCAACUGCAGAUUAUGAUAGUGGCUUAUUAUGCAUCUGUUGGAGUUAAUCCCGGCAAUAAUCUCAUUCUCGUAUAGGAACACGACAUCUAUGGAACAAUUCAUUAGGUGAAUUUGCAACUUCCAAUCACAAAUUUUGAGUAGUCGCGACAUUUUGGCAGGAGCUGCUAUUUUCACAACUUUUUUGGUUUAGAGCACCUUAUUCAAAGUGAUGAGACAAAUUGUGGGCUAAAGAUUUGGCUAUGAAGGACAAUGGAAAAUUAUGAGCCUGAGUAAUUCCGAUGAAAUCGUUAGCACUAUGUUGUGUAAGAGUUUUCUUUAUGUGGGCUACAUUAAUUGAAAUUGUAAUUACCGUUUUACAGCGUUAGUCUAAUAAGGUAAGGCAUAAGGUUUUUUUAAUGGUCGAAUAUGGGCCUAGCAUUGUGUGGGCUCAGUUGGGCCCUACCCGGCCCGUGAUGAGAGGGCCCAUCCAAAACUCUAUAAAUAGCGCUAAGGUCCCUCCUCUAGCCCUCACUCUUCCAAAAUUUUCUCUCAACUCACAUAAGGUAAUCAGUGAGUGGCGGUCUCAUCAAGCCAGGAACCAAGGGUCAUAGAGGAGAAGGUCUUAAGCAUUGAAGGCUCGGAUUGUUGUCAUUUUGCUCCAAGAAUGAUGAAUUCAAAAUUAGGUACACAAAUCCUCGUCUUCAACCUUAGGAUGUUCGAUUUUCUAGCUAUGUUGAUCUUGAAAGCCGUUUAGACGGCCUACAUUUGGUAUCAGAGCCUGCAUAAACUAGAAUUCGAACAUAGGGAGCUGUUUUGAAGAAUUUAUCCGCAUGAAACUGGAUUUUGAAUGUAUAAUUGGAUUAAUCUUGUCGAGCUGAGUGUUUUUGUGGGUAGCAUGUCUCCGACGGUUGCCAAAUUUGAUGUCCAUACCCAUUUUGGACUUCACUCAAGAUCGAAGUGUUUUUGCUUGUUUUUUGUGAUUUUGGUCCGAUGAAAGUGAAUUUUUAUUACACAUAUGAAUUCUCCUCAUCAAUAUGAGCAUUUUAGUGGGUAGAACGCCUCUAGACGAUGCCGGAAACGGCCGCACGCGCCUCCACGCACUGAGAUGGAGCUCGGAAGAGGUCCCACGCGCCGCCCCAUGCGCCCGUACGCGCACGCAGGCGUGCUAACACGUGGACUGACACGCGGCUUCGUGCGCGCGGACUGCCUCAAAGGUUUCCCACCACCAACACAUGUCAGUGAUGACGCCACAUAAGCCGCCUUACAUGCGACCGCCACGUGGCAUGUGACGUCACCGAUGAGUCACCACAGACCCGACCGGUUGUUGACCGGGUCAACUCGACCUGAGUUGACCGGGUCGACCCGACCCUGGUGGACCCGGUUGACCUGACUUGGUUGACCGUUGACUGGGUUGACCCGACCCGGUUGAUCGUUGACCGGGGUUGACCCAACCCUGUUGACCGUUGACCGGUUCGACCCGUUGAGCGAUUGGACUGGUUGACCGUUGACCGAUUGACCGGUUGACCGUUGACCGUUGACCGGUUGGAUUGGUAAACCGGCUUUCGGACCGGAUCGGUACGCCAACGCGUGCCGCACACUCUAGCGGCGCCUGAGGGCGCGUGUGACCUCCAUUGGGCGCGUGGUUGAUACCAGCAUGCUCGUAUGUGAAUUUCCUAUCUUGUGGUGUACUUAUUUGUAUUUUUUUUAAUGCCUUUAAGGAUAUGAAAAUGCAUGUGAAACCUGAAGGUACGUGAUUUUGGGGUAAUUUUGGCGUAUUUUCAUAUAUUUCUCUAUGGUUUUGGAAAUACAAAUACAUGUCUAUGAUUAUAUCAUCACUUGAGGAAUAUGUGUAGUGUUGAUUUAUUAGUAGUAUGUAUCGGUGGAUGGAGCAAUGCAAUUAGCAUGACUUGUGAUUUUAGUGACAAAUAGCCCCUGUCAUCAAGUCUAAAAUCACAUGUGAAAGGUAAAUGUGAGUCAUAAAGUUAUAUCCCAAAUAUGAGAGAAUUUCGAUAAUUCAGUUGGGUUGUGACCGCCAAAGUGGCACACUUGAUUGGAUUUGAGAAACAUCGGUCUCAUAUUGUAAAGGGAUGUCUCCUAUUCUGAUGCAUGUUUAUACUCCCAAAGGAGGUAAUUGUGCGUUAGUUUAUGGAGGAGAUACAUGUACAUCAUAUGGUUGAAAAGUGACUAACUCUAGUAAUUCAUACACCCAAAGGUGGUGAAUUCGCGAAAGGUUAUAAUACUUUUUCAUAGACCGCUAUCAUGUGAAGAGUAUACAACUGCAUGUCAUGUAUUCUGCCCAAAGGUGUUUGUAUGAUGAUGUAUGUAGCUCUUGAGAUGUAUGUUUGACACUCACAGGAUGCUAAUUAUAUGUAUUGCUUGUAUAAUCAGUCACCUUCUCUAUAAAUGGCAAUUCUAUUGCAAUUGAGGUUCUCUUUGGAUCAAAAUUUAAGAAAUGGAAAGAUGAUUUUCUGUUUGGGAUGGAGUUGGCAGAUGUUCAAAUUGCUCUUGCUAAGGAUAGGCCGGCAGACCUUACUGAUGCUAGUACAAAAGUCUAGAAAGUGCGUUUUGCUGCAUGAGAAAAAAGUAAUAGAAAAAGUAAAGAAUUUGCUUGCUUAUUAUGAAAUAGUCAAUUCAUGAACAUUUGAUGAGUGGCAUGCCAACUGACUAUACUGUUAAGGAAAUGAUGAAAGCUUUGGAGGCUAGGUAUCAUGUCUCUUCCAAUGGUGAGAUAGGUACACUUAUGCACUCUUUAAUAUGAAGUAUGAUGGUUCGACUGGAGUUAGAGAUUAUGUGCUUAGGAUGGUAGAUCUUCAGACAAAACUCCGAAUUCUUCAGGUUGAUAUCCCUGAAGCUUGUAUUGUGCAUCAAGCAUUAAAUACUCUUCCUCCUGACUUUGGAAUUAUCAAGAUGAACUAUAGUUCGCAAAAUGAGACUUGAUCAAUCAAUGACCUUAUAGUUAGAGUGCUGGCAGAGGAAGAGAAACUGAAGAAAGAAAGAGGGCAUCUUACCUUGUAUGCCUCUAGUUCUGCUAGCAGGAAGGGUAAAUGGAUUGCACAUCUGAGAGGAAAUCCUAAAGUCAUAGGGACUUCUAACUAUAUAGCUCCUAAGAGGGGAAAUCUUGAAGCUGCUGGCCCCUCCACCACUAUGGCUCCUAGAAAGGCACCUUUUAAGAGGGAGGGUGUCCUUUGCUACUUUUGUAGGAAGAGGGGACACAUAAAGAAAUACUAUGAUAACUAUAAAGCUUGGCUAUCUAAAAAUGAGCAUAAAGGGAUUCACAAACAUAAGGACGCCAAAUCAGGAUGAAUCAAAGCUCACUGUGGGAAAUAACGACAAGAUCGACGUUGAGUUCGUGGGAGAUGUCAUUUUGAUUUUAGAUACUAGUUUUAAUAUGAUAUUAAGAAACACUUUCUAUGUACCUUCCUUUAGACGAAACUUAGUUUUCGUAUCAUGUUUGGACAUGUGUGGUUACUCUUUUGAAAUAAAGAACAAUAUAAUAUCUAUGUUCUUUAGUUCAAAUAAGGUUGGAUGCUGCAACAUGUUCAAUGGAUUGUACAGAUUGUGUUUAUCUCCCAAUGAUAUAUACAUCGCUAAUACAGUUGAAAGUGUCGUUCCCAAAAGACCUCUACCUAAGGAACAGUCUUAUGCGUUAUGGCAUAAACGACUAGGUCAUAUAUCCAAAGAAAGAGUAGAAAGGCUGAUAAAGAAACACAUCCUACCUACUCUUAAAGGUGACCUAGAGACUUGCGUAGACUGUUGUAGAGAAAAGAUGACUAAGAUAAAUAAGAAAACUACAGUUCGAAGUUCUGACUUACUAGAAGUCAUUCACACCGAUAUCAAUGGACCCUAUACUGCAACUUUGUGUAUAAAUUUUUAUUUCAUCACAUUUAUCGAUGAUUAUUCUCGGUAUGGUUACCUAUUCCUGAUUAAGGAAAAAUCUAAAUCUCUUGACAAAUUCAAGAUUUUUCGGAUUGAAGUUGAGAAACAAUUAGGAAAUGUAAUAAAUGUGGUUAGAUCUGAUCGAGGUGGAGAAUAUUAUGGUAGACAUGGCAAUGUUGGGCAAAUUAAAUGGCUGUUUGCUAAAUACUUAGAGGAUUCUGGGAUAAUGGCUCAGUUCACAAUGCUUGGAAGUCCUGAACAGAAUGGUGUGGCUGAAAGACGCAAUCGUACUCUCAUGGAUAUGGUAAGGUGUAUGAUGAGUAGGACUAAUUUGCCUGACUUUUUAUGGGGUGAGGCUUUAAAAAUAGCCCUUUAUAUAUUGAAUCAUGUUCCUAUCAAACCUGUUAUAUCGACUCCUUUUGAGUUAUGGACUGGACGCAAACCAAGUUUGAAUCAUUUCAAGGUCUGGGGAUGUUCUGCAAAAGUAAGAUUGAAUAAUCCAACAUUAGGUAAGUUGGAGGCUUAAACCACUCGAUGCUACUUUGUAUCUUACUCAGAAUAUUCGAAGGGAUAUCGGUUUUAUAAUCCAAGUGGAGGAACAAGGAUUGUAGAAUCACAAACGGCCAAGUUUUUGGAAUUUGAUGUAGCCGAAAAGCAUGAUUGCUCACAAAUUAGUGAACAUGACAACAUGAUGAGACCUGUUAUGUCUUUCUCCUUACCUAUGCAGAUGAUUAUGGAGCCUAUUGUGCCAUAAACUGAACCUGUUAAUAUUGAGAAUCCUAUUGAUGAAAUGGCCAUAGAUGAAGUUCUUCAAGUUCCUCAGACUCAAAAUGAAGUUACAGUGGCUCCACUUAGGAGGCCUACUAGGGAAAGGCAUUCAGCUAUACCACCGGACUAUAUAGUCUAUUUAGGAGAACAUGAUUACGAUAUACGCUGCAUUAUAGAUCCAGUGACUUAUAUAGACGCCAUUUCUUGUCCUCAAUCAAGUUUGUGGUUGGAUGCAAUAAGAGAUGAGAUGCAGUCUAUGAAAUAUAAUGGCGUGUGGGAGCUUGUUGAAUUACCGGAAGGUUGUAAACCUAUAGGUUGCAAGUGGGUUUAUAAGACUAAAAGAGAUUCAAAAGGAAAGAUUGAGAAAUUUAAAGCUAGACUUGUGACCAAGGGCUUCACUCAAAGAGAAGUGAUAGACUAUGAAGCAACUUUUUCUCCAGUUUCUUCUAAAGACGUUUUUAGAGUGAUCAUGGCGUUAAUAGCUCAUUUUGACAUGGAAUUACAUCAGAUGGACGUUAAAACUGCUUUUCUAAAUGGAGACCUUGAUGAGGAGGUUUAUAUGGUGCAACCUGAAGGUUUUGCAGCAAAUGAUUCAUGUAAGUUUGUAUGUAAACUAAAGAAGGCUAUUUACGGUCUCAAACAAGCUUCCAAACAAUGGUACUUGAAGUUUCACAAUGUUAUUACUUCUUUUGGUUUUGUUGAGAACAAAGUAGAUCAGUGCAUAUACUACAAGGUCAAUGGGAGGAAAUUUAUUUUUCUUAUACUUUAUGUGGAUGAUAUUUUGCUUGCAAGUAGCGAUGUUGGAUUGCUGCAUGAAACAAAACAAAUGUUGUUAAAGAAUUUUGACAUUAAAGACCUAGGUGAGGCAUCCUUCGUUCUUGGUAUUGAAAUCCAUAGGGAUCGUUGUCAUCGUAUGUUAGGUUUAUCUCAAAAGGCAUAUUUUGAUUGUAUUUUGGAGAGAUUCAACAUGUAGGAUUGCAAACCAGGAACUGUUCCUGUCAUUAAGGGUGACAAGUUGAGUCUCUCACAAUGUCCUCAAUUAGAUUUUGAGAAAAACCAAAUGAAGGAUGUGCCUUAUGCUAAUGCACUUGGAAGUAUCGUGUAUGCUCAAGUUUGCACCAAACCAAACAUCGCUUUUGUAACAGGGCUUUUAGGUAGAUAUUAGUCAAAUCCAAGACACGAUCACUGGGUUGCUGCCAAAAAGGUCUUGAGAUACUUGAAAAGAACAAGAGAUUAUAUGUUGAUUUAUAGAUAUGUCCAUGAUUUGCAAUUGUUGGCAUAUUCAGAUGCAGAUUUUGUUGGUUGUGAGGAUGAUAGGAAAUCGACAACAAGAUAUAUAUUCAUGUUGGCAGGAGGCGCAAUAUCAUGGAAAAGUGAGAAAUAGAAAUCUAUAUCUUCCUCUACCAUGCAAGCGGAGUUUAUAGCAUGUUUUUCAACUUCUACUCAAGCAAUUUGGCUUUGGAACCUCAUUAAGGAAUUGGUCGUAUUUGGUUUUGUGGAUAGACCCAUACAGUUAUAUUGUGAUAACAAUUUUGCUGUGUUGUUUGUCAAUAACAACAGAAGUCUCAAAGGGUCUAAGCAUAUGGAGGUCAAGUUUUUUACCAUAAAGGAAAUGGUACAUAAUGGUGAUAUUAUAGUAGAGCAUGUUCUCACAGACGAUAUGUUGGCAGAUCCGCUGACUAAAGGCCUACGCCCUUGUGUAUUUGAGCGACAUAUCAUGAACAUGGGCUUGGGAGAAUUGGUGGAUACUAUCGUUUAAUGGGAACUAUUUCAGGUUUGCCCUAAUGAAGUUUACUUCUGUAUUUUGUUACUUUUUGUAACGUUUCGAUAUAUGUCAACUCCUUCUGUAUAAAUUGUUAUUGAGUUGUGUACAUAUAUCUAAGGAAAAUCUCAAGGUACUGUGUAAAUCUUGAGUAAAGGCUAGGGGCAUCCAAUUAUUAGCCUUAUACAUAUGUCUCAGUUAUACAUAAAGAAAGGUAAAUCAUAAAGAGAAGACAUACGUGGGUUCAUUAGAACCAUAAAGACAUUCUCUAGUGCCACAUCCGGUUUUCUAUGACACUUAAAGGUAAGAGAAUAGCGACCGACAAGGGAGAUAACACAUAAGGUAAAACUCUUUAUGAAGUGUUAUCCAUUUGCCACACAACCAUAUUGAAUCCAUAUCAGUAAAGUUGAAAGCAUUCGUGACCAUGGAAGGCUCUGUAUGAAUACAUGCAGUUACCGCAAUGAUUCGUUGUUUGAGACUUUAUGGGAUAGGAUUGACUAUUAAGAAUUGCCACUAGACCAACAUAAAGGUGGGCACAUAAAGUACAGUCUCAAUUAAUAUAGCCCAAGUGGGAGAAUAUAUGAGUUUUCUUUAUGUGGGCUACAUUAAUUGAGAUUAUAAUUACCGUUUUAUGGCGUUGGUCUAAUAAGGUAAGGCAUAAGGUUUUCUUCAUGGUCAAAUAUGGGCCUGGCAUUGUGUGGGCCGAGUUGGGCCCGGCCCGUGAUGAGAAGGCCCGUCCAAAACUCUAUAAAUAGCGCUAAUGUCCCUCCUCUAGCCCUCAUUCUUUCAAAAUUCUCUCUCAACACACAUAAGGUAAUCUGUGAGUGGCAAUCUCAUCGAGCUAGGAACCGAGGGUCAUAGAGGAGAAGAUCUUCAGCAUUAAAGGCUCAGAUUGUUGUCAUUUUGCUCCAAGAAUGAUGAAUUCAAAAUCAGGUACACAAAUCCUUGUCUUCAACCUUAGGAUGUUCGAUUUUCUAGCUAUGUUGAUAUUGGAAGCUGUUUAGACGGCCUACAUGUUGUUCACGAUAUUUGUUGUCAUUUUGUCAUUGUAUAAAAGGGUUUGAUGACGGCACAAUUCAUCAGUAUAGUCAUAGUGAUUCUUGUUUGUGAAUAUGUUUUUUUCUUUUGCUCUUGGCUUGAAAGAUUCUAUUUGGAACUAUUGUCUAAUCGGUGUAAUUCAAAUAAAUCAUGAAUACAUCAAGGCACGAGAUCGUAGGUGAUCGGCCUAAAAAUGAGGAAAUAUGGCAUGGAGAGACCACUCGCGAGCUCCCUUAUCACAAAUGAAUCUUUUUACCUCUAAGAAAUGGCAUUUACCAUGUAGAAGAUAUUUGUUCCAAUCAUAAGAUCUUUUUACUACAAGAAUGAGUAACCUAUGUAUCAAGUGAAAAAAUUAGACGGUUGAGAUUGCAUUUCUACGUUUCUUCAUGUAUGAUAGUGAGAGAUCUAAUCUCAUGGGGAGGUGAGUUCACUGGAAAAAGCUAUCUCAGAUGUGUCAUCUAAUGUUUCGAUUGUAGGAUAUAAUAAGAUAGGAAUGGAAUAGUUAUUCCAUAAAAUUGGAAGAGAGUAGGACUAGGAAUGGAAUAGCUAAUUUGUAGUUUGGUCUGUAGAGUGGAUUCAAAACUAUUCUCUUGUUUGUUUUACCAUGAUAGUAGGGAGAAUAGGUCAAGAAUAGUAGAGAAUACCCAUAAUACCCUUUGAUGAUAUAUAAUCAAAGUCUAAUUUCUUUUAUUAUCAUAUUUUGAUAGGACAUAAAUUAAAACCUACUAUAAUUUCUAAAUAAUUGCAAUAUUUGAACAAAAGCUAAUCUCCAAAACAAAGGUUGUUGCGACCUUCCCUUGAUAGGCGGUUAGUGGAUUACUAAGCUCGAAAACUUAAUGCUCACUCUCCAAGACUCUAUCUAGCGCAACUUUGGAGGUUAAUUAUUUUAAUAUGCAAAAUCUUAUUUAUUCAGGAGUCACCACUUAUCAGUUAUUAGUAGGCUGAUUAGAAAAGCUAAUGUUUUUUUAAUAUGAUGAGCAAAACAGAAGCAUUUAAUAAAUGAUAUUUUCAGCCUAAAGAUAAAGGAAGAGAUUUCUCACAAAAACAAAAAACAAAACAAAAAAAAAAAGAUAAAAGGGGAUCAUUAUGCUUUGGUCACGCCAGAUGUUGGGCAAUUUUCUACGAGAUAUUGCACUGAACCUUGAUCUAUAUAUAAAAGGACAUAGAGAAAUUGAAUGCUUUUCCUAGAACUAUACGUGGAGAUUCCGGAUACUUUGAAAAUAGAAUAAUUAGAUCAAAAUGCAUGAAAAAGUUUCAAAGCACCAACGGUAAAACUUUUUGUAUCAUGAAAUGGCCCAAAGAUACGACUGUCUAUGUCUUGACAUAAUUUUAGGAUGCGACUCUAAAUAAGAUUUUCACUGCAUAUGUACACAUCUCCUAAUUCUAGGAGGGUAACAUAUAUAUCAGAAAGCGAAAUGAACCUAGUAUAUUUUAAACUAAACAGAAUAUCACCUAAAAACACAACACAAGUGAAAAGACAAGGUCAAAGAGGAAAAGUUGCAUAUAAAUAUGGAUGGCCCUAAUUAGAUCUAUAGCACUGCUGAUGGUAAAUAUAGUCGAACCGAAAAUUUCAUAUAGGCUUAGCCUUUCAGUUUCUUUUAGCACGUUAACUCUUUCUUUCAUUUUUUUUCCUUCCCUUUACAAGAGGCAUGGAAUUUGAUUCAUAUCUUCCAAUCAGAGAUGAUUAUGCUAGUUAUUACAUGAGCCCCAUAAUGGAAUUGAUCCAUUUUAAGGAAUAGCUACCUCAUAAUUCAUACGGGUCGUCAUAAAAAUAGGAUCUACGUGCUUUGAUAUGAUUAUAUACUCAUUUUGUAACUCCUGAAAAGUUAAUCGCUUUGCAAAAUUAGUAUGAAAAUUGUGGAUUUUCGUAGUGCGCGCAUCUUCAAGGAGCAAAAAUAGGCCAAGUAAUUAGGAAGUUUGUCCCAUCUGUGCACGCUCACUGCAAAAGCCUACAUUUAUUUCCACGAAGGGUGGGAAACCCAAUUGAAAUCGAGUCUGCUUGGGCUUUUACCAUGGAAUUUCAUAUUUCUAAGUGGAAACGCACUAGAAAAGCAUCUCGUUUGGAUCCCUAGCUCCACCCAAUGAUUGAAUUUCGUAAUUUGGAUUAAAUACAACUCUCUAGUCAGAAAAGUUAAAAUGCAGAUGUUGUCCGAUCUAUACCUAUACAAUCCCAUAAUGUUGGAUUUCAAACACGGUGCCCACCUUAGCAAUGACAUUGCUCAUGACAAAUAACAUCAUAAAUUUUGUGUGUCAGUGAAGAUAAAAAUGUGUGUUGCACGAAUUUAGAGUGCAAGAUCAAAAUCUUGAGUAUAUCUAGUAAAUUUAGACAGUUUAUAAAAAGAAUUCAAAAAUUUUAAUGGAGCAUUUCAUUUAAAUAUAAUACCUCUCUCGAAUUUAAUUCUUCUUAUGUCUGAUCACAAAAAUGUCCACUUCUACCAUGUAAUGUGGUUUGGAGUCAAAAGCACAGCUCAUUAUCAAAUGAAGCCCAGUCCGCAAUCACACGGUAUUGUUUACUUAUUGACGGAAUUCUCAGUUCAAUUGGCUUGAGAAUCAAGAGACAAGAUAUGAACAGAUAUACAGUGGACAUGCUCUUUCUUCUUUCAGACAGGUCAUGACAACAUCUUGCCGCAUUAUUUUUGAAGCAUCAACUCUAAAAUUAAGCUUUCAUAAGUCGUGUUGAAUACCCAAAACUAGUAUCCUCAUAAUAGGCUCGUGAAACUCGCACCGAAAGAUGAGUGUGAUUUAUUGCAACAUCCUCUCACAAUCAUGUGAUAACUACAUGUAGGGGAUGUAAUUCAGCAUAAGAAUGAAAUAGUUACUAGUCUUCGCUAGUAUAGAAUGUUAUCUGCACAUGCAUGGCUAUGUAACAAUAUGCAACUCGAUCCCUUCGAGAUAGACUUUAAGUUAACGAUCCAAUAAAAUGUCAGUUGAAUGGCAAUCUGCAAUGGCCACAACUAAAAGGACUCGCCGAUGGAGAAGAAAUGAAAUGGAACAUCAAUUGCUCUAUCAUUCCACGGUUUUCUCAAGUAUACCCGAAAAUGAAUACUAUUCUAAGUUAGGAAUAAGAUGAAUUCGUGAUACUGGUUUUAUCAGGGUAUACCUAAUAUCUUGGACUAUUAAAAAGGAAAAUUUAUGUCAGAUCUCGACAAAAUGCCAGAAGACUCCAAGUAAAAGAAAAGAGGAGAUUAUACUUCUAGAAAUGCACUGAUUACAAGCAAACCCAGUCACAAAAAUUGGAGAGAAAAAAGUUGCAUCACGGCAUUUCAACUUGAGAUAAAAAGGUCACAAACCUGAGGAGGGUGGAUGAUAGGAGAUGGAAUCAUCAUUCAUUUGCCUUCUUUACAAGACUAUUGAUUUCUUUCUUGAUAUCAGUAAAAUUCAUCUUAUCAGCAUUUCGAAUUUACUGGAACAACCAGACCCCACGUGAAAGAAAACGAAUUAACUUAAACCACAGUCUCAUUAGAGUCUAUGUAACUGAUGAUCAAAAGACAAAUCCCUAUACCUGCGUCGCUUAGAGAGAAAUAUCAUGGCAAGGAGCGGAAAAUUCUGUAGCUAUUCAGUCAUUUUCUGGAGACGAAGGGCGGAAAUAGGGCAAUCACGCCCGUCGAUCGUCAAAUAUCUCGACCAGUAGUGUUUAUGUUUAAGGGGGGAAAAAGGACUGUUGAUGCUAGAAAAUCGCGACAUUAGCUCAUCACUUUUCACAUUUAAUGUCCUUGGAAUGAUGGAGGCAUCUAAAAUCAAAGAACGAGAAUCGUCGGUCUAAAUCCUUGGUCAUCAUCCUGGUGAUUUUCUAUAGCUUAGGAAGAACGCUGGCGGAAAUCAUAAUAUGUUUAAGAAACAUUGAUUAGAGUGUGUAAGACAGGUUUGAACCAGGUGCUUGUGCUCCAUAUUAGUCAGUGCUAAGCAAAUGAAAGGAACCUCUUCCAUCUUGGUGAGAGCAAGGGUGAAUCACUACUUGUCAAAGCAUGAAGAUCUACGUUCUUUAGCCCAUGUACAUAAGAAAGAAUAAAUAAAAGGGAAAAAUCUACAAAAAUCCCAAACUUCACCCGUGUGUUGCAUUUACCCAAACUUUUUGUGUAACUCCAAAAAUCUUAUUCUUAUAUUUAUGUGACAUAUUUACCCUAAUUUUUUUUUUUUUUUGUGAUACCAAAAUCCCCAAACUUUUUUCUGUGAUACCAAAUUUUAAGGAUGAAUGUGUCAUACAAAUACAAAUUUAUAAUUUUUUUUAUAUCGUAAGAAGAAGUUUGGGAUAUUUGUCUCACUAUAUAAAUUUGGGAUAAAUGUGUCACAUAUAUACAAUUUUGGGAUUCUUAGUGUUAAAAAAAAGUUUGGGAUAUAUGUGUCAUAAUGAACAUAAUUUAUGAUUUUUGGUGGUUUUUUUUUUAAUAUAAAAAAACUAGAACUUAAUAGUGGGCAACAUAUGCAAUGUGAUUGCAAGCAUGGAAUAGAGACUCGAUGCUAGAUGCUUUUUGGUCAUAAGGAUCAACCGUCCAAAAUUGACUUACUCUAAAGGGUUUUCCUUUCAAUCUUAGAUGUCACAUAGGAAUUUUUACUGACUUAUUCUAGAGGUUUUCCUUUCAAUCUUGGAUGUCACGUAGGAAUUUUUACACUAGGAAGAGGCUGAGAUGGUCUCAAGGUUUAACUCAACCAUCGAGGUUGAAUUAAAACAUCCUUUGAAGAUAUGGUACUGGAAAAAGAAAUCCGCAUAUUCUAAAAUGAAAAGUAGAAUCCAAUUUGUAUAGGAAGUAGCAAUAUUCAAAUUUAUUUUUCACAUUUUUAUCAUGCCUUCGUAAUUUUCAUGUUUGAUUUGACAAAUGGUUUUACUUGGUAAUUUUAUACCUAAUGGAUAACAAACGGAGUAUUAUAAACAAUCCCAAAUUAAUGACAUUAAUAAAUAUAAAAAUGAAAACAAACCUAAUUAAAGUACAUUUAUCAAUAUAUGUCCACGUAAAGCUUGGGCAAAAGUAGUUUGAGUGCGAUUUAGCUGACCGAUACUCCAAUUUUGAGAGAGUGAUUAAGAAAAGAUAAAAAUUAGAAAAAGAAGAAAUUGGGUAAAAGAUGGAAAUCGGUCAAAAAAGUCAACCAGUUUCCAUCUUAGAUGUGCGGUCCUUAACUAACUGUCACUCCGUCGUUGACAAAGUGACCUUAGCUUUUCCUUUUAGUUUUAAUUCUUUCUUAUCGCAAAGCACUUCAAACGCGCGACUCCGGUAAUCUCUUUUUUCCCCCACGGUGCGGUUAGCCGUCCUAAAUGACCAAACCCGCCCUCUCUUCUCGACGAAUUUCCCUCCCUCAAAAAAAAAAAAAAUACCCGGACUCUGAAAAAUCCGGUACUCUUCCCUCGGUCUCUCCCCUCCACCAAUCGGUCAACGCAAGCCUCUGCCACCCCGCCGCUGCGUCGCCAUCGCCGACGACGUCGUAUCAAGUUGUUACAAGGAUCAAACUCAAGACUUCCCAAGUCACUGGGCAGACUCAAUUCGGGAUCCAUCUCUGCGUCGUCCUUCCAGAAUGAAGAGAAAGAGGGAGGAAAAAGAGACGGCGACGGCAGCUGGGACAGGCAGCAGCCGUGAUGGCGGACUGCGUGGAUCCGGUGAUGGNNNNNNNNNNNNNNNNNNNNNNNNNNNNNNNNNNNNNNNNNNNNNNNNNNNNNNNNNNNNNNNNNNNNNNNNNNNNNNNNNNNNNNNNNNNNNNNNNNNNCUGAGUUUAGGGCUCUAGCUUCCGCUAGGCGCGUCCGGUUGUUUCGGUGAGUAGCAUUCUCCUAAAAAAGGAUGAGGAAUUGGCUUACUGUUGCAAUUAUUGUGAUCUAAUCUACGAUAAACAUUAAAACAAAUCCAGGUGGUUAGCACCUCUUUUACUUCUCACAAUGAAUUUCUCUUUACAUUGACUUGAUAGAUCCGAGUGCACUUGGUUCUUUGUUCCCGCUAUAACCAUUGGUGAACUGGGAACUUGAUCACUUUGUUAGUAUGUUAUUGUUACUUUGCCAGCAUGAUACUUUUCCAUUUGCUUUUUACUGGGUUGUUGAUUCAAUGUCUAUAUUGAACGCCAGGUAAAAAUUCCUGAUUUUGAGAAGUGUUUAGACAUAGUCGCCACUCUACAGGCCAAGAAGGGUUCUGGUGAGGUUUUUUUGUCUCGUGCAACUUGUACUUCUGACUAUGUGAACUAGAUAUUGCGGCAAUUUCCAUUUAUCUUCCACUAGUUGAAAGGGAGGCGGUGGUUAAUUGCUUUUUAACAACAAGCUGUGGAUUUCGGUAAUUUAGUUGAGGGGUACGCAAUUGAUUGACAACCUUGUGUUGAAAUUGCAAGGCUUUGAAUCUUGAAAUGAUUGCGGUUACUUACCUCUGAGCAAAUUAGGUCAAGAUGUUCACAUGUAAUUAGAAUGAGAAAGAGAUUUUCCUUCUAAAAUGCUCCCUUGGCCCAUUUAUGGAAAUGAAAAAUGUCGAUGCUCAUCACUAAAUAGUAAGCCUUGUUUAUGCUCUCCACGUUAGGAAUAUUUCUCAUUUAAAGGUACAGUUACAUGCUGAUUAGGUGUUGCAUCUUGCUUGUUAUACCUUGUGAAUCUUCCUAAUACUUUAUCCCAUCAAAUGGUUUGUCAUUGAAAAACGUGUGUAUCAUCUCCCAUGUUUAGCGGUCAUGCAUUAGAGGCUUUCAAUUGCUUAUCAUAAAGUGAGUAAGAAUUAUCUGCAUUUAGGUUCUAUUUAGAAAAGGAAAUCACUUCAGCGGAUCUUUCUUGUCCUUUGAGAAAGCGCAAGAGUAUAGGAAGAGAUAUUGUUUUGCUUGUUAUUCUAAUUCAGAGCCUGGUUAAUGUUAUUGCCGAAAUCUGAAAAAGAAAGGUGGAGAUGUAUCUAAUUCAGGAGUUCUUUUCUUUUUUCCUUUUUUAAAAAAAAAAAUGUUUCUCAUCAGUUAUUCAUUUUGUGGUUGAACUUUUGAGGGAGCGCAGAGCUGGUAUCAGUAUCUUGUGUAUAGAAUGAAAUAAACAAUUCAUUUGUUUUAUGUGUCCCUUCAUUUAAAUAGCAGAAUGCUUUCUUGCUGAUUGAAUAUUCUUCAGAAAGCAAUAGCUUUAUCGAGCAAACCUUUUGACAGACUUAUUUACAUGAGAGUGAAUCUAACAAACUUGGGGUAAGAAGUUAGUCUUAGAAAUUGUUAACCAUAUGUGAAGUCUACAGCCAUCCUUUUCCUUAAUGCAAGAUUUAAAGGCUCUCUUAUUUCUAUCUCUAGACUAACAAAAAGGUCAAGAUUUGGAUUGGGUAUGAUUUAAUUCCAUGGUCACCAUAUCUUAUCUGCGUCUUUUCCAGCAUAUUUAUGUUCCAAGGAGAUUUAGUCCGAGGGCAACAUUUCAGUGGGUGAUCUGAGGAUUCUCAUUAACUUUGCCAUUAGCUAAUAUCUGUUUGUAUGCACCCUUCUUCUUGUUUUUGGUUUCUUUUUGUAUGUUGGCUAUUUGCAAACACUCCCCAGGGAAUCACACUUGGAAAACCUGUGAUGCCGAAUAGUCCCAUACGGUUUUCAUCUAAGCAGCUAAUACCCCCUUGCCUUCUUUGGAUAGAGUCCUUCCCUGUUUCUUUAUUACCAGCUAUCUUGUGUAAGAGAACUAAAAAUUUGGCCAUCUCAUUCUCUUCUGGUUACCAGUCUUUCGUAAAUGGUAAAUCCUAAUGACACCUUCUGCCAUUAACAAAGUUCCCUGCUCAUCUGCUGUAAUUUCCAUAUCUCUGCAGUGGACAAGAAUCUGUGAGAUUUAUUCCGCCAAGGUCUCCAGGCAUCUCAGCCCCCCUGCCAAGGUCCAUCUCUCCUUCCCUCUCUCUCUCUCUCUCUCUCUCUCUCUACACACGCAAACACACGCAAACACAAGUACUACUGUGUCCUGCCUCCAUCUUUCUUUGCACUGAGGUUUACUCCAUUAAAUAGGCUAUGACCCUUGACCCUCUGACAGUACAUAAACAAAGGUGUGAUAUUUCUCUCAAUAUAAAAAUCCAGGAUUUGAAUUGAUCAAUCAUUUCAAAUGGGGGCACCUUGAUGCAACAAUUACUUCACCACUCCAUUCCACCAAAACGAUACACUCUUGUUUCCUCUCUCGUUUUUUGAUAUGUAAACCUGCAUAAUGACUGAAGCAAAUUGGCUUAUUUGCUAUAGCAAAAUGACCUGUGAUUGAGGAUGCCAUUAUAUGUGUGCACAAUCAUGUGUUUCUAUUACAGUAAGAUUGAAUCAUGGCCUCAGAACUGGAAUUUAAAGCUGAACGCUUUUCGGUGCGUGUAUUUUAACUGAGGAUACUUAAUGGGUAUCUGUCAGACUCAUGCUGUUGACUGUUGAGGCUUUUCACAAAGUAAACUUGUUAUCACGUAACCAGAUCAUAUUUUCUCAAUCUGGAGUUCUUUGUAUUGUCUUAAAAUUGACCAAUGUUUUCCUUUGCAGUUUCUGUUUUUCAUCUGGAAUCCUCGACUGUCUAUCAUUCAAUAUGUGUGUGUGUGUGUAUGUAAACUAAUUUUUUCUCAUAAACUUGUUAUCCUAAAAAAUAUUAUCUUAAAAAAAUCUUCUUGCUCCUUGAUGCUCUUUUAGCUGAUCAUAUCACCCCUUUCUAUCUUUACAAAGCAAAUGAAGGAUAGCCUAGUUUAAUUUUUGGAGAAAUGUCACAAAUGGUCCCUAUACUAUUACUUAAUGUGCAAUUUGGUCACUGAACUUUCAAUCAGCUCAAUUUGGUUCUUGAACUAUUGAUAAAUGUCUGAUUUGGUCCCUGAAUUUUCAAUCGGCUCUAUUUGGUCCCUGAACUAUUUGAUAAAUGUCUGAUUUGGUCCCUGAACUUUCGAUCGGCUCAAUUUGGUCCCUGAAUUAUUGAUAAAUGUUCGAUUUAGUCCUUAGUUACCGUUUUUCCUUUUUUUCUUUUUUUCUUUUUAAAAUUUUUUUACAUCUUCUCUCUUCCCUCCGUCGGCUCCNNNNNNNNNNNNNNNNNNNNNNNNNNNNNNNNNNNNNNNNNNNNNNNNNNNNNNNNNNNNNNNNNNNNNNNNNNNNNNNNNNNNNNNNNNNNNNNNNNNNGCAAAUUGCGAAAAGUAGUCUCAAUCGUGCCAGGUUGUCUCUAAUCCCUGACAUAUUCCCUCAAUCUGAGCCCAACUUCCCGGCGUUGAUCAAGGGUCCACGUCCCAUUAUAGAGAUUUGGGGCUCCCUCCCCCGACGCCGGGGAGGGGCUCCCUCGCAGAUCUGGCGAGCGAGCCCCUCCCCCGACCCCGAGUUGCGAGGGAGCCCCUGUUCGGCGUCGGGCGAGGAGCACCCCUUUGUUGAUCGAGGGGCCCCCUUUCCCAACGCCGGCGAGGGGCGAGGGAUCCCGCUUCCGGGGAGGGGUGCGGGAGCCCCUCGCUCGGCUCCGGCGAGGGCCGCCCUCGCCUGCGUCCGGCGAGGGCGACCCUCGCCGGAGCUGGCUUCCCUUCGCCGGAGCUAGCGGAGGGAAGAGAGAAGAAGCAAAAAAGAUUAAAAAAAUUUAAAAAUUAAUUUAAAAAAAAAAAAAAAAAAAAAAGGAAAAACAGUAACUAAGGACUAAAUCGAAUAUUUAUGAAUAGUUCAGGGACCAAAUUGAGCCAAUCGAAAGUUCGGGGACUAAAUCAGAUAUUUAUCAAAUAGUUCAGGGACCAAAUUGAGCCGAUUGAAAGUUCAGGGACCAAAUCGGACAUUUAUCAAUAGUUCAAUGACCAAAUUGAGCCGAUUGAAAGUUCAGGGACCAAAUUACACAUUAGGUAAUAGUAUAGGGACCAUUUGUGACAUUUUCCCUUAAUUCUUUCCGUACUAGGAACUAAUUUUGGUGCGGUUGACAUGGUGUAAAAUAUCCGAUCGUCUUUUCUUCUUUGCAAAUGCACUUCUGGAAGCAAUAUUUCUAAUAACCCAGGUUAGUGCUUUGAAGAGCCCAUGCUGAUAUCAAUAAUGGUUUUAGAUUUGAACACCUGGAUAUCACCAGUAAUAUUUAGUGAGUUGCUUUGAUGUCUGAAGGUCCGAUUAGAAACCGACAUGGGGUGGGAUUACUUUAUUUGGCUUUCAGACCUAAGACUAUCAAAACUUCUAUGGGGCAAAAGACAAUAGGCACCAAGCUGACUGGUUUUUAUGACUCUUUAUUUUGUAUGCAGGCACUCCUUGCUGAUUUUGAAGUCUCUAAAGGCAUUUAUUCACGAGCUCGCAUUGAAGAUACUGAUUCAGUAUGUUUAUGGCUGGGAGCAAAUGUUAUGUUGUUGGAGUAUUCAUGUGAAGAGGUUCUUCUCGAGUUUAAGGAAUGUCCCUCUCUCCAAUAAUGAUGUCAAGUAUCUUAUUUAUUGCAUAAAUUUAUGUUGUAGGUCACAACCCUUCUACAAAAGAACUUAGAAGAUGCUAAAGCAAGUUUAGAAGUUUUUGUUGCUGAUCUACAAUUCUUAAAGGGACCAAGUAACAAUCACGCAGGUAAGUCAGAAUGAUUUGGAACUUGGAGGUCCACGUUUGUUUCAAGCCGUUUACUGUGUCGGUUUUGGGUAGGUCUAUUAGGGUCGAACUAAUGUUGCUCUGAAUUUUGUUACUGUCGUGAGGAUACAAAUUGGGAAGACAUGUUCAUUGGUGAUAAACUGGAGUGUGGUAUGUUUGCACGAAUGUGAACUUGAAAAAAUUUAAAGCUUGUUGUAGGACCAUAUCCUUUAGUUUAUCAUGGCAAAGAUGUUGGUGGCCCUGGGAAAUUUUUCUUUUUUAGGGGUUUGAAACAGCCCUUGAGAGGUGAAUUUUUAUUUGGCAGGUUACAAUUGCUCGUGGGUAUAAUUGGGAUGUUCACCAAAAGAGAAUCCGUCAAGCUGGUGCUCCUGCCAAAGACUCUUAAAGGAAUCUUUUGAGCUCGCAUCAUGGUAGCAGAACGUGUACUCCUGGAUGAGAGUACGACUUUGAUCUCCCCAUUUUCAAUUAGGUGAAUUAUGCACUGCUCUGCGAUAGCAAUGGUUAUGACCCACCACGAGUGAUUUUGGUUAGGUUUACUUAGAUUUACUGCAUUACGCAAAGAAUGUCAUGUAAACGAUUUUGAUCGAGAACCUUUUGGGCUUGAGUUUUCACUUUGUGUUCGGUGCGCUAGUGAGGGCCAGCGAGGGCAAGGCCCCACCAAAUCUGGUGAGCUCGGCCCUCGCCAAAUCCGGCAAGGCCUCGCCUAGCCAAAGCGAGGGUCAACCUCGCCAGCCACUGGCGAGGCGACCUCGCUUGCCGUCCACAAUGCAGCAGCAAUCAGAAGCCACGAGCUCGCUCGCACUCCGAAGGCGCAAUCGCAAGGCACGGAUUGAGGUGGAGAGAGAGAACGGUUCCGAGCGAGCGGCGAGGCAACCUCCUCAACUGGAGAAUCUACGAGUGACUGUCCCUUUCUCUCUCUCGUUUGAAGUGACCGAGCGGUGGUGACGUAGCGGACGACGAUAGGGCAUGUGGCGCAGUUGCAGUAAGCACGGAGUACGCUUGGCCAAUUGUGACCGAGACAUGGCGGUCGAUAGGGUUUCGGGGGAAGACAACGAUGACGACACGUCAGGCGGCAGCUUGUCACCUAUUCGUAGUGAGGAUACAGCAUGGCGGCGUUGUUGGUUGGCAAGAUGGCGUCAGUUGUUGCGAUGGCAAUAGAUAGCAGGGAUUUUUCUUCGGGACAGCGUCAGGGCUACACUGAAGCAGAUGCUAGCGGGCGACAGUGACGCGGGGGAGAUCCAAUGUAGCAAUGGCAUCGGGGGGUUCGGGCAGCGUCGAUGGCGCCUCCUUCCUGCUCGGAUCUAGCCCCCUUCUCUAGUUUCUCUUCCUCUCUCCAGUCCAUCUUCGCAGAUCUGGAACUCCCUUGCCCAGAACUCGCUUGACCGUCAUCUCGCAACUUCACACGUGGCACACUAUAGCCGAAUAUAGACAGAGAAGACAAAUUAAAUCAUCGAUACGUUAUGGUUAUACAUAUAUUGCUUAUGUAUUGACUGUAGGUGAUGAGGUGGAGACAGAUGAGCCUUCGUAUUACUUUGAGGCGAUGGCUAGUUUGAAGUCAUCAUAAUGGCUAGGGGUUAUGAGUGAAAAUAUGGAAUCACUCUAUCAAAAUUAGACAUGAGAGCUGGUCAAAGUACCCAAGAGCCAAAAGAUUGUCGAAAGUAAAUUGGUCUUCAAACGGAAAGAGGGCAUUCUCGUUGUUGAGGCAAUGAGGUAUAAGGCGAGACUUGUGGCAAAAGGGUAUACACAGCGUGAGGGCAUUGACUAUAAUGAGGUGUUCUCUCCUGUGGUAAGACAUACUUCUAUUCGUGUUUUACUUGCCUUAGUUGCUUCGCAGGAUCUCGAGUUAGAGCAACUAGAUGUGAAAACGGUUUCUUCACGGUGAGUUGGAGGAGUAGAUUUACAUGAGGCAACCAAAGAGAUUUGCUAUUCCGAGUAAAGAAGAUCAUAUUUACUUGUUAAAGAAAUCUUUGUAUUGGCUGAAAUAGUCUCCUAGGCAGUGGUAUAAACGUCUUGAUGCUUUCAUGGCUAGUGAAAACUAUUCAAAAAGUCAGUUGGAUAGCUGUGUUUACUAUAGGAGAUUGGAGAAUGGUUAUUUGAUUUAUCUACUCUUAUUUGUUGAUGAUAUGUUGAUAGCAGUUAAGAAUAUGUCUGAUAUUGAUGUGCUAAAGAGGCGGUUAAAUGUUGAUUUUUUUAGAUGAAAGAUUUUGGUGCUGUAAAGAAAAUUUUGGGUAUGGAGAUUUUGUGUGACAAGACUGCAUGAGUUUUAUGUCUAUUUCAAAAGAAAUAUAUUGAGAAGAUCAUAACACGUUUUAAUAUGCAAAUCAGCAAAAUCUAUAAGUAAACCUUUAGCGAAGCACUUUAAAAUUUCAAAUAAAUUAUCACCGCAGACUGAGGAUGAUGAGGAGCAUAUGUCUCGUGUUCCUUAUUCUAGUAAUGUUGGUAGUAUUAUGUAUGCUAUGAUGUGCACUAGGUCUGAUAUUUCACGAGCUGUGAGCAUGAUUAGCCGCUAUAUGAAGCGUUUUGGUAAAGCUCAUUGGGAAGCUGUGAAGUGGAUCUUCAAAUAUUUAAAGGAGACAACAGAUGUGGGUAUAGUAUACCGGAGGGACAACAAUGGCAAUGAGACCACUGGUUUUGUGUAUUCGGAUCACGCUGGUGACUUGGAUGAUCGCAGAUCUUUAACAGGGUACGUGUUUACGCUAGCCAAUGGUGCAGUUAGUUGGAAAGCAUCCUUACAGGAUCACAUUGCCUUGUCUUUGACUGAGGUAGAGUACAUGGCACUAACCUUUGUAGCGAAGGAGGCGAUAUGAUUACAAAGUUUGCUCUCAGACUUUGGGUUAGAAUAAAAAAGUGUGGAUAUACACUGCGAUAACCAAGGUGCGAUAUAUUUGACGUAUAAUCCAAUUUAUCAUGAGUGAAUGAAGCAUAUCAACAUCAAGUACCACUUCAUCGAAGAUGUCUUAGCUAAAGGUAAUGUUACUAUUAAAAAGAUUGUUACAGCAGAUAAACCAACAGACAUGAUGACUAAGUUUGUUCUUUUGGCAAAGUUCAAGCUUUGCUUGAGUUCUAUUGGCAUAUGUGGAGAGUGAGCGUCCGUUGGGGCGUUGGGAGAGCAGCAUGGAUGAUGAGUACUAUAACUUGGCUUUAAACAUCGAGCCAAGGUGGAGAAUUGUUAAAUUAUUACUCGAGUUUUAAUGUUUAUAAAAUGCAAUUUGCUAGAAAAGAGGAAAUAUAAAAUAAAAUAAAAGGUGAGGAAAGUUUCCUCUUUGCCGCGGAAUCCUUUACGAAAUAGAAAAGGAAAGCCGCGUGAAGCCUCUACACGCCAAGAAUUGAAAGUGGUGGGCCCAAGGUCAAAAGUUUGACCUUGGGCACACACACUCCAUGCCAAGGGAGGAAGUCUGCCACGUGAAGCCAAAAUAUGCAGGUGGCGCCCAAUUGGACACACACCUAUAAAAGGCAAAUAGUUUUGCAGGUCUUCUACCUCUACGUUUUGAUGCUGCCGAAGUCCUUUACGUAGGAACACGAACACGCUGCCGAAGCCAUACGUAAGAAGUUGCACGUCCGCUAAAGAGAAGCUAGAGAUUUUUCUUUUUGGCGUGUGACUUGAACGCAUGGUAAUUUUGUGUUAUGAGUUUAUACUCAAGUGAGUUGUUUAUUUAUAAACACUUUUGAUUUGGGAUUAAAUCUAGGUGUGGGAAACACUUGAACGUUUGAGCGAUUGUAAAUUAUGAUUCUCCGAUUAUAGUGGAUUAUUUGCUGCUGGCUCUCCCCGUGGACGUAAGUACCGAUACUCAAACCAAACUACGUAAAUUUCCGGUGUCUUUAUUUUUCUUGUUUAUUUCUCUGGCGAUUUCGUGUUGACGUAAAUUAUAAGAUCCUAUCGUUUCCGCAUAUUAUAUCCCAACAAAAGUAAUGGCAAGUUGUCCAAUACAUCCAACACUUAACCGUGCAGUAAAAAAAUAUAUUUCCAGAUGACAACCUUUUGCUCUUUGAAGACUUUCGUCAAUUAUUUCCUCAACUUAGCCUUCUAUUUGGCGCGAGUCUGAAUGCUUAAUUUUUUAUUUAUUUUUUUAACUUGUGAAGGAAGGCCGCAAGUAAUUUCCAGGCAAACGUAGUGGAAGUGAAGUCAUCUCACUCUGUUUCUUUAUCAAGUUGUUAUAAGAUGAAGAUAUGACAAGUGAUAGCUUGACUAUAUAGAAUUGUGCCUUACACAGGACAACUUGUGUUUAUGCGUGUGAUAAUUACAUAUGAGCUAUCUGUUUCCAUAUGAUGAAUUACAUGCUUCCAUAUACUCUCAAUCAUGUUGCACUUCAGCUAAAAUAAAGAUCCCCGAGACAACCUCUUCCUCUUCGAAGUCUUUGAUCAAUUAUUGCCUCAACCUCCUAUUUUGUGCGAGUCUAAAUGGUCUUUUUUACAGGCGAACGUAGCGGAAGUAAGCGAGCGAUCUCACUCUGUUGCUUUUUGUCAGGUUGUUACAAGGAUCGGACUCAAUUCAGAGAUCAAUAGCCAUUGUCCUCACGGAAUGAAGAGAAAGAGGGAGAGAAAAGAAAUGGAAAUGGCAGCUCCAACAAGCAGCAGCCGUGAUGACAGGUCAAGGAGGGGCUAUGAGGUGUUCCUCAACUUCAGAGGGCCUGACACCCGCUUAACCAUCAUUGAUUCUCUCUACAAUGACAUGAUCCGCACGGGGAUUUGCACUUUCAAAGACAAUGAAGAGCUUCGAUUUGGUGAAGAUAUUGAAGGCAGCCUCUUGCAAGCGAUCAAUGAAUCCAGAAUUUACAUCCCAAUUUUUUCCAAAAACUACGCUUCAAGUAAGUGGUGUCUCCAUGAGCUGGCACACAUAGUGGAGUUAUCGAAAGAUAAUGAUGAGAAAGUGAUUCUCCCUAUCUUCUAUGAUGUGGAUGUGGAUGAUGUCAAGCUUAAGACUAAUUUAUAUCAGAAAGCCCUCCAAAAGUACAAGAGUGACUCAGAGAAGGAUUUAGUAAAGAAGUGGAAGAAGGCUUUGAGAGCAGUUGCCAGAAUUAAAGGAAGGAAUCUAAAAGAUCAUGGGUAUUGUUUGCUUCUCCAUAACUUUAUUUUCUUAUUGACAUUUUCGAUUUUUUUUCCUCUAAAGAAUAAUUAGAUUCAGGUUGCUGCUGUCCAACCUUAUGUAAUGUAUGGUUGGAUUUGACGCAAUGGGGAGCUAGAAAUUUUGCUCAGAUGGCGAGGUUUCUUGCACAAAUUGAAUUUUCACUUUUAAUACUAAGUUUUGAUAACAAUUAGUGUUAAGGUAUAUCAACUUAAUUAAUUAAUCUAUAAUGCCAAAAAACCAAGAUAUCCAUGAAGAUCUAAGAUUCGAAAAAAUAAUAAGAUCAUAUAAGUGUGAAAAAAAUAAAUUAAGUUUCUUAACUUCAAUUGCAUUCCAUACAUAAAGUUAAGGGAUAUGUGCAUUGAAAGUCCUAAAACUUAUCACAAAAGUACAAUCGAAUCUUAAAACUUGCAAAAAAUGCAAUCAAGUUCUAAAACCCGUUGAAUUGGUUCAAUUGAAUCCUUCAGUUAAUUCCAUCCAAUUAGCUAACGGAAAAUACUAACAUGUCUUAUUUUAUUUUUUUAUUAGACACGUGCCCAUGACAUGGUGCUCACCAAGUGCCACAUUAGAAAAAAUUUAAAAAUUACAAGCAAAAUUAGAUUAAAAUAUAAAAAGCUAUAAAUUUUUAAUAAAUAAAAAAAAACUCACCCCACGGCUUGGCCAAGCCCUUGCUAGUGGCCACUGCCACAACCACUGGGAGGGGUUGGUGGAGGUCACCUAGGCCUUUGCCGGCCUUGGGCGAGGCCUUGGCGUGCCCAGACGAGGGUCCCCAAGCUUUGAGAAGGCCUAGGGCUAGGCUUAGCCACAACUUGAUUUUUAAAAUAAAAAAAAAUGUAGCUUUUUUUUUUAAUUUAAUUUUGUUUGUAUUCUUUAAAUUUUAUUCCUGAUGUGGCACUUGGUGGGUGCAACAUCAUCGCCACAUGUCUUAAGAAAAUAAUAAAAUAAGACAUGCCAGCAUUUUCAGUUAGCUUAAUUGAACGGAGAUAACGGAAUGACUCAAUUGAACUAAUUUGAUAAGUUUUAAGGCUUGAUUACGCUUUUUGCAAGUUUUAGGACUCGAUUCCCUUUUCACGAUAAGUUUUAGGACUUCUAGUAAACUUACUUGCUAAAGUUAAGGACUUUUGAUGCAAUUUUCCCAACCCUAUGCCUGCAAUGUUUUCUUGUCCUUUUGUUAUGCUAAUGAAAGCUGAAGAAGAAUCGGCCCAAAAUAAGAGUGCUCGAUAACGAGCUUCUUUAUGUGUUCCGAGCCAUUAAUGGCCGGUGUUAGUUAAUAGUUGUUAGUAUUUGAUGUGCGUUAUUUAUUUAUUUAUUUAAUUUUGGUCCAAGUGUUUGAUGACGUAAAAAUGUGCGGGAAUAAAAAGAAAUUAUAGCAUAGACUAAGUCUUUGCAAUAUCCAAAAAUCCACGAGGCCAAGAGGAAGAAACCGAUCCUUGUGGAUUCCUUUUCGGCCUUAGGGAAUUCAUAUGCCUUGCUACUGUUUUGCUCGAGGUAACCGGCUAAUUAUGGUCACACCCCUGAGUUACACAAAAAUAACAGAGCUUCUUCAUAAUGAUAGUUUUACGUGCCCAUAAGAGGAAGCUAUAGGUCAUGGUUUUCCUAUUUGGUCUGAAUAUACAGGACCGAACACUAAAAAGAUCUUUGCAUGCCAUUAUCCAAAAGGGCAAAAAGAAAAAAUGAUUUCUGCAUGUGUUAGACGUUCAAUCUUCUAGUACACAUCUUAUCGCAUCUUAAUUAGUUUGUGAAGAACUGACUUAGAUUUAGUUGUAUUAUCAAUCUUGGGCUUUUACUUUCAUCAUAGUGGGGCAGGGGUCAUUGGCGUCUCUAGUGGCCAAUUGUGCAUAGACAAAAUCUACAGCCUUAAACUGAACAUUCUUCUACGAGUGAUCUAAAGUUUGCCAAUAUUGGACCCGUUUCUGUCUAGUAAAAAGUGAAAAAAAAAAAAUUGGUUAUUGCCCUUGCUUUAACCAUGGACCUAUUCAUGGCCCCAGGUCUUAAUUAACCAAAAAUUCAAUUAAGGGACUUCUAGGUAGUUCUAGUUACGGAUAGAGAAAUCUAGGAACCUCUAGAAAAUGGAUAAGAAAUUUAAUCAUUUUAAUUACCUUGAGAUAUGUAACUACUCUCUACCCUAGUUUGUGAUAGUUUUUCUAUAAACCCUAGUCGUUAUUCUAUGCUUACUUUCAUCUUUCUUCAUUAAACCGUAUUGUUUCCGUCAUUCAUCAAACAUAGUAAAGGUGCGGUUAGUUCGGCAUUUGGAAAGUUCAUUGGGAAAAUGCAAAGCCUUUUAGCCUAAAGGACUUUGAAGGAAAUGCAAAGACUGUUUGGUAAAUUCUGCUUUGAAAAGCAACUUUGAGAUAAAUGUUAUUUGGUAGAAAACACAUUUGCAAAGCCCCUUUGGUGAUUAAUCUAAAAUUUUUAAUUUUUUUUGGUGAAAUAAAUAGUUUAAUUUUUUUUGGUGAAAUAAAUAGUUUUAUUUUAAUUUGUUUAAAAAUUAAAAAAUAAUGUUUGCGACUUUUUUAAUUUAUAUUUGACAAAAAAUGUUAAAGAUGUUGUGUAAACAAUUUUAUUAAAAUUAAAAUUCUUUUUUUUUUUGGCUAAAAAACAUCAAAUGGGAAAAAUUUAUGUACUCUCUUUCUCAAUUACAAUAAGAAUACUUUCAUUAUAAUAAAAAAAAAAUGAUGACAUAUGCUUUGAGAAAAGAAGCUCAUUAUCCUUAAAAAUUACAAAUAUCCUUAAUUACUUCCUAAAAGAUCACGUAAACAUGCCAUAUCAGAUGCUAUAUCAUCAUUUGAAGCAUUACCCUCUCAAUUGACAUCAUUAGGAUCCGUUGUAUAUAAAUUGGGAUCCAAAUCCACUCUAGCAAAAUGUGCAUCAUUCAAGGCAUUUCUUCAUUUCUUUUAAAUCAAAUAACUUUAAACAUGAUGAUAAACUUCUAGUGCCAUGAAAUGCGUGCAAAUUUUCCAUAUAUGUGGUUUUUGAAUCUGAGAUGGUUGCAUAUUUUGUGGCAGCCUAGAUGAACUUAAGAAUCUCACGAUCAAGGAGGUUUCUAAUUUGUUAUGGACAAGACGGACAGACAUGCCUGAUCAUUCGGUGGGAAUUAAGGAUCGGAUGGAUGAAAUUAUGGAGCAGUUAGAUCUAGUAGCAUUUGAUGUGAGAUUCAUCGCAAUUCAUGGAAUGGGUGGUAUUGGGAAGACAACAUUGGUCAAGGCUGUCUUUAGGCGAAUCUCCCCUCAAUUUUCGGGCAUUGGUGCUUUCUUAAAGAUGUCCGGACUCAGAUAUACUAAAGUUACAAAAAAAUUGGUGGUUGAUGUCCUCAAACUCAGUUGUAUAAACCUCUCCUUCAUUGAUGAAGGGGCUCACCUGAUCAAGACGAGGUUCCAUGGGAAGAAAGUCCUCAUUGUUCUUGAUGACAUUGACAACCGAGACCAAAUCAUGAGACUUGUUGGUAAGCCAAAUUGGUAUGGUGAGGGUAGUAGAAUCAUCAUAACAACAAGGAAUAUUGAAUUCCUAGUAAAGGAAGGUGAAGAUCACAAUGCCCCAAUCUCAGAUACUACACAUUUUUCAUUCUACACUAUGCCGGAGAUGAAUUGGGAUGAUGCUCUUAAACUUUUUUGUGAGCGUGCCUUGGGAUGUGUCAAGCCUCCAGAUGUUUACAUUGAUAUUUCAGAAAAGGUAAUCAAUGCACUUGGAAGACUUCCAUUGGCUCUCGAUGUCGUAGGUUCCACACUCCGUGGAAAAUGCCAAAGUACAUGGAAAAAUGUUCUAUCUAAGUUAAAGAAGGUGAUGAACGAGGAUGUCAAGAAGAAGUUGAUGAUAAGCUAUGAAGCAUUGGACCCUAAUCAGCAACAGAUAUAUCUUGAUAUUGCAUGUUUCUUCAUUAAUCAAGAGAAAACAACUGCAAUUAAAUAUUGGGACGCAGUUUUUGGGUAUCCCACCGAAAUCGAAGUCAAUAUCCUCACACGUAUGUCUCUAAUAAAGAUCAUAGACUACGAUGAAUUAUGGAUGCAUGACCAACUUAGAGACCUCGGGCGAGAUAUUGUCCACCGGGAAAGUUGCAACAUAUGUUUAACGGGUAGUAGACUCUGGUUACCCAAGGACGCCUUCCAUUUGGUGCAAAGAAAAAAGGUAAGUUCUAACUCUAAAAGUUUUCCUCUCUUUCCAUUAGUAUCAUUACCUUUUAAAUCUAAUGUCAACUCAAAUUGACACAUGCAUUCAUUGGUUGCUACUUUUAUCUUCUAGGGAACCAAGAACAUAGUGGCACUUAAUCUUGGUACACCUAAACCGGAUGCAACAUAUAGAUUUAAACACAAGGAAUUUGCAAGGAUGGUCAAUCUUAGAUUCCUUCAAUUGGACCAUGGAAACUUCCAAGGAGACUUUAAGGAUCAUUUUUCCGAGUUAAGAUGGCUCUCUUGGCACAAUUGCCCAUCCAAAUUCCUUGCUACCAACUUUGGGUUGGAGAACCUAGCAGUUCUUGAGCUUUCUGGGAAUAAUAUUACUAAAGAUUGGGGAGGAUGGCGUCAAAUCAUGGUAUGAUUUCAUGACAUACUUUUGCAUUACCUUUACUCUUUUUCUUUUCUAAGUUUCAGCUUAAUUGCUUUAUAGGUAGCAAAGCAGUUGAAAGUCCUAAAACUCCUGGAUUGUCCAUUACUUAGAAAGACACCAAAGUUCUCUGCAAUCUCUAGAUUAGAGAGAUUAAUCCUUAGAUGCAAGCAACUUGGAAAGAUCGACAAGUCCAUCGGCGUUUUACAACAUCUUGAUUACUUAGAAAUAUUUUCUCAAGAACUUUCAGUGUUGCCUCACUCGAUUGGUAAUCUAGUGAGUGUGAAGCAUAUAAUCUUGUCAUGUUGGGAAUUGCAAAAGCUCCCUAAUUCUAUUGGACAAUUGGAGUCACUACUUGAGUUGAAUGUCAGACAUACAAGUGUGAGAGAAUUACCUUAUUCCAUUAGGAACUUAGGAAGGUUGGAAAUUUUUAUGAUCCCAAAUGGCUAUUUAAAAAAGCUACCAGACUCAUUUGGGAGGCUUCAAUCAUUGGUCAAGUUGGAUUUGAGUCUUUCACGCAUCAGGAGCUUACCUGAUUGUAUUGGAAAUCUCAAAAGGUUGAAGGCACUAAAUCUAGAUCAUAGCCGCAUAAUUGAACUUCCGAAAACUAUAGGAACAUUGGAAAAAUUGGAAGAGUUGAGUGCCUCAUGUGAACACCUGGAGGGGGAAAUUCCAAGUGAAAUUGGGGCACUAUCCUCAUUGAAAUUUCUAGAUUUAUCAGGUGGCUGUUUUAGUGGAUUGCCGACAACUAUCAAUCGGCUUACAAAUCUCCAAAAACUUAAUUUAUGGGACUGUAGGUCAAUUCAACAAUUGCCAGAGCUUCCUAAGAGUCUAAGGUCAUUAAGCUUUUCAUUGGACUCAUUGACUACAAUCCCUGACUUCUCCAACCUAACCAAUUUAGUUCAUCUUGAUAUAAUUGGAACAAAAGUACAAGAACCCAACAUAGAGGGGCUUUUGAGAGCAAGUGCUCUAAGAAAGUUGACCUUGUGGGUUGGAAAAAUGACCUUGCCUCCUACUGAUUUGAGUUCCCUCAUUCAGUUACAAGAACUCUUUGUAAGUUAUGCCAACCCCCGAUCUCUUAUCGGGCUUCCAUCCAGCCUUCAACAGUUGACUUUAGUCGAUGUCCAAUCACCAAUAGAUUGGUCGCUCUUUUCCAACUUGGAGAAUUUGUCAAGAUUGAUUAUUGAGAGAUAUUCGUUAGGCGAGAUUCAUUUCGAUGGGUUUGGAAAGCUACAAAAUUUCAAUGAAUUGAUGAUAUUCGACUGUCCAUUGCUUAAGACUCUGCCCAUUCUGCCUUGUAUGAAAAAGAUCCAGCAUUUGUACCUACGCCAAUUCCCUCACCUAAUUGAGAUUCAGGGUUUGGGAGAAUUGAAAUCAUUGCGGACACUAUGGAUUUGGAACUGUAAUUCCAUCAAAAGCUUAAAUGAAUAUGAUCUAUCUACUUUACAUAAUCUAAAAAGAUUGGAUUUCAAUCGGUGUGAAUCACUGGAGAGCAUGUUGGGUGUGCCAAAAUCUUGCGAACUCACUGUAAGUUACUGCCCAAGGUUCAACAAAGAUGAAUGAGGUAUGUAUCAUUUGUUUACUAAGACUUUGCUUAAUUAAAAGAUUUAGGUGACUCACCUGCUUUGCUCAAUUCAUGAAAAUUAUAAAUAUGGAAACUUCUCAUAGGUUAUCAUGGUGAGAAAAGGAAUGAAUAUAGUUAGUCCCUUUGAUCCAUCAAAGUAUAUAAGUAAUGUCAAGUAUACUAGACAAAAUUAGUGUUUUUUUUGUCAGCAUACAAAAUUAGGUUUUUUUUUUUUUUUGGUCAGAAACAGGAAAUUAUAUUGGAGAGGUAAAACCAUUACAACCGGCAGCUAAAGCAUCCAUGCAAAUGAGAUCUAUCAAAUAAAACGAGGGAAAAAUGGCCCAACAUUGGACAGAGGAAGAACGAUCAUGGGCCUUUGUAGCCCAGUCAGCAGCAACAUUGGCCUCCCUUCUGCAGUGCCCUAGCGAGAGAUUAGGGAAACUCGAGAGCAAGGAGGCAGCUUCGACGAAGAGAGGCCGAUCCUCCCAUGGCGGCUUGCGGCGACGAUUCAGGAUCUCAACCACCAGGAAGUUGUCUAAUUCAAGGAGAAGCGAAGCAUUGGAGAAGCCAUGGCAUUGCAGAUGCUGAAGAGAUAAAGACAGCUUGGAUCUCGGCUUGAAAGGCAGAAGAUGCAGCAAAAUGUUUCGAAAAUCCAUCGGUAAGUCUUCCGUGAUGAUCCCUGCAUACACACGCCAUUGUGCCUUCUCUCGAGCCGAGUUGAUAAGACCCACCUACAUUAAACUUCAAGGUACCUCGAUCUAGGGGCUUCCAAAGGGUUCCCCUACUCAGUAACGAACACCCCUUAUUCAUCAGCGAUGAAGCCAUCAGAUGAGUGACAUUAGAAUCAGUCAGUGCAACCUCAGCCACCCGAGAUGGUCGAAGGCCUUCUUGUCGAAAAAUAAAACCAUUUCGAGCACGCCAAAUCUGCCAAAGAAUUGAGACCAAAGUCUCCAAACCAGGUAAGAAAGAUCUAGACUGAACUAGUUGGACUAUCCAUUCAUCUAUUCUAUGAAGCUGCAUAGGUGAAAUCUGAAUGUUGAAGCUGGGGUGCGCCCAGACCCUUUUAGUCCACGAACAUAAUAAAAACAGAUGUUCAAGAGUUUCAGGGAGAUUCUAAUCACAAAGUAGACAACACGGGUUGUUAAUAAUAUGUCGCUGAAAUAAAUUAGCCCUUGUAGCAAGAGCAUUCUAACAAAGCGACCAUAGGAAGGCUCGAAUUUUUGGGGGGGGGGGGGGGGAAUGCAUUUUCCAGAUUCUUUUCCAUAACCAACUUGGAUUCUAAUAAGAUGAGGAAGUGGUACUUAUUGUCUGGUGUGUUGCUGUUGUUGUGAAUGAAAGAUAAGCAGAUUUAAUAGUGAAAUAACCAUCUUUGGUAGCAGUCCAGAUAAUCUGAUCUCUGGUAGAAAGUGGUCGCAGAGGGAUAGUGGUGAUCUGGUCUAUAACCUGAUUGUCAAAGAAUUUGUGUAACAAGCUGGCAUUCCCAGUAUUGGUGGAUUGAUCAAUAAGAUCAGCUACCAAAAUAGGUUCUUCACGGAUUGAAGGGCCACUUAAGAUUCCAAUAGGGAGCCAAGGAUCACCAUGUAUUCUGAUUGAUUUACCAUCACCUACAGACCAACGUAUGUUGGGUAGGAUGGCAUCCCGACCAAGCAGAAGACUCUGCUAGCCCCAAGAUGGGCGAGAGCCUUUGUCAGCAUUUAGAAAAGACUUGGAAUGAAAAUACAAUCCUUUGAAAAAUUUGCUCCAAAGAGAUAAAGGCUGAUAAAGUAAACGCCAAGCCUGCUUAGCCAGCAUUGCUCUAUUAAAAUGUAGAAGAUCUCUAAAGCCUAAACCUCCAUCUGCUUUACUUUUUUUCAAAACAUCCCAACUCCACCAAUGUAUUCCUGAUUUAUUUCGAUCAUUCUGCCACCAAAAUCUGGCUACGCUUUUCUCGAUAGAUCUACAAAUAGACACAAGCAACUUGAAGGUAGACAUUGCAUAAUGAGGAAUAGCCUGGAUAACAGUUUUGAGUAGGAUCUCUUUCCCACCCUUUGAAAUCAGAUUAGCUUUCCAACUCUCCAAUUUAGAUUGAACUCGGCUCAAUAUCCAUGAAAACAUGUCUUUUUUCAAACGUCCCCAAUCAGAAGGUAUCCCUAAGUAUUUUCCACAUUUGUUCAGAAUAGGAACCCGGAGCUCCGAAGCCAAAUUCUGCUGCAAACUAACUGGGCAAUCUUUUCCAAAGUAGAUACCAAAUUUAUUACGAUUAAUUUCCUACCCUGUUGCUAGACAAUACUGCUCUAAUAUAUUCGAUAGAUUCUAGCAUUCAUUAACAGUACCAUCAAGAAAGAAUAUGGCAUCAUCCGCAAAAAAACAAAUGAGUUAAAGAAGGGCACCACCUGUUAAGUUCAAUACAUUUAAGAUGUUCCAAGUUGACAACUUUCUUAAUAAGUGUAGAAAGGAUAUUAGCCAACAUAAUAAACAGAUAAGGGGAGAGAGAAUCACCUUGUCUAAGACCUCUAGAAGGGUAGAAAUAGCUAAGAUGUUCUCCAUUCGGUUUAACACAGGAUGUUUGAGUCGAAAUACAUUGCAUAGUCCACUUCACCCAAGUAGGAUGAAAACCCAGUUUAAGGAGAUAAUCUUGGAGAAAAUCCCAUUCAACCCCGUCAUACGUUUUCCUCAUAUCCACUUUCAGAAAUGCUUGAUAAGUACAACUUCCUUUCUUGAUUCAAAGCUGGUGUAGAACUUCCUAGACAAGUAAAACAUUAUCCUGAAUUUGUCUACCCCCCACAAAAGCAGAUCGUUCCUCUGAGAUAAGGUCUGGUAAGAUGGGUUUUAGAUGAUUUGCAAUGAUUUUAGAUAUGACUUUAUAAGCAUAAUUGCACAGACUGAUAGAACGAUACUGAUCAAGGCUUUCUGGGUGAGGAAUCUUAGGAAUCAAAGCUAUUAAAGUUCUGUUUAAAGAAGAGGGCAUAACACCAGUAGUAAAGAACACAUUAACAACUUCAAAGAGAUCAUAUUUAAUAAUGUCCCAGUUCGUCUAAUAAAAUAAAUCAUUAAGACCAUCAGGGCCCGGAGCUUUGGCUGCUCCUAAUUGAAAGGUUGCCUGCUAUACCUCUUCCAGGGUAACAACAACAGUUAAACUAGUAUUCAUCUCCUGUGUUACCAAAGGAGUGCACUGAUCUAAGAUAGGAGCAUAAUUGCGACAUCCUAUUAAGGUAUAUAAGCGUGAGAAGAAAUCUGUCACCAUCUCCUUUAUUCUUGUAGGAUCCCGCACCCAAAAGUUAUCGUCAUUCUUAAGCAUAGUAAUACGAUUACGCUGACGACACUAAACAGUUGUUGCAUGAAAAAAACUAGCGUUCUUGUCUCCCCAUUUCAGCCAAUUAAGUCUGGAACGGAUAGCCCAAUAUUGUUCUUCACGACUCCACACCCUCUGCAGUUCUUCCUUCAAAGUUUUAACCUCAGUGUGAUCAUAAAAGACAUUCUGUUGAUUAGUAAGGUGCUGCAGUUGGAGCUGCAAAUCAUUAGCCCUAAGUCUUAUGAUUGAAAGAUGCAUUCAUGCUGCGAACAGAAUUCCAUGAAGUAUUAAUAAUAUCCCGACACUCCACAUCCUAAUUCCAAUAAGAUUCAUACUUAAAGUAGUGCUGUCUAGAACCAACCACUGGUGAAGUGUUAAGGAUAAGAGGACUAUGGUCAAAACCAAUAGCAGGUAAAGCAUAAACCUCAGCCUAAGGAAAAAGUAAUCUCCAAUCCAGUGAGCACAGGGCUCGAUCUAGACACUCCUUUAUUAACUCAUCCCCCUGAUGAUUGUUUAUCCACGUAAAUGCACAACCCUUAGCUUCAAUAGGCAUUAAAGAACAGUCAUUGAGAACAUAUUGAAAAGAAGCCAACCGAUUAAAAUCAACUGGUCUACCUUCGUGCUUUUUCCAGUGAAAAAGAAUCUCAUUGAAAUCACCGAUGUAGGCCCAAGGAAGAGUAUUUGCAAGGCUGAUGUUAAUGAGAUCCUGCCAAACCUCAAGUCUCAAACGAGCAACAGCAGGGGCAUGAAGACACGUGAGGCGCCAGGUAAUGCUUUCUACUUCAUCUAUACACAUCAUAUCGAAGUAAUCCAGAGUUGAACACACAAAAGAAAGAGAAACAGAAUCAUUCCAUAAAACUGCUAAACCCCUGCCAAACCAACUAGGUUGUAAACACACAGAAGCAAAAAAUGCAACCGAAUUUGCAACUGACUAAGGACAGCUUCGCAAUUUUUAGUUUCCAUAAAAAAUAAGAGAUCAGGUUUUUCCUUAACUACCAGGGCCUUUAGUGCUUGAACUGUCAGGGUAUUGCCCAAACCCUGAGAGUUCCAACUGAUCAUUUUCAUUUGUGACAAGGGGGCUAUUGAGGGCUAGCCACCCAUGCCCAACUUCCAUCUCUAGGAGCUUGCUCAAUGGGAGUGUCCAACAGUAAAGAUUCAUCCAGAUCAUCUAGUGUUGCACUGCGCAUAUCAUAUGCGUUAUACCUCUUAUGUUUCUUAACAGGGCCAACUUUUGUUAUAUGGCGAGAGCUCUUCAGCCUUUUGUCCUGAGUGACACUGCUUGUAUUAAACUGAACACCCUUCUGCUUUGCUGAUGCAGGAAUCAAAGCAAUGUGAGAAUCGCUGCCCCGAUGCGAGGACACCAGCACUAGAGGAGCUAGAGGAUGUGAUGCAGGAGGAAUAUCAAUCACUAAAGGCUGCAACAAGGGAGAGGCUUCAGAGGUAGGAAUUGGCGGCAAUAAAGGAAGGGGUUGAGCAACUGUAGGGGGAGUUUUAGGUACCACUUCUUCCACUAUGUCCUCCAUCUCUGUCGUUUCAUAAUAAAGUUUACAGUACGGACUAUGUUCCAUAAGCUUAGCGCGCAGCCAUUGUCCAUACGACAACUUGUCCUCUCCAGUUAAUACAUCAACAUCAACAGGUUUAUCGAUACAUGAGGUGGCAUAAUGCCUUAACUUCCCACAUAGAUAACGGUAAUGGGCAAGACGUUCAUACCUAAAAUCCAACCAAAUGGUCUUAUUAUUAAUGCUAAUCGAACGACCUGUCUGCAAAGGAUGCUGAAAGUCAAUUUCAACAUGCGCACGCCCUAAUCUCAUGGUAAACGUGUCUUGACCAUCGGCCCUUACUUCCAAAACUUUCCCAACUGUCAUAACUGCUUUUCUAAUAAGCUGUCAUGUGCACAAUUCCAGGGGAAGGCCAAACACUUGCACCCAAAAAGCGCAAGUUGAGAAAUCAUAGAAUGCAGCGGUGUGUUGGGAAUCCAAGCCUUAAAGACCACCAAUCGACUAGAAAAGACCCAAGGUCCCCCCACUAAAAUCCUCUAUUUAUUAGUAUAUAAUUUAAAUUUCGCCGCAUAGAGACCAUCCUCUCUCUAAGAGAUGUCCACCUGUUCUGUACGCCAAACCCUUUUCAUAGUACUCUGGGAAGCCUGGAAGUUUAUAGGAGAAUCAAUGAAUACCUUACCAAUCAGAGUUAAACGGCACUCAUUCAAUUUCGCAGGAGUAGGCACAUCGUUCUAGACCUCCAAAUCGUGAGGUGAGCACAAUCUUCCCAAGCGCUUACACAGGGUAGCCAAAUGAGGGGAAUUGGCUUCAUCUGCAUGUGCCAUAUCUACUCUGGAUAGAGUAAGGAGCAAAACCAAACAAUCGAAGAGAAAAUCAGCAACUAGGAAAGCUUGGGUAUGUGAGAAAGGCCAAAUAGAACAGUCGAUAGACCCAAAGGAGGAUUAGAAUCACACAUGCAAGCAACCUAAUGGGAGUCCGAAGAGAGAGAGAAGCAUAGUGAAGCAGAGGCGAAAGGUAGAGAAUGAGAGGCGAAGGAGCAGAGAGUUGGAGGCGGAAAGAUUACAAAGUACAGACAGGCAUCGAGAAUAACAGCUGAUAGAAAAGAGAAUCCAUCGAGGAAAACCAGAUGAAACAAGAAGAUUAGGGUUUAAGAUGCCAUUGAACCGAAGAAGGAAGCUCUGCAUGCGCAAGAGAAAAAGCUAUCCUUGACGGAUAGAGAGAAAAUUCAGUCCUCAAAUUUUUAGUUUUACAAAAUUAGGUUUGAGAAGAGGUAUUUUGAACAAUCAAUUAACUCAAUUUUCCUCUACAUCAAUUCUCUUUGAUUUUCAUCUCCAAAAGAGAGUAAAACUACAAUUUUCUUCUCUAUUUGUUUGCUAUUGGUUCAUUCUUGCUCAUCUUAAAUUACAAUCAGGGAAGAUGUUUCAAUUUGCCUGAUAAGUCAUUUACUUUCUUGAAUUCUUAUUUGUUAUGCGGAUGACAGGUCAUUUCUUUUUCCUUUGCUAUUUUAAGCUCGGUUUGGGAAUUUGAUGACUCGACUUUUUAAUGAAUUAAUUAAGGCAAAUGCAAUAACCUAGGUUUCUCCUUUUUUGUAUCACCUUUGUUUCUUGUAGUUUCGAAGAUUGAGCAAGGACACUGCCAGUUUUACUUCACUUUUGAUGUCAAUGGUUAUAAUUGCAAUUUCAAGCAUUCCCAUUAUUAAAGUUGAAAUUCUACUUCUCCAGCAAUAAUUAUUACCUUUGUUCAUCUAUUUAUGCAGAGUUCCGGAAUGCAAUCAACUAUUCAUGUUGAAUGUCUUCAAGUGUAAUGGUUGGGGAUCUAUAUGAGCAACAAUUAUUACCAGUCGAACUAUUUCUGGCUAAGAGUUGUGUCAUGCUUAGGCAUUCAAUGGCAUAAUGUACUAACCUUACCAUUUGUUUGCAGAAGUACUAUUUUCACUCAUAAUUAGCUUAAUCAAAGUACCUUAUAUAUAUAUUUUUUUUUCAUAGAUCUUGGUCAAUUAGUCAAGUUCAGGGGACCGAAAUUUGAAAGAUCCAUGACUUCCUCUCAUAUUCUUGCGUGUGCUUCUAUUGGCAUCCAAAAUUUGCUUGUUGGGCUUCGAAAAUAGAAGAGAGUAAAGUAUGCCCGACACACAAGAAUUCAUGGGUAGUGAGCCAAAACGCCAAUAGGCGACAACAAAGAUUUCGAACAAUUUGACAUUAGAACUUGCCGAGGCAAGCGAGACAACAAAGGAAGAAGUUACGAGAAUUGGUACCAGCGAAAAUAUCAACAAGGCAAAGUAGUUAUCGAUAAGGAGCCAAAGCUUCCGAAACAUCUUGAAUAUCGAAAUGAUAACCGCUAAAGAGCAUUUACCCAUAAAUUGCCACUAUAAAUGUCACGUCUCAAUCCUCAGACCACGUGCCCAUUCCUCUUGGUCGAUAUAAUUGCGACAUCCUAGGACGCAUGACUGACCCAUUCGUUUUAAUGCACAUGCGGAAACGAUUAAUAAAUCCCCAGACAACAACAAGAUGGGAUAGAAAAGUAGGGCCCAUUUUUCACAAAAUACAUUUUUAUAAAAAUACAGGUUUAUACACAGCAGCCUACAAAAAGGAAUUGAUUUUCAUCAAAAGAGAAUUGUCCUAUGACUAACUAGUCAGACAAGAUCACCGAUUCUUCGGGCUUCACCUUCUAAACUCUGGGCUUCGGGUCCUCCACCGCUAUCAACUAAGGACCUGAAAAUAUUAUCCCACAAUGGGGUGAGAUGACGUCUCAGCAGGUUCAACCUCCUAAAACCCGACUAGGAAGAAAAUAUGCCGAAAGGGCUACCUAAGCACAAUCAUGAGUCAGAGGACUUAUCUUGGCCUCUCUUCCUUGCAAGUCAAUAUAAUUCAAACAACCAUCCAAUCAUCAAUUCCCAAAUCACUUUACCCAACCAGAUCGAAUCAUCGAUUAAUCGACUCAAUUGAUUACAUGUCAUUGAGAUCAUUCCCCAAUCAUCUUAAUCAAUACUAUCUAUAAAGUCCGAUCAUAAUCUAGGACUACUUACUUUAAGCCAAUAAUAGAUAAUAUAUUAUACUGAGAUAAUAUAUUAUACAUAUGCUCGCCAGAAGCUGCCUCAAAUACUGAUAUAGUAUAUUAUAUAUUCUCGCUAGAAGUUGUCAGAUAUAUUUUCAUAGUAUACUGAUAAUAAUAAUGCUUACCAGAAGCUGCUAGAUAUACUCUCAUAGUGUGCUGAAAAUAAUCAUGCUCACCAAAAGCUGCUAGACAUACUCUCAUAGUAUGCUGAAAAUAAUCAUUUAAUCAAACCACAAUUUUUAUCCUUCCCGAUAAAAAUAUUCGUGUGUGGAUACACGGUCGGCUUUAGCCAAAAAUAUAAUAUUUUCAUCUUUGAAAAUUCCACUAAUUUUAAUGGUCCACAAACUCAUUUUUAGCGCUAUAAACCGACGCUCUGUGAUUUUCCAAUUAAUUACUGAAAUUAAAUAAUUUUAUGAAUAAAUUCCCAAAAGCACAAUUCACACACAAUCGGCACAAAAUAACAGUCGAAUAAAUAAACAAAUUACACCAUUACAGUUAGCAUAAAAUUUCGGUCACCGGUUAUUCCGAUCUAAUUUUCGAAAAAUAAUUAAUUAAUUAAUCAAUUACGGAAAAUAAUUAAUAAAUGCAAUAAAUAGUAACUUAGGCCCGUAAACCCUAAUUGGAAGCCGAGACGAGCUCGGAAAAUUUCCGAACCACUCUAGAUACCAGAGCUUGUCUAGGCCCUAAUUGCACUAAAUUAUCCACCUAAUAUGCAUUGAUAAUUAAAUAAUUUACUAAACAGUUCUAAUUAUGCACUAAAUCAAGCUUAAUCUAAACUAAUCAACCCUUAAACGUCAUUAACUUAAUAAGUGACGAUUAGUGAGUUAAACUUACCUAAUUAACGAUUCGCUUGGAUCAAAACGAUGGGGACGUGGCGAGGAACGAAAAGCUCCAAAGCGGUGACGUCAACGGGGCAUGGAUCGGGCCUGAAAAUUGGCCUGAGGAAGCCCAUGACACUACUGGACUUGGCUGAGCUUCAUGAGGGCUUACAGCUUCAAGCGGGCUGAUUUCGAUGGAAGAAAGGGCAGCAAGGAGUCAAUGCCGAAAGUUGCUACAGCUGACUUCGGUUGAACACUUGCUGGGGACGUCUCGACUGCUGGCGUGGACUGGAGAAGAAAACCAAAAUUGCAGAAGCCGGAGUGGUGAGGAGAUGGGCGGCUGGCCGAAGGAAAGAGAGGGGUCGAGGGGGGUGUGUCGGCCAAAAGAAAAGAGAGGAUAAAUAUGACCAAAAGUCAAAGAAAUGGGAAACGUGAGUGGAAAAGAUGGCAGAGGGCUGUCGGCGGUUUUGGGGGGGGGAAUUCGUGCGAGAGAGAGAGAGAGAGAGAGAAAGGAAAAAGGAAGGGGGCAUGCGGCCAAGGGGGAGAAGGAAAAAUAAAAAUUAAAUUAAAUUCCUAAAAUCAAAAUUUCUUGGUCCCACUUGCUCUUGUUUAAUUCAAUUUGGUCCCCAAAAAUCCCCAUGCUAAAGUACAUGAUCCUCACUUGCUUUCUUGUAUCAAAUUUCCUUCAAACUGAGAGUUCUAGUAUGAACACCUAGUGGGGGUGAAUAGGUGUUUAAAAUAAAUCUUGGCAAAUAUAUGCGGAAUAAAAUAAACUUCAAACAAAUGAGUUAGGGAAGAGAAUAAGAACACAGAAAUUAUAGUGGUUCGGCUUAAUCCAAGCCUACGUCCACUCUCCCACGCUAACAGCCUUCUUGGCUGGAUUCCACUAUGCAAUCAACAAGAGAUUACAAUUUCGAGUGCAAACACUUAGUAGUAGAUCACACUAUCUCACUAAGUCACUCCUUUGGUAUUUGUCUCACGAUCACAAACGUUUAAGCUCUCUAAAGACAAGUGCAUGAUCGAAGGUCGCUCAGACUUUGGAAUUAUAAAUUCUACGCUCUAUCUCUUACUUGUUCAUCGGUCCAUGAUCUCCUUAAAUACUCCUCCACUUCCAAACUACCCGUUGGACAGUAUCCCAGAGAAUCGUCUUCCAAUAUACCCAUUGGACAGCUCUGUAUCUUGAAGAUUUGGUAGCCGUUGAGUGACAAAGGUAGAAUCCCAAAUUGAUUCCGAUCGCCCAUACAAACGAAAUCUUGGUUUCCAUAAGUAAAGCCUCUUCGUAUAGAAAGUUCUUGUCUUUAAGAUCCAAUCGUCAAUCAAAUAGAUUGAGUCAAUCAAAUCAAUCUUGAUGUGGAAUCCAAACCAGAUCACUAGCCGUUAUAUGAUUGGGCUUGAAUUACGUUCUGUUGAAUCUGGAUGUAAAGUCUGAUAGCAAUAGACUUUAUAAUCUGAGUCUGAGUGCAAUAGACUUUACAAUCUGGGUCUGAACAUAUUCUACUUCUGAACAGUUUUAGCUUUAAGGUCUGAAUACCCAAUUCAGCUUCAGUAUAGAGUCUGUCUUCUGGUUCAGCUUCAACAUAGAGUCUAUCUUUUGGUUCUUCAUUCACGUUCAGUCUGGAAUUUGUCAGAAUGAGCAGACUUCUGAUGUAGAACAGACUUUGACACUAAAGUCUAGCAGUCUUCAAACUUUGACACAGAAGUCUGGAAAUCUUCAUAAUAUACUUUGGACAUAUGUUACGUUCAGUCUUCUGGCUAUCUUCUGACUUUGAUAAUAUCCUUUACAUGUUCUAUUAUCUGCAUGGUCUAUUACUUAACCAUUAAACAUGUUAGUAGCCUUUGAUUUAUUUUGUCAUCUUCAAAACAUCAUAAAAGGCCCGAAUUAUUCAAUUGAAAAUGAGAUUCAAAAUCCAAGAUGUCACAAUAAAUAGCCGAAGAGGUAUCAAUAGAAAGGACCUUUUCCCAAAUCAACAAUCGAUCAUCUACUUUCAAUUGCUUUGUUUCUUUUAUUGAACUUUUAAUUUGAAUUGUAGUUUUACUUUUCUCCUUUUUUUCCUGCAUUUAUGUUUGCUUGUAAUUUAGAUCAGUUGCUUCCUUUCCGGCAUGACACAGAACCCAUAUUAAAUAAUAAAGUCGAAACUUUGCCCCUUUGGUGAAAGAUUUUGUCGAGGGAAGUUUCCUUGACAAACAUCUUUUUGGCAUGCCUAGUGGGACCAUUGUGUUCCGUUCAUAGGAAGGGUUAAUGGCAAAAACAAGAAAUUAGGAGAGUCACUCCUCGACCAUCAAGGGUAAUUUGUCACCGCAGCACGUUGGAGAGAGAACCACCUGUUCCAAGAUUUCUGGUUAAAAUGUAGACUAUAUUAAUGGUGUCAACAUGGGCAAUCAUUCUAGAGACAUUUCAUGAGAAUUAUCUGAAGAUCAGAGAAGAGAGUUGGCCCUUAAUUCAACGGUAAUGGUCACCAUGAGAAGGAUGUUCGAAGAGCAACAAAAUGAUAUAGCCAAUCAUAUAGCAAAAUGUCUUUGGUGAUGGAGACAUAUUUAUAAUAUAUGUAAGAUAAUUAGGUCGUGGUACUUUCAAUCGUGAUUUAAAUUGUUUUUCCCUGGACAUUUCUAUUUUCUUCUUCAUUCAUUGUCUUGUUUACCAAACUUCACGAUGAUCAUUAUUACUAUUUUAUCUUCGUCGAAAUUUUAGUGGACACAAAUUUCUCAGUAAAGUUUGAUAGACAACCUAUCCGAAGUAUGGGUAAAUGCAUUAGUUAUACAGAACAAAAAAUCGAAAGUGAAUUACCCAAACAAAGCACACAAUUAAGAUAGACCAAAAGACGCCACCGUUGCAUGCACAAUAGACGACAGAGAGGAUGUCUCUUCUAUAAAUAUAUUUGGAGAUUCAAAAUCACCAAUUGUCUAGCACGAUGUAGGACGUGAUGAAAUCGCUUAAAAGAUGUGCAUUGAGGAAAAUGUUAAAGCUAGAAACAUGCGAGUCUCUUGAAGACAAAGCCAGCGAUCGAACUGUAGUAACAGGAGAUCCGGUCCGGGACUUGAAGGCCAAGCCGGCGAGUAUGCCGUUCGUGGAUUGGUGGGUCAUAUCUUGAAGUAUGGUUGUGAGGAUUCAUUCUUCUUAUGUUUCUCAAUUUCACUCUUCAAGUUUCACAUAUUAUCGGUGAACACAAAAUAUAUAGCAAAUAAAAAUAUUAUAUUUAGCCGGGUGAGUAUUGGAGUGUCUAAAUUUUAAAUAUCUUUUUUUUUUCCUUAUUGAAUUUUGAGAUGUCAUUAAUGAUGAAUUAGUUCUCAGAGAUUAACCACUUUUGGUAUAGGUUUUUUUUUUGGCUCUGUAGGCUUAAGAGGAAAAAAUAAAGGGAAGAAAUAAGAUGAUUAAUUACACGGAAAUAACUAUCACAUCUUGCUAGGUGAGUAUAAGGGUGUCUACAUAUCAAAUCAUCUUUUUGUAUCUAUAGAAUUUUGACAAGUUGUCGAUGAUAGAUGAGAUGAUUAAGUAAUUUACCUAGUUUGGCAGUUGGAAGGGUUAAAACCCCUUCUUGAAACUAGCAUACUAGAUGUGUAAGCUCUUUAAUGACUCUUCUUCAAUGAGUGGUCUCAUUGCAUUGAGCUCAACUUGAUCACUGUCUUACUCUUGAAGUUUCGCCUUAGUGUCCCAGACACCCCUAUCCAGGCUUGGGCAUGAUAUUUUUUGCUUUGGUCACAACUCACCCACGCUUACUUUAAGUGCUACAGGUCGUAUUUAGGCAAAAUGGGAUUAGAGACAUACAUAAAAGCCAACAUUCCCACUCUUAAAGUCAUGCAAGAUUUACCUACAAGCACAAUAGCCCAUAUGGAGGUAAGUGGGAACAAUUAAAUAUCGGAAACCUAACAUCGCCACCUUGGCCUAAUACACCACUAUAGGUAGCCUCAUUGGAGGGUAAACAUGAUAUUAUUUGCUCUGGUCGUUGCUAUUGAUAUUCAAAUUUUUAUCAACGUUUUAGGUAUCCAUUUAUAUUACAAAAAUCUGAAAAUUUAUAAAAAAUAAUAAUAACAAAAAAAUAAAAAAGAUAUUAAAAAAAGCGAAAUGAAGUCGUGUGGGCCGGCCCCUUAGCAAAGUUUUCAGCCUUCUAAGCCCCCUCCCCUCCCUCCAUUAGUCCAACCCAUUUCUUUUAAUUCUUUGGGCCCAUCUCUUCAUUUCCUUUUUAGCCCAUCUCCUUUUGUCUUUCCUUGGCCCAUCAUAUAACCAAACACAAAGGAAGCCCAGCCCCAUCCUCCCUCUUCCCUCACGCGCGCUUCCCCCUCAACUUCCCCAGCGAGCACAGCGUCUGUGACGCAAGGAAGAAAGACAGGCCAAGCGUGCGUGCGUCUGUGAGCGAAGGAGGCGCGACAAGCCGUGACGAGAGCUGAGCCAGCACCUUCUAGAGCCGUGCUAGCUGGCGUGCGAGAGAAAUAACACAAAGAUUCGAUCGGUGAGGCGAGGGGAGCGUGCUGAUCCGAGAGAAAAUGAUGCUCGCCUCAAGAGGAUCCUGUUCGCAUAACAGGAGGAGAAGAGACGCCGCCGGAUUUCGGAGAGGGCGGCCGUCGAAGAGGCAAGUUGCAGAGAGAUAAGCUGAAGAGAGAUUCACGGGGGAGAAAGAGAGUCAGCCGAGAGCGAGAAGGAGAGGAUGGCUGGACGCUCGCUUGAAAAAGGAUUUGGCCAUCGAAGAGCUCGGCCGAAGGGAACCAAGGAGGAUAGGAAUCGGCACUACCCCUGCCAGGUCGUUUCUAUUCCGAUCGACCGUUAGAGUCGAUUACGUGUUCAGAAUCUCCUCAUCGCUCUGCUCCAUUGUUCGGGAUCUGUGUCCGUCCACCUUCGAACCGAGAUAUAGGAGAGCGAAGCUGUCUGAAGCAGGUUCGCGAGUUUCGUUUCAGUCGAAGGGAGAAUCCUCGGGAUUUUAUUGAUCUCGAUUAGUUGAAAUUAAAAAAUUAGUCUUGCCGAGAGUCCUUCAUGACCUGUUUGAUGUUUUGUGUAGAUGUCUUCAACGUUGAUUUGUUCCUGUUACUGGUCAAUCCGUGAGCAUUUUAGUAUGAGUCUCGGAAAAGUUAUUCCAUAAAAUUGGAAGAGAGUAGGAGUAGGAAUGGAAUAGCUAAUUUGUAGUUUGGUUUGUAUAAUGGAUUCAAAAAAUUCUCUGGUUUGUUUUGCCAUGAUAUUAGGGAGAAUAUGUUUGGAAUAGUGUAUACCCAAAAUACCCUUUGAUGAUAUAUAUCAAACUCUAAUUUCUUUUAUUAUCAUAUUUACAUAGGACAUAAACGAAAGCCUACUAUAAUUUCUAAAUAAUUGCAAUAUUUGAAUUUCUAAUGAAAGUAACCCUUAUUUUAUUAAUUGAUAUAAUUAAACCAUAAUAUAAUUACUAAAAAAAUAAAUGAACUAAUUAUUAAACAAUAGUAUAAUUACUAAAUAGAUAACUAUUAUUUUUAUAACUACCUUUCGAGUCAAGCCAAUACAAUAAGGCCAAGCUCAAGCUCAACUCCUAUUAGAUAUCCGAUGCUCGGAGUUCUGCUUGAGCUUUGCAACUCAAAUUUUUAAAGAAAAAAGUACCAAAAUAUUAUUAAUAAUAAACAAAGUAAUUGCAGAAAAAUAAUAAAACACGGAUCGACUGUCCAAUGAUAUAUUUCUGAAGCACCAAAAGUCCUCAAGGCUGGGGCCAACCAGUCCAUCAAAUGUUUGUCGGGCCACAGUCGGCCAAUUAGGCCCAUGGGCUUGAUUGGACCUACGCUCACAAUGGGGUUGGGCAACACGGCCAACAAGGCCCUAAAGUAAUUAUAACUUGAGUGUUUAAUCUAGCGUUAAUCAACAUAAAAUGCUACAAUGUACAUUUUCUCCAUCAAAGUAAAUUAGUGUGACAUGUAUCCAUAUCGUACUAAUAAAAAAGUCUAAGUUUAAGUUGUUUCUUUCCUUUCAUAUUCGGAAAUUGCUUUCCUUAAUUAUUAAAAGUCAAUAUCUAAGGGCCACAGUUCUAGAAUUUCAAACUUUACGUUCAUUAUUCAUUCCCUUUGAAUUAGACCACGCUUUUAUUUGACUUUCCGUGAUGGUGGCCAAAGAUAUCUCCUCGUCUUCUAAUUUAAUGUAGUUGGAGCACGCUCAUGACAACAACAUCACACCACAUUCCUGGAAAGUUAAAAUUCAAUGUAACAAUAAUGUCACUCGAAAUCGUCUAAUUAACCCCGUGUUCUAAGGAUGUUCGGAUCUUGAUUUGGCUAAUUAAUUGCAAUCUUAAGUAAUUUAAUAAGGAUUCCACCUAAUUUUGAUCCGAGUAAUGCGGGGAAUUGACCAUAAAUGAUGGGACAUUUGAACAAACAUAUGAAUAUGAUCCAAUCCAGAAAAAUAUCAGCUUUUUCCCGACGUCCAUCCCUAUCAGGAAAAUUUACUUAUGGUGGACAUAGAAAUGGUUCCUCGUAUUUUAUUUACGAAUUAAAGUUUUUGGAUGGUGGAUAUAAAGUAAGUAAUUUAGGCUAGAUUUCGUGUUGUGUACAGGCAAGAUAUUGACUUUCUACAGAAUACCCACCGCACAUUUGGAUGGAAUAUAGAUAUUAGAGCAUGCUUAUAUUUGACUUUGCGUGAUGGUGGCCAAAUAUAUCCUCAUCAAUCUAAUUUAAUAUAAUUGGAGCGCGUUCAUGACAACAUUACACUACAUUACUGGGAAAAUUAAAAUUCACUGUAAAACAAUAAUGUCACUUGAAAAUGUCAAAUUGACCCCAUGCUAUAAGGAUAUUCGGAUCUUAAUUUGGCUAGCAACUUGCAAUCUUAAGGAAUUUAAUAACGAUUCCACCUGAUUUUGAUCCGUGUAAUGCGGUGAAUUGAUGAUAGAUGAUGGGACAUUGGAACAAAAUAUGAAUAUGAUCCGAUCAACAAAAAGAUCAACUCCUUCCCAUUCCAUUGCAUUUGCCUUCUUUACAAGACUGUUGAUUUCUUUCUCAAUAUCAGCAAACUUCAUCUCAUCAGCAUUUCGAAUUUACUGGAACAACCAGACCCCACGUGAAAGAAAACGAAUUAAUUUAAACCACAAUCUCAUUAGAGUCUACGUACCUGAUAAUCAAAAGACAAAUCCCUAUACCUGCCUUGCUUAGAGAAAAAUAUCAUGGCAAGGAUCGCAAAUUUCUAUAGCUAUUCAGUCAUUUUCUGGAGACAAAGGAUGGAAAUAGUUUCUUACCUUUACCAAAAAAAAAAAAGAGAGAGAUGGAAAUAGCAUAAUCUCGCCCCUCGAUCAUCAAAUAUCUCGAUCAGUAGUGUUUUAGGGGGGAAAAGGGUUGUUGAUGCUAGAAAAUCGCGACAUUAGCUUAUCACUUCUCACAUUUAAUGUCCUUGGAAUGAUGGAGGCAUCCAAAAUCAAAGAAUGAGAAUCGUCGCUCUAAAUCCUUGGUCUCCAUCUUGGUGAUUUUCUACAGCUUAGGAAGACCGCUGGUGGAAAUCAUAAUAUGUUUAAGAAACAUUGAUGAGAGUGUAAGACAAGUUUAAACCAGGAGCUUGUGCUCCAUAUUAGUCGUUGCUAAGCAAAUGAAAGGAAACCUCUUCGUCAUGGUGAGAGCAAGGGUGAAUCACUACUUGUCAAAGCAUGAAGAUCUACGUUCUUUAGCCCAUAUAGAGAAGAAAGAAUAAAUAAAAGGGAAAAAUCCUCAAAAAUCCCAAACUUCACCCAUGUGAUAUAUUUAUCCAAUUCUUUUUUUUUUUUGGUGACUCCAAAAAUCUUAAACUUAUAUUUCUAUGACAUAUUUACCUCAAACCUUUUUUUUUGUGAUACCAAAAUCCCCAAACUUUUUUUUUGUGACACCAAAUUUUAAGGAUAAAUGUGGCAUAUGAAUACAAAAUUAUGAUUUUUUAUAUCAUAAGAAGAAGUUUGGGAUAGAUAUGUCCCACUAUAUAAAUUUGGGGAUAAAUAUGUUACAUAAAUACAAAUUUGGGAUUCUUAUUGUAAAAAAAAAAGUUUGGUGUUAAUAUGUCACAGUGAACAUAAUUUAAGAUUUUUGGUGAUUUUUUUUUUCUUUUAAUAAAACAAGCACUUAAUAGUGGGCAACAUACGCAAUGUGAUUGCAAGCAUGGGAUAGAGACUCGAUGCUGGAUGUUUUUUGGUCAUACGGAUCAACCGUCCAAAAUCGACUUAUUAUUCUAAAGGGUUUUCCUUCAUCUUGGACGUCACAUAGGAAUUUUUACACUAGGAAGAAGCUGAGAUGGUCUAAAGGUUUAAUUCAACCAUUGAGGUUUAAUUAAACCAUCCUUUGAAGAUAUGAUACUGGAAAAAAAAAAUCCGCAUAUCAUAAAAUGAAAAGUACCCGGACUCUAUAAAAAAAACACCCGGACUCUCAAAAAACCAGUACUCUUCCCUCAGUCUCUCGCCCUCGCCAAUCGGUCACCCCAAGCCUCCGCCACCUCGCCGCUACAUCACAGUCGACAUCGUAUCCCCUUCCCGUGCCGUCACCCCUCGCCGUCAACGUCGUAUCCCUUCUCGUGCCAUCACCUGUCGCCGUCGAGCCCCCCGGCCAUCGCCUGCGCCGAUCGUUUCGCAUCCCGUCUCGGCCAAGCCACCAUCUCUGUCCCCGACUCUCUCUCCUCGAGGCAGCCUCGCUCGCGCGGCCGUGGGCAACACCAGAUUUGAAGGUGAAAAGUGAUGCACAGCUCUCUCUCUCUCUCUCUCUCUCUCUCUCUCUCUCUCUCUCUGUCUCUCUCUCUCUCUCUCUCCUUCCGUGUUUCCUCUUCGAAGCAAUUAUUUUGUCGAUCUGAGAAGGAAGGCUGCAGGUAACUUCCAGGCGAACGCAGCGAAAGUGAGAGAUCUCUCUCCGUUGCGUCAUCAAGUUGCUACGUGGAUCAGACUCGGACUUCUCAAGUCACCGGGCAGACCCAAUUCGGAGAUCCAUUUCUGCAUCGUCCUCACAGAAUGAAGAGAAAGAGGGAGGAAAAAGAGACGGCAACAGCAGCUUCAACAAGCAGUAGCCGUGAUGAUGGAUCGGGGAGUGGCUACGAGGUGUUCCUGAAUUUCAGAGGUCCCGACACCCGUUUAACCAUGGCUGAUUGUCUCUACAAUGGCCUGAUUGGUGCAGGGAUCCGUGCUUUCAAAGACAAUGAAGAGCUCCGAUUUGGCGAAGAGAUCGAAGGUGGCCUCUUACAAGCGAUCAAUGACUCUAGAAUUUACAUCCCGAUAUUCUCCAAGGACUACGCUUCAAGUAAGUGGUGCCUUCGUGAAGUGGCACGCAUAGUGGAGCUAGUGAGAGCUAACAAUGAGAAAGUGAUCCUCCCUAUAUUUUACGACGUGGAUGUGGAUGAUGUCAAGCUUAAGACUAAGUUAUAUCGGAAAGCCCUUCGGAAACACAAGAGCAACUACGGGAAGGAUUUAGUAAAGAAGUGGAAGAAGGCGUUAAGAGAGGUUGCUAGUCAUAGAGGAAGGAAGCUAAAAGAUCACGGGUAUUAUUUGCUUCUCCAUUGACUUUAUUUUCUUUGUUGAAAUUUUCGAUUUCUCGUUCCUUUAAAGAAUAGUUCGUCGAUUGCUACUGUCCAACCUUGUGCAACAUAUGUUUCCAUUUGACGCAAUGAGGGAGCUAGAAAUUUUGCUCAGAGGGCGAGGCUUCUUGCACAAAUUGACUUUUCACUUUUUUAAUAUCAAAUUUUUAUAACAAUUAAAGUUAAGGCAUAGAAACUUAAUUAAUUAAUAUAUAAUGCAAAAAAAAACCAAGAUAUCCGUGAAGAUCUAAGAUGUGAUAAAAUAGUAAGACCAUAUAUUUGUGAAAAAUAAAAAAUCUAAGUUUCUUAACUUCAAUUGCAUUGCGUAUAUGAAUUUAAGGACUUUUGGUGUAAAUUCCUUGACCUAUGCCUAUAAUGUUUUCCUGAAAAAUUAGAUUGAGUUUGAUGUUAGAUCUUUUUGUUUUUGUUACAUUAAGUAAGCAUAGAGAAAUUAUAGCAUAGACUUAGUCUAUCGCAGUCCAUACGAUAUCCAAAAACUUACGGCCAAGAGGAAAAAACUGAUCCUUGUGGUUUUGGUUUCAGCCCUAGGGAAUUCAUAUGCUUUGCUGUUGUUUUCCUUGAAAUAACCGGCUAAUUACGGUCGCACCACCGAGUCACACAAAAAUAAUGGAGAUUUUUAUGAUGAUAGUUUCAUAACCCCAUAAGAGGAUACUAUAGGUCAUGGUUUUCUUAUUUGGUUUGAGUAUACAAGACCGAACAUUGCAAAGAUCUUUGUAUGCCAUUAUCCAAAAGAACCCAAAAAAAAAGGAUCUCUGUAAGUGUUAGAGGUUCAAUCUUCCUGUAUUUCUUAUUAGAGUAAUUCUUGAUUAAUUUGCAAAGGAUUCACUUAGGUUCAGGUGUGUUAUCAAUCUUGGGCUUUUGUUUUCAUUGUGGUGGGGCAGGUAUCAUAGGCUCCUCUAGUGGCCAGUUGUACAUAGACAAGAUCUGCAACCUUAAACUGAAUAUUCUUCUAUAGUGAUUUAUAGUAGAAUGCUAAAACAUAAAAAUUGGUUCUUGCUGUUGCUUUAAACAUGGACCUAUUCAUGGCCUCAUGUCUUGAUUAACCAAAAAUUCACCUAAGGGACUUCCAAGUAGUUGUAGUUAUGGUUGGAGAAAUCUAAAAGCCUCUAGAAAAUGGAUAAGUACUUAAACAAUUGUAAGUUACCUUGAGAUAUGGAGCUACCCUCUAUCCUAGUUUGCAAUAGUUUUUCUAUAAACCCUAGCCGUUACUCUCUGCUUACUUACAUCCUUCUUCAUUAAACCUUACCGAUUCUAUCUUUCAUUAAACGCAUUAAUAGUUUCAAUCCUCAAGAACGGGAAGGGCUAUCCUAUUACUGCCAUGCCCAACAGGCUAUCCUAUUACUGCCCAUGCCCAACUUAUGUCGUGCAACAUUCUCAAGGAAGCAAUUGUUUUGAGAAAAAUUUUCCUAAAAAAAAUUGCCUCAUCCAAGGUAGGCCACUGUAGGGCGCAGAUUUCCCAUGUUCCAUGCCCAUCCAUAAUUUUAAAGUUAUCGGUUUUUAUAUGAAAUUAUCAACUUUAAUUCGUGUCUAAACAACUUCUUUUUCCAUUGUUUUACAAACAAGUUUUAGCUUACCGGCUUUUAUGUGAAUCAUUUACUAAGUUUAUUAGAUUGUUUGCCAAUUUACAACUUCUGUAAAACUCACCAUAUUGUUUACUCCACAUUUCAAAAUUACCAAAUUUUGUACCGAAUUACUAACUCUAAUAUGAUUGUCAUAUUAACUAAUCUCUAAUUAAGUUAAUAACUAGUUUAAUUCUACCCAUUCUUAUUUGAGCUACUUAUCAGUAGUUAUUAUUUGUUUCAAAACUACCAACCUUCAUAAAACUUUCGUUAAUAACGCACAACCUUUUAUUUGCACUGGUUAUGAACAUCAUUAGGGAACGAAAUCUGUUUUUGAAUUACCAAUCCUAAGUUGAGUUACUCACCAGUUUAUUCUGAUUAAAGUACCAACUAGUUUGCCCUUACCAAAAUUAUUCGGAGAAAUGUUUGUUGGUAACUCGAAUCAAGGUUGAUAUAUAUUCCAGAAAAUCUUCCUCAUUUUCGGUUAGUAUUCUACUCUAUCGGUACAUUAAGAAAAAUGCUUUUGAGAUAGUAUUCUUGUUUCUGAUUUUCAAGGCAACUGCGAGUGAGAUUUUUUCUUUUCCGUUAACCUUCAAACUCAUCCCUAUUGCUUGAAGAGAUUAACAAGACCGAGUUUACCGAGGACUUGAUAUUUAGCCAAACUUCUAGAGGUCUCGUUAUUAGCUGUGUGUGACAAGAAGAAACCAACCGGUGUGAAAAAGUAUAAAAUGAAGUGGAGGCAUCACUAUCAAAUUAGUCCUAAAUUUAUUAUGCAUGACAUUUGAGUACUAGACAUUUUAAUUUUGUCAAUGUGGUCAUAGGUAUUUGCAUGAAAUUUUAAUGUUAUCUUUCUAUCCAAUUGCCAUGAGAAAUUACUAACAUGACGUCCAUUCAUUGCCGUUGUCCUAUGUGGCAAGCUGACAUGGACAAUUUUACUUGAAAUGACAUCUUGUAGAUUGCCACUUUAGCAAUUUUCGAUGGACAUUGACUGGAAGGACUACAUUGAAAUUUUGUAUAAAGGUUUAAGACAAAAUUAUUGAAAUUGAAAAGUUUAUGACUGAAUUAACAUUUGUACAAUAAAUUUAAGACUCAUUUCAUAAUUUUCCCAUAAAAUGGAACAAAGGUCCACAACCAAUUCCAACACAAUGACUCACGGCACUAGUUAGUCACAAUUUGCCAAAGUAACUUCUAAUUGAAGCCCAAUUAGACCCUUGUCACGAAAUAACCUUUUCACAUCAUUGACUAAACCAAAGAACCUUGAUAGCAUUAGCUUCAACCACGAAUAAAGUCCCUCCUCCUCCUCCUCUCUUGAAAACAUCUAUUUUUUUUUUCAAAUGGCUCACAGCUUGAGAGAUCGCUUUUUUGUGUCUUCUGUUUAAGCAAUUAUUUUGAACUUGAUGAUAACCUUCUAGUGCCACGUAAUGUGUGCACAAUUUCCAUAUAUAUGGUUUUUCAAUCUGAGAUGAUUGCAUGUUAUGCAUGUGGCAGCCUAUAUGAACUAAUGAAUCUCACAGUCAAAGAGGUUUCUAGUUUGUUAUGGACAAGAAGGACAGGUGUGCCUGAUCAUUUGGUGGGAAUUAAAGAUCGAGCGGAAGAAAUCUUGAAGCGGUUAGAUCUAGAAGCUUUUGAUGUACGGUUUAUCGUGAUUUAUGGUAUGGGUGGCAUUGGAAAAACGACACUAGCUGAGGCUGUCUUCAGACAAAUCUCCCCUCAGUUUCAGAGACAUUGUGUCUUUCUUAAGGAUGUUUGGACUCAUGAUAUAAUAAACUUACAAAAGAAAUUGUUGUCCGACAUUUUCCAUUUGAGUUGCACAAACUUAUCCUUCAUUGAUGAAGGCGCUGACAUGAUCAAGACGAGAUUUCAUGACAAGAAAGUUCUCAUUGUUCUUGAUGACAUAGACAAUCGAGACCAAAUCAUGAGACUUGCCGGUGAGCCUAACUGGUUUGGUGGGGGUAGUAGAAUCAUCAUAACAACAAGAAAUAUUGAAUUCCUGGUAAAGGAAGGUGAGGAUGACAAUCUCCCAAUCUCUAAUAGCAGACAAUUUUCAUUCUAUGAUAUGCCGGAGAUGAAUUCACAUGAUGCUCUUCAACUUUUCUGUGAGCGUGCCCUGGGACGUGCCAAGCCUCCGCCUAGUUACAUGGAUAUCACAAAAAAGCUAGUCAAUGCAUUAGGAGGACUUCCAUUGGCUCUCAAUGUCAUAGGUUCCACACUCCAGGGAAAAUGCCAAAGAACAUGGGAAGACACCUUAUGUAAGUUAAAGAAGGUGAUGAAUGCGCAUGUCAAGAAGAAGUUGAUGAUAAGCUACGAAGCAUUGGAAAUUAAUCAACGGCAAAUUUUUCUUGAUAUCGCAUGUUUCUGCUUCAACAAAGAGAAAACAACCGCAGUUAAAUAUUGGGACGCAAUUUUUGGGUAUCCGACUGAAAUCGAGGUUAAUAUCCUCAAACAUAUGUCUCUAAUAAAAAUAUCCUAUGAUAAUAAACUAUGGAUGCACGACCAACUUAGAGACCUUGGAAGGAGUAUCGUCCAUCCAGAAAGUGGCGAAAUCCAUAUGAAGGGUAGCAGAUUGUGGUCUCCCAACGAUGCCUUUCAUGUAGUGCAGACAGAAACGGUAAUCUUGACCUCUAAAUGUUUUCCAGUAAAUGCAUUAGCAUCACCACCUUUUUAUCUAAUUUCAAGUCAAGGUGACAUAUGUACUCAUUGGUUGCUACUUUUUUUUUCCAGGGAACCAAAGACACAGUGGCCCUCAAUCUCGGUACACCAAGCCCAAAUAAGACGUACAGAUUUAAGCGUGAGCAAUUUAUGGGCUUGGUCAACCUUAGGUUCCUUCAAUUGGACCAUGGAAAUUUUGAAGGAGACUUUAAGAAUGUUUUCUUUAAUCUGAGAUGGCUCUCUUGGAGCAAUUGCCCUUCAAAAUUCCGAGCUAGCAACUUUGGGUUGAAGAACUUAACGAUUCUCACGUUAUCUGGGAAUAACGUUACUGAAGAUUGGGGAGGAUGGUGUCAAAUCAUGGUAUGAUCUCACAACAUCCUUUUGCAUUAUAUUCACUCUUCCUAUUUUAUGAGUGUCUACUCAAUUACUUUAUAGGUAGCAGAACAAUUGAAAAUCCUACAGCUCGAGGACUGUCCAUUCCUUAGAAAGAUGCCCAAGUUCUCCACAAUCUCAAAGCUGGAGAGAUUGAUUCUUAGAUGCGUUCGACUAAGAAAGAUUGACAAGUCCAUCAGCAAUCUACAAAAUCUUGAUUACCUAGAGAUAAAGAGUGAAGCUAUUGAGUCGCCACCAGAGUCCAUCGGCGGUCUAAAAUCUUUGACGGUGCUAAGAAUAGAGCAGACACCCUCAAGGAAGCCUCACUCGAUUGGCAAUUUAGCAAAGGUGAAGUCUCUAAUCUUGCCACACCAAGAACAUCAAAAGCUUCCCGACUCUAUCGGACAAUUGGAGUCACUACUUGAGCUAAAUGUCCAAUAUUUAAAAAUUAGUGAAUUACCUCAUUCUAUUGGAAAUCUUGAAAGGUCAAAAGUUUUACGCAUCUGGAAUUCCUAUCUAGAAAAGCUACCAAACUCGAUUAGGAGGCUCCAAUCAUUGGUCAAGUUGGAUUUGAGAGAUUCAAGAAUCGAGAGCUUACCUGAUUGUAUUGGAAAUCUCAAAAAGUUGAAGGUACUAAAUCUCCAUGAUAGUUGCAUAAGUGAACUUCCAAAAACCAUAGGAAUGUUGGAAAAUCUAGAAGAGUUAGAUGCCUCCUCUGAACACCUGGUGGGGGAAAUUCCAAAUGAAAUCGGGGCACUAUCCUCAUUGAAAUAUCUAGACUUAUGCAACGGUCGCUUUAGUGGAUUGCCCACAACGAUCAAUCAGCUUACAAAUCUCCAACGACUUAAUUUAUGGCACUGUAAUUCAAUCCAACAGCUGCCGGAGCUUCCCAAGAGUCUAAAGUUUUUAACCCUUACAUCGAAUUCGCUGACCACGAUCCCCGACUGCUUAAACCUAACCAAUUUAGUUGACCUUAUGAUAAUUGGAUAUUCAAUUGAAGAACCCAACAUAGAGGGGAUCGUGAGACUACCUGCUCUGGAAAAAAUGGUCCUCCGCGUUGGAAAAAUGGCCUUGCCUCCAAUUGAUUUUAGUUCCCUCUCUCAACUACAAUGCCUCACCAUAAAUUAUGAUGAGCCCCAAUCUCUUAUUGGGCUCCCAUCCGGCCUUCAAUAUUUGUGGUUAUGCGAUGUCGAGUCACCGAUAGAUUGGUCAAUCUUUUCCAACUUGGAGAAUUUGUCGAACUUGUAUAUUGUUCGAUAUUCGCUGAGAGAGAUUCGAUUCGAGGUGCUUGGAGAGCUACGGAAAUUCAAACAAUUGCAGAUGCUUGAUUGUCCAUUGCUCAAGACGCUGCCCGUUCUUCCUUGUUUGAAGGAGAUCCAGUUUUUUUCCCUGUGCCAAUUGCCUCAACUAAUUGAGAUUCAGGGUUUGGGAGAAUUGAAAUCUUUACAGGAUUUGUCUAUCUGGUUUUGCAAUUCAAUCAAAAGGUUAAACGAAUCUGAUCUUUCUAAUCUACAAAAUCUGAAAUAUUUGUGGUUCUGGGGAUGUGAAUCAUUGGAGAGGGUGCUGGGUGUGCCAAAAUCUUGUCAACUCAUUGUCGAUGAUUGCCCGAGGUUCAAUGGAGAUGGAUAAGAUAUGUAUCAUUUGAUUGGCAAAGAUAGUCGAUGAUGGUAAGUCCAUAAAACUAGCGUUUGUUUUUUGUUGUGUCCUAUUUUGUGAGUUUUCCUUCAACUAAACUUUCAUCUUGGUUUUGGAAACACCUCUUGCAUUCGUUCAUCCUGUUGUCUCUCAAGGAAAAUCCUCUUCCAUGUAUCAUGAACGUGUGAUACUUUGACUUGCCUCGACUUGAUGAUGGUGAUACUUAGCUGGUUUACGUUGUGCACUAGUAGAACGUCGGAAUUGACAUGCUUUGCGGCACCUAUUUUGCUUAGAAAAAAAUGGAUAAAGUGGAAGGGAACUUUUAGAUAGUAAGCACACUAAAGAUGCUGAUGAAUGCUAGGUUUUGUUGUAAGGCUGAGGUGGUUGAGACUUGAGAGUACUGGUCUCACCUUAUGGAGUGUUUUUAAUAUAAGUAAAGAACAAUCAUGAUUUGUGAGGACUAAAAUAAAGGAAUUAAUGCUUGGUUAGUGGAAGAGUGAAUCGUUGAUACCUAUUAUGCAAUAUGAGUGAUUUAGUUAUUUCCUUCAUGAAGAAUUGGAGGUGUUUUUCUGGUUACUUAUGAACUGAAGUGGAGAAGCUUCAAGUCUUGAGUCAUGGUGUGAUUUGUGAACUAUCUUUCUUCAUUCUAGUAUUUAGCCAUUUAUGCGUGAAAUUCGUGCUGUGAGACAAUUGAUAUUGGAGUAAACUUGUCGAUAUGGUCAAACCACCAUUUCUUUGAAGACUAGGUUUAGUUGCAUCGAGUUGUGCAUUAUGCAAUUUCUGGUGUUAGGAAAGAGCACAUUUGUGUUGUUGAAGACUAGGGUUUGUUUAUUCUUUAAGUUGACUUAUUGCACCUUUCCUCAUCUCUCUCUCCCUCUUUUUAUGCUUAUAAUGUGGUUACUGUUAACUUGUUAAAUAAACUUGUUUGUUCUUUGUGUCUAUCAUUUUUACAUUUACUGAUAAAACAUUUUUGCACAAGCUCCUCCAAGACUAUGGUGAAAUGUUCUUUUACAUGGAUGUCUAGGCUUUGGCAAGACAUAUUGUCGAUGCUACAGCAACGACUUGUUCUCUUCAAUCCAUAUCAGAAAAAGGGCGAGCUGUGGCUAAGUACACUAGUACAUUUUAGCUAUCUGUAAGAGGCUUCUUUUCAACUACAUUGAUGUUUAUUAAGUUCCCUUAUGCAAUCUUCUAUUGAACUCUGUUAUUUCCAUACAUUUCACAAUUUUGUGCUUUCUUCUUUUGCUUUGGAUGCAUUUAAUAGAGGUCCCUUCAUCUAUGCCAAUAGUCGAUAUAUGAAACUAGCAGCAGCAAUGAGGAUCCUACCACCGCAGCCAAGAUGUUCUAAUUAUAUUAUUUUAAACAAUAGCAAUGAGGAUUCUCCCAUAAUGAAGAGGCCAAGUUAAAAUGGUUCUUGAGUUUUCUCAUGCAUGAAUGAGAGAAUCCUCUAUGAAGAUGAAAAGAAAGAUUAAGAUGUAAGACAUUUGAAGUUUUUCUCUACUAGAAAUUUGAAAUUUGUGAUCAAAUGUCUAUUGGAUCAUCUGUUAUGUAAAUUGACAGCAUUGAUUUUGUGAGCAAACUAGAGGAAUUUUGAAUAUUUGAGAGUAAUGGCAAAUUUAAAAUUACAGGUUUGGAUAUAUUCGCGAAGGUAACGGCUGUAGCACCUUGCCUUCACUUUUUUCAUGAAUUUGAUUACAUUGUACUGAAGAGGGAGCAUGAUAGUACGGGGGUCACUGACCAUGUCAUCAAUCAGUUAGUUUCUUGCGUUCAAUGGCACUUAUAAAGUGGUCAUGUGAAAUAUAGUUGAUGGUAUGACUCACUAAUGAUAUGUUAUUCAUUGGUGCAAUUUUUUACUGAAUCAAAUGGUGUUGAAGUUUUAAGCGGUGUGUUUGUGUCGAUAGGGACAAGGUAAUAAUUUCUUCUUACAUGGUAACAAAAAGUACUCUCUUCCAUAGCACACUAACCGUAAAUUGUUGUUGGAAAUUGCAUGGUCAUUAUGAAUGCUUUGCCAAAAAAUUUCUAUGAAGCAUUUAAUAUGGAGACUAUGUAAUAACCUUCAAGAAAGACUAUAAAAUGAUAGACAUGACUUUUCCUUGAUUUAGAGUUGUUUAACUUUGGAUACACAAUAUUUGAUAAACUACAUAUGUACCAAAGAAGGUGACAAAUGGCUAGAUUAAUUGAAUUACUUUUCAGUUGCUAAAGUAGCUUACAAGAAGUGUAUUAAACUGGUCUUGAACCUCUUCAACAGCUUCAACAGAUGUCGAUCAUUUCAGUUUUGAGUGUGCCAAAAUCUUGUGAACUCAUCAUCAUUGACUGCCCAAAGCUCAAUAGAGAUGGAUAAGGUAUGUAUCAUUUGAUUGACAAAGAUAGUUGAUGAUGGUAAGUGUCACGCCCCGAUCCUUUUGGGCACGCACACAUCCUUCUACUUGGUCGAUUUUUAUAAUGCGAUAUCCCAGGACUAAUUAUCGCCGACCCUUUCGUUUAUUAAGCACAUGCGGAAGCCAUUUUAAAUCCCCAGACAAUAAAACAAUGGGAUAGAAAAGUAAGGCAAUAUUUCUCAUAUUGAAAUCCUUGACCAAACCUUUAUACAUGGCAUAACUCAAAGUCUAUUCACUAAACAUGAUUAAGAAAAGAGGAUAGGAUCUUAGUUCUCAUCCAGGUCGUACUCGGACCAUCAUCGAGGUUCUCCUCCAGACACUCCUCUUCGGUUUCUUUCUCCUCAGGCUCCUCAUCAGGGUCCUGAAAUGUUGUCCCACAACCGGGAUGAGACUAUGUCUCAGCAAGUUCUACCCCACUAAGACUCGAUUAGGAAACCAAUAUGCUAACCGGGCUGCCUAUACACGCACGGGUCAGAGGACUUACCUUGGCCUCAUAUUCCACCUGCAUAUUAGCACAAUUCAAUAGGCACCAAAGCAAUUACAUCACAGAUCAAUAUCUCGAUCCAUCGACCUAGUCGAUUUCAUGUCAAUUCGACUAUUCCCCAGUCGUUUCCCUUAUUCAGUCUCAAAUCAUACCCAUGACUUCACGAGCAUAGUCUACCAAAUUUCUUGGCAACAAAUUACAGUCCCAAAGAACACGACCUAUCUUUAGGUAGCAUAUUACGGCCUUAUCAGGCGCGACCUUUAAUGGUGGCAAAUUAUGGCCUUAUCAGGCGCGACCUUUAAUGGUGGCAGAUUACGGCCUUAUCAGGCGCGACCCAUAUCGGGUGGCAGAUUACGGCCUUAUCAGGCGCGACCCAUAUUAGGUGGCAGAUUACGGCCCAACGGGCGCGACCCAUAUUAGGUGGCAAUUUACGGCCCAACGGGUGCGACCGAUUCCAAAUUCAGUGGCAGAACUCGGCCAUACUCACAACCUUUCACAGUCAAAUUCUAAUUGAAUACCGACACUGAUCGAUUUUGGGAUAAUUCCUCAAAUUGCACAAUUAAUUCAAUUUAGCACAAUGUAGAGCUCAAAUAAAUAAACGGACUGCACCAUGACAAUCAGCACCAAAUUUCGAUCGUCGGCUAUCAUCGCCUAAUUUCCGAAAAAUAAAUAAUUAAAUAAUUAAUUUCGAAAUUAAUAAUUAAAUACUAAAUAUCCAAUUUAGGCCCGUAAUGCCUAACUGAAGCCCAAUAAGGGUCGGGAAAAAUCCCGAGAUGCAUUCAAUAAAUAAUAGUACGUCUCUACUUGCUAAUGACUAAGUCUAACCACCUAACAUGCAUCACUAAGUCACUAAUUUAUUUUUUCUAAACUAAUCUAACCACCUAAUUGCACUUAAUUAAAUCUAAUCAACCCUUAAGCAUCAUUAAUUUACUAAGCGAGGAUUAGUGAGAUUACUCACUUGAUUAAAAGCGGAGACCGGGACACCGCGACGGUUACGCGACGGCGGCCGAAAUCGGACUUUCGACAACACCGGCGGGCUUGGACCGGGCCUUAAACUUGGCCCAACAAAUCUCAGCCCAACUAAGAUUUGUUCUCGUACUGGACUGGGCUCGCUCUUGGACUUGGGCUUGGCUGCGAUUGGGCCUGAUCUGGGCUUCAAGAUGGGCUGGCUUUGCGGGCUUCAAAACCACGCUGGACUCCUUGGGGCUGAAAUAAAACUGAACUGGGCCUGUCUUUGCUGGGCCCAAAAGAAAUUCACUGAGCUUGGAGACUGCUGGACUUGCAUUGGGCCAUUGAUGCGGCUGAUCGAGGCCUAGGAUUGAUGGGCUUCGAAGACUAAAUCCCUAUGGGCUCAAAAUGCGAACUGCGAGGGAAAUGGACGCAGGCUUCUUCGGUCCUCGUGGCAGCUCGACGGAUGAUGCUUCGUUUGCUUGAUUCGCUGACUCGGUGAAUUCCACACGGUUAGAUGAAGGCCGCGAGCUGGGUAGACCGAAGCUGAGAAAGACGCAUGGAUGCUUGGACGGCAGAGCUGGCGUGCGGUCAACGACGAAGGAGUUCGCUGGUGUCAAGCUGCGGGCUCUGCUGCUGCUUCGGUUGACUGCUUGGACGCGUGGGCGAGGGCAUCAAGCGGUCAACCAAGAGCUUCAAUUGAAGCUGUUGUUGACCGAACCAGGCGUACACACUGCCAAGUGGCAGCAAGCUCGGCAGAAGAUGGAGCUGGUGUCGUUGCUUGCGGAGAAGACCGUUCGGUGGAUGGGCAGAUGUUGAUGGAGAUGAUGAUGCUGUGCGACUUCGGUGAGUGGGGGGCUUCGUGGAGUCAACACCUGGGGCAGCUUGACGAAUUUUAUUGAAGAUUGACCAAGGAAAAUUUAUGGAGCAGCAGGUGGUGGAAGAAACCAGCGAAAAUGGAGUGGCAGGUUCGGUCUUCGGCAGAGACGGAAGGAGCUGACUGCUAAGGAAAUAAAAGAACGGCCGCAGGGAAAUUUGUAAGUGCUGAUUUCGUCCAGAGAAGAGGAGACCGACGUGCGAAUGAAGAUGGGAUCCGUUUAGCGUAUGGAAGAAGCCGAAGAAAAGGGGAUUGAAAGUCAAACAAUAAAUAUCUAUUUCAUGAUUACUAAACCACAAAAGUCCUCAGCCCAACCAAUGGAGAAUUAGCUCCCAAUUAAUCUACUUCAAGUUAUUUUGGUGUGGAUAAUUAUGUCCAUCUUCAGAGAACAUUUACAAUGGGUCACCCAAGAGCCCAAUUUUUCACAAUUCCACACCAAAUGAAGCCAAAUUGAGGGCCAAACUGUAACACCCCGUCACCCCUACGAAUUUAUACCACCUCUUCACCAUUCCCUUCAAUUUGGUAACCAAUUUUCCUUUAAUAAUGCCCGUCCGAAUUUGCAACUCUUUUCCGAAUUAUCCGUAACGAUUUUUAGUAAAAAUCUCGGAAUCUCCGAAAAAUCUUCUGAUUCCUAAAAUAGCUCGUGACACCACAGAACUUUCAAUUUCUGAAAUCGGGUUCGAAUUCACGGUUAAUUUCCAUUCGACGCGUUUUUAGCGUGACCUAGACUGCCGGGUAGUCUUCAGAACUUUUUAGUGCAAAUGACCCGUGGUCGAUUUUCUUCGAGCCACAAUGAACCCACUUGACACAUUGGCAACUCUCGAUUGUCAUAGAAAUCUCGAGAAUUCAAAUACGGACACAAGGUACCAAAACGAUAGAGAAUUCAGUCUAGUGUCGGCCGACGAGAAUUUUCCAAUUUAGUGGCGUCACUCAUGAUUAGGCACACAUCUCUGUCGAACCGACCUAUAUCUGAUCUCUGAUCAAUUUACGUCUGUGCUGUAAUGAUCUCAGCAGAUGAACACGGUCGAGCAGCCGAUUCAUGGUCGAAUUCUCAAGUCUAUUUGCCUUAAAAUUCUUAAUAGUUUCCCCAGAUAGUCUAGUUAUCUCUAGAAUGAUCAGUUCUGAGAACAGCCCUAUAGACGCGUCAAUGAAAUGCCCGAUUUAUUCAAUAGAAAACAAAACUGAAAAUCUAGGAUGUCAUAGUAAGUCCAUAGAACUAGAGUUCAUUUUUUGCUACAUCCUGUUUUGUGAGUUUUCUUUAAACUAAGCUUUCAUCUUAGUUCAGGAACCAUCGCUUGUAUUCGUUCAUCCUGUUAUCUUUGAGCAAAAUUCCAUUUCCGCAUGUCAUGAACAUGUGGUACUUUCACUUGCCUCCACGAUGGUGAUGCUUAGCUGGUUUAUGUUGCACAUUAGCAUAAUGUUGGGGUUGACAUGCUUCGCAGCACGUAACUUGGCUAAAUAGUAAUCACACUAAAGAUGCUAACAAAUGCUAGGUUUUGUUGAAAGGUAGAGGUGGUUGAGAGUAUUGGGCAUACCUUAUGUAGUGUUUUUUCAAUUUUACUACAAAACAAUCAUGAUUUGUGAGAAAUGAAAUAAAGGAAUUAACACCUAGUUAGCAAAAGAGUGAAUUGUUGAUGCCUUUUAUGCUGUAUGAGUGACUUAGUUACUUCUUUCAUGAAGAAUUGAAGGUGCUUUUCUAGUUACUUUUGAACUUACAUUUUGUUUGUCUGUUUGUUUGCUAUUUGUUCAUUCCCUCCCAUCUUAAAUUACCAAACACAGUUGGGGAAGAUGUUGCAAUUCCCCUGAUAAGGCAUUUAGGUUCUUGAACUAUCAUUUUUUGUGCAAAUGACAUUUCUUUUUCUAAAUCCUUUGCUGUUUUGAGCUGGGUCUGGAAAUUUGAUAACUCUGACUCAUUAAGGAAUUAAAUAAGGCAAAUGCAAUAACCUCAGUUGCUCCCUUUUGCAUGAUUUUUGUUUCCAGCAGUUCUAGAGAUUGAACUGGGAUUAUUUGAUUGUGCACAAUCAAAGAUCACUGUUAGCUUUACUCCACAUCUAAUGCUGAUGGUUAUAGUUGCAAUUUUCAAGUACUCCCAUUCUUAAAGUAGAAGUUCUGCUUCUCUAGCCAUAAUUAUUAGCUUUUUUUCAUCCUAUUUAUGCAGAGUCUUGGAAUGUAGUCAACUAUUCCUAUUGAAAUGUCUUCAGAUGUAAUAGUGGGGAUCUACAUGAGCAACUUAAAGUUGUUUGCCGACCAAACUUUGUAUGGUUAAUAGUUUUAUUCUGCUUAGGCAUUCAAUGGCUUAAUGCAAUGACCAUUAACCUUAGCUUUUGUUUGCUGAAGUACUGAUUUUUCAAUACUCAUAUUUACCUUAAUCAAAGUACAUAAUUUAUUUCAUAGACCUUGGUAAGUCAAUCAAGUAGUGGGCAUGUUGGGGGACUAAAACUUGAAAGAUCUACGACUUCCUUUCAUAUUCUCAAGUGUGCUUCCCACAUACUUCACGUUGUUUGAUCGUUUAAUUCACUUUUUCUUGGUGGAUGAGGAAUUCAUUAUUUUAUUGGAAAAAGGAGUAGCUCCUUGUACUCAACACGUGCGAGGAUCCUACUAUUGUUUUAUGAGUGUCUUCCCUGAUUGAGUAUCUAGACGAGCAAUACUAAUAUUUGUCAUAUAUUUCUAAGUGUCUGUUUCCCAUUGAGUGCUUUACUUUUCGUGUAACACCAAAGUCAUCUUAUGGUGGUUAGUUGUCUAAUCCUCUUUUUGCUGAUCAACAAUGUAGUGAAGGGAGCUUAUGGUUAGACUCUGCAGAAUUUCAAUGAGAAGAUGGGAUUACCUGAGAUUGUGGGGUUUAACUACCUAACAUUGUUUCCCUAAUGCACUCUCUCUCUCUCUAUGCUAAUAAUGUGGUUAAUGUUAACUUCUUAAAUAAAAUUAUUUGAUCUUCAUAUCUAUCAUUCUUACAUUUGCUGAUGAAGUGUUUUUGCGCAAGCUCCUCUAAGGCCAUGGUCAAAUGUUCUUUUACAUGGAUGUAUGGCAUUUGGCAAGACAUGCAUUGUUGGUGCAACAAUAGCAGCUUGUUCUCUUCAAUCCAUAUCAGUGAAAGGGCUGAGCUAUUGGAUAAGUAACAUUUGAACUUCUGAGCAAGUUGUAAGAGGCUUCUUUUCAACUACGGCGAUGUUGAUUGAAUUCCAUUGUGCAAUCUCACAUCUAAAGUUGUUAUUAACUCCAUGUCUAUAUCAAAUGCCAGGCAACAAUAACUGAUUUUGAGAAGUGGUUAGACAUAGUCGUUACUCUGUAGGCCAAGAAGAUUUCUGAUGAGGUUUGUUGUCGCGCGCAACUCUUUCUUCUGACUGUGCAAACUAGUCAAGAUUUGGAUUGGGUAUUGUUCAAUUCCAUGGUCACCAUCUUAUUUGUGGCUCUUUGACAGAUCCAUGUCCUGAGGAGAUUUAGUCCAAUGGCAACAUAAUAGAUGGUUCUCAUUGACUUUGCUAUAGCUAGUAUUGAUUAGUCUGCAUCCUUCCUCUUUUUUUUUCUUUUCUUUUUUUUUUUUUUUUGUAUAUCAGCUAUUUUAAAUCACUCCUAAGGCAAUCACUAGCGGUGCCAUAUGGUUCCAUGUGGUUUUCAUCUUGUAAGCAGCUAAUAUCCCUUGCCUUCUUUGGAUAGAGUCCUUCCCCGUCUCUUUCAUACCAGCUAACUAGCGUGCAAGAACUAUAGUUUGAAAAUCUUGUUCUUAUCUGGUCACCAGUCUCUGUGCAAGUGGUGAAUUGUACAUCCCAAUACUUUCUGCCAUCAACAAAGUUUCUUGCUCGUGUGCUGUUAUUUGCAUAUCUCUAUAGUGAACAAGAAUCUGCUAGAUUUAUCCCGCACCAGUCCUUCAAAAAACCAACUACGAGGUAACCAGGCAUCUCAGCCUCUCUGUCAAAACACAGAGCGUGCAAGUAGUACUAUGUCCUGCCUCCAUCUGUCUCUCCAUUGAGGUUUUCUCCCUCAAAUUGGCUACAACCUUUAUCCCCCCCCCCUAGGCGAUGUUGCAUAAAUAAGGUGUGCUAUCUCUCUCAAUGCAAAAAUCCAGGAUUUAAAUUGAUCGAUCAUUUCAAAUUGGGGCACCUUGAUGCAACAAUUACUUAACCUCACCCCUCCAGUUGACCACAAAGAUAUCCUCUUUUUUAGGCUCUAGCUUAUUUGAUACUGAACUAGGAACCUGCAUAAUGACUAAAGCAAAUUGGCUGAUUCGAAAGCUCCCAUUUUUCAACAUUCACCUUUCCAACCUGCAAGUUUGCACUUGGAUAGCUCAAUUGCUGGAUCCCAAUUUUUUUUUUUACCCAAGAGGAAUGUUUAGAUGUGCUAUAGCAAAGUGACCUCUGAUCGAGCAUGCCAUUAUAUGUGUGCAACGAGCAUGUGUCUAUAUUACUGAAAGAUUGAACCGUAGCCUCAGAACUGGAAUUUAAGAUUGAAAUUCAAGUUGAAUGCUUCUCGGUGCAUGUAUUGUAACUGAUUAUACUUAUACUCAUGCUGUUGACUGUUGAGGCUUUUUACGAAGUAAACUUGUUACUCAUAAACAUAUCAUAUUUAUCCAAUAGAGUUCUUUCUCAUUUUAUCGCCUGAAGUUCUUUAUGCUGUCGUUAAACCACCAAUUUUUCACUUGACAGUUUCACUUUUUUAAUCUGGAAUCCUUGAGAUAUGUGAUGUGAACUAAAAUAUUCUCAUAUCUUGUGCUAGAAAAUUUGCAUGUUCAAAUAUCUUCUUGCUCCUCAAUGAUCUUUUAGCUGAUCAUCCUUUUUAUCUUAACAAAGUAGGUUGAGGAUACGGUAGUCUUAUUCUUGCCAUACUAGGAACUACUUUUGGUGCACUUGACUAAAUAUGGAAUAUUUGAUUGUCUUUUUUCCCUCACAAAUGCACUUCUGGAAGCAAUGUUCCUAAGAAUCUCGAUUAGUGCUUUGAAGAAUCCAUGUUAAUCUCAAUAAUUGUGCGGUGGUUUUAGAUUUGGACACCUGAAUAUCACCAGUAAUAUUAUGCUUUCAUGUCUGAAGGUCCUAUUAGAAAGCCAAAUGGGGUGGGAUUACUGUAUUGGGCUUUAAAACCUAAGACCAUCAAAACUUCUAAGACGCAAAAUAUAAUAAUAGGUGCCAAACUAACUGGUUUUUAUGGCUCUUUAUCAUGGAUGCAGGCAGAACUUCCUGAUUUUGAAGUCUCUGAAGGCAUAUAUUCUUGAGCUCGCAUCGAACAUGCUGAUUCAGGAUGUUUAUGGCGGGGAGCAAAUGUUAUGUUGGAGUAUUCAUGCGAAGAGGUACUCAAGUUGAAGCAAUGUCCCUUUAUCUCCAAUAAUGAUGUCGAGUAUCUUAUUUAUUGCAUCCAUUCAUGUUGCAGGCCACAACUCUUCUACAAAAGAACCUAGAAAACGCUAAAGCAAGUUUAGAAGUUCUUGUUGCUGAUCUACAAUUCUUACUAGACCAAGUAACAAUCACGCAGGUAAGUCAGAAUUUUUUGGAACUUGGAGGUCCAUUUUAGUUUCAAGCUAUUUAUUAUGUCAGUUUUGGGUAUGUUUGUUGUUGUUGAAUUACUGAAGUCAUGAUUUUUGUAACUGGUGUGAGGCUAUAAAUUGCAAAGACAUGCUGAUUUGUGACAACCUGGAGUGUGGUGAUAUUGCACUUAAGUGAAAUUGAAAAAUUUCGAAACUUGUUGUAGGACCAUACUCUUUAGUUUAUAUCACGGCAAUUAUGUUGGUGGUCCCUGGAAAUUUUCUUUUCUUUUUGGGGGUGAAACAGCCCUUGAGAGGUGAAUCUUUAUUUGGCAGGUUACGAUCGCUCGUGUGUAUAAUUGGGAUGUUCACCAAAAGAGAAUCCGUCAAGCCGGUGCUCCAGCUAAAUACUCUUAAAGAGAUCUUUUCAAGUCGAAUCAUGGUAGCAGAAUGUGUACUCCUGGAUGAGAGUACGACUUUGAUCUCCCCAUUUUCAAUCAGGUGAAUGAAUUAUGUAUCGCUCUGUUAUCGCAGUGGUUAAGACACUGACAACGAGUGAUUUUGGUUAGGUUUAUUGUAUUACACAGAGCUUGUCAUGUAAACGGUUUUGAUUGAGAACCUCUUGGGCUUGAUUAUUCAAUUUCUGUGUGCGGUGCGCUAGUGUUGAAUUAAUGUUGGGUCCAUCCAUUUUAUGUCGUUUUCACCUUGGAUUAUGUAUGUUUAGUAAGAACCAAUUUAAAUUUGAAUUCAGGGAAAAACAUGGCUUGCUUGAGGUUUACUGUGGAAUACAUGUCGGUGUUUUUGGGUCAAGUGUAGUGUUGUAAUUUGGUGGGUCUCUUGUUGUCAGAUCUUGGAGAUUUCUAUUAUGUUAGAGCAAUGCAGGUAUAGUUUGGUUAUAAAGUCCGUGGCACAGUAUGUAUAAUUAUUUCCAAAAUUAACUUUUUUCAAGAAUUUAAUGUAAGUACAUUAUUAAGUCAAAUUUUCUUUAAAAUUAAAUUAUUAUCAAAGGAUAUAGAUAAUUACACUUUCCUCUUUCUUUUGUUAAAUUUCCCUUCUUUGUACAUAGCAUUAUGUCAUCAACACAAUCGAAAGGUAUUCUAUGAAAUUGCAUCCAUGAUUCUUUUUUAAAGAUUUUCAUUGAAUUUAAUUGAAUUAUCUAAAUGUUUUAUUAUAAGGCAUAGAUGUAGAAUAUGAUGAACAUGAGUUAACCGACACAUAUGGAAAAAAUGGUUCUUCACUUAUUUCUCUAUCCUCUGAUGAGUCAGUGAAACACAAACCUUAACACAAGUGGUCUUUUAAACUUGGCUAUAGGUGCUGUCACACCCCGAUUCUCAAGUAUGCACACAUCCCUUACCUUGGUCGAUUUUAGAAUACGAUAUCCCAGGAUUAUGUAUCACCGACCUUUUCAUUUUCGAUAGCACGUGCGGAAGCAGUUGUAAAUCCCCAGACAAUAAAACAAUGGGAUAGAAAAGUAGGGCUAUAUUUUUCAUACUGAAAAUUCACAACCACACUUUUAUACAAGCACCUCAUAGUAUUUAAUACACUACUAUUCAUAGAGGUCUGAUUUAACACUUAUCCACAAAAAACCAGGUCUGACAAGACAGGAUGGGAUCUCAGUCCUCAUUCGAGUUGUACUCGGGAUCAUCCUGAUCCUCCUCUAAUUCUUCUUCACUAAGUUCGUUUCCUUCAAGCUCUUCAUCUUUUUCUGGCUCAUCGUCCUCUUUUGGUUCCUCCUCCUUAGGCUCAUCUACAAGCCUGAAAUGGUUAUACAAUAACCAUUAAGAUCACGUCUCAGUAAGUUCUACCCCCCUAAGACUCGAUUUGUAAACCAAUACGCUAACUAGGCUGCCUAUACACGCACGGGUCAAAAGACUUACCUUGGCCUUAGAUUCUACUUGCAUAUUAGCACAGUUCAAUAGGCACCCAAGCAAUAAUAUCAUAGAUCGAUAUCUUGAUCAAUCGACCUAGUUGAUUACAUGUCAAUUGGACCAUUCAUCGGUCAUUUCAAUUCAAUUAAUCAAUUCACGACAUCAGAUCAAAGCAAUGAUUAAUCGACCUAGUCGAUUACAUGUCAUCUCGAACCUUUCUUGGUCGACUCAUAUCAUAUUAUCUAUAAGUCCGUUCAUAUCAGAACUGCUCACUACUAAGCUGAUAAAUAGAUAGCAUAGCUCGCUUCUGAAAUGAUUGGGUAUAUUGUUCUCUGCUAAGCUGCAAUAUUGCCCUUAGGUUGAUAUAGAUGUAUAUCGACAGUGCUCAAUCUAAGCUGAUAAGGUAUACUGCUCUUUGCUAAGCUGCCAUAUCGCCUGUAAGCUGAUAUAGUAUACCGAUAUAUUCCAUCAAAACUAAUAAAGUAUACUACUCUCUACUAAGCUGACAUAUCGCUCGUAGGCUAAUAUAGUAUAGUAGUAUACUGCUCUCUGCUAAGCUGACAUAUCGCCCGUAGAAAGAUAUAGUAUACCAUCCCAAUCAUACAAUCAAUUCCAUCUUUUUAUCAUUCUCGAUAAAGUAGCCGUGUAUGGGGACACGGUCAGCCUUAGCCAAAAUAUAAUAUUUUCCUUUUCAUAAUUCUCACAUUUUCUAUAGUCCACUAAAAUAUUUUUGGCAUUAUCAACCGAUACCCAGUUAUUUUUGAAUUAAUAACCAACGAUUAUCCAAUUAAAUAAUAAUUCUCACUUUCACAAAAAAUUCAAUUCAGUACGAAAUAAAUCUUAAUUAAAUAAACGGACUGUGCCACGACAAUCAAUAUAAACUUCCGGUCAUUGGCCAUCCCAGUUGAAUUUUCGGCAAUCCCAGUUGAAUUUUAGGAAAAUAAAUAAAUAAAUAAUUAAUUAAUUUCGAAAAUUAAUAAUUAAAUACUAAAAAUUCAAUUUAGGCCCGUAUUGCCUGAUUGGACGGUAGAAUAGAUCAGGAAAAAUCCUAAGAUACAUUCAAUAAAUAUUAGAAGCUCUCUACUUGCUAAUAACUAAGUUUAACCACCUAACAUGCAUCAUUAAGUCACUAAUUUAAUUGUUCUAAACUAAUAUAACCACCUAAUUGCACUUAAUUAAAUCUAAUCAACCCUUAAGCAUAAUUAGCAAAACUAAGAAAGCAUUUGUGAGCAAAACUCACUUGUGCAAAGCGAAGACUGGAACACCGCAACGGCAGCACGACGGCGGCCGAAAUCCGAAUUUUCGGUGGUGUUGGCAGACUUGGACUGGGCCUGAAGUGGGCUGACCUCGCGGGCUUGGCUCGGAAUUGGGCUUCUAAUGGGCUGGGGUUCAUGGGCUGCAGCAGCUGAAGAGAACACACGGACUGAAUUUGCUGGGCUGGACUUUGGCUUCAAAUGGCGUGGGCUGAUGCUGAAGUUUUGGGCCGGUCAAAGAAGCAGCAAAGGCCGCUGGGCUGGGCUGGGCUGCUAAUUCAGUGGGAUGGGCUGCACGAAAUUGGAAGCAAGCUGGCGGAGAAGUCGGACUGCAGGCGGUGGAAUUGGCUGAGCUAAUUCGGUGGGGGUGUGGGCUUGCGGAUGAAGGAGAGAGGCCACGUGAAGCUGCAGGAAUUUCACUCGGUCUCCGUUGUUAAUGGUUGACCGGCAGAGGAGAUGGACGAACAAAGCUGCAGUUGCUUCGGUCGAAUUGAUGCUGGACGAGGGAGCAACAAAGGAGAGGAGCUCGGUGGACGCGUGGAUGAGGCAGGCGUUGAAGACGCUGAAACUGAGCGUUGACUGGGUUUUGCUUCGGUCGGUUGAUGCUGAACACAGAAGCAGUGAAGACGGCUGAACUGGAGAAGUAGCUGCGGGUGAGCUGCUGCACGGAAGGAAAUCUCGUUCGGUGGAGGCUUGGGGUCAACUAAGUCUACUGGAGUUGACUGGCGUCGGAGGAAGACACGGACAGCUGCUGGGUGAAGAAAUCGGGGAAGAUGUGGACGCUGGAUUGGUCGAUCGAAGGCUGACGGUGGGGAUUUCUUCGGUGGAGGAGCACACGGUCGGGGCGUUGAAGACGCGUGGACACGGAGUCAACAAACCAAUUUUUGUUGGACUCUUUCGUUGACUGCGCUUGGGGAUUCGGCCAUCGGUGGGCAGAGAACGUGGGCCGAAGGUGGUGAUGGCUUGCGGCGGAACAGAAGGCGAAGAAGGGGAGGGCACGCGGCAGUUAAAUCAUGAGGUGUUUCGGUGAGGUCUUCGAAGGGAGAAGAACGAAAGAAAAGCAGAUGCAGUCCGGUUUCGAUGGAAGAUUCACACGAAGGAGAAGACAACCAAGAGGGAAGCAGCUGGCCAAUCUCGCAAGAGAAGCCAAGGAUGGGGCAUAAAGUCAAGCAACAUUAGCCAAUGCAUUAAACACUUGUCCCCUCAUACUUUCCAAUCAAAUUUCCACCAAUUAAACCAAAUUUUAAUGCAAAAAUUGCACCCCUCAUCAUAUAUUCCGAAUUUCAUCCAUUUGAGCUUUGAUUUCUCCAGCAAAUUCCCAAUUCUACGUCCAAAUUUCGCCAAGGAAAAUGCCCACAACAUUUCUACAAGUCCCCACCAUUAAAUAGCUCAGCUUGGAAGUCCAAAUUUCCUUCAAUUGAGCCCAUCCGAAUUUCUGCUAAUUUUCUGCGACGCUUGAAACGAUUUUCCGUAAAAAUUUCGGAAUUUCUGAAAAAUCUUCUAAGACUGAGUCGACGUUCCUAGAAUUUAUUGUGACAUGACAGAAUUUUCAAUUUCCGAAAUUGAACUGAAAUUCACGGUUAAUUUUCAUUCGACGUAUUUUUAGCGUGACCUAGGCUACUGGGUAACUUUCAUAAGCUUUUAGUGCAAAUAACCGUGGUUGAUUUUCUUCGAGCCACAAUGAACCUAGUCGACCCAUUAGUGACUCUCGGUUGUCAUGAAAAUCUUGAUGAUUCAAAUAUGGACACAGGGUACAAAACAAUAAAAAAAUCAAUCUAAUGUCGGCCGACGAGAAUUUUCCAAUUUAGUAGUGUCACCCACGGUUAGCCAUACAUCUCAGUCGAAUUGACUUAUCUUUGAUCUUGAAUCGAUUUAUAUCUAUGUCUUAAUGACCUCGGCAGAUGAGCACGGUCGAAUAGUCGAUUCCUAGUCGAAUUCUCAAGUCUAUUUGCCUUAAAAUUCUUAAUGGCUUUUCAAGAUAGUCUAGUUAUCUCGAGAGUGAUCAGCUCUAAGAAUAGCCCUAUAGACACGUCAAUGAAAUGCCCGAUUUAUUCAAUAGAAAAUAUGGUCGAAAGUUUGGGAUGUCACAGGCGCGGGUGCUUAUUUUGCUCUCACAAAGAGGAUGGAAUUGAUAAUUUUACGCUGAAAGAUUGAGCUCAUCGGUGAUCUUUUCCAAUGUCAUGUAAUGGGGAGAAUUUGUGCAGUUGUCAAUAUUAAAAAAUAUGAUCUUACUGCGCAAAAUGUCUUUGGUGAUUGAGACAUAUUUAUAAUAUAUGUAAGAUAAUUAGGUCGUGGUACUUUCAAUCGUGAUUUAAAUUGUUUUUCCCUGGACAUUUCUAUUUUCUUCUUCAUUCAUUGUCUUGUUUACCAAACUUCACGAUGAUCAUUAUUACUAUUUUAUCUUCGUCGAAAUUUUAGUGGACACAAAUUUCUCAGUAAAGUUUGAUAGACUACCCAUGCGAAGUAUGGGUAAAUGAUUUAGUUAUACAGAACAAAAAAUCGAAAGUGAAUUACCCAAACAAAGAACACAAUUAAGAUAGACCAAAAGACGCCGCCUUUGCAUGCACAAUAGACGACGGAGAGGAUGUCUCUUCUAUAAAUAUCUUCAGAGAUUCAAAAUCACCAAUUGUCUAGCACGAUGUAGGAUGUGAUGAAAUUGCUUAAAAGAUGUGCAUUGAGGAAAAUGUUAGAGCUAGAAACAUGCGAAUCUCUUGAAGACAAAGCUGGCGAUCGAAUUGUAGUAACAGGAGAUCCAGUCCGGGACUUGAAGGCCAAGCCAGCGGGUAUGUCGUGCGCGGAUUGGUGGGUCAUAUCUUGAAGUAUGGUUGUGAGGAUUCAUUCUUCUUAUGUUUCUCAAUUUCACUCUUCAAGUUUCACAUAUUAUCGGUGAAUGUAAAAUAUGUAGCAAAUGAAAAUAUUAUAUUUAGUCGGGUGAGUAUUGGAGUGUCUAAAUUUCAAAUAUCUUUUUUUUUCCUUAUUGAAUUUUGAGAUGUCAUUAAUGAUGAAUCAAUUCUAAGAGAUUAACCACUUUUGGAAUUAGCUUGUUUGGCUCUGUAAGCUUAAGAGGAAAAAAUCAAGGGAAGAAAUAAGAUGAUUAAUUACACGGAAAUAACUAUCACAUCUUGCUAGGUGAGUAUAAGGGUGUCUACAUAUCAAAUCAUCUUUUUGUAUCUAUAGAAUUUUGACAAGCUGUCGACGAUGGAUGAGAUGAUUAAGUAGUUUACCAAGUUCGGCAGUUGGAAGGGUUAAAACCCCUCCUUGAAACUAGCAUACUAGACAUGUAAGCUCUCUGAUGACUCUUUUUCAAUGAGCAGUCUCAUUGCAUUGAGCUCAACUUGACCCCUGUCUUACUCUUGAAGUUUUGCCUUAGUGUCGCAGACAUCCCUAUCCAAGCUUGAGCACAGUAUCGUAUGCUUUGGUCAUAGCUCACCCACGCUUACUUUAAGUGCUAAUAUUUAAGAAAUAUGGGAUCAGAGACAUAAAUAAAAGCCAACAUUCCCACUCUUAAAGUCAUGCAAGAUCAACAGCCCAUAUAUAGGCAAGUCAGAACAGUUAAAUAUUUGAAACCCAAUAUUGCUACCUUGGCCUCUGACACCACUAUAGAUAGCCUCCACGAUAUUAUUAGCUUUGGUCGUUGCUAUUGAUGCUCAAAUUUUUAUCAACAUUUUAGGUAUCCAUUUAUUUUACAAAAAUCUGAAAAUUUAUUAAAAAAUAUAAUAAGAAAAAAAUGAUAUUUAAAAAAAGAAAAAAGAAGAAGCGAAAUGAAGUCGUGUGGGCCGGCCCUUAGCAAAGUUUUCAGCCUUCUAAGCCCCCUCCCCUCCAUUAGUCCAGCCCAUUCCUUUUAAUUCUUUGGGCCCAUCUCUUUAUUUCCUUUUUAGCCCAUCUCCUUUUGUCUUUCCUUGGCCCAUCAUAGAACCAAACAAAAAGAAAGCCCAGCCCCAGCCUCUCUCUUUCCUCACACGCGCUUCCCCCUCAACUCCCCCGGCGAGCACAGCGUCCGUGACGCAAGGAAGAAAGACAGGCCAAGCGCGCGCGCGUCUGUGAGCGAAGGAGGCGCGACAAGCCGUGACGAGAGCUGAGCCAGCACCUUCUAGAGCCGUGCUAGCUGGCGUGCGAGAGAAAUAACAGAAAGAUUCGAUCGGUGAGGCGAGGGGAGCGUGCUGAUCCGAGAGGAAAAGAUGAGAUAGGAGCUGCUCGCCGAGGAACAUCUUCGCCGGAAAGGAUGCUCGCCUCAAGAGGAUCCUGUUCGCAUAACAGGAGGAGGAGAGACGCCGCCGGUUUUCGGAGAGGCCGGCCGUCGAAGAGGCAAGCUGCAGAGAGAUAGGCUGAAGAGAGAUUCACGGGGGAGAAAGAGUCAGCCGAGAGCGAGAAAGAGAGGAUGCUGGACGCUCGCUUGAAAAAGGAUUUGGCCAUUGAAGAGCUCGGCUGAAGGGAACGAAGGAGGAUAGGAAUCGGCACUACCCCUGCCAGGUCGUUUCUAUUCCGAUCAACCUUUAGAGUCGAUUAGGUGUUCAGAAUCUCUCCUCAUCGCUCUGCUCCAUUGUUCGGGAUCUGUGUCCAUCCACCUUCGAACCCAGAUAUAGGAGAGCGAAGCUGUCUGAAGCGGGUUCGUGAGUUUCGUUUCAGUCGAAGGGAGAAUCGUCAGGAUUUUAUUGAUCUGGAUUAGUUGAAGUUAAAAAAAUCAGUCUCGCCGAGAGUCCUUCGUGACCUGUUUGAUGUUUUGUGUAGAUGUCUUCAACGUUGAUUUGUUCCUGUUACUGGUCAAUCCGUGAGCAUUUUAGUAUGAGUCUCGG